Molecule: long non-coding RNA, 370649 nt
Filed under: Triticum aestivum (bread wheat)
Lineage: Eukaryota; Viridiplantae; Streptophyta; Magnoliopsida; Poales; Poaceae
Description: long non-coding RNA (TAES_LNC026881)
Rfam family: MIR1120/MIR1122 microRNA precursor family (bases 300265-300351)
Source: RNAcentral
GCAGCUUCUCGACGGUGACGGUGAGCACGCCGUCGCGGCACACGGCGGAGACCUUCUCCAUGUCGGCGUUGUCGGGGAGCACGAACUUGCGCAUCAGCUUGCCCAUGCGGCGCUCCAUCCGCAGGUACUUGGCGUCUUCCUUCUCCUCCCUCCUGCGCUCACCGCUGAUGACCAGCACCCGCUCGUCCUCCACCUGCACCUGGAUGUCGCCGGACCCCAGCCCCGGCAUGUCCACCACGAACGCGUACGCGCCCGGCAGCUCCUUCACGUCGGCCGGGGUGGCCGCCAUGGCGCGCGCGUCGCGGACGUAGGCGCGCGUCGGGCCCUGCUUCUCGCCGCCGGCGUUGCCGUGCCCGCCGGCCUCGCCGUCCGGGAUGUCCAGCAGGUGCUGCAGCGCGGUCAUCAUCGGGGCAUCCAAGCCGAACACCAUGCCCGCCAUUCUGGCUCGCUGAUCUCGAGCUCGGUCGAUCUCCUCGGGUUGGGCUUGCCUUGGAUUGUUUGUUGAAUUUUGUGGAAUUUUUCGGUGGUGAUGCGAUGCGAGGAGGAGGGAGCUUAUGUAGGUCGCCCGAGGCGGGGGUCUGGAAGGUAAUGGAAACUUCUGAAAGGUGGUGGAACGAGUGCGAAGCAGUGGGGAGUCCUUCGGGCACCGAUGGAGAAAGUUCUAGAGGUUCGACCUUCAGAAUUGGUUGUGCGGUAGCAUUGGGCCCCACAUGUCAUUCGGGGCAGCAGAGAUAUUUUUUUUAGGAUAGGCAUGGAGUUAUUUUUUGAAAAAAAUGCAUACAGAGAUUUUUUUAGGGUAAUGAUAGGCGCCGGUGCAUCGGCCCAAAUUUGGGCCGGUCGCACCCUGAGCGUCUGAUGCACCACCAUUUAACCGUCCAGAUCGAGCAUCUGCUUCGUUCUUAUCCUCCCGUCGUCUAUCUUUUCCCCCCAAAUAUGCGAGAAAAAAGCAACGGCGAGCGCUACCGGCCAGGCAGCCACCUUCCUCCCAGCCAUGGGUGCGCGCGUCUCGCCGUUGACGGUGCACUUGCGGCCUUCUCCAUCGCCGUUCAGAUCACUCACUAUGGCUACCUCGUCGUGCAGCUCCUGGUCGUGGACGCGUCGAUGCUCCAGUAGCGCCGUUCCUAGCACCGAACGGAGAGAGUUGUAGCUCCCGGCCCCCAUGGUUGCAGCACCGGGUUGCGCCGCCCCCGCCGCCUCUUGCCGUCAAAGCUCGGCGCACCGGUGCCCGUCUGCCGUCCCUCGCCGUCAUCUGGUCAUUGUUCCGGCACAUAACCUUCGCAACAGUACAAAACGCCGGAUGUAGCUUUUGAUGGUGCUGGUUGUAGCCCACCGCGGCGGCGCCCGUCGUUGUCUCAGCACCACUUCGUCGGUUGAAGCAAAACAAAAUACCAGUUCCAUCUUCCGUCGAUAACAGUUCCAGCAUCUACAUCACAUGGUUGUGGCUCCGCUACUAGUCGGUUCCAGCAAAAAUAAGAGGAUUGCGAGUCUUCGUCUCCGUCCACUCUUGCUGCAAAAAAAACCAACGGUUCCAGCAUCCCUGCUGCCCGGUUGUAGCAAAUUGUCGACGAUGGUGUCGCCGCUGCAGCUCUAGUGAGCACGGUUGUAGCACCUGUGAUCAUGGUUGUAGCAAAAAAUCUCCGCGACGGCGUCGCCGUUUACAACUCCGGUGAGCGCGCUUGCAGCUUCUGGGCAAUCUUGUGGCCGGUUGUAGCAAAUUAUGUGGCCGGUUGUAGCACACAAGGAUGCAAGUUCAGCAAAAACUUGUCAUGCCUUGGCGGUGUGCAUCACCAGCGCUCGUUGUGCGGCCCUCGACGGCGGUUGUAGCAAGGCAGUGUGCAGCACCACCACUUGUCGUUGUUGCGGCUUGAUGGACGGUCCCCGUAGCUACGUCGGCGGGACUCGAAGCCGGAGUUUGGCGGAGGACUUCGCUGGGAUCCGCGAGGGUUGUAGGCGGCCAUGGCCUCAGGGAUGGGAGAGGGUCUCGCCGACAACGACGGAGCGACAAGAUUGGGUGCCGAGCAAGCUGUGUAGGUGCACCGGUUCCAGCUUAUCGGGGAAGAUUCCUGUGUUGAGCUGACCAUGGCUGGGAGUUUGGAGGUAGGGGAUUGGGAGCAGAUAGAGACUGGGGACAACGAGUGGCUGCCUUGUGUUGCGGGAAGGGGGGGGGGAGGGGGUAAGACGAAGGAGAAAGCAGUAUGCGUGGGGCCAAAAGUGACGCGGUCGCGUGCACGAGGCCACAAAGUGUGUUACUGAGCGAGGCAUCCGGCGAAACGUUCGGCCGGCACGCCGGAUACAAGCGUUUACCUUUUUCUUAGGGGCAAAGGACUUCUAUUCAGAACUACUAAGUAGUAAAUGUUUUUUUUUGAAAGAUUGCUGAACUAGGAAAUGUUGCUUAGUGCGCCACGCACGUAUUGUGACUAGUAAUCGUGAGGGUGUAGCUAGAUGUCAGGGCGACUGAGAUUUAAAAUAGUAUAUAAGAAGAAAAAAAGCUAAAAAAUGUCUGCAUAAAUCUCGAUGUAAGAUCGUACGAGUAUAGCAUCGACUAAACUUAGCAAUAACAAUGUGAUGACUUGGACAAUGUAGUGAUAUACAAAUAAUUGAACUAUAUAGUACUACCUCCAUUUCAAAAUCUAAGACAUUUUGGUAGGUUGAACUAGCCCACCAAAAUGUCUUAUAUUUCUUAUAUCCUGGAAUGGAGGUAGUAGCUACUUACACAUAGAAGAGAAGGUGUGGUGGGGAGAGGCGUUUUGGCUUCCGGGAGCAUAUGCUCCUGGAUAAAAAGUAACAUAAAAAAUAGUAAAUAUAUUUAAAAAUUUCUGUUUUUUAUGGAUGUCGGUGUUAGUGUUGCAAGUAUGCUUGACAAUUUUCAUGCGAAACGAAUCAGCAGUAUUUCGUCGGUAAAAAAUACAAAUUUGAGGUGACAUUUAGAGGUAACGUUUGGUGUUCAAUUUAUUUUUUCUUUUUGCACAUGCUAAAAUGCUUGAACUUUUUGCCUCUACAAGUAGCAUUUGGAUGUGACUUAUUUGACAUUUCAAAAAUUAUUUUUGCUCCCGGGACCACGUGCUCCCGGGAGCCGUAUUGAAUUUCCGAGGUGUGAUAUUACAAUCUGAAUUACCACAUAGAUAUGUAUAUCUUGGAUGUAGGUUUAUGGGCUACGAUUUAAAAUGUGCUAUUCUAUCUCAUCAUGUGCACCUUUUCUUUUUCUCAUGUCAUACAAUGGAACUUUUGUUGGGGAACGUAGCAGAAAUUCAAAAUUUUCUACGCAUCACUAAGAUCAAUCUAUAGAGAGACUAGCAACGAGAGAGAGAGAGAGAGAGGGAGUGCAUCUUCAUACCCUUGAAGAUUGCUAAGCGGAAGCGUUACAAGAACGCGGUCCGUGGAGUCGUUCACGAAGCGAUUCAGAUCGCGGCCGAAUCCGAUCUAAGCACCGAACAACGGUGCCUCCGCGUUCAACACACGUACAACCCGGGGACGUCUCCUCCUUCUUGAUCCAGCAAGGGGAGAGGAGAAGUUGAGGGAGAACUUCGACAGCACGACGGCAUGGUGGUGAUGGAGCUCGUGGUUCUCCGGCAGGGCUUCGCUAAGCUCUACGGAGGAAGAGGAAGAUAUUGAAGGAGGGAGAGGGCUGUGCCAGGGGAAGGGUGCGGCUUCCCUCUCUCUCCCUCACUAUAUAUAGGGGGAAGGGAGGAGAGGGAGGUGCCCUAGGGUUCCCUAGGGGAGGGGCGGCGGCCACAGGGGAAACCCUGGAUGGGUUUGGGCGCCCCCACCCUCUAGGAAACUUGCCCCCCAAGUCGGGAGGGGCGGCUGCCCUAGGGGUGGCGCCCCCACCUCUCCUGGUUACGUGAGAUGGGAUGGGAGGGGCUCUCAUCCCCUUAGUGGGCUGAUGUACCCUCUCCCCUUGGCCCAUAAGGCCCCCCAACGCUUGCCGGGGCCUCCGAAACCCCUUUCGGACACGCUGGUCAUCACCUGGUACCCCCGGAACAAUUCUGGACUCCAAUACCCUUCGUCCAAUAUACCGAUCUUCACCUUCGGACCAUUCCGGAGCUCCUCGCCAUGUCCGGGAUCUCAUCCGGGACUCCGAACACCCUUCGGUAACCACAUACUAUUUCCCAUAACAACUCUAGCGUCACCAAACCUUAAGUGUGUAGACCCUACGAGUUCGGGAACCAUGCAGACAUGACCGAGACGUUCUUCGGUCAAUAACCAACAACGGGAUCUGGAUACCCAUGUUGGCUCCCACAUGUUCCACGAUGAUCUCAUCGGAUGAACCACGAUGUCAAAAAUUCAAGCAAUCCCGUAUGCAAUUCCCUUUGUCAAUCGGUAUGUUACUUGCCCGAGAUUCGAUCGUCGGUAUCCCAAUACCUCAUUGAAUCUCAUUACCGGCAUGUCACUUUACUCGUUCCGUAAUGCAUGAUCCCGUGACUAACUACUUAGUCACAUUGAGCUCAUUAUGAUGAUGCAUUACCGAGUGGGCCCAGAGAUACCUCUCUGUCAUACGGAGUGACAAAUCCCAGUCUCGAUUCGUGCCAACCCAACAGACACUUUCGGAGAUACCUGUAGUGCACCUUUAUAGCCACCCAGUUACGUUGUGACGUUUGGUACACCCAAAGUACUCCUACGGUAUCAGGGAGUUACACAAUCUCAUGGUCUAAGGAAAUGAUACUUGACAUUAGAAAAGCUUUAGCAAACGAACUACACGAUCUUGUGCUAUGCUUAGGAUUGGGUCUUGUCCAUCACAUCAUUCUCCUAAUGAUGUGAUCUCGUUAUCAAUGACAUCCAAUGUCCAUGGUCAGGAAACCAUGACCAUCUGUUGAUCAACGAGUUAGUCAACUAGAGGCUCACUAGGGACAUGUUGUGGUCUAUGUAUUCACACAUGUAUUGCGGUUUCCGGUCAAUACAAUUAUAGCAUGAAUAAUAGACAAUUAUAAUGAACAAGGAAAUGCAAUAAUAACCAUUUUAUAAUUGCCUAUAGGGCAUAUUUCCAACAGUCUCCCACUUGCACUAGAGUCAAUAAUCUAGUUCACAUCACUAUGUGUUUGUAAUGAAUCAACACCCAUGGGGUUUGAUCAUAUCUCGCUUGUGAGAGAGGUUAUUAGUCAACGGAUCUGAACCUUUCAGAUCCGUGUGUGCUUUGCAAAUCUCUAUGUCAUCUCCUAGAUGCAGCUACCACGCUCUAUUUGGAGCUAUUCCAAAUAACUGUUCUACUAUACGAAUCCGCUUUACUACUCAGAAUAAUCCGUAUUAGUGUCAAAGUUUGCAUCGGCAUAACCCUUUACGACGAACUCUUUUACCACCUCCAUAACCGAGAAAAUUCCUUAGUCCAGUAGUUACUAAGGAUAAGUUUGACCGCUGUCCUGUGAUUCCUGGAUCACUCUUGUACCCCUUGACUGACUCAUGGCAAGGCACACUUCAGGUGUGGUACACAGCAUAGCAUACUAUAGAGCCUACGUCUGAAGCAUAGGGGAUGACCUUCGUCCUUUCUCUCUUUUCUGCCGUGGUCAUGUCUUGAGUCUUACUCAAUAUUCACACCUUAUAACACAGCCAAGAACUCCUUCUUUGCCGAUCUAUUUUGAACUCCUUCAAAAUCUUGUCACGGUAUGUAUUUAUUUGAAAGUACUAUUAAGCAUUUUUGAUCUAUCCUUAUAGAUCUUAAUGCUCAAUGUUCAAGUAGCUUAAUCCAGGUUUUCCAUUGAAAAACACUUUUCAAAUAACCCUAUAUGCUGUCCAGAAAUUCUACAUCAUUUCUGAUCAACAAUAUGUUAAUAACAUAUACUCAUCAGAAAUUCUAUAGUGCUCCCACUCACUUCUUUGGAAAUACAAGUUUCUCAUAAACCUUGUAUAAACCCAAAAUCUUUGAUUAUCUCAUCAAAGCGUAUAUUCCAACUCCGAGAUGCUUACUCCAGUCCUUAGAAGUAUUGCUAGAGCUUUGCAUACUUGUUAGCAUCUUUUAGGAUUGACAAAACCUUCUGGUUGUAUCACAUACAACCUUUCCUCAAGAAUAUCGUCGAGUAAAUAAUGUUUUGACAUCCUAUCUGCAAGAUUUCAUAAAUCAUGCAAUAACUGCUAAUAUAAUUCCGACAAACUCUUUAGCAUCGCUACGAGUGAGAAAGUCUCAUUGCAGUUAACUCCUUGAACUGGUCGGAAAACAUCUUAACGACAAGUCGAGAUUUCUUAAUGGUGACACUUACCAUCAUUGUCCGUCUUCCUUUUAAAAUUCAUCUGUACUCAACAACCUUACGACCAUCGAGUAGUUCUGCCAAAGUCUACACUUUGUUUUCAUACAUGGAUCCUCUCUCGGAUUUUAUGGCCUCGAGCCAUUCAUCGGAAUCCGGGCCCACCAUCGCUUCUCCAUAGGUCGUAGGUUCAUUGUUAUCUAGCAACAUGACCUCCAAGACAGGAUUACAUACCACUCUGAAGCAGUACGCAUCCUUGUCGACCUACGAGGUUUGGUAGUGACUUGAUCCGAAGUUUCAUGAUCACUAUCAUAAGCUUCUACUUCAAUUGGUGUAGGUGCCAUAGGAACAACUUCCUGUGCCCUGCUACACACUAGUUGAAGUGAUGGUUCAACAACCUCAUCAAGUCUCCACCAUCCUCCCACUCAAUUCUUUCAAGAGAAACCUUUCCUCGAGAAAGGACCCGUUUCUAGAAACAGUCACUUUUGCUUCCAGAUCUGAAAUAGGAGGUAUACCCAACAGUUUUGGGUGUCCUAUGAAGAUGUAUUUAUCCUCUUUGGGUUCGAGCUUAUCAGGAUGAAACUUUUUCACAUAAGCGUCGCAGCCCCAAACUUUCAAUAAAUGACAGCUUAGGUUUCUCUAAACCAUAGUUCAUACGGUGUCAUCUCAACGGAAUUACGUGGUGCCCUAUUUAAAGUGAAUGCGGUUGUCUCUAAUGCCUAACCCAUGAACGAUAGUGGUAAUUCGAUAAGAGACAUCAUGGUAUGCCCCAUAUCCAAUAGGGUGCAUCUAUGAUGUUCGGACACACCAUCACACUAUGGUGUUCCAGGCGAUGUUAGUUGUGAAACAAUUUCCACAAUGUCUCAAUUGUGUACCAAACUCGCAACUCAGAUAUUCAUCUCUAUGAUCAUAUCAUAGACAUUUUAUCCUCUUGUCACGAAGAUCUUCAACUUCACUCUGAAAUUACUUGAACCUUUCAAUAAUGCAGACUUGUGUUUCAUCAAGUAAAUAUACUCAACAUCUACUCAAAUCAUCUGUGAAGUAAGAACAUAACGAUAUCAACUGCAUGCCUCAACACUCAUUGGACUGCACACAUCAAAAUGUGUUACUUCCAACAAGUUGCUUUCUUGUUCCAUCUUACUGAAAACGAGGCUUUUCAGUCAUCUAGCCCAUGUGGUAUGAUUUGCAUGUCUCAGGUGAUUCAAAAUCAAGUGAGUCCAAACGAUCCAUCUGCAUGGAGUUUCUUCAUGCGUACAUAAUAAUAGACAUGGUUCACAUGUCUCAAACUUUUCAAAAAACGAGUGAGUCCAAAGAUCCAUCAACAUGGAGCUUCUUCAUGCGUUUUAUACCAAUAUGACUUACAUGGCAGUGCCACAAGUAGGUGGUACUAUCGUUAAUAUCUUAUAUCUUUUGGCAUGAACAUGUGUAUCAUUACGAUCGAGAUUCAAUAAACCAUUCAUUUUAGGUGCAAGACCAUUGAAGGUAUUAUUCAAAUAAACAGAGUAACCAUUAUUCUCCUUAAAUGAAUAAUUGUAUUGCGAUAGACAUAAUCCAAUCAUGUCUAUGCUCAACGCAAACACCAAAUAACAAUUAUUUAGGUUUAACACCGAUCCCGAUGGUAGAGGGAGUGUGCGAUGUUUGAUCACAUCAACCUUGGAAAUACUUCCAACAAAUAUCAUCACCUCGCCUUUAGAUAGUCUCCGUUUAUUCCGUAGCCUUUUAUUUUGAGUUACUAACACUUAGCAACUGAACCGAUAUCUAUUACUAUGGUGCUACUAGGAGUACUAGUAAAGUACACAUCAAUAUAAUGUAUAUCCAAUAUACUCCUGUCGACCUUGCCAGCCUUCUCAUCUACCAAGUAUCUAGGGUAGUUCUGCUUCAGUGACUGUUCCCCUCAUUACAGAAGCACUUAGUCUCGGGUUUGGGUUUGACCUUGGGUUUCUUCACUAGAGCAGCAACUGAUUUGCCAUUUCAUGAAGUAUCCCUUCUUGCCCUUGCCCUUCUUGAAACUAGUGGUUUCACUAACCAUCAACAAUUGAUGCUCCUUCUUGAUUUCUACUUUCGCGGUGUCAAACAUCGUGAAUAUUUCAAGGAUCAUCAUAUCUAUCCUUGAUAUGUUAUAGUUCAUCACGAAGCUCUAGCAGCUUGGUGGCAAUGACUUUGGAGAAACAUCACUAUCUCAUCUGGAAGAUUAACUCCCACUCGAUUCAAGUAAUUGUUGUACUCAGACAAUCUGAGAACAAGCUCAACGAUUGAGCUUUUCUCCCUUAGUUUGCAGUCUAAGAAACUCGUCGGAGGUCUCAUACCUCUUGACGUGGACACGAGCCUGAAAUCCCAAUUUCAGCCCUCGAAACAUCUCAUAUGUUCCGCGACAUUUUGAAAUCAUCUUCGGUGCCUCAAUUCUAAACCGUUUAAUAUCACUGAACUAUCACGUAGUUAUCAAAACGUGUAUGUCAAAUGUUCGCAACAUCCACAGACGACGCUCGAGGUUCAGCACACCGAGUGGUGCAUUAAGGACAUAAGCCUUCUGUGCAGCAAUGAGGACAAUCCUCAGUUUACGGACCCAGUCCGCAUAAUUCCUACUAUUAACUUUCAACUAAAUUUUCUCUAGGAACAUAUCUAAAAUAGUAGAACUAAAGCGCGAGCUACGACAUAAUUUGCAAAAACCUUUUGACUAUGUUCGGGAUAAUUAAGUUCAUCUUAUGAACUCCCACUCAGAUAGACAUCCCUCUAGUCAUCUAAGUGAUACAUGAUCCGAGUCAACUAGGCCGUGUCCGAUCAUCACGUGAGAUGGACUAGCCAUCAUCGGUGAACAUCUUCAUGUUGAUCGUAUCCACUAUACGACUCAUGUUCGACCUUUCAGUCUCUUGUGUUCCGAGGCCAUGUCUGUACAUGCUAGGCUCGUCAAGUCAACCUAAGUGUUUCGCGUGUGUAAAUCUGGCUUACACCCGUUGUAUGUGAACGUUAGAAUCUAUCACACCCGAUCAUCACGUGGUGCUUCGAAACAACGAACUUUCGCAACGGUGCACAGUUAGGGGGAACACUUUCUUUAAAUUAUUAUGAGGGAUCAUCUUAUUUACUACCGUCGUUCUAAGCAAAUAAGAUGCAUAAACAUGAUAAACAUCACAUGCAAUCAAAUAGUGACAUGAUAUGGCCAAUAUCAUUUUGCUCCUUUUGAUCUCCAUCUUCGGGGCUCCAUGAUCAUCAUCGUCACCGGCAUGACACCAUGAUCUCCAUCAUCGUGUCUCCAUGAAGUUGUCUCGCCAAAUAUUACUUCUAAUACUAUGGCUAACGGUUAGCAAUAAAGUAAAGUAAUUACAUGGCGUUUUCAAUGACACGCAGGUCAUACAAUAAAUUAAGACAACUCCUAUGGCUCCUGCCGGUUGUCAUACUCAUCGGCAUGCAAGUCGUGAUUCCUAUACAAGAAUAUGAUAAAUCUCAUACAUCACAUAUAUUUCAUUCAUCACAUCCUCCUUGGCCAUAUCACAUCACACGACAUAUGCUGCAAAAACAAGUUAGACGUCCUCUAAUUGUUGUUGCAAGUUUUUACAUGGCUGCUAUAGGUUUCUAGCAAGAACGCUUCUUACCUACGCCAAAACCACAACGUGAUAUGCCAAUUGCUAUUUACCCUUCAUAAGGACCCUUUUCAUCGAAUCCGAUCCGACUAAAGUGGGAGAGACAGACACCCGCUAGCCACCUUAUGCAACAAGUGCAUGUCAGUCGGUGGAACCUGUAUCACGUAAGUGUACGUGUAAGGUCGGUCCGGGCCGCUUCAUCCCACAAUAUCGUCGAAACAAGAUAGGACUAGUAACGGUAAGCAUAUUGAACAAAAUCAACGCCCACAACAACUUGUGUUCUACUCAUGCAUAGAAACUACUCAUAGACCUAGCUCAUGAUGCCACUGUUGGGGAACAUAGCAGAAAUUCAAAAUUUUCUACGCAUCACCAAGAUCAAUCUAUGGAGAGACUAGCAACGAGAGAGAGAGAGAGGGAGUACAUCUUCAUACCCUUGAAGAUUGCUAAGCGGAAACGUUACAAGAACGCGGUCCGUGGAGUCGUUCACGAAGCGAUUCAGAUCGCGGCCGAAUCUGAUCUAAGCACCGAACAACGGUGCCUCCGCGUUCAACACACGUACAGCCCGGGGACGUCUCCUCCUUCUUGAUCCAGCAAGGGGAGAGGAGAAGUUGAGGGAGAACUCCGACAGAACGACGGCAUGGUGGUGAUGGAGCUCGUGGUUCUCCGGCAGGGCUUCGCCAAGCACUACGGAGGAAGAGGAAGAUAUUGGAGGAGGGAGAGGGCUGUGCCAGGGGAAGGGUGCGGCUGCCCUCUCUCUCCCUCACUAUAUAUAGGGGGAAGGGAGGAGGGGGAGGCGCCCUAGGGUUCCCUAGGGGAGGGGCGGCGGCCACAGGGGAAACCCUAGAUGGGUUUGGGCGCCCCCACCCUCUAGGAAACUUGCCCCCCAAGCUGGGAGGGGCGGCUGCCCUAGGGGUGGCGCCCCCACCUCUCCUGGUUACAUGAGAUGGGGUGGGAGGGGCGCUCAGCCCCUUAGUGGGCUGAUGUGCCCUCUCCCCUUGGCCCAUAAGGCCCCCCAACGCUUGCUGAGCCUCCGAAACCCCUUUCGGACACACUGGUCAUCACCUGGUACCCCCGGAACAAUUCCGGACUCCAAUACCCUUCGUCCAAUAUACCGAUCUUCACCUCCGGACCAUUCCGGAGCUCCUCGUCAUGUCCGGGAUCUCAUCCGGGACUCCGAACAACCUUCGGUAACCACAUACUAUUUCCCAUAACAACUCUAGCGUCACCGAACCAUAAGUGUGUAGACCGUACGGGUUCGGGAACCAUGCAGACAUGACCGAGACGUUCUCCGGUCAAUAACCAACAACGGAAUCUAGAUACCCAUGUUGGCUCCCACAUGUUCCACGAUGAUCUCAUCAGAUGAACCACGAUGUCAAAGAUUCAAGCAAUCCCGUAUGCAAUUCCCUUUGUCAAUCGAUAUGUUACUUGCCCGAGAUUCGAUCGUCGGUAUCCCAAUACCUCAUUCAAUCUCGUUACUGGCAUGUCACUUUACUCGUUCCGUAAUGCAUGAUCCCGUGACUAACUACUUAGUCACAUUGAGCUCAUUAUGAUGAUGCAUUACCGAGUGGGCCCAGAGAUACCUCUCUGUCACACGGAGUGACAAAUCCCAGUCUCGAUUCGUGCCAACCCAACAGACACUUUCGUUGUGACGUUUGGUACACCCAAAGUACUCCUACAGUAUCAGGGAGUUACACAAUCUCAUGGUCUAAGGAAAUGAUACUUGACAUUAGAAAAGCUUUAGCAAACGAACUACACGAUCUUGUGCUAUGCUUAGGAUUGGGUCUUGUCCAUCACAUCAUUCUCCUAAUGAUGUGAUCUCGUUAUCAAUGACAUCCAAUGUCCAUGGUCAGGAAACCAUGACCAUCUGUUGAUCAACGAGUUAGUCAACUAGAGGCUCACUAGGGACAUGUUGUGGUCUAUGUAUUCACACAUGUAUUGCGGUUUCCGGUCAAUACAAUUAUAGCAUGAAUAAUAGACAAUUAUAAUGAACAAGGAAAUGCAAUAAUAACCAUUUUAUAAUUGCCUAUAGGGCAUAUUUCCAACAGUCUCCCACUUGCACUAGAGUCAAUAAUCUAGUUCACAUCACUAUGUGUUUGUAAUGAAUCAACACCCAUGGGGUUUGAUCAUAUCUCGCUUGUGAGAGAGGUUAUUAGUCAACGGAUCUGAACCUUUCAGAUCCGUGUGUGCUUUGCAAAUCUCUAUGUCAUCUCCUAGAUGCAGCUACCACGCUCUAUUUGGAGCUAUUCCAAAUAACUGUUCUACUAUACGAAUCCGCUUUACUACUCAGAAUAAUCCGUAUUAGUGUCAAAGUUUGCAUCGGCAUAACCCUUUACGACGAACUCUUUUACCACCUCCAUAACCGAGAAAAUUCCUUAGUCCAGUAGUUACUAAGGAUAAGUUUGACCGCUGUCCUGUGAUUCCUGGAUCACUCUUGUACCCCUUGACUGACUCAUGGCAAGGCACACUUCAGGUGUGGUACACAGCAUAGCAUACUAUAGAGCCUACGUCUGAAGCAUAGGGGACGACCUUCGUCCUUUCUCUCUUUUCUGCCGUGGUCAUGUCUUGAGUCUUACUCAAUAUUCACACCUUAUAACACAGCCAAGAACUCCUUCUUUGCCGAUCUAUUUUGAACUCCUUCAAAAUCUUGUCACGGUAUGUAUUUAUUUGAAAGUACUAUUAAGCAUUUUUUGAUCUAUCCUUAUAGAUCUUAAUGCUCAAUGUUCAAGUAGCUUAAUCCAGGUUUUCCAUUGAAAAACACUUUUCAAAUAACCCUAUAUGCUGUCCAGAAAUUCUACAUCAUUUCUGAUCAACAAUAUGUUAAUAACAUAUACUCAUCAGAAAUUCUAUAGUGCUCCCACUCACUUCUUUGGAAAUACAAGUUUCUCAUAAACCUUGUAUAAACCCAAAAUCUUUGAUUAUCUCAUCAAAGCGUAUAUUCCAACUCCGAGAUGCUUACUCCAGUCCUUAGAAGUAUUGCUAGAGCUUUGCAUACUUGUUAGCAUCUUUUAGGAUUGACAAAACCUUCUGGUUGUAUCACAUACAACCUUUCCUCAAGAAUAUCGUCGAGUAAAUAAUGUUUUGACAUCCUAUCUGCAAGAUUUCAUAAAUCAUGCAAUAACUGCUAAUAUAAUUCCAACAGACGCUUUAGCAUCGCUACGAGUGAGAAAGUCUCAUUGCAGUUAACUCCUUGAACUGGUCGGAAAACAUCUUAACGACAAGUCGAGAUUUCUUAAUGGUGACACUUACCAUCAUUGUCCGUCUUCCUUUUAAAAUUCAUCUGUACUCAACAGCCUUACGACCAUCGAGUAGUUCUGCCAAAGUCUACACUUUGUUUUCAUACAUGGAUCCUCUCUCGGAUUUUAUGGCCUCGAGCCAUUCAUCGGAAUCCGGGCCCACCAUCGCUUCUCCAUAGGUCGUAGGUUCAUUGUUAUCUAGCAACACGACCUCCAAGACAGGAUUACGUACCACUCUGAAGCAGUACGCAUCCUUGUCGACCUACGAGGUUUGGUAGUGACUUGAUCCGAAGUUUCAUGAUCACUAUCAUAAGCUUCUACUUCAAUUGGUGUAGGUGCCCUAGGAACAACUUCCUGUGCCCUGCUACACACUAGUUGAAGUGAUGGUUCAACAACCUCAUCAAGUCUCCACCAUCCUCCCACUCAAUUCUUUCAAGAGAAACCUUUCCUCGAGAAAGGACCCGUUUCUAGAAACAGUCACUUUUGCUUCCAGAUCUGAAAUAGGAGGUAUACCCAACAGUUUUGGGUGUCCUAUGAAGAUGUAUUUAUCCUCUUUGGGUUCGAGCUUAUCAGGAUGAAACUUUUUCACAUAAGCGUCGCAGCCCCAAACUUUCAAUAAACGACAGCUUAGGUUUCUCUAAACCAUAGUUCAUACGGUGUCAUCUCAACAGAAUUACGUGGUGCCCUAUUUAAAGUGAAUGCGGUUGUCUCUAAUGCCUAACCCAUGAACGAUAGUGGUAAUUCGAUAAGAGACAUCAUGGUAUGCCCCAUAUCCAAUAGGGUGCAUCUAUGAUGUUCGUGUUGGGGAACGUUGCAGAAAAUUAAAAUUUUUCCUAUGGUUUCACCAAGAUCCAUCUAUGAGUUCAUCUAAGCAACGAGUCUAGGGAGAGAGUUUGCAUCUACAUACCACUUGUAGAUCGCGUGCGGAAGCUUGCAAGGUGAUGAUGUAGUCGUACUCGACGUGAUCCAAAUCACCGAUGACCAGCGCCGAACGGACGGCACCUCCGCGUUCAACACACGUACGGGACGGGAGACGUCUCCUCCUUCUUGAUCCAGCAAGGGGAAGGAGAGGUUGAUGAAGAUCCAGCAGCACGACGGCGUGGUGGUGGAUGCAGGGCGUCACAGCAGCAGGGCUUCGCCGAGACUACGAGGGAGAGACGUAACGGGGGGAGGUGGAGGCGCCAGGGGCUGGUGUAUGAAGUCCCUCCUCUCCCCCACUAUAUAUAGGGGUGCCAAGGGGGGCGCCGGCCCUAGUAGAUGAGAUCUACUAGGGGGGCGGCGGCCUAGGGGAGGUUUCCCUCCCCCCCAAGGCACCUAGGGGUGCCUUCCACCACUAGGACUCCUCCUAGGGGGAAACCCUAGGCGCAUGGGCCUAUAGGGGCUGGUGCCCUUGGCCCAUGAUGGCCAAGGCGCACCCCCUACAGCCCAUGUGGCCCCCCGGGACAGGUGGCCCCACCCGGUGGACCCCCGGGACCCUUCCGGUGGUCCCGGUACAAUACCGAUAACCCCGAAACUUGUCCCGAUGCCCGAAAUAGCACUUCCUAUAUAUAAUUCUUUACCUCCGGACCAUUCCGGAACUCCUCGUGACGUCCGGGAUCUCAUCCGGGACUCCGAACAACAUUCGGGUUUCUGCAUAUACAUAUCUUCAUAACCCUAGCGUCACUGAACCUUAAGUGUGUAGACCCUACGGGUUCGGGAGACAUGCAGACAUGACCGAGACGCUCUCAGUCAAUAACCAUCAGCGGGAUCUGGAUACCCAUGAUGGCUCCCACAUGCUCCUCGAUGUUGUCAUCGGAUGAACCACGAUGUCGAGGAUUCGAUCAAACCCUGUAUGCAAUUCCCUUUGUCAAUCGGUACGUUACUUGCCCGAGACUCGAUCGUCGGUAUCCCAAUACCUUGUUCAGUCUCGUUACCGGCAAGUCACUUUACUCGUACCGUAAUGCAUGAUCCCGUGUCCAACACCUUGGUCACAUUGAGCUCAUUAUGAUGAUGCAUUACCGAGUGGGCCCAGAGAUACCUCUCCGUCAUACGGAGUGACAAAUCCCAGUCUUGAUCCGUGUCAACCCAACAGCUACUUUCGGAGAUACCUGUAAUGCACCUUUAUAGUCACCCAGUUACGUUGUGACGUUUGAUACACCCAAGGCACUCUUACGGUAUCCGGGAGUUACAUGAUCUCAUGGUCGAAGGAAGAGAUACUUGACACUUGCAAAGCUCUAGCAAAACGAACUACACGAUCUUUUAUGCUAUGCUUAGGAUUGGGUCUUGUCCAUCACAUCAUUCUCCUAAUGAUGUGAUCCCGUUAUCAACGACAUCCAAUGUCCAUAGUCAGGAAACCAUGACUAUCUGUUGAUCACAACGAGCUGGUCAACUAGAGGCUUACCAGGGACAUAGUGUUGUCUAAGUAUUCACACGUGUAUUACGAUUUCCGGAUAAUACAGUUAUAGCAUGAAUAAAAGACAAUUAUCAUGAACAAUGAAAUAUAAUAAUACUUUUAUUAUUGCCUCUAGGGCAUAUUUCCAACAGUCUCCCACUUGCACUAGAGUCACCAAUCUAGUUACAUUGUGAUGAAUCGAACACCCAUAGAGUUCUAGUGUUGAUCAUGUUUUGCACGCGAGAGAGGUUUAGUCAGCGGAUCUGCGACAUUCAGAUCCGUGUGCACUUUGCAAAUCUCUAUGUCUCCAUCUUGAACAUUUUCACGGAUGGAGUUGAAACGACGCUUGAUGUGCCUGGUCUUCUUGUGAAACCUGGGCUCCUUUGCGAGGGCAAUAGCUCCAGUGUUGUCACAGAAGAGUUUGAUCGGCCCCGACGCAUUGGGUAUGACUCCUAGGUCGGUGAUGAACUCCUUCACCCAAAUCGCUUCAUGUGCUGCCUCCGAGGCUGCCAUGUACUCCGCUUCACACGUAGAUCCUGCCACGACGCUCUGCUUGCAGCUGCACCAGCUUACUGCUCCACCAUUCAACAUAUACACGUAUCCGGUUUGUGACUUAGAGUCAUCCAGAUCUGAGUCGAAGCUAGCGUCGACGUAACCCUUUACGACGAGCUCUUCGUCUCCUCCAUAAACGAGAAACAUGUCCUUCGUCCUUUUCAGGUACUUCAGGAUAUUCUUGACCGCUGUCCAGUGUUCCUUGCCGGGAUUACUUUGGUAUCUUGCUACCAAACUUACGGCAAGGUUUACAUCGGGUCUGGUACACAGCAUGGCAUACAUAAUAGAUCCUAUGGCUGAAGCAUAGGGGAUGACACUCAUCUCUUCUUUAUCUUUUGCCGUGGUCGGUGACUGAGCCGAGCUCAGUCUCACACCUUGUAACAUAGGCAAGAACCCCUUCUUGGACUGAUCCAUUUUGAAUUUCUUCAAAACCUUGUCAAGGUAUGUGCUUUGUGAAAGACCUAUGAGGCGUCUCAAUCUAUCUCUAUAGAUCUUGAUGCCUAAUAUAUAAGCAGCUUAUCCAAGGUCCUUCAUUGAAAAACACUUAUUCAAGUAGGCCUUAAUGCUGUCCAGAAAUUCUAUAUUAUUUCCCAUCAAGAGUAUGUCAUCUACAUAUAAUAUGAGAAAUGCUACAGAGCUCCCACUCACUUUCUUGUAAACGCAGGCUUCUCCAUAAGUCUGCAUAAACCCAAACGCUUUGAUCAUCUCAUCAAAGCGAAUGUUCCAACUCCGAGAUGCUUGCACCAGUCCAUAAAUGGAUCGCUGGAGCUUGCACACUUUGUUAGCGUUCUUAGGAUAGACAAAACCUUCCGGCUGCAUCAUAUACAGCUCUUCCUUAAGAUGCCCGUUAAGGAAUGCCGUUUUGACGUCCAUCUGCCAUAUCUCAUAAUCAUAGUAUGCGGCAAUUGCUAACAUGAUUCGGACGGACUUUAGCUUCGCUACGGGAGAGAAAGUCUCGUCGUAGUCAAUCCCUUGAACUUGUCGAUAACCCUUAGCGACAAGUCGAGCUUUAUAGAUGGUGACAUUACCAUCCGCGUCCGUCUUCUUCUUAAAGAUCCAUUUGUUUUCUAUCGCUCGCCGAUCAUCGGGCAAGUCUGUCAAAGUCCAUACUUUGUUUUCGUACAUGGAUUCUAUCUCGGAUUUCAUGGCUUCAAGCCAUUUGUUGGAAUCUGGGCCCGCCAUCGCUUCUUCAUAGUUCGAAGGUUCACCGUUGUCUAACAACAUGAUUUCCAGGACAGGGUUGCCGUACCACUCUGGUGCGGAACGUGUCCUUGUAGACCUACGAAGUUCAGCAGUAACUUGAUCCGAAGUACCUUGAUCAUCAUCAUUGUUUUUCUCUUCAGUUGGAGUGGGCAUCACAGGAACGGUUUCCUGCGCUGCGCCACUUUCCCGCUCAAGAGGCAGUACUUCAUCGAGUUCUACUUUCCUCCCACUUACUUCUUUCGAGAGAAACUCUUUUUCCAGAAAGCAUCCGUUCUUGGCAACAAAGAUCUUGCCUUCGGAUCUUAAGUAGAAGGUAUACCCGACAGUUUCCUUAGGGUAUCCUAUGAAGACGCAUUUUUCCGACUUGGGUUCGAGCUUUUCAGGUUGAAGUUUCUUGACAUAAGCAUCGCAUCCCCAAACUUUUAGAAAUGACAGCUUAGGUUUCUUUCCAAACCAUAAUUCAUACGGUGUCGUCUCAACGGAUUUAGACGGUGCCCUAUUUAAAGUGAAUGUAGCUGUCUCUAGAGCGUAUCCCCAAAAUGAUAGCGGUAAAUCGGUAAGAGACAUCAUAGACCGCACCAUAUCCAAUAGAGUGCGAUUACGACGUUCGGACACACCGUUUCGUUGAGGUGUUCCAGGCGGCGUGAGUUGUGAAACGAUUCCACAUUUCCUUAAGCGUGUGCCAAAUUCGUGACUUAAAUAUUCUCCUCCACGAUCUGAUCGUAGGAACUUUAUCUUUCGGUCACGUUGAUUCUCCACCUCAUUCUGAAAUUCCUUGAACUUUUCAAAGGUCUCAGACUUGUGUUUCAUUAAGUAGACAUACCCAUAUCUACUUAAGUCAUCAGUGAGAGUGAGAACAUAACGAUAUCCUCCGCGAGCCUCAACGCUCAUUGGACCGCACACAUCGGUAUGUAUGAUUUUCAACAAGUUGGUUGCUCGCUCCAUUGUUCCGGAGAACGGAGUCUUGGUCAUCUUGCCCAAAAGGCAUGGUUCGCAUGUGUCAAAUGAUUCAUAAUCAAGAGACUCCAAAAGUCCAUCGGCAUGGAGCUUCUUCAUGCGCUUGACACCAAUGUGACCAAGGCGGCAGUGCCACAAGUAUGUGGGACUAUCGUUAUCAACUUUAAAUCUUUUGGCAUCUACACUAUGAACAUGUGUAAUAUUACGCUCGAGAUUCAUUAAGAAUAAACCAUUGACCAUCGGAGCAUGACCAUAAAACAUAUCUCUCAUAUAAAUCGAACAACCAUUAUUCUCAGACUUAAAUGAGUAGCCAUCUUGUAUUAAACGAGAUCCAGAUACAAUAUUCAUGCUCAAACUUGGCACUAAAUAACAAUUAUUAAGGUUCAAAACUAAUCCCGUAGGUAAAUGUAGAGGCAGCGUGCCGACGGCGAUCACAUCGACUCUGGAACCAUUCCCGACGCGCAUCGUCACCUCGUCCUUCGCCAGUCUCCGUUUAUUCCGCAGCUCCUGCUGUGAGUUACAAAUAUGAGCAACGGCACCGGUAUCAAAUACCCAGGAGUUACUACGAGUACUGGUAAGGUACACAUCAAUCACAUGUAUAUCAAAUAUACCUUUGGUGUUGCCGGCCUUCUUAUCUGCUAAGUAUUUGGGGCAGUUCCGCUUCCAGUGACCCUUCCCCUUGCAAUAAAAGCACUCAGUCUCAGGCUUGGGUCCAUUCUUUGACUUCUUCCCGGUAACUGGCUUACCAGGCGCGGCAACAUCUUUGCCGUCCUUCUUGAAGUUCUUCUUACCCUUGCCCUUCUUGAACUUAGUGGUCUUAUUGACCAUCAACACUUGAUGUUCUUUCUUGAUUUCAGCCUCUGCUGACUUCAGCAUCGAGAACACUUCAGGAAUGGUCUUUUCCAUCCCCUGCAUGUUGUAGUUCAUUACAAAGCUCUUGUAGCUUGGUGGGAGCGACUGGAGGAUUUUGUCAAUGACCGCCUCAUCUGGGAGGUUAAUGUUCAGCUGGGUCAUACGGUUGUGCAACCCAGACAUCUUUAGGAUGUGCUCACUGACAGAACUGUUUUCCUCCAUCUUACAACUGUAGAACUUGUCGGAGACAUCAUAUCUCUCGACCCGGGCAUGAGCUUGAAAAACUAGUUUCAGCUCUUCGAACAUCUCAUAUGCUCCGUGGUGCUCAAAACGUUUUUGGAGCCCCGGUUCUAAGCUGUAAAGCAUGCCGCACUGAACGAGGGAGUAAUCAUCAGCGCGAGCUUGCCAAGCAUUCAUAAUGUCUUGGUUCUCGGGGACGGGAGCGUCACCUAGCAGUCCUUCUAGGACAUAUUGUUUCCUGGCAGCUAUGAGGAUGAUCCUCAGGUUCCGGACCCAGUCCGUAUAGUUGCUGCCAUCAUCUUUCAGCUUGGUUUUCUCUAGGAACGCGUUGAAGUUCAUGUUGACAUUAGCGUUGGCCAUUGAUCUACAAGACAUAUUUGCAAAGGUUUUAGACUAAGUUCAUGAUAAUAAAGUUCUAAUCAAAUUAUGAACUCCCACUUAGAUUAGACAUCCCUCUAGUCAUCUAAGUGUUACACGAUCUGAGUCGACUAGCCCGUGUCCGAUCAUCACGUGAGACGGACUAGUCAUCGUCGGUGAACAUUCUCAUGUUGAUCGUAUCUUCUAUACGAUUCGUGUUCGACCUUUCGGUCUCCGUGUUCCGAGGCCAUGUCUGCACAUGCUAGGCUCGUCAAGUUAACCCUAAGUGUUUUCGCUGUGUAAAACUGUCUUACACCCGUUGUAUGUGAACGUAAGAAUCCAUCACACCCGAUCAUCACGUGGUGCUUAGAAGCGACGAACUGUAGCAACGGUGCACAGUUAGGGGAGAACACUUCUUGAAAUUUUGUAAGGGAUCAUCUUAUUUACUACCGUCGUCCUAAGUAAACAAGAUGCAUAAACAUAAUAAACAUCACAUGCAAUUAUAUGGUUGUGACAUGAUAUGGCCAAUAUCAUAUAGCUCCAUUGAUCUUCAUCUUCGGGGCUCCAUGAUCAUCUUGUCACCGGCUUGACACCAUGAUCUCCAUCAUCAUGAUCUCCAUCAUCGUGUCUUCAUGAAGUUGUCACGCCAACGACUACUUCUACUUCUAUGACUAACGUUUAGCAAUAAAGUAAAGUAGUUUACAUGGCGUUGUUCAAUGACACGCAGGUCAUACAAAAAAUAAUGACAACUCCUAUGGCUCCAGCCGGUUGUCAUACUCAUCGACAUGCAAGUCGUGAAUCCUAUUACAAAGAACAUGAUCUCAUACAUCACAAUUCAUCAUUCAUCACAACUUCUGGCCAUAUCACAUCACAUGAUCAAUCGCUGCAAAAACAAGUUAGACGUCCUCUAAUUGUUGUUGCAUCUUUUACGUGGCUGCAAUUGGGUUCUAGCAAGAACGUUUUCUUACCUAUGAUUCACCACAACGUGAUUUUGUCAACUUCUAUUUACCCUUCAUAAGGGCCCUGUUCAUCGAUUCCGCUCCAACUAAGGUGGGAGAGACAGACACCCGCCAGCCACCUUAUGCAACUUGUGCAUGUCAGUCGGUGGAACCGGUCUCACGUAAGCGUACGUGUAAGGUUGGUCCGGGCCGCUUCAUCCCACAAUACCGUUGAGCAAGAAAAGACUAGUAGAGGCAAGUAAGAUGACAAAAUCCACGCCCACAACAAAUUGUGUUCUACUCGUGCAUUAGAGAACUACGCAUAGACCUAGCUCAUGAUGCCACUGUUGGGGAACGUUGCAGAAAAUUAAAAUUUUUCCUACGGUUUCACCAAGAUCCAUCUAUGAGUUCAUCUAAGCAACGAGUCUAGGGAGAGAGUUUGCAUCUACAUACCACUUGUAGAUCGCGUGCGGAAGCUUGCAAGGUGAUGAUGUAGUCGUACUCGACGUGAUCCAAAUCACCGAUGACCAGCGCUGAACGGACGGCACCUCCGCGUUCAACACACGUACGGGACGGGAGACGUCUCCUCCUUCUUGAUCCAGCAAGGGGGAAGGAGAGGUUGAUGAAGAUCCAGCAGCACGACGGCGUGGUGGUGGAUGCAGGGCGUCACAGCAGCAGGGCUUCGCCGAGACUACGAGGGAGAGACGUAACGGGGGGAGAUGGAGGCGCCAGGGGCUGGUGUAUCAAGUCCCUCCUCUCCCCCACUAUAUAUAGGGGUGCCAGGGGGGGCGCCGGCCCUAGUAGAUGAGAUCUACUAGGGGGGGCGGCGGCCUAGGGGAGGUUUCCCUCCCCCCCAAGGCACCUAGGGGUGCCUUCCACCACUAGGACUCCUCCUAGGGGGAAACCCUAGGCGCAUGGGCCUAUAGGGGCUGGUGCCCUUGGCCCAUGAUGGCCAAGGCGCACCCCCUACAGCCCAUGUGGCCCCCCGGGACAGGUGGCCCCACCCGGUGGACCCCCGGGACCCUUCAGGUGGUCCCGGUACAAUACCGAUAACCCCGAAACUUGUCCCGAUGCCCGAAAUAGCACUUCCUAUAUAUAAUUCUUUACCUCCGGACCAUUCCGGAACUCCUCGUGACGUCCGGGAUCUCAUACGGGACUCCGAACAACAUUCGGGUUUCUGCAUAUACAUAUCUUCAUAACCCUAGCGUCACCGAACCUUAAGUGUGUAGACCCUACGGGUUCGGGAGAGAUGCAGACAUGACCGAGACGCUCUCAGUCAAUAACCAUCAGCGGGAUCUGGAUACCCAUGAUGGCUCCCACAUGCUCCUCGAUGUUGUCAUCGGAUGAACCACGAUGUCGAGGAUUCGAUCAAACCCUGUAUGCAAUUCCCUUUGUCAAUCGGUACGUUACUUGCCCGAGACUCGAUCGUCGGUAUCCCAAUACCUUGUUCAGUCUCGUUACCGGCAAGUCACUUUACUCGUACCGUAAUGCAUGAUCCCGUGUCCAACACCUUGGUCACAUUGAGCUCAUUAUGAUGAUGCAUUACCGAGUGGGCCCAGAGAUACCUCUCCGUCAUACGGAGUGACAAAUCCCAGUCUCGAUCCGUGUCAACCCAACAACUACUUUCGGAGAUACCUGUAAUGCACCUUUAUAGUCACCCAGUUAUGUUGUGACGUUUGAUACACCCAAGGCACUCUUACGGUAUCCGGGAGUUACACGAUCUCAUGGUCGAAGGAAGAGAUACUUGACACUUGCAAAGCUCUAGCAAAACGAACUACACGAUCUUUUAUGCUAUGCUUAGGAUUGGGUCUUGUCCAUCACAUCAUUCUCCUAAUGAUGUGAUCCCGUUAUCAACGACAUCCAAUGUCCAUAGUCAGGAAACCAUGACUAUCUGUUGAUCACAACGAGCUGGUCAACUAGAGGCUUACCAGGGACAUAGUGUGGUCUAAGUAUUCACACGUGUAUUACGAUUUCCGGAUAAUACAGUUAUAGCAUGAAUAAAAGACAAUUAUCAUGAACAAUGAAAUAUAAUAAUACUUUUAUUAUUGCCUCUAGGGCAUAUUUCCAACAGUUCGGACACACCAUCACACUAUGGUGUUCCAGGCGAUGUUAGUUGUGAAACAAUUUCCACAAUGUCUCAAUUGUGUACCAAACUCGCAACUCAGAUAUUCAUCUCUAUGAUCAUAUCAUAGACAUUUUAUCCUCUUGUCACGAAGAUCUUCAACUUCACUCUGAAAUUACUUGAACCUUUCAAUAAUGCAGACUUGUGUUUCAUCAAGUAAAUAUACUCAACAUCUACUCAAAUCAUCUGUGAAGUAAGAACAUAACGAUAUCAACUGCAUGCCUCAACACUCAUUGGACUGCACACAUCAAAAUGUGUUACUUCCAACAAGUUGCUUUCUUGUUCCAUCUUACUGAAAACGAGGCUUUUCAGUCAUCUAGCCCAUGUGGUAUGAUUUGCAUGUCUCAGGUGAUUCAAAAUCAAGUGAGUCCAAACGAUCCAUCUGCAUGGAGUUUCUUCAUGCGUACAUACUAAUAGACAUGGUUCACAUGUCUCAAACUUUUCAAAAAACGAGUGAGUCCAAAGAUCCAUCAACAUGGAGCUUCUUCAUGCGUUUUAUACCAAUAUGACUUACAUGGCAGUGCCACAAGUAGGUGGUACUAUCAUUACUAUCUUAUAUCUUUUGGCAUGAACAUGUGUAUCACUACGAUCGAGAUUCAAUAAACCAUUCAUUUUAGGUGUAAGACCAUUGAAGGUAUUAUUCAAAUAAACAGAGUAACCAUUAUUCUCCUUAAAUGAAUAAUUGUAUUGCGAUAGACAUAAUCCAAUCAUGUCUAUGCUCAACGCAAACACCAAAUAACAAUUAUUUAGGUUUAACACCGAUCCCGAUGAUAGAGGGAGUGUGCGAUGUUUGAUCACAUCAACCUUGGAAAUACUUCCAACAAAUAUCAUCACCUCGCCUUUAGCUAGUCUCCGUUUAUUCCGUAGCCUUUUAUUUUGAGUUACUAACACUUAGCAACUGAACCGAUAUCUAUUACUAUGGUGCUACCAGGAGUACUAGUAAAGUACACAUCAAUAUAAUGUAUAUUCAAUAUACUCCUGUCGACCUUGCCAGCCUUCUCAUCUACCAAGUAUCUAGGGUAGUUCUGCUUCAGUGACUGUUCCCCUCAUUACAGAAGCACUUAGUCUCGGGUUUGGGUUUGACCUUGGGUUUCUUCACUAGAGCAGAAACUGAUUUGCCAUUUCAUGAAGUAUCCCUUCUUGCCCUUGCCCUUCUUGAAACUAGUGGUUUCACUAACCAUCAACAAUUGAUGCUCCUUCUUGAUUUCUACUUUCGUGGUGUCAAACAUCGUGAAUAUUUCAAGGAUCAUCAUAUCUAUCCUUGAUAUGUUAUAGUUCAUCACGAAGCUCUAGCAGCUUGGUGGCAAUGACUUUGGAGAAACAUCACUAUCUCAUCUGGAAGAUUAACUCCCACUCGAUUCAAGUAAUUGUUGUACUCAGACAAUCCAAGAACAAGCUCAACGAUUGAGCUUUUCUCCCUUAGUUUGCAGUCUAAGAAACUCGUCGGAGGUCUCAUACCUCUUGACGUGGACACGAGCCUAAAAUCCCAAUUUCAGCCCUCGAAACAUCUCAUAUGUUCCGCGACAUUUUGAAAUCAUCUUCGGUGCCUCAAUUCUAAACCGUUUAAUAUCACUGAACUAUCACGUAGUUAUCAAAACGUGUAUGUCAAAUGUUCGCAACAUCCACAGACGACGCUCGAGAUUCAGCACACCGAGCGGUGCAUUAAGGACAUAAGCCUUCUGUGCAGCAACGAGGACAAUCCUCAGUUUACGGACCCAGUCCGCAUAAUUCCUACUAUUAACUUUCAACUAAAUUUUCUCUAGGAACAUAUCUAAAAUAGUAGAACUAAAGCGCGAGCUACGACAUAAUUUGCAAAAACCUUUUGACUAUGUUCGGGAUAAUUAAGUUCAUCUUAUGAACUCCCAUUCAGAUAGACAUCCCUCUAGUCAUCUAAGUGAUACAUGAUCCGAGUCAACUAGGCCGUGUCCGAUCAUCACGUGAGAUGGACUAGCCAUCAUCGGUGAACAUCUUCAUGUUGAUCGUAUCCACUAUACGACUCAUGUUCGACCUUUCAGUCUCUUGUGUUCCGAGGCCAUGUCUGUACAUGCUAGGCUCGUCAAGUCAACCUAAGUGUUUCGCGUGUGUAAAUCUGGCUUACACCCGUUGUAUGUGAACGUUAGAAUCUAUCACACCCGAUCAUCACGUGGUGCUUCGAAACAACGAACUUUCGCAACGGUGCACAGUUAGGGGGAACACUUUCUUUAAAUUAUUAUGAGGGAUCAUCUUAUUUACUACCGUCGUUCUAAGCAAAUAAGAUGCAUAAACAUGAUAAACAUCACAUGCAAUCAAAUAGUGACAUGAUAUGGCCAAUAUCAUUUUGCUCCUUUUGAUCUCCAUCUUCGGGGCUCCAUGAUCAUCAUCGUCACCGGCAUGACACCAUGAUCUCCAUCAUCGUGUCUCCAUGAAGUUGUCUCGCCAAAUAUUACUUCUACUACUAUGGCUAACGGUUAGCAAUAAAGUAAAGUAAUUAUAUGGUGUUUUCAAUGACACGCAGGUCAUACAAUAAAUUAAGACAACUCCUAUGGCUCCUGCCGGUUGUCAUACUCAUCGGCAUGCAAGUCGUGAUUCCUAUUACAAGAAUAUGAUAAAUCUCAUACAUCACAUAUAUUUCAUUCAUCACAUCCUUCUUGGCCAUAUCACAUCACACGACAUAUGCUGCAAAAACAAGUUAGACGUCCUCUAAUUGUUGUUGCAAGUUUUUACAUGGCUGCUAUAGGUUUCUAGCAAGAACGCUUCUUACCUACGCCAAAACCACAACGUGAUAUGCCAAUUGCUAUUUACCCUUCAUAAGGACCCUUUUCAUCGAAUCCGAUCCGACUAAAGUGGGAGAGACAGACACCCGCUAGCCACCUUAUGCAACAAGUGCAUGUCAGUCGGUGGAACCUGUAUCACGUAAGUGUACGUGUAAGGUCGGUCCGGGCCGCUUCAUCCCACAAUACCGUCGAAACAAGAUAGGACUAGUAACGGUAAGCAUAUUGAACAAAAUCAACGCCCACAACAACUUGUGUUCUACUCAUGCAUAGAAACUACUCAUAGACCUAGCUCAUGAUGCCACUGUUGGGGAACCUAGCAGAAAUUCAAAAUUUUCUACGCAUCACCAAGAUCAAUCUAUGGAGAGACUAGCAACGAGAGAGAGAGAGAGGGAGUACAUCUUCACACCCUUGAAGAUUGCUAAGCGGAAACGUUACAAGAACGCGGUCCGUGGAGUCGUUCACGAAGCGAUUCAGAUCGCGGCCGAAUCCGAUCUAAGCACCGAACAACGGUGCCUCCGCGUUCAACACACGUACAGCCCGGGGACGUCUCCUCCUUCUUGAUCCAGCAAGGGGAGAGGAGAAGUUGAGGGAGAACUCCGACAGAACGACGGCAUGGUGGUGAUGGAGCUCGUGGUUCUCCGGCAGGGCUUCGCCAAGCACUACGGAGGAAGAGGAAGAUAUUGGAGGAGGGAGAGGGCUGUGCCAGGGGAAGGGUGCGGCUGCCCUCUCUCUCCCUCACUAUAUAUAGGGGGAAGGGAGGAGGGGGAGGCGCCCUAGGGUUCCCUAGGGGAGGGGCGGCGGCCACAGGGGAAACCCUAGAUGGGUUUGGGCGCCCCCACCCUCUAGGAAACUUGCCCCCCAAGCUGGGAGGGGCGGCUGCCCUAGGGGUGGCGCCCCCACCUCUCCUGGUUACAUGAGAUGGGGUGGGAGGGGCGCUCAGCCCCUUAGUGGGCUGAUGUGCCCUCUCCCCUUGGCCCAUAAGGCCCCCAACGCUUGCCGAGCCUCCGAAACCCCUUUCGGACACACUGGUCAUCACCUGGUACCCCCGGAACAAUUCCGGACUCCAAUACCCUUCGUCCAAUAUACCGAUCUUCACCUCCGGACCAUUCCGGAGCUCCUCGUCAUGUACGGGAUCUCAUCCGGGACUCCGAACAACCUUCGGUAACCACAUACUAUUUCCCAUAACAACUCUAGCGCCACCGAACCUUAAGUGUGUAGACCCUACGGGUUCGGGAACCAUGCAGACAUGACCGAGACGUUCUCCGGUCAAUAACCAACAACGGGAUCUAGAUACCCAUGUUGGCUCCCACAUGUUCCACGAUGAUCUCAUCAGAUGAACCACGAUGUCAAAGAUUCAAGCAAUCCUGUAUGCAAUUCCCUUUGUCAAUCGAUAUGUUACUUGCCCGAGAUUCGAUCGUCGGUAUCCCAAUACCUCAUUCAAUCUCGUUACCGGCAUGUCACUUUACUCGUUCCAUAAUGCAUGAUCCCGUGACUAACUACUUAGUCACAUUGAGCUCAUUAUGAUGAUGCAUUACCGAGUGGGCCCAGAGAUACCUCUCUGUCAUACAGAGUGACAAAUCCCAGUCUCGAUUCGUGCCAACCCAACAGACACUUUUGGAGAUACCCGUAGUGCACCUUUAUAGCCACCCAGUUACGUUGUGACGUUUGGUACACCCAAAGUACUCCUACAGUAUCAGGGAGUUACACAAUGUCAUGGUCUAAGGAAAUGAUACUUGACAUUAGAAAAGCUUUAGCAAACGAACUACACGAUCUUGUGCUAUGCUUAGGAUUGAGUCUUGUCCAUCACAUCAUUCUCCUAAUGAUGUGAUCCCGUUAUCAAUGACAUCCAAUGUCCAUGGUCAGGAAACCAUGACCAUCUGUUGAUCAACGAGGUAGUCAACUAGAGGCUCACUAGGGACAUGUUGUGGUCUAUGUAUUCACACAUGUAUUGCAGUUUCCGGUCAAUACAAUUAUAGCAUGAAUAAUAGACAAUUAUCAUGAACAAGAAAAUACAAUAAUAACCUUUUUAUUAUUGCCUCUAGGGCAUAUUUCCAACAACUUUAUUUCUUCAAAAUCCAUACGAAGACGUGUGGAAUGAAGGUCUUCAAGAUAGAGUAACAAAGGCCUUAAAGUUUCCAGGAAAAACGUAGUCAUACAACACACAUGCAACUCUCUUCAAAACCGUGUCAAGUUUCUAUUGUUACAAUUGAGAGCGACUACUUCAGGCUUGAAAAGAUUUCUCUUCAGUCAGCUUUCCCUCCACCGUUCGAUAUGCAUCCAACGGGCCCAUAAACUUCUUCUUCCUCCAGGACCAAUGCCAUCACACACGAACGCCCACACUGCAGCCUCGCCGCCGCCACUGUCACCAGUCAUUCCUCUAACACACCUCCACCGAACCCCACAACCCGCCACAUCCUACAUGUCAUGCGUCGACGAUGCCAUGGCAAUUUGCGUCGUCCAUGCCUCCGUCUAGGUCCAAGCUCUGCAUAUUGGAGACAGUCGCGACAUGCAGUGUCACCUCCAUCUCGGCCUUAGCGUCGUCUCACCUACUUCUUAGUCACAUGUCGACUAACAUGGUUGAAAAUUCCAGUCAGCUGUUAAAUAGCAAACACAGUUAUAAUUACAGGAAAUAACUUCACUUAUAAGGGGAAGGGUCUCAAAAGAAUUUAAUGACACCCUCGCUGUCCAAUUUGUCGAUCGGGAUGUUGACUCUUCCAAGGGUUGAUUAUGAACCAAAAGUUUCAUGUAGAAACAGGAGAUUACAACCAAGAACCAAGAAAAAAGAGCAUACAAAACUUCGUCCCUUUUGGGGAGAUGUCAAAUUACCAAGUCCCUCAUUAUAUCCUUCGGCUUAGGACGCAUACAAAACUAUAGAGUUAUACAUUCUAGGCAAAAAGGGGUUAAAUCAAAUAAAGCCACUCAGGAGAAAGGCCAUGAAAAGAUUUCACGUCCACUAAGAAAAGGUAAAUGAAUUAAAACAAUUUUCUUAAGGUACAACUUGCUAUUAAUAAGACAAUUCUUGUUUCUAUUAGCAGAGAAAAAAAAGGUAACAUAGUUUGAGGCUAAGCUUCAUUUACAAAAAACUUUGCCUUUUGUGGGGAGAGAUGAAAAAACCCGUCAGUCGUCAUCAUAUUGGACUACCAUAGCAAAAGCUAGCUCAGACAUGCAUAAACUCCUUAAUUUUGUAAAUAUCAUUUUUAGUCGGGAGAAAUACCUUUUGGAUCUCGGGUGUAGGUGCAACCUAUAUGGGAAAAUAGUAAUUCCAAGAAAGGUGAAGAAGUUAUGAAACAUUUUCAGAAACAAACUUGACCAUCAAUUGUAUUCGUAUAAAAAAUUUCAUUAAGAAAAACUCCCAUCGCCUUUAGUGCAAAAAAAUAUAUCAAGGAUAAAAAGCAUGAAUAUUAACUUGUAUAUAGUGCUGAUUUUUUCCCCACCUAGAACAGCAUGAAAGUCAUUCAUUGACCCAAACAUAAUUUUAUAACUUUUUCUAGAAUUGCUAUUUUUUCCCCAUAUAUGGUGCUCCUACACCCGAGAGCCAAAGUUGCCUUCUAUUGUAUUAAAAUGUCAAAUGAAGGCCUUAAUUUGAAAACUAUGAAAUUCAAACUUUCUAGUUUUAAAAAAGUAUGAAAAAAUACACAUAUACCUAGAGACAAAAUGUACAUGCGUGUAAAUUUUCAUGUCAAAAUACGAGGGCUGCAGAAAGACAAUUUUGUGCAUUUUUAGCAUAUGUACUGUUAAUCCUCAAAGUCCACAAUUUUGUGCAGCUCAAAUUUUAAGGUAUUUCAUCCUAUAAUUUUACACACAUGCACAUUAUAUCCUUGUAAACAUGUAUAUUGAAUUUUAGUUUUUUAAUUAAAAAUUUGAUUUUUUUAUAAAAUUAAGCCCUAUAUGAAAUCCGGUCCCCAAAAUGCCAUACUCUCUGUUGUUUUUUUAGAAAAGGAGAAUGACCCCGGCCUCUGCAUCUGGACGAUGCAUACAGCCAUUUUAUUAGUUAUUCUUACAAGACCUUACAAAGUAAUACCACAGUAAGACUAAAGCCGCCGUCUAAGCAACAAACUGUCGCUACAUCUAUCCAGCUGAUGAAGGGGCGCAGAUAGCCUGUGCCUAAUACCAAACAGACAUCGCAGCUAAACCUAACAUCUAAGACUUGAAAACCCAUCCAAGACGCCUGCCGGGCAUGGAUCUCGCCGGUCCGGCGUGCUCACAGAGGCCGCCGCCGCCAACUGCCACCGCUCCAUCUUCAAAACUGUACUGAUGCAUUAACCUUGGUCGGUCUAGCUAUCGUCGACGCCACCACGGCGCCCAACGGCACCUUCUCCCUGCGUGCAAACAGCUAUGCACGUCGCGGUCGCCACUGAUACACCUCAGCACCAUGCUGCCAAGUACCACCAGCCGACACAACUUGAAGUCUUUAGAAAAUCUGUCGUGCGUAGCACCUGCCGACCAUGCAUGACAAAGCGUAGCACCUGUCGGUCAGGCAUGACUUGACAUCUUCACCGAAGCUCCGUGCAAGACGAAGCCGCUACACCUCCUGCAUCUGACUUCCAGCGCUGCUCCACAAACGAUGCUCUCAACAGAGAAACGACACCGCAAUGCCGCCAUCGUCCGAUCUGGAACACCAGAUCCUAGGGUUUCCCCCAGAGCAGCACGAGUGGGUCGACAGUAGUUACACGACAAUGCCUCUAUCAAGGUAACGACGUAGAACGCCGCCAUCGCCUGCAACGGCUCGGUUUUCAUCGGCAACCAUGUCUCCCCAACUCGCAGUCGGGACUAGAUGAUGGAUCUCGAGAUCUGAUCACCAAGCCUCUGGCCGGCCAUCUUUGACGACGAAGAUGACCACCACCAUUGACCAACGAGACGACGCGAGAUGAAGUAGGGCGCUGCCAGCGUGCGUCCUGGCCAGCACCACCGGCGCUAGGCCCAUCCCGGAUCACGCCUCAUGGCCGAGGGCAACGGCAAGCGCUGCCACGACGAGGACGCAGACCGGAAGCUCAGAUCCGGGCCCACCCGCGCGCCGCCACGUGGCCACCACUAAGCGCCGUUCAGGGGCAGCCCCCGCUGCCGUGAGGGACGCCGGCUCACGGGCAGGAGGCGCGAGCCCCCAGCGGAACACCGUCGCGCGCCACCGGCCGCAGCGAGAUCGCCACCGGCCGCCGCGAGAUCUGCGCGAGAACGGCGAGUACGCCCCACCGCCACCUUCCCUGGGGACCACACGGGCUUCGUCGGUGUCCCGUCCGGCGGCGGCGAAGCGGGGGAGGAGCAUGGAGGGGCGGCUGGCGGCGCGGUUAGGGUUAGGGGCGAGGAGGGGCAGCGCCAUACUCUCUGUUGUACUUGUAUAAAAACUUUGACCAAUAAAUCACUGUUGUGUUGUAUUUGUAUAAAAACUUUGACCAAUAAAUUACUUUCACGGGAAAUGACUUCCACGGUAUUUUUGGUGAAAAAUAUCAACAAUAUAUACAAGUAAUCAUUCACGUUUUUCGUCGUCUGAUUUUUAUUUUCCAAAGUCGACGGGACAUUUUUUUCUUGGCAUAACAAAAGGUCAAAUUUGUUUUCGAAAAUGUUUCAGAACUUAUGUUUUUUUGGAAUUACUUCCCACAUAUGUGCUCACACCCGAGAGUACCACGGCAUUUCCCAAGCUCUGUCGAGAUAAAACAGGUUUGUGCAUAAAACACGUCACUCUUUUAGCCCCCACACAAUCAUGGUUGCUUUAUUUUUCGUUGUGUCAAAAUAAAUGCAUUUGAAAAUCAGUUCAUAAUACACUGAAUCGGUCAUCUCAUAUAUCCUCAUAUAUGAAAAUGCCAAGACAUCCAGGAAUUUUCUCCCUGCUGAAAAAAGCACUUCAGAACUAGUUCAUUUUCCACCUAAUUUUGCUAGUUCCACAUGUUCUGAUCUUAUCCAGUUUUCCGUUAAGUUACAAACACAACUUUCUGAAUUUUCAGAACACUGAGCACGAACGAACAUCUUGGAUUUUUCAAUGGAAAAUGUGGCCAAAAGAUUCGCAUGUUUUAUUGAGGCGAUGACGGAGAACAUCCCCAUUUCCAUUAACGAAACAUCAAACCAUCACUCGUCACACGGAACUCGCUACCAAGUACCAACUCACACUCUGCUUCGAUUCGACGCGCACACGACGCAUCUCAGGCGACCUGGACCUGGAUGGUCUUGGGCUUCUUGGGCUCGGGCGGGGGCAGCUUGUCGACGGUCACGGUGAGCACGCCGUCGCGGCACACGGCGGAGAUCUUCUCCAUGUCGGCGUUCUCGGGGAGCACGAACUUGCGCAUCAGCUUGCCCAUGCGGCGCUCCAUCCGCAGGUACUUGGCGUCUUCCUUCUCCUCCCUCCUGCGCUCGCCGCUGAUCACCAGCACCCGCUCGUCCUCCACCUGCACCUUGAUGUCGCCGGACCCGAGACCUGGCAUGUCCACCACAAACGCGUACGCGCCCGGCAGCUCCUUCACGUCGGCGGGGGUUGCCGCCAUGGCUCGCGCGUCACGGACGUAAGCGCGCGUCGGGCCCUGCUUCUCGCCGCCGGCGGUGUUGCCGGCCUCGCCGUCUGGGAUGUCCAGCAGGUGCUGCAGCGCCGUCAUCAUCGGGUUCUCCAAGCCGAACACCAUGCCCGCCAUUGUCCCUCGCUGAUCUCGAGCUCGAUCGAUCUCCUCGGGUUGGACUUGGGAUUGCUUGUUGAAUUUUGUGGAAUUUGGUGGGGAUGCGAUGGCGAGGAGGAGGAAGUCUAUGUAGGUCUCCGGAGGCGGGGGUCUGGACGGUGAUGGAAACUUCUGAAAGGUGGUGGAACGAGCGCGGAGCAGUGGGGAGUCCUUCGGGCACCGAUGGAGAAAAUUCUAGAGGAUCGACCUUCAGAAUUGGUAGUGCGGUAGCUUUGUGCCCCACAUGUCAUUCGGGGCAGCAGAGAGAUUUUUUUUUUCUUUCUAUAGGAUACGCACAGAGAGAUUUUCCUUUUGAAAGAAAAACGCAGAGUUUUUUCUAGGCAAUGAUAGGCGCCAGUGCGCCGUCCUAAAUUUGGGCCGGUCGCACCCUGAGCGUCCGAUGCACUGCCCUUUAACCGUUCAGAUCGACCGUCUGCUUCGUUCUCAUCCUCCCGUCGUCUAUCUUCUUCCCCCCAAAUACGCGAGAAAAAAGCGACGGCGAGCGCCGCCGGCCAGGCGGCCACCUUCCUCCCAGCCAUGGGCACGCGCCUCUCGCCGUUGACGGUGCGCUUGGCCUUCCCCAUCGCCGUUCAAAUCGCUCACCAUGGCUACCUCGUCGUGCAGCUCCUGGUCGUGGACGCGUCGCUGCUCCAGCAACGCCGUUCCUAGCACUGGCCGGAGAGGGUUGUAGCUCCCGGCCCCCAUGGUUGCAGCACCGGGUUGCGCCGCCCCCGCCGCCUCUCGCCGUCAACGCUCGGUGUCGUGGUUCUAAGUCUGACAGUAAUGUAGGGGGGUAGGUAUGGAGAGGCAAGAUCCUAGCUAUCGAGUAGUUGUAUACGCAAGGGAUUUACGAGUUCAGGUCCUUCUCGGAGGAAGUAACAACCCUACGUCUCGGAGCCCGGAGGCAGUCGACUGGAUUAUAUGCGUAUGAGUUACAGGGGUGCGANNNNNNNNNNNNNNNNNNNNNNNNNNNNNNNNNNNNNNNNNNNNNNNNNNNNNNNNNNNNNNNNNNNNNNNNNNNNNNNNNNNNNNNNNNNNNNNNNNNNNNNNNNNNNNNNNNNNNNNNNNNNNNNNNNNNNNNNNNNNNNNNNNNNNNNNNNNNNNNNNNNNNNNNNNNNNNNNNNNNNNNNNNNNNNNNNNNNNNNNNNNNNNNNNNNNNNNNNNNNNNNNNNNNNNNNNNNNNNNNNNNNNNNNNNNNNNNNNNNNNNNCAGACCCCUCCGGCCCUCAGUUAUGCAGGGUUGAAGCUACAUUAAGAUUGAGCGUUACUGGUAACGCUACACAUAAAGUGCUAUGAUGACUAUAAAAGCUACUUAAUGACUGUCCGUUGGCGUGCAGAGUGACUUUAGGCCUCAUGACUGUCGAGUGGAUGGCUUUAUGGUCGAGUGGUUGGCUUCAUGGUCGAGUGUCUUCGAGUCUGUCGAGUGGAACACUUCUGAAUCGAUUGAAAGGUGGUUUCUUCUAGAGAUGUCCUUGGGUAGGGUAGUUUGGAUAGGUCCAUGACCCUACCCUAGGUACAUAGCUUCAUCAUUAGCCCCCGAAUGGAUCGGGGUUUGAGUGGGGAAGGAGUUGAGAACUCUUCCGACCCAUUUUUCGUGCUAUGAGUAUGCCUUGUUGUGGAUCAAUGAGCUUUAGGUGACGGCACCAACUUCUUUUUCAGUCGCCUUGACCCAUUCUUUGUAUCCGUCGAGUGAAUUUCUUUACUUGAAAAACUCCGAGUGACGAUGUGGAGGGGAUCCUCCGUUUGACAAGUUGUUCUGCUGCUCGCGGAUUUCACGGGAUUUGAAUUUCGGGAAGUGCGCGGGGCGGGGGAGGCCGCUGUAAUCGGAUGGGAUAAGGCAGUGACGCCUCGAUCUCUGUGCCACAUUUUUCGCCACGUAUCGUGCGCGCGAGUGUUGCGGGAUUUGACAGGAUCGCCCGGGCCUACCAGCCAGCCACUCGGAAGCAACCUUAUAUAAGGCGCCGGACGGGUUUUUUUGAACAAUGCGUUCUCAUUUCCUCCUCUCUUCCCCAGGGUCAUCCGCCUCGUUCGCUUCCAUCUCAGUGCCGCUGCCUCGUGCGCGUCCCGCCGGCGACGAUGGUGAAAGAGAAGACGGCGGCCCUGGAGCGGGCGAAGAAGGCGACGACGAAGGCAAAGGGAAGGGCGACCAGUCGGGGUGGGGGAUCUUCAUCGAGGGCCGGCCUGCCGCAGGGCUGGAUCCAGGGCGACUGGAUCUGCUUGACGAUCCGUCAAGCGGAUCUUGACGACCUGGCCGAUGGAGGACUGAUCCCCCACGGAUCGGCGCGGCUCCCGGGGAAGGAGUCCGAGCCGCAACCUCAGGAGGGUGAGUGCGUUCUCUUGGCCACCCAUGUCGACCGUGGGUUUUCUUUGCCGCCUCACCCUUUCUUUCGGGGAUUUCUGAAUUUCUUUGGGGCGCAACUCCACCACUUCACACCCAACACCAUCGUGUACCUCGCUGCUUUCGUGUCUUUGUGCGAGAAUUUCUUGGGUUGCCGGCCUCAUUGGGGUCUUUUCAAGCACAUCUUCACCUGUCGCUCACAGACGGUGAAAAAGGCCAAUCCAAGUGACGAGAGAACAUAAGUGAUUUAGAUGUGUGGGGGUCUUGGGGUUCAGUUGAGAGGAAAAAGUUCCUUUCCGACCAUGAUCCUACCUAACUCGGUCCAUGGAUGGCAGUCGACCUGGUUCUACUGCAAAGACCAGCCGACGCCAGGGCAGUCGACUGGGCUCCCUCCUUUUUCCAUGGAACGAGUGCGGAAGCCUUCCUCUUUGAAGGUGGUCCCGGAAGAGAAGGCGCAAGUUAAUUUGCUGGUUGAGCGUGUCGUCCAGCUUAUCCGUGACGGGGUGACCGGCAUGGACCUCUUGGAGGUCUUCCUCCGAUGACGAAUCCAGCCGCUUCAAGCUCGAGACCAUCCGAUGUGGUUGUAUUCUGGCAUUGAGGACACCACUCGGAUCCACCCGGAGGAGAUUGACGAUGCCACGUUGGAGCGGUGGCUGCCGAGCAUCACAGGGAACAAAGACAACCCCCGAGGAGCUAGGAGGAUCCCUCCACUCGACCAGUCAUACAAAGUAGACAAGGUACAAUUCUGCAUUUCUGAAUGUGAUUCUGCUUUCUUCAUUCUGUUUGCUUAAAAUCAGUCGACUGACGUUUGUCUUGUUUGUUGUCUUCUAGGCCACGACUAAGAUGUACUCGACGCCCAACGGAGCGCAAGAACAUGCCGAGGAGGGAGAGGCGAGCGGAGGUGAAAGUGGGGAGGAGUGGCAAUCCGAUGGUGAGGGGGAAGAGGAUGACGACGGCUCCAGCGAAGAGGAGGAGGAGGAGGAGGAGGAGGAGGAGGAGGAGGAAGUCGAUCCUCCUCGCACGGAAAGGCGAUCGAAGCUCAUCCACGACCCCGCGAGUGAGCGUUGCAAAGCGAUUGCAACCAUUGGGCAAUCGACAAAGUGCCCUCGGGCGGCUUCUCCGACGCCGACUGAGAAAACGCUGAAGCAUCCACGAGCGGCACCAUCAAAGCCGCCGAAGGCCUUGCCCAAGAUGAGAAUGGCCAUUCCCACUAUCUCCGGGUAACAUCAGAACUUGUGUUUUCUCGUUUAGCAUGGACGAACUCUUGGUCGACUCAUCGACUAACCGACUUGUUUCUGAAAUCCGCAGUGCUGCUACCUCCGAGACCUCCGCCAAGAACGAAGACCAGGAAAUGGAAGACGCUGCCGCCUCCAACCUUGGUACGCUCUUUGAGGUUUUACUUUUGGUCGAUUGGAUUUCGAUUUCAACUUUGGAUUUUUCCUGCAGCUCCUCCCCACGUCAUUGAUCUCCCUGAUGAUGACGACGAGGUGCCCCUGAGGGCAAGGAGGAAUAAAAAGGCGCCGGCUGGCAAGACCACUCAGACUGCAUCAGCGCCUGAGGCAUCGGUUCAAGGGGGUGACGAUGUCACUCGGCAUUCUGUGUCCUUCGCUGUGCCGCUGACGAGUGUCCGGCCUUCAACAUCGACUGUUGACCCGCCCUCCCUUUUCGCCACACACCUCGUCCUAGAGGACCAAGCGGGUGCUGCUAAGGAGGCUAUACGCCAGGCGGGGAUCAUGAUGGAGCAGGUGAAGGCGAUCCGGGAAGCCAGCCAAGCGGCCUAUGAUGCUAGCUCAGCCCUUCAGAGCAACGUCCAGGUUAGUUGGUCACUGCUUGUUCUGUUAGGAUAUGCUAUCUGAAGACUUUCUUUCCGAAGAUCUUUGCGUCUGUACACCCACUGGGUGUGUCGAUUGAAUAUUUGAACCGGUGGGGCCACGCUGAGUGUACCCACUGGGUGUAGUCCUCGAGACUAUGGUGGACUGCUGGCAGUUGACUGUAGUCUUGUAUCUUGAAUUUCUUCACUCUAACUUGUUCACUCGGUCUGGUCGGGCCAUGUCGAAUGGAAUUUUGGAACGAGUCGGUAGAACCGGUGGGGGCACGCUGAGUGCACCCUCUGGGUGUAGUCCUCGAGACUAUGGUGGACUGCUGGCAGUCGACUGUAGUCUGAAGAACCUUUUGUUUUUGGUAGAUCAUGAUGAGACCAAGACUAACUGCUGGCAGUUUGCUAUAGAGCUACAGUUUUAGGAUCAUAACCUCUUUGUCUCUUUCGGCCGACUGGUCGGACCGAGUCGGUAGAACCAGUGGGGGCACGCUGAGUGCACCCACUGGGUGUAGUCCCCGAGACUACUGUUGAAUAUUUUGAUUCGGCUGUAGUCUUAGAAAUGCUAUGAGUUUUCUCUUAGUCACUCGAAAGCAACCUAUCUUUGAUGUCUGUCGACUGAUCCUUCACAGAAAUCUUGCGAACUUGUGGCUCGCUAUACUGAGUUGGAAAACAAACAUAUCCAGCUCGACCUUGACUUGAAGCUUGUUCAGGAGAACUUUCAGAAGGCGAAGGACGAAGCAAAAGGUAUGAUUGGUGAGAACUUGACGAAUGUUUGUAUCUUUCUGCCCAUUCCUGAUUCUGAUCUCACUAUCAUUUUGCAGAUAAACUGAAGGAGGCUCUGAAGAAGAAGGACCAUGACCUUGCCGAGGCAUAGAAGGCGGCUUUGGACAAAACGAAGCUUGCGGAAGAAAAAAUGGCUUCAGUCGGUAAACUUGAAGAGGAGAACGCCAAUCUGAAGGCUGCUCUCGACGCAGCCAACAAGGAAGUCAGCCGUCUGAAGAAUGACAAGAUAGCUCUGAAUGACAAGGCUGGUGAGCUGGUGGGGAAGAAGAAUGAUGUGGAGGCUUAUUUGGGAGGGCUCGCCAAGAAGCUAUUCAUCAUGCUUGAGGGUAAUCUCUCUUACCCGACUGAUUUGUAAUCAUCGACUUAUCGUAAAACUGCUGGUUCACCUUUGAAUUGUGUUCACAGAAUUCUGCCAAAACUUCGAGGAGGAACAGUCGAGUGGAGACAGGCUUGGACCCCAUUAACUCUCUCGUGAAGGAUGAAGCUGCCAUGAACGUGCUCCGACUGGAGUCUCGUGUUGCUGGUGUGGUCGACUACCUUGCUCGACUGAAGGUUGCGGCGUCGCGAAUCGACACGACACUCUAGCCGAGAGAGACGCUUCAAAAUGACCUCGAGUCUCUAAUGACUCGAUUGAAUGAAGUUCCAGGUCGAGUGAAAGAAUGGAAGAAGUCUUCUGCCAGGUGUGGUGCUGAUGUUGCUCUGUCCCCGGUUCGCGUUCACUGCAAGGAUGCGCGAGAGGACAAGCUGGCAUCCCUCAAAGUGGCCAAUACCAAGAAGCAUGACUUCCAAUCUUUCAUGGAGACCUUCAUUGCUGCUGCCACUCGGAUUGCUGAUGGAAUCGACCUGGACCAGUUUGUCACGCCUUCCAGUCCUCCACCUGAGGAGUAAGAAAAACUGUUGUGCUUCACCUUAAAUUUGCCUCGGAAUGCCGAGUGGUUUUGUAACCGAUAAACUUUAACAGGCUUGUUAUCUGAGCACUUCUGAAUCCGUAGGAUGCUAUCUGAACUUGGCUUAUCAUUGAAUAUGCUUGCAUUUGCCUUCGAGCGAACUUUGUUCUUCACUCGGAAUUCACUUUAGCGCUUGAGACGCAGCCCUGAGGUGGAGGAUCCAGUCGACCUGCUCUUCAUCGCUCUUGCAGGUAAGGAUGGAGCAUAGAUCGCAGUCGACCUGCGCCCUUGCGGAUUGGGAUGGAGCGCAUGUUGUAUUUGUGACGUAGCUCCGAAGGAGAAGGUAGCAGUCGACCUGCACCUCGUCGUCCUUGUAGAGCGCACAUUGUAUUUGUGGCGUAGCUUCGAAGGAGAAGGUAGCAGUCGACCUGCACCUUGUCGUCCUUGCAGAGCGCACAUUGUAUUUGUGGCGUAGCUCUAAAGGAGAAGGUAGCACUCGACCUGCACCUCGUCGUCCUUGCGGAUCGAAAUACUUAGGCGAGUACUGGACUGCAGCUAAGCCCCCGAGUGGGAGGUUUGCUCUCCACUCGGUAGGAUUUUCAAAUACUUAGGCGAGUACUGGACUGCAGCUAAGCCCCCGAGUGGGAGGUUUGCUCUCCACUCGGUAGGAUUUCAAAUACUUAGGCGAGUACUGGACUGCAGCUAAGCCCCCGAGUGGGAGGUUUGCUCUCCACUCGGUAGGAUUUCAAAUNNNNNNNNNNNNNNNNNNNNNNNNNNNNNNNNNNNNNNNNNNNNNNNNNNNNNNNNNNNNNNNNNNNNNNNNNNNNNNNNNNNNNNNNNNNNNNNNNNNNNNNNNNNNNNNNNNNNNNNNNNNNNNNNNNNNNNNNNNNNNNNNNNNNNNNNNNNNNNNNNNNNNNNNNNNNNNNNNNNNNNNNNNNNNNNNNNNNNNNNNNNNNNNNNNNNNNNNNNNNNNNNGGACUGCAGCUAAGCCUCCGAGUGGGAGGUUUGCUCUCCACUCGGUAGGAUUUUCAAAUACUUAGGAGAGUACUGGACUACAGCUAAGCCCCUGAGUGGGAGGUUUGCUCUCCACUCGGUAGGAUUUUCAAAUACUUAGGUGAGUACUGGACUGCAGCUAAGCCCCCGAGUGGGAGGUUUGCUCUCCACUCAGUAGGAUUUUCAAAUACUUAAGCGAGUACUCGACUGCAGCUAAGCCCCCGAGUGGGAGGUUUGCUCUCCACUCGAUAGGAUUUUCAAAUACUUAGGUGAGUACUGGACUGNNNNNNNNNNNNNNNNNNNNNNNNNNNNNNNNNNNNNNNNNNNNNNNNNNNNNNNNNNNNNNNNNNNNNNNNNNNNNNNNNNNNNNNNNNNNNNNNNNNNNNNNNNNNNNNNNNNNNNNNNNNNNNNNNNNNNNNNNNNNNNNNNNNNNNNNNNNNNNNNNNNNNNNNNNNNNNNNNNNNNNNNNNNNNNNNNNNNNNNNNNNNNNNNNNNNNNNNNNNNNNNNNNNNNNNNNNNNNNNNNNNNNNNNNNNNNNNNNNNNNNNNNNNNNNNNNNNNNNNNNNNNCAAGUACUGGAAUGCAGCUAAGCCCCCGAGUGAGAGGCUUGCCUCCACUCAGUAGGAUUUUCAAAUACUUAGGCGAGUACUGGACUGCAGCUAAGCCCCCGAGUGGGAGGUUUGCUCUCCACUCGGUAGGAUUUUCAAAUACUUAGGUGAGUGCUAGACUGCAGCUAAGCCCCCGAGUGGGAGGUUUGCUCUCCACUCGGUAGGAUUUCAAAUACUUAGGCGAGUACUGGACUGCAGCUAAGCCCCUGAGUGGGAGGUUUGCUCUCCACUCGGUAGGAUUUUCAAAUACUUAGGCGAAACGGAUUUGCAGCUAAGCCCCCGAGUGAGAGGCUUGCUCGUCACUCGGUAGGAUUUUUUUACAAACUUAGGCGAAACGGAUUCGCAGCUAAGCCACCCACUGGGGGAUUUCUCACAUAAACAAAAGCAACAACAAUCAAUGGGAAAAUUAUAACACUUUUGUCUUUGAUGAACAAACUACAUGAGUACUUUUUAUUACAUCUCACCCGAGUGAGUACUUAAGUGUAAAAGGGGCGGAGCAGCUCCGCAUUCCAAGCUCGUGGCUCAUCAAUCUGGCGACCAACAUUGUAAAGAUGGUAUGCUCCAUUGUGGAGAACUUUGGUGACGAUGAAGGGGCCUUCCCAAGUAGGGGCGAGUUUAUGUGGCUUCUGUUGAUCCACUCGGAGGACCAAGUCUCGUUCUUGGAAGGCUCGACUCUUCACGUUUCUGGCAUGGAAUCGACGCAAGUCUUGCUGAUAGAUGGUUGAUCAGACCAUGGCCAUCUAUCUUUCUUCUUCUAGAAGGUCGACUGCGUCCUGCCGGGCUUGUUCUGCUUCAUCUUCUGAGUAGAGCUCGACUCGGGGUGCAUUGUGAAGCAGGUCACUCGGUAGAACUGCUUCAACUCCAUAGACCAGUAAGAAUGGAGUUCGCCCAGUCGACCGAUUAGGAGUAGUCCUCAAUCCCCAAAGAACUGAUGGAAGUUCGUCGACCCAUGCGCCUGCUGCGUGUUUGAGAUCACGCAUCAACCGGGGUUUCAGUCCUUUGAGAAUUAGGCCGUUUGCUCUUUCUGCCUGUCCAUUCGACUGGGGGUGAGCGACGGAAGCAUAGUCGACUCGCGUGCCUUGAGAAGCGCAAAAGGCUUUGAAUUGGCCGGAAUCGAAGUUUGACCCAUUAUCAGUGAUGAUGCUAUGCGGAACUCCAUAUCUGAAUAUCAACUCUCUGAUGAAGCUGAUAGCAGUGCCGACAUCAAGAUUCUUGAUAGGCUUGGCUUCGAUCCACUUAGUGAACUUGUCGACUACCACCAGUACAUGGGUGAAGCCGCUCCUGCCAGUUCUCAGUGGUCCAACCAUAUCUAAUCCCCAAACAGCGAAGGGCCAGACGAUUGGAAUGGUAUUCAAGGCUGAGGCGGGCUUGUGCGACAUAUUGGAAUAGAACUGACAUCCUUCACACUUGUCGACUAUCUCUUUCGCCAUUUCAUUUGCUCUGGGCCAGUAAAACCCCGCUCGGUAUGCUUUAGCCACAAUAGUCCGAGAGGACGCAUGAUGGCCACAGGUCCCCGAGUGGAUAUCGUCGAGAAUUAUCCGACCUUCUUCUGGCGUUAUACAUUUCUGACUGGCUCCACUCGCGCUUUCCCUGUACAACUGUCCCCUUAUCACAGUAAAGGCCUUGGAUCGACGGACGAUCUACCGAGCCUCUUCUUCGUUCUCUGGGAGUUCUUUACUUAGGAUAUACGCAAUGUACGACACUGUCCAUUCGGGAGUGAUAACCAAAACUUCCAUGAUCAAGUCGACCACAACUGGGACCUCAACUUCAGUCGGAUCCGUGGCACUUUUAGGCUACGGGGCUUCUUCGGUGAAAGGAUCCUCUUGUACUGAUGGCGUGUGGAUGUGUUCCAAAAACACAUCACUGGGAAUGGCUUCUCUCUUGGAACCUAUUUUUGCCAAAUCAUCAGCUGCUUGAUUUUUCAGUCGGGGUAUAUGAUGAAGCUCUAACCCCUCGAAUUUCUUCUCUAGCUUUCUCACUGCAUUGUAGUAACCAGUCAUGGCUGGGCUUCUGACGUCCCAUUCCUUCAUCACUUGGUUAACCACCAAAUCAGAGUCGCCAUAGACCAUGAGGCGACGGACGCCGAGUGAAAUGGCCAUGCGCAACCCAUACAAAAGUGCUUCGUAUUCUGCUUCAUUAUUGGAGGAAUCAAAGUGAAUCUGGAGCACAUAUUUGAGCUUAUCUCCUCGAGGGGAAACCAACACUACCCCAGCACUGGAUCCAUUCAGCAUCUUAGAACCAUCAAAGAACAUGGUCCAGUGCUCCGAGUGAACUUGAGUUGGCAGUUGCUGUUCAGUCCACUCGACGAUGAAAUCUGCUAUUGCUUGGGACUUGAUGGCUUUCUUUGCCUCAAAUCUGAUAUCUAGGGGAAGGAGUUCAAUCGCCCAUUUUGCCACUCGACCGGUUGCAUCUCUGUUGUGCAAAAUCUCUGACAAUGGAGCGUCGCUGACGACUGUAAUGGAAUGGUCAGAGAAGUAAUGGGCAACCUUCUUUGUGGUCAUAUAAAUCCCAUAUACAAGCUUCUCAUAAUGAGGGUAUCUUUGCUUUGAUGGGGUCAAAACUUCAGAAAUAUAAUACACUGGGCGCUGAACUUUAAAGGCUUUUCCUUCUUCUUCCCGCUCGACCGUAAGUACUGUACUGACGACUUGUCCUGUGGCUGCAAUGUAGAGCAGCAAAGGCUCUUUGCUGAUCGGGGCAGCAAGCACCGGCUGGGUGGAAAGCAGGGUUUUUAGCUAUGCAAAUGCUGCAUCAGCUUCAGGAGUCCACUCGAACUUGUCUUACUUCUUCAUCAGUCGGUAAAGAGGCAAUGCCUUUUCACCAAGACGAGAGAUGAAUCGACUUAACGCGGCCAAGCAACCAGUAAGCUUCUGGACAUCGUGCACAUGCACAGGACGUUUCAUUCAGAGUAUAGUGCCAACUUUUUCUGGAUUGGCAUCGAUUCCUCGUUCGAAAACGAGAAAACCGAGUAACUUUCCGCCAGGAACUCCGAAUGUGCACUUUGAUGGAUUAAUCUUGAUAUCAUACCUCUGAGGUUGGCAAAUGUCUCUGCAAGAUCAGUCAGCAGGUCAGAACCUUUCCGUGACUUGACCACAAUAUCAUCCUUGUACGCUUCCACAUUCCGACUGAUUUGAGUGAGCAAACACUUCUGAAUCAUCCUCAUGAAUGUGGCUCUGGCAUUCUUGAGGCUGAAUGGCAUGGUGACAUAACAGAAGCACCCGAAUGGGGUGAUGAAAGCUGUUUUGAUCUCAUCGGGUCCAUACAGACGGAUCUGAUGGUAACCGGAAUAAGCAUCUAAGAAAGACAGGCGCUCACAUCUAGCAGUCGAGUCGACUAUUUGGUCAAUGUGGGGGAGAGGAAAAUGAUCUUUCGGGCAGGCCCGAUUGAUAUGUUUGAAGUCAAUGCACAUGCGAAGUGACUUGUCCUUCUUGGGGACCAUGACGACAUUGGCAAGCCACUCGAAGUGGUAAAUCUCUCGGAUAAACUCUGCUGCUAAGAGCCGAGCCACCUCCUCGCCAAUGACCUUUCUUUUCUGGACGGCGGACCGUCGAAGAUGUUCUUUAACAGGUUUCACUUUUGAGUCGACUCGUAGACGGUGCUCAGCCAGCCCCCUGGGAACACCCGACAUGGCAGAAGGUUUCCAUGCGAAGAUGUCCCAGUUCUCACGGAGGAACUGGAUGAGCGCUUCUUCCUAUUUGGAGUCGAGCGUUGUAGAGAUAUGAGUCGGAGCAGCAUUGGGGUCGGUCGGGUGAAUGUGAAUCGGUUUCGUUUCACCAGACGACUGAAACGCUGAUUCCGUAGCGGGCUUCUUGGUUCACAACAAAUCACUCGGGUCUACGGUUUUCUGGUAUUCCUGCCACUCUUCCGCUGCCAUCUGAGCAUCGGCGAUCUUUGAGCCUUUCUGAAAGCACUCUUCCACCUUCUUUCGAUUGCCAGUAAUAGUGAUCACACCUUUGGGGCCAAGCAUCUUCAAUUUGAGGUACACAUAACAUGGUCGAGCCAUAAAACGUGCAUAAGCUGGCCUGCCUAAAAUAGCGUGAUAGGCACUCUGGAAAUCUACAACUUCAAAUGUCAACUUUUCUUUGCGGUAAUUUUUGGAAUCACCGAAAACCACAUCAAGAGCAAUCUGACCGAGUGACGCAGCCUUGUUUCCAGGAAUAACUCCAUAGAAACUCAUGUUGCUGGUACUGAGUCUGGACAUCAGAAUGCCCAUCCCCUUCAACGUCUCUACGUAUAGAAUGUUCAGGCUACUGCCACCAUCCAUCAAAACUUUAGUCAAAUGAGUGCCUUCGACGACUGGGUCGACCACCAGAGCUUGCCUCCCAGGGGUGGCUAUGUGUGUCGGGUGAUCAGACUGGUCGAAUGUGAUGGCAGUCUGAGACCAUUUCAGAUAACUGGGUGUCUCCGGAGCAACCAUAUUCACUUCUCGGUUGAUAACUUUCAAUCGACUUUUGCUCUCAAUGUCAGCAAAAAUCACCAGAGUGAAAUUGACCUGAGGAUAUCCAUCAUCACUAUCCUCCUUGUCCUCAACUUUGUCCGACUCCUUUUCCUUAUCAUUGGGCUGUUUCCCUUGGAAUUGCUGGAUCAAGAGCCGACGCCGUCGAGUGGUAUGUUUCAGGUAAAUGAAUUUACCCUCCUCAUCUUUUUUUGUGUGGAUGUGGCACGGCAAAUCCAUCACGUCAUUUCCUUCCUUGUCUUUCACCUUCUUAGGGUUCCAAGACCCUUUAGGCUUCCCUCUAAACUUUCCUUGAGUCACGGCCAAGGUUUCUCCAGGAGAGGCUGGCUCGGCUUUCCGCUUCUGCUUCCGACUAGAGUUCCCUCCUCCGGUUUCGUGGGUGACUGACUUGUGCUUGCCACUCCGGAGACGAUCCUCUUCUUCACCAUUGGCAUACUUGGUGGCUAUCUUCAUCAUUCGACUCAGAGACAUGUCUCCGGUUCGACCAAAUUUCAGGUUUAGCUCUCUGUACUUAACACCUUCCUUGAAGGCACAGACUGCCUGGUGAUCAGAUACAUUCUCUACCGUGUGAUGCAAUGUGAUCCAUCUCUGGAUGUAAUCUCUCAAAGUCUCAUUCGACUUCUGCACACAAGAUUGCAGCUCUGUCAGUCCUGCUGGUCACUUGCAAGUUCCUUCAAACGUUCUGACAAACACUUGGGAAAGAUCUUCCCAAGUGUAUAUGCUGAUGGGUGCUAACUGAUUCAACCAUGCUCUGGCCGAGCCCUCCAACAUAAGAGGCAGAUGUUUCAUGGCCACCUCAUCAUUGCCACCGCCAAUCUGAAGAGCCACUCAGUAGUCUUCAAGCCAAGUAUCAGGCUUGGACUCACCAGUGAACUUACUGACUCCAGUCGCCAACCUGAAGUUGGGAGGAAUCACCGUGGCCCUGAUGGCUCUGCUGAAACACUCUGGUCCUGAGACGUGCACUCUGCUGCUGGUGGGUACAUCUCUGUCAUGACCCUCUCGGUGAGCUCUGUUCCUGUCGACCAGACCUUGAACGAUAAUGGAUCUCGCAUCAAAGCCUGGUUCCUUGGGGUCGACUAGGAUCCUUCGCCCAACACUGUGCUGGCAUCUAUCAUCCUGUUGUCGAGGCGCGAACGAUCCACCCCUUGGGGGAGGGGUGGGCACUCGAUGUCGAUCAUCGCAAUCGAUUCAGUGAUCAUACUGCUCACGGUUCUUGUACUGAUCGUGCCGGUCUCCACGCCCUUCAUGCCUCGGGGGCGAUCUGGGGCUAUGAGCCGACUGGACUAUAUUUGCAGCUACGGAUCUGCUGUGAAUCCUAUUCCGCGACUGCGAUACAGCUGAAUUUUGAUCUCCUGCUGCCCAGAGUAAAUCUCUGAUCUGCAACAAGCCUCUGCCAGCCUCUGACUAGGAAGGCUGAAUUGACUCUGCUAUACGGGCCGCAGCUGCUAAAUUCUGAAUCGGAGUUCGAUAUACCUGAGUCGGUUGUGGAAAGAGCUGACGUCGACUGGAAUCCGGAACCCGUUGCUGCGCACGCUCGUCGAGUGCUCACUGGAGGUUCUCCAGUCAAGUGCGCUCAGCCAAGUUGGCCAAGCGCGUGUCCUCUAAGGCAUGAGCCUCGGGGGUCUCUCCAACGAUAGGAGUGUGUAGCGCAUCCAUGUUCCGGCGGCGAAGUUCUUCCCUUUGCAGCGAAGUGAGGGGCUCGGGGAGAUACUCCUCAUGGGCAUGCGACGGAUCGCCUCCGCCGUCGCCUUCGUCGGCGCUGGGAAAACCGGGAGGACCGCGUGGUCCGUCGACCAUUAGGACCUCCGCCGCUGGAUCAUUGCUGUCGCACUCGGAUGCAGUCUCUGCGGAGCCAGUCGACAUGUCGAACAAGCCGUAGAGAGAUUCGUCGGGCUCGAUUCUCGCGACUUGGGGGGUGACCGAUUGGCGAGCCACCACGUGUCUCACCCACCGCUGAAGCCUCGACCGACCGGAGCGCUUGCACCGGCGGGAAACGGGGGAGGAGGACGACACAAAGACCGACCGAUACUGGGUCGACGGCUGCCGCAGGAGGACGCCGCGGACGCACGCGCGAAAGUGCGUCGCUCCGCGGACUGGGAGCGCGUCGAUGUCGAGCGGAGCCUCCUGAAGCCAAGCAGAGUCGUCGGUGACGAACGUGAGCGCGCCGAGACGGAUCACGCGGCCCUCAACCAAAACUCCGCCUGAAACCAUGAUGAAGGAGAUAGGAAAAAAUGCAACUUCUCCAGUAAGUCGCUAAGACACCUGCCCCACGGUGGGCGCCAACUGUCGUGGUUCUAAGUCUGACAGUAAUGUAGGGGGGUAGGUAUGGAGAGGCAAGAUCCUAGCUAUGGAGUAGUUGUAUAUGCAAGGGAUUUACGAGUUCAGGCCCUUCUCGGAGGAAGUAACAGCCCUACGUCUCGGACCCCGGAGGCGGUCGACUAGAUUAUAUGCGUAUGAGUUACAGGGGUGCGAACCCUUUACACUGAGGAGGGGGGUGGCUAUAUAGAGUUCGCCAGACCCCUCCGACCCUCAGUUAUGCAGGGUUGAAGAUACAUUAAGAUUGGGCAUUACUGGUAACGCUACACAUAAAGUGCUAUGAUGACCAUAAAAGCUACUUAAUGACCGACCGUUGGCGUGCAGAGUGACUUUAGGCCUCCUGACUAUCGAGUGGAUGGCUUUAUGGUCGAGUGGUUGGCUUCAUGGUCGAGUGUCUUCGAGUCUGUCGAGUGGAACACUUCUGAAUCGAUUGAAAGGUGGUUUCUUCUAGAGAUGUCCUUGGGUAGGGUAGUUUGGACAGGUCCAUGACCCUACCCUAGGUACAUAGCUUCAUCACUCGGUGCAUCGGUGCCCGUCCGCCGUCCCUCGCCAUCAUCUCUUGGGUCAUUGUUUCGGCACAUAACCUUCACAACAAUACAAACCGCAAGAUAUAGCUUUUGAUUGGGGAAAACUUUGUUUUUGCCACUCUAGUUUUUGCCAACUUUACUUAUGCCACUCUAAAAUUUGACAUCUUACUUUUGCCACUCUUAGUUUUUGACAAUGUAUCACAAAUGCCAUUUUGUUACGCUUCCGUGAGUUGACCAUUUCUUUUACCCAGUUGACCCAGAAAAAACCUGUCAGUAUUUCCAAAAAUGACAUAAGUUGCCCCUACUGACUUGUGGGGCCACUUUGGAAGUGACCCAGACCCUAAUCUGUACACUCACCCACCCAGGCGUCCUAGCUCCUAGCCGCACCACACACACCCGCAUCCAGUCACCGCCGCCAACUCCGGCCGCCGCCUUGCCACCUUCGGCCGUGUCCCCGCUCGCCACCGCAGCCAGCCGCCUCCAUCCCAACGCUCGGUGCUCCACCCCUACCGUCCGGCGCGGCCCCUGCCGGAGCUGCCACCUGAUCGCGCACGAGGCCUGGCCGCUGCUUGCGCUUCUCAUGGAGGAGCUCGCCUUCGAGGCAUAUCUCCUUGCUCCGCGCCGCUCUCCUCAUUCCGAAGCGCUGGCAACAAUCCACCUUCGUCCUCCCCUACCUCCUCUCGUCCAGGAUGGGGACGCAGUCCCUGCUCACCCGGGAUCUGGGACCCCAUGGGCCUGCGUGCCUCUAUCGUCAGCAACGCCGGCUAUACACCUCCGACACGCCGCCUCAUCACUAGCACCGACUAGGUGCACGCCUCUGCCUCGUCACCAGUGUAUGGUGGUGCUCGCGGCCGUAGGCAUCCUACCGAGCUCCGUGCAUCAAGGUGGCAGCGCUCACGACCGUGCAUGAGCCCAAGUCGUCUCCAGCUCCUGCUCUUCUCCAUGGCUGAGACGUACUACUCUCUUGUCCAUGGCGCUGCCUCCAUUGGAGAUGCAUAUGUAUGUGUUGUGCCUUGCACGCCUGAUGUAUGUGUGUGAAAGUGUGGUGAAUCGGAGAUGUAUGAAUGGAUGCGCGACUGCUUAAUCUGUUUGCAUUUUUUUCUUAUUAGUAGAUGAACUCGGUCGAAUCAACGCAUCUGCUGUGUUUGUCAAGUAUCAGUAAAAUUUCAACGAAAACUUUAGUGGCAAAAGCAAAACAAAAAACCAAGGGCAAUAUUGUCUUUGCCCUGCUUCAUUUGGUCAAACCGUGCCUUGACCUGACAGAAUGGCAUUUGUGAUACAUUGCCAAAUUUUAGAGUGGCAAAAAUGAGGUGUCAAAUUUUAGAGUGGCAUAAGUAAAAUUGGCAAAAAUUAGAGUGGCAAAAACAAAGUUUUCCCUUUUGAUUGUGCUGGUUUUAGCCCACGGCGGCGGCGCCCGUCGUUGUCUCAGCACCACUUCGUCAGCUGAAGCAAAACAAAACACUGGUUCCAGCUUUUGUCAAUAACUGUUCCAACAUCUACAUCACAUGGUUGUAGCUCUGCUACUAGUCGGUUCCAGCAAAAAUAAGAGGAUUGCGAGUCUUCGUCUCCGUCCACUCUUGCUGCAAAAAAACAAUGGUUCCAGCAUCCUGCUGCCCGGUUGUAGCAAAUUGUCGACGAUGGUGUCGCCGCUGCAGCUCUGGUGAGCACGGUUGUAGCACCUGCGAUCAAGGUUGUAGCAAAAAAUGUCGACGACGGCGUUGCCGUUUGCAACUCUGGUUAGCGUGGUUGCAGCUUCUAGGCAAUGCCCUGGCGGGUUGUAGCAAAUUAUGUAGCUGGUUGUAGCACACAAGGAUGCCGGUUCAGCAAAAACUCGUCAUGCCUUGGCCGGUGUGCACCACCACCACCGCUCGUUGUGCAGCCGUCGACGAUGAUUGUAGCAAGGCUGUGUGCAGCACCGCCACUCGCAGUCAUUGCGUCUUGAUGGACGGUUCCCGUAGCUACGUUGGAGGGACUCGAAGCCGGACUUAGGCGGAGGACUUCGCUGGUAUCUGCGAGGGUUCUAGGUGGCCAUGGCCUCGGGGAUGGGAGAGGGUCUUGCCCGCAAUGAUGGAGCGACGAUAUUGGGCGCUGAGCAAGCCGUGUAGGUGCACCGGUUCCAACUUAUCGGGGAGUCACUCGUCGGGGAAGAUUCCUGUGUUGGGCUGACCAGGGAUGGGAGUUUGGAGGUAGGGGAUUGGGAGCAAACAGAGACCGAGGACAACGAGUGGCUGCGCUGUGUUGCAGGGGGAUAAGACAGAAGGAGAAAGCAGUGUGCGUGUGGCCAAGAGCGAGGUGGUCGCGUGCACGAGUCCACAAAGUGUGUUAGCGAGCGAGGUGUCCGGUGGAAUGUUCGGCCAGCGCGCCGGAUACAAGCGUUUACCUUUUUUAGGGGCAAAGGACUUCUAUUCAGAACUACUACCCCAUCCUGGUUUAUUGGUCCCCAUUGUAUUUUGUGUCAAAUUUUGACCAUAAAAUUUAAUUAAAAAAUAUUCACGCAUGUCACAAAAAGUUAUGUCAUUGGAAACUAUGUUCAAAUAAGAAUCCAAUGAUAUAAUUUUUGUUGACAUGCAUUAAUAUUUUGUUAGUUAAAUAUUUGGUCAAAAUUUGGCACAAAUUACAAAGGGGACCAAUAAACCAGGACGGAGGUAGUACUGAACUAGUAAAUGUUUUUUUUGCAAGAUUGCUGAACUAGUAAGGCCUCAUUCAGUUUGGAGGAUUUUCAUAGGAAAAACAUAGGAACAAGGAUUCCAGAGGAAACUUUCCUAUAGAUGCAUUUGGUUUGUAGGAAGUGCGUACAUGAAUUUCGUAGGAACACUACUCAUUUCCUGUGUUUUGAAGGAAACUAGACAUCACUCAAAACUCAUUUUGCGCCUAAGAAUGAGGCAGGUCAAUUCCUUAGAAUGGCAAGUGCCAUCCUAUCAAAUUCCUAUACUAAUCCUAAUUCCUACGUUUUAGUUUUCUCUAAACCGAAUGAGCCCUAAAUGUUGCUUAGUGCGCCACGCACGUGUUGACACCAAUAAUCUGAAGGAAAUAUGCCCUAGAGGCAAUAAUAAAGUUGUUAUUUUAUAUUUCCUUAUUUAUGAUAAAGGUUUAUUAUUGAUGCUAGAAUUAUAUUGAUUGGAAACUUAAAUACAUGUGUGGAUACAUAAACAAAUACCGUGUCCCUAGAACGAAUGAUGCAAUGGACAAGACCCAUCCGUUAGCUUAACAUAUCAUCGUUCAGUUUAUUGCUAUUGCUUUCUUAAAUGUAAAAUAAAUAUUCCUUCAACUAUGAGAUCAUGCAAUUCCCGGAUACCAAAGGAAUACCUUGUGUGCUAUCAAACGUCACAAUGUAACUGGGUGAUCAUAAAGAUGCUCUACAGGUAUCUCCGAAGGUGUCUAUUGAGUUGGCAUGGAUCGAGAUUAGGAUUUGUCACUCCGUGUAUCGGAGAGGUAUCUCUGGGCCCUCUCGGUGAUACACAUCACAAGAAGCUUGCAAGCAAAGUGACUAAGGAUUUAGUUACGAUAUGAUGUAUUAUAGAAUGAGUAAAGAGACUUACUAGUAACAAGAUUGAAGUAGGUAUGAAGAUACCAACGAUCGAAUCUCAGGAAAGUAACAUACCGACAAAGGGAAUUACGUAUAUUGUCAUAAGCUUCGACCAAUAAAGAUCUUUGUAGAAUAUGUAGGAACCAAUAUGGGCAUCCAGGUUCCGCUAUUGGUUAUUGAUCAAAGAGGUGUCUCGGUCAUGUCUACAUAGUUCUCGAACCCGUAGGGUCCGCACGCUUAACGUUCGUUGACGAUAUAGUGUUAUAUGAGUUAUGUGAUUUGGUGACCGAAUGUUGUUCGGAGUCCAGGAUGAGAUCACGGACAUGACAAGGAGCUCCGAAAUGGUUCGGAGGUAAAGAUUGAUAUAUAAGACGAUGCUAUUCGGACACCGGAAAGGUUUCGGAGCGUAUCAGGUAGUCACCGGAUCACCAGAAGGGGUUCCGGGUAGCCCUAGAAUAGGGAUGGCAAUGGGUACCCAUUACCCAUGUACCCUGCGGGUAAAACCCCUAUUAGGGUAAGGGUAUGGGACAAAAAUACAUCCAUGGGUAUAUGAAUAGGGAAAUGUUAAACCCAUCGGGUAGAGUGGGUACGGGUAUGGGAUCAUGUAACCCAUACCCACAUACCCAUGUACCCAUAUGAAACCUAUAUGAAUUCAAAAUUAUCUCUACACUUUAUCAUGAAUUUGUGAACUCAAAAUAUACGACUAUGUGAUGAUGUUUUGAUGUGUUGUUGUUUACGAGAAAGUGAUGUUGUUUAUUAGAUAUGAUGUUGUUUACGAUGUGUUGUUGUUUAAAAGUGUGUUGUUGUUGUUAUAAUCUAUUACUGUUUAUAAAUUAUAAUUAUAUGUUGUUUUUAUGACUAUGAAUAGUUCAAACUGAUGCUUUCCAAACAUGGGUAAUUUUACCCAUGGGUACCUAUCGGUGUCAAAACCGGCGGAUCUCGGGUAGGGGGUCCCGAACUGUGUGUCUAGGCGGAUGGUAAUAGGAGACAAGGGACACGAUGUUUUUACCCAGGUUCGGGCCCUCUCGAUGGAGGUAAAACCCUACUCCUGCUUGAUUAAUAUUGAUGAUAUGGCUAGUACAAGAGUAGAUCUACCACGAGAUCGGAGUGGCUAAACCCUAGAAGCUAGCCUAUGGUAUGAUUGUUGUUCGUCCUAUGGACUAAAACUCUCCGGUUUAUAUAGACACCGGAGAGGGCUAGGGUUACACAGAGUCGGUUACAAUGGGAGGAGAUCUUCAUAUCGUAUCGCCAAGCUUGCCUUCCACGCCAAGGAAAGUCCCAUCCGGACACGGGACAGAGUCUUCAAUCUUGUAUCUUCAUAGUCCAGGAGUCCGACCAAAGGUCUUAGUCCGGCCAUCCGGACACCCCCUAAUCCAGGACUCCCUCAGUAGCCCCUGAACCAGGCUUCAAUGACGACGAGUCCGGUGCCCAAGUUGUCUUCGGCAUUGCAAGGCAGGUUCUCCUGCAAAUUCUCUGUAUCCGUCGAAUAGUGUCCGGCUUCUAGUGCGUGCUGUCCUCCUCGGCUUCUAUGCCCCAUAAUGACCAUCUUCCACGCGUCAAAUGAAUGCGAAAAGCUAGGGGGUUUUCUUUUCACUUACCCCCCGGUUGCGUUAAUGAGCCUCCCAUAAAAGAGACGGGGAUUUAGAUCCAAUUCGCACCAUCUUCCCUCCGCGAGUCUUCAUCAGAGCGCCUCUGACAGAGAUCCAUUCCAUCAUGGACAGUCGGUGCCGCUCCUCCUCUCACCCCUCCAGCCCUCAGCCCGGAGAUUGGGGGCGGUGUUCUGUCCCGCAUAGCAAAUUAGUAGUGCUUCAGUCCAAGGGGCUUCUCCCCCCAGCAUAUAUGGUCCCAGUUCGAGCUGGGAUUGCUUCCUAUAGCGGCAGAGAGCAGGCGGAGGGCAUUCCCAAUCCCUCUCAAGGAGAGAGGGUAUGCUUAGUCCCUUAUUUGAUGAGAGGACUAGGAUUUCCAAUUCAUCCGUUUCUCCGAGGGUUGCUGGAGUUCUACGGCCUCCAGCUACAUAACCUCACGCCCGCCUCCAUUUUGCACAUCGCGGGCUUCGUGGCCCUCUGCGAACUGUUCUUGGGUGUCGAGGCCCAUUUCGUGCUGUGGAAGAGGUUGUUUUGCCUUGUGCCCCGUUCUCAGGAGGGGUCUAUUUAUCAGGUGGGCGGAGCCGAACUAUGGCGCAUCGCCGGGACCGGAUAUCUAUCCGGCACCCCAAAGGGGGCGUCCAAAGACUGGCCCUCAGAGUGGUUUUAUAUAGAUGACGCCCCCCUGCCGGACCCUGUACGGAUCGGCCUCCCCGAGUUCAAUAAUGCCCCGUUGAAGAAGCGCCUGAGUUGGCGCCCACGGAACCCUCAGAGGGAAGCUGACAUGGACGUCCUGUACCUGAUGAGCCGGAUAAGGUUGUUGGCUCAUUCCGGACUGACCAUGAUUAAGGUCAUGGCCAUAUGCAUUACACGAGGGGUGCAACCGCUUCAAUACAGAGGCCACCCCAUGUGGGAUUUCAACGGGGAGGAUGACGCUACCCGGUGCGGUCGCAAGGGGCCAGAUUCGGCCGUCACUUUAACGAGAAUCUUAUCCGCUUUGUACAAGGGGGAAGAAGAAGAAUUCCUCCGUGUCAACCCGGAAGGCGGACUCUCCAUGUACAAUCCUCCUAGUUGGGUGAGCGGACACUUUCACUUGCCUAUCCGUUUUUGAAAUUCCCGUAGUUGAGUACUUAGACUAGUAAUGUUUAAACGCAGGAGCUGUGCCAGGCUGUGAAGGAAAUAAACAGCCCUGCUCCACAACCAGAGGACCCGGAACGGUCCCUCGAUCCGGACUCCCAAGAAGAUACGGACAUAUGCUUGGAGUUGAUUGAUGGAGUAUUUCAUCAAUUGAGCAAGGAUAACUCCUUAGUGGCCAUCACGGCCGACUAUCUCGGACUACUUCCAGCCUCCAAGGUAACUAAGACCGAAGUCCCAGUACUCUCAUGCUUUAUCUUGCAUGCCGUGUACUAACAUUGUUUCGCAGGGUAAAUCCUUGAGGCGGAAGGCCGAGCCCACGGUGGGCAGCCAACAAGGGCCGCUGAAGCCAGGCGGGCCAAAAAGAAGUGCGGACCAGAUCGAGAUUCUGGCGCAACGGUAUGGCGUGCGAAUUUAACGCCUAGGGUUUAUGCCCUUGAGUCUUACUAAUGCUCAUGAUUUUCUUAGAAAGAAGAGAGCCCGCCGGACUAUGUCCGCCGGCCAAGGUUCGAGGCCGGGUCCAGAAGCGGAGGCGGACACGGGACGCGCCUUGGGCGCUCCUUCGACAGAGGGCGCCGAUGGGCUAUCUGCCACUAAUUCAGAGGUGGAGAGUGCCCUGAACCACAGGCGUCGCCAGACUGUUCUUCGUGACGCGUGUUUUUCCCCAGAGGCGUUGGACGCCUUUAAUACAGGAGAUGCGUAUCUCCGUGCUGCUCAAAAUGGUCUAGCCAGAGCCACGAAGUAGUAUGUGAAAGACAUACAGGUGAGUAGAAUUGAAGGUUAUAUAUGUCAGUAGCCCCCGAGACUUGAAACAGUGAGAUAACUGUUUGAAGGAUCAUGUGCUAUGCAGUGUCUUACAAAGAAGAACAUGCAAUUGUCCCAGGAGCUCGAAGAGUGCAAGGCCCAGCUCGAGGCCGCAUUGGCCACUUCAGAAAAUGUCAAGGGGACGCCCGCAGGUAAUAUAUGCUUCGAAAGGUACUUCCGUUUUGAAAUGCAGCAGGCGUGCAACCCUGACGAUAAUAAUGCAGAUGAGGCCGGAGUAAAUCCAGACAAGCAACAACUCCUACGCCAACUAAAGGCUGGCGAGAGCGUGCUGACGAGGGUGAGGCAAGAGAAGAACAAGCUUCAAGACGCCAAUACCCAGCUGAGCGAGGAACUGAAAGAUGUUCGUAUUCAGCUGUCUUCUGCCGUGAAGGAGAAUCGGUGACUUCGACGCGGCAUUUUUAGUAAGUGCUUGAACGAAUCUUCGAAAAAAGAAUUCGGUGAGGAAGUCGAUUGACAAAGCUAUGUCUGUAGGUCUGCUGAUGGGUCGUCCUACGGAGGAAAUGCCCGGUUCAUCGGGAGACCUUCUUCCCGAGCUGUUGCAACUACACGAACGAGUUCGACAGGCAAUGCAAAGCGUCAUCUAGGCUAUGUGGCCAUCCCUCUCCAUGCCCGAAGGCCUUGAGGAGCUCACCAAGAAGCUGGAGGGAGUGCGACAGCGCUUCCAGUUGUGGAAGAUAUCGGCUUGCCGUCAAGGUGCCAGGGAGGCCUGGGCCAUGGUGAAGACUCGGUACACGAAGGCUGACCCAAACCACAUGGCCGAGGUCGGCCCUAUAGGUCCGGACGGAAAGGAGAUCCCGGUCAGCUUAGCAUAUGGCCAGGUGGAGCUGGCUGCAAAGUAUUCCCAACAUGACUGUAAAUUAGACCGCCUGGUGGAUGGUAUUGAAGAAGAAUAUGCUGAGUCGGAUUGACUCUGUAAAAAUGACAUAAAAAAUGCCUUCUAGCCGGAUUGUAGAUCGUUUGUCAUUACGGACCGUUUCGCUUCGACGUCUGGACCAUAUAGUCCGGAGUGUGUCCAAAUACCCUCUCGAUUAUGUAAGAACCGGGGCAUGCAUGGAGACAAGGCAUAGGGGUCAUAAGUGCUUUAGCAGACAAGUGCCCAACUAGUUAUGUUAUAUUACAUGGUUAGUAAGAAACAUCUUCCAGGGAUAAUAGUUUCGUUAGGGGUUCCUUUCCCUGGGAGGCAUGCCCUAAAGUGCAUGUCCGAACUGCCAGAAAGAGCAGAAAAGCAUCUGGGGGCAAAUGAAUAAAUACGAAAGAUCAUCUUUUAGUUCACCGACCGAAUAUUCCCUUAAGAACGCUAGCUUUCGGCUUCACCCAGUCCGAGGUACACAUCCGGCUGACCCGGCAGUAACAAUCGCAGAGGUGCUCCCUUUACCACCUAGCCGAACGAACGGGAAUGUAGGGGUAAGCACAGGAGCCAGGCAAUCCAGCUUGGCCAAAACUUAAGUCAUAUCGAUGCAUAUAACGGUGUAUAAAAGGUUCAUGCGGAAGCAUCGCACAUGUUUUGGGCAUGAGGCCCGUUUUAUAUAAACUUCUUGGUAAAGAAGCCCUCAGGUAUUAUGAGCGCAGGUACCGCAUCGGGUAUGUGCGAAUAAUGCACCGGCAAGCCCCUAAGGGCUUGUGAGAAAAAAAGGUAGGGAGAAGGAACAAAAUCCCGGACUGCCAAUAAAAAAUAAAAAAUAAAACAAAGGGAUGGAGGAAGGAAACGAACACGGAGUCCGGCGCUAGGUGUAGAACCUUCGUAGGCGUGCUGCAUUCCAUGGGUUCGGCUCGAGUCGGUUAUCCGAUGCGUUUCGCAGACGGUACGCUCCGCCGGUCAGUACUUGGUCGAUUAUGAAGGGGCCCUCCCAUUUGGGCUUUAAUUUAUCCUUUUUCUUGUCCGGCAGGCGUAGAACUAGUUCGCCAACGUUAUAGGUUUUGGCCCGUACUUCUCUGCUUUGGUAUCUUCGAGCCUGCUGUUGAUAGAAUGCGGAACGAGCUUUUGCCACAUCGCGCUCCUCUUCCAAUGCGUCCAAGCUGUCCUGCCGAUCGAGCUCGGCUUCUCUUUCUUCGUACAUGCGCACUCGAGGUGAGUCAUGGAUUAUGUCGCAUGGCAGUACUGCCUCUGCGCCGUAUACCAUAAAAAAUGGUGUGAAUCCGGUAGUGCGAUGCGGCAUGGUCCGCAGCCCCCAGAGUACGGAGUCAAGCUCCUCUGCCCAGUGCGUGUUAGAUUCCUUGAGGGAUCGCACUAGUCUGGGUUUGAUGCCGCUCAUAAUGAGACCAUUGGCCCGUUCGACUUGACCGUUAGUUUGAGGGUGAUAGACUGAAGCAUAGUCGAGCUUGAUGCCCAUGUUUUUGCACCAAAGUUUGACUUCAUCGGCCGUGAAGUUUGUGCAGUUGUCGGUUAUGAUGCUGUGGGAGACGCCGUAACGGUGUACAACCCCGGAUAUGAAGUCUAUCACUGGUCCGGAUUCGUCCGUCUUUACAGGCUUGGCUUCUAUCCAUUUGGUGAAUUUGUCCACCAUGACCAGUAGAUAUUUUUGCUUGUGGGUUCCUCCUUUAAGGGAUCCGACCAUGUCAAGCCCCCAGACCGCGAAAGGCCAGGUAAUGGGUAUAGUUUGUAGGGCGGUAGGCGGCAUGUGGCUUUGGCUGGCGAAUAAUUGGCAACCAACACAUCGUUGCACUAAGUCCUGAGCGUUUGCCCGGGCCGUUGGCCAAUAAAAUCUGGUACGGAAGGCCUUGCUUACAAGGGCCCGGGCUGCGGCAUGGUGCCUGCCGAGUCCGGCAUGAAUUUCAGCCAAAAGGUCUCGCCCUUCCUCUUCGGAGAUACACCUUUGAAGGACUCCGGUUGUGCUUUUCUUGUAAAGCUCUCCCUCGUGGACUUUGUAGGCUUUAGAUCACUGCACUAUGCAGCGGGCCUCGUUUUGGUCCUCGGGAAGUUCCUGCCUAGUUAGGUAGGCUAGGAAUGGUUCUGUCCAAGGUGCAAUGACUACCAUUAUUGCGUGGGUUGACGGCGUUGUUUCGUUGGCGGAGCCCCCAACUGUGUCAGAAUGUUCAGUGAGGGGCGGUGUAGUUGUGUCCAGGCUAUUGUUUCUGGAUUAUCCUUCCCCUGAUACGGAUGGCUUGAACAGCCUUUCUAGGAAGAUGUUGGGAGGGACGGCCUCGCGCUUGGCGCCAAUGCGUGCCAGCACGUCUGCUGCUUGGUUAUUUUCCCGGGCUAUGUGAUGAAAUUCAAGCCCCUCAAAGCGAGCUGACAUCUUUAAGAUGGCGUUGCGGUAAGCUGCCAUUUUCGGAUCCUUGGCGUCGAAGUCUCCAUUUAUUUGGGAUAUUGCGAGGUUUGAAUCCCCGCGGACCUCUAGGCGCUGAAUGACCAUGGAGACUGCCAUCCAGAGGCCAUGUAAAAGGGCCUCAUAUUCGGCUGCGUUGUUGGAAUCCGUGUACAUUAUCUGAAGUACGUAUUGGACUGUGUCUCCGGUUGGGGACGUCAGAACGACGCCAGCCCCCAGGCCAGCCAACAUUUUGGAGCCGUCGAAGUGCAUGAUCCAGUUGGAGUAUGCGCCGUACUCUUUAGGGAGUUCGGCUUCAGUCCAUUCGGCGAUGAAGUCGUCCAAAACCUGCGACUUAAUUGCUUGCCUUGGCUUGUAGGUUAUGUCGAACGGGAGGAGCUCGAUGGCCCAUUUGGCAAUCCGUCCCGUUGCGUCGCGGUUGUUUAUAAUAUCAUUAAGGGGUACUUCGGAUGCCACUGUUAUGGAGCACUAUUGAAAGUAGUGUCGCAGCUUCCGGGAUGCCAUGAACACCGCAUACGCUAUCUUUUGAUAAUGCGGGUACUGUGACUUGCAUGGAGUUAGUACAGUGGACACAUAGUACACUGGUUUUUGGAGGGGGAACUUGUGUCCGUCCGCUUCUCCUUUGACGACGAGCACCACGCGUACAACUUGAUGGGUUGCCGCGAUGUAUAAUAGCAUUGGUUCACCCGUGUUGGGCGCGGCCAGGACCGGAUUUGUUGCCAGUAUGGCUUUUAUUUCUUCGAGUCCGGUCAUGGAGGCAUCCGUCCACUCGAAGUGGUCGGUGCGCCGCAGGAGGCGAUAGAGGGGUAAUGCCUUUUCUCCUAAGCGGGAGAUAAAGCGGCUUAGAGCUGCCACGCAUCCUGUCAGCUUUUGUAUCUGUUUGAGGUCCUUUGGGGUAUCCAAUUGUGACAGAGCUCGGAUCUUGGCUGGGUUUGCUUCAAUUCCUCUACCGGAUACGAUGAAGCCCAAGAGCUUUCCGGCUGGUACGCCAAAAACCCAUUUUUCCGGGUUGAGCUUAAUGUCAUAUGUUCGGAGAUUAUCGAACGUGAGCCUCAAGUCGUCUACUAGAGUAUCGACGUGUUUUGUUUUGACGACCACAUCAUCUAUGUAUGCUUCAACUAUUUUGCCGAUCUGGUUGGCCAGACAUGUCUGAAUCAUGCGCUGAUAUGUUGCGCCGGCGUUUUUGAGCCUGAAGGGCAUUGUGUUGAAGCAGAAUGGGCCGUAUGGGGUGAUGAAUGCCGUUGCAGCUUGGUCUGACUCUGCCAUCUUGAUUUGAUGGUAGCCAGAGUAUGCAUCGAGGAAACACAAUGAGUCAUGUCCUGCGGUGGCGUCGAUGAUUUGAUCAAUUCGGGGGAGUGGGAAAGGGUCCUUUGGACAUGCCUUGUUUAGGUCUUUGAAAUCGACACAUAGGCGCCAAGAUUUGUCCUUCUUUGGUACCAUCACCAGGUUUGCUAGCCAGUCCAGAUGUUUUAUGUCUCUGAUGAAUCCGGCUUCCAGCAGUUUUGCUAGCUCCUCUCCCAUGGCUUGUCUCUUGGGUUCGGAAAAACGCCGUAGAGUCUGCUUGACGGGUUUAAACCCUUUUAGGAUGUUCAGGCUGUGCUCAGCCAGCCUGCGUGGGAUUCCUGGCAUAUCUGAGGGGUGCCAGGCGAAAAUGUCCCAAUUUUCUCGCAGGAAGUCUCUGAGUGCGGCGUCUGCAUCGGGUUUUAGUUGUGCCCCGAUGGAGGCCGUUUUUGUAGGGUCUGUUGGAUGGACUUGGAAUUUGACUAUCUCAUCCGCUGGUUUAAAAGAGGUGGACUUGGAUCUCUUGUCUAGUAUCACAUCGUCCCUGUCCAUCGUAGAGCGCAACACAGUUAAUUCCUCGGCCGCUAGGGCCUCGGAUAAUGCCUCCAGGGCCAGUGCGGCUGUCUUGUUUUCAGCGCGGAGCGCUAUGUCCGGAUCACUUGCGAGAGUGAUGAUUCCAUUGGGUCCGGGCAUUUUGAGCUUCAUGUACCCGUAAUGGGGUAUGGCUUGGAAAAUUGUAAAGGCUUCUCGCCCUAGCAGAGCGUGGUAUCCGCUGCUGAAUGGGACCACUUGAAACGUGACCUCCUCGAAUCUGUAAUUAUCCGGCGUGCCGAACACCACAUCCAGUGUGAUUUUUCCUGAACAGCAUGCUUCCUGGCUUGGAAUUAUUCCCCUAAAAGUUGUGUUGCUUCGCUCAAUGCGGCUCCAGUCAAUUUCCAUUUUUCGCAGGGUUUCCUCGUAGAUGAGGUUGAAUUCACUGCCGCCGUCCAUGAGUACCUUUGUAAGUCGGAAGCCGUCCACUAUUGGACUGAGGACCAAUGCGGCUGGUGCUCGGGUUGUCCGGAAUUUAGGUUCAUCACUGGCAUUAAAAGUGAUAGCCGUGUCACUCCAUGGGUUUAUUGUUGCUACUUGGUAGACUUCGGCAAGGUUGCAGAGCGUUCGUUUCGUUGCAUUGUUUGAUGUGAAGGUCUCAAAGACUGUCGACACCGUACUGGGGAGGUAUUCUUCGAGUGCUGGAGUUAAAAGCUCCUUGCCACUUCGGGCUACCUGCCGUAGUAUCCAACAUGCUCUAAGGCUGUGCGUUGGUGUGGCUUCCCCUGAAUUAUGAAUUUUAUAGGGUCCAUUGAGCCAUCCUUCCAGUACGGUCCCGUACCCUGUAGAGGGUUUUUGUUUUUUAAUGUUUGGCUCAGAUGCCUGGCGAUGAUGCGCCCUUUUGUAUCGGACUGGUGUUGUAUUCGGGGCCGGAUUGUCCCAGAAUUUAUCUUCAGUUUUCCGAACGCUUUCAGUCGCACAGUACUUUCGUACGAUGGAUGUCAAGUCGGCGAAUCGUGUAAUUUCGCGGUGACUUAUGGCGUUGCGGAUUCCGAUGUCCGUGCAGUUGUUACAGAAGAGUGAAAUUGCUUCUUUCUCGCGGCAGUACUUUAUCCUAUUCAUAACCAGGAGGAAUCUGGCCCAAUAGUGGUGUACUGUUUCUCCGGGCUCUUGCCGUAUUAGGGAUAAAUCCCGUGUAGUUGGGUGGGCGGGUGGAAUUAAAUCCGGAACCCUGCCCGAUGUAAGAUUCAGGGGCCAAGCGGUUUCCGAAUUCGGAAGCUUGCUUUCUUGGAUAUUAUUCAAUGAAUCGGGCCUGCUGCCUGACUUUAGGUUCAGGGUUUGGGCGACAUCCUCCCCUCCGCGGGUAUCCGGCUUGGAGGGAUCGGGAAUCCGGACACAUCUGGUCCUUAGGGCGGGCGAAGACUCGCUGCAUUGUUCUUCCACCACUUCGACAUGAUGGGUGAUCUGGGGAGAGUCAAUCUCUCUCUGCUCAGGUUUAAGCCCAAUUUGGUCGUAAUCAGUAGCGACUCCCAGGGCCAAGAUGCGAUCCAAGAGCUCAUUCAGGGAGAGGAGCUCCAUUGGAUCUAACUGCUCGGCAAGCUCCGAGCGGAUGUGAAGAUUGCUUUCGAUGGCCCGAGAGGUCAUCGUCGGCGCGGCGGCCGGACAGGCGGUCAUCAAAAACCUGCCUAGCCAGAGAGUUUGGUCGACAGCCAAAGCUCCUUUAGCAACGACGCCGUCUUUAAAGACGGGAUGUGGCAUCCUUCCUGAUGGUGACGACAUAGCGGAACUCUCAAUGAAAGCACCAAUGUCGGUGUCAAAACCGGCGGAUCUCGGGUAGGGGGUCCCGAACUGUGCGUCUAGGCGGAUGGUAACAGGAGACAAGGGACACGAUGUUUUUACCCAGGUUCGGGCCCUCUCGAUGGAGGUAAAAUCCUACUCCUGCUUGAUUAAUAUUGAUGAUAUGGGUAGUACAAGAGUAGAUCUACCACGAGAUCGGAGUGGCUAAACCCAAGAAGCUAGCCUAUGGUAUGAUUGUUGUUCGUCCUACGGACUAAAACUCUCCGGUUUAUAUAGACACCGGAGAGGGCUAGGGUUACACAGAGUCGGUUACAAUGGGAGGAGAUCUUCAUGUUAUAUCGCCAAGCUUGCCUUCCACGCCAAGGAAAGUCCCAUCCGAACACGGGACGGAGUCUUCAAUCUUGUAUCUUCAUAGUCCAGGAGUCCGGCCAAAGGUCUUAGUCCGGCCAUCCGGACACCCCCUAAUCCAGGACUCCCUUAGUACCCAUAUACCCUGUCGGGUAAUGGGUAUGGGAAAAAUUAUAUGCAUUGAUGGGUAUGGGUAAGGGUGAUGGGUAAGCUCAAAAGGGAUGGGUAAGGGUAUGGGGUGGCUCCACCCGUAUCCAAACCUUGCGGGUGCCAACCCUACCCUGGAAGGUUAAUGGGCCUUAUAGGCCAAGAGGGCGAACACACCAGCCCACAAGGGGCUGGUGCGCCCCUUCCCUUGGGUUUUGGCCCUAUGGAUGUAAAGGAGGGAGGGCUAGCCCAUAUUUCAUUCCCUCCACCUAGGAGGAAGGAAGGGGGGGGUGUCGGUGUCAAAACCGGUGGAGCUCGGUAGGGGGCCCCGAACUAUGCGUCUAGGUGGAUGGUAAUAGGAGACAAGGGACACGAUGUUUUUACCCAGGUUCGGGCCCUCUCGAUGGAGGUAAAACCCUACUCCUGCUUGAUUAAUAUUGAUGAUAUGGGUAGUACUAGAGUAGAUCUACCAUGAUAUCGGAGUGGCUAACCCUAGAAGCUAGCCUAUGGUAUGAUUGUUUUUCGUCCUACGGACUAAAACUUUAUAGACACCGGAGAGGGCUUGGGUUACACAGAGUCGGUUACAAUGGGAGGAGAUCUUCAUAUCGUAUCGCCAAGCUUGCCUUCCACGCCAAGGAAAGUCCCAUCCGGACACGGGACGGAGUCUUCAAUCUUGUAUCUUCAUAGUCCGGGAGUCCGGCCAAAGGUCUUAGUCCAGCCAUCCGGACACCCCCUAAUCCAGGACUCCCUCAGUAGCCCCUGAACCAGGCUUCAAUAACAACGAGUCUGGCGUGCAAGUUGUCUUCGGCAUUGCAAGGCGGGUUCCUCCUCCGAAUAUUUCAUAGAAGAUGUUGAACACCAGGGUAGUGUCCGGCUCUGCAAAAUAAGUUCCACAUUUCACCGUAGAGAGAAUAUUAUUUGCAUUAAUCGGAUCUGCUGACGUAUUUCGCGGCGUGACAUCAUGCCACGGCCAGGCUUUUAUUCAUUUUAUUGUUCCACCUCAGUGCGUUUAGCAAGGCAGUUUCCUUGGCACGUCUUGUCAAAGCAGAGAUCGUGUCCCCUUAUUCCGGGAUUCUCAUCAAUACGGGUGUGGGUAACCCAACCACGUCAUUAACCGCGGCGCUUGGGAGAUAAGCGAGUUUUAUCAAGCCGGUGGGGGGCUCGUAGUUUUCACCGCCCAUAUAAGGGGAUAAGAAUCCGUCCUUUCCAUUCAUGCCUUCUUCUUCCUCUUCUUAUCCAUCCCUGCGCGCUCGAGCUCCAGCGCCCAAGCCCGCACUUCCCACCUCAACCUUCUCCAACCAUGUCCGGAGCGGGAGGUAGAUGGAUGGCCUCCUCCGUCACGGAGGGGCAACUCAAAAAACUGACGAAGGCCGGAUACUUGUCUAACGACAUCGCGCACCGGCUUCCAAAUGUGGGGCAACUCAUCCCCACCCCCAGGCCCCAUGAGAGGGUUGUUUUUCUUCCCCAUUUCCUCCGCGGACUGGGUUUUCCUCUUCACCCGUUCGUCCGGGGGCUCAUGUUCUACUACGGCCUGAACUUCCACGAUCUGGCCCCGAACUUCAUCCUCAAUAUCUCAGCGUUUAUCGUCGUGUGUGAGGCCUUCUUCCGCAUCCAACCCCACUUUGGCCUAUGGCUGAAGAUCUUCAGCGUCAAGCCGAAGGUCGUGAAAGGCCGACAAGCAGAAUGCGGAGGUGCUAUGGUGGGAAAGAUGGCCAACGUCACUUGGCUCGAGGGUGCCUUCGUGGAAACCAUCAAAGGGUGGCAAUCGGGGUGGUUUUAUAUCACCGAGCCGCGUGACCCAAAGUGGGCAGCGGCCCCGGAAUUUCGAUCCGGCAUCCCCACCCGGCUCACAUCUUGGAAAGAGACGGGCCUGUCGUGGGGCAAUCCGGAAGAGGUGACCGUACUCCAAACCUGCGUCCGAGACCUGGUGACCAAGAAGGUCAAGCUUGUCAACGUGGUCCAGGUCAUGCUCUUCCGCCGGAUCCUCCCGUGUCAAUGACGGGACUUCAAUUUGUGGGAGUUCGACCUGGCCCAGCACCAGACUCUAUCCCGGCUCUUCGAAACGAAGCACGAGGACGCUUGGAAGGUGCUUUUCAAGAGUUCCGAGGUCUCCCCUCCCGUCACCGAGGAUCCCGGAUUCUGCGCCAAACGUCAAGCCUCUGAAGUAAGCUUACAUUUAGUCCCUUACGGGAUACCCAAAUUUCAUAGUGUGACUUUAUGUGGGAUCUAAACUCCCGUUCCUUUGAUAGGACUGGAAGAGGACAUCCGGACAGUUUGGCUGUCCGGCUCCUUUGCCCGAAGGCCCAGCAGAUGCGCAAUUAGCAAAGCUACUGGUUCUGGCACCUCACGUGGUGCCGGAGAAGAAGGCCAAGGAGAAGGCCACGGGGACCCGAAAGAGUUCCCGGUGCCCGGUGGCGUCGGAUUUGCCCGACAACCCCAAUGCACCCUCCGCCUCCGAAGACGAGGAGGAGGAGGAGGAAGAAGAAGCCUCUCCCCCUCCAACGGGAGGGAGGAACAAAAAGAAAGGCCGCCCCAACUGGGGAAGCCAGAGGGUCCAAGAAGGGGAAGACCCUUCUGCCGGACUACGCCCCCAACGCCAAAGACGACAGGGGGGAAUGGCCAUCCAGGGUCAAGCCCCUGGCAAAAUCGUGAGUGUCCGGCUACCCGAAUGACUUAUUGCACUCCUUUAUUAUUCGAUAGCUUCUAAUGCCGAAUCUAAUUAUGCAGUCCACCCAGAGCUCAGCUUGGCGACUCGUCGAGCGGCUCUCUGAAUUCGUCGGACGUGAAUAGCGCUUCACUUCCGACGGCCUCCUCCCCUCUCCCUACAGACGACACUGAGGUGGAGUCCCAAAGGGGACAAAACCAGGAGGAGGUGGUCCUGGAGGCGCCACAAUGUUGGAGAACGUUGCAGAAAACAAAAAUUUUCCUACAGUUUCACCAAGAUCCAUCUAUGAGUUCAUCUAGCAACGAGUGAUUAGAUGCAUCUACGUACCUUGUAGAUCGCGAGCGGAAGCGUUCAAUGGAACGGGGUUGAUGGAGUCGUACUCGCCGUGAUUCAGAUCACCGAUGAUCUAGUGCCGAACGAACAGCACCUCCGUGUUCAACACACGUACGGAACAGCCACGUCUCCUCCUUCUUGAUCCAGCAAGGGGGGAGGAGAGGUCGAGGGAGAUGGCACCAGCAGCAGCACGGCGGCGUGGUGUUGAUGGAGCUGCAGUACUCCGGCAGGGCUACGCCAAGCACUAUGGAGGAGGAGGAGGUGUUGGAGAGGGAGAAGGAGACAACCAAAGGCCUGGGGUCGGUUUGCUCCUCCUUUUCCCCACUAUAUAUAGGGCCAAGGGAGAGGGGGAGGCGCAGCCCUUGCCCCUUCCUCCAAGGAAGGGUGCGGCCAAGGGGGGAGGAGUCCAUCCUCCCCAAGGCACCUCGGAGGUGCCUUCCCCCUUUAGGACUCUCCCCUUUUUUUCUUCUCUUGGCGCAUGGGCCUCUUGGGGCUGGUGCCCUUGGCCCAUGUAGGCCAAGGCACACCCCCUACAGCCCAUGUGGCCCCUGGGGAUGGGUGGCCCCACCCGGUGGGCCCCCGGGACCCUUCCGGUGGUCCCGGUACAAUACCGAUAACCCCGAAACUUGUCCCGAUGCCCGAAACAGGACUUCCCAUAUAUAAAUCUUUACCUCCAGACCAUUCCGGAACUCCUCGUGACGUCCGGGAUCUCAUCCGGGACUCCGAACAACAUUCGGGUUACUGCAUAUACAUAUCCCUACAACCCUAGCGUCACUGAACCUUAAGUGUGUAGACCCUACGGGUUCGGGAGACAUGUAGACAUGACCGAGAUUGCUCUCCGGUCAAUAACCAACAGCGGGAUCUGGAUACCCAUGUUGGCUCCCACAUGCUCCAUGAUGAUCUCAUCGGAUGAACCACGAUGUCGAGGAUUUAAUCAACCCCGUAUGCAAUUCCCUUUGUCAAUCGGUAUGUUACGUGCCCGAGACUCGAUCGUCGGUAUCCCAAUACCUUGUUCAAUCUCGUUACCGGCAAGUCACUUUACUCGUACCGCAAUGCAUGAUCCCGUGACCAGACACUUGGUCACUUUGAGCUCAUAAUGAUGAUGCAUUACCGAGUGGGCCCAGUGAUACCUCUCCGUUAUCCGGAGUGACAAAUCCCAGUCUCAAUCCGCAUAAAACAAUAGAUACUUUCGGAGAUACCUGUAAUGCACCUUUAUAGUCACCCAGUUACGUUGUGACGUUUGAUACACCCAAAGCAAUCCUACGGUAUCCAGGAGUUACACGCUCUCAUGGUCAAAGGAAGAGAUACUUGACAUUGGCAAAGCUCUAGCAAACGAACUACACGAUCUUUGUACUAUGCUUAGGAUUGGGUCUUGUCCAUCACAUCAUUCUCCUAAUGAUGUGAUCCCAUUAUCAAUGACAUCCAAUGUCCAUAGCCAGGAAAUCAUGACUAUCUGUUGAUCAAUGAGCUAGUCAACUAGAGGCUUACUAGGGACAUAUUAUGGUCUAUGUAUUCACACGUGUAUUACGACUUCCGGAUAAUACAGUUAUAGCAUGAAUAAAGACAAUUAUCAUGAACAAAGAAAUAUAAUAAUAAUGCUUUUAUUAUUGCCUCUAGGGCAUAUUUCCAACACACAAGGCGACCUUCCAGACUCCAGGCCCAAAGGGGGUAAAGCCCCGGAGGGAUCUAAGUCCGGCCUCGGGCCGGACACUGCUCCGGAACCAUCAGCGGUUCCAGAGUCCGACAGGCGGCUUAUGAGUGCGGUGAUUCAGAAGGUUUAGUCCGCCAAGAGCGGGCUGACAGAAGCCUGUACAAGCCUGUUAACGGGCUUUGAGGUAUGUGUUCAAAAACAUAUAUAUAAAAUAUAACUGCAUAGACAGUAGCCCCUGAUGCUCAGUUCGGUGUUCGGAAAGAAAAGCCAAGCUGAGGAUCUAAAAAGAUAUACACAGGAGUCUAAUAGAAAUAUGUCAAUAUGGGAAUGCAGGCUACGCUGCUGACCUCUGCCGCACUGACUGCGGAGGUCAAUGCAUUGAAGGAAAGCCUCGAGCGGUUCGAGAGAGAGCUCGGCCGUGCCAAGAAGUAGCUCGAGGAUAAAGAGGGUACAUAGUACCUCCUGUAAAUGUAUAUAGAAAUACUUGGUUGCAAAAUAAGAACAGGACCAAUGUUAAUGUUGCAGGAGCCACGACCGAGGUGGCGACCCUGAAAGAGGCGGUCUCCAAGGCCGAAAAGAGUGCGGGCUUGGAGCACACCGAGCGAGAGAAGCAGGAGGCGCGGGUGGCGGAGGUGCGGCAAGAGCUCCAGGCCCUUGUGGAAAAACACGAGAGUUUGGAGCGUGACUCGAAGACUCGAGAGUCCGAGCUUGCCUUGGCUCUUGAGAGUGCCAAGACCGCCAAGGCCGAAGCCCAGAAGGCCCUUCAAGAGAUCGAGGCGAUGAAGAAGAUAGCGGUGGGUAAGGCAUUCUUUAUGCAAAACAAAGACAUAAAAGUUAAUUAUCUGCUACUUACCUGAAUCCGGAGCUCUCCAGGAGCAUUCGCCGAUCUGCCCCGUAGUGUGUCUGAUGCCGCCGCAUACUACCGAGCCGAAGAGGGGAGCUCGACGGAAAAAGUGUUCUGGUCUCAGUAUGCUGAGGCCGAACAUCCGGUGCCCCUGAGUGACCAGCUGAAGCAGCUGGUCGAGCUCCACAAGGUGGCCGAACAGGCCAUGAAGGGCCUCAUAGCUCGGCUGUGGCCUGGAGAAGUCAUACCUAGGAGCUACUUCGGUCUGGUGCGGCGGCUGGUGGACGCGUGUCCGUGGAUUGAGGUCGUCAAGCGCUCCGUUUGUAUUGAAGGUGCCCGUCGGGCCCUUGCCCGUGCUAAGGUGCACUGGGGCAAGCUAGAUGUGGAGAAGCUAUUGACGGACGCGCCACCGCCGGGCAAGGAGUAUCAUACGCCCGAGAUGUAUUAUAAUGGCGUUCUGAAGGGUGCCCGCCGUAUAGCGGAUGAGUGCUCCAAAGAUGUAAUUUUUGAGUAGACUCGCAUUUGUUAUCCUGUACGCUGAAGCUUUGUUCAUAUGCGUUAAGCAACACUUGUUAAUUUAAAAUAUUACCUUCUGUGCGGCCGUUUAUCAAAUCUGAGAGAUGCAAGUCGUCGGCUUCGACCCCCAUGCCACGAGUGUUGGGGUGUUCGGGAUAAACCUGAGCGCUCUUGUUCCCAUUCUUGGGUCCAUCUAGGGAGGCGUUCAACACAAUGAACCAGGCCGUCAGACUUAUAAUGCUUUAUCACUCUCACUUAGCCACAGAAAUCUAUAAUUUUAAAUUUCGGCGUAGCCCCUAGUAUUCGGAAGACCGAGUUCGGGGCGCUAUCCACGCCUAGGCCGGAUAAGUCCGGUUCCUCGCUCGAAGCGGCAUAAGUCUUUAAGGACUCGAAGAAACCUCGCGAACAGCGACCGGUCUCUCACAUUAUCAUGAUAGUCAGUUUUAGCUUUCUCUACUGAGGUGUUAACCCAGCUCAACUGGGGCACAAUCGCAGUAGUUCUCCCAGCGCUACCUUAGCCAACAAUGCGGAACGUAAGGUACCAAAACAUGGGAGCCGUGCAAACCCAACUAUUGACCAAAGACAUGAUUCGGAGCCGAUGCAUAUAGUGCUAUAAGUUCGGGGUGCCGCACUCGUGAGAGUGUUCGGUCUUCUCACACCAUGUUAUGGGGUGUUGUAAGCCCCUGGUGUAUUGUCCGCACCAAAGUGUACGGUUGCAGAAUGUCAUGACUGAACAUAUUUGUAUAUAAAAAUAGAUAUGUACAAUAAUAGGUAAGAACUAUAUAUUGUUUAUUAAAAAAGGGCUGCUGCGAAAGCAAAACGAUACAAGAAGUGCGGUAAGCAAGAGAUGGGAGUAUUUGACAUAUUCCCCUCCAGGGGAAAGCUGCGGGAUUGUAAGUAAAACAUGUAUUAAACUCGUUAUAGAGACCACCUAGACUUUUGGCGUGGCUUGCUCCCUCCCUCCCUGGCUGUUGCAUCGUGGGUUCGGCGAGUGUAUUGCCGGACGGGCCUUCCGAAUAGUUGGGUCCUGAAAGUGUGUAAAAAGGAAAAUGGCGAAAUAGGGAGCCCCUUAGUGCGCUUGAGCCGCAUUCUGGGCGUGCCAUUGUUGUGCCCCUACCCUUAUGCCCAUGGUAUCUCUAAGGCGUAAUUAUGUACGCGUGGUACCAGUAUCGCCAUUUGGCGGGGGCUGGGGUUGGGGCCGCACUGCUAUGCUUGCUCAGAACGUGCCAGCCGGAUUUGUUGUAGGUUACGAGGUCCUGGCAUCUUGAGCUUGAGAUAUGCGUAGUGCGGCACCGCAUUGAAUUUUGCAAAUGCAGUUCGGCCAAGCAGGGCGUGAUAGCCGCUGCGGAAUGGGACUAUGUCGAAGAUUAACUCCUCGCUCCGGAAGUUAUUCGGGGAUCCGAAGACCACUUCGAGUGUAACCGAGCCUGUACAGCUGGCCUCUACCCCUGGUAUGACACCUUUGAAGGUUGUCUUUGUGGGUUUAAUCCUUUAAGGAUCGAUGCCCAUUUUUCGCACUGUGUCCUGGUAAAGCAGGUUCAGGCUACUGCCGCCAUCCAUUAGGACUCUGGUAAGGUGAAAUCAAUCGAUAAUUGGGUCUAGGACCAGUGCGGCGAAUCCGCCAUGAUGGAUGUUGGUGGGAUGGUCCCUUCGAUCGAAGGUGAUCGGGCAGGAGGACCAUGGGUUGAACUUUGGGGCGACUGGCUCCAGCGCAUAGACGUCCUUGAGAGCAUGCUUCCGCUCCCUUUUGGGGAUGUGGGUUGCGUAUAUCAUGUUCAUCGUCCGAACUUGCGGGGGAAAUCCCUUCCGUCCUUUGUUGUUCGGCGACUGGGGCCCCUCCUCGUCAUCGCUAUGUAGCCCCUUGUCUCUGGUCUCGGCACUUAACUUGCCUGCCUGCUUGAACACCCAACAAUCCCUGUUGGUGUGAUUGGCUGGCUGUUCGGGGGUGCCGUGUAUCUGGCAUGAGCGAUCGAGUAUCCGGUCUAAGCUGGAUGGGCCCUGAGGGUUUCUUUUGAAUGGCUUCUUCCACUGACCCGGUUUAGAGCCUCUGAAUCCGGCAUUGACUGUCGUAUCUUCAGUAUUGUCACCGUUAAUGCGGCGCUUAUGCUUGUUGCGACGUGACCUGCCAUUGUUAUCCUUGGUAUCCGAAUUGCCGGGGCUCUUGGUUAUGUUAUUGCUACGAGCUAGCCAGCUGUCUUCUUCCGCACAGAAGCAGGUCAUGAGUGUCAUGAGGGCUGCCAUAGAUUUCAGCUUUUCCUGUCCUAGGUGCCGGGCAAGCCAUUCAUCUCGGAUGUUGUGCCUGAAGGCUGCAAGGGCCUCGGCGUCCGGACAAUCAACUAUUUGGUUUUUCUUGGUUAGGAACCGUGUCCAGAAUUGUCUGGCCGAUUCCUCUGGCUGCUGGAUUAUGUGGCUUAGGUCAUCGGCGUCUGGUGGUCGCACAUACGUGCCCUGGAAGUUGUCAAGGAAUGCGGAUUCCAGGUCCUCCCAACAACUAAUUGACUCUGCUGGCAGGCUGUUAAGCCAAUGUCGAGCUGGUCCUUUAAGCUUGAGCGGGAGGUAUUUGAUGGCGUGUAGAUCAUCACCACGGGCCAUGUGGAUAUGAAGGAGAUAAUCCUCGAUCCAUACCGCAGGAUCUGUUGUGCCAUCGUAUGAUUCAAUGUUUACGGGUUUGAAGCCCUCGGGGAUUUGAUGAUCCAUUACUUCGUCUGUGAAGCAUAGUGGGUGUGCGGUGCCCCUGUACUAGGCUAUAUCACGACGCAGCUCGGACGAGCUUGGUCUGUUGUAUUCGGCCGGGCCAUACUUAUUAUGUCUGGCGUGACGGCUAGCGUCACGUGAAGCGGGGCGCCCAUGCGAUCCGUAGAUCGAUCUUGUUUGCUUUGCCUUAUUCUCCAAGAUGUCUCGCAGGUCUGUUGCGUCUCCCCGUACUCUGGUAUGUUUUGAGCGGUGUCGGGGUGCGGCUUGGGUUGAGGGCCUGAAGGCCUCUCUAUCGCGGCCAUAGGGUGGCCGAUCGGGCGCAUCAUACGCUGGUGAUGUAGGUUUAGUUGCUUCCUCCUCAAGUUUGGGUAGUAGCCUGCGCUUUGGGUAGCUCUUGGAUGGGCGUUCUAGUUUAUACUCUUUGGCCGCCAGGACUUCGGUCCAUCUGUCGGCUAGCAAGUCUUGGUCAGCUCUAAGCUGCUGCUGUUUCUUCUUGAGGCUGCUUGCCAUGGCUACGAGCCUGCGUUUGAAACGCUCUUGUUCGACGGGAUCCUCUGGCACGACGAAUUCGUCGUCGUCGAGGCUUGCCUCGUCUUCGAAGGGAGGCAUGUAAUUGUCGUCCUCAUCCUCUUUGUCGGCCGCUCGCUCAUGAGGGCUGGCUCCUUCGUCCUCCUGCACUGAAUCGUGAUGGAGGGGGUUGUCUUCGGCACUGUCCGGCGUGUUGUUAUCUCCAGUGCCGGAAUCACCGUUUUUGCUUUGGCGGGACUUAGUGCGGCGCCGCUGACGUUGGCGCUUGGGUUGCUUCUUGGAGGGGUCAUCCUCCGUUUUCUCCUCGCCAUCCCCCGCUUUAGGGGUGUCCACCUUGUAUAUGUCAUAUGACGAGGUGGCUUUCCAGUUCCCUAUAGGUGCUGGUUCUUGAUUGUCUCCUUCAUCGGCGUCCAUGCCGUCGAUGUCUUCGGAGUCAAAGUCGAGCAUGCCGGUUAAAUCGUCGACAGUGGCUACGAAGUGGGUGGUGGGUGGGCUUCGAAUUUCUUCAUCGUCCGCAUCCCAACUGUGUUGGCCGUAGUUCGGCCAGGGCUCUCCUGACAAAGAGAGAGACUUUAAUGAAUUCGGGAUAUUGCCGAAAGGCGAGUGCUGAAAGACGUCCGCGGCGGUGAACUCCAUGACCGGAGCCCAAUCGGGCUUAAUCGGAAGAGGUGCGGGAUUUACGGAGUCCGGAUCGGAGUCUGACACCUUGGAGUCACGGGCCUUGCGAGGGACUAGGCUGGUAUCCGGCUCUAUCGCCGUAGAGGUUGCAGUUUUCGGGGCGGCGUCCAACGGUCCGUCCCCGACUGGUGUAGUGGGCUCCGAGCUAAUGGUCGGAGCGGACACUUGAGCAACGCUCUGGGUGUUGUCCGAUGACAGAGCUAAAUCAUGCCCAUCGUGACAGUGCGGCGUGCCCGGUCGUGGCUCGAAUCCAUCGAAGAUCAAGUUCCCGCGGAUGUCGGUCGUGUAGUUUAAGCUUCCAAACCUGACUUGAUGGCUAGGGGCGUAGCUUUCGAUCUGCUCCAGAUGGCCGAACGAGUCGGCCCGCAGUGCGAAGCCGCCGAAUACGAAGAUCUGUUCGGGGAGAAAAGUCUCAUCCCGGACUGCAUCACAAUUGACGAGCGAACAAACUAUCGGGCCUAAAGGCGACGACACAGAGGAACUCUCAAUGAAAGCACCAAUGUCGGUGUCAAAACCGGCGGAUCUCGGGUAGGGGGUCCCUAACUGUGCGUCUAGGCGGAUGGUAACAGGAGACAAGGGACACGAUGUUUUUACCCAGGUUCGGGCCCUCUCGAUGGAGGUAAAACCCUACUCCUGCUUGAUUAAUAUUGAUGAUAUGGGUAGUACAAGAGUAGAUCUACCACGAGAUCGGAGUGGCUAACCCUAGAAGCUAGCCUAUGGUAUGAUUGUUUUUCGUCCUACGGACUAAAACUCUCCGGUUUAUAUAGACAACGAAGAGGGCUAGGGUUACACAGAGUCGAUUACAAUGGGAGGAUAUCUUCAUAUCGUAUCUCCAAGCUUGCCUUCCACGCCAAGGAAAGUCCCAUCCGGACACGGGACGGAGUCUUCAAUCUUGUAUCUUCAUAGUCCGGGAGUCCGGCCAAAGGUCUUAGUCCGGCCAUCCGGACACCCCCUAAUCCAGGACUCCCUCAGGGGGGCUCCACCUCCUGCUUCCUUCCCCCCGCAGGCAAAUAAGGAAGUGGGGGUGGGGGGGGGGUGGCUAGGGCAGGAGCCCAAGGAGGAUUGGCUUCCUUGUGGCGCCUCCUGGCUGCUUCCCCUCUCCCCCACCUAUAUAUAUGAGGGAGGGGGCGCCACACAACCCCAGGAGAAUCUCUUAGCCGUGUGCGGCGCCCCUCUCCAUAGUUUCGUCCCUCGGUCAUAUUUUCGGAGUGCUUAGGAGAAGCCCUGCGGAGAUUACAUCACCACCACAGUCACCACGCCGUCGCGCUGCCGGAACUCAUCUACUACUUCGCUCAUCUUGCUGGAUCAAGAAGGCGAGGACUUCACCGAGCUGAACGUGUGCUGAACGCGGAGGUGCCGUAUGUUCGGUACUUGAUCUGUUGGAUCGCAAAGAAGUUCGACUAUGUCAACUGCAUUACUAAAACUUCAGCUUAUGGUCUACGAGAGUACAUAGACACACUCUCCCCUCUCGUUGGUAUGCAUCUCCAUGGAUAGAUCUUGUGUGUGCAUAGAUUUUUUUUCUUUUCCAUGCAACAUUCCCCAACAGUGGCAUCAUGAGGCAGGUCUAUGCGUAGAUGAUAUGCACGAGUAGAACACAAAGAGUUGUGGGUGGUGAUGGUCAUACUGCUUACCACCAACGUCUUAUUUUGAUUCGGCGGACCAGCCUUACACGUCCACGUACAUGAGACCGGUUCCACCGAAAUACAUGCAACUUGUUUUGCAUAAAGGUGGCUGGCGGGUGUCUGUUUCUCCUACUUUAGUUGAAUCGAAUUUGACUACGGCCGGUCCUUGAAGAAGGUUAAAACAAAAAACUUGAUAAAUCGUCAUUGUGGUUUUUGCCGUAGGUAAGAACGGUUCUUGCUAGAAGCCCGUAGCAGCCACGUAAAACUUGCAACAACAAAGUAGAGGACAUCUAACUUGUUUUUGCAGGGCAUGUUGUGAUGUGAUAUGGUAAGGACGUGAUGUGAUAUGCAUUGUAUGAGAGGAUCAUGUUUUGUAAUGUCUACUACCGGCAGGAGCCUUAGGGUUGUCUCUUAAUUAUUUUAUGAAAUGCAAGCACCAUGUAAUUGCUUUACUUUAUCGCUAUGCGUUAGCAAUAGUUGUAGAAGCAAUAGUUGGCGAGACAACCCCGACGCAAGGAUGGAGAUCAAGGUGUCGAGCCGGUGAUGAUGGAGACCAUGACGAUGCUUUGGAGAUGGAGAUCAAAAUCACAAGAUGAUGAUGGCCAUAUCAUGUCACAUAUUUUGAUUGUAUGUGAUGUUUAUCCUUUAUGCAUCUUAUUUUGCUUAGAACGGCGGUAGCAUUAUAAGAUGAUCGCUUCACUAAAUUUUAAGAUAAAAGUGUUCUUCCCGAGUAUGCACCAUUGCCAAAGUUCGACGUUUCGAAGCACCUUGUGAUGAUCGAGCAUGAUAGACUCUACAUUCACAUACGAUGGGUGUAAGACAGUUUUGCACAUACAGAAUACUUGGGUUAAACUUGACGAGCCUAACAUGUACAGACAUGGUCUCGGAACACUGGAGACCGAAAGGUCGAACAGGAAUCAUAUAGUAGAUAUGAUCAACAUAGAGAUGUUCACCAUUGAUGACUACCCCAUCUCACGUGAUGAUCGGACAUGAGUUAGUUGAUUUGGAUCAUGUAUCACUUAGAUAACUUAAGGGAAAUUUAUUUAAGUGGAGUUCAUUAUUAGUAUUUUGAUUAGUUAAACUUAAUUUAUCAUGAACUUAGUCUUAAUAGUUUUGCAUAUCUAUGUUGUAGAUCAAUGGCCCAUGCUACCGUUCCCCUAAAAUUUAAUGCGUUCCUUGAGAAAGCUAAGUUGAAAGAUGAUGGUAGCAACUACAUGGACUGGGUCCGUAACUUGAGGAUUAUCCUCACUGCUGCACAUAAGAAUUAUGUCCUUGAUGCACCGCUAGGUGACAGAACUGCUGCAGGAGCUACUCUAGAUGUUAUGAACGUCUGGCAGGCUCGAUUUGAUGACUACUCAAUAGUUCAGUGGGCCAUGCUUUACGACUCAGAACCGGGACUUCAAAGAUGUUUUGAACGUCAUGGAGCAUAUGAGAUGUUCCAAGAGUUGAAGUUAAUAUUUCAAGCAAAUGCCCGCAUUGAGAGAUAUGAAGUCUCCAACAAGUUCUAUAGUUGCAAGAUGGAGGAGAAUAGUUUUGUCAGUGAAUACAUACUCAAAAUGUCUGGGUAUCAUAACCACUUCACUCAGCUGGGGUACAAACUUCCAGUUGAUAGUGUUAUUGAUGGAGUUCUUCAAUCACUGCCACCAAGCUACAAAGGCUUCAUGAUGAACUAUAAUAUGCAAGGGAUGACGAAAACAAUUCCCGAGCUCUUCAUGAUGCUUAAGGCCACGUAGGUAGACAUCAAGAAGGAGCACCAAGUGUUGAUGGUUAACAAGACCACUAGUUUCAAGAAAAAGGGCAAAGGAAAGAAAGGGAACUUCAAGAAGAAUGGAAAGGAAGUUGCCGCUCCCGGGAAGAAUCCCAAAGCUGAACCCAAGCCUGAAACUGAGUGCUUCUACUGCAAAGGGAAUGGUUGAGGGAGUCUUGGAUUAGGGGGUAUCCGGACAGCCGGACUAUAUACUUUGUCCGGACUGUUGGACUAUGAAGAUACAAGAUUGAAGACUUUGUUCUGUGUCCGGAUGGGACUCUCCUUUGCGUGGAAGGCAAGUUUGGCAAUUCGGAUGUUAGAUCUCCUUCUCUGUAACCGACUCUGUGUAAGCCUAGCCCCCUCCAAUGUCUAUAUAAACCAGAGAGUUUAGUCCGUAGGACAACAACAAUCAUAAUCACAGGCUAGCUCCUAGGGUUUAGCCUCUACGAUCUCGUGGUAGAUAAACUCUUGUAAUACUCAUAUCAUCAAGAUCAAUCAAGCAGGAAGUAGGGUAUUACCUCCAUCGAGAGGGCCCAAACCUGGGUAAAACAUCGUGUCCCCUGUCUCCUGUUACCAUUAGACUUAGACGCACAGUUCGGGACCCCCUACCCGAGAUCCGCUGGUUUUGACACCGACAUUGGUGCUUUCAUUGAGAGUUCCUCUGUGCCAUCACUGCAAGGCUCGAUGGCUCGUCUUGUUGUCAAGGACAACAUCACCUCUAGGGGAGCCCUGGCUCUAGGCUAGACUCUCUGGCUGGGCGGCUUCGUCAUGACCGCUCGGUCGGUGGCCACGCUGACGAUGGCCUCUCAGGUCAUCAAAAAUAGCUUCCACGUUGAUUCGGAACUUGCCAAAUAGAUGAAUCCAACGGAGCUCUCCUCCCUUAAUGAGCUCUUGGAUUGCAUCGCCGCUCUGGGCGUCGCUACGGACUAUGACCGGAUCGGGCUUAAACCCGACCAAAGGGAGAUUUACUCUCCGCCGGUCACCCAUGAGAUAGCGGUAGUGGAAGAGCAUCGUGCGAAUUCUCCCUCUAUCUUGGGGACGAACUAUGUCUGAAUUCCCGAGCUCUGCGAGCCGGAUACCCGCCCGCGGGAGGACAUGACCCAAACCCCGAACUUAUAAUCGGGCGGCGGGCCGAAAAAAUUGGGCAACAUCCCGGAGCCUGAGCCGCCAAGCUCGGAAGCUUCUCUACCCCUGGGUCUCAGAUUGGGUCAGGAUUCGGAUUUAAUUCCACCCACCCACCCAGACUUAUGCAAUCUUUCCCAUAUCAGACAAGAGCCCCAAGAGACAAUACAUCAUUACUGGGCCAGAUUCCUCCUUGUGAUAAACAAGGUCAAUGACUGUCGCGAGGAAGACGCAAUCUCACUCUUUUCCAAAAAUUGCACGAACAAAGGGAUCCUCAACGCUAUAAGUCGCCGUGACAUAGUACACUUUGUUGACUUAGCGGCCAUAGUACAGAAGUACUGUGCGAUGGAAAGCACCUGGAAAACCCAAACAGACUUCUGGGAUAAUCCGGCUCUCACUAAACCCUUCGUCCGAACUAAAAGGGUAAACUCUCGCAAGUCACCUAAUUCAAUUACCAAAAAACCAAAGCCCGCCGCAGGGCGUGGAACCAUAUUGGAGGAAUGGUUCAAUGGGCCAUGCAAAAUUCACAGCACACCGGAUACCAUGCCAACGCAUAGCCUUAGAGCAUGUUGGAUACUCCGACAGGUAGCAAAGAGCGGCGAGGAUCUCCUUGUAAACCAUACAGCAGAGCAACAUCCCGCCGAAGACAACAAUGCGGUACUGACAGUCUUUGAGACUUUCGCCUCAAAUAAUAGGCACAAGCGAGCUCAUCGCAGUUUUGCUGAAGUUUGCCACGUGGCAAAAAUAAAUCCGUGGAGUGACACUGCUAUAACAUUCAAUGCCAGUGACAAACCUCAAUUCUGGACAGUCCGGGCACCAGCUGCUUUGGUCCUUAGCCCAAUCGUGGACGGCUUCCGGCUCACUAAAGUGCUCAUGGACAGCAGAAGCGGAUUAAACCUCAUCUACGAGGAAACCCUCAACAAGAUGGAAAUUGACAAAAGCCGCAUUGAGCAAAGCAGCACGACCUUCAGGGGAAUCAUCCCUAGUCAGGUGGCACGGUGUGCGGAAAAAAUCACACUAGAUGUGGUAUUCGACUCGCCGGAGAAUUACAGGUCUGAAGAAAUCACGUUCCAAGUGGCCCCUUCAGCAGCGGAUACCACGCCCUCUUAGGGCGGGACGCAUUCACGAGCUUUCAAGCUAUACCCAAUUACGGGUACAUGAAGCUCAAAAUACCCGACCCAAUGGAAUCAUCACUCUAGCUAGUGAUUCGGACGUCGCACUCCGUGCCGAAAAUAAAACUGCCGCACUAGCCCUGGAGGCAUUAUCCAAAGCCCUCAUGGCCGAAGAACUAACAACGUUGCAUGCCACAGUGGACAGAGACGAUGUGAUACUCGACAAGCGACCCAAGUCCACCUCUUUCAAGCCCGCGGACAAGAUAGUCAAAUUCCAGGUCCACCCAACGGACCCACAAAGACAGCUUCCAUUGGGACACAGUUGAACCCCACAAUGGACGCCGCACUGCGAGAUUUCCUACAUGAGAAUUGGGAUAUUUUCGCCUGGCAUCCUUCAGACAUGUCGGGCACCCCACGCAGGCUGGCCGAACACAACCUCAAUAUAUUGAAAGGAUACAAGCCAGUCAAGCAAACUCUUAGGCGCUUUUCAGAACCUAAGCGGCAAGCCAUGGGAGAAGAACUAGCCAAGCUACUCGAGACUGGAUUCAUCAGAGAUAUAAAACAUCCGGAUUGGCUAGCAAACCUGGUAAUGGUACCAAAGAAGGACAAAUCCUGGCGCCUAUUUGUCGAUUUCAAAGACCUCAAUAAGGCUUGCUGUCGGUGUCAAAACCGGCGGAUCUCGGGUAGGGGGUCCCGAACUGUGCGUCUAGGCGGAUGGUAAUAGGAGACAAGGGACACGAUGUUUUUACCCAGGUUCGGGCCCUCUUGGUGGAGGUAAAACCCUACUCCUGCUUGAUUAAUAUUGAUGAUAUGGGUAGUACAAGAGUAGAUCUACCACGAGAUCGGAGUGGCUAAACCCUAGAAGCUAGCCUAUGGUAUGAUUGUUGUUCAUCCUACGGACUAAAACUCUCCGGUUUAUAUAGACACCGGAGAGGGCUAGGGUUACACAGAGUCGGUUACAAUGGGAGGAGAUCUUCAUAUCGUAUCGCCAAGCUUACCUUCCACGCCAAGGAAAAAGUCCCAUCCGGACACGGGACAGAGUCUUCAAUCUUGUAUCUUCAUAGUCCAGGAGUCCGACCAAAGGUCUUAGUCCGGCCAUCCGGACACCCCCUAAUCUAGGACUCCCUCAGUAGCCCCUGAACCAGGCUUCAAUGACGACGAGGCCGGCGCCCAAGUUGUCUUCGUCAUUGCAAGGCGGGUUCUCCUGCAAAUUCUCUGUAUCCGUCGAAUAGUGUUCGGCUUCUAGUGCAUGCUGUCCUCCUCGGCUUCUAUGCCCCAUAAUGACCAUCUUCCAUGCGUCAAACGAAUGUGAAAAGACAGGGGGUUUUCUUUUCACUUACCCCCCUGGUUGCGUUAAUGAGCCGCCCAUAAAAGAGACGGGGAUUUAGAUCCAAUUCACACCAUCUUCCCUCCGCGAGUCUUCAUCAGAGCGGCUCUGACAGAGAUCCAUUCCAUCAUGGCCAGUCGGUGCCGCUCCUCCUCUCACCCCUCCAGCCCUCGGCCCGGAGAUCGGGGGCGGUGUUCCGUCCCGCAUAGCAAAUUAGUAGUGCUUCAGUCCAAGGGGCUUCUCCCCCCAGCAUAUAUGGUCCCAGUUCGAGCUGGGAUUGCUGCCUAUAGCGGCGGAGAGCAGGCGGAGGGCAUUCCCAAUCCCUCUAAAGGAGAGCGGGUAUGCUUAGUCCCUUAUUUGAUGAGAGGACUAGGAUUUCCAAUUCAUCCAUUUCUCUGAGGGUUGCUAGAGUUCUACGGCCUCCAGCUACAUAACCUCACGCCGGCCUCCAUUUUGCACAUCACGGGCUUCGUGGCCCUCUGCGAACUGUUCUUGGGUGUCGAGGCCCAUUUCGCGCUAUGGAAGAGGUUGUUUUUCCUUUGCCCCGUUCUCAGGAGGGGUCUAUUUAUCAGGUGGGCGGAGCCAAACUAUGGCGCAUCGCCGGGACCGGAUAUCUAUCCGGCACCCCAAAGAGGGCGUCCGAAGACUGGCCCUCGAAGUGGUUUUAUAUAGAUGACGUCCCCCUACCGGACCUUGUACGGAUCGGCCUCCCCGAGUUCAAUAAUGCCCCGUUGAAGAAGCGUCUGAGUUGGCGCCCACGGAACCCUCAGAGGGAAGCUGACAGGGACGUCCUGUACCUGAUGAGCCGGAUAAGGUUGUUGGCUCAUUCUGGACUGACCAUGAUUAAGGUCAUGGCCAUAUGCAUUACGCGAGGGGUGCAGCUGCUUCAAUACAGAGGCCACCCCAUGUGGGAUUUCAACGGGGAGGAUCACGCUACCCGGUGCGGUCGCAAGGGGCGAGAUUCGGCCGUCACUUUAACGAGAAUCUUAUCCGCUUUGUACAAGGGGGAAGAGGAAGAAUUCCUCCGUGUCAACCCGGAAGGCGGAUUCUCCAUGUACAAUCCUCCUAGUUGGGUGAGCGGACACUUUCACUUGCCUACUCGUUUUUGAAAUUCCCGUAGUUGAGUACUUAGACUAGUAAUGUUUAAACGCAGGAGCUGCACCAGGUUGUGAAGGAAAUAAACAGCCCUGCUCCACAACCCGAGGACCCGAAACGGUCCCUCGAUCCGGACUCCCAAGAAGAUCCGGACUUAUGCAUGGAGUUGAUUGAUGGAGUAUUUCAUCAAUUGAGCAAGGAUAACUCCUUAGUGGCCAUCACGGCUGACUAUCCCGGACUACUUCCAGCCUCCAAGGUAACUAAGACCGAAGUCCCAGUACUCUCAUGCUUUAUCUUGCAUGCCGUGUACUAACAGCGUUUCGCAGGGUAAAUCCUUGAGGCGGAAGGCCGAGCCCACGGUGGGCAGCCAACAAGGGCCGCUAAAGCCAGACGGGCCAAAAAGAAGUGCAGACUAGAUCGUGAUUCCGGCGCAACGGUAUGGCGUGCGAAUUUAACGCCUAGGGUUUAUGCCCUUGAGUCCUACUAAUGCUCAUGAUUUUCUUAGAAAGAAGAGAGCUCGCAGGGCUAUGUCCGCCGGCCAAGGUUCGAGGCCGGGUCUGGAAGAGGAGGCGGACACGGGACGCGCCUCGGGCUCUCCUCCGACAAAGGGCGCCGACGGGCUAUCUGCCACUAAUUCAGAGGUGGAGAGUGCCCUGAACCACAGGCGUCGCCGGACUGUUCUUCGUGACGCAUGUUUUUCCCUAGAGGCGUUGGACGCCUUUAAUACAGGAGAUGCGUAUCUCCGUGCUGCUCAAAAUGGUCUAGCCAGAGCCACGGAGCAGUAUGUGAAAGACGUACAUGUGAGUAGAAUUGAAGGUUAUAUAUGUCAGUAGCCCGCGAGACUUGAAACAGUGAAGAUAACUGUUUGAAGGAUCAUGUGCUAUGCAGUGUCUUACAAAGAAGAACACGCAAUUUUCCCAGGAGCUCGAAGAGUGCAAGGCCCAGCUCAAGGCCGCAUUGUCCACUUCAGAAAAUGUCAAGGGGACGCCCGCAGGUAAUAUAUGCUUCGAAGGUACUUCCGUUUUGAAAUGCGGCAGGCGUGCAACCCUGACGAUAAUAAUGCAGAUGAGGCCAGAGUAAAUCCGGACAAGCAACAACUCCUACGCCAACUAAAGGCUGGCGAGAGCGUGCUGACGAGGGUGAGGCAAGAGAAGAACAAGCUUCAAGACGCCAAUACCCAGCUGGGCGAGGAACUGAAAGAUGUUCGUAUUCAGCUGUCUUCUGCCGUGAAGGAGAAUCGGCGACUUCGACGCGACAUUUUUAGUAAGUGCUUGAACGAAUCUUCGAAAAAAGAAUUCGGCGAGGAAGUCGAUUAACAGAGCUAUGUCUGUAGGUCUGCUGACGGGUCAUCCUGCGGAGGAAAUGCCCAGUUCAUCGGGAGACCUUCUUCCCGAGCUGUUGCAACUACACGAACAAGUUCGGCAGGCAAUGCAAAGCGUCAUCCUGGCUAUGUGGCCAUCCCUCUCCGUGGCCGAAGGUCUUGAGGAGCUUACCAAGAAGCUGGAGGGAGUGCGGCAGCGCUUCCGGUUGUGGAAGAUAUCAGCUUGCCGUCAAGGUGCCAGGGAGGCCUGGGCCAUGGUGAAGACUCAGUACACGAAGGCUUACCCAAACCACAUGGCCGAGGUCGGCCCUAUAGGUCCGGAUGGAAAGGAGAUCCCGGUCAGCUUAGCAUAUGGCCUGGUGUAGCUGGCUGCAAAGUAUUCCCAACAGGACUGUAAAUUAGACCACCUGUUGGAUGGUAUUGAAGAAGAAUAUGUUGAGUCGGAUUGACUCUGUAAAAAUGACAUAAAAAAUGCCUUCUAGCCGGAUUGUAGAUCGUUUGUCAUUGCGGACCUUUUCGCUUCGACCUCUGGACCCUACAGUCCGGAGUGUGUCCGUAUACCCUCUCGAUUAUGUAAGAACCGGGGCAUGCAUGGAGACAAGGCAUAGGGGUCAUAAGUGCUUUAGCAGACAAGUGCCCAACUAGUUAUGUUAUAUUACAUGGUUAGUAAGAAACAUCUUCCAGGGAGAAUAGUUCCGUUAGGGUUUCCUUUCCCUGGGAGGCAUGCCCUAAAGUGCAUAUCCGAACUGCCAGGAAGAGCAGAAAAGCAUCUGGGGGCAAAUGAAUAAAUACAAAAGAUCAUCUUUUAGAUCACCGACCGAAUAUUCCCUUAAGAACGCUAGAUUUUGGCUUCACCCAGUCUGAGGUACACAUCCGGCUGACCCGGCAGUAAAAAUCGCAGAGGUGCUCCCUUUACCACCUAGCCGAACGAACGGGAACGUAGGGGUAAGCACAGGAGCCAGGAAACCCAGCUUGGCCAAAACUUAAGUCAUAUCGAUGCAUAUAAUGGUGUAUAAAAGGUUCAUGUGGAAGCAUCACACAUGUUUUGGGCAUGAGGCCCGUUUUAUAUAAACUUCUUGGUAAAGAAGCCCUCAGGUAUUAUGAGCGCAGGUAGCGCGUCGGGUAUGUGCGAAUAAUGCAGCGGCAAGCCCCUAAGGGCUUGUGAGAAAAAAGGGUAGGGAGAAGGAACAAAAUCCCGGACUGCCAAUAAAAAAUAAAAAUAAGACAAAGGGACGGAGGAAGGAAACGAACACGGAGUCCGGCGCUAGGCGUAGAACCUUCGUAGGCGUGCUGCGUUCCAUGGGUUCGGCUCGAGUCGGUUAUCCGAUGCGUUUCGCAGACGGUACGCUCCGCCGGUCAGUACUUGGUCGAUUAUGAAGGGGCCCUCCCAUUUGGGCUUUAAUUUAUCCUUUUUCUUGUCUGGCAGGCAUAGAACUAGUUCGCCAACGUUAUAGGUUUUGGCCCGUACUUCUCUGCUUUGGUAUCUUCGAGCCUGCUGUUGAUAGAAUGCGGAACAAGCUUUUGCCACGUCGCGCUCCUCUUCCAAUGCGUCCAAGCUGUCCUGCCGAUCGAGCUCGGCUUCUCUUUCUUCGUACAUGCGCACUCGAGGUGAGUCAUGGAUUAUGUUGCAUGGCAGUACUGCCUCUGCGCCGUAUACCAUAAAAAAUGGUGUGAAGGUCUCAAAGACUGUCGACACCGUACUGGGGAGGUAUUCUUCGGGUGCUGGAGUUAAAAGCUCCUUGCCACUUCGGGCUACCUACCAUAGUAUCCAAGAUGCUCUAAGGCUGUGCGUUGGUGUGGCUUCCCCUAAAUUAUGAAUUUUACAGGGUCCAUUGAGCCACCCUUCCAGUACGGUCCCGUACCCUGUACAGGGUUUUUGUUUUUUGAUGUUUGGCUCAGAUGCCUGGCGAUGGUGUGCCCUUUUGUAUCGGACUGGUGUUGUAUUCGGGGCCGAAUUGUCCCAGAAUUUAUCUUCGGUUUUCCGAACGCUUUCAGUCGCACAAUACUUUCAUACUAUGGAUGUCAAGUUGGCGAAUCAUGUAAUUUUGCGGCGACUUAUGGCGUUCAGGAUUCUGAUGUUUGUGCAGUUGUUACAGAAGAGUGAAAUUGCUUCUUUCUCGCGGCAGUCCUUUAUCCUGUUCAUAACCAGGAGGAAUCUGGCCCAGUAGUGGUGUAAUGUUUCUCCGGGCUCUUGCCGUAUUAGGGAUAAAUCCCGUGUAGUUGGGUGGGCUGGUGGAAUUAAAUCCGGAACCCUGCCCGAUGUAAGAUUCAGGGGCCAAGCGGUUUCCGAAUUCGGAAGCUAGCUUUCUUGGAUAUUAUUCAAUGAAUCGGGCCUGCUGCCUGACUUUAGGUUCAGGGUUUGGGCGACAUCCUCCUCUCCGCGGGUAUCCGGCUUGGAGGGAUCGGGAAUCCGGACACAUCUGGUCCUUAGGGCGGGCGAAGACUCGCCGCAUUGUUCUUCCACCACUUCGACAUGAUGGGUGAUCUGGGGAGAGUCAAUCUCUCUCUGAUCGGGUUUAAGCCCAAUCUGGUCGUAAUUAGUAGCGACUCCCAGGGCCGUGAUGCGAUCCAAGAGCUCGUUCAGGGAGAGGAGCUCCAUCGGAUCUAACUGCUCAGCAAGCUCCAAGCGGAUGUGAAGAUUGCUUUCGAUGGCCCGAGAGGUCAUCGUCGGCGCGACGGCCGGACAGGCGGUCAUCAAAAACCUGCCUAGCCGGAGAGUUUGGCCGACAGCCAAAGCUCCUUUAGCAGCGACGCCGUAUUUAAAGACGGGAUGCGGCAUCCUUCCUGAUGGUGACGACACAACGAAACUCUCAAUGAAAGCACCAAUGUCGGUGUCAAAACCGGCGGAUCUCUGGUAGUGGGUCCCAAACUGUGCGUCUAGGCGGAUGGUAACAGGAGACAAGGGACACGAUGUUUUUACCCAGGUUCGGGCCCUCUCGAUGGAGGUAAAACCCUACUCCUGCUUGAUUAAUAUUGAUGAUAUGGGUAGUACAAGAGUAGAUCUACCACGAGAUCGGAGUGGCUAAACCCUAGAAGCUAGCCUAUGGUAUGAUUGUUGUUCGUCCUACGGACUAAAACUCUCCGGUUUAUAUAGACACCGGAGAGGGCUAGGGUUACACAGAGUCGGUUACAAUGGGUGGAGAUCUUCAUAUCGUAUCGCCAAGCUUGCCUUCCACACCAAGGAAAGUCCCAUCCGGACACGGGACGGAGUCUUCAAUCUUGUAUCUUCAUAGUCCAGGAGUCCGGCCAAAGGUCUUAGUCUGGCCAUCCGGACACCCCCUAAUCUAGGACUCCCUCACUUGCCCUAAGGAUCCCUUCCCCCUCCCUCGCAUUGACCAAAUCAUUGACACCACCGCAGGACACGACUCACUAUGUUUCCUCGACACAUACUCCAGAUACCAUCAGAUAAAGAUGGCGGAAUCCGACCAAGCCGCAACGGCCUUCAUAACGCCAUAUGGCUCCUUCUGUUUCAACACUAUGCCUUUCGGGCUCAAGAACGCUGGCGCAACCUAUCAACGAAUGAUUCAGAUAUGCCUGGAGAAGCAAGUCGGCAAAACAGUGGAGGCAUACAUGGACGACGUGGUCAUCAAAACAAGACACGUUGAAACUUUAAUAGAUGACUUGAGACUCACGUUCGACAACCUCCGAACAUACAACAUCAAGCUCAACCCAGAAAAAUGUGUCUUCGGCGUACCCUCCGAGAAGUUGCUCGGUUUCAUCGUUUCCAAUAGAGGAAUCAAAGCAAAUCCAGCAAAAAUCCAAGCUCUGUCACAGUUGGCUAUCCCAACAGACCUCAAGCAGAUCCAGAAACUAACUGGAUUUGUGGCUGCCUUAAGCCGCUUUAUCUCCCGAUUAGGAGAAACGACACUACCUCUUUAUCGCCUUAUUCGAUGCACCGAACACUUCGAGUGGACGGAUGCGGCCACGACCAGACUGCAAGAAAUAAAUGCCCUAUUGGCCAGCAAUCCAGUCCUGACCGCGCCAAAUACUGGCGAACCUAUGCUAUUAUACAUAGCCGCAACACACCAGGUUGUAAGCGCAGUGCUCGUCGUUGAACGAGAAGCAGACAGACACAAGUUCCCGCUCCAAAAGCCGGUAUAUUAUGUGUCCACUGUCCUCACUCCAUGCAAAUCCCGAUACCCACACUAUCAAAAGAUAGCACACGCGGUCUUCAUGGCAUCCCGAAAUCUACAACACUACUUCCAAGAGUGUUCGAUUACGGUGGCCUCCGAAGUACCACUCAAUGACAUCAUAAAUAACCAUGACGCCACGGGCAAGAUUGCCAAAUGGGCUAUCAAGCUCCUUCCGUUCGACAUAACAUACAAACCAUGGCGAGCCAUUAAGUUGCAAGUACUGGCUGACUUUGUCGCCGAAUGGACAGAAGCUGAACUCCCUAAAGAGUACGACGCGUACUCCAAUUGGAUCAUGCACUUCGACAACUCUAAAAUGCUGGCCGGAUUGGGAGCGGGUGUUGUCCUAACAUCUCCCACCGGAGACACGGUCCAAUACGUACUCCAAAUAUUAUACACAGACUCCAACAAUGCAGCCGAAUAUGAGGCUCUGUUGCAUGGUCUUCGAAUGACAGUCUCUAUGGGCAUUCAACGCCAAGAAGUGCGCGGGGACUCGAACCUUGCAAUAUCACAAAUAAAUGGAGACUUCUAUGCCAAGGAUCCGAAAAUGGCGGCCUACCGUAAUGCCGUCCUCAAAAUGUCAGCUCGGUUCGAGGGGCUCGAAUUCCACCAUGUGGUCCCAGAAAACAAUCAAGUAGCAAAUAUCCUCCCCCGCAUCGGAGCUAAAUGCGACCCCGUCCCACCUAAUAUCUUCUUGGAAAGGCUGUUCAAGCCAUGCAUGGUAUGGAAAGGGGAGACAGGCAAUACCAGUCCGGCCCCGAACACAACCCUAGAUUCCGAACCAUCUGACAUAAUCAGAGACUCUGCCACCGAAAUAACACCUUCAGCCCAUGAAAUCAUGGCUGUCAUCGCCCCAUGGACCGAGCCCUUCUUGGCCUACCUAAAUAGGCAAGAGCUCCCCGAGGAUCAAAAUGAGGCACGUUGUAUUGUGUGGCGUUCUAGGGCCUACAAAGUCCACGAGGGAGAGCUCUAUAAGAAAAGUGCCACCGGAGUGCUCCAAAGAUGCAUUUCCGAAGAGGAAGGGCGGCAGCUCUUGGCCGAAAUCCAUGCCGGACUCGGCGGGCACCAAGCUGCAGCUCGGGCACUUGUAAGCGAGGCCUUCCGUACAUGUUUUUACUGGCCGACAGCCCGGGCAGAUGCACAAGACCUUGUCCAACAGUGCGACGGUUGCGAACUCUUCAUCAAUCAGAGCCAUAUGCCCCCUACCGCUCUCCAAACAAUCCCCAUAAUUUUCCCUUCGCGGUCUGGGGGAUGGAUAUGGUCGGACCUCUUAAAGGGGGAAGCCAUAAGAAAAAAAAUACUUAUUGGUCAUGGUGGACAAGUUCACCAAAUGGAUAGAAGCCAAACCAGUUAAAACGGCCGAAUCCGGACCAGUGAUAGACUUCAUAUCAGGGGUUGUACACCGUUACAGUGUCCCCCAUAACAUCAUCACUGACAGUGGCUCAAAUUUCAGAGUCGAUAAGGUGAAAACUUGGUGCGGCAACAUGGGCAUUAAGCUCGAUUACGCCUCUGUCUAUCACCCCCAAACAAACGGUCAAGUCGAACGCGCAAAUGGUCUCAUCAUGAGCGGCAUCAAACCCAGACUAGUGCGAUCCUUGAAGGAAUCAGACACGCACUAGGUCGAGGAGCUCGACUCCGUACUCUGGGGGCUGCGGACCAUGCCGAAUAGUACCACCAGAUACACACCAUUUUUAUGGUGUACGACACAGAAGCAGUGCUACCCUACGACAUAAUCCAUGACUCACCUUGCGUGUGCAUGUACGAAGAGAAGGAAGCCGAGCUAGAUCGGCAGGACAACUUAGAUGCCCUGGAGGAGGAGCGUGACGUUGCAAAGGCCCGUUCUGCAUUCUAUCAGUAGCAGGCUCGAAGGUAUCAAAGCAGAGAAGUACGGGCCAAAACUUAUAACGUUGGCGAACUCGUUCUACGCCUACCAGAGAAGAAGAAGGACAAGCUCAAACCCAAGUGGGAGGGUCCCUUCAUCAUUGAUAAAGUUCUCACCGGAGGAGCGUACCGUCUGCGCAAUACAUCAGAUAACAGACUCGAGCUGAUCCCAUGGAACGCGGCCAGACUCCGAAGAUUCUACGCCUAGCGCUGAACUCAGUGUUCGUCUCCUUACCUCCCCCCUUUCAAUUAUGUCCUCCUUCUUCCUUUCUCACCCUCUUUAUUUUUUCACAUAAAGCCUUAAAUGAUGUACGGAUGCUUCGGUCGCUCCAGCCGCACUAUGCGUUCUCACUAUACCUGGGGGCUUCCUAUACGGAAGCUUAAUAUAAUUACUUUCAUGGCUUCCUGCCUACCACAUACGCAUCUUCUUUCCAUAUGUGCCUUUUCUUCACCAUUAUAUGCAUCGAUAGGACUUAAGUUUUGGCCAUGCUGGGUUGCCUGGCUCUUGUGUUUAUGCCCUACGUUCCCGUUAUUUCGGCUAGGGCAUAAGGGGAGCACCUCUGUGAUUGUUACCGCUGGUUCAACCGGAUGUGUAGCUCAGACUGUGUGAAGCCGAAAGCUAGCGUUCUUAAGGGAAUAUUCGGUCGGUGAACAAAAGAUGUUUUUCAUUUAUUACAACGUGAAUCCCCAGAUGUUUUGUAUCCCGCGCUUCUGUUCGCAGUUCGGACAUGCACAUCGAUGCAUGCGUACCCAGGGAAAGGAACCCCUAACGGAACUGUUCUCUCUGGAAGAUGUUUCUUACUAUCCAUGUAAUAUAACAUAACUAGUUGGGUACUUGUCCGUUCAAGCACUUAUGACCCCUACGCCCGAUUUCCACGCAUACCCCUGUUUUACAUAAUUGAGCGGGUAUUCGGAUACACUUCGGACUGUCGGGUCCGGGGGCUGAAGCGAAAAGGUCCGCCAUGACAAAUGAUUUUCAAUCUGGCUAGGGACUACAUAUGUCCAUUGAAUUACAUAGUCACUUGGACUGGCUAUAUUCUUCCUCUAUACCAUCCAACAGGCUGUCUAGCCUACAAGCCUGUUGGGAAUACUUUGCGGCUAAUGCUACUUGUUCAUACACCAGACUUACGGGAAUCUCUUGCCCAUCUGGCCCCACCGGUCCGACUUCGGCCAUAUGGUUUGGGUCAGCCUUGGCGUAUCGUGUAUUCACCAUGGCCCAGGCUUCCCUUGCACCUUGUCGGCAAGCUGAUAUCUUCCAUAACUAGAAGCGCCGCCGUUCUCCUUUGAGCAUCUUCACAAGCUCGCCCAUGCCUCCGGGCAGGGAAGCGGAUGGCCACAGGGCCUGGGCAAUACCCUGCAUCACCUGCCGAGCUUGUUUGUGCAGUUGUGAGAGAUCUUGCAACAUAUCGCUUGUGGAUCCAAGCAUCUCCUCUUCGGGACGGCCUGUUAGCAUACCUAUAGACAUAACUCUGUUAACACGCUUUCUCGCCAAACUGUACUAUAGUUCAUUUAAGCACUUACAAUAAAUGCCAUGUCGAAGCCUCCUGUUGUCCUUCACGGAGUCCGCAAGCUGAGCUCGAACAUCUGAUAAUUCGACGCCCAGUCGAACAUUGGCACCUUGGAGAUUAUUCUUCUCUUACCUAACCUGCGUGAGCACGCGCUCGCCAGCCUUUAGCUGUCUUCAGACAUGAGACUCAUCGUCUUUAAUGAUCUUUGGAUUCUCUCCGGGAUUGUCUGCACAAUAUUUUGUUAAAGUUUGUAAACCAUGCGGAAUAACAACUGGUAUAUGUCCUUAAAAUUUUCUUCCUCAAGGCAAGUAUUACCAGUGGAGGCCUUCUGGGAUUCCUCCCGUUCGGCAACUGCGGCCCUUAGCUGGGUCUUGCAUUCUUCCAGCUCUUGAGUUAAGUGGGUAUUCUUAUCUACAAGAACCUAUGCAUACAAUGAUCCUUAAAUCAGUUGUGCCAACUGUUUCAAGUCUUAGGGGCUACUGAUACACAUGCUUAUCAAAUUUUCUUACCCGUAUAUCUUUUGCAUACUGGUCCGUUGCUCUGGCAAGUCCAUCUUGAGUAGCGCGGAUGUAUGCGUCUCCUGAGUUGAAGGCAUUGAACGCCUCCUCGGAGAAAAUACCAUCGCGGAGUAUGGCCCGUCUGCGCCAGUGAUUCAUGGCACUCUCCACUUCUGACUUUGUAGCGGAAAGCCUGUCCGCAUCCUCUGUAGGAGGACAAUUCGGUGUUGUCCCCACAUCAGUCUCCAUGGGUGAGUCCGGUUCUGGAAUCCGGCUGGCGAAAGCGUGGCUGGCAAGGUCUCCAGAUAUAGUCUGGCGGCUACUCUUUCUGCCAGGACAUAAUGACCGCUGCCACAUUUCAACAAUGAUAAUCACAAAGGAAGUUUAAAUUGUACCUCUGCAGUGGUGCCUCAGCCCUGACCGCCUUCCUCUUAAGCCUGCCUGGCCGGGACGCCCUUUGCUGAUGAGUCCCUAUGGGCUCUGCGCGGCAUUCCGAGCGCCGUUUCUAUAAAAGUGUCACAUAUGCACAUAAGGUAUGGCAUAGCGAAGGAAUCCUUUUCGGAAGUUAGGACCCCGGCUUUACUUACAUGAGACACGGGGAGCAACCCGGGGUAAUCGGCGACGAUGGCCACUAAGGUGCCGUCACAGCUUGCCUGGUAGAAUGUCCCGUCGACAAGCUCCAUAGAUAUGUCCGGAUCUUCUUCAAGUCCGGGGUCGAGAGCCCGGCCAGGAUCCUUUGGCUGUGGAGAUGGGCUGUUGAACUCUUUCACGGCCUUUUCCAGUUCCUGCUUUGAAAUAGCUAGGUAAAUGAUUGUGACAAAAGGAGACAAGGAUGAAUCGAGUUGAGUAAAGAAUGACAGUUACCCAUCUUGGGGGAUUGUACAUGGAAAAUCUGUCCCGCGGUUUUAUGCAGAGGAACUCCUCUUCUUCUCCUUUAUAUAAAUCAGAAAAUAUUCUCGCCAGAGCAGUGGCAGAGUCCGGACCUUUACGACUACAACGGGUGGCAUCGUCUUCUCCAUUCAAGUGCCACAUGGGUUUCCCCCGAUAUUGAAGUGGCUGCACUCCCCGCAUUAUGCAUAUUGACAUAACUUCGGUUAUUGUCAGUCCCGAUUGGGUCAAUAUUUUUAUCCUGUUCAUCAGGUAGAGGACUUCUCUAUUGUCUUCCUCCUGGGGGCUCCGGGGGCGCAAACUUUGGCGUUUCUUUAGUGGAGUGUUGAUAAACUCAGGAAGGCCUGUCAGGACUGGGUCCGGAAGGGGAACGUCAUCAACAUAAAACCACUCCGAAGGCCAGUCUUCGGAUGCCUUCUUUGGAGUGCCGGAUAGGUAUCCGGUUUGGGCGACGCGCCAUAUUUAGGCUCCGCCCACUUGAUAUACAUAUCCCUCCUGAUUACGGGGGACGAGGUAGAAUAACCUCUUCCAUAACUCGAUGUGAGCCUCGCAGCCCAGGAAUAGCUCGCAAAGGGCAACGUAUCCUGCGAUGUGCAGCAUAGAGGCUGGGGUAAAGUUAUGCAGCUGGAGGCCGUAGAACUCCAGGAGCCCGCGGAGGAAUGAGUAGAUUGGAAAACCGACGCCUCUUAGCAAAUAUGGGACGAGGCAUACCCGCUCCCCCUGAGAUGGGUUAGGAAAUCUCUCUGCUUGCUCCCCGCCAUUAUAGGUGGCUAGUCUGGCUCGAACGGGGACCAUGUAUGCGGGUGGAAGAAAUCCUUGGGUCUGCAACUCUACUAAAUAGCUGUGGGGGACAGAACACUUUUCCCAAUCCCCUGGCUUAGAGCUGAGGGAGCGAGAAGAGGAGCUGCGAUGACUGGCCAUGAUGGAAUGGUUUUUCCAGAUGCGCUCUGUUGAACGCUUGCUUGGGAGAACAUGGUAAGAUUUGGAUCUGAUGAUCCCCGUCUCUUCAAAUAGAUGGUUUGUUUGCAGGGUCGGGGUGGCAAAUGUAAGAAUGCCCCGGCUCCUCGUAUUCGCUCGACAUGUGGAGAUAACCAUUACUGAAGCACAGAAGCCUAGGAGUACAACAUUGACGGGAGGCCAGACACUGUUCGCCUCGACAGGUACUCUGGAUUCGGAGAAGAACCCACCUUGCAAUGCCGAAGACAAUCUGCGCGCCAGACUAAUCGUCAUUGAAGCCUGGUUCAGGGGCUACUGAGGGAGUCCUGGAUUAGGGGUUAUCCGGACAGCCGAACUAUAUACUUUGGCCGGACUGUUGGACUAUGAAGAUACAAGAUUGAAGACUUCGUUCCGUGUCCGGAUGGGACUCCUCUUUGUGUGGAAGGCAAGCUUGGCGAUUCGGAUGUUAGAUCUCCUUCUCUGUAACCGACUCUGUGUAACCCUAGCCCCCUCCGAUGUCUAUAUAAACCUGAGGGUUUAGUCUGUAGGACAACAACAAUCAUAAUCACAGGCUAUCUCCUAGGGUUUAGCCUCUAUGAUCUCGUGGUAGAUCAACUCUUGUAAUACACAUAUCAUGAAGGUCAAUCAAGCAGGAAGUAGGGUAUUACCUCCAUCGAGAGGGCCCAAACCUGGGUAAAACAUCGUGUCCCCUGCCUCCUGUUACCAUUAGCCUUAGACGCACAGUUCGUGACCCCCUACCUGAGAUCCGCCGGUUUUGACACCGACAAUGGUCACUAGAAGCGGAACUGCCCCAAAUACUUGGUGGAUAAGAAGGAUGACAAAGUGAACAAAGGUAUAUUUGAUAUACAUGUUAUUGAUAUUUACCUUACUAAUGCUCAUAGUAGCGCCUGGGUAUUUGAUACUGGUCCGGUUGCUCAUAUUUGUAACUCGAAGCAGGAGCUACGACAUAAAUGAAGAUUGGCUAAGGAUGAGGUGACAAUGCGCGUCGGGAAUUGUUCCAAGGUCGAUGUGAUCGCCGUCGGCACGCUACCUCUACAUCUACCUUCGGGAUUAGUUUUAUACCGCAAUAAUUGUUAUUUGGUGCCAGCGUUGAGCAUGAACAUUAUAUCUGGAUCUUUUUUAUUGCGAGACGGUUAUUCAUUUAAAUCGGAGAAUAAUGGUUGUUCUAUUUAUAUGAGUAAUAUCUUUUAUAGUCAUGCACCCCUGAUGAAUGGUCUAUUCUUGUUGAAUCUCGAUCGUAGUGAUACACAUGUUCAUAAUAUUGAUGCCAAAAGAUGCAAAGUUGAUAAUGAUAGUGCAACAUACUUGUGGCACUGCCGUUUAGGUCAUAUUGGUGUAAAGCGCAUGAAGAAACUCUAUACGGAUAGACUUUUGGAAUCACUUGAUUAUGAAUCAUUUGAUACUUGCGAACCAUGGCUCAUGGGCAAGAUGACUAGAAGUCCAUUCUCUGGAACAAUGGAGCGAGCUAAUGACUUAUUGGAAAUAAUACAUACCGAUGUAUGCGGUUGAAUGAGUGUCGAGGUACGCGCCGGGUAUCGUUAUUUUCUGACCUUCACAGAUGAUUUGAGUAGGUAUGGAUAUAUCUACUUGAUGAAACAUAAGUCUGAAACAUUUGAAAAGUUCAAAGAAUUUCAGAGUGAAGUGGUGAAUCAUCAUAACAAGAAAAUAAAGUUUCUAUGAUCUGAUCGCGGAGGCGAAUAUUUGAGUUACGAGUUUGGCCUUCAUUUAAAACAAUGUGGAAUUAUUUCACAACUCACGCCACCUAGAGCACCACAGCGCAAUGGUGUGUCCGAACGUCAUAACCGCACUUUAUUAGAUAUGGUGCACUCUAUGAUGUCUCUUACUGAUUUACCACUAUCAUUUUGGGGUUAUGCAUUAGAGACAGCCGCAUUCACGUUAAAUAGGGCAUAGUCUAAAUCCGUUGAGACGACACCGUAUGAACUGUAGUUUGGCAAGAAACCUAAGCCAUUGUUUCUUAAAGUUUGGGGAUGCGACACUUAUGUCAAAAGGCUACAACAUGAUAAUCUCGAACCCAAGUCGGAGAAGUGCGUCUUCAUAGGAUACCCUAAGGAAACAAUUGGGUACACCUUCUACCACAUAUCUGAAGGCAAGAUAUUUUUUUGCCAAGAAUGGAUCCUUUCUAGAGAAGGAGUUUCUCGCGAAAGAAGUGAGUGGGAGGAAAGUAGAACUUAAUGAGGUAAUUGCACCUUCUCUCGAAUUGUAAAGUAGCACAUCACAGAAAACCAUUCCCGUGAUGCCUACACCAACUGAAGAGGAAGCUAAUGACGAUGAUCAUGAAACUUCAGAUCAAGUUACUACUAGGCCUCGUAGGUCGAUCAGAGCAUGUUCCGCACCAGAGUGGUACGGUAAUCUUGUCCUGGAAGUCAUGUUAUUAGACCAUGGCGGACCUACAAACUAAGAAGAGCCCAUAUCCGAUAAAUGGCUUGAGGCCAUGAAAUCUGAGAUAGGAUCCAUGUAUGAGAACAAAGUAUGGACUCUGGUGGACUUACCGAUGAUCUAUUGAGAAUAAAUGGAUCUUCAAGAAGAAGACUAAAAUUGGUGGUAAUGUUACUGUCUACAAAGCUUGACUUGUCACAAAAUAUUUUCGACAAGUUCAAGGGGUUGACUACGAUUAGACUUUAUCACCCAUAGUGAUGCUUAUGUCUGUCUGAAUCAUUUUAGCAAUUGCCGCAUUUUAUAAUUAUGAAAUCUGGCAAAUGGACAUCAAAACUGCACUCCUUAAUCGAUUUCUUUAAGAAGAGUUGUAUAUGAUGCAACCAGAAGGUUUUGUCGAUCCUAAUGGUGCUAAAAAAGUGUGCAAGCUCUAGCGAUCCAUCUAUGGACUGGUGCGACCAUCUUGAAGUUGGAAUAUACGCUUUGAUGAGGUGAUCAAAGCACAUGGUUUUAUACAGACUUACAGCGAAGACUGUAUUUACAAGAAAGUGAGUGGGAGGUCUGUAGCAUUUCUUAUAUUAUAUGUGGAUGACAUAUUGUUGAUUGGAAAUGAUAUAGAAUUUCUGGAUAGCAUGAAAGGAUACUUGAAUAAGAAUUUUUCAAUGAAAGACCUCAAAGAAGCUGCUUAUAUCAAUGUUGGGGAUAUCGCUUGUCGGGAACUUAUCGGCCGACCCAUGAUAAGGGGUAAAUUGGCCAGUUUAUCGGCAUAUCGGCCGAUUUAUCGCCAUAUCGGCUGAAUUACCGGCCGAUUUAUCUUAUCGGUUAGACAACAAUAAGCGAUAAAUCGGCCGAUUUAUCAGAAUAUCGGAAGAUAUCUUGAACAGUGGCUUAUAUAUUGGGCAUCAAGAUCUAUAGGGAUAGAUCGAGACGCUUAAUAGGACUUUCGCAAAUCACAUACCUUGACAAAGUUUUGAACAAUUUCAAAAUGGAGCAGUCAAAGAAAGGGUUCUUUCCUGUAUUACAAGGUGUGAAAUUGAGUCAGACUCAAAGUCCGGCCACUGUAGAAGAUAGAGAGAAGAUGAAAGUCAUUCCCUAUGCCUUAGCCAUAGGUUCUAUCAUGUAUGCUAUGCUGUGUACCAGACCUGAUGUGUGCCUUGCCAUAAGUUUAGCAGGGAGGUACCAAAGUAAUCUAGGAGUGGAUCACUGGACAACGGUCAAGAACAUCCUGAAGUACCUGAAAAGGACCAAGGAUAUGUUUCUUGUUUAUGGAGGUGACGAAGAGCUCAUCAUAAAUGGUUACGUCGAUGCAAGCUUCAACACUGAUCCAGAUGACUCCAAGUCACAAACCGGACACAUAUUUAAAUUUAAUGGUGGAGCUGUCAGUUGGUUCAGUUCCAAGCAGAGUGUCAUGGCGGGAUCUACGUGUGAAGCGGAGUACAUAGCUGCUUCGGAAGCAGCACAUGAAGGAGUCUGGAUGAAGGAGUUCAUAUCCGAUCUGGGUGUAAUACCUAGUGGAUCGGGUCCAACGAAAUAUUUUGUGAGAAACAUUGGAGCAAUUGCCUUGGCGAAGGAAUCCAGGUUUCACAAGAGAACCAAACGCAUCAAGAAACACUUCAACUCCAUCCGUGAAAAGUUCAAGGAUGGAGACAUAGAGAUUUGCAAAAUACAUACAGAUCUGAAGGUAGCAUACCCGUUGACUAAGCCUCUUCUGCGAGCAAAACGUGAUCGACACUAAGACUCCAUGAGUGUUAGAAUCGUUACAAUGUAAUCUAGAUUAUUGACUCUAGUGCAAGUGGGAGACUGAAAGAAAUAUGCCCAAGAGGCAAUAAUAAACUUAUUAUUUUGUAUUACCUUAUUCAUGAUAAAGGUUUAUUACUCAUGCUAGAAUUGUAUUGAUGGGAAUCUUAAAUACAUGCGUGGAUACAUAAACAAAUACCGUGUCCCUAGUGAGCCUCUACUAGACUAGCUCAUUGGUCAAAGAUGGUUAAGGUUUCCUAACCAUAGACAUGUGUUGUCACUUGGUAACAGGAUCACAUCAUUAGGAGAAUGAUGUGAUGGACAAGACCCAUCCGUUAGCUUAGCAUAUGAUCGUUUAGUUUAUUGCUAUUGCUUUCUUAAAUGUUAAAUACAUAUUCCUUUGACUAGGAGAUCAUGCAACUCCCGGAUAUUGGAGGAAUACCUUGUGUGCUAUCAAAUGUCACAACGUAACUGGGUGAUCAUAAAGAAGCUCUACAGGUAUCUCCGAAGGUGUCUGUUGAGUUGGCAUGGAUCGAGAUUAGGAUUUGUCACUCCGUGUAUAAGUGAGGUAUCUCUGGGCCCUCUCGGUAAUACACAUCACAAGAAGCUUGCAAGAAAAGUGACUAAGGAGUUAGUUACAAGAUGGUGUAUUACGGAACGAGUAAAGAGACUUGCAGGUAACGAGAUUGAACCAGGUAUGAAGAUACCGACGAUCGAAUCUUGGGCAAGUAACAUACCGACAAACAAAGGGAAUUACGUAUAUGAAGGAAAUAAGCCCUAGAGGCAACCGUAAAGUUGUUAUUUUAUAUUUCCUUAUUUAUGAUAAAUGUUUAUUGUUCAUGCUAGAAUUGUAUUAACCGGAAUCUUGAUACAUGCGUGAAUACAUAGACAAAACACCGUGUCCCUAGUAUGCCUCUCCUAGACUAGCUUGUUGAUCAAAGAUGGUUAAGUUUCCCAGCCAUGGACAUCUGUUGUCAUUUGAUGAACGGGAUCACAUCAUUAGGAGAAUGAUGUGAUGGAAAAGACCCAUCCGUUAGCUUAGCAUAAACGAUCGUUCAGUUUAUUGCUACUGCUUUCUUCAUGUCAAAUAUAUAUUCCUCUGACUAUGAUAUUAUGCAACUCCCGGACACCGGAGGAAUGCCUUAUGUGCUAUCAAACGUCACAACGUAAAUGGGUGAUUAUAAAGAUGCUCUACAAGUAUCUCCAAAGGUGUUUCUUGGGUUGGCAUAGAUCGAGAUUAGGAUUUGUCACUCCGAGUAACGGAGAGGUAUCUCUGGGCCCUCUUGGUAAUACACAUCAUAUGAAGCCUUGCAAGUAAUGUGACUAAUGAGUUAGUUGCAGGAUGAUGCGUUACGGAACGAGUAAAGAGACUUGCAGGUAACGAGAUUGAACUAGGUAUGAAGAUACCGACGAUCGAAUCUCGGGCAAGUAACAUAUCAAUGACAAAGGGAAUAACGUAUGUUGACAUUGUGGUUCGACAGAUAAAGAUCUUCGUAGAAUAUGUGGGAACCAAUAUGAGCAUCCAGGUUCCACUAUUGGUUAUUGAACGGAGAGGUGUCUCGGUCAUGUCUGCAUAGUUCUCGAACCCGUAGGGUCCGCACGCUUAACGUUUGAUGACGAUAUGUAUUAUAUGAGUUAUGUGUUUUGGUGACCGAAGGUUGUUCAGAGUCCCGGAUGAGAUCAAGGACAUGACGAGGAGUCUCGAAAUGGUCGAGAGGUAAAGAUUGAUAUAUUUGAAGGUAGUAUUCGGACAUCGGAAGGGUUCCGGAGUGUAUCAGGUACAUACAGGGGUAUAAAAGGGAUUACCGGAACCCCCGGUGAAAGAUAUGGGUCAUAUGGGCCAUAGGAGGGAGGCACACCAGCCCACAAGGGGCUAGCGCGCCCCCCACAAGGGAGGAGGCCGAAUUGGACUAGGGAAGGGGGCGCCACCCCCCUUUCCUUCUCCCUCUCCUACUCCUCCCCCUCCCCCCCUCCGAAAAAAGGAAGGGGGGGGGGGGCGAAUCCGACUAGGAGUCCAAGUGGGACUCCUUCCCACUUGGGGCACACCUUGUUGGGGAACAUUGCAUAAAAUAAAAUUUUUCCUACAUUCACCAAGAUCAAUCUAUGAGUUCAUCUAGCAACGAGAGAGAGAGAGAUGCAUCUACAUACCCUUGUAGAUCGCGUGCGGAAGCGUUCAAGAGAACGGGGUUGAGGGAGUCGUUCUCGUCGUGAUCCAAAUCACCGUAGAUCCUAGCGCCGAAUGGACGGCACCUCCGCGUUCAACACACGUACGGUCAGCGUGACGUCUCCUCCUUGAUCCAGCAAGGGGGAGGAGAGGUUGACGAAGAUCCAGCAGCACGACGACGUGGUGGUGGAUGCAGCAGGGCUCCGGCAGGGCUUCGCCAAGCAACUACGGGAGGAGGAGGAGGUGUAGCAGGGGAGAGGGAGGCGCCAAGACUUCAGGUGCGGCUGCCCUCCCUCCCCCCUCAUUUAUAUAGGCCCCCUGGGGUGGGGGGGCGCCGGCCCUGGAGAUCAGAUCUCCUAAGGGGGCGGCGGCCAGGGGGGUGGAGUGCCCCCCAAGGCAAGUGGGGCGCGCCCCCACCCUAGGGUUUCCAACCCUAGGCGCAGGGGGCCCAAGGGGGGGGGGGGCGCACCAGCCCUCUAGGGGCUGGUCCCCUCCCCACUUCAGCCCACGGGGCCCUCCGGGAUAGGUGGCCCCACCCGGUGGACCCCCAGGACCCUUCCAGUGGUCCCGGUACAAUAUCAGUGACCCCCGAAACUCUCCCGAUGGCCGAAACAACACUUCCUAUAUAUAAUUAUUUACCUCCGGACCAUUGCGGAACUCCUCGUGACGCCCGGGAUCUCAUCCGGGACUCCGAACAACUUUCGGUUUGCUGCAUACUCAUAUUCAUACAACCCUAGCAUCACCGAACCUUAAGUGUGUAGACCCUACGGGUUCGGGAGACAUGUAGACAUGACCGAGACGACUCUCCGGUCAAUAACCAACAGCGGGAUCUGGAUACCAAUGUUGGCUCCCACAUACUCCUCGAUGAUCUCAUCGGAUGAACCAUGAUGUCGAGGAUUUAAGCAACCCCGUAUACAAUUCCCUUUGUUAAUCGGUACGUUACUUGCCCGAGAUUUGAUCGUCGGUAUCGCAAUACCUCGUUCAAUCUCGUUACCGGCAAGUCACUUUACUCGUACCGUAAUGCAUGAUCGCGUGACCAAACACUUGGUCACUUUGAGCUCAUUAUGAUGAUGCAUUACUGAGUGGGCCCAGAGAUACCUCUCCGUCAUACGGAGUGACAAAUCCCAGUCUCGAUCCGUGUCAACCCAACAGACACUUUCGGAGAUACCUGUAGUGCACCUUUAUAGUCACCCAGUUACGUUGUGACGUUUGGUACACCCAAAGCACUCCUAUGGUAUCCGGGAGUUACACGAUCUCAUGGUCUAAGGAAAAGAUACUUGACAUUGGAAAAUAUCUAGCAAAUGAACUACACUCUUUGUGCUAUGCUUAGGAUUGGGUCUUGUCCAUCACAUCAUUCUCCUAAUGAUGUGAUCCCGUUAUCAACGACAUCCAAUGUCCAUAGUGAGGAAACCAUGACUAUCUGUUGAUCAACGAGCUAGUCAACUAGAGGCUCACUAGGGACAUAUUGUGGUCUAUGUAUUCACAUGUGUGUUACGAUUUCCGGAUAAUACAAUUAUAGCAUGAAUAAAAGAAAAUUAUCAUGAACGAGGAAAUAUAAUAAUAAUCAUUUUAUUAUUGCCUCUAGGGCAUAUUUCCAACAGUCUCCCACUUGCACUAGAGUCAAUAAUCUAGUUACAUUGUGAUGAAUCGAACACCCAUAGAGUUCUGGUGUUGAUCAUGUUUUGCUCGCGGAAGAGGUUUAGUCAACGGAUCUGCGACGUUCAGAUCCGUAUGUACUUUGCAAAUAUCUAUGUCUCCAUCUUGAACAUUUUCACUGAUGGAGUUGAAACGACGCUUGAUGUGCCUGGUCUUCUUGUGAAACCUAGGCUCCUUCGCAAGGGCAAUAGCUCCAGUGUUGUCACAGAAGAGAGUGAUUGGCCCCGACGCAUUGGGUAUGACUUCUAGGUCAGUGAUGAACUCCUUCAUCCAUAUUGCUUCAUGUGCUGCCUCCGAGGCUGCCAUGUACUCCGCUUCACAUGUAGAUCCCGCCACGACGCUCUGCUUGCAACUGCACCAGCUUACUGCUCCACGAUUCAACAUAUACACAUAUCCGGUUUGCGACUUAGAGUCAUCCAGAUCUGUGUCGAAGCUAGCAUCGAUGUAACCCUUUACGACGAGCUCUUCGUCACCUCCAUAAACGAGAAACAUGUCCUUUGUCCUUUUCAGGUACUUCAGGAUAUUCUUGACCGCUGUCCAGUGUUCCUUGCCGGGAUUACUUUGGUACCUUCCUACCAAACUUACGGCAAGGUUUACAUCAGGUCUGGUACACAGCAUGGCAUACAUAAUAGAUCCUAUGGCUGAGGCAUAGGGGAUGACACUCAUCUCUUCUUUAUCUUUUGCCAUGGUCGGGCAUUGAGCCGAGCUCAAUCUCACACCUUGCAAUACAGGCAAGAACCCUUUCUUGGGCUGAUCCAUUCUGAACUUCUUCAAAAUCUUAUCAAGGUAUGUGCUUUGUGAAAGACCUAUGAGGUGUCUCGAUCUAUCCCUAUAGAUCUUGAUGCCUAAUAUGUAAGCAGCUUCUCCAAGGUCCUUCAUUGAAAAACACUUAUUCAAGUAGGCCUUAAUGCUACCAAAAGUUCUAUAUCAUUUCCCAUCAAAAGUAUGUCAUCUACAUAUAAUAUGAGAAAUGCUACAGAGCUCCCACUCACUUUCUUGUAAAUGUAGGCUUCUCCAUAAGUCUGCAUAAACCCAAACGCUUUGAUCAUCUCAUCAAAGCGAAUGUUCCAACUCCGAGAUGCUUGCACCAGCCCAUAAAUGGAUCGCUGGAGCAUGCAUACCUUGUUAGCAUUUUUAGGAUCAACAAAACCUUCCGGCUGCAUCAUAUACAGUUCUUCCUUAAGAUAGCCGUUAAGGAAUGCCGUUUUGACGUCCAUCUGCCAUAUCUCAUAAUCAUAGUAUGCGGCAAUUGCUAACAUGAUUCAGACGGACUUCAGCUUCGCUACGGGAGAGAAAGUCUCAUCGUAGUCAACCCCUUGAAUUUGCCGAUAACCCUUAGCGACAAGUCGAGCUUUAUAGAUGGUAAUAUUACCAUCCGCGCCCGUCUUCUUCUUAAAGAUCCAUUUGUUUUCUAUCGCUCGCUGAUCAUUGGGUAAGUCUGUCAAAGUCCAUACUUUAUAUUCAUACAUGGAUUCUAUCUUGGAUUGCAUGGCUUCAAGCCAUUUGUUGGAAUCUGGGCCCGCCAUCGCUUCUUCAUAGUUCGAAGGUUCACCGUUGUCUAACAACAUGAUUUCCAGGACAGGGUUGCCAUACCACUCUGGUGUGGAACGUGUCCUUGUGGACCUACGAAGUUCAGUAGCAACUUGAUCCGAAGUACCUUGAUCAUCAUCAUUAAUUUCCUCUCCAGUCGGUGUAGGCACCACAGGAACAUUUUCCUGAGCUGCACUACUUUCCGGUACAAGAGGUAGUACUUCAUCGAGUUCUACUUUCCUCCCGCUUACUCCUUUCGAGAGAAACUCUUUUUCCAGAAAGGAUCCGUUCUUGGCAACAAAGAUCUUGCCUUCGGAUCUAAGGUAGAAGGUAUACCCAAUGGUUUCCUUAGGGUAUCCUAUGAAGACGCAUUUUUCCGACUUGGGUUUGAGCUUUUCAGGUUGUAGUUUCUUGACAUAAGCAUAGCAUCCCCAAACUUUUAGAAACGACAGCUUAGGUUUCUUCCCAAACCACAAUUCAUACGGUGUCGUCUCAACGGAUUUAGACGGAGCCCUAUUUAAAGUGAAUGUAGCUGUCUCUAGAGCGCAUCCCCAAAAUGAUAGCGGUAAAUCGGUAAGAGACAUCAUAGAUCGCACCAUAUCCAAUAGAGUGCGAUUACGAUGUUCGGACACACCAUUACGCUGAGGUGUUCCAGGCGGCGUGAGUUGUGAAACGAUUCCACAUUUUCUUAAGUGCGUACCAAAUUCAUGACUUAAAUAUUCUCCUCCACGAUCUGAUCGUAAGAAUUUUAUCUUUCGGUCACGUUGAUUCUCUACUUCAUUCUGAAAUUCGUUGAACUUUUCAAAGGUUUCAGACUUGUGUUUCAUCAAGUAGACAUACCCAUAUCUACUUAAGUCAUCAGUGAGAGUGAGAACAUAACGAUAUCCUCCGCGAGCCUGAACGCUCAUUGGACCACACACAUCAGUAUGUAUGAUUUCCAAUAAGUUGCUUGCUCGCUCCAUUGUUCCGGAGUACAGAGUCUUGGUCAUUUUGCCCAUGAGGCAUGGUUCGCAUGUGUCAAAUGAUUCAUAAUCGAGAGACUCUAAAAGUCCAUCAUCAUGGAGCUUCUUCAUGCGCUUGACACCAAUGUGACCAAGGCGGCAGUGCCACAAGUAUGUGGGACUAUCGUUAUCAACUUUACAUCUUUUGGUAUUCACACUAUGAAUAUGUGUAACAUUACGUUUGAGAUUCAUUAAGAAUAAACCAUUGACCAUCGGGGCAUGACCAUAAAACAUAUCUCUCAUAUAAAUAGAACAACCAUUAUUCUCGGAUUUAAAUGAGUAGCCAUCUCGCAUUAAACGAGAUCAUGAUACAAUGUUCAUGCUCAAACAUGGCACUAAAUAACAAUUAUUGAGGUUUAAAACUAAUCCCGUAGGUAAAUGUAGAGGUAGCGUGCCGACGGCGAUCACAUCGACCUUGGAACCAUUCCCGACGCGCAUCAUCACCUCGUCCUUCGCCAGUCUCCGCUUAUUCCAUAGCUCUUGCUGUGAGUUAUAAAUAUGAGCAACGACACCGGUAUCAAAUACCCAGGAGUUACUAUGAGUACUGGUAAGGUACACAUCAAUUACAUGUAUAUAACAUAUACCUUUAGUGUUGCCGGCCUUCUUGUCCGCUAAGUAUUUGGGGCAGUUCCGCUUCCAGUGACCCUUCCCUUUGCAAUAAAAGCACUCAGUCUCAGGCCUGGGUCCAUUCCUUGACUUCUUGCCGGCAGCUGGCUUACCGGGCGCGGCGACAUCUUUGCCGUCCUUCUUGAAGUUCUUCUUACCCUUGCCCUUCUUGAACUUGGUGGUUUUAUUGACCAUCAACACUUGAUGUUCUUUCUUGAUUUCUACCUCUGCUGACUUCAGCAUUGAAAAUACUUCAGGAAUAGUUUUCACCAUCCCCUGCAUAUUGUAGUUCAUCACAAAGCUCUUGUAGCUGGGUGGGAGCGACUGAAGGAUUCUUUCAAUGACCGCCUCGUCCGGGAGGUUAAUGUCCAGCUGGGACAGGCAGUUGUGCAACCCAGACAUUUUGAGUAUGUGCUCACUGAUAGAACUAUUUUCCUCCAUCUUACAACUGUAGAACUUGUCGGAGACUUCAUAUCUCUCAACCCGGGCAUGAGCUUGGAAAACCAAUUUCAGCUCCUCGAACAUCUCAUAUGCUCCGUGUUGCUCAAAACGCUUUGGAGCCCCGGUUCUAAGCUGUAAAGCAUGCCGCACUGAACGAGGGAGUAAUCAUCAACACGUGACUGCCAAGCAUUCAUAACGUCUUGGUUCUCUGGGAUGGGUGCUUCACCUAGCGGUCCUUCUAGGACAUAUGCUUUCUUGGCAGCUAUGAGGAUGAUCCUCAGGUUCCGGACCCAGUCCGAAUAGUUGCUGCCAUCAUCUUUCAGCUUGGUUUUCUCUAGGAACGCGUUGAAGUUCAUGUUGACAGGAGCGUUGGCCAUUUGAUCUACAAGACAUAUUUUGCAAAGAUUUUAUAGUAAGUUCAUGAUAAUUAAGUUCAUCUAAUCAAAUUAUUUAGUGAACUCCCACUCAGAUUAGACAUCCCUCUAGUCAUCUAAGUGUUACACGAUCCGAGUCGACUAGGCCGUGUCCGAUCAUCACGUGAGACAGACUAGUCAUCAUCAGUGAACAUCUCCAUGUUGAUCGUGUCUUCCAUACGACUCAUGUUCGACCUUUCGGUCUCUGUGUUGCGAGGCCAUGUCUGUACAUGCUAGGCUCGUCAAGUUAACCCUAAGUGUUUUUGCAUGUGUAAAACUGUCUUACACCCGUUGUAUGUGAACGUAAGGAUCUAUCACACCCGAUCAUCACGUGGUGCUUCGAAACGACGAACUUUAGCAACGGCGCACAGUUAGGGGGAACACUUUCUUGAAAUUAUUAUAAGGGAUCAUCUUAUUUACUACCGUCGUUCUAAGUAAACAAGAUGCAUAAACAUAAUAAACAUCACAUGCAAUUAUAUAGUAGUGACAUGAUAUGGCCAAUAUCAUAUAGCUUCUUUGAUCUCCAUCUUCGGGGCUCCAUGAUCAUCUUCGUCACCGGCAUGACACCAUGAUCUCCAUCAUCAUGAUCUCCAUCAUCGUGUCUCCAUGAAGUUGCUCGCCAACUAUUACUUCUACUACUAUGGCUAACGGUUUAGCAAUAAAGUAAAGUAAUUACAUGGCGUUAAAUCAUUGACAUGUAGGUCAUACAAUAAUUAAGACAACUCCUAUGGCUCCUCCCGGUUGUCAUACUCAUCGACAUGCAAGUCGUGAUUCCUAUUACAAGAACAUGAUCUCAUACAUCACAAUAUAUCAUUCAUCAUACAUCACAACUUUUGGCCAUAUCACAUCACAUAGCAAUUGCUGCAAAAACAAGUUAGACGUCCUCUAAUUGUUGUUGCAUCUUUUACGUGGCUGCAAUUGGGUUCUAGCAAGAACGUUUUCUUACCUAUGAAUGACCACAACGUGAUUUUGUCAACUUCUAUUUACCCUUCAUAAGGACCCUUUUCAUCGAAUCCGCUCCAACUAAAGUGGGAGAGACAGACACCCGCUAGCCACCUUAUGCAACUAGUGCAUGUCAGUUAGUGGAACCUGUCUCACGUAAGCGUACGUGUAAGUCCGGGCCGCUUCAUCCCACAAUACCGCUGAAGAAAAAUAAGACCAGUAGUGGCAAGCAAGUUGACAAGAUCUACGCCCACAACAGAUUCGUGUUCUACUCAUGCAAUAGAGAACUACACAUAGACCUAGCUCAUGAUGCCACUGUUGGGGAACGUUGCAUAAAAUAAAAAAAUUCCUACGUUCACCAAGAUCAAUCUAUGAGUUCAUCUAGCAACGAGAUAGAGAGAUGCAUCUACAUACCCUUGUAGAUCGCGUGCGGAAGCGUUCAAGAGAACGGGGUUGAGGGAGUCGUUCUCGUCGUGAUCCAAAUCACCGGAGAUCCUAGCGCCGAACGGAUGGCACCUCCGCGUUCAACACACGUACGGUCAUCGUGACGUCUCCUCCUUCUUGAUCCAGCAAGGGGGGAGGAGAGGUUGAUGAAGAUCCAGCAGCACAACGGCGUGGUGGUGGAUGCAGCAGGGCUCCGGCAGGGCUUCGCCAAGCAACUACGGGAGGAGGAGGAGGUGUAGCAGGGGAGAGGGAGGCGCCAAGACUUCAGGUGCGGCUGCCCUCCCUCCCCCCUGCUUUAUAUAGCCCCCCUGGGGGGGCGCCGGCCCUGGAGAUCAGAUCUCCCUAGGGGGCGGCGGCCAGGGGGGUGGAGUGCCCCCCAAGGCAAGUGGGGCGCGCCCCCACCCUAGGGUUUCCAACCCUAGGUGCAGGGAGGCCCAAGGGGGGGGGGAGCACCAGCCCACUAGGGGCUGGUCCCCUCCCCACUUCAGCCCACGGGGCCCUCCGGGAUAGGUGGCCCCACCCGGUGGACCCCCGGGACCCUUCCAGUGGUCCCGGUACAAUACCGGUGACCCCCGAAACUCUCCCGAUGGCCGAAACAUUACUUCCUAUAUAUAAUUCUUUACCUCUGGACCAUUCCCGAACUCCUCGUGACGUCCGGGAUCUCAUCCGGGACUCCGAACAACUUUCGGUUUGCUGCAUACUCAUACUCAUACAACCCUAGCGUCACCGAACCUUAAGUGUGUAGACCCUACGGGUUCGGGAGACAUGUAGACAUGACCGAGACGACUCUCCGGUCAAUAACCAACAGCGGGAUCUGGAUACCCAUGUUGGCUCCCACAUACUCCUCGAUGAUCUCAUCGGAUGAACCACGAUGUCGAGGAUUUAAGCAACCCCGUAUACAAUUCCCUUUGUCAAUCGGUAUGUUACUUGCCCGAGAUUCGAUCGUCGGUAUCCCAAUACCUCGUUCAAUCUCGUUACCGGCAAGUCACUUUACUCGUACCGUAAUGCAUGAUCCCGUGACCAGACACUUGGUCACUUUGAGCUCAUUAUGAUGAUGCAUUACCGAGUGGACCCAGAGAUACCUCUCCGUCAUACGGAGUGACAAAUCCCAGUCUCGAUCCGUGUCAACCCAACAGACACUUUCAGAGAUACCUGUAGUGCACCUUUAUAGUCACCCAGUUAUGUUGUGACGUUUGGUACACCCAAAGCACUCCUACGGUAUCCGGGAGUUACACGAUCUCAUGGUCUAAGGAAAAGAUACUUGACAUUGGAAAAGCUGUAGCAAACGAACUACACGAUCUUUGUGCUAUGCUUAGGAUUGGGUCUUGUCCAUCACAUCAUUCUCCUAAUGAUGUGAUCCCAUUAUCAACGGCAUCCAAUGUCCAUAGUCAGGAAACCAUGACUAUCUGUUGAUCAAUGAGCUAGUCAACUAGAGGCUCACUAGGGACAUAUUGUGGUCUAUGUAUUCACACGUGUAUUACGAUUUCCGGAUAAUACAAUUAUAGCAUGAAUAAAAGACAAUUAUCAUGAAAGAGGAAAUAUAAUAAUAAUCAUUUUAUUAUUGCCUCUAGGGCAUAUUUCCAACACACCGAGGCCGGCCUCCUCUCCCUCCCUCCUUUAUAUACGGAGGGGGAGCGCCCCUAUGAGACACACCAAUUGCUCUAAGCCGUGUGCGGUGCCCCCCUCCAUAGUUUAGCCUCCAGUCAUAUUCUCGCGGUGCUUAGGCGAAGCCCUGUGCAGAUCACAUCACCAUCACCGUCAGCAUGCCGUCGUGCUAACAGAACUCAUCUACUUCCUCGAACCUUUGCUGGAUCAAGAGCUCGAGGGACGUCAUCGCACUGAACGUGUGCAUAACCCAGAGAUGCCAUAUGUUCGGUACUCGAUCGGUCGGAACGAUAAGACGUUUGACUGCAUCAACCGUGUUAAGUAAACGCUUCCACUUUCGUUAUACGAGCAUAUGUGGACACACUCUCCCCCUCUCAUUGCUAUGCAUAUCCUAGAUAGAUCUUGCGUGAGCGUAGGAUUUUUUUUGAAAUUGCAUGCUACAUUUCCCAACCGUAUAUUGUCAUAUGGUUCGACCGAUAAAGAUCUUUGUAAAAUAUGUAGGAACCAAUAUGGGCAUCCAGGUUCCGCCAUUGGUUAUUGAUCGGGUAUCUCGGUCAUGUCUACAUAGUUCUUGAACCCGUAGGGACCGCAUGCUUAACGUUUAUUGACGAUAUAAUGUUAUAUGAGUUAUGUGAUUUGGUGACCGAAUGUUGUUCAGAGUCCCGAAUGAGAUCACGGACAUGACAAGGAGCUCCAGAAUGGUCCAGAGGUAAAGAUUGAUAUAUAGGAUGAUGCUAUUCGGACACCAGAAAGGUUUUCGAGCGUAUCGGGUAGUCAUCGGAUCACCGGAAGGGGUUCCGGGAAGCCCCGGGAGGUUAAUGGGCCUUAUGGGCCAAGACGGGGAACACACCAGCCCACAAGGGGCUGGCGCGUCCCUUCCCUUGGAAUUCGUCCCUAUGGAGGGAAAGGAGGGAGGUCUAGCCCCUCUUUCCUUUCCUCCACCUAGGAGGAAGGAAGGGGGGGGGGGGCGCCACGUCCUCCUGCCUUCCUCUCGCAGGCAAACAAGGAAGGGGGGCGCAACUAGGGCAGGAGCUCAAGGAGGAUUCACCUCCGUGGAGGUGCCUCCUUGCCGUCUCCCCUCUCCCCCACCUAUAUAUAUGGGGGAGGGGGCACCGCACAACCCCACGACAAUCUCUUAGCCGUGUGCGGUGCCCCUCUCCAUAGUUUUGUCCCUCGGUCAUAUUUUCGGAGUGCUUAGGUGAAGCCCUACAGAGAUAGCAUCACCACCACCAUCAACACACCGUCGUGCUACCGAAACUCAUGUACUACUUCGUCCAUCUUGCUGGAUCAAGAAGGCGAGGACAUCACCGAGCUGAACGUGUGUUGAACGCGGAGGUGUCGUAAGUUCGGUACUUGAUCGGUUGGAUCACGAAGAAGUUCGACUACAUCAACUGUGUUUCUAAACGCUUCUGCUUACGAUCUACGAGGGUACGAAGACACACUCUCCUCUUUCGUUGCUACGCAUCUCCAUGGGUAUAUCUUGUGUGUGCAUAUAAUUUUUUUUGUUUUCCAUGCAAUGUUCCCCAACAUAAUCAUGAGGGCGUGGCUAUAUGUAAGGCGACUGAGAUUUAACAUAGUAUAUAAGAAGAAAAAAGCUAAAAAGAAAAUUUUGCAUAAAUCUCCAUGUAAGAUCAUACGAGUAUAUCAUCAACUGAGAUUUAGCAAUAACAAUGUGAUGACUUUGACAAUGUAGUGAUACACAAAUAAUUAAACUAUAUAGUGCUACCUCCAUUUCAAAAUCUCAGAAAUUUUGGUAGGUUGAACUAGCCUACCAAAAUGUGUUAUAUUUCCUAUAUCGUGGAAUGGAGGUUGUCAGCGUUCUGGAUACGGGGGUACCCAGACUUGCCUGCCUGCGGCCCACGGCGUGGCUCCAUCGAUGGCCUGGUACGACCCAGCUCCAACAUCAACAACUCAAGGGUCACCAAGGCCUUCGAAGGGAUCCGCCUCCUCAGGAUGGCUCCUGAGGAGCGGAGAUUUAUAUGCAAAGCUCACCUCAUGAGGUGUGGAUGACGUGAGCCAUGACGAUCAAGGCCAGGCGGGCGCCAGUGGGCGCAGUGUACCUGUUUCCUCUUUGGUACAAGGGAGGCAAGAAGCAGGCACGGAGUCCCGAGGAAUCAACCAAAUGUUUCCAUUCUUGUGCAACAAGACCAAGACCGCCAGGAGAGGGGUCGUCAUCGAGCCCACCGCAGCAUCACAACCAGAGGCUUUUGCAGGCGAAGACCACUUUAGUCAGGAUAAGAUGUACUAGCUGUCUCCCUUCAAAUUUGGACGUUGUGGGAUCCCUUCCCGCAUCCAUUCGGGAAGAGGACCAAGGUCACUAUAAAUAGGACCUAGCCACCACUACGGAGGGGGAGAGAGUCUGAUCAGAUCCAUUCCACCCUCACCAGCUCACCAGCUCACUUGAGCCCAAGGCCGACCUCACCUUCAGCUCAGAAGAUCACCCUGCUACGACGGCGGGUCAGGCAUACUCCCGAUGCUCUACACCCCCACCAUCUGCAACAUGGCGGUCACCAAGACUCUCAUUGACGAUGGAGCCAGCCUAUAUGUUCUCUCCGUGGAGGCAUUCGGCUUGCUCCACGCGCCCCACGGCCGGCUCCGCCCCACCAAGCCUUUCUCUGGGGUCGGCAUUGGCUCUACCAGCCCCCCGGGGCAAAUCUACCUUCCUGUCACCUUCGGGACCCGCGACAGCUACCGCACCGAGCUCAUCGACUUCGACAUCGCCCGGAUCGGCCUACCAUACAACACCAUCCUUGGGUACCCAACCCUAUCCAAGUUCAUGGCAGCAACUCAUCCAGCCUACAACCUCAUGAAGAUGCCAUGUAGCAGCGGUGUCCUCAUGGUAGCAGUGGAUACCAAGGACGCGCUACUGGCCCUUAAGCUCGCCUUCAUGUCUGCUUGUCCACGCAACCGUGCAAGAAAGGGGUCCCUGAGGCUCCAGGGGCCGCGCCAGCCAAGAAGAAGCAGUUGUUUUCCCAAGACCGAGCCGAGACGAAGCAAGUUCCAAUCGAUGAGGAUGGGUUGUUAGGCGCCACCUUCACCAUAGGAGCUGGCCUUGCCUUGGACCAAGAGAGAGCGUUGGUCAGCUUCUUAUGUGCCAAAAAGGAAGUGUUUGCAUGGGAGCCGAAGGACCUGGUUGGGAUCCCAAGGGGAAUAAUCAAGCACCACUUGAGGGUGUGCCCAAAUGUACGCCCAGUAAAGCAGAUGGCACGACGACAGUCCACGGAGAAGCAGAGGUUCAUCGUCCAAGAAACCCGCAAGCUGUAGGAUGCUGGUGUCAUCCAGGAGGUGCGGUACCCGGAGUGGCUGGCAAACCCAGUUAUUGUCCCCAAGAAGGGGGGAAGGAGCGCAUGUGCGUCGACUUCACCAACCUAAACAAGGCUUUCCCCCAGGACCCCUUCCCGCUCCCGUGCAUCGACCAGAUCGUCGACUCCACCGCCAAGUGUGACAUGUCAUGCUUUUUAGACGCCUUUUCAGGCUACCACCAGAUCAAGACGGUUGUGCAAGAUGUGGAGAAAACGGCGUUCUAGACCCCCUGUGGGGUGUACUACUACACCUGCAUGCCUUUCGGGCUGUGUAAUGCUGGAGCCACCUUUCAGCGGUUAAUGCACACUGCUUUGGGCCAAUAGCUCGGGAGGAACGCUAAGUCUUAUGUUGAUGACAUAGUGGUGAAGUCUCGGGAGGCAAAGACCCUGAUCGAGGACCUGAAGGAAACAUUUGCCAGCCCGCGCAAGGUGGACCUGUGGCUCAACCCCGAGAAGUGUGUGUUCGGAGUCCCAUCUGGCAAGCUGCUGGGUUUCCUGAUGUUGCAUAGAGGAAUCGAGGCCAACCCGGGAGAAAGUCAAUGCUAUAUAAGACAUGAGCCUGCCACAGACACCCAAGGAGAUGCAGAAGCUUGCGGGCUGCAUGACCUCGCUGGGGCGUUUCAUCUCCAAGCUGGAGGAACGUGCCCUCCCAUUCUUCAAGCUGAUGAAGAGGAAAGGGCCGUUUGAGUGGACCCCUGAGGCUGACGCGGCCUUCCAAGACCUCAAUAAAUACCUCACCAGCCCACCAGUGAUGGUGGCGCCACACCCCCUCGAGCCCUUGGUGCUCUAUUUGGCCGCCACGCCUCACUCUGCCAGUGCCGCCCUGGUAGCGCUAAGGGAAGAGCGCCCGACCAAGGAUCCUCAGCAGGGCGCCUCGUCACCAAGCAUGGCACAGCAGCCUCGGGAUGGCGCUCCUGAGGCUUUAGCUGACCCAACAACCAAUGUCCUUCCUGAGGCCCAAGCCGACCCUUUAGCUGGCGGGGCUCCUGAGGCUAAGGCUCAUGAGGCCGCGGCUAAUGUGGUAGGUGACGAGACCCCUAAAGGCUAGCAUCCUCAAAAGAUACAAGACCCCGCCAAUACCUCCUCUCUCAUCGAGCAUCUGGUCUACUUCGUCAGCAUGGUGCUACGAGAGGCAUGAGCGCGCUACCCCAUGCCUCAAAAGCUUUUGCUCGCACUCCUGGUCACCUCCCAAAAGCUGCGCCACUACUUCCAGGGCCACCCCAUCAAGGUCUUUUCAGCCUACCCACUAGAGAGGGUACUCCGGAGCCCUAACGCUGCCGGAAGGGUCGCAGAGUGGAACAUCGAGCUUCAGGCGUUCCAGCUGGAGUUCAGCACCACCAGAGUCAUCAAGGGCGCGACCCUCACAGAUUUUGUGGCAGAAUGGACCGAUGUCCCUGACCGCGGAAUAUGCGAGGAUCGCUCCCUCUUGCCCGGAGACGAGGCGCCGGAUGGAUGGAUCAUGUACUUCGACAACGCAUUCACACAUCAGGGCGCAGGGUCUGGAGUCGUCCUCAUCUCACCGACCAAGGACAAGCUCUACUACGAUGUACAACUCUGCUUCCAGCAGAGCGAAAAGGUCUCCGACAACAUCGUAGAGUAUGAAGGCCUACUCGCCAGCCUUAGAGCUGCGGCAGCGCUGGGGGUGAAGCAUCUCACCAUCAGGGGCGAUUCCCAGCUCCUCAUCAACUUCUCCAACAAAGAGUACAUCCCAAAGGACGAGCACAUGGAGGCAUACCUAGAAGAGGUAUGCAAAAUGGAAAAAUGAUUCUUGGGCUUGGAAUUACAGCAUGUGCCACGAGGUACAAACAAGGAGGCGGACGACAUCGCCAAGAGGGCAUCCCUGUGGCUACCUCAGGAGCCAGGAGUUUUUGAGGAACGGCUCUUCACGCCAUCGGCAGCUCCCCCCGCUGUGGCACCAGCACCACCUUAGGAGGACCUACCCCGAGCCCCAACAACAGGCGCCCCGGCUUGCAGCCCAACCUCAGGGGUCCGCCUACUCCUCCCACUCGAGCCUCAGGAGGGGGGCUAGACCAAGGAUUUCAAGAUGUACCUGCUUCAGGGGACCUUCUCAGAGAUGGAAGAGGAUGCCAAGCGCAUGGCUCGCCAGGCCACCGCAUACUGCAUCCAGGACGGUGAGCUGUACCGCAAAAGGCCUAAUGAUUGUCGAUGUCAAAACCGGCGGAUCUCGGGUAGGGGCCCCCGAACUGUGCGUCUAAGGCUAAUGGUAAUAGGAGGCAGGGGACACAAUGUUUACCCAUGUUCAGGCCCUCUCUAUGGAGGUAAUACCCUACUUCCUGCUUGACUGAUCUUGAUGAAUAUGAGUAUUACAAGAGUUGAUCUACCACGAGAUCGUAAUGGCUAAACCCUAGAAGCUAGCCUAUGAUUAUGAUUGUUCUUGUCCUACGGACUAACCCCUCCGGUUUAUAUAGACACUGGAGGGGGCUAGGGUUACACAGAGUCGGUUACAGAGAAAGGAAUCUUCAUAUCCGAAUCGCCAAGCUUGCCUUCCAUGCAAUGGAGAGUCCCAUACGGACACGGGAUGAAGUCUUCUAUCUUGUAUCUUCAUAGCCCAGCAGUCCGAACCACGUAUAUAGUCCGGCUGUCCAAGGACCCCUUAAUCCAGGACUCCCUCAGUAGCCCCUGAACCAGGCUUCAAUGAUGAUGAGUCUGGCAUUGCAAGGCAGGUUCCUCCUCUGAAUACUUCAAGGUAGAUCUUGAACACCAGAAUCCUGUCCGGCUCUGCAAAACAAAUCCCACAUACCAUUGGAGAAAGUAUAACAUCCCACGAGUCCAAUCUGCUGACAACUCACAAUGUGAUAUCACGCCACGGCCCGGUCUUUAUUCGAACCGUUUUUAUCCCGCCCUUCCGUAUUUCGAGGUGUGGUUUCAUUGGCACGUCUUGUCAAAGCAGAGAUCGUGUCCCCUUAUCAUGACAUUCUCAUCAAUGCGGGUAUGGGUAACCCAAUCGUGCCAUCAGCAUGACGCUUGGGGGAAUAAGCGAGUUUUAGGGAAAAUGGGGAGGCGCAUGAUUUCUACUUCCUUUAUAAAGGGAUAAGGAUUGCUUGUUUCACCCACGCCUUCUCCUUCCUCUGCUCAUUCACUCUCGAGCUCCAGCACCCAAGCUCUCGCCUUCUUUGCCAAAAAAAAGCAUUCCGAAGAUGUCCGGAUCUGGAGCAGGAGGCAAGUGGAUGGCCUCCUCCGUCAUGGAGAAGGACAUAAAGAAGCUCCGGGAGGCCGGAUACCUAUCCAAGGAGAUCAACCAUAGGCUUCCGGCCAAGGGGCAUAUCAUCCCCACCCCAGAACCCCAGGAAAGGGUAGUAUUCGUCUCUCACUUCGUCCGCGGGCUGGGAUUCCCCCUCCACCCAUUUGUCCGCGGAUUGAUGCAUUAUUACGGGUUCGACUUCCAUGAUGUGGCCCCCAACUCCAUCCUCAACAUAUCAGCAUUUAUCAUUGUGUGUGAGGCCUUUCUCCGCAUCCCACCUCAUUUUGGGUUAUGGCUGAAGACUUUCAAUGUGAAGCCAAAGGUGGUGAGCGGCCAGCAAGCGGAGUGUGGAGGCGCUAUGGUGGGCAAGAUGCCCAAUGUCACCUGGCCCGAAGGAUCCUUUGUGGAGAUGGUAAAGGGGUGGCAAUCGGGGUGGUUCUACAUCACCGAGCUGCGCGACACCAACUGGGCGGCGGCCCCCGCAUUCCGAUCCGGAGUCCCAAUGCGGCUCACCUCCUGGCAAGAGAAGGGCCUAGCCUGGGGCUCUUUGGACGAGCUUACCGGGCUCCAGACGUGCGUCCAGAACAUGAUAAGAAAGAGAAUCAAGCUCGUCAACGUGAUAUAGGUCAUGCUCAUCUGCUGGAUCCUUCCAUGCCAACGCCGGACUCACAAUUUGUGGGAGUUUGAUCCAGCCAAGCACCAGACGCUACUAGAGCUCUUCAGCAGAACACAUGAAGAUAUCUGGAAGGUGCUUUUUAAGUCCAGCAAGGCACCACCGCCCACGACCGAGGAUCAUGGGCUUAGCUCCAAGCGCCAGACUAAUCCGGUAAGUUUUUACAUGUUUUCCAAGGUAUACCUUUCACUAGCAUAUUAGAGGAAGGAGUCUAAGCUUCCCCCUCGAUAGAAAUAGCGGAGCAGAUUGACUGUCCGGCUCCGCUGCCUGAAGGCCCAGAAACCCCACUUCUGACGAAGAUGCUGUUUCCGGCACCUUAUGAGGUACCGGAGAAAAAGGCCAAGACGAAGGCCAAGGGGACCCAAGAUGGUCUCCGUUGCAAUGGCGCUUCGGACACAAUGUCCGAAGACGCUGAGGAUCGCUCCUCCACCGCUGAAGAUGAUGCGGAAGAUGAGGAGGAAGAAUAAAUCCGCGCCCCCUACAGGGGGGAUAAAAAAGAGGGUGGCCUCCACUCAUUUGGAGGCCAAGGCGUCCAAGAAGGGGAAAGCUUCUCCUCCGGACAGUCCAGGACAACCACCGACAGCAGCCCGGAGUGGGAGCCCAGGGUCAAGCCCCUGGCUAAAUCGUAAGUAUCUGAACAAAAUAAUGUAUCCGACCUUUUUACUGUAUUGUUUUUAACGUGUUAGGUCAUGCGCUUGCAGUCCGGAUUGGUUAAACAUCGAGCCGUCCUCCUCUUCGGAGGGGUCGCUGGACCUGUCGGCGAUGGACAAUGGGUCCCUUCCGAUGGCCUCCUCACCCAAGGCCGCGGUCAACACCGAAGUGUUGUCUCAAAGGAUCCCGAGCCAGGGAGAGGCUCAGGAGGCCGUCCCGGUGGUGCCGGAGGGUGGAACCUCGCCCGCCGAACAUAUGGGGGAGCAAGUCCCUGCAAAGACUGACGGUGGGGGCUAUAUUCAAUCCGGCCCCCAACCGAAUACUAUUCCGGAGACCCAUACGACUCCGGAUUCAGGAGAGCAACCCUUAAAGGAAGGGGUGUGCCUAUUCCACCGGUGGCCCCCGUCUAUCCGGAGGCGCUGGACGAUUUGCUGGAAGCGCUGGGAGGCGCUUCCAUUGUAGAAGAACACCGCGCCCUCAUGGGUGUGGUGAUUGGGAGAAUUCGGUCCGCGAAAAGUGGACUGACCGAAGCAUGCACGAGCCUUCUAACAAGCUCCGAGGUAAACCACGCGACUUUAAAAGGAAUGUCACAGUAUAGAUAGUAGCCCCUGAUACUCUGUCCGGUGUUCGGAAAGAAAAACCGAACAGAGGAUCAAAAAACUUCGCAGGAGACUAAUAAAAAAUGUUUAUGUGAACAAGCAGGCAUCGCUGCUAGCUGCAUCUGAUCAUACCGCGGAAGUCUCCGUACUGUAGAAGAGUCUGGAGCAGGCCGAGGAAGAGCUCGGCCACGUAAGGGAGUAGUUAAAUAAAGCAAAGGUAUGUGUUGAUUUUUAUCUAAAUUUAGAUACAGUGAACGAUUUGUUCUAACUAAAGUGUCAUUUAUAUUUAUUAGGGGCCAUGACUGAAGUAAGGGCCCUUACAAAGGCGCUGGCCAAGGCCAAGGACAAGGCGGCCAAGGAGUAGACCGCAUGCGAGAAGCAUGAUGCCCGGGUCAAGGAGGUCCAGCAAGAGCUCUAGGACGCAGUCAAAAGAUGCGAGUCCUUGGAGCAUGAUUUUAAGGAGCAAGAGUCUGAGCUUGCCAAGGCCCGCUAGGGCGCACAAGAUGCCCGAGCCGAAGCCCAGGGUGCCCUCCAGGAAAUCCAGGCGGCCAGAAAGAUCGCGGCGGGUAAGGCUUUUAUAAUGUGGAGCAAAUAUGUGAGGGAAAGGUUCCUUCUACUGACCCGGAUUUGGAGCUCUCCAAGGGCAUUUGCGCAUCUGCCGCCCAGUAUAUCAGAUGCUGCGGAAUUCCAUCGAACCAAAGAGGGAAGCUCUACGGAGAAGCUAUUCUGGUCGUAGUACCUUGCACCAUAACAUCCGGUGCCUUUUAGCGACCAGCUGAAGCAACUGGUCGAGCUGCAUAAGGCGGCCGAACUAACCAUGAAGGAUAUGAUAAUCAGGCUAUGGCCUGUCGAAGCUAUUCCUAGCAGCUACUUCAGACUCGUGAAGCGGCUGGUCAGUGCAUGUCCUUGGCUUGAUGCCAUUAAGCGGUCUAUCUGCAUUGAAGGUGCACGGAUGGCCUUCGCCCGCGCCAAGACGCACUGGGCGAAGGUGGAUGCCGCGAAGUUGAUGACCGAAGGACAGCCCGAAGGCAAGGAGCACCGCAAGCCCGAGUUGUAUUAUAAUAGUGUCAUGGAGGGGUCCCGCCUUGUGGCGGAGCAAUGUGCUAAGGAUAUCAUAUCCCCAUGAGUACACUCAUGUUUAUCCUGCCCUGUAAUAUGAAACAGUUCAGUUAUGUAGUGUAAAGUUUGUUUAAAGCUACACCUCCCGUGCAGCCAUUUUAAUAAAUCUGAGAAAUGCCAGUCGUCGGCUUCUGCCCCCAUGUGGGUAGUACGGGGGUGUUCGGGAUAAAUAUAAACACUCUUUAUCCAAGGUUUUGGUCCUUUAAGGAGGUGUUUAGCGCAACGAACUAGGCAAUCAGACUAUUUAGCUUUAUGUUUCUCACUUAGCCAUAGGAGUUUGACGAGACAAACUUGGGCGUAGCCCCUGGUGUUCGGAAGACCAAAUUUGGGGCGCUAUAUACGCUUAAUCGGAUAAAAACCGAUUCAUCGCGUGAUGCGGAAAAAAAUCACUAAAGAUUUGUAACCUCUCGAACAGCUCACCAGCUCUCGCCGCAUCAUGACAGUCAGUUUUCGGCUUUCUCUACUGAGGUGUCCAUCUAGAAGAACUAGGACACAAUCGCAGUAGUUCUCCCUUUACUACCCUAGCCUAUAUAGCGGAAUGUAGGGUAGCAAGCACAGGAGUCGGGCAACCCAACUAUUGACCCAAGACAUGAUUCGGAGCUGAUGCAUAUAAUGCUACAGUUCGGGGUGCCGAAAUACCGUAAAAGUAUUCGGACUUUCUUGCCGUGUUAUGGGGCAUAACAAAGCCCCUGGCGAAUUAAGUCGUACCAGAGUGCACGGGUGCAAAUGAUAAAAAUAUAUACAAAGAAAAGGAAAAAAAUUAAGUAAUAAGCUGAUGCUGCAAAUAUAGAGCCGCAAAUUAUUUUCCAUUAUAUUUUAACUAAUACAUCAAGGCGUACUUGUACAAGUAGUGCAAUAAGCAAUAGGGCUAUUUGACAUGCCAUGACCAAGGGCAGGUUGUGUGCAGGUUUUAAGAUAGGUAUACCAAUCAUUAGCAGAGACCACCUGCGAAAUCCCUUGCACGUUUAAGCCUUUUGCCUUCUUGGUGUAUACCUCUUCCUGAUAGGUCCGAUGAUCAGGUUGUCCGGGAAAGAGGACAGAAGAAAGAAACCUAAAAAGAAAAGGAAAUAGUGAAAGUAUUUGGAUCCAGGAGCGGUUGAGCCGUAUUGUGGACCCUGGUCUAGCUGCGCCUCCGUCCAUGGCCACGGUAUUUUGAGUGUGUAAUUAUGUACGCGCGACACAAAUGUCGCCGCGUGGUUGAGACUGGGACGGAGGCUGAAUUGCUAGUCAAGCUCUGGACGAGCCGGACAGUCCUUCUGCAGGGUAGUUCGGACUCGCUUGACGGUGUCUGGGGGAUUUAUUGCCGACUUGAGGUUCUGCCUAAAAAGGCUACUCUGUACUUCUGUUGCAAGGGCCGUGGUGUGCUCCUCAGUAUGGAGGGGGUGUUCUGUAUUUCUGUUGAUCGUUAUGACACCGUGUGGUCCAGGCAUCUUGAGCUUGAGAUAGGCAUAGUGCGACACUGCAUUGAAUCAAGCGAAUGCGGUUCGUCCGAGCAGUGCGUGAUAGCCACUGCGGAAGGGGACGAUAUCGAAGAUCGAUUCUUCGCUUCAGAAGUUAUCCGGGGAUCCGAAGACCCUAGUCUGACACCUUUAAAGGUGGUUUUUGUGGGCUUGAUCCUUGAGGAAUCGAUACCCAUUUAGCGCACUGUAUCCUGAUAGAGCAGGUUCAGGCUGCUUCCACCGUCCAUGAGGACGCGUGUUAGGUGGAAUCCGUCAAUGAUCGAGCACUAGUGCGGCUGAACCGCCACAAUGGAUGCUGGUCGGAUGGUCCCUUCAAUCAAAACUGAUCAAACAGGAGGACCACGGGUUGUAUUUUGGAGUGACUGGCUCCAUCGCGUAGAUGUCCCUUAGCGCGCGCUUCCGCUCCCUUUUGAGGAUAUGGGUAGCAUAUAUCAUGUUCACCAUUUUAACUUGGGGAGGAAACUUCUUCUAUCCCCCUGUGUUCGGUGGCCGGGGUUCCUUGUCAUCAUCGCUUUGCGACCCCUUUUCCUUGUUUUCGGCAUUUAACUUGCCGGCCUGUUUAAAGACCCAACAUUCUCUGUUGGUAUGAUUGGCUGGUUUAUCGGGGGUGCCGUGGAUUUGACAUGGACGAUCGAGUAUACGGUCCAAACUAGACGGGCCCGAAUUGUUUCUCUUAAAUGGAUUUUUCCAUUGAUCGGACUUGGAGCCACUAAAUCCAGCAUUGACGACCGUGUCUUCGGUGUUGUCGCCAUUAUUUUGAUGCUUAUGUCUGUUGCGUCGGGGCUUGCCAUUGCUAUCUCUGGCUUUAGAUGUGCCAGAUUUACUUGAGGUGCUGUAGCUACGAGCUAGCCAGCUAUCCUCGCCCGCACAGAAGCGGGUCAUGAGCGUCGGCUGCCAUGGACUUCGGCUUCUUUUGGUCGAGGUGUCGGGCAAGCCAUUCGUCACAUAUGUUAUGCAUAAAGAACGCGAGGGCUUUGGCAUCCGGAUAGUCGACGAUCUGGUUCUUUUUAGUUAAGAACUGGAUCCAGAAUUUCUUGGCUGACUCUCCGGGCUGUUGGAUUAUAUGACUUAAGUCAUCGGCAUCUGGAGUUUGGACAUAGGUGCCUUGGACGUUGUCAAGGAAUGCAUCUUCCAGGUUCUCCCAACUGCCAAUAGAGCUUUCGGGUAGACUGUUCAACCAGUGUCGAGCUGGUCCCUUGAGUUUUAGCGGGAGAUACUUGAUGGCAUGGAGAUCAUCAGCUCGGGCCAUAUGAAUAUGGAGAAGGAAGUCCUCAAUCCAUACCGUGAGAUCUUUUUUCCCAUCAUAUGAUUCAGUGUUUACGUGUUUAAACCUUUCUGGGAAUUCAUGUUCCAUUACUUCAUCAGUGAAGCAUAGGGGGUGUGCGGUGCCUCUAUGUCGGGCCACGUUGCGACGCAGCUCGGAUGAAGCUGGUCUGCGGUAUUUGGCCGGACGGGUUUGUAUUUGUUAUAUCCGGCAUGGUGGUUGUCGUCACAUAUUGGGGCACACCCCCGCGAUCCAUAGAUCGAUCUGGUCUGGCCUGCUUUGUUCUCCAAGUCGUACCGCAGGUCAUGUGUGUAUCCCCGAGCUGUUGUGUUUCUAUUUGUUCGGCGAGGUAGUGUGGCUGGUGUUCGGGCUGAGUUGCCGCUUUAUCUCGGCCACGUGGUGGUCGGUCAGCCGUAUUAUGCACUGGUGGUACAGGCUCCAGCGCCUCACCAUCGAAUUGAGGUAGUAGUUUAUGCUUCGGGUAACUUUUGGUUGGGCGUUCGAGUCCAUAUUCCUUGGCUGCCAGGACCUCAGUCCAUCUAUCAGUGAGCAAAUCUUGGUCAGCUUGAAGCUGCUUCUUCUUCUUCUUCAGGCUCUUUGCAGUGGCUAUUAGCCGACGCUUAAAACGCUCCUGCUCGACAAGAUCCUCAAGCACGAUAAAUUCUUCGUCACCGAGGCUCACCUCAUCCUCAGAGAGAGGCAUGUAAUUGCUGUCCUCCGAGUCUUCGUUCAUGGCCUGUUCAUCAGGGGUGUCUCGCCCGUCUUCCCAUUCGGCCUGCUCAAAACUUGGCCUGGCGGGGUCUUCGAUGCCUUUGGCAUCAUCCGGAGUGCUAUUUUCUCUUGUGCUAGUAUCACUGUUUUUUACCAAGGCAUGGUUUGGAGCAGUGCCGCUGACGUUGGUGCUUCGGCUAAUUCUCAGGAAGUUUAUCCUCAACUGGAUCCUUUUUGUCAUCGCCAUUGUCUUAUUUGGGUGUAUCCACCAUGUAUAUGUCUUAUGAGGAGGUAGUUGUCCAGCGCCCUGUGGGCGGUGGUUCCUGUUCUUCUCCGGCAUCGUCGUCCAUACCGUCGAUGUCUUCAUAGUCAAAAUCAAGCAUGUUGGUUAAGUCGUCGACAGUGGCUAUCAAGUGGGUGGUGGGUGGGUAACGAAGUUCCUCGUCGUCCGCUUACCACUCAAGCCGGACAUAGUUCGACCAGGAAUCUCCUAACAAGGAGAGGGACUUCAAUGAGUUUAGCACAUCACCUAGGGGUGAGUGUUGGAAGAAGUCCGCGGAGCUGAACUCCAAGAUUGGCACCCAGUCGAAUUCACUAGGCGCGGAUACACGCGGUUCGGAACCUAUGGCCGGAGACGAGUCUGAAGUUCUGAUGACACAUGCCUCGUUGGAGGUAAGAUCUGUGUUCGGCUCUAGCGCCGUUGAGUCUUCGGUCUCCGUGGUGGGGUUGAGCCUCCCGUCCUCGGAUGGUGCGAUCUACACUGGAUCUAGGGCUAGAGUGGUUACAGGCGCUAUCUCCUAAGCACGGCCCGAUGACAGAUCUAGGUCGUGUUCAUCGUGGUCGCAGGGUGCGACCGUCAUGGUGUCGAAUCUGUCGAUGAUCAAGUCUCUGCGGACAUCGGCGAUGUAGUUCAAGUUUCCAAACCUGACCUGAUGGCUAGGGGCGUAGCUGACGAUCUGCUCCAGAUGGCCAAGCGAGUUGGCCUGCAGUGCGAAGCCGCCGAAUACGAAGAACUGUCCGGGGAGGCAGUCCUCACCCUAGACUGUGUUAUUGUAGAUGAUUGAAGGAGCCAUCAAGCCUUAUGAUGACGAUGCAGUGGAACUCUCAAUGAAAGCACCAAUGUCGGUGUCAAAACCGGCGGAUCUCGGGUAGGGGGUCCCGAACUGUGCGUCUAAGGCUAAUGGUAAUAGGAGGCGGGGGACACAAUGUUUACCCAGGUUCGGGACCUCUCUAUGGAGGUAAUACCCUACUUCUUGCUUGAUUGAUCUUGAUGAAUAUGAGUAUUACAAGAGUUGAUCUACCACGAGAUCGUAAUGGCUAAACCCUAGAAGCUAGCCUAUGAUUAUGAUUGUUCUUGUCCUACAGACUAACCCCUCCGGUUUAUAUAGACACCGGAGGGGGCUAGGAUUACACAGAGUCGGUUACAGAUAAAGGAAUCUUCAUAUACGAAUUGCCAAACUUUCCUUCCAUGCAAAGGAGAGUCUGCUACGUCUUGACCUUGCGUUGGUUUUCCUUGAAGAGGAAAGGGUGAUGAAGCACAGUAGCAUAAGUAUUUCCCUUAGUUUUUGAGAACCAAUGUAUCAAUCCAGUAGGAGGCUCCUCACAAGUCCCUCGCACCUACACAAACAAACAAAGAACUCACAACCAACGCAAUAAAGGGGUUGUCAAUCCCUUCAUGGCCACUUGCGAAAGUGAGAUCUGAUAGAGAUAAUAUGAUAAGAUAAAUAUAUUUUUGGUAUUUUAUAAUAUAGAUUGGAAAAGUAAAGAUGCAAAUAAAAGUAGAUUGAAAUCUUAUAUGAUAAAAGAUAGACCCGGGGGCCAUAGGUUUCACUAGUGGCUUCUCUCGAGAUAGCAUAAGUAUUACGGUGGGUGAACAUAUUACUGUCGAGCAAUUGAUAGAAAAGCGAAUAAUUAUGAGAUUAUCUAGGCAUGAUCAUGUAUAUAGGCAUCACGUUCGUGACAAGUAGACCGACUCCUGCCUGCAUCUACUACUAUUACUCCACAUGUCGGUGUCAAAACCGGCGGAUCUCGGGUAGGGGGUCCCGAACUGUGCGUCUAGGCGGAUGGUAACAAGAGACAAGGGACACGAUGUUUUUACCCAGGUUCGGGCCCUCUCAAUGGAGGUAAAACCCUACUCAUGCUUGAUUAAUAUUGAUGAUAUGGGUAGUACAAGAGUAGAUCUACCACGAGAUCGGAGUGGCUAACCGUAGAAGCUAGCCUAUGGUAUGAUUGUUGUUCGUCCUACGGACUAAAACUCUCCGGUUUAUAUAGACACUGGAGAGGGCUAGGGUUACACAGAGUCGGUUACAAUGGGAGGAGAUCUUCAUAUCGUAUCGCGAAGCUUGCCUUCCAUGCCAAGGAAAGUCCCAUCGGACACGGGACGGAGUCUUCAAUCUUGUAUCUUCAUAGUCCGGGAGUCCGGCCAAAGGUCUUAGUCCGGCCAUCCGGACACCCCCUAAUCCAGGACUCCCUCAGUAGCCCCUGAACCAGGCUUCAAUGACGACGAGUCCGACGGGCAAGUUGUCUUCGGCAUUGCAAGGCGGGUUCCUCCUCCGAAUAUUUCAUAGAAGAUGUUGAACACCAGGGUAGUGUCCGGCUCUGCAAAAUAAGUUCCACAUUCCACUGUAGAGAGAAUAUUAUUUGCGUUAAUUGGAUCUGCUGACGUAUUCCGUGGCAUGACAUCAUGCCACGGCCAGGUUUUUAUUCAUUUUAUUGUUCCACCUCAGCGCGUUUAGCGAGGCGGUUUCCUUGGCACGUCUUGUCAAAGCAGAGAUCGUGUCCCCUUAUUCCGGGAUUCUCAUCAAUACGGGUGUGGGUAACCCAACCGCGUCAUUAACCGCGUCGCUUGGGAGAUAAGCGAGUUUUAUCAGGCCGGUGGGGGGGCUCGUAGUUUUGGCCGCCCAUAUAAGGGGAUAAGAAUCCGCCCUUUCCAUUCACGCCUUCUUCCUCCUCUGCUUAUCCGUCCCUGCGCGCUCAAGCUCCAGCGCCCAAGCCCACACUUCCCACCUCAACCUUCUCCAACCAUGUCCGGAGCGGGAGGUAGAUGGAUUGCCUCCUCCGUUACGGAGGGGAAAAUCAAAAAAAUGAGGAAGGCCGGAUACUUGUCUAACGACAUCGCGCACCGGCUUCCAGAUGUGGGGCAACUCAUCCCACCCCCAUGCCCCAUGAGAGGGUUGUUUUUCUUCUCCAUUUCCUCCGCGAACUGGGUUUUCCUCUUCACCCGUUCGUCCAGGGGCUCAUGUUCUACUACGGCCUGGACUUCCACGAUCCGGCCCCGAACUUCAUCCUCAAUAUCUCGGCAUAUAGCGUCAUGUGUGAGGCCUUGUUCCGCAUCCAUCCCCACUUUGGCCUAUGGCUGAAGAUCUUCAGCGUCAAGCCGUAGGUCAUGAAAGGCCGACAAGCGGAAUGCGGAGGUGCUAUGGUGGGCAAGAUGGCCAACGUCACUUGGCUUGAGGGUGCCUUUGUGGAAACCAUCAAAGGGUGGCAAUCGGGGUGGUUUUAUAUCACCGAGCCGCGUGACCCUAAGUGGGCAGCGGCCCCCGAAUUUUGAUCCGGCAUCCCCACCCGGCUCACAUCUUGGAAAGAGAUGGGCCUGUCGUGGGGAAAUCCGGAAGAGGUGACCGGACUCCAAACCUGCGUCCGAGACCUGGUGACCAAGAAGCCCAAGCUUGUCAACGUGGUCCAGGUCAUGCUCUUCCGCCGGAUCCUCCCGUGUCAACGACGGUACUUCAAUUUGUGGGUGUUCGACCCGGCCCAGCACCAGACUCUAUCCCGGCUCCUCGAAAUGAAGCACGAGGAUGCCUGGAAGGUGCUUUUCAAGAGUUCCGAGGUCUCCCCUCCCGUCACCGAGGAUCGCGGAUUCUGCGCCAAACGUCAAGCCUCUGAAGUAAGCUUACAUUUAGUCCCUUACGGGAUACCCGAAUUUCAUAGUGUGACUUUAUGUGGGAUCUAAACUCCCGUCCUUUGAUAGGACUGGAAGAGGACAUCUGGACAGUUUGACUGUCCGGCUCCUUUGCCCGAAGGCCCAGCAGACACACAAUUAGCAAAGCUACUGGUUCCAGCACCUCGCGUGGUGCCGGAGAAGAAGGCGAAGGAUAAGGCCACGGGGACCCGAAAGAGUUCCCGGUGCCUGAUGGCGUCGGAUUUGCCCGACAACCCCAACGCACCCUCCGCCUCCGAAGACGAGGAGGAGUAAGAAGAAGAAGAAGCCUCUCCCCCUCCAACGGGGGGAGGAACAAAAAGAAAGGCCGCCCCAACUGGGGAAGCCGGAGGGUCCAAGAAGGGGAAGACCCUUCUGCCGGACUACGCCCCCGACGUCAAAGACGGCGGGGGGGAAUGGCCAUCCAGGGUCAAGCCCCUGGCAAAAUCGUGAGUGUCCGGCUACCGAAUGACUUAUUGCACUCCUUUAUUUUUUGAUAGCUUCUAAUGCCGAAUCUAAUUAUGCAGUCCGCCCAGAGCUCAGCUUGGCGACUCGUCGAGCGGCUCUCUGAAUUCAUCGGACAUGAAUAGCGCUUCACUUCCGAUGACCUCCUCCCCUCUCCCUACAGAUGACGCUGAGGUGGAGUCCCGUAGGGGACAAAACCAGGAGGAGGUGGUCCUGGAGGCGCCACAAGGCGACCUUCCGGACUCCAGGCCCAAAGGGGGUAAAUCCCCAGAGGGAUCUAAGUCCGGCCCUGGGCCGGACACUGCUCCGGAACCAUUAGCGGUUCCAGAGUCCGACAGGCGGCGCCUUCAUAAGAAGGGCAAGCCUGCGACGCCGGCGACUUCCGUCCACCCGGAGGCAUCGGACAAUUUGCUGGAGGCGCUUAACGGCGCUUCCAUCAACGAGGAACACCACACUGUUAUGAGUGCGGUGAUUCAGAAGGUUCAGUCCGCCAAGAGCGGGCUGACGGAAGCCUGCACAAGCCUGUUAACAGGCUUUGAGGUAUGUGUUCAAAAACAUAUAUAAAAAAUAUAACCGCAUAGACAGUAGCCCCUGAUGCUCAGUUCGUUGUUCGGAAAGAAAAGCCGAGCUGAGGAUCUAAAAAGAUAUACGCAGGAGUCUAAUAGAAAUAUGUCAAUAUGGGAAUGCGGGCUGCGCUGCUGACCUCUGCAGCACUGACUGCGGAGGUCAAUGCAUUGAAGGAAAGCCUCGAGCAGUCCGAGAGCGAGCUCGGCCGUGCCAAGAAGCAGCUCGAGGACAAAGAGGGUACAUAGUACCUCCUGUAAAUGUAUAUAGAAAUACUUGGUUGCAAAAUAAGAACAGGACCAACGUUAAUGUUGUAGGAGCCACGACCGAGGUGACCACCCUGAAAGAGGCGGUCUCCAAGGCCGAAAAGAGUGCGGCCUUGGUGCGCACUGAGCGAGAGAAGCAGGAGGCGCGGGUGGCGGAGGUGCGGCAAGAGCUCCAGGCUCUCGUGGAAAAACACGAGAGUUUGGAGCGUGACUCGAAGACUCGAGAGUCCGAGCUUGCCUUGGCUCUUGAGAGUGCCAAGACUGCUAAGGCCGAAGCCCAGAAGGCCCUUCAGGAGAUCGAGGCGAUGAAGAAGAUAGCGGCGGGUAAGGCAUUCUUUAUGCAAAGCAAAAAUAUAAAAGUUAAUUAUGUGCUACUUACCCGAAUCCGGAGCUCUCCAGGAGCGUUCGCCGAUCUGCCCCGUAGUGUGUCUGAUGCCGCCGCAUACUACCGAGCCGAAGAGGGGAGCUCGACGGAAAAAGUGUUCUGGUCUCAGUAUGCUGAGGCCGAACAUCCGGUGCCCCUGAGCGACCAGCUGAAGCAGCUGGUCGAGCUCCACAAGGUGGCCGAACAGGCCAUGAAGGGCCUCAUAGCUCGGUUGUGGCCUGGAGAAGUCAUGCCUAGGAGGUACUUCAGUCUGGUACGGCGGCUGGUGGACGCGUGUCUGUGGAUUGAGGUCGUCAAGCGCUCCGUUUGUAUUGAAGGUACCCGUCGGUCCCUUGCCCGUGCUAAGGUGCACUGGGGCAAGCUAGAUGCGGAGAAGCUGUUGACGGACGCGCUACCGCCGGGCAAGGAGUAUCGUACGCCCGAGAUGUAUUAUAAUGGCAUUCUGAAGGGUGCCCGCCGUAUAGCGGAUGAGUGUUCCAAAGAUGUAAUUUUUGAGUAGACUCGCAUUUGUUAUCAUGUACGCUGAAGCUUUGUUCAUAUGCGUUAAGCAACGCUUGUUAAUUUAAAAUAUUACCUUAUGUGCGGCCGUUUAUCAAAUCUGAGAGAUGCAAGUCGUCGGCUUCGACCCCCAUGCCACGAGUGCUGGGGUGUUUGGGAUAAACCUGAGCGCUCUUGUUCCCAUUCUUGGGUCCAUCUAGGGAGGCGUUCAGCACAACAAACGAGGCCGUCGGACUUAUAAUGCUUUAUCACUCUCACUUAGCCAUAGAAUUCUAUAAUUUUAAAUUUCGGCGAAGCCCCUAGUAUUCGGAAGACCGAGUUCGGGGCGCUAUCCACGCCUAGGCUGGAUAAGUCCGGUUCCUUGCUCGAAACGGCAUAAGUCUUUAAGGACUCGAAGAAACCUCGCGAACAGCGACCGGUCUCUCGCAUUAUCAUGACAGUCAGUUUUAGCUUUCUCUACUGAGGUGUUAACCCAGCUCAACUGGGGCACAAUCACAAUAGUUCUCCCAACGCUACCUUAGCCAACAAUGCGGAACGUAAGGUACCAAAACAUGGGAGCCGGGCAAACCCAACUAUUGACAAAAGACAUGAUUCGGAGACGAUGCAUAUAGUGCUAUAAGUUCGGGGUGCCGCACUCGUGAGAGUGUUCGGUGUUCUCACACCAUGUUAUGGGGUGUUGUAAGCCCCUGGUGUAUUGUCCGCACCAAAGUGUACGGUUGUAGAAUGUCAUGACUGAACAUUUUUGUAUAUAAAAUAGAUAAGUACAAUAAUAGGUAAGAGCUAUAUAUUGUUUAUUAAAAAAGGGCUGCUACGAAAGCAGAACGAUACAAGAAGUGCGGUAAGCAAGAGAUGGGAGUAUUUGACAUAUUCCCCUCCAGGGGCAAGCUGCGGGAUUGUAAGUAAAACAGGUAUUAAACUCGUUAUAGAGACCACCUUGACUUUUGGCGUGGCUUGCUCCCUCCCUGGCUGUUGCAUCGUGGGUUCGGCGAGUGUAUUGCCGGACGGGCCUUCCGAAUAGUUGGGUCCUGAAAGUGUGUAAAAAGGAAAACGGCGAAAUAGGGAGCCCCUUAGUGUGGUUGAGCCGCAUUCUGGGCGUGCCGUUGUUGUGCCCCUCCCCUUAUGCCCAUGGUAUCUCUAAGGCGUAAUUAUGUACGCGUGGUACCAGUAUCACCGUUUGGCGGGGGCUAGGGUUGGGGCCACACUGCUAUGCUUGCUCGGAAUGUGCCAGCCGGAUUUGUUGUAGGUUACUUCAGGCUCGCUUGGCGUUGUCUGGACGUUUGACGCCUGGAUUAGAGAACUGCCUUGAGAGGCUACACUGUACUUCCGCCGCCAGGGCCGCCGUGUGCUCCUCCGUUCGGAGAGAGCGUUCGGUGUUUCCGUUUACCGUGAUGACUCCGCGAGGUCCUGGCAUCUUGAGAUUGAGAUAUGCGUAGUGCGGCACCGCAUUGAAUUUUGCAAAUGCAGUUCGUCCAAGCAGGGCGUGAUAGCCGCUGCGGAAUGGGACUAUGUCGAAGAUUAACUCCUCGCUCUGGAAGUUAUCCAGGGAUCCGAAGACCACUUCGAGUGUAACCGAGCCUGUAUAGCUGGCCUCUACCCCUGGUAUGACACCUUUGAAGGUUGUCUUUGUGGGUUUAAUCCUUGAAGGAUCGAUGCCCAUUUUUCGCACUGUGUCCUGGUAAAGCAGGUUCAAGCUACUGCCGCCGUCCAUUAGGACUCUGGUAAGGUGAAAUCCGUCGAUAAUUGGGUCUAGGACCAGUGCGGCGAAUCCGCCGUGACGGAUGCGGGUGGGAUGGUCCCUUCGAUCGAAGGUGAUCGGGCAGGAGGACCAUGGGUUGAACUUUGGGGCGACUGGCUCCAGCGCAUAGACGUCCUUGAGAGCACGCUUCCGCUCCCUUUUGGGGAUGUGGGUUGCGUAUAUCAUGUUCACCAUCCGAACUUGCGGGGGAAAUCCCUUCUGUCCUUUGUUGUUCGGUGGCCGGGGCCCCUCCUCGUCAUAGCUAUGUAGCCCCUUGUCUCUGGUCUCGGCACUUAACUUGCCUGCCUGCUUGAACACCCAACAAUCCCUGUUGGUGUGAUUGGCUGGCUGUUCCGGGGUGCCGUGUAUCUGGAAUGAGCGAUCGAGUAUCCGAUCUAAGCUGGAUGGGCCCUGAGGGUUUCUUUUGAAUGGCUUCUUCCGCUGACCCGGUUUAGAGCCUCUGAAUCCGGCAUUGACUGCCGUAUCUUCAGUAUUGUCACCGUUAAUGCGGCGCUUAUGCUUGUUGCGACGUGACCUGCCGUUGUUAUCCUUGGUAUCCGAAUUGCCGGGGCUCUUGGUUAUGUUAUUGCUACGAGCUAGCCAGCUGUCUUCUCCCGCACAGAAGCGGGUCAUGAGUGUCGUGAGCGCUGCCAUAGAUUUCGGCUUUUCCUGUCCUAGGUGCCGGGCAAGCCAUUUGUCUCGGAUGUUGUGCCUGAAGGAUGCAAGGGCCUCGGCGUCCGGACAAUCGACUAUUUGGUUUUUCUUGGUUAGGAACCGUGUCCAGAAUUGUCUGGCUGAUUCCUUUGGCUUCCAUAUUAUGUGGCUUAGGUCAUCGGCAUCUGGUGGUCGCACAUACGUGCCCUGGAAGUUGUCAAGGAAUGCGGAUUCCAGGUCCUCCCAACAACUAAUUGACUCUGCUGGCAGGCUGUUAAGCCAAUGUCGAGCUGGUCCUUUAAACUUGAGCGGGAGGUAUUUGAUGGCGUGUAGAUCAUCACCACGGGCCAUGUGGAUAUGAAGGAGAUAAUCCUCGAUCCAUACCGCAGGAUCUGUUGUGCCAUCGUAUUAUUCGAUGUUUACGGGUUUGAAGCCCUCGGGGAUUCGAUGAUCCAUUACUUCGUCUGUGAAGCAUAGUGGGUGUGCGGCGCCCCUGUACUGGGCUAUAUCAUGACGCAGCUCGGACGAGCUUGGUCUGUUGUAUUCGGCCGGGCCAUACUUAUUAUGUCCGGCGUGAUGGCUAGUGUCACGUGAAGCGAGGCGCCCAUGCGAUCCGUAGAUCAAUCUUGUUUGCUUUGCCUUAUUCUCCAAGAUGUCUCGCAGGUCUGUUGCGUCUCCCCAUACUCUGGUAUGUUUUGAGCGGUGUCGGGGUGUGGCUUGGGUUGAGGGCCUGAAGGCCUCUCUAUCGCGGCCACGGGGUGGCCGAUCGGGCGCAUCGUACGCUGGUGAUGUAGGUUUAGUUGCUUCCUCCUCAAGUUCGGGUAGCAGCCUGUGCUUUGGGUAGCUCUUGGAUGGGCAUUCUAGUUUAUACUCUUCGGCCGCCAGGACUUCGGUCCAUCUGUCGGCUAGCAAGUCUUGGUCAGCUCUAAGCUGCUGCUGUUUCUUCUUGAGGCUGCUUGCCGUGGCUAUGAGCCUGCGUUUGAAACACUCUUGUUCGACGGGAUCCUCUGGCACGACGAAUUCAUCAUCGUCGAGGCUUGCCUUGUCUUCGGAGGGAGGCAUGUAAUUAUCGUCCUCAUCCUCUUUGUCAGCCGCUCUCUCAUGAGGGCUGGCUCCUUCGUCCUCCUGCACUGAAUCGUGCUGGAGGGGGUUGUCUUCGGCAUUGUCCGGCGUGUUGUUAUCUCUGGUGCCGGAAUCGCCGUUUUUGCUUUGGCGGGACUUAGUGCGGCGCCGCUGACGUCGGCGCUUGGGUUGCUUCUUGGAGGGGUCAUCCUCCGUUUUCUCCUCGCCAUCCCCCGCUUUAGGGGUGUCCACCUUGUAUAUGUCAUAUGACGAGGUGGCUUUCCAGUUCCCUAUAGGUGCUGGUUCUUGAUUGUCUCCUUCAUCGGCGUCCAUGCCGUCGAUGUCUUCGGAGUCAAAGUCGAGCAUGUCGGUUAAAUCGUCGACAGUGCCUACGAAGUGGGUGGUGGGUGGGCUUCGAAUUUCUUCGUCGUCCGCAUCCCAACCGUGUUAGCCGUAGUUCGGCCAGGGCUCUCCUGACAAAGAGAGAGACUUUAAUGAAUUCGGGAUAUUGCCAAAAGGCGAGUGCUGAAAGAUGUCCGCGGGGGUGAACUCCAUGACGGGAGCCCAAUCGGGCUUAAUCGGAAGAGGUGCGAGAUUUACGGAGUCCGAAUCGGAGUCUAACACCUUGGAGUCACGGGCCUUGCGAGGGACUAGGCUGGUAUCCGGCUCUAUCGCCGUAGAGGUUGUAGUUUCCGGGGCGGUGUCCAACCGUCCGUCCCCGACUGGCGUAGUGGGCUCCGAGCUAAUGGUCGGAGCGGACACUUGAGCGACGCUCUGGGUGUUGUCCGAUGACAGAGCUAAAUCAUGCCCAUCGUGACAGUGCGGCGUGCCCGGUCGUUGCUCGAAUCCGUCGAAGAUCAAGUCCCCGCGGAUGUCGGCCGUGUAGUUUAAGCUUCCAAACCUGACCUGAUGGCUAGGGGCGUAGCUUUCGAUCUGCUCCAGAUGGCCGAACGAGUCGGCCCGCAGUGCGAAGCCGCCGAAUAUGAAGAUCUGUCCGGGGAGAAAAGUCUCAUCCUGGACCGCAUCGCAAUUGACGAGCGAAGAAACCAUCGGGCCUAAAGGCGACGACACAGAGGAACUCUCAACGAAAGCACCAAUGUCGGUGUCAAAACCGGCGGAUCUCGGGUAGGGGGUCCCGAACUGUGCGUCUAGGCGGAUGGUAACAGGAGACAAGGGACACGAUGUUUUUACCCAGGUUCGGGCCCUCUCGAUGGAGGUAAAACCCUACUCCUGCUUGAUUAAUAUUGAUGAUAUGGGUAGUACAAGAGUAGAUCUACCAUGAGAUCGGAGUGGCUAACCCUAGAAGCUAGCCUAUGGUAUGAUUGUUGUUCGUCCUACGGACUAAAACUCUCUGGUUUAUAUAGACACCGGAGAGGGCUAGGGUUACACAGAGUCGGUUACAAUGGGAGGAGAUCUUCAUAUCGUAUCGCCAAGCUUGCCUUCCACGCCAAGGAAAGUCCCAUCGGACAUGGGACGGAGUCUUCAAUCUUGUAUCUUCAUAGUCCGGGAGUCCAGCCAAAGGUCUUAGUCCGGCCAUCCGGACACCCCCUAAUCCAGGACUCCCUCACCACACAUCGACCGCUAUCCAGCAUGCAUCUAGAGUAUUAAGUUCAUAAGAACAGAGUAACGCAUUAAGAAAGAUGACAUGAUGUAGAGGGAUAAACUUAUGCAAUAUGAUAUAAACCCCAUCUUUUUAUCCUCGAUGGCAACAAUACAAUACGUGCCUUGCUGCCCCUGCUGUCACUGGGAAAGGACACCGCAAGAUUGAACCCAAAGCUAAGCACUUCUCCCAUUGCAAGAAAGAUCAAUCUAGUAGGCCAAACCAAACUAAUAAUUAUAAAAGACUUGCAAAGAUAACUUAAUCAUACAUAAAAGAAUUCAGAGGAGAUUCAAAUAUUUCUCAUAGAUAAACUUGAUCAUAAACCCACAAUUCAUCGGAUCUCAACAAACACACCGCAAAAAGAGUCACAUCGAAUAGAUCUCCAAGAAGAUCGAGGAGAACAUGGUAUUGAGAUUCAAAGAGAGAGAAGAAGCCAUCUAGCUAAUAACUAUGGACCCGAAGGUCUGUGGUAAACUACUCACAACUCAUCGGAGAGGCUAUGGUGUUGAUGUAGAAGCCCUCCGUGGUCGAUUCCCCCUACGGCGGAGCGCCGGCGAAGGCUCCAAGACGAGAUCUCGCGGAUACAGAAGGUUACGGUGGUGUAAAUAGCUUUUCGUGGUCGCCCCUGAUGUUUUCGGGGUACGUGGGUAUAUAUAGGAGUUAGAAGUACGUCGGUGGACGCCCGAGGGGCCCACGAGAUAGGGGUCGCGCCCAGUUGGGGGGACGCGCCCUCCACCCUCGUGGCCGCCUUAGAAGCUUCUUGACUUGCACUCCAAGUUCUAUGGAUCACGUUCGUUCCAAAAAUCACGCUCACGAAGGUUUCAUUCCGUUUGGACUCCGUUUGAUAUUCCUUUUCUUCGAAACACUGAAAUAGGCAAAAAACCGCAAUACGGGCUGGGCCUCUGGUUAGUAGGUUAGUCCCAAAAAUGAUAUAAAAGUGUAAAGUAAAGCCCGUAAACAUCCAAAACGGGUAAUAUAAUAGCAUGGAACAAUCAAAAAUUAUAGAUACGUUGGAGACGUAUCAAGCAUCCCCAAGCUUAAUUCCUGCUCGUCCUCGAGUAGGUAAAUGAUAAAAACAGAAUUUUUGAUGUGGAAUGCUACCUAGCAUAUUUCUCCAUGUAUUUUUUUUAUUGUGGCAUGAAUGUUCAGAUCCAAAUGAUUCAAAAUAAAAGUUAAUAUUGACAUAAGAAAUAGUAAUACUUCAAGCAUACUAAUAAAAGCAAUCAUGUCUUCUCAAAAUAACAUGGCUAAAGAAAGUUAUCCCUACAAAAUCAUAUAGUCUGGCUAUUGCUCUAUCUUCAUCACACAAAGUAUUAAUCAUGCACAACCCCGAUGACAAGACAAUCAAUUGUUUCAUACUUUAGUAAUCUCAAACUUUUUCAAUUUUCACGCAAUACAUGAGCAGGAGCCAUGGACAUAGCACUAUAUGUGGAAUAGAAUGGUGGUUGUGGAGAAAAAAAGGAGAAGAUAGUCUCACAUCAACUAGGCAUAUCAGCAGGCUAUGGAGAUGCCCAUUAAUAGAUAUCAAUGUGAGUGAGUAGGGAUUACCAUGCAAGGGAUGCACUAGAGCUAUAAAUGUAUGAAAGCUCAACAAAAGAAACUAAGUGGGUGUGCAUCCAACUUGCUUGCUCACGAAGACCUAGGGCAUUUAGAGGAAGCCCAUCAUUGGAAUAUACAAGCCAAGUUCUAUAAUGAAAAAUUCCCAAUAGUAUAUGAAAGUGACAACAUAAGAGACUCUCUAUCAUGAAGACCAUGGUGCUAUUUUGAAGCACAAGUGUGGAAAAAGAGAUAGUUGCAUUGUCCCUUCUCUCUUUUUCUCUCAUUAUUAUUUUUCUUUCUCUCUUUUUUUCUUCUCUUUUUUUAUUUUUGGUGGGAUUCUUUGGCCUUUUUUUCAUGGGCUUAUUUGGCCUCUUUUAUUUUUAGAAAGUCCGAAGUCUCAUCCCGACUUGUGGGGGAAUCAUAGUCUUCAUCAUCCUUUCCUCACUGGGACAAUGCUCUAAUAAUGAAGAUCAUCACACUUUUAUUUAUUUACAACUCAAGAUUACAAAUCGAUACUUAGAACAAGAUAUGACUCUAUAUAGAUGCCUCCGGUGAUGUACCGGGAUAUGCAAUGAAUCAAUAGUGACAUGUAUGAAAAAUUAUGAGGUGGCUUUGCCACAAAUACAAUGUCAACUACAUGAUCAUGCAAAGACCAAUAUGACAAUAAUGAUGCGUGUCAUAAUAAAUGGAACGGUGGAAAGUUGCAUGGCAAUAUAUCUCGGAAUGGCUAUGGAAAUGCCAUAAUAGGUAGGUAUGGUGGCUGUUUUGAGGAAGGAAUAUGGUGGGUGUAUGGUACCGGCGAUAGUUGCGCGGCACAAGAGAGGCUAGCAAUGGUGGAAGGUUGAGAGUGCGUAUCAUCCAUGGACUCAACAAUAGUCAUAUAGAACUCAUAUACUUAUUGCAAAAAUCUACAAGCCAUUGAAAACAAAGUACUAUGUGCAUGCUCCUAGGGGGAUAGAUUGGUAGGAAAAGACCAUCACUCGUCCCCGACCGCCACUCAUAAGGAAGACAAUCAAUAAAUAAAAUUGUGCUCCAACUUCAUCACAAAGUGGUUCACCAUACGUGCAUGCUACGGGAAUCACAAACUUCAACACAAGUAUUCUUUAAAUUCACAAUUACCCAACUAGCAUGACUCUAAUAUCACCACCUCUAUAUCUCAGAACAAUUAUCAAGUAUCAAAUUGAUCAUAGCAUCCAAUUCACUUUCUAUGAUAGUUUUUAUUAUACCGAACUUGGAUGCCCAUCAUUCUAGGACCAAUUUUAUAACCAUAGCAAAUACCAUGCUGUUCUAAGAGACUCUCAAAAUAAUAUAAGUGAAGCAAGAGAGAUCAACAAUUUCUACAAAAUUAAGCCAUCGCCGUGCUCUAAAAGAUAUAAGUGAAGCACUAGAGCAAGAAUUAUCUAGCUCAAAAGAUAUAAGUGAAGCACAUAGAGUGUUAUAAUAAAUUCCAAUAAAGUGGUCUUCUACAAAAAGGUGUGUACAGCAAGGAUUAUUGUGGUAAACUAAAAGGCAAAGACUAAUAUCAUACAAGACGCUCCAAGCAAAACACAUAUCAUCUGGUGAAUACAAAUAUAGUUCCAAGUAAAGUUACCAAUGAACAAAGACGAAAGAGGGGAUGCCUUCCUGGGGCAUCCCCAAGCUUAGGCUUUUGGCUAUUCUUGAAUAUCUUGGGGUUCCAUGGGCAUCCCGAAGCUUAGGAUCUUGCCACUCCUUAUUCCAUAGUCCAUCAAAUCUUUACCCAAAACUUGAAACCUUCACAACACAAAACUCAACAAGAAAUCUCAUAAGCUCCGUUAGUGAAAGAAAGAAAAACCACCACAUAAGGUACUGUAAUGAACUCAUUCUUUAUUUAUAUUGGUGUUAAACCUACUGUAUUCCAAGUUCUCUAUGGUUCAUACCCUUACAUACUAGCCAUAGAUGCAUCAAAAUAAGUAAGCAACACACGAAAGGCAGAAUCUGUCAAAAACAGAACAGUCUGUAGCAAUCUGUAACUUUAGAAUACUUCUGGAACUCCAAAAAUCCUACCAAAAUAGGACGUCUUAGGCAAUUUGUCUAUUGAUCUACAGCAAAAUGAUUCAGCGCAAAAGCACGUUUCUGUGAUUUAUUGAAUUUUUUCUCGUGAGCGCUAAGUUUCUGUUCUUCAGCAGAAUCAAAUUAACUAUCACCAUAGGUUAUCCUAUAGGUUCUACUUGGCACAAACACUAAAUAAAACAUGAAAACACAUCUAAACAGAAGGUAGAUGCAAAAUUUAUUACUAAACAGGAAGAAAAACAAAAAACACAAAUAAAAUUGGGUUGCCUCCCAACUAGCGCUAUCGUUUAACGCCCCUAGCUAGGCAUAAAAGCGAGGAUAGAUCUAAGUAGUGCCAUCUUUGACACUUGAUUCAUAAGUAGCUCGCAUGAUAGAUUCAUAAGGUAAUUUAAUUUUAUUUCUUGGAAAGUGCUCCAUGAAUUUCCUUAAUGUAAAUUGGAAUCUAAUAUUCCCUUCCUUCAUAUCAAUAAUCGCGCCAAUCGUUCUAAGGAAAGGUCUACCAAGAAUAAUAGGACAAGAAAGAUUGCAAUCUAUAUCAAGAAUGAUAAAAUCUACGGGCACCAAAUUUCUAUUGCAACAAUGAGAACAUCAUUGAUCCUUCCCAUUGGCUUUUUAAUGGUGGAAUCCACAAGGUGCAAAUUUAAAGAGCAAUCAUCAAGAUCAUGGAAACCUAGAAUAUCACAUAACGUUUUCGGAAUCAUGGAAACACUAGCACCCAAAUCACAUAAAGCAUAACACUCAUGAUCUUUAAUUUUAAUCUUUAUAGUAGGUUCGCACUCAUCAUUAAGAUUUCUAGGCAUAGAAACUUCCAAAUUAAGUUUUUCAUCAAAAGAUUGCAUCAAGGCAUCAACAAUAUGUUUGGUAAAAGCUUUAUUUUGACAAUAAGCAUGAGGAGAAUUCACAACGGAUUGCAACAAGGAAAUACAACAUUCUAAAGAACAAUUAUCAUAAUCAAAUUCCUUGAAAUCCAAGAUAGUGGGUUCAAUGCUAUUUAAAGUCUUGACCUCUCCAAUCCCAAUUUAGCAUCAAGAUCUAAAAACUCCGAAUUAUUGGGAUGCCUUUUAACUAAAGUUGACUCAUCUCCAGUCCCAUCAUUAUUAAGAUUCAUAUUGCAAAACAAAGGUCUAAUAGGGGACACAUCAAUAACUUUAAGAUCUUUGUCGGUGUCAAAACCGGUGGAUCUCGGGUAGGGGGUCCCGAACUGUGCGUCUAGGCGGAUGGUAACAGGAGACAAGGGACACGAUGUUUUUACCCAGGUUCGGGCCCUCUCGAUGGAGGUAAAACCCUACUCCUGCUUGAUUAAUAUUGAUGAUAUGGGUAGUACAAGAGUAGAUCUACCACGAGAUCGGAGUGGCUAAACCCAAGAAUCUAGCCUAUGGUAUGAUUGUUGUUCGUUCUACGGACUAAAACUCUCCGGUUUAUAUAGACACCGGAGAGGGCUAGGGUUACACAGAGUCGGUUACAAUGGGAGGAGAUCUUCAUAUCGUAUCGCCAAGCUUGCCUUCCAUGCCAAGGAAAGUCCCAUGUGGACACGGCACGGAGUCUUCAAUCUUGUAUCUUCAUAGUCCAGGAGUCCGGCCAUCCGGACACCCCCUAAUCCAGGACUCCCUCAGUAGCCCCUGAACCAGGCUUCAAUGACGACGAGUCCGGCGCGCAAGUUGUCUUCGGCAUUGCAAGGCGGGUUCCUCCUCCGAAUAUUUCACAGAAGAUGUUGAACACCAGGGUAGUGUCCGGCUCUGCAAAAUAAGUUCCACAUUCCUUCAUAGAGAGAAUAAUAUUUGUCUUAAUCGGAUCUGCUGACGUAUUCCGUGGUGUGACAUCAUGCCACAGCCAGGAUCUCUAUUUAUUUCAUUGUUCCACCUCAGCGCGUUUAGCGAGGCGGUUUCCUUGGCACAUCUUGUCAUAGCAGAGAUCGUGUCCCCUUAUUCUGGGAUUCUCAUCAAUACGGGUGUGGGUAACCCAACCGUGCCUUUGGUAUGACUCCCUAAUUGAAAGCGAGUCUCAAACGGUUACGGGGAGGGCUCUUGGUAUUCAACUCCUUUAUAAAGGGACUAGGGCUCGGCUCCCUUCUUUUCAAUCCAAUCGAAUCCGCCCCUUGCUUCGAGCUCCAACACCCAAAGCUCUAGUUUUAGGCGCUUCAGACCUUCGACGAUGUCCGUCUCUGACCUUGAAGGCCGGUGGAUGCCUUCCUCCGUUAUGAAGAAGAUGUGCGAAAGCUGAGAGAUGCCAGGUAUCUAACCGACGAGAUCUCGCAUAGGCUGCCUGCUCAAGGGCAGGCCAUGCCCACUCCCUAGCCCGGUGAGAGCGUGGUGUUCGCAUCUCACUUCCUUCGGGGGCUAAGCUUCCCGAUUGAUCCCUUCGUGAGGGGGCUCAUGUUUUAUUACGGGCUAGAGUUCCACGACUUAGCUCCGGAGUCCAUCCUCCAAAUCUCAUCAUUCAUUGUCGUGUGUGAGGCCUUCCUCCAUAUCACUCCUCACUUCGGAUUGUGGCUAAAAACCUUCAAGGUGGAACCAAAGAUGAUCGAGGGGCAGCACGCUGAGUGCGGAGGAGCUAUAAUAAGCAAGAUGGCCGACGCUCCAUGGCCCGAAGGCUCUUUUCAAGAGGAGCUCAGCUUAUGGCAAUGGGACUGGUUUUACAUCACAGCCCCUAGGGGCACCACAUGGGUGGCACCGCCUACUUUUCGCUCGGGUCCCCCACCACGGCUGGCAUCAUGGGUUAAUGAAGGACUUAUCUGGGGGCCGUCGAAAGACGUGCCCUUGCUGCAGGGCCGUAUUCGAGAUCUCCUAGAAAGAGAUAUCAAUCUGACCGUGGUGGCGCAAGUCAUGGUGAUUCGCCGCACACUGCCCUGCAAACAUCGACCUCUCCGCCUGUGGGAAUUCAAUCCCGAGGGACCACGGGUCCUACAACACUUCAUGGGAAUGACGCCCAUGGAGAUGUACAAAUUGUUCUUUGUAUCACAAGCAAGGUGUCCGGAUCUGUCCGAGGACGCUGGUCUGAGCUGCAACUGCCCAGAUGCUAAAGUAAGUAGCUCCAUAUUUGCACAUACCAUCCAUAUUUUUAUCAAAUCUACCCUUUAGCAGAGUUUCCUUUGAACAGGAGUGGAUAGAAAAGGCUAAGCUUAUCAGGUGUCCAGCCCCCUUGCCCGAGACCGUGCCGAAUCCUAUGCUGACCAGGAUGCUGGAGGCUGCGCCGUUGGCGGAGGGAAAAGGGGGGGACCAAGGAGCUACCGCCUCCAUGAAGGAGGCCGUCAGGAAGGGAAGAAUCGAAAAUUCUCCCGACCAGGGGAAGAAAAGGACUGCCUCUGAAGACCCGGAGGUGAUAACCUCAAAACAGGGAAAUACAUUUUCGUCAGAGGGUUCGGCACCGGUGGAUGCUUCAGCCGAAUCGCCCCCUAAAGGGGACCCGCUCUCCCCCGAGGCGUAAGUGAGGGGAGGGGUUCCAUAAUGAAUCACAUUCAUGUUUUAUUCCCGAGGAAAAUAACCGAAGCAUUAUCUUGCAGUUCGGAUCUCAACCCUUCUCAGCAGAGCUCAUCUUCAGGGGAUCUUCGUCCAGAGAUGAUAGAGAGCGAAACGCCUCCCCUUGUUCCCCCGUCCUACAAGGCUGGUGACCCUGAGGUAUCGUCCCGGAGGGCUUUUUCAAGUCCGGACCCUGGGAAAGGUCGUCAGACUAGUCCGACACCCUCUUGCGCGCCGGAGGAGGUGCUCAAGGAUCUGCUUGGUAGGGCGUCCAUCUCGGAAGAACAUCGUAUGUUGAUGGAUACGGUGAUUGUAAGGAUUUCAUCCGCAGAACGCGGAUAGUACGAAGCUGCCAGGAGUUUACUAACAGGCUUUGAGGUAUGUAAAAAGGUGUACCUUUUGGUAGAGCCGCAUAUUAAAUGUGCCCUGUAUGAAUGGUAGCCCCUGAGACUCUGUGUGUCGUCACGAGUGACGGCGCAUAGAGGAUCAUAAUCCCAGGUAUAAUAAGUCGCUUAUUCCAUGAAGGUGGCGAGGCGCUCGGUGGCUAGCCGGACUGGUUAAUCUGCCGAACUAAAGCGGCAACUUGACGUGGCCGAUGCCGACAUCGCGCUUGUGAAUAAGCGGCUAGACGAGGCUCAAGGUAUGUUCAAAAGACACCCAGGAAUAGGAGCUUGAUGCUCGGGCCUUAUAUAUAUACUUGAUGUAGAUGGUGCUGCUGCCGUGGAGAACCUUCGGGCGGAACUUGCCCGAGCCAAGGAGCAAGCAAGGAAAAGUGAUGCGGCUGUCGUGAAAGCGGCUGAAGAGCUAAAAGCCGAACAGGCUGUUCACUGCCAGAGCAAGAAGGAAAUGGCCGAGAUGUCCAUAGAAUUGAGGGAUGCUACCAACCGCUGUAGAUUGCUUGAGCAAGAAGAUAGGGCGGCACAGAAGGAUCUUGAAAAGAUCACGGCCAAAUCCAAGGAUACUCGCUCUGCCAUGAGAGCGAUGAAGGAGGAGUUGCGUCAGGCCAGAGAUAUCACGGCUGGAAAGCCUUAUAUGCCGCGGAUGAAGUUCGGAGACCCUAAGUAUGCUCCAUUAGACCAGCAGUGGAGUUCGGACAACGCUUAUCUGGAUUUGGCCGCAAGUGCGGCGGACGCGACCGAACACUUCCGCAGCCGAGGUGACCAUAAAUUGGAAGAGCUUUUUUGGUCGCAGUACCACAAUCCAGAGCGCCCACUGUCAGUCUCCGACCGUUUAGCCGCCUGGGCGGAGCUGAACAGAUUAUCUGGACUCGCCAUGAAAUUUGUUGCGAGUCGUCUGUGGCCGGAGAAGCCAGAGCCGAAGAGAUAUUUUGGCUUGGUGCAGCAAUUUCUUGGUUCGGUGCCGCAUGCUGAUGCAAUGAAGAGGUCGGCGUGCAUAGAGGGAGCACAAAUGGCUCUUGCCCAUGUCAAGACAUACUGGGCAGAUAUGAAGGCCAGUAUUGUUGCGUCCCAAGAUUCGGACGAAAGCCGAGUACCUGCCAAGCACUAUUUUGAGGAAGUUCUUCCUGGCGCUUGUAUAAUAGAGUCGCAUUGCUUGAAGGAUGUUGUGUUCGAAUAGCUUAUACUAUUUGUAAGACGAAUUGUGUUUUUAUGAAAAAAACUUUUUUAUACUUGUGCUUGCAAGAAUCAUGAUACCUCCUGUGCGGCCGUUUAAUGUAUAUAUUUGUAUGUAAACUGAAAGAUGGCAGUCGUUGGCUUCAGCCCCCAUGCAUAGAAUGCGGGGGUGUUCACAAAAAGGCGUCUGUUCACACUUAAUCCAACGUCUUGGUCCUAUAAAGGAGGUGGUAGCGCGGCGAACUAGGCAACCGGACUAUAAUGCUUUAUCACUUUCACUUAGCCAUAGGAGUUUGACAGUGGGACUACUGAAUAGCCCCUAGGGGCACCGCGCUCGCCCGAAUUCGGGGCGCGAGUGUGCCUGACCGGGAAGCGGCCCUUCGUUAAUGCGGGGGAAUCCUAAAGAUUCCGAAAGUCAUCGAGUGGUUUACUAGUCUCUCGCUAUAUCAUGACAGUCAGUUUUCGGCUUUCUCUACUGAGGUGCUCACCCGGCUGAACCGGGGCACAAUCGCAGUAGUUCUCCUGGUGCCACGUUAGCCGAUAUAACGGAACGUAAGGCAGCAAAACACAAGAGUUCGGCAAACCCAACAUUUGACCAAAGACAUGAUUCAGAGCUAGUGCAUAUAGGGCCAAACUUGCGACGCCGAACACCCCCUAAGGUGUUCGGUCUUUAUGAAGACGGGCCGAAAUAGAGCCCUUGGUAAAAAAGCCCCUAGUGUCCAGGUACAUGCAAAAAAAUUCUGACGUGGCCACAUGCCAAGACGCCAGCCUCCUCCUCGGCUAUAGAGAAAACCGGGGGAUGUUAUCAACAAGAGACCGUAAAAAAGGUUUAUGCAGGGUCUUAAUCUGAAGAGAAUCCUUGGAACGGGUCCCUGCUGCACGUCUGCGCCCGUGUCUCCGUCUUGCCGUAUCCUGGACGGGCGUAGCACGAUGCUUGUCUGUGAAAGAGAGGAACUUAGUAAAAAAAAUAAGCGUGCGAGAAAUCUAUAUCGAAAUAAACAAAAUAUAGUUGGAGCCAGAGUUGGGCCGUAUUGUCUCCGGGCGUGAGCACACGGAGCCCCUUGCACUAGGGUAUGCGGUAAUUUAAGCAUGUUGACGCCGGACUCGUCGAGGCGUGUCCGGGGUAGUAGGGCUGGAUUUGUGGGCGGCUGCCUAGGCAACCGCACCCCUGCCCGUACUUUGGGGGUCAAUUUAUGUUCCCUUGUAAUGAGAUGAUGCCCUUUGGACCGGGCAUUUUAAGUGUAAGGGAUGCGUAGUGCGGUAUUGUGUUAAAGCGGGCGAAAGCUUCACGUCCCAGUAGCGCUUGAUAGCGACUUACGAAUGGGGCGAUGUGGAAUGUUAGCUUUUCGCUUCGGAAGUUGUCGGGUGAUCCGAACGUGACUUCUAAUGUAAGGGAACCCAUACUUGGGGUAUCCGAACCUGGCGUUACUCCUUGAAAGGAAGUGUUGCCGAGGUGGAUUGCGACUGGGUGUACCCUGAGUUUGCGGACUGUGUCCUGAUACAACAGGUUCAAGUCGCUGCCGCCGUCCAUAAGGACGUUUGUAAAUUGGAGUCCGUUAAUGAUUGGAUUUAAGACCAAGGCAGUGCAGCCUGCGUUAUGGUCUCCUCUAGAGUAAUUCAGAUGAUCAAAGGUGAUUGUUUGUAACAAGCAGUGGGGUUGCUGCUCUGGGGCUGGCUGUACGGCGCAUCUCGUUGUAGGUGCCGUUCUAUUCUUCUUUGUCGCAUGAAGUAGAUUUACUGUCUUGACUUCUUGUGGGAACUUCUUUUGUUCUCUGGUGAUCUGCUCGUGGGGUGCAUUGUCAUCUUCGCUUGAUGUGUUGAGCCCCUUGUGUUCGGCAUUGAGCUUGCUGGACUACUUAAAGACCCAACAAUCUCGGUGGGUAUGGUUUGCAGGUCUCCCCGGAGUGCUGUGGAUUUGACAUAUUUUGUCCAAAAUUUUGUUGAGGUUGGAUAGCUCGUCUCUAUCUUCUUUGGGGGGCAUCUUUUUCUGAUUUUGCCGAGGGCUUUUGAAUCCGGCGUUUACUGCCGUGCUCAUCGGGCUUUUGUCCUUUAUCCGGCGUGGUUCUUUGUUACGGCGCGGCUUCCCGUUCCCAUCUCUGAGUUCGGACGUAUUCGGGUCGCUGGUGCUGCUUCUUGCCAACCAGCUAUCCUCUCCUGCACAGAAGCGGGUCAUGAGGCUUGUUAACGCGGCCAUUGUUCGCGGCUUUUCUUGGCCGAGGUGUCUGGCGAGUCAUUCGUCUCGGAUGCUAUGUUUGAAAGCUGCUAGGGCCUCCGCGUCUGGACAGUCGACUAUCUGAUUCUUUUUGAUAUAGAAUCUGUUCCAGAGCUUCCGCACUGACUCUCCGGGCUGCUGAGUUAUAUGGCUCAGAUCGUCUACAUCUAGGGGCCGGACAUAGGUCCCUUGAAAAUUUGCCCGGAAAGCAUCCUCAAGCACUGCCCAACUUCCCAUGGUGUUCUCGGGGAGGCUUUUAAGCCAAUGCCGGGCUGUCCCUUUGAGCUUAAGGGGUAAGUAUUUUAUGGCGUGGAGGUCGUCUCCUCUGGCCAUGUGUAUGUGGAGGAUGUAGUCCUCGAUCCAGACUCCAGGGUCUGUUGUUCUGUCGUACGGUUCUAUGUUCACUGGCUUGAAUCCGGCUGGGAAUUCAUGAUCCAGCACCUCAUCAGUAAAACAUAGGGGGUGUGCGGCGCCCCUGUAUUUAGGCGUGCCGCGAUUUUCGGGUAUUUUUUUGCGUUGCAUCACUUAUUGGAGCUUGCUUUCUUGGCCUAUAGAUGGAUCUGGUAGGGCCAGUCUUGGACCGAUCGCGUGCUAUAUUGAGUGUGGCAUCUUUUGACGCGUGAGAUUGAUCGUAGGGUCAUCUAUCCGACCUUGUCGCGUCCUUAUUUUUUGACUGUGGGGGCUUUAUGGCCUCUUCGUCAAAUUCCGGUAGUAGUUUCCGCUUCGGAUAGCUCUUGGUGUGGCGACUAUUGCCGUACUUGUGUGCGGUAUUGAGUACCUUGCCCCAUCUGAUCCUGAGUGCAUCCUUCGCUGUCUUGAGCCUUCGCUUCUGCUUUUUCAGGCUACAUGCAGUGGCGAUGAGCCUUUGGUGGAGGUUCUGAUGUUCCAGCAAUUUGUCUGGUGUGAGGUCGUCCGGGCUAUUAUCCUUCCCGGGGGUUGGUUGUUCGGAUUGUCCGCCCUGCUUGGACGGAUGCUCGACGGCAUGUUCAUCGCUCGUUGAGUCGCCCUGCUCUAUGCAUGGGUUUUUGUCGAGGUGGGGCUUGGCCUUGCGCUUACGCCGCCGCUUUGAUUGUUUCUCGGGGGAGCGAUCUCUGGCCGCAUCCUUUUGGUCCUCGUAAUCGUUUCUGUUGCGUGUGUCCACCAUGUAUACAUCGCAUGAUGAGGUGUUUUUCCGGAGCCCUAUAGGUGCUGGUUCUUGAUCAUCUCCGUAUCGGCAUUCAUACCGUUGAUAUCUUCGAAGUCGAAGUCUAGCAUGUCGGUUAAAUCGUCGACAGUGGCUACGAAGUGGGUGCUGGGUGGGCUACAAAUUUCUUCGCCGUCCGCAUCCCAACCGUGUGGGCCGUAGUUCGGCAAAGGCCCUCUUGACAAAGAGAUAGAUUUUAAUGAAUUCAGGAUGUUACCGAAAGGUGAGUGCUGAAAGACAUCCGCGGCGGUGAACUCCAUGACCGGAGCCCAAUCGGGCUUAACCGGGAGAGGUGCAGGAUUUACGGAGUCCGGAUCGGAGUCCGGGACCUCGGAGUCACGGGCCUUGCGAGGGACUAGGCUGGUAUCCGUCUCUAUCGCAGUAGAGAUUGUAGUUUCCGGGGUGGCGUCUAACCGUUCGUCCCCUACUGGCGUAGUGGGCUCCGAGCUAAUGGUCGGAGCGGACACCUGAGCGACGCUCUGGGCGUUGUUCGAUGACAGAGCUAAAUCAUGCCCAUCAUGACAGUGCGGCACGCCCGGUUGUGGCUCGAAUCCGUCGAAGAUCAAGUCCCCGCGGAUGUCGGCCGUGUAGUUCAAGAUUCCAAACCUGACCUGAUGGCCAGGGGCAUAGCUCUCAAUCUGCUCCAGAUGGCCGAACGAGUCAGCCCGCAGUGUGAAGCCUUCGAAUACCAAGAUCUAUCCGGGGAGAAAAGUCUCAUCCCGGACCGCGUCGCAGUUGACGAGCGAAGAAGCCAUCGGGCCUAAAAGGCGACGACACAGAGGAACUCUCAAUGAAAGCACCAAUGUCGGUGUCAAAACCGAUGGAUCUCGGGUAGGGGGUCUCGAACUGUGCGUCUAGGCGGAUGGUAACAGGAGACAAGGGACACGAUGUUUUUACCCAGGUAUGGGCCCUCUCGAUGGAGGUAAAACCCUACUCCUGCUUGAUUAAUAUUGAUGAUAUGGGUAGUACAAGAGUAGAUCUACCAUGAGAUCGGAGUGGCUAAACCCUAGAAUCUAGCCUAUGGUAUGAUUGUUGUUCGUUCUACGGACUAAAACUCUCUGGUUUAUAUAGACACCGGAGAGGGCUAGGGUUACACAGAGUCAGUUACAAUGGGAGGAGAUCUUCAUAUCGUAUCGCCAAGCUUGCCUUCCACGCCAAGGAAAGUCCCAUCCGGACACGGGACGGAGUCUUCAAUCUUGUAUCUUCAUAGUCCAGGAGUCCGGCCAAAGGUCUUAGUCCGGCCAUCCGGACACCCCCUAAUCCAGGACUCCCUCAAUCUUCAUCAUUAUUUUCAUGGAAACUAGAAGAACACGCCUUUAUAAAGCAAUCUUUCUUAGCACACAAUCUAGCAGUUCUUUCUUCGCACUCGUCAAUGGAACUUCUCAUAGCUUUGAGAGACCCAUUGAUAUGAUGCUUAGGAGGGGUAGAUCUAAGUUUCAAAGAAUCAACAUCAAGCGAGAGUCUAUCAAUGUUGCUAGUUAAAUCAUCAACUUUAAGCAAUUUUUCUUCAAGCAAGGCAUUAAAAUUCUUUUGAGAGAUCAUAAAUUCUUUCACGCUAUUCUCAAAAUCAGAGGGCAAUCUAUUAAAAUUACCAUAAGAAUUAUUGUAGGAAUUUCCAUAAUUAUUAGAGGAAUUACUAGGGAACGGUCUAGGAUUAAAGUUUCCUCUAUAAGCAUUGUUGCCAAAAUUAUUCCUACCAACAAAAUUUACAUCCAUAGAUAAAUCAUUAUUCUCAAUAAAGGUAGAUAAAGGCAUAUCAUUGGGAUCAAUAGAAGCACUCUUAGUAGCAAACAAUCUCAUAAGGUCAUCCAUCUUUCCACUCAAAACAUUAAUUUCUUCUAUAGCAUGCACUUUUUUACUAGUAGAUCGUUCGGUGUGCCAUUGAGAAUAAUUAGCCAUGAUAUUAUCAAGGAGUUUUUUAGCUUCUCCUAAGGUGAUUUCCAUAAAAUUGCCUCCCAUGGCCAAAUCUAAAAGAUUUCUAGAAGCAAAUUCAAUCCGGCAUAAAUUUUUUGUAUGAUCAUCCAUAAAUUCAAACCAUGAGUAGGGCAACAGUGAAUCAUCAAUUUCAUUCUUUCCCAAGAUUGGGCAACAUGCUCAUGAUCAAGUUGUUUAAAAUUCAUAAUAUCGUUUCUAAGAGUGAUGAUCUUAGCGGGAGGAAAAUACUUAGAGAUAAAAGCAUCUUUGCACUUGUUCCAAGAAUCAAUACUAUUUUUUGGCAAAGACGAAAAUCAAACUUUAGCACGAUCUCUAAGUGAAAAUGGAAAUAACUUCAAUUUAACAAUAUUAUUAUUGAUAUCUUUUUUCUUUUGCAUCUCACACAAAUCAACAAAGUUGUUUAGAUGGGUAGUGGCAUCUUCACUAGGAAGGCCGGAGAAUUGAUCUUUCAUAACAAGAUUCAGCAAAGCAGCAUUGAUUUCACAAGACUCAACAUCAUUAAGAGGAGCAAUCGGAGUACUAAGGAAAUCAUUAUUAUUGGUAUUGGAGAAAUCACACAAUUUGGUAUUAUCUUGCGCCAUGGCAACAAUUAAUCCAACACACAAGCAAACAGAAAAAGGCAAGCAAAAGAGAGAGAAGAUGAUUGGGAAAGAGAGGGCGAAUAAAACGGUAAGGGUGAAGUGGCGGAGAGGAAAACGAGAGGCAAAUGGCAAAUAAUGUAAAUGCGAGGGAGAUGAGUUUGUGAUGGGUACUUGGUAUGUCUUGACUUGAGCGAAGACCUCCCUGGCAACGGCGCCAGAAAUCCUUCUUGCUACGUCUUGAGCUUGCAUUGGUUUUCCUUGAAGAGGAAAGGGUGAUGCAGCACAGUAGCAUAAGUAUUUCCCUCAGUUUUUGAGAACCAUGGUAUCAAUCCAGUAGGAGGCUCCUCACAAGGCCCACACACCUACACAAACAAACAAAGAACUCGCAACCAACGCAAUAAAGGGGUUGUCAAUCCCUUCACGGCCACUUGCGAAAGUGAGAUCUGAUAGAGAUAAUAUGAUAAGAUAAAUAUAUUUUUGGUAUUUUAUAAUAUAGAUUGGAAAAGUAAAGAUGCAAAUAAAAUUAGAUUGAAAGCUUAUAUGAUAAAAGAUAGACCCGGGGGUCAUAGGUUUCACUAGUGGCUUCUCUCGAGAUAGCAUUAGUAUUACGGUGGGUGAACAAAUUACCGUCGAGCAAUUGAUAGAAAAGGGAACAAUUAUGAGAUUAUCUAUGCAUGAUCAUGUAUAUAGGCAUCACGUCCGUGACAAGUAGACCGACUCCUGCUUGCAUCUACUACUAUUACUCCACACAUCGACCGCUACCCAGCAUGCAUCUAGAGUAUUAAGUUCAUAAGAACAGAGUAACACAUUAAGAAAGAUGACAUGAUGUAGAGGGAUAAACUCAUGCAAUAUGAUAUAAACCCCAUCUUUUUAUCCUUGAUGGCAACAAUACAAUACGUGCCUUGCUGCCCCUGCUGUCACUGGGAAAGGACACCGCAAGAUUGAACCCAAAGCUAAGCACUUCUCCCAUUGCAAGAAAGAUCAAUCUAGUAGGCCAAACCAAACUGACAAUUCGAAGAGACUUGCAAAGAUAACUUAAUCAUACAUAAAAGAAUUCGGAGGAGAUUCAAAUAUUUCUCAUAGAUAAACUUGAUCAUAAACCCACAAUUCAUCGGAUCUCGACAAACACAACGCAAAAAGAGUUACAUCGAAUAGAUCUCCAAGAAGAUCGAGGAGAACAUGGUAUUGAGGUUCAAAGAGAGAGAAGAAGCCAUCUAGCUAAUAACUAUGGACCCGAAGGUCUAUGGUAAACUACUCACAACUCAUCGGAGAGGCUAUGGUGUUGAUGUAGAAGCCCUCCGUGGUCGAUUUCCCCUCCGACGGAGCACUGAUGAAGGCUCCAAGAUGGGAUCUCGUGAAUACAGAAGGUUACGGUGGUGGAAAUAGCUUUUCGUGGUCGCCCCUGAUGUUUUCGGGGUACGUGGGUAUAUAUAGGAGGAAGAAGUACGUUGGUGGACGCCCGAGGGGCCCACGAGAUAGGGGGCCAUGCACAGUAGGGGGCGCGCCCUCCACCCUCGUGGCCGCCUCGGAAGCUUCUUGACUUGCACUCCAAGUCCUCUGGAUCACGUUCGUUCCAAAAAUCACGCUCCCGAAGGUUUCAUUCCGUUUGGACUCCGUUUGAUAUUCGUUUUCUUUGAAACACUGAAAUAGGCAAAAAAACAGCAAUACGGGCUGGUCCUCCGGUUAGUAGGUUAGUCCCGAAAAUGAUAUAAAAGUGUAAAGUAAAGCCCAUAAACAUCCAAAAUAGGUAAUAUAAUAGCAUGGAAUAAUCGAAAAUUAUAGAUACGUUGGAGACGUAUCAGAGUCCUAUCCGGACACGAUACGAAGUCUUCUAUCUUGUAUCUUGAUAGCCCAACAGUCCAGACCAUGUAUAUAGUCCGGCUCUCUGAGGACCCCUUAAUCCAGGACUCUCUCAAUGAUGUUUCUUUGCGAUGCAUCUCCAGGGUGUAGGGGCUCGAGCUGCUGACCGACAUACAUGGUGGGGACAACGGACACCACUCUUCGUCAUGCACCCUCGUGGGCAAGGUGUUCUGCAGUGAGUUCUAUUGGCCCACAACACUCAACGACGCCACCGAACUGGUGCGGUCCUGCGAGGCCUGCCAGUUCCAUGCCAAGCAGAUCCACCAGCCCGCGCAAGGCCUCCAGACUAUCCCGCUCACGUGGAUGUUCGUGGUCUAGGGGAUGGACAUCUUGGGGCCAUUCCCCCGAGUGCCAGUGGGCUACCGCUACCUCUAUGUCACCAUCAACAAGUUCACCAAGUGGCGGAGGUAGAAGCUGUCCACACCAUCCCGGCCAGCUCAGCCGCCAAGUUCAUCAAGGUCCUCGUGAGCCGGUUUGGAGUUCCUAAUCACAUCAUCACCAACAAUGGCUCACAGUUCACUAGCAACCUUUUCAAACGAUACUGUGCUAACCUUGGAAUGCAGAUUUGCUACGCCUCAGUGGUAGACCCCAGGAGAAACAGUCAGACUGAGCACGCCAAUGCAGAGGUCUUAAGAGGCCUCAACGCAAUCACCUUCAAGAAGAAGCUCGAGGCCCGCGGCAGGGGCUGGCUCGACGAGCUCCAGUCCGUGUUGUGGUCCAUCCACACCACAACGACCGAGCCGACAAGCGAGACACCGUUCUUCCUCGUCUACAGAGCUGAAGCGGUUCUCCCACAUGAGGUCAAGCAUCACUCCACACGGGUCCUGGCGUUCGACGAUGCAUGCCAGGAUGCCACGCGGGGGAUGGAUCUCGUGCUGGGGGAGGAAUGCCGCCGUCAAGCUUCACUCCAAGCGGCAAGGUACCAGUAGGCGCUGUGGCGGUACCAUUGGCGCAGCGUCCACCCCAGGACGCUCGAGGCGGGUGAUCUCGUCCGGAGGCAGGUGCUCUCCAAGGAAGGGCCGCACAAGGUCUCUCCGAUGUGGGAGGGCCCGUUUAGGAUUGCCCGUGUCUCUAGGCCCAGUGCCCGCGCCUGGAGACACAGGACGGGAUCCCCAUCCAUAACUCCUGGAACAUCCAACACCUCCAGAAGUUCUACCCAUGAAGCAAGGCUCCGGCCUGUGAAGGUCUCCGCUCGUGACGCUCUCAUGUAAUAAUUGUCGGUGUCAAAACUGGUGGAUCUCGGGUAGGGGGUCCCAAACUGUGCGUCUAAGGUUGAUGGUAACAGGAAGCGGGGGACAUGAUGUUUACCCAGGUUCGGGCCCUCUCUAUGGAGGUAAUACCCUACUUCCUGCUUGAUUGAUCUUGAUGAAUAUGAGUAUUACAAGAGUUGAUCUACCACGAGAUCAUAAUGGCUAAAACCCUAGAAGUCUAGCCUGUAUGAUUAUGAUUGUGAUUGCCUCUAUGGACUAAGACCUCCAGUUUGUAUAGACACCGGAGGGGACUAGGGUUGUACAAAGUCGGUUACAGAGAAAGGAAUCUUCAUAUCCGGUCGCCAAGCUUGCCUUCCACGCCAUGGAGAGUCCCAUCUGGACACGGGAGAGAGUCUUCGGUCUUGUAUCUUCACAGCCCAACAGUCUGGCCCAUGCUACAUAGUCCGGCCGUCCGAGGACCCCUUAAUCCAGGACUCCCUCAGUAGCCCCUGAACCAGGCUUCAAUGAUGAGGUGUCCGGUGCACAGAUUGUCUUCGGCAUUGCAAGAUGGGUUCCUUCUCCGAAUACUCCAAAAUAGUCUUCGAACACAAGAAUCGUGUCUAGCUCUGCAAAACAAAUUCCACACACAACCGUAGAGAGUACAAUAUUUCACGAGUCCAAUCCGCUGAUUUUUUUAGUGUGACAUCACGUCGCCGCCCGACCAUUAUUUUGAACCGUUUUCUAGCAUGUCACCCCAUAUUUCGAGAUGCGGUUUCAUUGGUACAUCUUGUCAAAGCAGAGAUCAUGUCCCCUUAUUGCGGGAUUCUCAUCAAUACGGGCGUGGGUAAUCCUACCGUAUUGUUUGCAUGGCCCUUGGGAAUAAGCGAGUUUUUAGGGCGAUUCGGGAGGCGUUUGAUAUUCACUGCCUUUAUAAAGGUAUAAGGAUUCACCCCAUUCACCCAUGCCUUCUCUCUCUACUUCCCCCAUUCUCGAGCUCUAGCGCCCAAGUUCUCAUCUUUUCCGCCCCAAGAAAGCACUCCAACCAUGUCCGGAUCUGGAGUGCAGGGCAAGUGGAUGGCAUCCUCCAUUAAGGAGAAGGACACUAUGAAGCUCCGGGAGGCCGGAUAUUUGGCCAAGGAAAUCGCCCAUCGGCUUCCGGCCAAGGGAUAGAUCGUCCCCACCCCGGAGCCCCAUGAGAGGGUAGUAUUCAUCUCUCACUUUGUACGCGGGCUGGGAUUUCCUCCCCACCCAUUCAUCCGUGAACUCAUGUUCUACUACAUGCUAGAUUUUCAUGAUCUAGCCCCAAAUUCUUUCCUCAACAUCUCGGCAUUCAUUGUCGUGUGCGAGGCUUUCCUCCACAUCCCACCCCACUUCGGAUUGUGGCUGAACAUCUUCAAUGUGAAGCCGAAGGUGGUGGGUAGCCAACAUGCAGAGUGCGGAGGUGCCAUGGUGAGCAAGAUGCCCAACGUCACAUGGCCAAUAGGUACCUUCAUGGAGACCUUCAAAGGGUGGCAACAGCAGUGGUUCUACGUCACAGAGCCGCGCAACACCACCUGGGCCGCGGCUCCCGAAUUCCGGUCCGGACCCCCAAUGCGGCUCACCUCCUGGCCAGAGAAGCACCUGGACUGGUCUUUGUUGGACGAGCUGACAGUGCUUCAGACGCGCAUCAGGAGCAUGGUGGACAAGAACAUCAAGCUUGUCAGUGUGAUCUAGGUGAUGCUAGUUCGCCGGAUCCUUCCAUGCCAAAGCCGGGCUUGCCAUUUGUGGGAGUUUGAUCCGGCUAAGUACCAGACCUUGCUGCAGUUCUUAGGCACUACACACGAAGACAUCUGGAAGGUGCUUUUCAAGUCCAGCAAGACAUGGCCGGACACGGCCGAGGACCGUGGGCACGACUUGGCCCAUCCGCUAGUCCGGUAAGUUUUUUCAUGUUUUCAAGGUAUAUCCUUUACUUGCAUAUUCAAGGAAGAAGCCUAAGCCUCCCUACUGAUUCUCUCAGGGCUGGACAAAGAAGGUGGAGCGGAUUCACUGCCCGGCUCCACUGCCCGAAGACCCAACAAUUCCACUUCUGACGAAGAUGCUGAUUUUGGCGCCCUAUCAAGCACCAGAGAAGAAGGCCAAGGGGACCAGAGGUGACCCCCGUCAUAAGGGUGCUUCAGACGUGACGUCCGGAGACGCCGAGACUCAUUCCUCAGCCGCCGAGGAUGACGAGGAAGUGGAGGAAGAAGAAAUCCAUGCCCCCCUGAUACGUCCAUUUUGCAUCAUGCUUUUAUAUCGAUAUUUAUUGUAUUAUGGGCUGUUGUUACACUUUAUAUCACAAUACUUAUGCCCAUUCUCUCUUAUUUUACAAGGUUUGCAUGAAGAGGGGGAAUGCCGGCAACUGGGAUUCUGGGCUGGAAAAGGAGAAAAUAUUAGAGACCUAUUCUGCACAACUCCAAAAGUUCUGAAACUCCACGAAAGUCAUUUUUGGAAUUAAUAAAAAAUACUAGCGAAAGAAUCAACGCCAGGGCGCCCACAGCCUGUCCACGAGGGUGGGGGGCGCGGCCCCCCUGGGGCGCGCCCCCUGCCUCGUGGGCCCCCUGGCAGCCCUCCGGUGGCCAUCUUGUGCUAUAUGAAGUCUUUUACCCUGGAAAAAAAUCAUAAGCAAGCUUAUGGGACGAAACUCCGCCGCCACGAGGCGGAACCUUGGCGGAACCAAUCUAGGGCUUCGGUCGAGCUGUUCUGCCAGGGAAACUUCCCUCCGGGAGGGGAAAAUCAUCACCAUCGAUCCUCUCAUCGGAAGGGGGUCAAUCUCCAUCAACAUCUUCACCAGCACCAUCUCCUCUCAAACCCUAGUUCAUCUCUUGUAUGAAAUAUUUGUACCAAAACCUCAUAUUGGUACCUGAGGGUUGCUAGUAGUGUUGAUUACUCCUUGUAGUUGAUGCUAGUUGGUUUAUUCGGUGGAAGAUCAUAUAUUCAAAUCCUUAAUGCAUAUCAAUACCCCUCUGAUUAUGAACAUGAAUAUGAUUUGUGAGUAGUUACGUUUGUUCCCGAGGACAUGGGAGAAGUCUUGCUAUAAGUAGUCAUGUGAAUUUGGUAUUCGCUCAAUAUUUUGAUGAGAUGUAUGUUGUCUCUCCUCUAGUGGUGUUAUAUGAACGUCGACUACACAACACUUCACCAUUGUUUGAACCUAGAGGAAGGCAUUGGGAAGUAAUAAGUAGAUGAUGGGUUGCUAGAGUGACAGAAGCUUAAACCCUAGUUUAUGUGUUGCUUCGUAAGGGGAUGAUUUGGAUCCAUAUGUUUCAUGCUAUGGUUAGGUUUACCUUAAUACUUCUUUUGUAGUUGCGGAUGCUUGCAAUAGGGGUUAAUCAUAAGUGAGAUGCUUGUCCAAGAAAGGGCAGUACCCAAGCACCGGUCCACCAACAUACCAAAUUAUCAAAGUAACGAACGCGAAUCAUAUGAGCGUGAUGAAAACUAGCUUGACGAUAAUACCCAUGUGUUCUCGGGAGAGCUUUUAUCAUAUAAGAACUUGUCCAGGCUUGUACUUUGCUACAAAAAGGAUUGGGCCAUCUUUCUGCACCUUAUUUACUUUCAUUGCUUGUUACCCAUUACAAAUUACCUUAUCACAAAACUAUCUAUUACCGAUAAUUUCAGUGCUUGCAGAGAAUACCUUACUGAAAACCGCUUGUCAUUUCCUUCUGCUCCUCUUUGGGUUCGACACUCUUACUUAUCUAAAGGACUACGAUAGAUCCCAUAAACUUGUGGGUAAUCAAGUCUCUUUACUGGUGCCGUUGCCGGGGAGCGCAUCGCUUUUGGUAAGUGGAACUUGGUAAGGAAAAAUUUAUAUAGUGUGCUGAAAUUUACUGUCACUUGUUACUAUGGAAAAUAAUCCUUUGAGGGGCUUGUUCUGGGUAUCUUCACCCCGACCAGUAGAGCAAAGAGUUGAUCCUCAACCUACUGAAAAUCUUUACUUUGAAAUUCCUACAGGUAUGGUAGAGAAACUGCUAGCUAAUCCUUUUACAGGAGAUGGAACAUUGCAUCCCGACUUGCACCUAAUCUAUGUGGAUGAAGUUUGUGGAUUAUUUAAGUUUGCAGGUAUGCCCGAAGAUGUUAUCAAGAAGAAGGUCUUCCCUUUAUCUUUGAAGGGAGAGGCAUUGACAUGGUUUAGGCUAUGUGAUGAAAUGGGAUCAUGGAACUACAACCGAUUGAAAUUGGAAUUUCAUCAGAAGUUUUAUCCUAUGCUUCUUGUUCAUCGUGAUCGUAAUUACAUAUAUAAUUUUUGGCCCCACUAAGGAGAAAGCAUUGCUCAAGCUUGGGGGAGGCUUUAGUAAAUGUUAUAUUCAUGCCCUAAUCAUGAGCUCUCAAGAGAAAUGAUUAUUCAAAACUUUUAUGCUUGGCUUUCUCUCAACAAUCGCUCCAUGCUCGAUACUUAUUGUGUUGGGUCUUUUAUGAUGGAGACUAUUGAAUUCAAAUGGGAUUUAUUGGAAAGAAUUUAACGCAACUCUGAAGAUUUGGAUUUCAACAAAGGUAAGGAGUUAGGUAUGACACCCAAGUUUGGUUGUGUUAAAUGUUUUAUGGAUACCAAUGUCUUCCGUGAAUUUAGCACUAAAUAUGGACUUGACUCUGAGAUAGUAGCUUCUUUCUAUGAAUCAUUUGCUACUCAUGUUGACCUCCCUAAGGAGAAAUGGUUUAAAUAUAAUCCUCCUACUGAAGUAAAAGUAGUUGCACCUAUUAAAGUUGAAGAAAAGACUAUCACUUAUAAUGAUCCUAUUGUCCCUACUACUUAUAUUGAGAAACCACCUUUCCCUGUUAGGAUAAAAGAUCAUGCUAAAGCUUAAACUGUGGUUCGUAAGAGUAAUACUAAAACACCUACACCACCUGAGCAAAUUAAAGUUGAACCUAGCAUUUGUAUGGUUAAAGAUCUCUUGGCUGAUAAUAUUGAUGGGCAUGUUAUUUACUUCUGUGAUGAAGCUGCUAGAAUUGCUAGACCAGAUUCUAAGAAUAAACAUAGACCUGUUGUAGGCAUGCCUGUUAUUUUUGUUAAAAUAGGAGAUCAUUGUUAUCACGGCUUAUGUGAUAUGGGUGCUAGUGCUAGUGCAAUACCUUAUUCCUUGUAUACAGAAAUUAUGCAUGAUAUUGCACCUGCUGGGAUAGAAGAAAUAGAUGUCACAAUUAAGCUUGCCAAUAGAGAUACUAUAUCACCAGUUGGGAUUGUUAGAGAUGUUGAAGUCUAGUGUGGGAAAGUUAAAUAUCCUGCUUAUUUUCUUGUUCUUGGUUCCCCACAAGAUAGCUUUUGUCCCAUUAUAUUUGGUAGACCCUUCUUGAGUACUGUUAAUGCUAAGAUAGAUUGCGAAAAGGAUAUUGUUAGAAUUGGUUUGGAUGAUAUGACUCAUGAGUUUAAUUUUGCUAAAUUUUGUAGACAACCCCAUGAUAAAGAACUGCCUAGUAAGGAUGCAAUUAUUGGUCUUGCUUCUAUUGCCGUGCCUCCUAAUGAUCCUUUAGAACAAUACUUGCUAGACCAUGAAAAUGAUAUGUUCAUGAAUGAAAGAAGGGAAAUAGAUGAAGUAUUCUUUAAACAGGGACCAAUUUUAAAACACAACUUGCCAGUUGAAAUUAUAGGGGAUCCUCCUCCACCCAAGGGUGAUCCCGUGUUUGAGCUCAAACCAUUACCUAAUACUCUUAAAUAUGCUUAUCUUGAUGAAAAGAAGAUAUAUCCUGUUAUUAUUAGUGCUAACCUUUUAGAGUAGGAAGAGGAGAGAUUAGUGAAAACUCUGAAGAAGCACCGUGCUGCUAUUGGAUAUACUCUUGAUGAUCUUAAGGGUAUUAGUCCCACUCUACGUCAACACAAAAUAAAAUUGGAGGAAUACACCAAACCCGUUAUUGAUCACCAACGAUGAUUAAAUCUUAAGAUGAAGGAAGUGGUAAGAAAGGAAUUACUAAUGCUCCUAGAGGCAGGUAUAAUUUAUCUCGUUGCUGAUAGUAAGUGAAGAUGCGAAGACACUAGUCUUGUCUUGAAUUGGGAAAAGUGCCACUUUAUGGUAAAUGAAGGCAUUGUUUUGGGACACAAAAUUUCUGAGAGAGGUAUUGAAGUUGAUAAAGCUAAAGUUGAUUCUAUUGAAAAGAUGUCGUGUCCCAAGGACAUUCCUUGGUCAUGCUGGUUUUUAUAGGAGGUUCAUUAAGGACUUUUCUAAAAUCUCUAGGCCUCUGAUCAAUCUAUUACAAAAAGAUAUUCCUUUUGUCUUUGAUGAUGAUUGUGUGGAAGCAUUUGAAAUACUUAAGAAAGCUUUGGUUUCUGCACCUAUUGUUCAGCCACCUGAUUGGAAUUUACCCUUUGAAAUUAUGUGUGAUGCUAGUGAUUAUGCCAUAGGUGCUGUUCUAGGACAAAGAGUUGAUAAGAAACUAAAUGGUAUUCAAUAUGCUAGUAAAACUCUAGACAAUGCUCAGAAAAAUUAUGCUACUACUGAAAAGAAUUUUUAGCAGUUGUAUUUGCUUGUGAUAAGUUUAGACCUUAUAUUGUUGAUUCUAAAGUGACUAUUCACACUCAUCAUGCUGAUAUUAAAUAUCUUAUGGAAAAGAAAGAUGCUAAACCUAGACUUAUGAUAUGGGUUCUCUUUCUACAAGAAUUUGAUUUACAUAUUGUUGAUAGAAAGGAAGCUGAGAACCCCAUUGCAGACAACUUGUCUAGGUUAGAAUAUUCUUGAUGACCCACUACCUAUUGAUGAUAGCUUUCCUGAUGAACAAUUAGCUGUCAUAAAUGCUUCCUGUACUGCUCCAUGGUAUGCUGAUUAUGCUAAUUAUAUUGUUGCUAAAUUCAUACCACCUAGUUUCACAUAUCAGCAAAAGAAAAAGUUUUUCUAUGAUUUAAGACAUUACUUCUGGGAUGACCCGCACUUUUAUAAAGGAGUAAAUGGUGUUAUUAGACGUUAUGUACCUGAGCAUGGACAUGAACAGAUCCUACGCAAGUGUUACUCCGAGGUAUAUGGAGGACACCACGCUGGAGAUAUAACUGCACAUAAGGUAUUGCAAUUUGGUUUUUAUUGGCCUACUCUCUUUAAGGACGCCCGUAAGUUUGUCCUGUCUUGUGAUGAAUGUCAAAGAAUUGGUAACAUUAGUAGACGUCAAGAAAUGCCUAUGAAUUAUUCUCUUGUUAUUGAACCAUUUGAUGUUUGGGGCUUUGAUUAUAUGGGACCAUUUCCUCCCUCUAAUGGGUAUACACACAUUUUAGUUGUUGUUGAUUACGUUACUAAGUGGGUAGAAGCUAUUCCAACUAGUAGUGCUGAUCAUAACACCUCUAUUAAGAUGCUUAAAGAAGUUAUUUUCCAAGGUUUGGAGUCCCUAGAUACUUAAUGACUGAUGGUGGUUCACAUUUUAUUCAUGGUGCUUUUCGUAAAAUGAUUGCUAAGUAUGAUGUUAAUCAUAGAAUUGCAUCUCCUUAUCACCCACAGUCUAGUGGCCAAGUAGAGCUGAGUAACAGAGAGCUUAAAUUAAUUUUGCAAAAUACUAUUAAUAGAUCUAGAAAUAAUUGGUCCAAGAAACUUGAUGAUGCAUUAUGGGCUUACAGAACUGCAUAUAAGAAUCCUAUGGGUAUGUCUCCAUAUAAAAUGGUUUACGGAAAAACAUGUCACUUACCUCUUGAACUAGAACAUAAGGCAUAUUGGGCUAUUAAAGAGCUCAAUUAUGAUUUUCAACUUGUCGGUGAGAAGAGGUUAUUUGACAUUACCUCACUUGAUGAAUGGAGAACUCAAGCCUAUGAGAAUGCCAAACUAUUUAAGGAAAAAGUUAAAAUAUGGCAUGACAAAAGGAUACACAAGCGUGAGUUUAAUAUAGGUGAUUAUGUGUUGCUUUUCAACUCUCUUGAAGAUUUUUUGCAGGAAAACUUCUCUUUAAAUGGGAAGGCCCUUACGUUAUCGAGGAAGUCUAUCGUUCUGGUGCCAUAAAAAUCAACAAUUUCAAAGGCACGAAUCAAAAGGUGGUGAAUGGCCAAAGAAUCAAACAUUAUAUCUCAGGUAAUCCAAUAAAUGUUGGAACUAAUGUUAUUGAAACCGUAACCCUGGAGGAAUACAUAAGGGACACUUUCCAGAAUGUUCUAGACUCUGAAAAGGAAUAGGUACGUGGUACGGUAAGUAAACCGACUUCAAAACAGUUCUAACAACAAUUUUUCUCCAUUUUGGAAUAUUUAAGAAAAUCGGAAAAUAAGAAGUAGUCCGGGAAGGACACUAGGCAUCCACGAGGGUGGAGGGCACACCCUACCCCCUGGGCGCGCCCCCUGCCUCGUGGGCACCUUGUAUGCCCUCUAGACUCCGUUUUCUUGCACGAUACUUCUUUUGGUUGGUAAGAAUUCAUUAUAUAAUCUCCCAAAGGUUUUGACCAUCGUAUCACGCAAAUAUCCUCUAUCUUUGUUUCGAGCCGUUUUCUAUCAGAUUUGUCAAGGCUAGGCAUCAUGUCGUCACCCUUCUCCAACAAUGAGGGCAAUGAUGCUUGGCUGAUGAAGAUGGAGCUGAAGAGGGAAGGACCCAGAGAGACCAACAAGGAGGAUAGGAUCAAGAUGAUUAUGGAGGAUCAAGCUCCGACGGAAGUAGAAGAAGACAUCCAACCUCUUCCCGACCUCUUUACCCCAACUGAGAUUGAAGCUUUCAAGAUGAUUGAGUUAGCUCGCAUAUAAAACAAGUAUCUCACACGUGAAAAUAUUUUGUUGAAGGAUCAUAUCAUCGCACUCAAGGGCAUUAUCCGCAAACUGGAAGAGCUCCUACGCUCGAUGUGCGACUAUCCAUCCUCAUCACCACCCUCUUCACCAGCAAAGGAGACAUAAUCACAUGGGUAUGGGCAAUCCCCUUGGCAACUGCCAAGCUUGAGGGAGGUGCCCCGGUAUCGUAUCACCAUCACACUCCUAUCUUUACCAUUUCAGUUAGUUCGAUCUGUUUAGAAAUAUCUUGAUCUAGUAGAAUAAAGCUUUGGUAUGAUUUAGUUUUGAGUUUUGCUUUAUGAUUCCUCUAUGUAAUCGAGUCCGUGAGCUAUAUAUAAUAAAGAUUAGUGUUGAGUCAAGGGCUUUGCUGUUUUGCUAUGAUCUUGAGGGAAUUAGAAGAAAAAGAAAUAGUAAAACGAAAUAAAGAGAUCAUAUUGAUCUUAUGAAGAGUGAUGACUUCACAUAUAAAGAGUAGGAUGAAUAAAGUUGUUGGGAGUUGGCAAACAUACUUUUGGUCAUCGUUGCAAUUAAUAGGAAGUGAUAAAGAAAGAGAGGUUCUCACAUAUAAAUACACUAUCUUGGACAUCUUUUAUGAUUGUGAGCACUCAUUAAAAUAUGACAUGCUAAAGAGUUGACGUUGGACAAGGAAGCCAACAUAAUGGGUUAUGUUUUCUGAUAUCCGAAAUAAAUCAUAUUGUCAUGGAUCAUCCAACAUGCUGAGCUUGCCUUUUCCCUCUCAUGCUAGCCAAAUUUCUUGCCACAAGUAGAAUUACUACUUGUGUUUCUGAAUACCCUUAAAACCAGUUUUGCCAUGAGAGUCCACCAUAUCUACCUAUGGAUUGAGUAAGAUCCUUCAAGUAAGUUGUCAUGUUGCAUGCAAUAAAAAUUGCUCUCUAAAUAUGUAUGACUUAUUAGUGUGGAGAAAAUAAGCUUUAUACGAUCUUGCAACAUGGAAGUAAUAAAAGCGACGGACUGCAUAAUAAAGGUCUCUAUCACAAGUGGCAAUAUAAAGUGACGUUCUUUUGCAUUAAGAUUUCAUGCAUCCAACCAUAAAAGCACAUGAUAACCUAUGCUUCCCUUUGCGAAGGGCCUAUCUUUUAUUUUUGUCUAUACAUUAUGUAAGAGUCAUGGUGAUCUUCACCUUUCCUUUUUAUACUUUAUCCUUUGGCAAGCACCUUAUGUUGGAAAGAUCCUAAUAUAUAUAUCCAAUUGGAUGUAAGUUAGCAUGAACUAUUAUUGUUGACAUUACCCUUGAGGUAAAAGGUUGGGAGGCAACACUAUAAGCCCCUAUUUUUCUCUAUGUCCAAUUAAAACUUCAUACCCAUAAGUAUUGCGUGAGUGUUAGCAAUUGUGAAAGACUAAGUGAUAUUUGAGUAUGUGGACUUGCUGAAAAGCUCUUAUAUUGACUCUUUCCGAUGUUAUGAUAAAUUGCAAUUUCUUCAAUGACCAAGAUUAUAGUUUGUUAGUUUUCAAUGAAGUUUAUUAUUCAUACUUGACAUUGUGAAUAGAUUGUUACUUGAGCAUAAGAAAUCAUGUGACAAUAUAUAUAUAUGUUGCUCUUAUAAGAAUGAUCAUGAUGCCCUCAUGUCCGUAUUUUAUUUUAUCGACACGUCUAUCUCUAAGCACGUGAACAUAUUUUUCGAUAUCGGCUUCCGCUUGAGGACAAGCGAGGUCUAAGCUUGGGGGAGUUGAUACGUCCAUUUUGCAUCAUGCUUUAUAUUGAUAUUUAUUGCAUUAUGGGCUGUUGUUUCACUUUAUAUCACAAUACUUCUGCCUAUUCUCUCUUAUUUUACAAGGUUUACAUGAAUAGGGGGAAUGCCGACAACUGGGAUUCUGGGCUGGAAAAUGAGAAAAUAUUAGAGAUCUAUUCUGCACAACUCCAAAAGUCCUGAAACUCCAUGGAAGUCAUUUUUGGAAUUAAUAAAAAAUACUCCAAAAAUACUAGCCAACCCCUGUCCACGAGGGUGGGGGCGCCCCCCGAGGGCGCGCCCCCUACCUCAUGGGCCCUUUGGAAGCCCUCCAGUGGCCAUCUUCUGCUAUAUGAAGUCUUUUGCCCUGGAAAAAAUCAUAAUCAAGCUUACGGGAUGAAAAUCCGCCGCCACAAGGCGGAAUCUUGGCAAAACCAAUCUAGGGCUCUGGUGGAGCUGUUCUGCCGGGGAAACUUCCCUCCGGGAGGGGGAAAUCAUCACCAUCAUCAUCACCAUCGAUCCUCUUGUCAGGAGGGGGUCAAUAUCCAUCAACAUCUUCACCAGCACCAUAUCCUCUCAAACCCUAGUUCAUCUCUUGUAUCCAAUCUUUGUACCAAAACCUCAUAUUGGUACCUGAGGGUUGCUAGUAGUCUUGAUUACUCCUUGUAGUUGAUGCUAGUUGGUUUAUUCAGUGGAAGAUCAUAUGUUCAGAUCCUUAAUGCAUAUCAAUACCCCUCUAAUUAUGAACAUGAAUAUGAUUUGUGAGUAGUUAAAUUUGUUCCUGAGGACAUGGGAGAAGUCUUGCUAUAAGUAGUCAUGUGAAUUUGGUAUUCGUUCGAUAUUUUGAUGAGAUGUAUAUUGUUUCUCCUCUAGUGGUGUUAUGUGAACGUCGACUACAUGACACUUCACCAUUGUUUGGGCCUAGAGGAAGGCAUUGGGAAGUAAUAAGUAGAUGAUGGGUUGCUAGAGUGACAGAAGCUUAAACCCUACUUUAUGCGUUGCUUCGUAAGGGGCUGAUUUGGAUCCAUAUGUUUCAUGCUUUGGUUAGGUUUACCUUAAUACUUCUUUUGUAAUUGCGGAUGCUUGCAAUAGGGGUUAAUCCUAAGUGGGAUGCUUGUCCAAGAAAGGGCAGUACCCAGGCACCGGUCCACCCACAUAACAAAUUAUCAAAGUAACGAACACGAAUCAUAUGAGCGUGAUGAAAACUAGCUUGACGAUAAUUCCCAUGUGUCCUCGGGAGCGCUUUUCUCAUAUAAGAACUUGUCCAGGCUUGUCCUUUGCUAAAAAAAGGAUUGGGACAUCUUGCUGCACCUUAUUUACUUUCAUUGCUUGUUACCCGUUACAAAUUACCUUAUCACAAAGCUAUGUGUUACCGAUAAUUUCAGUGCUUGCAGAGAAUACCUUACUGAAAACCGCUCCUCAUCAAUGGUGAAUUCGCUGGACCCGAGGUGAUGGUUAGCGGGUCCCUUCCGACGGCCUCCUCUCCCAAGGCCGUGGAUGACACCGAGGUGUUGUCCCGAAGGACCCCAUGCCAGGGAGAGACACAUGAGGCCGUCAAGGCUGUGCCAGAGGGUGAAACCUCAGCCCUCGGACAAACGGGGGAGAAUAUCCCCAUGGAUACUGGCAAUGGGGGCCAUAUACAAUUCGGCCCCCAGCUAAAUACAAUUCCGGAGACCUAUACGGCUCCCGAAUCAGGCAAGCAGCCUUUCUCAAAAGAAGGAGGUGCACCUAUUCCACCGGUGACCUCUAUCCACCCAGAGGCACCAGACAAUUUGCUGGAAGCGCUGCAAGGAUCUUCCAUUGUUGCGGAACACCGUACACUUAUGGGUGCGGUGAUUGAGAGGAUUCAGUCUGCGAAGAGCGGGCUGGCCGAAGCCUGCAUAAGCCUUCUAACAGGCUUUGAGGUAAGCAACGCAAUUAUGUAAGAAGAAUGUCACUGUACAGAUAGUAGCUCCUGAGACAUUGUCCGGUGUUCGAAAAGAAAAGCCGGACAGAGGAUCAAACAAGUUUCGCAGGAGAAAAACCAGAUGAGUCAACGUGAACAAGCAAGCGUCAUUACUGGCUGUGACCUCACAUACUGCCGAGGUUUCGGACUGAAGCAGAGUCUGGAGCAGGCCGAGGAAGAGCUCGGCCGUGUGAAGAAGCAGCUAGAAGACAAUCUAGGUAUGCAAUAAUCUUGUCUAUAUUCAAGAAAAAUGAAUGAUUUGUGCUGACUAAAGUGCCAUGAUAUUUUUUUAGGUGCGGCAACCUAGGUGGAAACCCUCAAGAAGGCACUGGCCGAGGCCGAUGAGAGAGCAGCCAAGGAACAAGCCGCCCGUGAAGAGCAUGAGGCCAGGGUCGUUGAGGUCCAGCAGGAGCUCCAGGAUGCCGUGAAGAAAUGUGAGUCCUUGGAGCGCAAUAUUGCGGAUCAAGAAUACGAACUUGCCAAGGCCCGCCAAAGCACACAUGAUGCCCGGGUUGAAGCCCAGGGCGCCCUCCAGGAGGUACAGGAGGCCAGAAAAAUCGCGGCGGGUAAGGCCUUUAUUAUGCAGAGCAAAUAUGUGAAGAAAAGGUUCCUCUUACUAACCCGGAUUUGGAGUUCUCCAGGGGCGUUUGCGGAUCUGCCGCACAGCGUUUUAGAUGCUGCGGAGUUCUUCCCAGCCGAAGAGGGGAGCUCUACGGAGAAGCUGUUUUGGUCACAAUACCUUGCGCCAGAACAUCCGAUGCCCUUUAGUGAUCAGCUAAAACAGCUGGCCAUACUGCAUAGGGUGGCCAAACUAGCCAUGAAGGAUUUAAUAAUUUGGCAAUGGCCUGCUGAAGCCAUACCCAGCAGUUACUUCGGGCUCGUGAAGCGGCUGGUCAAAGCCUGCCCUCGGCUUGAUGCAAUCAAGCGGUCGGUCUGCAUCGAAGGCGCGCGAAUGGCCUUCGCCCGAGUCAAGAUACAGUGGGCAAAGAUGGACGGCGUGAAGCUUGUGACCGAGGGACCGCCCGUGGGCAAGGAACACAGCACACCCGAGCGGUAUUUUGAAGAUGUCCUGAAGGGAUCCAGCAUUGUAGCAGACCAAUGUAUGAAGGAUAUUAUCUUUGAAUGAAUACAUUCAUGUUAUCCUGUCUUGUACUAUGAAAUAGAAUCGUUAUGUAAUAUAAUGCCUGUUAUUUAAAAUUUUACCUCCUGUGCGGCUGUUUUAUUAAAUCUGAGAGUUGGCCAGUCGUCGGCUUCCGCCCCCACGUAGGAAGUACGAGGGUGUUAAGGAUGAAUCUAAACACUCUUUACUCUAGAGUUUGGUCCUUGAAGGAGGUGUUUAGCACCACGAACCAGGCCAUCAGACUAUGUGGCUUUAUCACCCUCACUUAGCCAUAGGAGUUUAACAAUAAAAAAAUUAGGUGCAACCCCUAGUAUUCGUAAAUCCGAACUUGAGGUACUGUAAACACCUGAUCAGAUAAAAACCGACUCAUCGCAUAAUGCGGAAAAAAUCGCAAAUGAUUUGGAACCUCUCGAACAUCCAGCUCACGCGGCAUCAUGACAGUCACUUUUCGGCUUUCUCUACUGAGGUGCUCAUCCGGAUGAACCAGGACACAAUCACAGUAGUUCUCCCUUUACUAUCGUAGCCGAUAUAACGGAACGUAAGGUAGUAAGCACAGGAGCCGGGCAACCCAAAUAUUGACCAAAGACAUGAUUCGGAGCCGAUGCAUAUAAUGCUACAAUUCGGGGUGCCGAACUAUAUUGUAAAAUUGUUCGGACUUUGUUGCCGUAUUAUGGGGCGUAAUGAAGCCCCCGGUGAAUUAAUGCGUACCAGAUUGUACGGGUGCAAUUGAUAAGAAUAAAAAAUUUAAAUGAAAUAGCAAGGUAAUGCCACAUAAAUUGGGCCGCAAAAUAUUUUUAUUGUAAUUUGAUUUAAGACGUCGAAGCGUAUUUAUACAAAUAGUGCGAUAACCUGCCAAGACCAGGGGGAGCUGUGUGCGAUUCCCAAAGACAGGUAGAUCAUUGAGAAGAACAUCUAGAGAUUCCCUCACGUGUCCAUACUGCUUCCUGCCUUGGUAUAUCCAUCCCCUGAUGGGUCUGACAAUCAGGCCACCAGGAAAAGCCUGGCAAAAGAGAAUCCUGAAAAUAAAAAAUAAAAGGUGAAGGUAUGCUGGUCCAGGGGAGGUUGAGCCGUAUUGUGGACCACGAUCUAGCUGUGCCUCCGUCUAUGCCCAUGGUAUUUUAAGUGCGUAGUUAUGUAUGCGUUGUACGUACGCUACCAUUUGGUCGGGAUUGAGACGGAGGCCAAAUUGCUAGUCAAGCUCUUGACGAGCUGGACCGUCCUGCUGCAGAGUAGUCCGGACUCGUUUGACGAUGUCCGGGAGCCUGGGCGCCGAAUUAAAGUUGUGCUUGAAAAGGCCGCUCUGUGCUUCUGCUGCGAGGGCAGUGGUGUGCUGCUUGGUACGGAGGGAGCGUUCCGUGUUUCCAUUGACUGUUAUGACACCUCGCGGUCCGGGCAUCUUGAACUUGAGAUAAGCGUAGUGUGGCACCGCAUUGAAUCGACCGAAUGCGGUUCGUUCGAGCAGUGCGUGUUAGCCACUGCGGAAGGGGACGAUAUCAAAGAUCAACUCUUCGCUUUGGAAGUUGUCCGAGGAUCCGAAGACCACCUCCAGUGUGAUUGAGCCCGUACAGCGGGCCUCUACACCUGGUAUGACCCCUUUAAAGGUGGUUUUGGUGGGCUUGAUCCUUGAGGGAUCAAUACCCAUUUUGCGCUCUGUAUCCUGAUAAAGCAGGUCCAGGCUGCUGCCAUCGUCCAUGAGGACUCGCAUAAGAUGGAAUCCAUCAAUGAUUGGGUCGAGGACCAGUGCGGCCGAACCGCCAUGAUGGAUACUGGUCGGAUGGUCCCUGCGAUCGAAGGUGAUCGGACAGGACGACCAUGGGUUGAACUUUGGGGCGACUGGCUCUAUCGCGUAGAUGUCCCUGAGCGCACGCUUGCGCACCCUCUUGGGGAUAUGAGUAGUGUAUAUCAUGUUCACCAUUUUAACUUGGGGGGAAACUUCUUCUGUCCCCCAGUGUUCGGUGGCCGGGGCUCCUCGUCAUCAUCCUCUCUUUGCGACCCCUUUUCCUUGUUCUCGGUGUUUAAAUUGCCGGCCUGUUUAAAAACCCAACGUUCUCUAUUGGUAUGAUUGGCUGGUUUAUCAGGAGUGCCGUGGAUUUGACAUGGACGAUCGAGUAUGCGGUCCAAGCUGGACGAGCCUGGAUUGUUUCUCUUAUAUGGCUUCUUCCGCUGACCGGACUUAGAGCCACUGAAUCCGGCGUUGACCGCCGUGUCUUAGGUGCUGUCACCGUUGCUUCGACGCUUGUGUCUGUUGCGUCGGGGUUUGCCGUUGCUGUUUCUGGCUUCAGAAGUGACAUGUUCGCUUGAAUUGUUAUUGCUACGGGCUAGCCGACUAUCCUCACCCGCGCAGAAGAGGGUCAUAAGCGUCAUGAGGGCUGGCAUAGGCUUCGGCUUUUCUUGGCCGAGGUGUUGGGCGAGCCAUUCAUCGCGGGUGCUAUGUUUAAAGGCUGCUAGGGCUUCGGCAUCCAGGCAAUCGACGAUUUGGUUCUUUUUAGUUAAGAACCUAGUCUAGAAUUUCCUGGCUGACUCUCCGGGCUGUUGAACUAUGUGACUUAAGUCGUCGGCAUCUGGAGGUCGGACAUAUGUACCCUGGAAGUUGUCUAGGAAGGUGACUUCCAAGUCUUCCCAGCCGCCAAUUGAGUUUUCUGGCAAACUGUUUAACCAGUGCCGAGCAGGUCCCUUGAUUUUUAGUGGGAGGUAUUUGAUGGCGUGAAGGUCAUCACUGCAAGCCAUAUGAAUAUGGAGGAGAAAAAUCCUCGAUCCAUAUCGCGGGGUCUGUUGUCCCAUCAUAUGAUUCGAUGUUUACGGGUUUAAACCCUUCCGGGAACUCAUGUUCCAUUACUUCAUCAGUGAGGCAGAGGGGGUGUGCGGCGCCUCUAUAUCGGGCCAAGUCAUGACGUAGCUCAGAUGGAGUUUGUCUGUGGUUUUCGGCCCGGGCGUGGCUAUGUUUGUCACGUCCGGCCGGAUGCCAUCAUCGCGCAUCAAGGCACGCCCCCGUGAUCAAUAGAUUGAUCUGGUCUGACCUGCUUUGUUUUCCAGGUCAUGUCGCGGGUCAUAUGUAUAUCCCCGAGCUGUUGUGUUUUUGUUGUUUCGGCGAGAUAGUGCGGGCUGGUGUUCAGCUUGAGUUGCCACUUUAUCUCUGCCACGUGGUGGUCAGUCAGCCGCAUUAUGCGCUGGUAGGAUGGGCUCCAUUGCCUCGUCAUCAAAUUGGGGUAAUAAUUUGUGCUUAGGUAACUUUUGGUUGGGCGCUUGAGGUCGUAUUCCUUGGUUACCAGGACAUUAGUCCAUCUGUCAUUGAGUAUAUUUUGAUCAGCUUGAAGCUGAUGCUGCUUCUUCUUCAGGCUUCUUAUAGUGGCUAUUAGCUGGCGCUGAAAGCGCUCCUGCUCGACGGGCUCCUCAGGCACGAUAAAGUCUUCGUUGCCGAGGCUUGCCUCAUCCUUGGAGUGUGGAAGAUAAUUACUGUCCUCCGAGUCUUUGGUAAUGGCCUGUUCAUUAGGGCUGACUCGCCCAUCCUCCCGUUCAUCUUGUUUGGCAGUUGGUUCAACGGGGUCUUCAUUGUCUUCGGCAUCGUCGAGAGUAUGAUUUUCUCCUGUGCCGGUAUUGAUGUUUUUUCCACGGCAUGGUCUAGAGCGGCACCGCCGACGAUGGCGAUUUGGCUGUGUCUCAGGAGGCUUAUCCUCGACUGGAUCUUUUUUAUUGUUGCCAUUGUUCUCUUUGGGUGUAUCCACCAUGUAUACGUCAUAUGAGGAGGUGGCUGUCCAGCACCCUGUAAGCGGUGGUUGUUGUGCCUGCUCCUCUCCGGCAUCGUCGUCCAUACCGUUGAUGUCUUCGGAGUCGAAAUCGAGCAUGUCGGUUAAGUCCUCGAUAGUGGCUAUGAAGUGGGUGGUGGGUGGGAAGCGGAAUUCUCCGCCAUCAGCUUCCAAUCCAAAAUGGAUAUAGUUCGGCUGAGAGUCCCCUAAUAAGGAGAGGUUUUUUAAUGAGUUCAGCACAUCACCUAAAGGUGAGUGCCGAAAGAUGUUGGCGGAGCUGAACUCAACAAUCAGGUUCGACGGGCGCGGAUACACGUGGUUCGGAACCUAUGGCCGGAGACAAAUCCGAGGUUCCUAUGACACAGGCCUCGCUCGAGGUCGGAUUUGUGUGCGGCUCUAACGCCGCUGAGUAUGCGGCUUCCACGGUGGGGUUGAGCUUCCUGUCCUCGGAUGGCGCAAUCCGCUCCGGAUCCAGGGCCAGAGCAGUUACAUGCACUAUCUCCUGGGCAUGGUCCGAUGAAAGAUUUAGGUCAUAUUCAUCGUAGUGGCAGGGACCGGCUGUCAUGGUCUCGAAUCCGUUGAAGAUCAAGUCUCCGCGGAUAUCGACAACGUAAUUCAGGCUUCCAAACCUGACCUGAUGGCCAGGGGCGUAGCUGUCGAUCUGCUUUAGAUGGCCAAGCGAGUUGGCCCGCAGUGCGAAGCCGCAAAAUACGAAGAUCUAUCCGGGGAGGAAAACCUCCCCCUGGAGUGCAUUGUUCUGGAUGUUUGAUAGAGCCAUCAAUCCUGUCUUGGACGUCACAGCGGAACUCUCAAUGAAAGCACCAAUGUCGGUGUCAAAACCGGCGGAUCUCGGGUAGGGGGUCCCGAACUAUGCAUGAAAGGUUGAUGGUAACAGGAGGUGGGGGACACGAUGUUUACCCAGGUUUAGGCCCUCUCUAUGGAGGUAAUACCCUACUUCCUGCUUGAAUGAUCUUGAUGAAUAUGAGUAUUACAAGAGUUGAUCUACCACGAGAUCGUAAUGGCUAAAACCCAAGAAGUCUAGCCUGUAUGAUUAUGAUUGUGAUUGCCUCUACAGACUAAGCCCUCCGGUUUAAAUAAACACCGAAGGGGACUAGGGUUGUACAAAGUCAGUUACAGAGAAAGGAAUCUUCAUAUCCGGUCGCCAAGCUUGCCUUCCACGCCAUGGAGACUCCCAUCCGGACACGGGAGAGAGUCUUCGCUCUUGUAUCUUCAUAGCCCAAUAGUCUGGCCCAUGCUACAUAGUCCGGCCGUCCGAGGACCCCUUAAUCCAGGACUCCCUCAAUAAUGAGUGGGGCUGUACACGCCCCAGAGUCUCCUGAGUGCCGCCUUGGGCCCUCACGGGGGCUCCCUCCCAUGUCCUAGUGGCAGGACUUAACUCCGCGCUGGUGAGAAGACUAUACUAGGUGCCGGACACGGCUGUUCAGUUGCUUGCUUUCCGUAGUUGUUUUGCAAUCUUUUAAUGGAAUUCAGAGUUUUCGCAUUUUGGUUCGCCAAGUUGGAUUUUCUCUCCUCUCGUUUCGCUCAUUCUUCGCCUGGGCCAGGAAAGGGAGAUAGUUGCUUGACGCUCUUCCUUGCGCGCCCCACGCGUGGGGGCUAGGCAGGUGUGUGCAUGGGUCCACCCUCGCACAAGCACACCUCGCCGAACCCUGUUGCCCUAGUGCUUUCUAAUCCUCGCGAGACGCCCUCGAUCGAGCUUGUGCGCAUCAGCGCCCUCUCCUGUCUGUGCCCGUCGGGCAGCGUGAUGUGGUGCAUUAAGCCACAACUAAACCUAUGGCAGGGGCCUCGCACAAAUAAGAAUGAGGUGCCCCGUUAAGGUUUCUUUUCCUUUAAACAGCUCUGCAGCAGCUCUACGGCAUCUACCUGGCCCCCUACCUGGCCCCCUGAGUCAUCAGACCUACAAUACCUUCCGAGAUCAGUAGCCCCCUACCUGGCCCCCGAGUCAUCAGGAAGGGGGGCUCCGCCAGGCAUCAAGGGCCGCGCCCCCGUGAGGUGGGAAGCUACCGCAAGCAUGUCAAGCUAAGUUACCCUACCCGUGCCUAUCCAGAAUACAAAUAUCACGGCACAACAUUAAGAUAAUAAGCAUAGUAUAAAGGGCAUAACUGCCAUAGUUCAUUACACACCCCGGCGGGGCACCCUACUUUUUUCAAACUCUAGAAGAAAGGAAAGGUUAAAAAAAAGUGGCCUGCAAGGCCGCAGCGGUCCUGAAGCCAAGCUCGGCAGCCCCAAGCUUAGAUCAUGCCUCCCUCUUGCUUCACUGGGGCGCCGCGGCGAGACGAUCCACCACCUUACUUGAUGCAAGCUCGGCGGCGCGGAGGAUGGUUAAAGCCGCCGCUGCUGGAGCUCCCGCCCGAAGAAGAGCUGCCGUCGCGGGAGGAAGUGUGGACGUCAUCAAGGCCAAGCUCACCCUCGUCGCCGGCGCGACCGAAGUCAAGGCCAAGCUCAUCGUCGCGGCAGCCAUCUUCUGGGCAGCACCCCACAUGGCGGCCGUCUUCCCCGAACACCCUCACGAAGAGGGUCGCAAGUCCAUCGUACUUGAAGUGGAGGGUGCACCUCCCGCUCAGGCCUCACGCGCGGGCAAAUGCCUGCCAGCCAUGGGCCAGGACCACGCUGCUCGCAGCAGUAACAUUGAUCCCAACCCACGAGGCCCUGCUGUCAGUGUCAAAACCGGCGGAUCUCGGGUAGGGCUCCCGAUCUGUGCGUCUUAGGCUGAUGGUAACAAGAAGCAAGGGACACAAUGUUUACCCAGGUUCGGGCCCUCUCGAUGGAGGUAAAACCCUACUUCCUGCUUGAUUAAUAUUGAAGAUGUGUCGAAUACAAGAGUAGAUCUACCACGAGAUCGUAGAGGCUAAACCCUAAGAGCUAGCCUACGAUGGUAUGAUUGUAAUUGUGAUCGGCCUUCUAAGGACCAUCCUCUCCGGUUUAUAUAGACACCGGAGAGCUAGGGUUUACAUGGAGUCAGUUACAAGGAAGGAAACAUAAUAUCCAGAUUGCUAAGCUUGUCUUCCACGCAAAGGAGAGUCCCAUCCGGACACGAGCCGAAGUCUUGAGUCUUGUAUCUUGACGCUUCUAUAGUCCGGACGAUGAAUAUAGUCCGGCGGUCCGGAUACCCCCUUAUCCAGGACUCCCUCAGUAGCCCCUGAACCAGGCUUCAAUGACGAUGAGUCCGGCGCGCAGUCUUGUCUUCGGCAUUGCAAGGCGGGUUCCUCCUCCGAAUACUCCAAGGUUAUUAUUGAACACAUAGACCAUGUCCGGAUCUACAAAAUGACCUUCACAUACCAUCGUAGAGGGAAUGAUACUCCAACUGACAAUUUUUAGACGACGUGACAUGCCAUUAGGGCCAAGUCAUUGCUCGAACCGUUUUUUCCACAACUAGCCAUAGCAUAUUGCGAGGCAGUUUCCUGAGCACGUCUUGUCGAAGCCAAGAUCAUGUCCCCUUAUCACGGGAUUCUCAUAAAUGCGGGUAUGGGUAACCCAACCAUACCGCUAAUCACGGCAAGCGGUAGGCGAGCAGUCUCCACCAGGCAAGUGGGGAGGUACAAAAAAGCUCUUACCUUCUCUUAUAAAGAGAUAGGGCAUCUUCCUCUUUUACCCAUGCCUUCUCCUUCCGCUAACUCACUUCCCUCUGCUCGAGCCCUAACGCCCGAGCGCCUUUCUUUUCCAUCAAAGAGAGGGUUUCCAAAGAUGUCCGGGUCUGGAGCAGGAGGCAAAUGGAUGGCCUCUACCAUCCGAGAGAAGGAUAUCAAGAAGCUCCGGGAAGCCGGGUAUCUGGCCAAGGAGAUUGGCCACCGUCUCCCACCAGCGGGACAGGUUGUCCCUACUCCGGAGCCCCACGAGAGAGUCAUGUUCCUUCCCCAUUUUGUCCGCGGGCUCGGGUUUCCCCUCCACCCAUUUGUACGUGGAGUCAUGUAUUACUAUGGGGUUGAUUUUCAUGAUCUUUUCCCCAACUCUUUUCUCAAUAUCUCGACGUUCAUCGUCGCAUGUGAGGCCUUCCUCCGGAUUCCACCUCACUUUGGCCUGUGGUUGAAGAUUUUCAAUGUGAAGCCCAAGGUGGUGAGUGGCGAACACGCCGAGUGCGGCGGCGCCAUGGUGAGAAAGAUGCCCAAGGUCGUUUGGCCGAAGGGCACUUUUAAUGACUCCGUCAAGGAAUGGCACCAGCAGUGGUUUUAUAUCACCGAACCACGCGGCGAAGAAUGGGCAGCAGCUCCUGAGUUCAGAUCCGGAGCUCCAUUGCGGCUUACGUCCUGGCCCAAGAAGGGCCCAAACUGGUGCUCGUCCGAUGAGCUGUCACUGCUCCUAACGCGUGUUCGGAACAUGGUCGACAAGGACGUCAAGCUUGUUGACGUGGUCCAGGAGAUGCUAGUUCGCCUGGUUCUCCCUUGCCAGCGUCAAGCCUAUACUUUAUGGGAAUUCGACCCAUCCGAGCACCAAACCCUCCGGGAGCUCCAUGAUUCCUCCCAUGAGGAUAUCUGGAAGGUGCUCUUUAAGUCCAGCAAAUCAUGGACGGACUCUUCUGAGGACCGGGGGUAUCAAUUAUCCCAUUCUGCAUGCCCGGUAAGUUAUAGCCACUCCCCGUCCGUCCAGGCUUCAGCUGGCGUAUCAUGAGGGGGGCAUUAUAAUCGUGCUUCAUUGUGGCUUUAGGGAUGGAUAAAAAGAGUGGAGCAGAUACAAUGUCUGGCCCCACUGCCGGAGGAACCGGCCGGACCUCUUCUGACGAAGAUGCUGGUCCCUGCACCUUACAAAGCGCCCAAGAAGGAGGCCCCCAAGCAGGUCAAGAAGACCUGGAGUGGACUCCGUCGUCGCGAGGCUCUGGACACCCGGUCUGAAGGCUCUAGCGACGCUCCUUCUUCCGAAGACGAAGAGGAGGGGGCAGAGGAGGUCGAGCCUCACUCUGCAGGCAGGAGGAAGCGUGAAGCUUCCCCAACCCUGGAGGCUGAAUCUCCCAAGAGAGGGCGAGGUUCCUCUCCAGAGGCAUCCACCCUGGCUGCCGAUGACAGCCCAGAGUGGGAUCCCGAGGCCCAGCUCCUGGGAAAAUCAUAAGUAACCGAAAUCUGAAUACGCCUAUGUAUCCAGGGUCGUCUGGGCAUAGUAGUUUUAACUGUCGCCACAUUUGAUACAGCCCGGUGGGGUCUCCUGUCGGACAGUCCUCAUCGGAGGAUUCGUUGAGCUCGAAUGCUGUGGCGAACGAGAUGCCUCUGGGGACACCUUUUCUGAAGUCUGGGCACAACACUGAGGUGUCGUCUCAAAGAGGCUCAGAGCCGGAUAAGGUUCUGGAGGCCUCUAAGGCUCCAGGAUCGGGCGAACAACCACCUUCCAUUAGGGGAGGUUUGACCACUCUGCCGGCAACCUCUAUCUACGUAGAGCUGCCGGGUGAUUUAUUGAUAGCAUUAAAGAACGCAUUUGUUGUCGAUGAACAUUGGACCCUUAUGGGUACGGUGGUUGGAAAGAUUCAGGCUACCGAAGCGGGCUGAAUGAGUCCUGUCUUGGCCUUAUAAAGGCCUUUGAGGUAUGGUUUCUAAGGAACCUUUAAAGAAUUAGUAUGAUAUGAGGAGUAUCCCCUGAUACACUGUCCAAAAAAAGAAAACUGGGGAGGGUAUCAAAUCCUCAGUUGUAAUGGGAACUUUUUAAUGUUGUAUACCCAUGUUUUUGAAAACAGGCGUCUGUGGAGAGGACGGCCGCUCAUGAUGCGAAGUGUCCGAGCUAAAAGAGAGCCUCAGACGGGCCGAAGAAGAACUUGGCCGUGUGAAGAAGCAAUUGGAGGAGAGGCAAGGUAUGUUUGGACAUUGUCUUGCGAUGGGCACAAAUCAAUAAGUGUGCCUAUUUGAAAAGUGUUUAUGUUAUGUGCCCUAGGAGCGAGUGCCGAAUAUGAGGCGCUAAAGAAAGCGGCGGCUGAUGCCCAAGAGAGGGCUGCCGCCGAACAGGCUCUGCGUGAGAAACACGAGGCCAGGGUCGUCAUGGCUGAGCAGGAGCUGCAGGAUGCUGUGACGAAAAGCGAGAGCUUGGGGUAGAGUUUAGUAGGGAAAGAAUCCGAACUCGCCCAAGCUCUCCAAGCCACGGAAGAUGCUCGGGAAGAGGCCUGAUGUGCUGGACGGGACAUUCAGGAGGCCCGGAAAGUUGCGGCUGGUAAGGCCCGUUGUAUUUAUGGCCGUUAUGAUGCUAUGAUAUGGAGAACUCUAAGCGGCAAGCUGGAUUCUUGAUUUUGCAGGGCGUUUGUGGAUCUGCCUCGUAGCAUAUCAGAUGCGGCCCAAUUUUACCGAUCCGAGGAGAGGGAGUCUGCGGGGAGGAACUUCUGGUCGUAGUAUCUAGCGCCGAACUAUCCGAUGCAUUUUAUCGAUCAGCUGAAGAAGCUAGUCGAACUGCAUCAGGCGGCCGAAGUAGCCAUGAAGGACUUGGUCAUCCGGCUGUGAUGUGCAGAGCCAAUUCCCAGCAGUUUCUUCAGACUUGUCAAGCGGAUUGUGGGCGCCUGUCCUCGGCUUGAUAUUAUCAACCAAUCAGUCUGUAUAGAAGGUGCACGAAUGGCGCUUGCCCAUGCAAAAGUGCAUUGGGGGAAGCUUGACGCAGAAAAGCUGAUAACUAAGGGGCCACCAGAGGGUAAGGAGCAUCGCAAGCCCGAACUGUAUUAUGAAGGUGUAAUCAAGGGUGCCCGCCUGGCGGCGGACAAGUGCGCCAAAGACAUUAUAUUUCCCUGAGGGCAUUGUUGCCAUCGUUUGUAAUAUGGGAUAAUGGCAUUUUUAUUAUAUGUUGCCUAUUUGGUAUGAACAUAUGUUCUUCCUUUGCGGCUGUUCAUUGUAUAAGUUCUGAGAGUUGGCCAGUCGUCGGCUUCGGCCCCCUCGAGAGAAGUACGGGGGUGUUCGGGGUAUUUAGGAACACUCUUUAUCCCAUUGUUGGGUCCUUAUAAGGAGGCGUUUCUCACCACGAACCAGACAAUUGGACUAUAGGGCUUUACUACUCUCACUUAGCCAUAGGAAUACGAGUAUGGUCGGCGCAGCCCCUAGUCUCCGGAAGGCUGGACUAGGGGCGCUAUUGGCGCCUGAUCAGUAGAUCGAUCCGUCACAAUCUGCAUUUUAUAGUGGCGUUAUGUGGAAUGAAUCUUUAAGGAUUUUGCAACCUCUCGAACAGCUGACCAGCUCUCGCCGCAUCAUGACAGUCGGUUUUCAGCUUUCUCUACUAAGGUGCUCGUCCAGCAGACCCGGGACACAAUUCUAGUAGUUCUCCCAGUGCUACCUUAGCCAACAGAAUGGAACGUAAGGUACCAAAACAUGGGAGCCGGGCAAACCCAACCAAUGACCCAAGGCAUGAUUCGGAGCUGAUGCAUAUAGUGCUAUAAGUUCGGGGUGCCGAGCGACCGAGAAGGUGGUCGUACUUUAUUGCCAUAAUGUGGAGCCCCUGGCUUAACCGGGCAUAACGCGAACCGUGGCUGCCACUUUUAUGGCAAAGAGGCGUCGAUGAUAAACGAAAACCAGUGCAUGUUUAGUUAAGUCUACGCAUUGCAGUAAUAUGAUAUGUCCAUGCAUAUGAAAUGCGAUUUAUGAUUAUGAAAAAGAGAUGGUUUUCUGGCAGAACCUAUGGUUGCCGGAAUGGAGGGGGCUGUGAAUGGAUCGAAAGUGAAUCCGAACUGUCGUCUACCUGCAUGGUCCUGUCCUUGUGUGUCCGGGCCGACUUCACGCCGCCGAACCUGUUCUGCAUAAGAGGUAGCUUGUGAAGGUAAGUGAGCGGAGGGCGCCGAACGUCCUCCUGUGGUUGGUCCAAAUGUUCCUGAUCGGACACUGAUCGAGAAGCAACCCAGACUCCUUAGUUGGUAUCCGGAUAGUUGGAUGUCAUAUCAAGAUAUUGACAGGCAUGCGCGACUUGCUACUCUUGCAGCUGUAUGAUCCCCGCUUCUGAGGGUGGGGUUUGGCUCUGCACGCAGGUGUGAGUGUAUUACCGGUGCUGGUCUAAUGAGUUACCACGUGGAAUCGAGCCAACGUGGUUCAUCUUGUUAGCAUACGGUGUGAUACCGUAUAAGGGAAUGCGCCGAUGGUGCAUCCUUUAUUUGGUUGUUUGAAAACAUCCGUGAGAGCAGCGGGCCCAUGACCCCGGCCUCUGUGCGUGGCACCUUGUAGAAGGUGUUUAUUUGCAUGCCCGCUUGGACUUUUAUUAUUUGAGGAGACCCUGGACUGUUAGGUCUGGGGGUAUGCAAUUGAAUUGCUGUGGUUUGUAUGGUAGGGGGCGAUCGGCCGUACUGUUGUGCUGGGGGCUUUUGACUAAGCGCCUCUCCUCAAUGUUUCCGGCACACACCCGGUUGCUUUACUUUGGAGAUCCGGCAUUCUAUAUUAGUAUGUUUUGCCAUUCUUUUGGGAGUACCAUGGAUUUCUCACGGCUGAUCGAGUUCGUGGCUUGGGCCAAAUAGGCUUGAGUUGUUCCUUGUCCGUUGACCGGACUGGGAUUUGCUGAACUUGAUACUAGCUUCCUUGAUUUGCCGUUUAUGACCGUUGCGCUGGGGCAUGAGGCUGCUUCUUCGUGUAUCCUUCUUGUUGGUUUAAAGCUUAGUGGUGUUCGGACGUCGGGUUGUGUGCCUUUGAUUUCCCUGCUUAGGUUGAGGUAGCCAAUUGUGCCGCGUGUGCCCUUUGUUAGGGCGGUCGAGUCCGUACUUCUCGGUGGCCAGGAUCUUGGUCCCCCGUUCUAUUAGCAAAUCAUGUUCGGCCUUAAGCUGCUCUUCCUUCCUUUGCAGACUCUUUGCGGUGGCUAUAAGUCCUCGCCUAAAGCGAACUUGUUCCACUGGGUCUACAGGCGCGCCGAAUUCGUCAUUGUCAAGGCUUACCUCGUCUUCGGAGGGAGGUGUAUAGUUGUUUGUCUCCAAGUAUCCCACCGUGGCCUGUAUGGCCUGCUUGAUGGUCGGCUGGUCAGGACUGUAUUCCUCUUCGGUACUGUCCGGAUCAUCUCCGGGACCGGUAUUGAUGUGGCAGGGCUUGGAGUGGCGUCGGAGAUGCCCAUAUGUUGCUUUUCCUCCGGGGGGGUUGUCCUCCCCUGCCUCGUCGCCGUUGGUUUCUUUCGGAGUGUCCACCGUGUAUAUAUCAUUAGAAGGGGUGGCUGUCCACCGCCCUGUGAGCGGUGGCUCUUGUAUGUCUCCUGCAUCGUCGUCCAUACCGUCGAUGUCUUCGAAGUCGAAGUCGAGCACGUCGGUUAAAUCGUUGAUCGUGGCGACAAAGUGGGUGGUGGGUGGGUAGCAAAUUCCUUCGUCGCUGCUUCCCACUCCAGCCGAACAUAGUUCGGCCCAGAGUCUCUUGACAAAGAGAGAGACUUCAAUGAGUUCAUCAUGUCGCCAAAGGGUGAGUGCUGAAAGAUGUCCGCAGCGGUAAACUCCAUUACCGGAGCCCAACCUGGCUCGGCUGCCUCGAGAGUGAGCGGACCAGGACCAACAACCAGAUAUGAGUCCGAGGGUCCGGGGUUACACGCCUACACAGCGGUGGGACCCAUGUUCGGCUCCACCGCCGAUAAGUGUGCGGCCUACAGAGCGGGGUCUAGCCCUCCGUCCAUAGGCAACGUGACUUGCCCUAGAUUUAGAUCCAAGGCUGCUUUGGGAAUGAUGUCCCGGACACUGUCCGACAGCAGGUCUAGGCCGUGCUCGUCGUGGCUGUCCGGCGCUCCUGGCGCAGGCUUGAAUCCGUCGAAGCUCAAGUCUCCGAACCUGAUUUUGUGGCCAAGGGCGAAGCUGUCGAUCUUCUCCAUCCGGCCAAGCGAAUUGGCGCGCAGUGCGAAGCCGCCGAACACAAAGAUCUGUCCGGGGUGAAAAGUCUCGCCCUGGAGCGUGUUGUCGACGAUUGAAGACACCAUCAAGCCUCGAAGCGACGACACAGAGGAACUCUCAAUGAAAUCACCAAUGUCGGUGUCAAAACCGGCGGAUCUCAGGUAGGGGGUCCUGAUCUAUGCGUCUUAGGCUGAUGGUAACAGGAAGCAAGGGACACAAUGUUUACCCAGGUUCGGGCCCUCUCGAUGGAGGUAAAACCCUACUUCCUGCUUGAUUAAUAUUGAAGAUGUGUGGAAUACAAGAGUAGAUCUACCACGAGAUCGUAGAGGCUAAACCCUAAGAGCUAGCCUAUGAUGGUAUGAUUGUAAUUGUGAUCAGCCUUCUAAGGACCAUCCUCUCCGGUUUAUAUAGACACCGGAGAGCUAGGGUUUACAUGGAGUCGGUUACAAGGAAGGAAACAUAAUAUCCGGAUUGCUAAGCUUGUCUUCCACGCAAAGGAGAGUCCCAUCCGGACACGAGCCGAAGUCUUGAGUCUUGUAUCUUGACGCUUCUAUAGUCCGGACAAUGAAUAUAGUCCGGUGGUCUGGAUACCCCCUUAUCCAGGACUCCCUCAGCUGCUGCAGCAGCCGUCAGCCUGGAGCCAGAGGCCGUCGAGCCCUGAGGCCGGCAGCUAGCCAGUGAAGAAGUGUGGAAGCCGGAGCAACGUGUUGACGGGCUUCUCCGACCACACAACAAACUCUAGGAGUGUGUCCAUCAAGGGGAAACGCGGGCGAGGAGGACGGGUGACCAUGGCGCGCCUCCCCUCAUCGCAAGGGCUGCUCCGUGGCCGAUGGCCCUCACCAUGAGAAGAAGCGCCACCGCGUACGUCAAGGGAGACGCCAGCUCCUGGAGAAGCAUGCCUGCGCCCCCUGGAGGCCAUCACUGGGGUCGCAACAUGCUUGCAGGGACGGCCGCGACCCCUCUUGGGUGGCGGUGAAGCUGUCCCCUCCUUGGGGGCCUUGCCUUUUUCCGAAGUCGUGAACCUCCUCGCCGGCACCAUGAGCCUCGCAACUAUGGCAAGGUGGAAAAGAAGAAGGGAUGGGAAGCAAGAAGAUGAAGAUAGAGAUGAGUGAAGGGGGAUCCGCCCCUCCCCUCAUUUAUAGCCAGAGGGAGGCCCGCCGACCUCCAUGAUCCCACGCAAUGAUGUCUUCUCUGCAUGCAGCAUCGACUCGUCAAGUCGGGCAGUUGCCGAGGUAGCGUAGGGAAGCGGAGACGCCCAUGUCUCAUCAAUCGCCAUGUGUCCUUCAAGGCCGCAGGCGGUUAGGGCUUGUGGUGCUCCGCACUUGCCCUUUGGCUUCACCUAGAAUCCAAGUCCGAGCGCGUCUUGGGCCCGGGGGCUAUUGUUGGUGUUCUGGAUAUGGGGGUACCCAGACUUGCCUUCCCAUGGCCUACGGCGUGGCUCCAUCGACGGCCUGGUAUGAGCCAGCUCCAACAUCAACAACUCAAGACCCUUGCGAGGUGAAUGACACCAAGGCCUCCAAAGGGAUAGGUCUCCUCAGGUGGCUCCUAGGGAGUAGAGCUUUCUAUGCAAAUCUCACCUCGCGAGGUGCAGAUGACGUGAGCCAUGACGAUCAAGGCCAGGUGGGCGCCAGACGGGUGCCAGCGGGCGCAGUGUACCUGUUUCCUCUUUUGUGCAAGAGAGGCAAGCAGCAGGUGCGGAGUCCCGAGGAAUCAACCAAAUGUUUCCAUUCUUGUGCAACAAGACCAAGACCGCCAGGACGGCAGGACGAAGGUCAUCACCGAGCCCACCGAUGCGUCACAACUAGAGGCUUUUGCAGGCGAAGACCACUUUAGUUAGGAUAAGAUGUACUAGCUGUCUCCCUUUAAAUUUGGCCGUUAUGGGAUCCCUUCCCACCUCCAUUCGGGAAGAGGACCAAGGUCACUAUAAAUAGGACCUAGCCACCACUACGGAGGGGGAGAGAGGUCAAUCGGAUCCAUUCCACCCUCACCAGCUCACCAGCUCACUUGAGCCCAAGAACACGCCUCCUGAGGUUGUUCUCCUAUAUACUAGUUUGUCCUCAGCCCCUUGAGGCAAAUCGAACACAAAGCAGGAGUAGGGUUUUACACUGCAAGGUGGCCCAAACUUCAGUAAACUGAUGUGUCUUUCUUUCCCCUCAAGCUCGACGCGCUAGGCUGUGAGGUUGGCUACUCGGCAGUAUGUGUAGGUUGAGAUCUCCGCAUGCACCCAGAGUUCGAACCUCUCAAGGGUUUGCGGAAACCAAAAUCCAACAGAGGUAGUAGCUACUUACAGAUAGAAGAGAAGGUGUGGUGGGGAGAGGCGUUUUGGCUUCCGGGAGCACAUGCUACCGGAUGAAUAGUAACAUGAAAAAAUAGUAAAUAUAUUUAAAAAAAUUCUAUUUUCUUUUAUGGAUGUUGAAAGCAUGAGUGCUCCCUGGGUGAUUUUGGUAAUUAAUGUCAACAUAUCUCUUGUUGGACUAACAUUUUCAUCUGGUAUAUUUCAGAUGAGUUCAACAAUGGAGUGGAAGGACAAGAGGAUGUGGAACCCCUUCAAGAUUUUAAGGUCAAAUAUUGGCAAAAGCUCAAGAUUCUUCAUUUCUAUUUUAGUGAUACAAGAUCACAUUGAGUCCAUAGGAAAAGCCAAUACUAUUUAAAGGGGAUGAGGUGUUGCUUAAUGGUCCACUUGCUUAAAGUGCUUAGUGAUAUGCCCCAAAGCCCUCAACCACUUUCUCAUAUCCAAAUAUGUCCAAAACCUAAAGUCAAACUCAGCCCCACCACUUUGAUUCAUCCGGCGCCAUUGAUUUCACUGUCAUAGCCACUCCCAGAAACCACAAUUAUUUCGGUCUCACCAAGAUGUCUAAUCGGUCACACCGAGUUUGCUUGACCAAGUCUCUAUUUGCAUAUUGCUGAAAUCGGUCUCACCGAGUUCAUGCGAUCGGUCUCACUGAGAUAAGGUUUUGACCUAACCAUAGCACAUCGGUCCCACCGAGUUGAUCAUAUCGGUCCCACCGAAAAUCCUAACAUUCACAUUUUGAACCAGAUCGGUCCCACCGAGUUUCACUAUUCGGUCUCACCGAGUUUGGUAAAUAGUGUGUAACGACUAGAUUUUGUGUGGAGGCUAUAUAUACCCCUCCACACCCUUUCCCAGUUGAGAGAGAGCCAUCAGAACAUGCAUACACUUCCACUACUCAUUUUCUGAGAGAGAACCACCUACUCAUGUGUUGAGACCAAGACAUUCCAAUACUAUCACAAGAAUUUUGAUCUCUAUCCUUCCCCAACUUGCUUUCCACUCAAAUCAUCUUUCCACCAUAUUCAAAUCCAUGAGAGAGAGUUGAGUGUUGGGGAGACUAUCAUUUCAAGCACAAGAGAAAGGAGUUCAUCAUGAACACACCAUCUAUUACCUUGUGGAGAGUGGUAUCUCCUAGAUUGGCUAGGUGGCACUUGGGAGCCUCCGUCAAGAUUGUGGAGUUGAACCAAGAAGUUUGUAAGGGCAAGGAGAUUGCCUACUUCGUGAAGAUCUACUCAACUGAGGCAAGUCCUUCUUGGGCGAUGGCCAUGCUGGGAUAGACAAGGUUGCUUAUUCAUGGACUCUUCGUGGGUGGAGCCCUCCAUGGACUCGCGCAAUCGUUACCCUUCGUGGGUGGAAGUCUCCACCAACGUGGAUGUACGAUAGCACCACCUAUUAGAACCACGCCAAAAAUAUCCGUGUCUUCAAUUGCGUUUGCACACUCGAAUCCCAUCCCAUUACUUUCUUGCCAAUUGCAUGCUGUACUUUCUGCUGCUCAUAUACUCUUGCCAUGCAUGCUUGAAAUGUAUUGUGAAUGUUUAAAAUUGUGCUAUUCUCCAACCUUAACUUGAAGAACUUAAAAAUUGCUACCUUUACUUGUUCAGGUUCUAAUCACCCCCCCCCUUUAGACACCUCUUCUUGAUCCUUUCAAUUGGUAUUAGAGCAUUGGUCUCCAUUUCUUUGGUUUAAGCACCAUUGGAGGAAUAUGGACGAGUCUAUGAUUGGGAGUAUUAGACGUAGAGUGCAUAUGCUUGAUGGAGAGUUCUAUAAUGCUUGGAAAAAUGAGAUGCUUGAGAUUUUCAAUGAAUAUCAAUUGAACAAGUACAUUACUACCCCUUGUGCGUCCCUUGUUGAUCCAUUACAUCCUACCCCCGAUGAGUCUCUCGACAUGAUUCGCAAUCUUAGGACUAUCAAUCUUAUCACUAGAGCAUUGCCUAGAAAUUUGAUUACAUGCUUGCCAACUCUUUAAUGUGCUUACAACAUAUGGAGAUAUCUUGAGGAACGCUUUCCAGACUAUUCCUUGAAAAAUUUAGAUGAGAUUUUUCAUAAGUCCAUUGCUCUAAAUAAGAUGAAUCCUAAUGAUCCUCAGUUUGGUGAUUUUCUAUUUGAACUUUGUGAUCUUAUGCGUGCCAAAGGAGAUGUUGGAAUCAUUAGUAACAUCCUCUUUGAAGUCAUUAGAAUACAUAAAGAUGCAAAUUGUCAUGAUCAUAAAUCUAAUGAAUCACUCUCUCUAGGCAAUGAUCAAUCACAAGAUGAUGUUGAACAUGGAUACUAUGAUGAGGAUGAGGAUAGUGACUUUGAUCUUGAUGAGUCUAUGAGACACUUUGGUCUUAUGGCUAACCUUUGCUGCUACAUGGCUGGAGGAAAGGAAUGGGUUCUUGAUAGUGGAUGUACCGAUUAGAUGACCAGAGACAAGGAUAUGUUUUGUGAGCUUGCUGAAAACAACGACCCUUGAAAGUAUGUCACUUUUGGUGGUAACUAGAAGGGUAAGGUGGUUGGCCUUGGUAAGGUGGCCAUCUCACAUGACAACUCCAUACAAAAUGUUAUACUCGUUGAAUCUCUUGGCUAUAAUUUACUUUCCGUAUCUAGACUAGCCGAUUUCGGUUUCAAUGUCUUAUUUACUGAAGUAGAUUGCCAAGUGUUUCAAAGAGAUAAUCAUAAUAUGGUCUUUACUGGUAUACAUAGAGGCGAUCUAUACAUUGUUAAUUUCACUAAAAAGGCUCAACCUAAAACUUUCUUAAUUGCUAAAUCUUCCAAAGGUUGGUUGUGGCAUAGACAGUUAAGUCAUGUGGGCAUGCGAAAUCUUGACAAGCUUAUUAAAGGUGAUCAUAUCCUUGGUGUUAAAGAUGUUAUAUUUGACAAGGAUAGACUUUGGAGUGCUUGCCAAGCAGGAAAACAAGUUGCAGGAAGUCAUCCCGUGAAGAACAUCAUGACCACGAGAAGACCACUCGAGCUACUUCACAUGGAUCUUUUUGGUCCCAACGCCUACAAGAGUCUUGGUGGUAACUCGUUCGGAUUGGUCAUUGUUGAUGAUUUUUCAAGAUUUACCUGGGUAUUCUUUCUUGAUGAUAAAUCACAUGUCCAAAAGAUCUUCAAGAACUUUGCUAGGAAGGCCCAAAAUCAAUUUGAAGUGAAGAUCAAGAAGGUUCGUAGUGACAACAUAACGGAGUUCAAGAAUGCCAAUGUGGACACCUUUCUUGACGACGAAGGGAUUUCACAUGAGUUCUCGGCUAUGUACACGCCUCAACAAAAUGGAGUUGUUGAGAGUAAGAACCGGACUCUUAUUGAGAUGGCGAGAACGAUGCUUGAUGAGUACAAGACACCACAACACUUUUGAGCGAAAGCGGUCGAGACAACUUGUCAUGCAACAAAUCUCCUAUAUCUUCACAAGCUACUCGGCAAGACGGCAUACGAGCUUCUCACCGGUAACAAACCCCAAGUUGGAUACUUUCGAGUAUUCGGCUCAAAGUGCUAUAUUCUUGAUAAGCAUCGUCGUUCGAAGUUUGCUCCUAAAUCUCAUGAAUGUUUCCUAGUCGGUUAUGGCUGAAACUCUCACAGUUACCGUGUCUACAACAAUUUCACCCAAAAGGUUGAGACUGUAGAUGUGAAGUUUGAUGAAUCUAACGGCUCACAAGUAGAGCAAUUGCCAAUUGAUGUAGGUGACAAAGACCCUUCUGAAGAAAUACAAGACUUGUCUAUUGGCGAGAUUCGUCCAACGGAGGUGAAGGAGAGUACCUCGUCCGUCCAAGUGGAAGCCUCAACUUCACGCCAUGGCGAACCACAAGUUGACUUGGAGGCAUUCACAAGUGGAACACAUCAAGAUGAUGGAAACAAGGAUGUACAACAAGAUGAACCUCAUCGACCUCCUUCUCCACCUCCACAAGAGAACAACAACGCCAACGACAAUGAAGAAAGAGAAGAGGAAGAACAAGACAAUGAAGAGGAUGUUCCACCCCAACCCAAACAAAAGCUCUCACGAGUUCGAGCAAGAGUCUCAAGAGAUCACCCCAUCGAACAAAUCUUUGAUGAUAUACAAACCGGGAGAAUUACUCGCUCUAAAACUCGUUUGGCUAACUUUUGUGAACAAUACUCAUUCAUUUCUAGUAUUGUACCUAUGAAGGUUGAAGAUGCCCUUGAUGAUCUGGAUUGGGUGAACGCUAUGCAUGAAGAGAUACACAAUUUCGAGAGGAACCAAGUGUGGACGUUGGUUGAAAAGCCCGAUGAGAAGCGCAAUGUCAUUGGAACCAAAUGGGUGUUUUAGAAUAAGCAAGAUGAAGAUGGAUGAGUUGUACGCAACAAGGCUCGUCUCGUUGCUCAAGGCUACACUCAAGUUGAAGGUAUGGACUAUGGUGAGACAUAUGUGAUAACCCACAAGUAUAGGGCAUCGCUAUAGUUUUCGAGGGUAGAGUAGUCAACCCAAAUUUAUUGAUUCGACACAAGGGGAGGAGCCAAAGAAUAUGCUCAAGUAUUAGCAGCUGAGUUGUCAAUUCAACCACACUUGAAAGACUUAAUAUCUGCAGCAAAGUAUUUAGUAGCAAAGUAGUAUGGAAGUAAGGGUAACAAUGGCAAAAGUAAUAGUAGCAGUUUUGUAGCAAUCAUAAUAGUGGCAACGGAAUAGUAACUUAGCAAAGAUCAAUAUGAAACAAGCUCAUAGGCAAUGGAUCAAUGAGAACUGGACCAAAGCAUUAACACUUAGUGAAUACAUGAACUCCUCAAACUAUGGUCAUCAUCGAGAAGUGUCCCGACAAUUGUCACUCCGGGGUUUACCGGAUCAUAACACAUAGUAGGUGACUAUAACUUGCAAGAUAAGAUCAAGAACACUCAAUAUUCAUGAAAAGACAAUAGGUUCAGAUCUGAAAUCAUGGCACUAGGGCCCUAGUGACAAGCAUUAAGCAUGACAAAGUCAUUACAACAUCAAUCUUAGAACAUAAUGGAUACUAGGGAUCAAACCCUAACAAAACUAACUCGAUUACAUGGUAAAUCUCAUCCAACCCAUCACCGUCCAACAAGACUACAAUGGAAUUACUCACGCAGGGCGGUGAGCAUCAUGAAAUUGGUGAUGGUGGAUGGUUGAUGAUGAAGAUGGCGACAGAUUCCCCUCUCCGGAGCCUCGAACGGACUCCAUAUUAGCCCUCCAAAGGAAGAAUAGGGCUUGGCGGCGGCUCCGUAUCGUAAAACGCGAUGAAUCCUUCUCUCUAUUUUUUUCUCCCCGAACGUGAAUAUAUGGAGUUGGAGUUGAGGUCGGUGGAGGUCCAGGGGGCCCACGAGGUAGGAGGGCACGCCCAGGGGGUAGGGUGCGCCCCCACCCUCAUGGCCAGGGUGUGGGGCCCCUUCGGUUGAUUCUUUCACCAGUAUUUUUUUAAUUCCAAAAAGUGUCUCCGUGAAGUUUUAGGUCAUUCCGAGAACUUUUAUUUCUCCACAAAAAUAACACCAUGUCAAUUCUGCUGUAAACACCGUCAGUCCGGGUUAGUUCCAUCCAAAUCAUGCAAAUUAGAGUCCAAAACAAGGGCAAAAGAGUUUGGAAAAGUAGAUACGUUGGAGAUGUAUCAACUCCCCCAAGCUUAACCCAUUGCUUGUCCUCAAGCAAUGCAGUUGACAAACUGGAAGUGAUAAAUAAAAACUUUUACAAACUCUAUUUGAUCUUGUUGUUGCAAAUAUGUAAAACCAACAUUCAAGUUUUCAGCAAAGAUUAUGAACUAACCAUAUUCACAAUAACAUUUAGGUCUCAUGUUUACCCAUAUCAAUGUCAUAAUCAACUAGCGAGUAGUAAUAAUAAAUCUCGGAUGACAACACUUUCUCAAAACAAUCAUGAUAUGAUAUAACAGGAUGGUAUCUCGCUAGCCCUUUCUAACACCGCAAACCAUAAAUGCAGAGCACCCCUGAAGAUCAAGGACUGACUAGACAUUGUAAUUCAUGGCAAAAGAGAUCCAGUCACAGUCAUACUGAAUAUUAAUUAAUAACAAUGAAUAUAAAUGAAAGUGGUGCUCUCCAACUGGUGCUUCUUAUUAGAGGAUGAUGACUCAACAUAAAAGUAAAUAGAUAGGCCCUUCAUAGAGGGAAACAUGGAUUUGCAUAGGUGCUAGAGCUCGAGGUUUGUAACAGAGAUAAAUAAUAUUUUGAGUGGCGUACUUUCAUUGUAAAAUCAAGAGAUCUCGAUAUCUUCCAUGCUACAUACAUUAUAGGCGGUUUCCAAACAGAAUGGUAAAGUUUAUACUCCCCCACCACCAACAAGCACAUUCAACUGCUGGUCCGAAACAGCGGGUACCGUCCAACUAACAACAAUCCUGGGGAGUUUUGUUUUCAAUUAUUUUGAUUUGAUUUGAGCAUGGGAUUGGGCAUCCCAGUUACCAGCCAUUUUCUCAUGAAUGAUGAGCGGAGUCCACUCAUCGUGAGAAUAACCCAACUAGGAUGGAAGAUAUAGACAUCUCUAGUUGUUACAUGAGCGAUUUGAGCAUACAAAACAGAAUUUCAUUUGAAGGUUUAGAGUUUGGCACAUGAAAAUUUACUUGGAACGGCAGGUAAAUACCGCAUAUAGGUAGGUAUGGUGGACUCUUAUGGAAUAACUUUGGGGUUUAUGGAAGUGGGUGCACAAGCAGUAUUCCCGCUUAGUACAGGUGAAGGCUAGAAAGAGACAGGGAAGCAACCAACUAGAGAGCGACACAGUCGUAAACAUGCAUUAGGAUUAACCAACAAUGAGUGCAAGCAUGAGUAGGAUAUAAAUCACCAUGAACAUACAUUUCAUGGAGGCUAUGUUGAUUUUGUUUCAACUACAUGCAUGAACAUGUGCCAAGACAAGUCACUCGAAUCAUUCAAAGGAGGAUACCAUCCUAUCAUACUACAUCACAACCAUUUUAAUAGCAUGUUGCACGCAAGGUAAACCAUUAUAAACUCCUAGCUAAUUAAGCAUGGCACGAGUAACUAUAAUCUCUAAUGGUCAUUGCAAACAUGUUUCAUUCAUAAUAGGCUGAAUCAGGAAUGAUUAACUAAUUGUAUUUACAAAAACAAGAUAGGUCGAGUUCAUACCAGCUUUUCCUCAUCUCAAUCAUUUCAUCAUAUAUUGUCAUUAUUGCCUUUCACUUGCACGACCGAACAGUGUGGAUAACAAUAAUAGUGCAUGUGCAUUGGACUAAGCUGGAAUCUGCAAACAUUUAAUUCAAAGGAGAAGACAAGGUAAUGUGGGCUCUUUGUUAGAUCAACAAUAAUGCAUAUGAUAGCCACUCAUCAUUUUCAUCAUGGUCUUCUCCUCUCGGCCCCCAAAGAAAAGAAAAGAAUUUCAAAGAAUGAGAAAAACUAUUUACAUGUGAAAGCUCCCAACAAACGGAAGAAGAACGAGAAAUCUUUUUGGGUUUUCUUAUUGAUACUACUACUACAAGCAUGCAAAGUAAACUAGCUAAAAGCUAUUACUAUUUUUUUGGUUUUUCUCAAAGUUUUUCAAACACACAAGAAGAAAGCAGGAAAAGAAAAUAAACUAGCAUGGAUAGUACAAUGAAAAAGUAUGAACACCGACAACUAGAAUGAGUGUGUGAACAUGAAUGUAAUGUCGGUGAGAAAUACGCACCCCCCAAGCUUAGGAUUUUGGCCUAAGUUGGUCUAAGGACACCACUGGCCCAGAUGAUAUCUGUCAUCUUAGUUGAGGUCGUACUGUGCUGCGGCAGCUGCCGCCUGACAAGCUGCUUCCCAGAGACGAGCGGCCUCUACUGAUCUCUCAUGCUCGUUUGCCUCCUCUUUGGUUAUAACAUAUCUCUCAUUUGCCUAAAAGUUAAAGAAUAAAGGAGCAAGCAGGGUAAUAAUGACAACAUGCCGUCUGUGAAAGAUUAGUUGGUACUGGAGGGACUGAUCAUUCCUCUCAAGAAACUGGUAGCGGACCAUAGCAUUAUAAUCUAGAAAAGCAGGUGGCAACUCAAUAUCAUUUUCUCUUAUGGAUACCCCAAGAUAAUCAGCUAAAUGAGUUGCACAAAUCCCACCAAAUAAAUCUCCAUAUUUAGCAUUAAGAUGUAACCCUAACGCAACAAUGGCCCCCAAGUUAUGUCUCUUAUCACCUAAUACUGCACUCUUGAGGACACUAAGAUCUAGGACACAAAUGUGGCUAUGCUCAUGCUUACCGUUAAUGCAUCUUCCUAUAAAGAGAGCAAAGUAAUGUAUGGCACAAAAAUGAAUGCUCCCUAUGGUAGCUUGUGUGAUAUUUCUAGUUUCCCCCACAGUGAUCCAAGCAAGGAAAUCAUUAUAUUCAAAUUUGUGAGGUUCACUAAAGAUGCCCCACUGUGGGAUUUUGCAAGCAGUAUUAAAAUCUUCAAGGUCCAUGGUAUAUGAUGUAUCAUAGAGGUCAAAUAUAACAGUCUGAGUGUUGCGCUUAGAUGAAAAGUGAAACCUCCGCACAAAGGAAACAAUGAGGUAAUAAUAUUAUCGGCACUUAUCUGAUAUUAAGUCCUCAAGAUCAUCAUUCUGCACAUACGCAUCGAAUUCAUCCUUGAAGCCUGCUUGGACCAUAGAUUCAUCAAAUGACCAUUCAUAAGGCCGCACUUGAGCUUCCCUUCAUGAUUCGAGGUCCAACUCACGUACCGCAAGCCUCGGUGCUUGCUUCCUUGAAGAACCACCUUGAUAUAUUUUCCUAAACAUUUUUCUUCCUCUAAAAAUGUCUGAAUAUUUAGUGACUCAAAAUAAAAGUGAAGCAAACUCAACAAGAUUGAUAGCAACUACUCCCACAAGUGCAUAGAGACUAUAUCAUGCAUUCAAACUACUUUGGACCAUAUAAAUUUGACAUGCAAGCUCAAGAACAAGGUUACCACAGCAGCAAAAAUUUGCAAUAGAUAAAGCACUAGAACAAAAACUAAUUGGGCCAUUGGAGGAGUCACAUACCAAAGAACAACCCCCCAAAGCAGUUUUGUGAAUGGAGCUUUGAGCAAGGAGAUCGAAAAUGGCAGCAAAAUGAGCAAGAACAUGAGUUUGAGCUACAGGAUGAUUUUUCUGGAGGAAGACGAAACGGAUGGGUGCUGGAAUAAGUGGAGGGGGCCACGUGGGGUGCACAAGGUAGGGGGCACGCCCUCCACCCUCGUGGCUCGCUGGUGCAUCCCCCUAGUGUGUUCUAAGUGCCAGAAAUUCUCAAAUAUUCUAUAAAAAAGCAUACUAAAUUUUCAGGGCAUUUGGAUUACUUUUAUUUUCGGGGUGUUUUUUAUUGCAUGGAUAAUUCAAAAAAUAGACAGAAAAUACUAUUUUUGCUUUAUUUAAACUAAAUAGCAGAAAGUAAAAUGAGGGUACAGAAGGUUGUGCUUUCUAACUUCAUCCAUCUCAUGCUCGUCAAAAGGAAUCCACUAACAAGGUUGAUCAAGUCUUGUUAACAAACUUCUUUCGAAUGACAUGAAACCGGAGAAUUUUUGAAUAACACUAGGUUACCUCAACGGGGAUAUGCAUGUCCCCAACAAUAAGAAUAUCAUAUUUCUUUUUGACAGUAGGAAUAUGGAAUUGGAAACCUCCAAUAGUAAUAGUUGGAAAUUUUCCAAUAGAAUUUAUACUAUGAACUUGAGGUUGUUUCUUCGGAAAGUGUAUCAUAUGCUCAUUACCAUUAACAUGAAAAGUGACAUUGCCCUUGUUGCAAUCAAUAACAACCCCUGCAGUAUUCAAAAAGGGUCUACCAAGGAUGAUCGACAUACUGUUGUCCUAGGGAAUAUCAAGAAUAACAAAGUCCCUUAAGAUAGUAACGUUUGCAACCACAACAGGAACAUCCUCACAAAUACCAAUGGGAUAGCAUUUUAUUUAUCAGCCAUUUGCAAAGAGAUUUCAGUAGGUGUCAACCUAUUCAAAUCAAGUCUAUGAUAUAAAGAGAAAGGCAUAACACUAACACCAACUCCAAGAUCACAUAAAUCAGUUUUAACAUAGUUUCUUUUAAUGGAGCAUGAUAUAGUUGGUACUCCUGGAUCUCCAAGUUUCUUUGGUAUUCCACCCUUAAAAGUAUAAUUAGCAAGCAUCGUGGAAAUUUCAGCUUCCGGUAUCUUUCUUUUAUUUGUAACAAUAUCUUUCAUAUACUUACCAUAAGGAUGCAUUUGAAGCAUAUCAGUCAAACGCAUACGCAAAAAGAUAGGUCUAAUCAUUUCAGCGAAGUGCUCAAAAUCCUCAUCAUCCUUCUUCUUUGAUGGCUUAGGAGGAAAAGACAUGGGUUUCUAAACCCGUGGUUCUCUUUCUUUACCAUGCUUCCUAGCAACAAAGUCUCUCUUAUCAUAAUGUUGAUUCUUUGAUUGUGGGUUAUCAAGAUCAACACUAGGUUCAACUUCCACAUCAUUAUCAUUACUAGGUUGAGUAUCAAGAUGAACAUCAUAAUUAACAUUAUCACUAGGUUCAUGUUUUUUGCCAGAUUGUGUUUCAUCAUGAGAAAUAGAAAUAUCAUUGGGAUUCUCAGGUGUGUCAAUAACAGGUUCACUAUAAGCAUGCAAAGUCCUAUCAUUAUUCUUUUUCUUUUUAUUAGAAGGACUAGGUGUAUCAGUAUUAAUUCUCUAAGAGUCUUGCUCAAAUCUCUUAGGAUGCCCUCGGGAUACAAAGGUUCCUAGGUCAUUUUUCCACCUAUAGUCAUGACUCUAACAACAUUAUCAUUAUUCUUAUUAUUCAACUCAUUGAUCAAAUCAUCUUGUGCCUUAAGUACUUGUUCUACUUGUGUUGUAACCAUGGAAGCAUGUUUACUAAUAAGCUAAAGCUCACUUUUAACUCCAGACAUAUAAUCACUCAAGUGUUUAACCAUAUAAGCAUUACGUUUCAAUUGUUACCAACAUAAGCAUUGAAGUUUUCUUGUUUAACAAUAAAAUUAUCAAACUCAUCCAAGCAUUGGCUAGCAGACUUAUUAUGAGGAAUAUCACCUUCCUCAAAUCUAUAGAGAGAAUUUACCUUUACUACCUAUGUCGGGUUAUCAAGACCAUGUAUUUAUUCAAUAGGCAGUAAAUUCUUAACAUCUUCAACUUUAAUACCUUUUUCUUUCAUAGAUUUCUUUGCGUCUUGCAUAUCUCCAGGACUGAGAAAUAGAAUACCCCUUUUCUUUGGAGUUGGCUUAGGAGUUGGUUCAGGAAGUGUCCAAUCAUUGUCAUUACUCAAUAUAUUAUUCAAUAGCAAUUCAGCUUGCUCGAUAGUUCUUUCCCUAAAAACACAACGAACACAACUAUCCAGGUGGUCUCUGGAAGCAUCAGCUAGUCCAUUAUAAAAGAUAUCAAGUAUUUCAUUUUUCUUGAGAGGAUGAUCAGGCAAAGCAUUAAGUAAUUGGAUAUGCCUCCCCCAAGCUUGUGGGAGACUCUCUUCUUCAACUUGCACAAAGUUAAAUAUUUCCCUUAAGGCAACUUGUUUCUUAUGAGAGGGAAAAUAUUUUGCAGCGAAGUAAUAAACCAUAUCCUGGGGACUACACACACAACCAGGAGCAAGAGAAUUAAACCAUAUCUUAACAUCACCAUUUAAUGAGAAAGGAAACAAUUUAAGAAUUAGCAAAUUUUUUCCUCAUGAGUAAAUAGGGUGGCUAUAUCAUUCAAUUUAGUAAGAUGUGCCACAACAAUUUCAGAUUCAUAGCCAUAGAAAGGAUCAGAUUCAAACAAAGUAAUUAACUCAGGAUCGACAGAGAAUUCAUAAUCCUUAUCAGUAACACGGAUAGGUGAAGUAGCAAACGCAGGGUCAUAUUUCAUUCUAGCAUUCAAAGACUUUUCUUCCAGCUUAGCUAACAGUUUCUUAAGAUCAUAUCUAUCAUUGCAAGCAAAGAAGUCUCUAGCAGUUUCUUCAUCCAUAACAUAACCCUCAGGCACAAUAGGCAAUUCAUAUCUAGGGGGAGAAUCUUCAUCAUCACUUUCAUUAAUAUCAUCAGUUUCAGUAAUUUCAUUCUCUCUAACCCUAGCAAGUUUUUCAUCAAGAAAUUCACCUAGUGGCACAUUAUUAUCAAGCAGAGAAGUAGUAUCAUCAUAAGCAUCAUGCAUAGCAUAAGUGGCAUCAUCAAUAACAUGCGACAUAUCGGAAUCAAUAGCAUGUGUAGGUGUCGCAAGUUUACUCAAAACAGAAGGUGAAUCAAGUGCAGUGCUAGAUGGCAGUUCCUUACCUCCCCUCGUAGUUUACUCAAAACAUAAGGUAUCUUGGUUUUGUUGUCUUUCAGAUUCCUCAUAGUGAUCAAUAUAUAUAAAUCUCAUGUAACUCAGAGAAUAGAGCUAUGCUCCCCGGCAACGGUGCCAUAAAAAGGUCAUGAUAACCCACAACUAUAGGGGAUCGCAACAGUUUUCGAGGGUAGAGUAUUCAACCCAAAUUUAUUAAUUUGACACAAUGGGAGCCAAAGAAUAUUCUCAAGUAUUAGCAGCUGAGUUGUAAAUUCAACCACACCUGAAAGAAUUAAUAUCUACAACAAAGAAUUUAGUAGCAAAGUAGUAUGGAAGUAACGGUAACAACGACAAAAGUAGUAGUAGCAGUUUUGUAGCAAUCGUAACAGUGACAACAGAAUAGUAACUUAGCAAAGAUCAAUAUGAAACGGGCUCGUAGGCAAUGGACCAAUGAUGGAUAAUUAUGUUGGACGACAUUCAUCAUGCAACAGUUAUAACAUAGGGUGAUACAGAACUAGCUCCAAUUCAUCAAUAUAAUGUAGGCAUGUAAUCCAAAUAUAGUCAUACAUGCUUAUGGAAAAGAACUUGCAUGCCAUCUUUUGUCCUACCUUCCCGUCACUCCAGGGUCCUAAUGGAAACUAAGGUAUAUUAAGGCCUCCUUUUAAUAGAGAACUGGACCAAAGCAUUAACACUUAGUGAAUACAUGAACUCCUCAAACUACGAUCAUCACCGGGAAGUGCCCUGACUAUUGUCACUCCACGGUUUGCUGGAUCAUAAGACAUAGUAGGUGGCCAUAUCUUUCAAGAUAGGAUCAAGAACACUCAUAUAUUCAUGAAAACAUAAUAGCUUCAGAUCUAAAAUCAUGGCACUCGGGCCCUAGUGACAGGCAUUAAGCAUGGAAAAGUCAAAGCAACAUCAAUCUUAGAACAUAAUGGAUACUAGGGAUCAAACCCUAACAAAACUAACUCGAUUACAUGGUAAAUCUCAUCCAACCCAUCACCAUCUAGCAAGCCUAUGAUGGAAUUACUCAUGCACGGCGGUGAGCAUCAUGAAAUUGGUGAUGGAGGAUGAUUGAUGAUGACGAUGGCGACGGAUUCCCCUCUCCGGAGCCCCGAAUGGUCUCCAGAUCAGCCCUCCCGAGGAAGAACAGGGCUUGGCGGCGGCUCCGUAUUGUAAAAUGCGAUGAAUCCUUCUCUCUGAUUUUUUUUCUCCCCGAACGUGAAUAUAUGGAGUUGGAGUUGAGGUAGGUGGAAGUCCAGGGGGGCCAUGAGGUAGGAGAGCGCGCCCAGGGGGGUAGAGUGCGCCCCCACCCUUGUGGCCAGGGUGUGGGCUGAUGUCUACUACACAACCUUCUUCUUGUAGACGUUGUUGGGCCUCCAAGUGCGGAGGUUUGUAGGAUAGUAGCAAAUUUACCUCAAGUGGAUGACCUAAGGUUUAUCAAUCCAUGGGAGGCGUAGGAUCAAGAUGGUCUCUCUCAAACAACCCUGCAACCAAAUAACAAAAAGUCUCUUGUGUCCCCAACACACCCAAUACAAUGGUAAAUUGUAUAGGUGCACUAGUUUGGCGAAGAGAUGGUGAUACAAGUGCAAUAUGGAUGGUAGAUAUAGGUUUUUGUAAUCUGAAAUUAUAAAAAUAGCAAGGUACCAAUUGGUAAAUGUGAGCGAAAAUGGUAUUGCAAUGCUUAGAAACAAGGCCUAUGGUUAAUAGUUUCACUAGUGCAAGUUUUGUCAACAAUAAUAACAUAAUUAGAUCAUAUAACGAUCCCUCAAGAUGCAACAAAGAGUUACUCCAAAGUCACUAAUAGUGAAGAACAAACGAAGAGAUUAUUGUAGGGUACGAAACCACCUCAAAGUUCUUCUUUCUGAUCAAUCCAUUGGGCUAUUCCUAUAAGCGUCACAAACAUCCCUAGAGUUCAUAGUAAAAUAACACCUUAAGACACACAUUAACCAAAACCCUAAUGUCACCUAGAUACUCCAAUGUCACCUCAAGUAUCUGUGGGUAUGAUUAUAUGAUAUGCAUCACACAAUCUCAGAUUCAUCUAUUCAACCAACACAAAGAACUUCAAAGAGUGCCCCAAAGUUUCUACCGGAGAGUCAAGACGAAAACGUGUGCCAACCCAUAUGCAUAGAUUCCCAAGGUCACGGAACCCGCAAGUUGAUCACCAAAACAUACAUCAAGUGAAUCAAUAGAAUACCCCAUUGUCACCAUAGGUAUCCCAUGCAAGACAUACAUCAAGUGUUCUCAAAUCCUUAAAGAGUCAAUCUGAUAAGAUAACUUCAAAGGGAAAACUCAAUCCAUUACAAGAGGGUAGAGGGGGAGAAACAUCAUAAGAUCCAACUAUAAUAGUAAAGCUCAUGGUACAUCAAGAUUGUGCCAAAUCAAGAAAACGAGAGAGAGAGAGAGAGAGAGAGAGAUCAAACACAUAGCUACUGGUACAUACCCUCAGCCCCGAGGGUGAACUACUCCCUCCUCGUCAUUGAGAGCGCUAGGAUGAUGAAGAUGGCCACCAGUGAUGGUUCCCCACUCCGGCAGGGUGCCGGAACAGGGUCCCGAUUGGUUUUUGGUGGCUACAGAGGCUUGCGGCGGCAGAACUCCCGAUCUAGGUUAUGUUCUGGAGGUUUGGGGAUUUAUAGGAGAGGUUGACGUCGAGAACAAGUUAGGGGGCCCCACGGAGAGUCCACAAGGCAGGGGCACCCUAGGGGGCGCCCUCUACCCUCGUGGGGCCCAUGGGACUCCCCUCCGGUAACUCUUCAAUCCAGUAUUUUUUAUAUUUUCCAUAAAAAAUCUCUGUUGAUUUUCAGCGCAUUCCGAGAACUUUUAUUUCUGCACAAAAACAACACCACGAUAGUUCUGCUGAAAACAACGUUAGUGCGGGUUAGUUCUAACCAAAUCAUACCAAAUUCAUGUAAAAAUAUUAUAAACAUGUCAUGAAUACAUCAAAAAUCCUAGAUACGUUGGAGACGUAUCAAGCAUCCCUAAUCUUAAUUCUUGCUUGUCCUCGAGUAGGUAAAUGAUAAAAACAAUUUUUUUGAUGUGGAAUGCUACCUAACAUAUUUAUCAAUGUAAUCUUCUUUAUUGUGGCAAGAAUAUUCAGAUCCAUAAGAUUCAAAACAAAAGUUUAAUAUUGACAUAAAAACUAUAAUAUCAAGCAUACUAACAAAGCAAUCAUGUCUUCUCAAAAUAACAUGGCCAAAGAAAGCCAUUCCUACAAAAUCAUAGAGUCUGGCUAUGCUCUAUCUUCAUCACACAAAAUAUUUAAAUCAUGCACAACCCUGAUGACAAGCCAAGCAAUUGUUUCAUACUUUUGAUGUUCUAAAACUGUUGGGGAUAUAACUAUUAGGUAUAACCCGCCCAGGACGGGCCGGGUCACACCUAAGAUGAAGCCCACGAAGACACUUGAAGAUGACGACUCACUUAAAGGCCCAAGUCCCAGAGGCGAUUUAAGGCCUAUAGAGAUAAUCCGCCAUGCAUGCAUAACUUGUAUUGUAAGGAAGGAAUAGAGAGAGACCGAGCCGGACACUGUUUAUGAACCGGCCGGGACUCUUUGAGCCGCUGGGCAUCGACCUCUGUAUAUAAAGAGAUGACCGGACGACGGUUCAGGGCAGGUAACAUCAGAUCGAGAACUAGGUCAGCGGAUUCUCUCCCUGGUUAUCGAUUCAUAAGCAAUCCUACCCAAAACUGGAUCGUAGGCUUUUACCUUCACUACAAGGGGCCGAACCAGUAUGAACCUCGUGUCCUUUGUCCCGUUUAACCCCUUUAAGCUUCCUAGUUGCGAUGGCUCCACGACUAAGUCCUUACACUAGGACAUCUGACGUGACAAUUCCACGACAGUUGGCGCCCACCAUGGGGCCAGCGCANNNNNNNNNNGUUGGAUUUGUGUUCUUGAAGGGCAACUUCAAAGGGCUCAAGGGAUACGCUGUGGGCCAGAUGACCAAGACUCAUCGCGGCAAGCUCUACAUCGACGAUGCAGGCUGGGGCCCCGACACCGGCUCAAUUGAGUACGGGUACCGGGUCCCCUUCGGCGGAAUCCACGUCUUCAUCGGCAAGAUUGGUGAGCCGGGCCCUGAGCUGGACAUCUGCAUCGACAUCAUCGAGACGGCUCAACGUGCGAAACCCGCCCAGGCUCAACCUGCCGUGAGGCGUGCCUUCGUGGGAUGCAUCCAUGGAGGAGAAUUUUUUGAAGGAUCUGUCUCUGGCGGUGAGACGGCCAUCUACUUUGAAAGUGAGUCGUCCAUAGGUGAGACGGAUUCGUUGUAUCAACUGCAAGACGGCGGGCUUGGGGGCUGUUCUGAUGGCGGCAGUAUUCUGGACCCCUUUGAGCUGCCGAGUAGAGUUAGAAUCUUCAUGCCAGGUACCCAACCUACGUUAAAUUCAUCAACUGCAGCGACAAUGACCUCCGGGAUAGCAGCAGCCGGGGUAGGAGGCCCUGUGCGCCCACCGGCUCAGGUGUUGAUGGAUCUCACAGACAAGUUGAUGACCCUAUUAACCGCCGCGAUCAACCUGGCAGAUCAGGCUCAACAUGAUGCAAAGGUAGCACAAUUAAAGCUUGAUAUAGUGCAAGCUAAAGAAAACUUGGCGGCGGAAGACGUCAGGAUGGCCAUGGAGCAGGCGACUCUGGAUGCCCGAGCACAGCAGAUUCAGUCACAGGCUUUCCAGCUCAAGAUGGAUCAGAAUAUGUCAAAUGAGGUUAUGAGGAGAAGGUACCAGAAGACUCAAUCUCGUCUACCUCCGGUUUAUGAUCCAAGGAACCUUUUUCAGACGUUUGGGGCAGGCCCCAGUAACCCGCUGGAGGUAAACCGGGUUGCAGCUCCCAUGACCAAUACACCGGUUCAGCCACAAGUUAUGGCCCCCCGUGUUUGAAUACUGCCCCCCCUCCUUAUGUGCCGACACCACCGGGUCAUUAUUCUAACCCGCUGGAGAACAUGAUCGUGGCGUCGGCACGACUGGCGGCUCUCCCAUCUGAUGGCGAUUCUCCAGCGGCGGUUGAGACACGAAGGAUUAGAGAUCUUCUCCAGACAGCCUUAGCACAGNNNNNNNNNNNNNNNNNNNNNNNNNNNNNNNNNNNNNNNNNNNNNNNNNNNNNNNNNNNNNNNNNNNNNNNNNNNNNNNNNNNNNNNNNNNNNNNNNNNNNNNNNNNNNNNNNNNNNNNNNNNNNNNNNNNNNNNNNNNNNNNNNNNNNNNNNNNNNNNNNNNNNNNNNNNNNNNNNNNNNNNNNNNNNNNNNNNNNNNNNNNNNNNNNNNNNNNNNNAGGAGGCAUACUCUUACAGUAGAGACAUGAAUCAUUCAACCCCACGUCCGAGCCGGAGCAAGAGUUAUAGCAGGCAUCUGGACUCGCUGGCCGUUUCAAGCAACGCCCAGCAUCGCGAUCAGCCACGCAGGUACGACCCUACUCAGGGUGGGGCUCCUAAUGUGCAUAAUCAGGACAGAGUGCGCCAGCAAAUUGAGUAGGCGGCUCAGCAGGUAGCACAACUGGCGGCUCAAUAGGCAACAGAAAUAGCAGCUCAGCAGGCGGCUGAUCAGCCCCUGCCGGUUUAUCCGACGAUGUCAGUUGAGGCAGGUGUGGUCACCAGGACCGGGGGCGUGCCUUGUUUGGUGCCGGCUCUGCGUAACAAGCGUUUGCCCAAGGAUUUUAAGGGGCCUCGUAAGGUACCUAAUUACACAGCCGAUUUACAGCCUGCGGCAUGGAUCGAGAGUUAUGAGAUGGCCAUGGAAUUACUGGAGGUUAGUGAUGUCGCAAUGGCCAAGUACUUCACCAUGAUGCUGGAUGGAACGGCUCAUAAUUGGUUGAAGGCGUUGCCACCUAAUUCCGUUAGUUCCUGGGCGGAGUUAAAGGAGAAGUUUAUCCAGAACUUUAAAGAUACAUGUAAGCAGCCCAUGUUGAUUGUGGACUUGACUAGUUGCAAGCAACAGGAGGGUGAGUCCACGACCCAUUGGGUGCGCCGGGUUAAGGAGAUAAUACAUUCCUCUGAUAAGAUGGAUGCCGGUUCUGUAGUAUUGAUGUCAGAGCAAAAUUGCCGUUUUGAGCCUCGGAAGAUGAAGCUGGGAUGACUCAAGCGCGAGUGUUCUGACAUGGGCCAACUGAUGGUGGCUCUCGUCAAAUAUGUUGACUCUGAUAGUACCAAGGAUCCCGAGNNNNNNNNNNNNNNNNNNNNNNNNNNNNNNNNNNNNNNNNNNNNNNNNNNNNNNNNNNNNNNNNNNNNNNNNNNNNNNNNNNNNNNNNNNNNNNNNNNNNNNNNNNNNNNNNNNNNNNNNNNNNNNNNNNNNNNNNNNNNNNNNNNNNNNNNNNNNNNNNNNNNNNNNNNNNNNNNNNNNNNNNNNNNNNNNNNNNNNNNNNNNNNNNNNNNNNNNNNNNNNNNNNNNNNNNNNNNNNNNNNNNNNNNNNNNNNNNNNNNNNNNNNNNNNNNNNNNNNNNNNNNNNNNNNNNNNNNNNNNNNNNNNNNNNNNNNNNNNNNNNNNNNNNNNNNNNNNNNNNNNNNNNNNNNNNNNNNNNNNNNNNNNNNNNNNNNNNNNNNNNNNNNNNNNNNNNNNNNNNNNNNNNNNNNNNNNNNNNNNNNNNNNNNNNNNNNNNNNNNNNNNNNNNNNNNNNNNNNNNNNNNNNNNNNNNNNNNNNNNNNNNNNNNNNNNNNNNNNNNNNNNNNNNNNNNNNNNNNNNNNNNNNNNNNNNNNNNNNNNNNNNNNNNNNNNNNNNNNNNNNNNNNNNNNNNNNNNNNNNNNNNNNNNNNNNNNNNNNNNNNNNNNNNNNNNNNNNNNNNNNNNNNNNNNNNNNNNNNNNNNNNNNNNNNNNNNNNNNNNNNNNNNNNNNNNNNNNNNNNNNNNNNNNNNNNNNNNNNNNNNNNNNNNNNNNNNNNNNNNNNNNNNNNNNNNNNNNNNNNNNNNNNNNNNNNNNNNNNNNNNNNNNNNNNNNNNNNNNNNNNNNNNNNNNNNNNNNNNNNNNNNNNNNNNNNNNNNNNNNNNNNNNNNNNNNNNNNNNNNNNNNNNNNNNNNNNNNNNNNNNNNNNNNNNNNNNNNNNNNNNNNNNNNNNNNNNNNNNNNNNNNNNNNNNNNNNNNNNNNNNNNNNNNNNNNNNNNNNNNNNNNNNNNNNNNNNNNNNNNNNNNNNNNNNNNNNNNNNNNNNNNNNNNNNNNNNNNNNNNNNNNNNNNNNNNNNNNNNNNNNNNNNNNNNNNNNNNNNNNNNNNNNNNNNNNNNNNNNNNNNNNNNNNNNNNNNNNNNNNNNNNNNNNNNNNNNNNNNNNNNNNNNNNNNNNNNNNNNNNNNNNNNNNNNNNNNGCAAUCAGAGUCAUCCAAAGCAAUUGAACAGUGGGCAGUAUCAUGUUUUCACCACAAGUUUAUGUAAGCGGGACCAGAAGCUUCACAAGAGGGCAGUGAACGCCGUUGAGCCGGCAGUUCCUCGAUACUUGCGAUGGUUUGAGCAGCCCAUUACGUGGAGUCGGGAGGAUCACCCGCCCCGGGUUGAUAAUCCGAGUCACUUGGCUUUGGUGGUAGCACCUCAAGUUGGGGGGUACAAGUUCACCAAGGUACUCAUGGAUGGAGGUAGCAGCAUCAAUAUCCUUUAUUAUGAGACCUUCCGUCGUAUGGGGUUAACAGAUAAAAAUCUUAAGCAGUCCAGUGUAGUUCCUAGUAAGUCAUCAUACCUAGUGGGCAAGAUCGAGAUGGAAGUAGCCUUUGGAAAUGAGUUUCCAGGGCCGAGAAAUUAACUUUUGAGGUGGUCAAGAUCAGGAGCACGUAUCAUGCUCUGUUUGGGCAACCGGCUUACGCCAAGUUUAUGGCACGACCGUGUUAUGUUUAUCUACAGCUGAAGAUGCCGGGUCAUAAAGGGACCAUUACGGUUCAUGGCAGUCGAAAGGUGGCUCUGGAGUGCGAGGAAGGCGACGCGGCUUAUGCUGAGUUGGUCUGUGCCGCUGAAGAGUUAAAGUAUUAUAAGGACAAUGUUGACCUGGCAGACAUGACAUCCUUGAAGAAUCCCACCAUAGAGCAUGGACUGGAGAUGAAGUUUAAAUCGGCUGAGGACACCAAGAUGGUUGAUUUUGUUCCGAGCUCUUCAUAUAAACAGUGCAGUAUCAGUGCCAAUCUGGAUCCCAAAUAGGAAAGCACGCUCAUCGAGUUCAUCCAUGACAAUCAGGACAUCUUUGCAUGGAAGCCUUCUGACAUGCCGAGUGUACCGAGAGAACUCGUGGAGCACACUCUCAAUAUUGAUCCUAAGUAUAAGCCAGUCAAGAAAUUUCUUCGGCGGUUUAACAAGGAGAGGCGCAAGGCCAUUGGUGAGGAGGUGGCCCGGCUCUUGGCGGCCGGGUUCAUUAUUAAAGUAUUCCAUCCUGAAUGGUUGGCCAACCCGGUGCUAGUGCUCAAGAAGAAUGGCACUUGGCGCAUGUGUGUGGAUUACAUGGACUUGAACAAGGCUUGUCCGGCUGAUCCCUUUGCUCUCCCGCAUAUUGAUUAAAUCAUUGAUGCUACAAUGGGAUGUGAGCGUCUGAGUUUUUUGGAUGCUUAUUCUGGAUAUCAUCAGAUCAAGAUGGUGGUUAAGGACCAGGAGAAGACGGCUUUCAUGACUCCCUUUGGAGCUUUCUGCUAUGUUUCUAUGCCUUUUGGGCUCAAGAGUGCCUAGGCGACUUAUCAGCGUUGCGUGCAGAAUUUCCUUCAUACUCAGAUUGGCCGUAAUGUGCAUGCUUAUGUGGAUGAUAUUGUGGUGAAGUCCAGAGAAAAGGAAACACUGAUAGAUGAUCUCAAGGAGACCUUUGAUAACCUCUGGGUCUACAAUAUGAUGCUUAACCUGGCAAUGUGUGUCUUUGGUGUGCCAGCAGGCAAACUUUUGGGAUUUCUGGUUUCUAACAGAUGCAUCGAAGAUAACCCGGUGAAGGUCAAAGCUAUCACCUCUUUGGCAAAACCCAAGUGUAUCAAUGAUGUUCAACAUUUGGCGGGUCGUAUUGCUGCUUUAAGCCGGUUCAUAAGCCGGUUAGGUGAGAAGGCCAUACCACUGUAUCAGAUGUUGAAGAAGACAAAUGACUUUGUCUGGAGUGAUGCUGAUAACGUUGCCUUUGAGGAUUUGAAGAGACAAUUGGCUGAGACGCCAGUCCUUGCUGCUCCCAUUGAUAAGGAGCCAUUGAUGUUAUAUGUGGCUGCUAAUGCGCGUGCUGUCAGUGUGUCCAUUGUGGUGGAGCGUAAGGAGUCUGGUAAGGAAUAUCAGGUUCAACGACCGGUUUACUACAUAAGUGAGGUGCUUAAUGAGUCCAAACAGAGGUAUCCACAUUGGCAUAAGCUUGUUUAUGGGGUGUUCAUGGCCAGCCGGAAGCUUAAGCAAUAUUUCCUGGGUCAUCCCAUCACUGUGGUCAGUUCUACUGCUUUGGGGGAUAUCAUCCAGAACAGAGAGGCUAUAGGACGAGUCGCCAAGUGGGCCAUUGAGCUUGCGCCUCAUGGUUUAAAAUAUGCGCCUCGUACUGCUAUCAAGUCUCAAGCACUGGUGGAUUUCAUCAACAAUUGGACAGAGUUGCAGGCGCCUGAAGAGAAGCCGGAUAACACAUACUAGACAGUUCACUUUGAUGGAUCCAGGCAAUUGGAAGGCUCGGGGGCUGGAGUUAUUUUGGCUUCCCCUCGAGGUGACAAAUUUUGUUAUGUGCUAAGGUUGAAGUUUCCCUGUACUAACAAUGCAGCUGAGUAUGAGGCCUUGCUCCAUGGUCUUCGGAUGGCUAAAGAGAUGAACUUAAGUCGGGUAAGGUGCUUCGGCGACACAGAUUUGGUAGCUCAACAAGUCUCAGGCAAGUGCGAUUCCAUAGAUCGUCUCAUGGCGGCUUAUCAUUGUGAGUUUGAUGCUGUGGCUGGACACUUCAAGGGUUAUCAAGUGGAGCACAUUGAUCGCAGGAAGAAUGAGGCGACUGAUGCUCUAAGCCAGCUUGGAUCUUAGCGUAGACCGGUACCCCCGAAUACUUUCUUGGAUGUUUUGCAUAAUCGUUCUCUCAAGUUACCUACAGAGGAAGACUUGGUUGUGCCUGACCCAGAAGCACAGUUGGUGGCGCCUCUUCAUGUCAUCCCAGAUUGGACAGUGCCAUACUUGGCUUACAUGACCCGGGGAGAAUUUCCUGAGGAUGAAACCUUGGCUAGACAGAUAACCCGACGGUCUAAGUCAAUGGCAAUUACCAUUGGCGAGUUACACCAUUGCAGUGUCACUGGGGCGUUUCAACAUUGUGUAUCUCCUGAAGAAGGCCAAGAGAUUCUUUGUGAGAUUCAUGAAGGAGAUUGUGGCCAUCACGCCGGUUCAAAGUCCCUUGUGGCCAAAGCUUUCUGUCACGAAUUUUAUUGGCUAAUGGCUCAUGCUAAUGCAGAAGAUCUAGUCAGUAAAUGUGACGGGUGUUUGAAAUUUUCACGACGAGCUCAUGUGCUUCCUCAAGAGUUGAGGAUGAUACUGAUUACUUGGCCGUUUGCUAUGUGGGGGCUUGACAUGGUUCGGCCUUUCAAAAGAUCCAAGGAUAAAAAGACUCACCUUUUGGUGGCAGUGGAUAAAUUCACAAAGUGGGUGGAAGCAGAGUUGGUCAGUAAGUGUGACGCGGCGACGGCGGUUCAAUUCAUGAAAAAGGUGAUUUUCUGUUUUGGUUUCCCCCAUAGCAUCAUAAUUGGUAAUGGCACUAACUUGUCCAAGGGGGCUAUGGAGGAGUUCUGUCAACGUGAGCAUAUCCGGCUUGAUGUCUCAUCAGUAGAUCACCCCCAAUCCAAUGGUCAAGCAGAAAGAGCCAAUCAGGAGAUUUUGAAGGUUAUCAAGCCCCGGCUUUUAGUUCAUUUAUAAGAAACACCGGGUUGUUGGGUGGAGGAGUUACCAUCAGUGUUAUGGAGCAUCAAUACUACCCCCAAUAGAUCUACGGGUUAUACCCCUUUCUUCAUGGUUUAUGGAGCAGAGGCGGUUCUUCCUAGCGACAUCCGUCAUGACUCGCCCUGAGUGGCGGCUUACGUAGAAGCUAACAAUGAGCAAGCACGUUGGGAGGCACUUGACCUAUUGGAUGUAAAACAUGACUUGGCAGCAGCCCGCUCGGCGAUUUACCAACAGGACCUGCGGCGUUACCACAGCCGCCGGGUUAAAUCUAGAACCUUUCAGGAAGGCAACUUGGUGCUCUGGCUCAUCCAGGAUCAGACUGAUGCACACAAGUUAUCCCCACCUUGGGAAGGGCCCUUUGUGGUCAGCAAGAAUUUAAAUAACGGGUCAUACUACCUUAUCGAUGUUUGAGAGCACAAAGACUGACGUAAGUCGGAGGAGGAGACCCGCCGGCCGUGGAAUAUAGCUCAUCUUCGACCUUACUACACUUGAGCCACCGGCUCUCAUGAUGUACAUAUCUUGGUGAUGUAUAUAUUAUCAAUAAUAAAGCAGGACCUCUGUCCUUUUUCAUCCCCAAAGAUCAUAUGUCUUCACUGUCAUUAUUUCAAAAAGACCAUUGGGGGCUGAUCAUAUUCGAAUCUAGCUUAACCCCUUUGGUACAACUUCCUGAUCGUAUUCGAAUCAUAGUUGUUCAAGCAAACUUGAUCACUUGGGGGCUGGGUCGUAUUCGAAUCAUAGCUUAACCCCUUUUGGUACGACUUAGAUCGUAUUCGAAUCAGAGUCGUUAAAUAUUCUCAAGGCCAUUUGGGGGCUUCCUGUUCAAACAUAGGUCGUAUUCGAACGAAAGAAAACAUAGUUGUCGGUACCCACUUGAUCGACGCAAUGCCAAAACCCAAUUCGGGGCUUCUUGAUCGUAUUCGAAUCAUAGCUUAACCCCUCUUGGGUCUGACCCAGAUUGUAUUCGAAUCAGAGUUGUUAAAUAUUCUUAAGGUCAUUAUGGGGCGUAAUGAAGCCCCCGGUGAAUUAAUGCGUACCAGAUUGUACGGGUGCAAUUGAUAAGAAUAAAAAAUUUAAAUGAAAUAGCAAGGUAAUGCCACAUAAAUUGGGCCGCAAAAUAUUUUUAUUGUAAUUUGAUUUAAGACGUCGAAGCAUAUUUAUGCAAAUAGUGCGAUAACCUGCCAAGACCAGGGGGAGCUGUGUGCGAUUCCCAAAGACAGGUAGAUCAUUGAGAAGAACAUCUAGAGAUUCCCUCACGUGUCCAUACUGCUUCCUGCCUUGGUAUAUCCAUCCCCUGAUGGGUCUGACAAUCAGGCCACCAGGAAAAGCCUGGCAAAAGAGAAUCCUGAAAAUAAAAAAUAAAAGGUGAAGGUAUGCUGGUCCAGGGGAGGUUGAGCCGUAUUGUGGACCACGAUCUAGCUGUGCCUCCGUCUAUGCCCAUGGUAUUUUAAGUGCGUAGUUAUGUAUGCGUUGUACGUACGCUACCAUUUGGUCGGGAUUGAGACGGAGGCCAAAUUGCUAGUCAAGCUCUUGACGAGCUGGACCGUCCUGCUGCAGAGUAGUCCGGACUCGUUUGACGGUGUCCGGGAGCCUGGGCGCCGAAUUAAAGUUGUGCUUGAAAAGGCCGCUCUGUGCUUCUGCUGCGAGGGCAGUGGUGUGCUGCUCGGUACGGAGGGAGCGUUCCGUGUUUCCAUUGACUGUUAUGACACCUCGCGGUCCGGGCAUCUUGAACUUGAGAUAAGCGUAGUGUGGCACCGCAUUGAAUCGACCGAAUGCGGUUCGUUCGAGCAGUGCGUGUUAGCCACUGCGGAAGGGGACGAUAUCAAAGAUCAACUCUUCGCUUUGGAAGUUGUCCGAGGAUCCGAAGACCACCUCCAGUGUGAUUGAGCCCGUACAGCGGGCCUCUACACCUGGUAUGACCCCUUUAAAGGUGGUUUUGGUGGGCUUGAUCCUUGAGGGAUCAAUACCCAUUUUGCGCUCUGUAUCCUGAUAGAGAAGGUCCAGGCUGCUGCCAUCGUCCAUGAGGACUCGCAUAAGAUGGAAUCCAUCAAUGAUUGGGUCGAGGACCAGUGCGGCCGAACCGCCAUGAUGGAUACUGGUCGGAUGGUCCCUGCGAUCGAAGGUGAUCGGACAGGACGACCAUGGGUUGAACUUUGGGGCGACUGGCUCUAUCGCGUAGAUGUCCCUGAGCGCACGCUUGCGCACCCUCUUGGGGAUAUGAGUAGUGUAUAUCAUGUUCACCAUUUUAACUUGGGGGGAAACUUCUUCUGUCCCCCAGUGUUCGGUGGCCGGGGCUCCUCGUCAUCAUCCUCUCUUUGCGACCCCUUUUCCUUGUUCUCGGUGUUUAAAUUGCCGGCCUGUUUAAAAACCCAACGUUCUCUAUUGGUAUGAUUGGCUGGUUUAUCAGGAGUGCCGUGGAUUUGACAUGGACGAUCGAGUAUGCGGUCCAAGCUGGACGAGCCUGGAUUGUUUCUCUUAUAUGGCUUCUUCCGCUGACCGGACUUAGAGCCACUGAAUCCGGCGUUGACCGCCGUGUCUUAGGUGCUGUCACCGUUGCUUCGACGCUUGUGUCUGUUGCGUCGGGGUUUGCCGUUGCUAUUUCUGGCUUCAGAAGUGACAUGUUCGCUUGAAUUGUUAUUGCUACGGGCUAGCCGACUAUCCUCACCCGCGCAGAAGAGGGUCAUAAGCGUCAUGAGGGCUGGCAUAGGCUUCGGCUUUUCUUGGCCGAGGUGUUGGGCGAGCCAUUCAUCGCGGAUGCUAUGUUUAAAGGCUGCUAGGGCUUCGGCAUCCAGGCAAUCGACGAUUUGGUUCUUUUUAGUUAAGAACCUAGUCUAGAAUUUCCUGGCUGACUCUCCGGGCUGUUGAACUAUGUGACUUAAGUCGUCGGCAUCUGGAGGUCGGACAUAUGUACCCUGGAAGUUGUCUAGGAAGGUGACUUCCAAGUCUUCCCAGCCGCCAAUUGAGUUUUCUGGCAAACUGUUUAACCAGUGCCGAGCAGGUCCCUUGAUUUUUAGUGGGAGGUAUUUGAUGGCGUGAAGGUCAUCACUGCAGGCCAUAUGAAUAUGGAGGAGAAAAAUCCUCGAUCCAUAUCGCGGGGUCUGUUGUCCCAUCAUAUGAUUCGAUGUUUACGGGUUUAAACCCUUCCGGGAACUCAUGUUCCAUUACUUCAUCAGUGAGGCAGAGGGGGUGUGCGGCGCCUCUAUAUCGGGCCAAGUCAUGACGUAGCUCAGAUGGAGUUUGUCUGUGGUUUUCGGCCCGGGCGUGGCUAUGUUUGUCACGUCCGGCCGGAUGCCAUCAUCGCGCAUCAAGGCACGCCCCCGUGAUCAAUAGAUUGAUCUGGUCUGACCUGCUUUGUUUUCCAGGUCAUGUCGCGGGUCAUAUGUAUAUCCCCGAGCUGUUGUGUUUUUGUUGUUUCGGCGAGAUAGUGCGGGCUGGUGUUCAGCUUGAGUUGCCACUUUAUCUCUGCCACGUGGUGGUCAGUCAGCCGCAUUAUGCGCUGGUAGGAUGGGCUCCAUUGCCUCGUCAUCAAAUUGGGGUAAUAAUUUGUGCUUAGGUAACUUUUGGUUGGGCGCUUGAGGUCGUAUUCCUUGGUUACCAGGACAUUAGUCCAUCUGUCAUUGAGUAUAUUUUGAUCAGCUUGAAGCUGAUGCUGCUUCUUCUUCAGGCUUCUUAUAGUGGCUAUUAGCUGGCGCUGAAAGCGCUCCUGCUCGACGGGCUCCUCAGGCACGAUAAAGUCUUCGUUGCCGAGGCUUGCCUCAUCCUUGGAGUGUGGAAGAUAAUUACUGUCCUCCGAGUCUUUGGUAAUGGCCUGUUCAUUAGGGCUGACUCGCCCAUCCUCCCGUUCAUCUUGUUUGGCAGUUGGUUCAACGGGGUCUUCAUUGUCUUCGGCAUCGUCGAGAGUAUGAUUUUCUCCUGUGCCGGUAUUGAUGUUUUUUCCACGGCAUGGUCUAGAGUGGCACCGCCGACGAUGGCGAUUUGGCUGUGUCUCAGGAGGCUUAUCCUCGACUGGAUCUUUUUUAUUGUUGCCAUUGUUCUCUUUGGGUGUAUCCACCAUGUAUACGUCAUAUGAGGAGGUGGCUGUCCAGCACCCUGUAAGCGGUGGUUGUUGUGCCUGCUCCUCUCCGGCAUCGUCGUCCAUACCGUCGAUGUCUUCGGAGUCGAAAUCGAGCAUGUCGGUUAAGUCCUCGAUAGUGGCUAUGAAGUGGGUGGUGGGUGGGAAGCGGAAUUCUCCGCCAUCAGCUUCCAAUCCAAAAUGGAUAUAGUUCGGCUGAGAGUCCCCUAAUAAGGAGAGGUUUUUUAAUGAGUUCAGCACAUCACCUAAAGGUGAGUGCCGAAAGAUGUUGGCGGAGCUGAACUCAACAAUCAGGUUCGACGGGCGCGGAUACACGUGGUUCGGAACCUAUGGCCGGAGACAAAUUCGAGGUUCCUAUGACACAGGCCUCGCUCGAGGUCGGAUUUGUGUGCGGCUCUAACGCCGCUGAGUAUGCGGCUUCCACGGUGGGGUUGAGCUUCCUGUCCUCGGAUGGCGCAAUCCGCUCCGGAUCCAGGGCCAGAGCAGUUACAUGCACUAUCUCCUGGGCAUGGUCCGAUGAAAGAUUUAGGUCAUAUUCAUCGUAGUGGCAGGGACCGGCUGUCAUGGGCUCGAAUCCGUUGAAGAUCAAGUCUCCGCGGAUAUCGACAACGUAAUUCAGGCUUCCAAACCUGACCUGAUGGCCAGGGGCGUAGCUGUCGAUCUGCUUUAGAUGGCCAAGCGAGUUGGCCCGCAGUGCGAAGCCGCAAAAUACGAAGAUCUAUCCGGGGAGGAAAACCUCCCCCUGGAGUGCAUUGUUCUGGAUGUUUGAUUGAGCCAUCAAUCCUGUCUUGGACGUCACAGCGGAACUCUCAAUGAAAGCACCAAUGUCGGUGUCAAAACCGGCGGAUCUCGGGUAGGGGGUCCCGAACUGUGCAUGAAAGGUUGAUGGUAACAGGAGGUGGGGGACACGAUGUUUACCCAGGUUUAGGCCCUCUCUAUGGAGGUAAUACCCUACUUCCUGCUUGAAUGAUCUUGAUGAAUAUGAGUAUUACAAGAGUUGAUCUACCACGAGAUCGUAAUGGCUAAAACCCAAGAAGUCUAGCCUGUAUGAUUAUGAUUGUGAUUGCCUCUACAGACUAAGCCCUCCGGUUUAAAUAAACACCGAAGGGGACUAGGGUUGUACAAAGUCAGUUACAGAGAAAGGAAUCUUCAUAUCCGGUCGCCAAGCUUGCCUUCCACGCCAUGGAGACUCCCAUCCGGACACGGGAGAGAGUCUUCGCUCUUGUAUCUUCAUAGCCCAAUAGUCUGGCCCAUGCUACAUAGUCCGGCCGUCCGAGGACCCCUUAAUCCAGGACUCCCUCAAUAAUGAGUGGGGCUGUACACGCCCCAGAGUCUCCUGAGUGCCGCCUUGGGCCCUCACGGGGGCUCCCUCCCAUGUCCUAGUGGCAGGACUUAACUCCGCGCUGGUGAGAAGACUAUACUAGGUGCCGGACACGGCUGUUCAGUUGCUUGCUUUCCGUAGUUGUUUUGCAAUCUUUUAAUGGAAUUCAGAGUUUUCGCAUUUUGGUUCGCCAAGUUGGAUUUUCUCUCCUCUCGUUUCGCUCAUUCUUCGCCUGGGCCAGGAAAGGGAGAUAGUUGCUUGACGCUCUUCCUUGCGCGCCCCACGCGUGGGGGCUAGGCAGGUGUGUGCAUGGGUCCACCCUCGCACAAGCACACCUCGCCGAACCCUGUUGCCCUAGUGCUUUCUAAUCCUCGCGAGACGCCCUCGAUCGAGCUUGUGCGCAUCAGCGCCCUCUCCUGUCUGUGCCCGUCGGGCAGCGUGAUGUGGUGCAUUAAGCCACAACUAAACCUAUGGCAGGGGCCUCGCACAAAGAAGAAUGAGGUGCCCUGUUAAGGUUUCUUUUCCUUUAAACAGCUCUGCAGCAGCUCUACGGCAUCUACCUGGCCCCCUACCUGGCCCCCUGAGUCAUCAGACCUACAAUACCUUCCGAGAUCAGUAGCCCCCUACCUGGCCCCCGAGUCAUCAGGAAGGGGGGCUCCGCCAGGCAUCAAGGGCCGCGCCCCCGUGAGGUGGGAAGCUACCGCAAGCAUGUCAAGCUAAGUUACCCUACCCGUGCCUACCCAGAAUACAAAUAUCACGGCACAACAUUAAGAUAAUAAGCAUAGUAUAAAGGGCAUAACUGCCAUAGUUCAUUACACACCCCGGCGGGGCACCCUACUUUUUUCAAACUCUAGAAGAAAGGAAAGGUUAAAAAAAAGUGGCCUGCAAGGCCGCAGCGGUCCUGAAGCCAAGCUCGGCAGCCCCAAGCUUAGAUCAUGCCUCCCUCUUGCUUCACUGGGGCGCCGCGGCGAGACGAUCCACCACCUUACUUGAUGCAAGCUCGGCGGCGCGGAGGAUGGUUAAAGCCGCCGCUGCUGGAGCUCCCGCCCGAAGAAGAGCUGCCGUCGCGGGAGGAAGUGUGGACGUCAUCAAGGCCAAGCUCACCCUCGUCGCCGGCGCGACCGAAGUCAAGGCCAAGCUCAUCGUCGCGGCAGCCAUCUUCUGGGCAGCACCCCACAUGGCGGCCGUCUUCCCCGAACACCCUCACGAAGAGGGUCGCAAGUCCAUCGUACUUGAAGUGGAGAGUGCACCUCCCGCUCAGGCCUCACGCGCGGGCAAAUGCCUGCCAGCCAUGGGCCAGGACCACGCUGCUCGCAGCAGUAACAUUGAUCCCAACCCACGAGGCCCUGCUGUCAGUGUCAAAACCGGCGGAUCUCGGGUAGGGCUCCCGAUCUGUGCGUCUUAGGCUGAUGGUAACAAGAAGCAAGGGACACAAUGUUUACCCAGGUUCGGGCCCUCUCGAUGGAGGUAAAACCCUACUUCCUGCUUGAUUAAUAUUGAAGAUGUGUCGAAUACAAGAGUAGAUCUACCACGAGAUCGUAGAGGCUAAACCCUAAGAGCUAGCCUACGAUGGUAUGAUUGUAAUUGUGAUCGGCCUUCUAAGGACCAUCCUCUCCGGUUUAUAUAGACACCGGAGAGCUAGGGUUUACAUGGAGUCAGUUACAAGGAAGGAAACAUAAUAUCCAGAUUGCUAAGCUUGUCUUCCACGCAAAGGAGAGUCCCAUCCGGACACGAGCCGAAGUCUUGAGUCUUGUAUCUUGACGCUUCUAUAGUCCGGACGAUGAAUAUAGUCCGGCGGUCCGGAUACCCCCUUAUCCAAGACUCCCUCAGUAGCCCCUGAACCAGGCUUCAAUGACGAUGAGUCCGGUGCGCAGUCUUGUCUUCGGCAUUGCAAGGCGGGUUCCUCCUCCGAAUACUCCAAGGUUAUUAUUGAACACAUAGACCAUGUCCGGAUCUACAAAAUGACCUUCACAUACCAUCGUAGAGAGAAUGAUACUCCAACUGACAAUUUUUAGACGACGUGACAUGCCAUUAGGGCCAAGUCAUUGCUCGAACCGUUUUUUCCACAACUAGCCAUAGCAUAUUGCGAGGCAGUUUCCUGAGCACGUCUUGUCGAAGCCAAGAUCAUGUCCCCUUAUCACGGGAUUCUCAUAAAUGCGGGUAUGGGUAACCCAACCAUACCGCUAAUCACGGCAAGCGGUAGGCGAGCAGUCUCCACCAGGCAAGUGGGGAGGCACAAAAAAGCUCUUACCUUCUCUUAUAAAGAGAUAGGGCAUCUUCCUCUUUUACCCAUGCCUUCUCCUUCCGCUAACUCACUUCCCUCUGCUCGAGCCCUAACGCCCGAGCGCCUUUCUUUUCCAUCAAAGAGAGGGUUUCCAAAGAUGUCCGGGUCUGGAGCAGGAGGCAAAUGGAUGGCCUCUACCAUCCGAGAGAAGGAUAUCAAGAAGCUCCGGGAAGCCGGGUAUCUGGCCAAGGAGAUUGGCCACCGUCUCCCACCAGCGGGACAGGUUGUCCCUACUCCGGAGCCCCACGAGAGAGUCAUGUUCCUUCCCCAUUUUGUCCGCGGGCUCGGGUUUCCCCUCCACCCAUUUGUACGUGGAGUCAUGUAUUACUAUGGGGUUGAUUUUCAUGAUCUUUUCCCCAACUCUUUUCUCAAUAUCUCGACGUUCAUCGUCGCAUGUGAGGCCUUCCUCCGGAUUCCACCUCACUUUGGCCUGUGGUUGAAGAUUUUCAAUGUGAAGCCCAAGGUGGUGAGUGGCGAACACGCCGAGUGCGGCGGCGCCAUGGUGAGAAAGAUGCCCAAGGUCGUUUGGCCGAAGGGCACUUUUAAUGACUCCGUCAAGGAAUGGCACCAGCAGUGGUUUUAUAUCACCGAACCACGCGGCGAAGAAUGGGCAGCAGCUCCUGAGUUCAGAUCCGGAGCUCCAUUGCGGCUUACGUCCUGGCCCAAGAAGGGCCCAAACUGGUGCUCGUCCGAUGAGCUGUCACUGCUCCUAACGCGUGUUCGGAACAUGGUCGACAAGGACGUCAAGCUUGUUGACGUGGUCCAGGAGAUGCUAGUUCGCCUGGUUCUCCCUUGCCAGCGUCAAGCCUAUACUUUAUGGGAAUUCGACCCAUCCGAGCACCAAACCCUCCGGGAGCUCCAUGAUUCCUCCCAUGAGGAUAUCUGGAAGGUGCUCUUUAAGUCCAGCAAAUCAUGGACGGACUCUUCUGAGGACCGGGGGUAUCAAUUAUCCCAUUCUGCAUGCCCGGUAAGUUAUAGCCACUCCCCGUCCGUCCAGGCUUCAGCUGGCGUAUCAUGAGGGGGGCAUUAUAAUCGUGCUUCAUUGUGGCUUUAGGGAUGGAUAAAAAGAGUGGAGCAGAUACAAUGUCUGGCCCCACUGCCGGAGGAACCGGCCGGACCUCUUCUGACGAAGAUGCUGGUCCCUGCACCUUACAAAGCGCCCAAGAAGGAGGCCCCCAAGCAGGUCAAGAAGACCUGGAGUGGACUCCGUCGUCGCGAGGCUCUGGACACCCGGUCUGAAGGCUCUAGCGACGCUCCUUCUUCCGAAGACGAAGAGGAGGGGGCAGAGGAGGUCGAGCCUCACUCUGCAGGCAGGAGGAAGCGUGCAGCUUCCCCAACCCUGGAGGCUGAAUCUCCCAAGAGAGGGCGAGGUUCCUCUCCAGAGGCAUCCACCCUGGCUGCCGAUGACAGCCCAGAGUGGGAUCCCGAGGCCCAGCUCCUGGGAAAAUCAUAAGUAACCGAAAUCUGAAUACGCCUAUGUAUCGAGGGUCGUCUGGGCAUAGUAGUUUUAACUGUCGCCACAUUUGAUACAGCCCGGCGGGGUCUCCUGUCGGACAGUCCUCAUCGGAGGAUUCGUUGAGCUCGAAUGCUGUGGCGAACGAGAUGCCUCUGGGGACACCUUUUCUGAAGUCUGGGCACAACACUGAGGUGUCGUCUCAAAGAGGCUCAGAGCCGGAUAAGGUUCUGGAGGCCUCUAAGGCUCCAGGAUCGGGCGAACAACCACCUUCCAUUAGGGGAGGUUUGACCACUCUGCCGGCAACCUCUAUCUACGUAGAGCUGCCGGGUGAUUUAUUGAUAGCAUUAAAGAACACAUUUGUUGUCGAUGAACAUUGGACCCUUAUGGGUACGGUGGUUGGAAAGAUUCAGGCUACCGAAGCGGGCUGAAUGAGUCCUGUCUUGGCCUUAUAAAGGCCUUUGAGGUAUGGUUUCUAAGGAACCUUUAAAGAAUUAGUAUGAUAUGAGGAGUAUCCCCUGAUACACUGUCCAAAAAAAGAAAACUGGGGAGGGUAUCAAAUCCUCAGUUGUAAUGGGAACUUUUUAAUGUUGUAUACCCAUGUUUUCGAAAACAGGCGUCUGUGGAGAGGACGGCCGCUCAUGAUGCGAAGUGUCCGAGCUGAAAGAGAGCCUCAGACGGGCCGAAGAAGAACUUGGCCGUGUGAAGAAGCAAUUGGAGGAGAGGCAAGGUAUGUUUGGACAUUGUCUUGCGAUGGGCACAAAUCAAUAAGUGUGCCUAUUUGAAAAGUGUUUAUGUUAUGUGCCCUAGGAGCAAGUGCCGAAUAUGAGGCGCUAAAGAAAGCGGCGGCUGAUGCCCAAGAGAGGGCUGCCGCCGAACAGGCUCUGCGUGAGAAACACGAGGCCAGGGUCGUCAUGGCUGAGCGGGAGCUGCAGGAUGCUGUGACGAAAAGCGAGAGCUUGGGGUAGAGUUUAGUAGGGAAAGAAUCCGAACUCGCCCAAGCUCUCCAAGCCACGGAAGAUGCUCGGGAAGAGGCCCGAUGUGCUGGACGGGACAUUCAGGAGGCCCGGAAAGUUGCGGCUGGUAAGGCCCGUUGUAUUUAUGGCCGUUAUGAUGCUAUGAUAUGGAGAACUCUAAGCGGCAAGCUGGAUUCUUGAUUUUGCAGGGCGUUUGUGGAUCUGCCUCGUAGCAUAUCAGAUGCGGCCCAAUUUUACCGAUCCGAGGAGAGGGAGUCUACGGGGAGGAACUUCUGGUCGUAGUAUCUAGCGCCGAACUAUCCGAUGCAUUUUAUCGAUCAGCUGAAGAAGCUAGUCGAACUGCAUCAGGCGGCCGAAGUAGCCAUGAAGGACUUGGUCAUCCGGCUGUGAUGUGCAGAGCCAAUUCCCAGCAGUUUCUUCAGACUUGUCAAGCGGAUUGUGGGCGCCUGUCCUCGGCUUGAUAUUAUCAACCAAUCAGUCUGUAUAGAAGGUGCACGAAUGGCGCUUGCCCAUGCAAAAGUGCAUUGGGGGAAGCUUGACGCAGAAAAGCUGAUAACUAAGGGGCCACCAGAGGGUAAGGAGCAUCGCAAGCCCGAACUGUAUUAUGAAGGUGUAAUCAAGGGUGCCCGCCUGGCGGCGGACAAGUGCGCCAAAGACAUUAUAUUUCCCUGAGGGCAUUGUUGCCAUCGUUUGUAAUAUGGGAUAAUGGCAUUUUUAUUAUAUGUUGCCUAUUUGGUAUGAACAUAUGUUCUUCCUUUGCGGCUGUUCAUUGUAUAAGUUCUGAGAGUUGGCCAGUCGUCGGCUUCGGCCCCCUCGAGAGAAGUACGGGGGUGUUCGGGGUAUUUAGGAACACUCUUUAUCCCAUUGUUGGGUCCUUAUAAGGAGGCGUUUCUCACCACGAACCAGACAAUUGGACUAUAGGGCUUUACUACUCUCACUUAGCCAUAGGAAUACGAGUAUGGUCGGCGCAGCCCCUAGUCUCCGGAAGGCUGGACUAGGGGCGCUAUUGGCGCCUGAUCAGUAGAUCGAUCCGUCACAAUCUGCAUUUUAUAGUGGCGUUAUGUGGAAUGAAUCUUUAAGGAUUUUGCAACCUCUCGAACAGCUGACCAGCUCUCGCCGCAUCAUGACAGUCGGUUUUCAGCUUUCUCUACUAAGGUGCUCGUCCAGCAGACCCGGGACACAAUUCUAGUAGUUCUCCCAGUGCUACCUUAGCCAACAGAAUGGAACGUAAGGUACCAAAACAUGGGAGCCGGGCAAACCCAACCAAUGACCCAAGGCAUGAUUCGGAGCUGAUGCAUAUAGUGCUAUAAGUUCGGGGUGCCGAGCGACCGAGAAGGUGGUCGUACUUUAUUGCCAUAAUGUGGAGCCCCUGGCUUAACCGGGCAUAACGCGAACCGUGGCUGCCACUUUUAUGGCAAAGAGGCGUCGAUGAUAAACGAAAACCAGUGCAUGUUUAGUUAAGUCUACGCAUUGCAGUAAUAUGAUAUGUCCAUGCAUAUGAAAUGCGAUUUAUGAUUAUGAAAAAGAGAUGGUUUUCUGGCAGAACCUAUGGUUGCCGGAAUGGAGGGGGCUGUGAAUGGAUCGAAAGUGAAUCCGAACUGUCGUCUACCUGCAUGGUCCUGUCCUUGUGUGUCCGGGCCGACUUCACGCCGCCGAACCUGUUCUGCAUAAGAGGUAGCUUGUGAAGGUAAGUGAGCGGAGGGCGCCGAACGUCCUCCUGUGGUUGGUCCAAAUGUUCCUGAUCGGACACUGAUCGAGAAGCAACCCAGACUCCUUAGUUGGUAUCCGGAUAGUUGGAUGUCAUAUCAAGAUAUUGACAGGCAUGCGCGACUUGCUACUCUUGCAGCUGUAUGAUCCCCGCUUCUAAGGGUGGGGUUUGGCUCUGCACGCAGGUGUGAGUGUAUUACCGGUGCUGGUCUAAUGAGUUACCACGUGGAAUCGAGCCAACGUGGUUCAUCUUGUUAGCAUACGGUGUGAUACCGUAUAAGGGAAUGCGCCGAUGGCGCAUCCUUUAUUUGGUUGUUUGAAAACAUCCGUGAGAGCAGCGGGCCCAUGACCCCGGCCUCUGUGCGUGGCACCUUGUAGAAGGUGUUUAUUUGCAUGCCCGCUUGGACUUUUAUUAUUUGAGGAGACCCUGGACUGUUAGGUCUGGGGGUAUGCAAUUGAAUUGCUGUGGUUUGUAUGGUAGGGGGCGAUCGGCCGUACUGUUGUGCUGGGGGCUUUUGACUAAGCGCCUCUCCUCAAUGUUUCCGGCACACACCCGGUUGCUUUACUUUGGAGAUCCGGCAUUCUAUAUUAGUAUGUUUUGCCAUUCUUUUGGGAGUACCGUGGAUUUCUCACGGCUGAUCGAGUUCGUGGCUUGGGCCAAAUAGGCUUGAGUUGUUCCUUGUCCGUUGACCGGACUGGGAUUUGCUGAACUUGAUACUAGCUUCCUUGAUUUGCCGUUUAUGACCGUUGCGCUGGGGCAUGAGGCUGCUUCUUCGUGUAUCCUUCUUGCUGGUUUAAAGCUUAGUGGUGUUCGGACGUCGGGUUGUGUGCCUUUGAUUUCCCUGCUUAGGUUGAGGUAGCCAAUUGUGCCGCGUGUGCCCUUUGUUAGGGCGGUCGAGUCCGUACUUCUCGGUGGCCAGGAUCUUGGUCCCCCGUUCUAUUAGCAAAUCAUGUUCGGCCUUAAGCUGCUCUUCCUUCCUUUGCAGACUCUUUGCGGUGGCUAUAAGUCCUCGCCUAAAGCGAACUUGUUCCACUGGGUCUACAGGCGCGCCGAAUUCGUCAUUGUCAAGGCUUACCUCGUCUUCGGAGGGAGGUGUAUAGUUGUUUGUCUCCAAGUAUCCCACCGUGGCCUGUAUGGCCUGCUUGAUGGUCAGCUGGUCAGGACUGUAUUCCUCUUCGGUACUGUCCGGAUCAUCUCCGGGACCGGUAUUGAUGUGGCAGGGCUUGGAGUGGCGUCGGAGAUGCCCAUAUGUUGCUUUUCCUCCGGGGGGGUUGUCCUCCCCUGCCUCGUCGCCGUUGGUUUCUUUCGGAGUGUCCACCGUGUAUAUAUCAUUAGAAGGGGUGGCUGUCCACCGCCCUGUGAGCGGUGGCUCUUGUAUGUCUCCUGCAUCGUCGUCCAUACCGUCGAUGUCUUCGAAGUCGAAGUCGAGCACGUCGGUUAAAUCGUUGAUCGUGGCGACAAAGUGGGUGGUGGGUGGGUAGCAAAUUCCUUCGUCGCUGCUUCCCACUCCAGCCGAACAUAGUUCGGCCCAGAGUCUCUUGACAAAGAGAGAGACUUCAAUGAGUUCAUCAUGUCGCCAAAGGGUGAGUGCUGAAAGAUGUCCGCAGCGGUAAACUCCAUUACCGGAGCCCAACCUGGCUCGGCUGCCUCGAGAGUGAGCGGACCAGGACCAACAACCAGAUAUGAGUCCGAGGGUCCGGGGUUACACGCCUACACAGCGGUGGGACCCAUGUUCGGCUCCACCGCCGAUAAGUGUGCGGCCUACAGAGCGGGGUCUAGCCCUCCGUCCAUAGGCAACGUGACUUGCCCUAGAUUUAGAUCCAAGGCUGCUUUGGGAAUGAUGUCCCGGACACUGUCCGACAGCAGGUCUAGGCCGUGCUCGUCGUGGCUGUCCGGCGCUCCUGGCGCAGGCUUGAAUCCGUCGAAGCUCAAGUCUCCGAACCUGAUUUUGUGGCCAAGGGCGAAGCUGUCGAUCUUCUCCAUCCGGCCAAGCGAAUUGGCNNNNNNNNNNNNNNNNNNNNNNNNNNNNNNNNNNNNNNNNNNNNNNNNNNNNNNNNNNNNNNNNNNNNCCAUCAAGCCUCGAAGCGACGACACAGAGGAACUCUCAAUGAAAUCACCAAUGUCGGUGUCAAAACCGGCGGAUCUCAGGUAGGGGGUCCUGAUCUAUGCGUCUUAGGCUGAUGGUAACAGGAAGCAAGGGACACAAUGUUUACCCAGGUUCGGGCCCUCUCGAUGGAGGUAAAACCCUACUUCCUGCUUGAUUAAUAUUGAAGAUGUGUGGAAUACAAGAGUAGAUCUACCACGAGAUCGUAGAGGCUAAACCCUAAGAGCUAGCCUAUGAUGGUAUGAUUGUAAUUGUGAUCAGCCUUCUAAGGACCAUCCUCUCCGGUUUAUAUAGACACCGGAGAGCUAGGGUUUACAUGGAGUCGGUUACAAGGAAGGAAACAUAAUAUCCGGAUUGCUAAGCUUGUCUUCCACGCAAAGGAGAGUCCCAUCCGGACACGAGCCGAAGUCUUGAGUCUUGUAUCUUGACGCUUCUAUAGUCCGGACAAUGAAUAUAGUCCGGUGGUCUGGAUACCCCCUUAUCCAGGACUCCCUCAGCUGCUGCAGCAGCCGUCAGCCUGGAGCCAGAGGCCGUCGAGCCCUAAGGCCGGCAGCUAGCCAGUGAAGAAGUGUGGAAGCCGGAGCAACGUGUCGACGGGCUUCUCCGACCACACAACAAACUCUAGGAGUGUGUCCAUCAAGGGGAAACGCGGGCGAGGAGGACGGGUGACCAUGGCGCGCCUCCCCUCAUCGCAGGGGCUGCUCCGUGGCCGAUGGCCCCCACCAUGAGAAGAAGCGCCACCGCGUACGUCAAGGGAGACGCCAGCUCCUGGAGAAGCAUGCCUGCGCCCCCUGGAGGCCAUCACUGGGGUCGCAACAUGCUUGCAGGGACGGCCGCGACCCCUCUUGGGUGGCGGUGAAGCUGUCCCCUCCUUGGGGGCCUUGCCUUUUUCCGAAGUCGUGAACCUCCUCGCCGGCACCAUGAGCCUCGCAACUAUGGCAAGGUGGAAAAGAAGAAGGGAUGGGAAGCAAGAAGAUGAAGAUAGAGAUGAGUGAAGGGGGAUCCGCCCCUCCCCUCAUUUAUAGCCAGAGGGAGGCCCGCCGACCUCCAUGAUCCCACGCAAUGAUGUCUUCUCUGCAUGCAGCAUCGACUCGUCAAGUCGGGCAGUUGCUGAGGUAGCGUAGGGAAGCGGAGACGCCCAUGUCUCAUCAAUCGCCAUGUGUCCUUCAAGGCCGCAGGCGGUUAGGGCUUGUGGUGCUCCGCACUUGCCCUUUGGCUUCACCUAGAAUCCAAGUCCGAGCGCGUCUUGGGCCCGGGGGCUAUUGUUGGUGUUCUGGAUAUGGGGGUACCCAGACUUGCCUUCCCGUGGCCUACGGCGUGGCUCCAUCGACGGCCUGGUAUGAGCCAGCUCCAACAUCAACAACUCAAGACCCUUGCGAGGUGAAUGACACCAAGGCCUCCAAAGGGAUAGGUCUCCUCAGGUGGCUCCUAAGGAGUAGAGAUUUCUAUGCAAAUCUCACCUCGCGAGGUGCAGAUGACGUGAGCCAUGACGAUCAAGGCCAGGUGGGCGCCAGACGGGUGCCAGCGGGCGCAGUGUACCUGUUUCCUCUUUUGUGCAAGAGAGGCAAGCAGCAGGUGCGGAGUCCCGAGGAAUCAACCAAAUGUUUCCAUUCUUGUGCAACAAGACCAAGACCGCCAGGACGGCAGGACGAAGGUCAUCACCGAGCCCACCGAUGCGUCACAACUAGAGGCUUUUGCAGGCGAAGACCACUUUAGUUAGGAUAAGAUGUACUAGCUGUCUCCCUUUAAAUUUGGCCGUUAUGGGAUCCCUUCCCACCUCCAUUCGGGAAGAGGACCAAGGUCACUAUAAGUAGGACCUAGCCACCACUACGGAGGGGGAGAGAGGUCAAUCGGAUCCAUUCCACCCUCACCAGCUCACCAGCUCACUUGAGCCCAAGAACACGCCUCCUGAGGUUGUUCUCCUAUAUACUAGUUUGUCCUCAGCCCCUUGAGGCAAAUCGAACACAAAGCAGGAGUAGGGUUUUACACUGCAAGGUGGCCCAAACUUCAGUAAACUGAUGUGUCUUUCUUUCCCCUCAAGCUCGACGCGCUAGGCUGUGAGGUUGGCUACUCGGCAGUAUGUGUAGGUUGAGAUCUCCGCAUGCACCCAGAGUUCGAACCUCUCAAGGGUUUGCGGAAACCAAAAUCCAACAGAGGUAGUAGCUACUUACAGAUAGAAGAGAAGGUGUGGUGGGGAGAGGCGUUUUGGCUUCCGGGAGCACAUGCUACCGGAUGAAUAGUAACAUGAAAAAAUAGUAAAUAUAUUUAAAAAANNNNNNNNNNNNNNNNNNNNNNNNNNNNNNNNNNNNNNNNNNNNNNNNNNNNNNNNNNNNNNNNNNNNNNNNNNNNNNNNNNNNNNNNNNNNNNNNNNNNNNNNNNNNNNNNNNNNNNNNNNNNNNNNNNNNNNNNNNNNNNNNNNNNNNNNNNNNNNNNNNNNNNNNNNNNNNNNNNNNNNNNNNNNNNNNNNNNNNNNNNNNNNNNNNNNNNNNNNNNNNNNNNNNNNNNNNNNNNNNNNNNNNNNNNNNNNNNNNNNNNNNNNNNNNNNNNNNNNNNNNNNNNNNNNNNNNNNNNNNNNNNNNNNNNNNNNNNNNNNNNNNNNNNNNNNNNNNNNNNNNNNNNNNNNNNNNNNNNNNNNNNNNNNNNNNNNNNNNNNNNNNNNNNNNNNNNNNNNNNNNNNNNNNNNNNNNNNNNNNNNNNNNNNNNNNNNNNNNNNNNNNNNNNNNNNNNNNNNNNNNNNNNNNNNNNNNNNNNNNNNNNNNNNNNNNNNNNNNNNNNNNNNNNNNNNNNNNNNNNNNNNNNNNNNNNNNNNNNNNNNNNNNNNNNNNNNNNNNAAAAAAUUCUAUUUUCUUUUAUGGAUGUUGAAAGCAUGAGUGCUCCCUGGGUGAUUUUGGUAAUUAAUGUCAACAUAUCUCUUGUUGGACUAACAUUUUCAUCUGGUAUAUUUCAGAUGAGUUCAACAAUGGAGUGGAAGGACAAGAGGAUGUGGAACCCCUUCAAGAUUUUAAGGUCAAAUAUUGGCAAAAGCUCAAGAUUCUUCAUUUCUAUUUUAGUGAUACAAGAUCACAUUGAGUCCAUAGGAAAAGCCAAUACUAUUUAAAGGGGAUGAGGUGUUGCUUAAUGGUCCACUUGCUUAAAGUGCUUAGUGAUAUGCCCCAAAGCCCUCAACCACUUUCUCAUAUCCAAAUAUGUCCAAAACCUAAAGUCAAACUCAGCCCCACCACUUUGAUUCAUCCGGCGCCAUUGAUUUCACUGUCAUAGCCACUCCCAGAAACCACAAUUAUUUCGGUCUCACCAAGAUGUCUAAUCGGUCACACCGAGUUUGCUUGACCAAGUCUCUAUUUGCAUAUUGCUGAAAUCGGUCUCACCGAGUUCAUGCGAUCGGUCUCACUGAGAUAAGGUUUUGACCUAACCAUAGCACAUCGGUCCCACCGAGUUGAUCAUAUCGGUCCCACCGAAAAUCCUAACAUUCACAUUUUGAACCAGAUCGGUCCCACCGAGUUUCACUAUUCGGUCUCACCGAGUUUGGUAAAUNNNNNNNNNNNNNNNNNNNNNNNNNNNNNNNNNNNNNNNNNNNNNNNNNNNNNNNNNNNNNNNNNNNNNNNNNNNNNNNNNNNNNNNNNNNNNNNNNNNNNNNNNNNNNNNNNNNNNNNNNNNNNNNNNNNNNNNNNNNNNNNNNNNNNNNNNNNNNNNNNNNNNNNNNNNNNNNNNNNNNNNNNNNNNNNNNNNNNNNNNNNNNNNNNNNNNNNNNNNNNNNNNNNNNNNNNNNNNNNNNNNNNNNNNNNNNNNNNNNNNNNNNNNNNNNNNNNNNNNNNNNNNNNNNNNNNNNNNNNNNNNNNNNNNNNNNNNNNNNNNNNNNNNNNNNNNNNNNNNNNNNNNNNNNNNNNNNNNNNNNNNNNNNNNNNNNNNNNNNNNNNNNNNNNNNNNNNNNNNNNNNNNNNNNNNNNNNNNNNNNNNNNNNNNNNNNNNNNNNNNNNNNNNNNNNNNNNNNNNNNNNNNNNNNNNNNNNNNNNNNNNNNNNNNNNNNNNNNNNNNNNNNNNNNNNNNNNNNNNNNNNNNNNNNNNNNNNNNNNNNNNNNNNNUGAGAGAGAGUUGAGUGUUGGGGAGACUAUCAUUUCAAGCACAAGAGAAAGGAGUUCAUCAUGAACACACCAUCUAUUACCUUGUGGAGAGUGGUAUCUCCUAGAUUGGCUAGGUGGCACUUGGGAGCCUCCGUCAAGAUUGUGGAGUUGAACCAAGAAGUUUGUAAGGGCAAGGAGAUUGCCUACUUCGUGAAGAUCUACUCAACUGAGGCAAGUCCUUCUUGGGCGAUGGCCAUGCUGGGAUAGACAAGGUUGCUUAUUCAUGGACUCUUCGUGGGUGGAGCCCUCCAUGGACUCGCGCAAUCGUUACCCUUCGUGGGUGGAAGUCUCCACCAACGUGGAUGUACGAUAGCACCACCUAUUAGAACCACGCCAAAAAUAUCCGUGUCUUCAAUUGCGUUUGCACACUCGAAUCCCAUCCCAUUACUUUCUUGCCAAUUGCAUGCUGUACUUUCUGCUGCUCAUAUACUCUUGCCAUGCAUGCUUGAAAUGUAUUGUGAAUGUUUAAAAUUGUGCUAUUCUCCAACCUUAACUUGAAGAACUUAAAAAUUGCUACCUUUACUUGUUCAGGUUCUAAUCACCCCCCCNNNNNNNNNNCCCCCCCUUUAGACACCUCUUCUUGAUCCUUUCAAUUGGUAUUAGAGCAUUGGUCUCCAUUUCUUUGGUUUAAGCACCAUUGGAGGAAUAUGGACGAGUCUAUGAUUGGGAGUAUUAGACGUAGAGUGCAUAUGCUUGAUGGAGAGUUCUAUAAUGCUUGGAAAAAUGAGAUGCUUGAGAUUUUCAAUGAAUAUCAAUUGAACAAGUACAUUACUACCCCUUGUGCGUCCCUUGUUGAUCCAUUACAUCCUACCCCCGAUGAGUCUCUCGACAUGAUUCGCAAUCUUAGGACUAUCAAUCUUAUCACUAGAGCAUUGCCUAGAAAUUUGAUUACAUGCUUGCCAACUCUUUAAUGUGCUUACAACAUAUGGAGAUAUCUUGAGGAACGCUUUCCAGACUAUUCCUUGAAAAAUUUAGAUGAGAUUUUUCAUAAGUCCAUUGCUCUAAAUAAGAUGAAUCCUAAUGAUCCUCAGUUUGGUGAUUUUCUAUUUGAACUUUGUGAUCUUAUGCGUGCCAAAGGAGAUGUUGGAAUCAUUAGUAACAUCCUCUUUGAAGUCAUUAGAAUACAUAAAGAUGCAAAUUGUCAUGAUCAUAAAUCUAAUGAAUCACUCUCUCUAGGCAAUGAUCAAUCACAAGAUGAUGUUGAACAUGGAUACUAUGAUGAGGAUGAGGAUAGUGACUUUGAUCUUGAUGAGUCUAUGAGACACUUUGGUCUUAUGGCUAACCUUUGCUGCUACAUGGCUGGAGGAAAGGAAUGGGUUCUUGAUAGUGGAUGUACCGAUUAGAUGACCAGAGACAAGGAUAUGUUUUGUGAGCUUGCUGAAAACAACGACCCUUGAAAGUAUGUCACUUUUGGUGGUAACUAGAAGGGUAAGGUGGUUGGCCUUGGUAAGGUGGCCAUCUCACAUGACAACUCCAUACAAAAUGUUAUACUCGUUGAAUCUCUUGGCUAUAAUUUACUUUCCGUAUCUAGACUAGCCGAUUUCGGUUUCAAUGUCUUAUUUACUGAAGUAGAUUGCCAAGUGUUUCAAAGAGAUAAUCAUAAUAUGGUNNNNNNNNNNNNNNNNNNNNNNNNNNNNNNNNNNNNNNNNNNNNNNNNNNNNNNNNNNNNNNNNNNNNNNNNNNNNNNNNNNNNNNNNNNNNNNNNNNNNNNNNNNNNNNNNNNNNNNNNNNNNNNNNNNNNNNNNNNNNNNNNNNNNNNNNNNNNNNNNNNNNNNNNNNNNNNNNNNNNNNNNNNNNNNNNNNNNNNNNNNNNNNNNNNNNNNNNNNNNNNNNNNNNNNNNNNNNNNNNNNNNNNNNNNNNNNNNNNNNNNNNNNNNNNNNNNNNNNNNNNNNNNNNNNNNNNNNNNNNNNNNNNNNAACAUAACGGAGUUCAAGAAUGCCAAUGUGGACACCUUUCUUGACGACGAAGGGAUUUCACAUGAGUUCUCGGCUAUGUACACGCCUCAACAAAAUGGAGUUGUUGAGAGUAAGAACCGGACUCUUAUUGAGAUGGCGAGAACGAUGCUUGAUGAGUACAAGACACCACAACACUUUUGAGCGAAAGCGGUCGAGACAACUUGUCAUGCAACAAAUCUCCUAUAUCUUCACAAGCUACUCGGCAAGACGGCAUACGAGCUUCUCACCGGUAACAAACCCCAAGUUGGAUACUUUCGAGUAUUCGGCUCAAAGUGCUAUAUUCUUGAUAAGCAUCGUCGUUCGAAGUUUGCUCCUAAAUCUCAUGAAUGUUUCCUAGUCGGUUAUGGCUGAAACUCUCACAGUUACCGUGUCUACAACAAUUUCACCCAAAAGGUUGAGACUGUAGAUGUGAAGUUUGAUGAAUCUAACGGCUCACAAGUAGAGCAAUUGCCAAUUGAUGUAGGUGACAAAGACCCUUCUGAAGAAAUACAAGACUUGUCUAUUGGCGAGAUUCGUCCAACGGAGGUGAAGGAGAGUACCUCGUCCGUCCAAGUGGAAGCCUCAACUUCACGCCAUGGCGAACCACAAGUUGACUUGGAGGCAUUCACAAGUGGAACACAUCAAGAUGAUGGAAACAAGGAUGUACAACAAGAUGAACCUCAUCGACCUCCUUCUCCACCUCCACAAGAGAACAACAACGCCAACGACAAUGAAGAAAGAGAAGAGGAAGAACAAGACAAUGAAGAGGAUGUUCCACCCCAACCCAAACAAAAGCUCUCACGAGUUCGAGCAAGAGUCUCAAGAGAUCACCCCAUCGAACAAAUCUUUGAUGAUAUACAAACCGGGAGAAUUACUCGCUCUAAAACUCGUUUGGCUAACUUUUGUGAACAAUACUCAUUCAUUUCUAGUAUUGUACCUAUGAAGGUUGAAGAUGCCCUUGAUGAUCUGGAUUGGGUGAACGCUAUGCAUGAAGAGAUACACAAUUUCGAGAGGAACCAAGUGUGGACGUUGGUUGAAAAGCCCGAUGAGAAGCGCAAUGUCAUUGGAACCAAAUGGGUGUUUUAGAAUAAGCAAGAUGAAGAUGGAUGAGUUGUACGCAACAAGGCUCGUCUCGUUGCUCAAGGCUACACUCAAGUUGAAGGUAUGGACUAUGGUGAGACAUAUGUGAUAACCCACAAGUAUAGGGCAUCGCUAUAGUUUUCGAGGGUAGAGUAGUCAACCCAAAUUUAUUGAUUCGACACAAGGGGAGGAGCCAAAGAAUAUGCUCAAGUAUUAGCAGCUGAGUUGUCAAUUCAACCACACUUGAAAGACUUAAUAUCUGCAGCAAAGUAUUUAGUAGCAAAGUAGUAUGGAAGUAAGGGUAACAAUGGCAAAAGUAAUAGUAGCAGUUUUGUAGCAAUCAUAAUAGUGGCAACGGAAUAGUAACUUAGCAAAGAUCAAUAUGAAACAAGCUCAUAGGCAAUGGAUCAAUGAUGGAUAACUAUGUCAGAUGGCAUUCAUCAUGCAACAGUUAUAACAUAGGGUGACACAGAACUAGUUCCAAUUCAUCAAUAUAAUGUAGGCAUGUAUUCCAAAUAUAGUCAUAUGUGCUUUUGUAAAAGAACUUGCAUGACAUCUUUUGUCCUACCCUCCCGUGGCAGCGGGGUCCUAAUGGAAACUAAGGGAUAUAAAGGCCUCCUUUUAAUAGAGAACUGGACCAAAGCAUUAACACUUAGUGAAUACAUGAACUCCUCAAACUAUGGUCAUCAUCGAGAAGUGUCCCGACAAUUGUCACUCCGGGGUUUACCGGAUCAUAACACGUAGUAGGUGACUAUAACUUGCAAGAUAAGAUCAAGAACACUCAAUAUUCAUGAAAAGACAAUAGGUUCAGAUCUGAAAUCAUGGCACUAGGGCCCUAGUGACAAGCAUUAAGCAUGACAAAGUCAUUACAACAUCAAUCUUAGAACAUAAUGGAUACUAGGGAUCAAACCCUAACAAAACUAACUCGAUUACAUGGUAAAUCUCAUCCAACCCAUCACCGUCCAACAAGCCUACAAUGGAAUUACUCACGCAGGGCGGUGAGCAUCAUGAAAUUGGUGAUGGUGGAUGGUUGAUGAUGAAGAUGGCGACAGAUUCCCCUCUCCGGAGCCUCGAACGGACUCCAUAUUAGCCCUCCAAAGGAAGAAUAGGGCUUGGCGGCGGCUCCGUAUCGUAAAACGCGAUGAAUCCUUCUCUCUAUUUUUUUCUCCCCGAACGUGAAUAUAUGGAGUUGGAGUUGAGGUCGGUGGAGGUCCAGGGGGCCCACGAGGUAGGAGGGCACGCCCAGGGGGUAGGGUGCGCCCCCACCCUCAUGGCCAGGGUGUGGGGCCCCUUCGGUUGAUUCUUUCACCAGUAUUUUUUUAAUUCCAAAAAGUGUCUCCGUGAAGUUUUAGGUCAUUCCGAGAACUUUUAUUUCUCCACAAAAAUAACACCAUGUCAAUUCUGCUGUAAACACCGUCAGUCCGGGUUAGUUCCAUCCAAAUCAUGCAAAUUAGAGUCCAAAACAAGGGCAAAAGAGUUUGGAAAAGUAGAUACGUUGGAGAUGUAUCAACUCCCCCAAGCUUAACCCAUUGCUUGUCCUCAAGCAAUGCAGUUGACAAACUGGAAGUGAUAAAUAAAAACUUUUACAAACUCUAUUUGAUCUUGUUGUUGCAAAUAUGUAAAACCAACAUUCAAGUUUUCAGCAAAGAUUAUGAACUAACCAUAUUCACAAUAACAUUUAGGUCUCAUGUUUACCCAUAUCAAUGUCAUAAUCAACUAGCGAGUAGUAAUAAUAAAUCUCGGAUGACAACACUUUCUCAAAACAAUCAUGAUAUGAUAUAACAGGAUGGUAUCUCGCUAGCCCUUUCUAACACCGCAAACCAUAAAUGCAGAGCACCCCUGAAGAUCAAGGACUGACUAGACAUUGUAAUUCAUGGCAAAAGAGAUCCAGUCACAGUCAUACUGAAUAUUAAUUAAUAACAAUGAAUAUAAAUGAAAGUGGUGCUCUCCAACUNNNNNNNNNNGCUGGUCAGGACUGUAUUCCUCUUCGGUACUGUCCGGAUCAUCUCCGGGACCGGUAUUGAUGUGGCAGGGCUUGGAGUGGCGUCGGAGAUGCCCAUAUGUUGCUUUUCCUCCGGGGGGGUUGUCCUCCCCUGCCUCGUCGCCGUUGGUUUCUUUCGGAGUGUCCACCGUGUAUAUAUCAUUAGAAGGGGUGGCUGUCCACCGCCCUGUGAGCGGUGGCUCUUGUAUGUCUCCUGCAUCGUCGUCCAUACCGUCGAUGUCUUCGAAGUCGAAGUCGAGCACGUCGGUUAAAUCGUUGAUCGUGGCGACAAAGUGGGUGGUGGGUGGGUAGCAAAUUCCUUCGUCGCUGCUUCCCACUCCAGCCGAACAUAGUUCGGCCCAGAGUCUCUUGACAAAGAGAGAGACUUCAAUGAGUUCAUCAUGUCGCCAAAGGGUGAGUGCUGAAAGAUGUCCGCAGCGGUAAACUCCAUUACCGGAGCCCAACCUGGCUCGGCUGCCUCGAGAGUGAGCGGACCAGGACCAACAACCAGAUAUGAGUCCGAGGGUCCGGGGUUACACGCCUACACAGCGGUGGGACCCAUGUUCGGCUCCACCGCCGAUAAGUGUGCGGCCUACAGAGCGGGGUCUAGCCCUCCGUCCAUAGGCAACGUGACUUGCCCUAGAUUUAGAUCCAAGGCUGCUUUGGGAAUGAUGUCCCGGACACUGUCCGACAGCAGGUCUAGGCCGUGCUCGUCGUGGCUGUCCGGCGCUCCUGGCGCAGGCUUGAAUCCGUCGAAGCUCAAGUCUCCGAACCUGAUUUUGUGGCCAAGGGCGAAGCUGUCGAUCUUCUCCAUCCGGCCAAGCGAAUUGGCCCGCAGUGCGAAGCCGCCGAACACAAAGAUCUGUCCGGGGUGAAAAGUCUCGCCCUGGAGCGUGUUGUCGACGAUUGAAGACGCCAUCAAGCCUCGAAGCGACGACACAGAGGAACUCUCAAUGAAAUCACCAAUGUCGGUGUCAAAACCGGCGGAUCUCAGGUAGGGGGUCCUGAUCUAUGCGUCUUAGGCUGAUGGUAACAGGAAGCAAGGGACACAAUGUUUACCCAGGUUCGGGCCCUCUCGAUGGAGGUAAAACCCUACUUCCUGCUUGAUUAAUAUUGAAGAUGUGUGGAAUACAAGAGUAGAUCUACCACGAGAUCGUAGAGGCUAAACCCUAAGAGCUAGCCUAUGAUGGUAUGAUUGUAAUUGUGAUCAGCCUUCUAAGGACCAUCCUCUCCGGUUUAUAUAGACACCGGAGAGCUAGGGUUUACAUGGAGUCGGUUACAAGGAAGGAAACAUAAUAUCCGGAUUGCUAAGCUUGUCUUCCACGCAAAGGAGAGUCCCAUCCGGACACGAGCCGAAGUCUUGAGUCUUGUAUCUUGACGCUUCUAUAGUCCGGACAAUGAAUAUAGUCCGGUGGUCUGGAUACCCCCUUAUCCAGGACUCCCUCAGCUGCUGCAGCAGCCGUCAGCCUGGAGCCAGAGGCCGUCGAGCCCUNNNNNNNNNNNNNNNNNNNNNNNNNNNNNNNNNNNNNNNNNNNNNNNNNNNNNNNNNNNNNNNNNNNNNNNNNNNNNNNNNNNNNNNNNNNNNNNNNNNNNNNNNNNNNNNNNNNNNNNNNNNNNNNNNNNNNNNNNNNNNNNNNNNNNNNNNNNNNNNNNNNNNNNNNNNNNNNNNNNNNNNNNNNNNNNNNNNNNNNNNNNNNNNNNNNNNNNNNNNNNNNNNNNNNNNNNNNNNNNNNNNNNNNNNNNNNNNNNNNNNNNNNNNNNNNNNNNNNNNNNNNNNNNNNNNNNNNNNNNNNNNNNNNNNNNNNNNNNNNNNNNNNNNNNNNNNNNNNNNNNNNNNNNNNNNNNNNNNNNNNNNNNNNNNNNNNNNNNNNNNNNNNNNNNNNNNNNNNNNNNNNNNNNNNNNNNNNNNNNNNNNNNNNNNNNNNNNNNNNNNNNNNNNNNNNNNNNNNNNNNNNNNNNNNNNNNNNNNNNNNNNNNNNNNNNNNNNNNNNNNNNNNNNNNNNNNNNNNNNNNNNNNNNNNNNNNNNNNNNNNNNNNNNNNNNNNNNNNNNNNNNNNNNNNNNNNNNNNNNNNNNNNNNNNNNNNNNNNNNNNNNNNNNNNNNNNNNNNNNNNNNNNNNNNNNNNNNNNNNNNNNNNNNNNNNNNNNNNNNNNNNNNNNNNNNNNNNNNNNNNNNNNNNNNNNNNNNNNNNNNNNNNNNNNNNNNNNNNNNNNNNNNNNNNNNNNNNNNNNNNNNNNNNNNNNNNNNNNNNNNNNNNNNNNNNNNNNNNNNNNNNNNNNNNNNNNNNNNNNNNNNNNNNNNNNNNNNNNNNNNNNNNNNNNNNNNNNNNNNNNNNNNNNNNNNNNNNNNNNNNNNNNNNNNNNNNNNNNNNNNNNNNNNNNNNNNNNNNNNNNNNNNNNNNNNNNNNNNNNNNNNNNNNNNNNNNNNNNNNNNNNNNNNNNNNNNNNNNNNNNNNNNNNNNNNNNNNNNNNNNNNNNNNNNNNNNNNNNNNNNNNNNNNNNNNNNNNNNNNNNNNNNNNNNNNNNNNNNNNNNNNNNNNNNNNNNNNNNNNNNNNNNNNNNNNNNNNNNNNNNNNNNNNNNNNNNNNNNNNNNNNNNNNNNNNNNNNNNNNNNNNNNNNNNNNNNNNNNNNNNNNNNNNNNNNNNNNNNNNNNNNNNNNNNNNNNNNNNNNNNNNNNNNNNNNNNNNNNNNNNNNNNNNNNNNNNNNNNNNNNNNNNNNNNNNNNNNNNNNNNNNNNNNNNNNNNNNNNNNNNNNNNNNNNNNNNNNNNNNNNNNNNNNNNNNNNNNNNNNNNNNNNNNNNNNNNNNNNNNNNNNNNNNNNNNNNNNNNNNNNNNNNNNNNNNNNNNNNNNNNNNNNNNNNNNNNNNNNNNNNNNNNNNNNNNNNNNNNNNNNNNNNNNNNNNNNNNNNNNNNNNNNNNNNNNNNNNNNNNNNNNNNNNNNNNNNNNNNNNNNNNNNNNNNNNNNNNNNNNNNNNNNNNNNNNNNNNNNNNNNNNNNNNNNNNNNNNNNNNNNNNNNNNNNNNNNNNNNNNNNNNNNNNNNNNNNNNNNNNNNNNNNNNNNNNNNNNNNNNNNNNNNNNNNNNNNNNNNNNNNNNNNNNNNNNNNNNNNNNNNNNNNNNNNNNNNNNNNNNNNNNNNNNNNNNNNNNNNNNNNNNNNNNNNNNNNNNNNNNNNNNNNNNNNNNNNNNNNNNNNNNNNNNNNNNNNNNNNNNNNNNNNNNNNNNNNNNNNNNNNNNNNNNNNNNNNNNNNNNNNNNNNNNNNNNNNNNNNNNNNNNNNNNNNNNNNNNNNNNNNNNNNNNAAAAAAUUCUAUUUUCUUUUAUGGAUGUUGAAAGCAUGAGUGCUCCCUGGGUGAUUUUGGUAAUUAAUGUCAACAUAUCUCUUGUUGGACUAACAUUUUCAUCUGGUAUAUUUCAGAUGAGUUCAACAAUGGAGUGGAAGGACAAGAGGAUGUGGAACCCCUUCAAGAUUUUAAGGUCAAAUAUUGGCAAAAGCUCAAGAUUCUUCAUUUCUAUUUUAGUGAUACAAGAUCACAUUGAGUCCAUAGGAAAAGCCAAUACUAUUUAAAGGGGAUGAGGUGUUGCUUAAUGGUCCACUUGCUUAAAGUGCUUAGUGAUAUGCCCCAAAGCCCUCAACCACUUUCUCAUAUCCAAAUAUGUCCAAAACCUAAAGUCAAACUCAGCCCCACCACUUUGAUUCAUCCGGCGCCAUUGAUUUCACUGUCAUAGCCACUCCCAGAAACCACAAUUAUUUCGGUCUCACCAAGAUGUCUAAUCGGUCACACCGAGUUUGCUUGACCAAGUCUCUAUUUGCAUAUUGCUGAAAUCGGUCUCACCGAGUUCAUGCGAUCGGUCUCACUGAGAUAAGGUUUUGACCUAACCAUAGCACAUCGGUCCCACCGAGUUGAUCAUAUCGGUCCCACCGAAAAUCCUAACAUUCACAUUUUGAACCAGAUCGGUCCCACCGAGUUUCACUAUUCGGUCUCACCGAGUUUGGUAAAUUGUGUGUAACGACUAGAUUUUGUGUGGAGGCUAUAUAUACCCCUCCACACCCUUUCCCAGUUGAGAGAGAGCCAUCAGAACAUGCAUACACUUCCACUACUCAUUUUCUGAGAGAGAACCACCUACUCAUGUGUUGAGACCAAGACAUUCCAAUACUAUCACAAGAAUUUUGAUCUCUAUCCUUCCCCAACUUGCUUUCCACUCAAAUCAUCUUUCCACCAUAUUCAAAUCCGUGAGAGAGAGUUGAGUGUUGGGGAGACUAUCAUUUCAAGCACAAGAGAAAGGAGUUCAUCAUGAACACACCAUCUAUUACCUUGUGGAGAGUGGUAUCUCCUAGAUUGGCUAGGUGGCACUUGGGAGCCUCCGUCAAGAUUGUGGAGUUGAACCAAGAAGUUUGUAAGGGCAAGGAGAUUGCCUACUUCGUGAAGAUCUACUCAACUGAGGCAAGUCCUUCUUGGGCGAUGGCCAUGCUGGGAUAGACAAGGUUGCUUAUUCAUGGACUCUUCGUGGGUGGAGCCCUCCAUGGACUCGCGCAAUCGUUACCCUUCGUGGGUGGAAGUCUCCACCAACGUGGAUGUACGAUAGCACCACCUAUUAGAACCACGCCAAAAAUAUCCGUGUCUUCAAUUGCGUUUGCACACUCGAAUCCCAUCCCAUUACUUUCUUGCCAAUUGCAUGCUGUACUUUCUGCUGCUCAUAUACUCUUGCCAUGCAUGCUUGAAAUGUAUUGUGAAUGUUUAAAAUUGUGCUAUUCUCCAACCUUAACUUGAAGAACUUAAAAAUUGCUACCUUUACUUGUUCAGGUUCUAAUCACCCCCCCUUUAGACACCUCUUCUUGAUCCUUUCAAUUGGUAUUAGAGCAUUGGUCUCCAUUUCUUUGGUUUAAGCACCAUUGGAGGAAUAUGGACGAGUCUAUGAUUGGGAGUAUUAGACGUAGAGUGCAUAUGCUUGAUGGAGAGUUCUAUAAUGCUUGGAAAAAUGAGAUGCUUGAGAUUUUCAAUGAAUAUCAAUUGAACAAGUACAUUACUACCCCUUGUGCGUCCCUUGUUGAUCCAUUACAUCCUACCCCCGAUGAGUCUCUCGACAUGAUUCGCAAUCUUAGGACUAUCAAUCUUAUCACUAGAGCAUUGCCUAGAAAUUUGAUUACAUGCUUGCCAACUCUUUAAUGUGCUUACAACAUAUGGAGAUAUCUUGAGGAACGCUUUCCAGACUAUUCCUUGAAAAAUUUAGAUGAGAUUUUUCAUAAGUCCAUUGCUCUAAAUAAGAUGAAUCCUAAUGAUCCUCAGUUUGGUGAUUUUCUAUUUGAACUUUGUGAUCUUAUGCGUGCCAAAGGAGAUGUUGGAAUCAUUAGUAACAUCCUCUUUGAAGUCAUUAGAAUACAUAAAGAUGCAAAUUGUCAUGAUCAUAAAUCUAAUGAAUCACUCUCUCUAGGCAAUGAUCAAUCACAAGAUGAUGUUGAACAUGGAUACUAUGAUGAGGAUGAGGAUAGUGACUUUGAUCUUGAUGAGUCUAUGAGACACUUUGGUCUUAUGGCUAACCUUUGCUGCUACAUGGCUGGAGGAAAGGAAUGGGUUCUUGAUAGUGGAUGUACCGAUUAGAUGACCAGAGACAAGGAUAUGUUUUGUGAGCUUGCUGAAAACAACGACCCUUGAAAGUAUGUCACUUUUGGUGGUAACUAGAAGGGUAAGGUGGUUGGCCUUGGUAAGGUGGCCAUCUCACAUGACAACUCCAUACAAAAUGUUAUACUCGUUGAAUCUCUUGGCUAUAAUUUACUUUCCGUAUCUAGACUAGCCGAUUUCGGUUUCAAUGUCUUAUUUACUGAAGUAGAUUGCCAAGUGUUUCAAAGAGAUAAUCAUAAUAUGGUAUUUACUGGUAUACAUAGAGGCGAUCUAUACAUUGUUAAUUUCACUAAAAAGGCUCAACCUAAAACUUUCUUAAUUGCUAAAUCUUCCAAAGGUUGGUUGUGGCAUAGACAGUUAGGUCAUGUGGGCAUGCGAAAUCUUGACAAGCUUAUUAAAGGUGAUCAUAUCCUUGGUGUUAAAGAUGUUAUAUUUGACAAGGAUAGACUUUGGAGUGCUUGCCAAGCAGGAAAACAAGUUGCAGGAAGUCAUCCCGUGAAGAACAUCAUGACCACGAGAAGACCACUCGAGCUACUUCACAUGGAUCUUUUUGGUCCCAACGCCUACAAGAGUCUUGGUGGUAACUCGUUCGGAUUGGUCAUUGUUGAUGAUUUUUCAAGAUUUACCUGGGUAUUCUUUCUUGAUGAUAAAUCACAUGUCCAAAAGAUCUUCAAGAACUUUGCUAGGAAGGCCCAAAAUCAAUUUGAAGUGAAGAUCAAGAAGGUUCGUAGUGAUAACAUAACGGAGUUCAAGAAUGCCAAUGUGGACACCUUUCUUGACGACGAAGGGAUUUCACAUGAGUUCUCGGCUAUGUACACGCCUCAACAAAAUGGAGUUGUUGAGAGUAAGAACCGGACUCUUAUUGAGAUGGCGAGAACGAUGCUUGAUGAGUACAAGACACCACAACACUUUUGAGCGAAAGCGGUCGAGACAACUUGUCAUGCAACAAAUCUCCUAUAUCUUCACAAGCUACUCGGCAAGACGGCAUACGAGCUUCUCACCGGUAACAAACCCCAAGUUGGAUACUUUCGAGUAUUCGGCUCAAAGUGCUAUAUUCUUGAUAAGCAUCGUCGUUCGAAGUUUGCUCCUAAAUCUCAUGAAUGUUUCCUAGUCGGUUAUGGCUGAAACUCUCACAGUUACCGUGUCUACAACAAUUUCACCCAAAAGGUUGAGACUGUAGAUGUGAAGUUUGAUGAAUCUAACGGCUCACAAGUAGAGCAAUUGCCAAUUGAUGUAGGUGACAAAGACCCUUCUGAAGAAAUACAAGACUUGUCUAUUGGCGAGAUUCGUCCAACGGAGGUGAAGGAGAGUACCUCGUCCGUCCAAGUGGAAGCCUCAACUUCACGCCAUGGCGAACCACAAGUUGACUUGGAGGCAUUCACAAGUGGAACACAUCAAGAUGAUGGAAACAAGGAUGUACAACAAGAUGAACCUCAUCGACCUCCUUCUCCACCUCCACAAGAGAACAACAACGCCAACGACAAUGAAGAAAGAGAAGAGGAAGAACAAGACAAUGAAGAGGAUGUUCCACCCCAACCCAAACAAAAGCUCUCACGAGUUCGAGCAAGAGUCUCAAGAGAUCACCCCAUCGAACAAAUCUUUGAUGAUAUACAAACCGGGAGAAUUACUCGCUCUAAAACUCGUUUGGCUAACUUUUGUGAACAAUACUCAUUCAUUUCUAGUAUUGUACCUAUGAAGGUUGAAGAUGCCCUUGAUGAUCUGGAUUGGGUGAACGCUAUGCAUGAAGAGAUACACAAUUUCGAGAGGAACCAAGUGUGGACGUUGGUUGAAAAGCCCGAUGAGAAGCGCAAUGUCAUUGGAACCAAAUGGGUGUUUUAGAAUAAGCAAGAUGAAGAUGGAUGAGUUGUACGCAACAAGGCUCGUCUCGUUGCUCAAGGCUACACUCAAGUUGAAGGUAUGGACUAUGGUGAGACAUAUGUGAUAACCCACAAGUAUAGGGCAUCGCUAUAGUUUUCGAGGGUAGAGUAGUCAACCCAAAUUUAUUGAUUCGACACAAGGGGAGGAGCCAAAGAAUAUGCUCAAGUAUUAGCAGCUGAGUUGUCAAUUCAACCACACUUGAAAGACUUAAUAUCUGCAGCAAAGUAUUUAGUAGCAAAGUAGUAUGGAAGUAAGGGUAACAAUGGCAAAAGUAAUAGUAGCAGUUUUGUAGCAAUCAUAAUAGUGGCAACGGAAUAGUAACUUAGCAAAGAUCAAUAUGAAACAAGCUCAUAGGCAAUGGAUCAAUGANNNNNNNNNNCUACAAUGGAAUUACUCACGCAGGGCGGUGAGCAUCAUGAAAUUGGUGAUGGUGGAUGGUUGAUGAUGAAGAUGGCGACAGAUUCCCCUCUCCGGAGCCUCGAACGGACUCCAUAUUAGCCCUCCAAAGGAAGAAUAGGGCUUGGCGGCGGCUCCGUAUCGUAAAACGCGAUGAAUCCUUCUCUCUAUUUUUUUCUCCCCGAACGUGAAUAUAUGGAGUUGGAGUUGAGGUCGGUGGAGGUCCAGGGGGCCCACGAGGUAGGAGGGCACGCCCAGGGGGUAGGGUGCGCCCCCACCCUCAUGGCCAGGGUGUGGGGCCCCUUCGGUUGAUUCUUUCACCAGUAUUUUUUUAAUUCCAAAAAGUGUCUCCGUGAAGUUUUAGGUCAUUCCGAGAACUUUUAUUUCUCCACAAAAAUAACACCAUGUCAAUUCUGCUGUAAACACCGUCAGUCCGGGUUAGUUCCAUCCAAAUCAUGCAAAUUAGAGUCCAAAACAAGGGCAAAAGAGUUUGGAAAAGUAGAUACGUUGGAGAUGUAUCAACUCCCCCAAGCUUAACCCAUUGCUUGUCCUCAAGCAAUGCAGUUGACAAACUGGAAGUGAUAAAUAAAAACUUUUACAAACUCUAUUUGAUCUUGUUGUUGCAAAUAUGUAAAACCAACAUUCAAGUUUUCAGCAAAGAUUAUGAACUAACCAUAUUCACAAUAACAUUUAGGUCUCAUGUUUACCCAUAUCAAUGUCAUAAUCAACUAGCGAGUAGUAAUAAUAAAUCUCGGAUGACAACACUUUCUCAAAACAAUCAUGAUAUGAUAUAACAGGAUGGUAUCUCGCUAGCCCUUUCUAACACCGCAAACCAUAAAUGCAGAGCACCCCUGAAGAUCAAGGACUGACUAGACAUUGUAAUUCAUGGCAAAAGAGAUCCAGUCACAGUCAUACUGAAUAUUAAUUAAUAACAAUGAAUAUAAAUGAAAGUGGUGCUCUCCAACUAGUGCUUCUUAUUAGAGGAUGAUGACUCAACAUAAAAGUAAAUAGAUAGGCCCUUCAUAGAGGGAAACAUGGAUUUGCAUAGGUGCUAGAGCUCGAGGUUUGUAACAGAGAUAAAUAAUAUUUUGAGUGGCGUACUUUCAUUGUAAAAUCAAGAGAUCUCGAUAUCUUCCAUGCUACAUACAUUAUAGGCGGUUUCCAAACAGAAUGGUAAAGUUUAUACUCCCCCACCACCAACAAGCACAUUCAACUGCUGGUCCGAAACAGCGGGUACCGUCCAACUAACAACAAUCCUGGGGGAGUUUUGUUUUCAAUUAUUUUGAUUUGAUUUGAGCAUGGGAUUGGGCAUCCCAGUUACCAGCCAUUUUCUCAUGAAUGAUGAGCGGAGUCCACUCAUCGUGAGAAUAACCCAACUAGGAUGGAAGAUAUAGACAUCUCUAGUUGUUACAUGAGCGAUUUGAGCAUACAAAACAGAAUUUCAUUUGAAGGUUUAGAGUUUGGCACAUGAAAAUUUACUUGGAACGGCAGGUAAAUACCGCAUAUAGGUAGGUAUGGUGGACUCUUAUGGAAUAACUUUGGGGUUUAUGGAAGUGGGUGCACAAGCAGUAUUCCCGCUUAGUACAGGUGAAGGCUAGAAAGAGACAGGGAAGCAACCAACUAGAGAGCGACACAGUCGUAAACAUGCAUUAGGAUUAACCAACAAUGAGUGCAAGCAUGAGUAGGAUAUAAAUCACCAUGAACAUACAUUUCAUGGAGGCUAUGUUGAUUUUGUUUCAACUACAUGCAUGAACAUGUGCCAAGACAAGUCACUCGAAUCAUUCAAAGGAGGAUACCAUCCUAUCAUACUACAUCACAACCAUUUUAAUAGCAUGUUGCACGCAAGGUAAACCAUUAUAAACUCCUAGCUAAUUAAGCAUGGCACGAGUAACUAUAAUCUCUAAUGGUCAUUGCAAACAUGUUUCAUUCAUAAUAGGCUGAAUCAGGAAUGAUUAACUAAUUGUAUUUACAAAAACAAGAUAGGUCGAGUUCAUACCAGCUUUUCCUCAUCUCAAUCAUUUCAUCAUAUAUUGUCAUUAUUGCCUUUCACUUGCACGACCGAACAGUGUGGAUAACAAUAAUAGUGCAUGUGCAUUGGACUAAGCUGGAAUCUGCAAACAUUUAAUUCAAAGGAGAAGACAAGGUAAUGUGGGCUCUUUGUUAGAUCAACAAUAAUGCAUAUGAUAGCCACUCAUCAUUUUCAUCAUGGUCUUCUCCUCUCGGCCCCCAAAGAAAAGAAAAGAAUUUCAAAGAAUGAGAAAAACUAUUUACAUGUGAAAGCUCCCAACAAACGGAAGAAGAACGAGAAAUCUUUUUGGGUUUUCUUAUUGAUACUACUACUACAAGCAUGCAAAGUAAACUAGCUAAAAGCUAUUACUAUUUUUUUUGGUUUUUCUCAAAGUUUUUCAAACACACAAGAAGAAAGCAGGAAAAGAAAAUAAACUAGCAUGGAUAGUACAAUGAAAAAGUAUGAACACCGACAACUAGAAUGAGUGUGUGAACAUGAAUGUAAUGUCGGUGAGAAAUACGCACCCCCCAAGCUUAGGAUUUUGGCCUAAGUUGGUCUAAGAACACCACUGGCCCAGAUGAUAUCUGUCAUCUUAGUUGAGGUCGUACUGUGCUGCGGCAGCUGCCGCCUGACAAGCUGCUUCCCAGAGACGAGCGGCCUCUACUGAUCACUCAUGCUCGUUUGCCUCCUCUUUGGUUAUAACAUAUCUCUCAUUUGCCUAAAAGUUAAAGAAUAAAGGAGCAAGCAGGGUAAUAAUGACAACAUGCCGUCUGUGAAAGAUUAGUUGGUACUGGAGGGACUGAUCAUUCCUCUCAAGAAACUGGUAGCGGACCAUAGCAUUAUAAUCUAGAAAAGCAGGUGGCAACUCAAUAUCAUUUUCUCUUAUGGAUACCCCAAGAUAAUCAGCUAAAUGAGUUGCACAAAUCCCACCAAAUAAAUCUCCAUCUUUAGCAUUAAGAUGUAACCCUAACGCAACAAUGGCCCCCAAGUUAUGUCUCUUAUCACCUAAUACUGCACUCUUGAGGACACUAAGAUCUAGGACACAAAUGUGGCUAUGCUCAUGCUUACCGUUAAUGCAUCUUCCUAUAAAGAGAGCAAAGUAAUGUAUGGCACAAAAAUGAAUGCUCCCUAUGGUAGCUUGUGUGAUAUUUCUAGUUUCCCCCACAGUGAUCCAAGCAAGGAAAUCAUUAUAUUCAAAUUUGUGAGGUUCACUAAAGAUGCCCCACUGUGGGAUUUUGCAAGCAGUAUUAAAAUCUUCAAGGUCCAUGGUAUAUGAUGUAUCAUAGAGGUCAAAUAUAACAGUCUGAGUGUUGCGCUUAGAUGAAAAGUGAAACCUCCGCACAAAGGAAACAAUGAGGUAAUAAUAUUAUCGGCACUUAUCUGAUAUUAAGUCCUCAAGAUCAUCAUUCUGCACAUACGCAUCGAAUUCAUCCUUGAAGCCUGCUUGGACCAUAGAUUCAUCAAAUGACCAUUCAUAAGGCCGCACUUGAGCUUCCCUUCAUGAUUCGAGGUCCAACUCACGUACCGCAAGCCUUGGUGCUUGCUUCCUUGAAGAACCACCUUGAUAUAUUUUCCUAAACAUUUUUCUUCCUCUAAAAAUGUCUGAAUAUUUAGUGACUCAAAAUAAAAGUGAAGCAAACUCAACAAGAUUGAUAGCAACUACUCCCACAAGUGCAUAGAGACUAUAUCAUGCAUUCAAACUACUUUGGACCAUAUAAAUUUGACAUGCAAGCUCAAGAACAAGGUCACCACAGCAGCAAAAAUUUGCAAUAGAUAAAGCACUAGAACAAAAACUAAUUGGGCCAUUGGAGGAGUCACAUACCAAAGAACAACCCCCCAAAGCAGUUUUGUGAAUGGAGCUUUGAGAAAGGAGAUCGAAAAUGGCAGCAAAAUGAGCAAGAACAUGAGUUUGAGCUACAGGAUGAUUUUUCUGGAGGAAGACGAAGCGGAUGGGUGCUGGAAUAAGUGGAGGGGGCCACGUGGGGUGCACAAGGUAGGGGGCACGCCCUCCACCCUCGUGGCUCACUGGUGCAUCCCCCUAGUGUGUUCUAAGUGCCAGAAAUUCUCAAAUAUUCUAUAAAAAAGCAUACUAAAUUUUCAGGGCAUUUGGAUUACUUUUAUUUUCGGGGUGUUUUUUAUUGCAUGGAUAAUUCAAAAAAUAGACAGAAAAUACUAUUUUUGCUUUAUUUAAACUAAAUAGCAGAAAGUAAAAUGAGGGUACAGAAGGUUGUGCUUUCUAACUUCAUCCAUCUCAUGCUCGUCAAAAGGAAUCCACUAACAAGGUUGAUCAAGUCUUGUUAACAAACUUCUUUCGAAUGACAUGAAACCGGAGAAUUUUUGAAUAACACUAGGUUACCUCAACGGGGAUAUGCAUGUCCCCAACAAUAAGAAUAUCAUAUUUCUUUUUGACAGUAGGAAUAUGGAAUUGGAAACCUCCAAUAGUAAUAGUUGGAAAUUUUCCAAUAGAAUUUAUACUAUGAACUUGAGGUUGUUUCUUCGGAAAGUGUAUCAUAUGCUCAUUACCAUUAACAUGAAAAGUGACAUUGCCCUUGUUGCAAUCAAUAACAACCCCUGCAGUAUUCAAAAAGGGUCUACCAAGGAUGAUCGACAUACUGUUGUCCUAGGGAAUAUCAAGAAUAACAAAGUCCCUUAAGAUAGUAACGUUUGCAACCACAACAGGAACAUCCUCACAAAUACCAAUGGGAUAGCAUUUUAUUUAUCAGCCAUUUGCAAAGAGAUUUCAGUAGGUGUCAACCUAUUCAAAUCAAGUCUAUGAUAUAAAGAGAAAGGCAUAACACUAACACCAACUCCAAGAUCACAUAAAUCAGUUUUAACAUAGUUUCUUUUAAUGGAGCAUGAUAUAGUUGGUACUCCUGGAUCUCCAAGUUUCUUUGGUAUUCCACCCUUAAAAGUAUAAUUAGCAAGCAUCGUGGAAAUUUCAGCUUCCGGUAUCUUUCUUUUAUUUGUAACAAUAUCUUUCAUAUACUUACCAUAAGGAUGCAUUUGAAGCAUAUCAGUCAAACGCAUACGCAAAAAGAUAGGUCUAAUCAUUUCAGCGAAGUGCUCAAAAUCCUCAUCAUCCUUCUUCUUUGAUGGCUUAGGAGGAAAAGACAUGGGUUUCUAAACCCGUGGUUCUCUUUCUUUACCAUGCUUCCUAGCAACAAAGUCUCUCUUAUCAUAAUGUUGAUUCUUUGAUUGUGGGUUAUCAAGAUCAACACUAGGUUCAACUUCCACAUCAUUAUCAUUACUAGGUUGAGUAUCAAGAUGAACAUCAUAAUUAACAUUAUCACUAGGUUCAUGUUUUUUGCCAGAUUGUGUUUCAUCAUGAGAAAUAGAAAUAUCAUUGGGAUUCUCAGGUGUGUCAAUAACAGGUUCACUAUAAGCAUGCAAAGUCCUAUCAUUAUUCUUUUUCUUUUUAUUAGAAGGACUAGGUGUAUCAGUAUUAAUUCUCUAAGAGUCUUGCUCAAAUCUCUUAGGAUGCCCUCGGGAUACAAAGGUUCCUAGGUCAUUUUUCCACCUAUAGUCAUGACUCUAACAACAUUAUCAUUAUUCUUAUUAUUCAACUCAUUGAUCAAAUCAUCUUGUGCCUUAAGUACUUGUUCUACUUGUGUUGUAACCAUGGAAGCAUGUUUACUAAUAAGCUAAAGCUCACUUUUAACUCCAGACAUAUAAUCACUCAAGUGUUUAACCAUAUAAGCAUUAGUUUCAAUUGUUACCAACAUAAGCAUUGAAGUUUUCUUGUUUAACAAUAAAAUUAUCAAACUCAUCCAAGCAUUGGCUAGCAGACUUAUUAUGAGGAAUAUCACCUUCCUCAAAUCUAUAGAGAGAAUUUACCUUUACUACCUAUGUCGGGUUAUCAAGACCAUGUAUUUAUUCAAUAGGCAGUAAAUUCUUAACAUCUUCAACUUUAAUACCUUUUUCUUUCAUAGAUUUCUUUGCUUCUUGCAUAUCUCCAGGACUGAGAAAUAGAAUACCCCUUUUCUUUGGAGUUGGCUUAGGAGUUGGUUCAGGAAGUGUCCAAUCAUUGUCAUUACUCAAUAUAUUAUUCAAUAGCAAUUCAGCUUGCUCGAUAGUUCUUUCCCUAAAAACACAACGAACACAACUAUCCAGGUGGUCUCUGGAAGCAUCAGCUAGUCCAUUAUAAAAGAUAUCAAGUAUUUCAUUUUUCUUGAGAGGAUGAUCAGGCAAAGCAUUAAGUAAUUGGAUAUGCCUCCCCCAAGCUUGUGGGAGACUCUCUUCUUCAACUUGCACAAAGUUAAAUAUUUCCCUUAAGGCAACUUGUUUCUUAUGAGAGGGAAAAUAUUUUGCAGCGAAGUAAUAAACCAUAUCCUGGGGACUACACACACAACCAGGAGCAAGAGAAUUAAACCAUAUCUUAACAUCACCAUUUAAUGAGAAAGGAAACAAUUUAAGAACUAGCAAAUUUUUUCCUCAUGAGUAAAUAGGGUGGCUAUAUCAUUCAAUUUAGUAAGAUGUGCCACAACAAUUUCAGAUUCAUAGCCAUAGAAAGGAUCAGAUUCAAACAAAGUAAUUAACUCAGGAUCGACAGAGAAUUCAUAAUCCUUAUCAGUAACACGGAUAGGUGAAGUAGCAAACGCAGGGUCAUAUUUCAUUCUAGCAUUCAAAGACUUUUCUUCCAGCUUAGCUAACAGUUUCUUAAGAUCAUAUCUAUCAUUGCAAGCAAAGAAGUCUCUAGCAGUUUCUUCAUCCAUAACAUAACCCUCAGGCACAAUAGGCAAUUCAUAUCUAGGGGGAGAAUCUUCAUCAUCACUUUCAUUAAUAUCAUCAGUUUCAGUAAUUUCAUUCUCUCUAACCCUAGCAAGUUUUUCAUCAAGAAAUUCACCUAGUGGCACAUUAUUAUCAAGCAGAGAAGUAGUAUCAUCAUAAGCAUCAUGCAUAGCAUAAGUGGCAUCAUCAAUAACAUGCGACAUAUCGGAAUCAAUAGCAUGUGUAGGUGUCGCAAGUUUACUCAAAACAGAAGGUGAAUCAAGUGCAGUGCUAGAUGGCAAUUCCUUACCUCCCCUCGUAGUUUACUCAAAACAUAAGGUAUCUUGGUUUUGUUGUCUUUCAGAUUCCUCAUAGUGAUCAAUAUAUAUAAAUCUCAUGUAACUCAGAGAAUAGAGCUAUGCUCCCCGGCAACGGUGCCAUAAAAAGGUCAUGAUAACCCACAACUAUAGGGGAUCGCAACAGUUUUCGAGGGUAGAGUAUUCAACCCAAAUUUAUUAAUUUGACACAACGGGAGCCAAAGAAUAUUCUCAAGUAUUAGCAGCUGAGUUGUAAAUUCAACCACACCUGAAAGAAUUAAUAUCUACAACAAAGAAUUUAGUAGCAAAGUAGUAUGGAAGUAACGGUAACAACGACGAAAGUAGUAGUAGCAGUUUUGUAGCAAUCGUAACAGUGACAACAGAAUAGUAACUUAGCAAAGAUCAAUAUGAAACGGGCUCGUAGGCAAUGGACCAAUGAUGGAUAAUUAUGUUGGACGACAUUCAUCAUGCAACAGUUAUAACAUAGGGUGAUACAGAACUAGCUCCAAUUCAUCAAUAUAAUGUAGGCAUGUAAUCCAAAUAUAGUCAUACAUGCUUAUGGAAAAGAACUUGCAUGCCAUCUUUUGUCCUACCUUCCCGUCACUCCAGGGUCCUAAUGGAAACUAAGGUAUAUUAAGGCCUCCUUUUAAUAGAGAACUGGACCAAAGCAUUAACACUUAGUGAAUACAUGAACUCCUCAAACUACGAUCAUCACCGGGAAGUGCCCUGACUAUUGUCACUCCAGGGUUUGCUGGAUCAUAAGACAUAGUAGGUGGCCAUAUCUUUCAAGAUAGGAUCAAGAACACUCAUAUAUUCAUGAAAACAUAAUAGCUUCAGAUCUAAAAUCAUGGCACUCGGGCCCUAGUGACAGGCAUUAAGCAUGGAAAAGUCAAAGCAACAUCAAUCUUAGAACAUAAUGGAUACUAGGGAUCAAACCCUAACAAAACUAACUCGAUUACAUGGUAAAUCUCAUCCAACCCAUCACCAUCUAGCAAGCCUAUGAUGGAAUUACUCAUGCACGGCGGUGAGCAUCAUGAAAUUGGUGAUGGAGGAUGAUUGAUGAUGACGAUGGCGACGGAUUCCCCUCUCCGGAGCCCCGAAUGGUCUCCAGAUCAGCCCUCCCGAGGAAGAACAGGGCUUGGCGGCGGCUCCGUAUUGUAAAAUGCGAUGAAUCCUUCUCUCUGAUUUUUUUUCUCCCCGAACGUGAAUAUAUGGAGUUGGAGUUGAGGUAGGUGGAAGUCCAGGGGGGCCAUGAGGUAGGAGNNNNNNNNNNNNNNNNNNNNNNNNNNNNNNNNNNNNNNNNNNNNNNNNNNNNNNNNNNNNNNNNNNNNNNNNNNNNNNNNNNNNNNNNNNNNNNNNNNNNNNNNNNNNNNNNNNNNNNNNNNNNNNNNNNNNNNNNNNNNNNNNNNNNNNNNNNNNNNNNNNNNNNNNNNNNNNNNNNNNNNNNNNNNNNNNNNNNNNNNNNNNNNNNNNNNNNNNNNNNNNNNNNNNNNNNNNNNNNNNNNNNNNNNNNNNNNNNNNNNNNNNNNNNNNNNNNNNNNNNNNNNNNNNNNNNNNNNNNNNNNNNNNNNNNNNNNNNNNNNNNNNNNNNNNNNNNNNNNNNNNNNNNNNNNNNNNNNNNNNNNNNNNNNNNNNNNNNNNNNNNNNNNNNNNNNNNNNNNNNNNNNNNNNNNNNNNNNNNNNNNNNNNNNNNNNNNNNNNNNNNNNNNNNNNNNNNNNNNNNNNNNNNNNNNNNNNNNNNNNNNNNNNNNNNNNNNNNNNNNNNNNNNNNNNNNNNNNNNNNNNNNNNNNNNNNNNNNNNNNNNNNNNNNNNNNNNNNNNNNNNNNNNNNNNNNNNNNNNNNNNNNNNNNNNNNNNNNNNNNNNNNNNNNNNNNNNNNNNNNNNNNNNNNNNNNNNNNNNNNNNNNNNNNNNNNNNNNNNNNNNNNNNNNNNNNNNNNNNNNNNNNNNNNNNNNNNNNNNNNNNNNNNNNNNNNNNNNNNNNNNNNNNNNNNNNNNNNNNNNNNNNNNNNNNNNNNNNNNNNNNNNNNNNNNNNNNNNNNNNNNNNNNNNNNNNNNNNNNNNNNNNNNNNNNNNNNNNNNNNNNNNNNNNNNNNNNNNNNNNNNNNNNNNNNNNNNNNNNNNNNNNNNNNNNNNNNNNNNNNNNNNNNNNNNNNNNNNNNNNNNNNNNNNNNNNNNNNNNNNNNNNNNNNNNNNNNNNNNNNNNNNNNNNNNNNNNNNNNNNNNNNNNNNNNNNNNNNNNNNNNNNNNNNNNNNNNNNNNNNNNNNNNNNNNNNNNNNNNNNNNNNNNNNNNNNNNNNNNNNNNNNNNNNNNNNNNNNNNNNNNNNNNNNNNNNNNNNNNNNNNNNNNNNNNNNNNNNNNNNNNNNNNNNNNNNNNNNNNNNNNNNNNNNNNNNNNNNNNNNNNNNNNNNNNNNNNNNNNNNNNNNNNNNNNNNNNNNNNNNNNNNNNNNNCUCCGGCAGGGUGCCGGAACAGGGUCCCGAUUGGUUUUUGGUGGCUACAGAGGCUUGCGGCGGCAGAACUCCCGAUCUAGGUUAUGUUCUGGAGGUUUGGGGAUUUAUAGGAGAGGUUGACGUCGAGAACAAGUUAGGGGGCCCCACGGAGAGUCCACAAGGCAGGGGCACCCUAGGGGGCGCCCUCUACCCUCGUGGGGCCCAUGGGACUCCCCUCCGGUAACUCUUCAAUCCAGUAUUUUUUAUAUUUUCCAUAAAAAAUCUCUGUUGAUUUUCAGCGCAUUCCGAGAACUUUUAUUUCUGCACAAAAACAACACCACGAUAGUUCUGCUGAAAACAACGUUAGUGCGGGUUAGUUCUAACCAAAUCAUACCAAAUUCAUGUAAAAAUAUUAUAAACAUGUCAUGAAUACAUCAAAAAUCCUAGAUACGUUGGAGACGUAUCAAGCAUCCCUAAUCUUAAUUCUUGCUUGUCCUCGAGUAGGUAAAUGAUAAAAACAAUUUUUUUGAUGUGGAAUGCUACCUAACAUAUUUAUCAAUGUAAUCUUCUUUAUUGUGGCAAGAAUAUUCAGAUCCAUAAGAUUCAAAACAAAAGUUUAAUAUUGACAUAAAAACUAUAAUAUCAAGCAUACUAACAAAGCAAUCAUGUCUUCUCAAAAUAACAUGGCCAAAGAAAGCCAUUCCUACAAAAUCAUAGAGUCUGGCUAUGCUCUAUCUUCAUCACACAAAAUAUUUAAAUCAUGCACAACCCUGAUGACAAGCCAAGCAAUUGUUUCAUACUUUUGAUGUUCUAAAACUGUUGGGGAUAUAACUAUUAGGUAUAACCCGCCCAGGACGGGCCGGGUCACACCUAAGAUGAAGCCCACGAAGACACUUGAAGAUGACGACUCACUUAAAGGCCCAAGUCCCAGAGGCGAUUUAAGGCCUAUAGAGAUAAUCCGCCAUGCAUGCAUAACUUGUAUUGUAAGGAAGGAAUAGAGAGAGACCGAGCCGGACACUGUUUAUGAACCGGCCGGGACUCUUUGAGCCGCUGGGCAUCGACCUCUGUAUAUAAAGAGAUGACCGGACGACGGUUCAGGGCAGGUAACAUCAGAUCGAGAACUAGGUCAGCGGAUUCUCUCCCUGGUUAUCGAUUCAUAAGCAAUCCUACCCAAAACUGGAUCGUAGGCUUUUACCUUCACUACAAGGGGCCGAACCAGUAUGAACCUCGUGUCCUUUGUCCCGUUUAACCCCUUUAAGCUUCCUAGUUGCGAUGGCUCCACGACUAAGUCCUUACACUAGGACAUCUGACGUGACAAUUCCACGACAGUUGGCGCCCACCAUGGGGCCAGCGCANNNNNNNNNNNNNNNNNNNNNNNNNNNNNNNNNNNNNNNNNNNNNNNNNNNNNNNNNNNNNNNNNNNNNNNNNNNNNNNNNNNNNNNNNNNNNNNNNNNNNNNNNNNNNNNNNNNNNNNNNNNNNNNNNNNNNNNNNNNNNNNNNNNNNNNNNNNNNNNNNNNNNNNNNNNNNNNNNNNNNNNNNNNNNNNNNNNNNNNNNNNNNNNNNNNNNNNNNNNNNNNNNNNNNNNNNNNNNNNNNNNNNNNNNNNNNNNNNNNNNNNNNNNNNNNNNNNNNNNNNNNNNNNNNNNNNNNNNNNNNNNNNNNNNNNNNNNNNNNNNNNNNNNNNNNNNNNNNNNNNNNNNNNNNNNNNNNNNNNNNNNNNNNNNNNNNNNNNNNNNNNNNNNNNNNNNNNNNNNNNNNNNNNNNNNNNNNNNNNNNNNNNNNNNNNNNNNNNNNNNNNNNNNNNNNNNNNNNNNNNNNNNNNNNNNNNNNNNNNNNNNNNNNNNNNNNNNNNNNNNNNNNNNNNNNNNNNNNNNNNNNNNNNNNNNNNNNNNNNNNNNNNNNNNNNNNNNNNNNNNNNNNNNNNNNNNNNNNNNNNNNNNNNNNNNNNNNNNNNNNNNNNNNNNNNNNNNNNNNNNNNNNNNNNNNNNNNNNNNNNNNNNNNNNNNNNNNNNNNNNNNNNNNNNNNNNNNNNNNNNNNNNNNNNNNNNNNNNNNNNNNNNNNNNNNNNNNNNNNNNNNNNNNNNNNNNNNNNNNNNNNNNNNNNNNNNNNNNNNNNNNNNNNNNNNNNNNNNNNNNNNNNNNNNNNNNNNNNNNNNNNNNNNNNNNNNNNNNNNNNNNNNNNNNNNNNNNNNNNNNNNNNNNNNNNNNNNNNNNNNNNNNNNNNNNNNNNNNNNNNNNNNNNNNNNNNNNNNNNNNNNNNNNNNNNNNNNNNNNNNNNNNNNNNNNNNNNNNNNNNNNNNNNNNNNNNNNNNNNNNNNNNNNNNNNNNNNNNNNNNNNNNNNNNNNNNNNNNNNNNNNNNNNNNNNNNNNNNNNNNNNNNNNNNNNNNNNNNNNNNNNNNNNNNNNNNNNNNNNNNNNNNNNNNNNNNNNNNNNNNNNNNNNNNNNNNNNNNNNNNNNNNNNNNNNNNNNNNNNNNNNNNNNNNNNNNNNNNNNNNNNNNNNNNNNNNNNNNNNNNNNNNNNNNNNNNNNNNNNNNNNNNNNNNNNNNNNNNNNNNNNNNNNNNNNNNNNNNNNNNNNNNNNNNNNNNNNNNNNNNNNNNNNNNNNNNNNNNNNNNNNNNNNNNNNNNNNNNNNNNNNNNNNNNNNNNNNNNNNNNNNNNNNNNNNNNNNNNNNNNNNNNNNNNNNNNNNNNNNNNNNNNNNNNNNNNNNNNNNNNNNNNNNNNNNNNAGGAGGCAUACUCUUACAGUAGAGACAUGAAUCAUUCAACCCCACGUCCGAGCCGGAGCAAGAGUUAUAGCAGGCAUCUGGACUCGCUGGCCGUUUCAAGCAACGCCCAGCAUCGCGAUCAGCCACGCAGGUACGACCCUACUCAGGGUGGGGCUCCUAAUGUGCAUAAUCAGGACAGAGUGCGCCAGCAAAUUGAGUAGGCGGCUCAGCAGGUAGCACAACUGGCGGCUCAAUAGGCAACAGAAAUAGCAGCUCAGCAGGCGGCUGAUCAGCCCCUGCCGGUUUAUCCGACGAUGUCAGUUGAGGCAGGUGUGGUCACCAGGACCGGGGGCGUGCCUUGUUUGGUGCCGGCUCUGCGUAACAAGCGUUUGCCCAAGGAUUUUAAGGGGCCUCGUAAGGUACCUAAUUACACAGCCGAUUUACAGCCUGCGGCAUGGAUCGAGAGUUAUGAGAUGGCCAUGGAAUUACUGGAGGUUAGUGAUGUCGCAAUGGCCAAGUACUUCACCAUGAUGCUGGAUGGAACGGCUCAUAAUUGGUUGAAGGCGUUGCCACCUAAUUCCGUUAGUUCCUGGGCGGAGUUAAAGGAGAAGUUUAUCCAGAACUUUAAAGAUACAUGUAAGCAGCCCAUGUUGAUUGUGGACUUGACUAGUUGCAAGCAACAGGAGGGUGAGUCCACGACCCAUUGGGUGCGCCGGGUUAAGGAGAUAAUACAUUCCUCUGAUAAGAUGGAUGCCGGUUCUGUAGUAUUGAUGUCAGAGCAAAAUUGCCGUUUUGAGCCUCGGAAGAUGAAGCUGGGAUGACUCAAGCGCGAGUGUUCUGACAUGGGCCAACUGAUGGUGGCUCUCGUCAAAUAUGUUGACUCUGAUAGUACCAAGGAUCCCGAGUCUGACAAUGAGAAGGCAGGGAAGGGAAAGAAGAGCAGCAACGCUAAGGGUCCUCAGCCUAGCCAGGCAAAUCAAGGCGGCAACAAUAAACAUAAGGUGGAUGGUAGCUCAGAGUUUGUGGCUAACACCAAUGCACAGGGCAACAAUCAGCGGCGUAAGGGGAGGCCACCUCCUCGAUCUGGCGGUCAGGUCCUACUCUCGAGCAGUUGUUAAAUGAACCCUGCCCAAAGCACGGUACUUAAGAGAAGCCGGCUACUCACAUGUGGAAGGAUUGCACUAUCAUGAGGGCUUUCAAGAAUUCUAACAUGUUCAAUGGUAAUCACGGGCAGGGCGGCGGUUCAGGAGGCGGUAACUUUCAUGGCCGGAACAAUGGAAGUGGUGGUUCUGGUUCCGGCUUUCAAGGCAACCAGAAUAAUCAAGGCAAUUUCAAUCAAGGUGGUCAAGGCAGCUACAAUCAACAAUCUGGCCAAGGGGGUUAGCAGCAGCAGCAGUAGUCCNNNNNNNNNNNNNNNNNNNNNNNNNNNNNNNNNNNNNNNNNNNNNNNNNNNNNNNNNNNNNNNNNNNNNNNNNNNNNNNNNNNNNNNNNNNNNNNNNNNNNNNNNNNNNNNNNNNNNNNNNNNNNNNNNNNNNNNNNNNNNNNNNNNNNNNNNNNNNNNNNNNNNNNNNNNNNNNNNNNNNGCAAUCAGAGUCAUCCAAAGCAAUUGAACAGUGGGCAGUAUCAUGUUUUCACCACAAGUUUAUGUAAGCGGGACCAGAAGCUUCACAAGAGGGCAGUGAACGCCGUUGAGCCGGCAGUUCCUCGAUACUUGCGAUGGUUUGAGCAGCCCAUUACGUGGAGUCGGGAGGAUCACCCGCCCCGGGUUGAUAAUCCGAGUCACUUGGCUUUGGUGGUAGCACCUCAAGUUGGGGGGUACAAGUUCACCAAGGUACUCAUGGAUGGAGGUAGCAGCAUCAAUAUCCUUUAUUAUGAGACCUUCCGUCGUAUGGGGUUAACAGAUAAAAAUCUUAAGCAGUCCAGUGUAGUUCCUAGUAAGUCAUCAUACCUAGUGGGCAAGAUCGAGAUGGAAGUAGCCUUUGGAAAUGAGUUUCCAGGGCCGAGAAAUUAACUUUUGAGGUGGUCAAGAUCAGGAGCACGUAUCAUGCUCUGUUUGGGCAACCGGCUUACGCCAAGUUUAUGGCACGACCGUGUUAUGUUUAUCUACAGCUGAAGAUGCCGGGUCAUAAAGGGACCAUUACGGUUCAUGGCAGUCGAAAGGUGGCUCUGGAGUGCGAGGAAGGCGACGCGGCUUAUGCUGAGUUGGUCUGUGCCGCUGAAGAGUUAAAGUAUUAUAAGGACAAUGUUGACCUGGCAGACAUGACAUCCUUGAAGAAUCCCACCAUAGAGCAUGGACUGGAGAUGAAGUUUAAAUCGGCUGAGGACACCAAGAUGGUUGAUUUUGUUCCGAGCUCUUCAUAUAAACAGUNNNNNNNNNNNNNNNNNNNNNNNNNNNNNNNNNNNNNNNNNNNNNNNNNNNNNNNNNNNNNNNNNNNNNNNNNNNNNNNNNNNNNNNNNNNNNNNNNNNNNNNNNNNNNNNNNNNNNNNNNNNNNNNNNNNNNNNNNNNNNNNNNNNNNNNNNNNNNNNNNNNNNNNNNNNNNNNNNNNNNNNNNNNNNNNNNNNNNNNNNNNNNNNNNNNNNNNNNNNNNNNNNNNNNNNNNNNNNNNNNNNNNNNNNNNNNNNNNNNNNNNNNNNNNNNNNNNNNNNNNNNNNNNNNNNNNNNNNNNNNNNNNNNNNNNNNNNNNNNNNNNNNNNNNNNNNNNNNNNNNNNNNNNNNNNNNNNNNNNNNNNNNNNNNNNNNNNNNNNNNNNNNNNNNNNNNNNNNNNNNNNNNNNNNNNNNNNNNNNNNNNNNNNNNNNNNNNNNNNNNNNNNNNNNNNNNNNNNNNNNNNNNNNNNNNNNNNNNNNNNNNNNNNNNNNNNNNNNNNNNNNNNNNNNNNNNNNNNNNNNNNNNNNNNNNNNNNNNNNNNNNNNNNNNNNNNNNNNNNNNNNNNNNNNNNNNNNNNNNNNNNNNNNNNNNNNNNNNNNNNNNNNNNNNNNNNNNNNNNNNNNNNNNNNNNNNNNNNNNNNNNNNNNNNNNNNNNNNNNNNNNNNNNNNNNNNNNNNNNNNNNNNNNNNNNNNNNNNNNNNNNNNNNNNNNNNNNNNNNNNNNNNNNNNNNNNNNNNNNNNNNNNNNNNNNNNNNNNNNNNNNNNNNNNNNNNNNNNNNNNNNNNNNNNNNNNNNNNNNNNNNNNNNNNNNNNNNNNNNNNNNNNNNNNNNNNNNNNNNNNNNNNNNNNNNNNNNNNNNNNNNNNNNNNNNNNNNNNNNNNNNNNNNNNNNNNNNNNNNNNNNNNNNNNNNNNNNNNNNNNNNNNNNNNNNNNNNNNNNNNNNNNNNNNNNNNNNNNNNNNNNNNNNNNNNNNNNNNNNNNNNNNNNNNNNNNNNNNNNNNNNNNNNNNNNNNNNNNNNNNNNNNNNNNNNNNNNNNNNNNNNNNNNNNNNNNNNNNNNNNNNNNNNNNNNNNNNNNNNNNNNNNNNNNNNNNNNNNNNNNNNNNNNNNNNNNNNNNNNNNNNNNNNNNNNNNNNNNNNNNNNNNNNNNNNNNNNNNNNNNNNNNNNNNNNNNNNNNNNNNNNNNNNNNNNNNNNNNNNNNNNNNNNNNNNNNNNNNNNNNNNNNNNNNNNNNNNNNNNNNNNNNNNNNNNNNNNNNNNNNNNNNNNNNNNNNNNNNNNNNNNNNNNNNNNNNNNNNNNNNNNNNNNNNNNNNNNNNNNNNNNNNNNNNNNNNNNNNNNNNNNNNNNNNNNNNNNNNNNNNNNNNNNNNNNNNNNNNNNNNNNNNNNNNNNNNNNNNNNNNNNNNNNNNNNNNNNNNNNNNNNNNNNNNNNNNNNNNNNNNNNNNNNNNNNNNNNNNNNNNNNNNNNNNNNNNNNNNNNNNNNNNNNNNNNNNNNNNNNNNNNNNNNNNNNNNNNNNNNNNNNNNNNNNNNNNNNNNNNNNNNNNNNNNNNNNNNNNNNNNNNNNNNNNNNNNNNNNNNNNNNNNNNNNNNNNNNNNNNNNNNNNNNNNNNNNNNNNNNNNNNNNNNNNNNNNNNNNNNNNNNNNNNNNNNNNNNNNNNNNNNNNNNNNNNNNNNNNNNNNNNNNNNNNNNNNNNNNNNNNNNNNNNNNNNNNNNNNNNNNNNNNNNNNNNNNNNNNNNNNNNNNNNNNNNNNNNNNNNNNNNNNNNNNNNNNNNNNNNNNNNNNNNNNNNNNNNNNNNNNNNNNNNNNNNNNNNNNNNNNNNNNNNNNNNNNNNNNNNNNNNNNNNNNNNNNNNNNNNNNNNNNNNNNNNNNNNNNNNNNNNNNNNNNNNNNNNNNNNNNNNNNNNNNNNNNNNNNNNNNNNNNNNNNNNNNNNNNNNNNNNNNNNNNNNNNNNAGCGUAGACCGGUACCCCCGAAUACUUUCUUGGAUGUUUUGCAUAAUCGUUCUCUCAAGUUACCUACAGAGGAAGACUUGGUUGUGCCUGACCCAGAAGCACAGUUGGUGGCGCCUCUUCAUGUCAUCCCAGAUUGGACAGUGCCAUACUUGGCUUACAUGACCCGGGGAGAAUUUCCUGAGGAUGAAACCUUGGCUAGACAGAUAACCCGACGGUCUAAGUCAAUGGCAAUUACCAUUGGCGAGUUACACCAUUGCAGUGUCACUGGGGCGUUUCAACAUUGUGUAUCUCCUGAAGAAGGCCAAGAGAUUCUUUGUGAGAUUCAUGAAGGAGAUUGUGGCCAUCACGCCGGUUCAAAGUCCCUUGUGGCCAAAGCUUUCUGUCACGAAUUUUAUUGGCUAAUGGCUCAUGCUAAUGCAGAAGAUCUAGUCAGUAAAUGUGACGGGUGUUUGAAAUUUUCACGACGAGCUCAUGUGCUUCCUCAAGAGUUGAGGAUGAUACUGAUUACUUGGCCGUUUGCUAUGUGGGGGCUUGACAUGGUUCGGCCUUUCAAAAGAUCCAAGGAUAAAAAGACUCACCUUUUGGUGGCAGUGGAUAAAUUCACAAAGUGGGUGGAAGCAGAGUUGGUCAGUAAGUGUGACGCGGCGACGGCGGUUCAAUUCAUGAAAAAGGUGAUUUUCUGUUUUGGUUUCCCCCAUAGCAUCAUAAUUGGUAAUGGCACUAACUUGUCCAAGGGGGCUAUGGAGGAGUUCUGUCAACGUGAGCAUAUCCGGCUUGAUGUCUCAUCAGUGGAUCACCCCCAAUCCAAUGGUCAAGCAGAAAGAGCCAAUCAGGAGAUUUUGAAGGUUAUCAAGCCCCGGCUUUUAGUUCAUUUAUAAGAAACACCGGGUUGUUGGGUGGAGGAGUUACCAUCAGUGUUAUGGAGCAUCAAUACUACCCCCAACAGAUCUACGGGUUAUACCCCUUUCUUCAUGGUUUAUGGAGCAGAGGCGGUUCUUCCUAGCGACAUCCGUCAUGACUCGCCCUGAGUGGCGGCUUACGUAGAAGCUAACAAUGAGCAAGCACGUUGGGAGGCACUUGACCUAUUGGAUGUAAAACAUGACUUGGCAGCAGCCCGCUCGGCGAUUUACCAACAGGACCUGCGGCGUUACCACAGCCGCCGGGUUAAAUCUAGAACCUUUCAGGAAGGCAACUUGGUGCUCUGGCUCAUCCAGGAUCAGACUGAUGCACACAAGUUAUCCCCACCUUGGGAAGGGCCCUUUGUGGUCAGCAAGAAUUUAAAUAACGGGUCAUACUACCUUAUCGAUGUUUGAGAGCACAAAGACUCACGUAAGUCGGAGGAGGAGACCCGCCGGCCGUGGAAUAUAGCUCAUCUUCGACCUUACUACACUUGAGCCACCGGCUCUCAUGAUGUACAUAUCUUGGUGAUGUAUAUAUUAUCAAUAAUAAAGCAGGACCUCUGUCCUUUUUCAUCCCCAAAGAUCAUAUGUCUUCACUGUCAUUAUUUCAAAAAGACCAUUGGGGGCUGAUCAUAUUCGAAUCUAGCUUAACCCCUUUGGUACAACUUCCUGAUCGUAUUCGAAUCAUAGUUGUUCAAGCAAACUUGAUCACUUGGGGGCUGGGUCGUAUUCGAAUCAUAGCUUAACCCCUUUUGGUACGACUCAGAUCGUAUUCGAAUCAGAGUUGUUAAAUAUUCUCAAGGCCAUUUGGGGGCUUCCUGUUCAAACAUAGGUCGUAUUCGAACCAAAGAAAACAUAGUUGUCGGUACCCACUUGAUCGACGCAAUGCCAAAACCCAAUUCGGGGCUUCUUGAUCGUAUUCGAAUCAUAGCUUAACCCCUCUUGGGUCUGACCCAGAUUGUAUUCGAAUCAGAGUUGUUAAAUAUUCUUAAGGUCAUUUGGGGGCUUCCUGUUCAAACAUAGGUCGUAUUCGAACCAAAGAGAACAUAGCUGUUGGUACCCUCUUGAUCGGCGCAAUGCCAAAGCCACUGGGGGCUACAUGGUUGUAUUCGAACCCUAGCUUAACCCCUUUGGGACGGUUUACUUAUCGUAUUCGAAUCAGAAGCCUUAAAUUUUUCUUUCUAUUCUUUUUGCUUAAGUCUUUUCUGAAAGCACUCUUUGGAUUUGUCUUGAGACCUUUUUUGUGUCCAUGAUUUAAGCCAUAUAAGGUUUUUGGUUUGAGCCGGCUUAACUUUGAGCAAUCAGUCGCCCGGCGUGUGACAAAUUCCAAGUGAAGUCAUGGUUUCUAAACCGGGUCAUCACCCGUACUGUACAGGUCAUUUAAACCGGAAGUAGAAAUUUGAUAUCUCAGGUAUGAUGUUACCACAGUUAUAUUGAAAGUUCUGAUUCUCAUCAGAAUUAUUUAUAAUUCAUGUUCCACAUUUAUAAUUAUCUGGUAUAAUUAUGACCCGCCCUACGGUAAGCCGCCGAGGGUCUCUGUUUAUCUACCUCUUUGUGUAGGACAGAUUACAAGAUUUCUUAUGCACAAGGAAAAUAGAAAAGCAUAAGACGGAGUAAUAUAUAAUGGCGGGUUAAACAGUGUUAAGGCAUCAAAACAUGCACGAAGGCACGGCACAACAAAGUCAUUUCUACUUCUAUUACAUGAAUCCCCGAGUCAAAAUGAUUAAUCAUUGUUUUUCAGCAAGGCUACAAAUAUGAGCCGCCCAACGGAUUUGUUCUCUUGAUUGCCCAAAGCUUCCGGAUAAACCCUUUCCACUUCUUCAUCCUGUUCCUGGGCCUGGAAGGUUGAUGACGACCAGUCAAUGCCACUGAAAGCUUUAAAUUCAGCUUUGUCAUCAACUAGCCUGGCCGGAUCAAUUACAGGAGCGAAGGUAUGCUUACGAGUUGGUGGAAUCAGACUUGUCAGGGUAUAUUGUGGUGUUGGGAUUCUCCGGUUCUCGGCAUCAUAACCCGCCUGGUACUUGGAGAGAUCCGCUUCUUCAGCAAUCAAAGUGGCCACAGGGCGUAUGGCCUUCACGCAAGCAGCGAAAUCUUCCCGUUCAAAGGGUGCACUGUCUUCUUUUAAGCUCGAAUAACAAAUAGCAAUGUCAGCCAGGUCUAGUUCCGGAAGCCAAGCUUUGGCCCGGCUCAACGCGGCUACAGCUCUGGCUCUCGCAGACGAUUGCUUCAGUUCAGUAAUCCGUUGGGGCAACACAGAAAGCUUCCUUAGCACACCCUCCAAAAGUGUGGGAACUUCAUUGGACAGGGCCACGGUGGCUAAGGCGCGCUUAGACCCGGUGUAGAGUUGCUCCACCAGUGUAUAAACCGCCUUCAACUUUACCAAAAAGUCCUGGUUCAGAUUUGAGCUCCUGGGGCCUGCAUAGCAAUGUCAGGUGCGUUAAAGAACAAAUUUAUAUGAUCAUUGAAAAGUAUACAGUAUUUAUAACUUGCAGGGCGACUUACCAAAGAUUGCGGUAACCAUCUGGGACAUCUGGCGUUUCAAGCCAGACAAUUCAUUGGUUGCCUUUUGAAGAGCCGCCUCUAAAUUGUCAGCUCGUUGGGUUAAGGCAUUCUUUUCGUCAGCCCAAAUCUUUCUCUCCGCCUCAAAGUUGGCCUUCAGCUUCUCUUGUUCAGAUACACUGAAUUCAAACUUGGAGUUGGCCCUUUGGGUUUCUGUUUCUUGAGAUUGCAGAUGGUUCUUUAAAUCAGCGAUUUCUGUUUGCAAUUGACUGGUGGCAACCUGCACAAAUACCGGAUUGAAGUCAUGAUUAUUAGUAUAUAAUAUUGAAGUCCCAAGCACCUUGCAAGCAAGACUACUUGGCACUUGGGGGCUAAUGUCUACCGCGGAAGUCUAUUUAUAGUGGCGGUUCAUAAGGUUGGCAAUUCACAAAAUUAAAGUCCCAAGCACUUUGCAAGCAAGACUACUUGGCACUUGGGAGCUAAUGCAUAUUGCAGUUCAAACUAUGAAGUUAAUAUGUUCUACACAAGCAUGUGAAGGACCGGCUCAUUCACUUUGAUUAAACCGGCCCUUGGGGGCUAUGGAUUAAGCCGGAUUUUUAUAGGUUUUUAAUCUAAAGGCAUUGAUAUAUAAUACUUGUCUGACGUUUUCUAUGUCCACAACAUAUUCAUCAUAAGCAAUAGACUUGGGGGAUGGCGUGAUAAGAAUGAUUCAGGGGAAAGAGGAGAUCAUACCUCAAACUUAUGGUACAUCUGCAUCACCAUGUCGAUGUCAACAUCACAGCUACUGUGCACUUGGCUGAGAUAGCCUGAUAAAACAUCUCCGACAUCAUGUGUGAGUAAUCCGUAAGGUUAAAUCUGACCUUACGGCGUUCCAGGAGUCCUUCUUUGGCAGUGCAUUUGGCAAGCACAUUAGGCCUUCCCGGCUCAGUGUAACUAGUCUUGGUAAUUUCAACUUCAGCUUCUUGAGGGUCUUUUGUCUUAACUGGGCUUGAGACUUCAGGAUUGUCAGAGCCAUCAAAAGCUUGUUCGACAGGUGGGUCAGCGGCUGAUGUAGGCGGUUCAUGCACUGGCUCAGGCGGCGGCUUAGUAUCAGAGGUUUCCGAUAUAACCGUCUGAAGUGCCGGUUCAUUGAGAGUUGGCUCAUCAACCGGCUUGUCCUUCUUGGCCUUCUUGUUAACCUUUGCUUUGCUGCUGCAUAAAGAUCAAAAGGUUGGUAUAAGCAUAAAAAUUCAAAGUACAAGAUAAUUAAAGUCAUCAUUACCCUGGAGCAGUCUUGAAAGCCGGCAUGUUGGAUUGAAUUGAGUCGCCGGAAGAAGGAGAGGUUUCCUGGUAAUUCGAAUCAGAAGGAUUCAGUGGCUGACGAGUGAGACCCGCCAAAGGAUAAGAGGAAUCUAAGAUGGAGAUGACCUCAUUCUGACGCUUUCUUGGUGUAUUGGGUAGAUCGGAGGAGAGUUCCACGUCUUUCAUGGUCCAGAUCUGUCUCCGGUUCUCAAGAAUCUGUCGCUUCAAAAGAAAUUGAGGAUGUUGAUAAGCUAAGGGAUGUGAAAAUCUUACUUUCUAGGUUACUUGGCGGAGUUUUUGGAGCGGCAAAGGCUCUGAGUUGGAGGAAAUAAUAGUUACCUCUGCUUCCACCCCGUGGCUCGUGCCCGUGUUAUCCUGAUCAUAAUCAGUAUCAAUAAGGUAAUUAAAAAAUGAGCCAAGGGAGUCAAGGGCUACCUCCGACAUAGAAGAAUCAUCUAGCCGAAGCUGCUCAGAAGCACUGGGUUUCUUUCCGUGUCUCUUUGUGGCGGCUCUCCGGGUGGCUCUCUUGGCUUUCCUGUCUCUUUUUGCAGCCUCAUGAUCAUAUUUGACUUUCCAUAAUUUGUCAUUAGCCUGCAAAGUCAGCAAAAAUUUGAGCACAGAUAAAAUAGCAACAUUGGAAAUGAUUUGUUCAGAUUGGCGACUUACCGCUGGAGCCGGGUUGGUUGCGCAGAAAGGGCUUAAGCCCACCUUGCCACAAUCUAUUAAGCUUUCAUUAAGUAGACACUUGGUCAUAUCAUUGACGACAUGGUCAGGAAGAUUGUCAGGGCUGUGUCGCUAAGGGUCAUCUUUCUUGCUUGAGUAAUUGCACAUUAAACCAGGGUGGCGGCUUAGUGGAAUAAUCCACCAGGCGCGCCAGACCCGGACCAAGUCAAUGUUGCUUAACCCGUUCCCCAGAAGAGCUUUGAUUUUGGCCAAAGUGGGGGCGAGUGUUUUGCGUUCGGCGGGUGAUAUCUUGCCAGGCAGUGGGUGAUUGGAGUCCAGAUGCAAGGCGCGAAAACCGGGCAGAGGAUUCUCAUCACCUGGGGAGGUGUCUUGGCAAUAAAACCACGUUUGAUUCCAGUCCUUUGGAUGGAUCGGCGGAUUAGCAUAAGGAAAAAUGACGUCUCUCCGCUGCUGGAUUGAGACGCCACCAAGUUCCAAGCUCUGUCCGCUGGCACAUUCAUUCUGGCGGUUCAAGUAAAAUAACUCCCUGAAGAGUAACAGAUUGGGUUCUUCUCCAAGAUACAACUUGCUGAACACUUGAAAAUUGCAGAUAUUAGACACGAAAUUGGGUCUAAUGUCUUGAGGGCGGGGAUCGAAGAAAUGUAGGACGUCUCUAAAGAAUUUUGAGCCAGGUGGUGAGAAACCCCGGUUCAUAUGAUCCGAGAAAACAAUCACCUCCACUUCCUUGGGUUGAGGUCUCUCUUCUGUCGGGUCAGGAGGACGGUGAGACAUGACAUCCCUUUUUGGCAGAUAACCAACUUUCACAAAGUCUUCGAGAGUCUGCUCGUAACGAUGGAUGGGACCCAGUUGCAUGAGGUGCUUGUCUUAGGUGCCAUGGUGAUGGAAGCCUAUGAAAGGAUAAAAUUUCCGAUUCAAAUUUAAGCCGAAGGAAAUGUCAAUAUUCAAGAUGGUGGCUUAUCUAGGGGCCUAAUGGUAUGAGGAUAAUUACGACAGAUUCUUUAAGUCGCCAUAAGCAUCAUUGAUAGUUCAGUUAAAUAAGCCACCGUGGGCGGUCAAGAUUAUCAACUAAAGCAUUAUCUUCUAAGUCGGUGAUAAGAGUCGGCAUGGCUAGGGGGAUCUAACAGAUACAUAUUUUUGCCUAAGUAUGGCAUAAACAAGUUUCACAAAGUGCAGUUGCUAUUUUGGAUCAAAUAGUUGUUCAGAAAAGAAAAUAUUCUAGACCUAAAAAUAGAGUACAGAUGAGUUCAUCAGUUCUAAGAAGGCCUCUUUGCAAUAUAAAGGGAUCUCCUGAUAUCAAAAAUGCGUGUGAAACAGUUAUCGCGUAAAGUUUUACACUAUUCUUGGAUCAGAGGAGGCUGCAGUAUAGAGCUAUGAAGAACCGAGAUGAAUAGCAAAGAACACAGGAAGAACCUAUGAACCCUAAUGCAGAUCUGGAGUAGGAGAAGAAGAAAGCUUACGGCUGUAGGGGUGUUGCGGAGGUUCGCCGCCGUUCUCUGGACAGACUCAGGUCGAUGCAUCGGCCAAGGUCGACGAAGACGAGGGGCGCGGCGGCGGCGGCGGAGCUCGAGAAGCUGUAGGGUGCCGAUGAAGAAGAUGCGAAAAGGAGAAGAAUGAGAAAGGACCCGGUUGGGUCUAUUUAUAAGAGAAAACUGAUGACUGGGCACGAAAAACGAGGAGGCCAAAGACAUAACUUAUCUAACUACAAGGACGCCUCAAUUUUCGGGAUGGUCUUUAAGAUAAGGAUCCAUUGAGAUAUAUUGGAUAAAGCAUAAAUUGAUGACAAAUGACGUCACGGUGGGUUAUCCCAAAUCCAGACGAUGACGUCACGAUGGGUUAGGUUAUCACACAAGCAGGGAGAACAAGAUUUUUGCUUAAGUGUUGAAGAUUGACAUGAACCAGUUCAAAUCAAUCUGGGGCCUAAUGUUGGUGAUAUAACUAUUAGGUAUAACCCGCCCAGGAGGGGCCGGGUCACACCUACGAUGAAGCCCACGAAGACACUUGAAGAUGAUGGCUCACUUAAAGGCCCAAGUCCCAGAGGCGAUUUAAGGCAUGUAGAGAUAAACCGCCAUGUAUGCAUAACUUGUAUUGUAAGAAAGGAAUAGAGAGAGACCGAGCCGAACACUGUUUAUGAACCGGCCAGGAGUCUGUGAGCCGCUGUGUGUCGACCUCUAUAUAUAAAGGGACGACCCUGUGGCGGUUCAGGGCAGGUAACAUCAGAUUGAGAACUAGGUCAGCGGACUUGCUCCCUGGUUAUCGAUUUAUAAGAAAUCCCACCCAAAACUGGAUCGGAGGCUUUUACCUUCACCGCAUGGGGCCGAACAGUAUAAACCUUGUGUCCUUUGUCCCGUUUAACCCCUUUAAGCUUCCUAAUUGCGAUGGCUCCACGACUAAGUCCUUACGCUAGGACAUCUGACAUGACAAUUCCAUGACAAAAACUUUUUUCAAUCUUCACGCAAUACAUGAGCGUGAGCCAUGGAUAUAGCACUAAGGUGGAAUAGAAUAUGGUGGUUGUGGAGAAGAGAAAAAGAAGGAGAUAGUCUCACAUCAACUAGGCGUAUCAACGGGCUAUGGAGAUGCCCAUCAAUAGAUAUCAAUGUGAGUGAGUAGGGAUUUUUUCACGCCCAAUAUGCGAUGCUAUCCUAAAGAGACUCGAAGGUCCCACCAAGGAUAGAACCGCAUAUUGAAACGCUUUUGCAAGGUGGAUAUCAUUACAUCAACAUUACAUAAUAGAUGGGGAUACAUACAAGAGGCAAACAAUGCGACAUGAAUACAACAUCACAAUACAUAAGAGCAACAUCCGGCUACGGAUGGAACACGAACAGAAACUCAAACGACGUCCACCUUGCUAGCCCAGGCUGCCGACCUGGGACCUAUCCCCAGAUCGAAGAAGAAGCAGAAGAAGAACUCCAAAACAAGUAAACAUCGCUCUCGCGUCAUGAUCAUCGCAUAACCUGUACCUGCAACUGUUGUUGUAGUAAUCAUGGAGCCACGAGGACUCAGCAAUCCCAUUACCAUGGGUAUCAAGACUAGCAAAGCUUAAAGGGAAAGGAAGGGGUAAAGUGGUGAGGUUGCAGCAGCGACUAAGCAUAUAUGGUGGCUAACAUACGCAAAUAAGAGCGAGAAGAGAAGCAAAGGAACGGUCGUGAAGCUAGCAAUGAUCAAGAGGUGAUCCUGAACACCUACUUACGUCAACCAUAACCCAAAACCGUGUUCACUUCCCGGACUCCGCUGAAAAGAGACCAUCACGGCUACACACAUGGUUGAUGCAUUUUAAUUCGGAUCUGGUGUCAAGUUAUCUACAACCGGACAUUAACAAAUUCCCAUCUACCACAUAACCGCGGGCACGACUUUCGAAAGUUUAUACCCUGCAGGGGUGUCCCAACUUAGCCCAUGAUAAGCUCUCGCGAUCAACGAAGGAUAUACCUUCUCCCAGGAAGACCCGAUCAGACUCGGAAUCUCGGUUUACAAGACAUUUAGACAAUGGUAAAACAAGACCAGCAAAGCCGCCCGGAUGUGCCGACAAAUCCCGAUAGGAGCUGCACAUAUCUCGUUCUCAGGGCACACCGGAUGAGCAAGACGACGGGUUGGCAUAGACCCUGGUUGCCCAGGGGGCGCCAUACAUCGCUCGGUUUGGACCAACACUUAGACAAGCAUUGACCCGGGGGGCUAAAAUAAAGAUGACCCUCGAGCUCCGGAAACCCAAGGAAAAAAGGGCUAGGUGAGGCAAAUGGUAAAACCAAGGUUGGGCCUUCCUGGAGGAGUUUUAUUCAAAGCGAACUAUCAAGGGGGUCCCAUAAAUCACCCAACCGCGUAAGGAACGCAAAAUACGGGAACAUAACACCGGUAUGACGGAAACUAGGGCGGCAAGAGUGGAACAAAACACCAGGCAUAAGGCCGAGUCUUCCACCCUUUACCAAGUAUAUAGAUGCAUUAAUUAAAUAAGAGAUAUUGUGAUAUCCCAACAUAAUCCUGUCCACCAUGGAGCAAUCUUCAACUUCACCUGCAACUAACAACACUAUAAGAGAGGCUGAGCAAAAGCGGUAACAUAGCCAAACAACGGUUUGCUAGGAAGGUUGAAAAGGUUAGAGGCUGACAUGGCAAUUUGGGAGGCUUGAAGAACAAGUCAUAGGUAGCGCAGCAUAGCGAUAGAACGAAUCAACUAGCAUAGCAAUGAUAGUAAUGAGAUCCAAGGUGACAGUAAUCUUGCUUGAAAUCCUGCAAGGAAGAAGAACGAGUCCAUGAAGAAGAUGAACAGAUGAAGCCGAACCAAGCGUAGACGAACGAAUCCUCACGAUCGCAACGAAACGGGAAGUAUCGAGAAGAAGCACACAACAUGGUAAACACACCACGCAUAAACAUGACAUGAUGCACAACAAGCAUGAUGCAUGACAAAGCUACAUGAAGCUACUCAUGGCAAGAGAUGAUGCAUACAAGAGCAACACAUCAAAACAAGUUUAAAUGAGGCCGGGAACAACAUAUAACAAUUCCGGUAAGUCCUCAUAUGCAAAUUUCGAAAUAGGUCCAGAUCUGAAUAAACCUUAUGUUCAAGUUGUUAAACAGCAAGUUAAAGAUCACCAAGAAGAUCUACACGAGAUUCUAGUCAAGUUACAUAUAAAGUUCAUUUAGUUCGGAGCUACGGCCUAUAAGAUAUGAGCAAAACAAGUUAAACCUGGCAUUGAUGCAAAAUGCACACAAACAUCAAGAAAACACUCUCAUAACAUGGAUGCAACAAUAUAAUAUAAAACUACAUGCAAUUCUAAGCAAGUUUCAUAUAGAGCACACUCAAAACGGAGCAACAGUUCAACACAUACACGCUAUACAAGUUUAAAGGACAAGCUGUCCAAAACAGCAACUAGGCAUAAUGCAAGCACCAAAACAACAUGCUACAGUACCACAAUAUGAAAACAAAAGGCAUGGACAUGCUGUACAGGUAAAGCAUAACAAAACAUGAACACUGAGCUAUCUCCAGAAAUCACUAGAACAUUGCUCAAAAAGACAUGGCAAGAUUGCAAAUAACAACAGUUUACAGGCUUAGCAGAAAUAACAUCAGGUUGCAAUAUUUAGAGCUAUCAAAUGACAUGCUACAGGAACUUAUCAUGGCAAAUAAAGGCAUGGCAUGCUACUACUAAAUUCAUAGAACAAAAGUCCCUUACUGACCAUGAGCCAAAAGGACACAGAAAAUAUGAUGGCACCCAUGUAAACAUGGCAAAUUAUAUGACAGAUUCAUACAUGGCAGGAACAACAAUAAGUAGGCAUGUUGGUGAGCUUGUACCACUCACCACAGAGCAUUACAUGGCAUUAAAAGGUGACCAACCGUAAGCAUACAUGUUUAUGAAGCUAAGAAUGGCAAGAUAAAGUUCAUAGGGUGCAUGGAUCACUAGCAAAGCUCAUGGCACAAACUGAACUUCAUGUUAACAGGCUGACAGCAACAUUAUUUAGCAACUUUAGAGCAUGAUAACAGCAAGCUAAAGCAGGCUAUAAAUGCAACCAGGGGCAUGGAUAGAUAGAGCAUGACAUGUAUAACAAAAUAUCCUAAGUGAACAUCUCCAGAUUCUGCACAGUAUGACUUGUAGCAGCAAGUUCACAUGGCAACAAAAUAUAACAGAAACAGCAUAGCAAAACAGUAACAACAAGUACCCUACUUAACAAGCUUGAUGCACUCACUACAAGACUCACAAAAAAUACAUGGAUUGCACAUCUAUAAAGAUGGCAUGAUGUAGCACAAAACACAUGUAGAGCUCAUGCUCAUAGGAUGCACACAUCAAAUGCAACAAAAAUGACAAAUCACCAAGUUAUAACAGUUUCAGCAGAUUAACAUCAUAUAGAACUAUUGCAACGAUGAUUCAGGCAUCAAGCUGAACUCAAACAAGCAUUGCACAAUGGAAUGAAAUGAAGAGAAGCUCAUCACGAACAUUUUGAUAUAUUAUACGCUCAAAACGAAGCAGUGUGCAUUGAGUUAUGAUGCGUUGAACAGGGCAUGAAAAUGUCAAAAAAUCAGGGACUGGGAAAUUUGGACCUCGGGGAAAGUUGGACGGGGCGGACCGGGGACGAGCGGAUUCGGGGACGGGGUGGCCGUUUGGUUCGGGACCGGGUGGAUCUCAUCCCAGCCGGCCGGAUCUGGGACGGGGCGGCUGCCGACGGCGGCGAGGUCGCCGGAGGCGUGGGAGACGGCGGCGGAGGGGAGGAGAGAGAGGAGGCGCGGGGACACGUGGCAGGCGACGAUAGGUGCGGGGCGGCGGCGCGAUUUUUGUUCGGUGGCGGCGGACGUGUCCGGUGGCGGCUGAGGGCGAUUUUUUACGGUUUGGGGGGAUUCAUCCGUGAAUUUCGACGAGGAGAACAUAUUUAUAGGUAGAGGGAACUAGGAGACUUCAAAUGAGGUGCGGUUUUCGCCCACACGAUCGUGAUCGAACGACCGAGAGCAUGGAUAGGGUUUGGAUGGGUUUUGGGCCACUUUGGACGGGUGUUGGGCUGCAACACAAAGAAGGCUUUUGUAGUUACCCGGUUAACCGUAGGAGUAUCAAACGACCUCCAAAUGGAAAGAAACUUGACAGGCGGUCUAUCGGCGCUAUACCAAGGCCGCUUGGCAAACCUCGGGCCACUCCGAGAAAGUUUCACACCCGCUCACAAUAGGAGACAAAAGGGGGGCACUGGAGGACAUAGGAGUGCCGGAUUGCAAAAUGGACAACGGGGAAAAUGCUCGGAUGCAUGAGACGAACACGUAUGUAAUGCAAUGCAAUGCACAUGAUGACACAAUGCAAAUGAUGACAUGGCAAAAAUGCAACACGCAAGCAAAUGACAUGGCAACGACGGCGAAUAAAUGGCAGACACCUGGCGCAUCGAAUCCGGGGCGUUACAACACUCCUCCACUAACAAGAGAUCUCGUCCCGAGAUCUUAGGACCGAGACGGAAGGGAAAAGGGAUGAGGUGAAACAAGAACUCAAGAGAAGAAGCAAAGAAUCGAGAGCACUCGAGAAGAAGAGAGGAACGAUGAGAAUGACGAGAAUCGAAAGCUCACGGAAUUAGGUAGACUAUGAAACCACUCCGGUUAGAACGAGAUAAGAAACGAAUAAGACUGAAAGGAUUUCGGUAGCACCCCGGCUGAAACAUGGAGGAAUAGACCACGAACUUCACAAGAUGGGAUGACACUUGACGAGAUGAACAAUGCAAUGCAUCCGGAAGAAUUUAAAAAAAAAUUGAAAGAAAAGAAUGGAGAAGAAGACGACAUCUUCUACCAGGAAUGAAAUAGAAAGCAACCUUAGAAGAAAUGAUUGAACAAAGUUGUUGAGAAAAUCAACACCAAAAAGAAUAAGCUUGUUGUGGACUUAUCGGUAACAUCUCAAGAUCAUAAGGUGAUAACCGGCCACAAACGGAAAUGAUUGGAUAGCUGCAAAGAACGAAGAAAUGCAAACCUCCACUUCAAAAGAAAAUGAAGAAUUAUUUGCUCUUCAAGACGGGAGAAGAAAAGAUACUUGAACUCCAUCAACAAAAUCUUGAUGAAUUCUUGAAGAAUGAAUUUAAUCAUGAAGAACCACCAUGAAGAACUCCGGUGACAAAAGGACAACGAGAUAGAAUUGAAGGAUGAAAAGAAAAAGAUUAAAGCUUGCGAUACUUUAGAUGGAGGUUCCGACGAGAUGGCCGAGGAAAUUUGAACUCCGGAAAAGAAAAGCUGAAAACACUUGGAACUAGAAUUUAUUCAUCAAGAACAAACUCCGAAGGAAGGGAUUACUCACUUGGGUGAAAUAAGAAUAAGAUUUAUUGUAUGCUUAUCCUUCAUCAAAUUAAAUUGAUGACAAGCAAUGGAUUUUGCCUACUACUUAUUCUUCUUGAAAAGGAUUAAGGGGGGGGGUAUAGCACAAAACCCUAGAAAGUCUUCAUGAACCACCGGUAGAAUUGGAAAGAACGAAUGGAUAUAUGUGAAAAGAACGGAAAUAAAUCUUGAACGAACCACCAAUCAAAUGACAAUGAACAAAGAAAAGAGAAAGAAUCGCCGGGAAGAAUUAGAGCAAUCAUGAAGAUACUUGAGGGAAUUUAGACAAAAGAGAACGAAGAGAUCGUGAAGUGAUUGAAGAAUACCUGAACGAAGCACCGGAAGAAUAUUGAGACGACCGAAGGGGCACAGACGUAGAAUAAUUGGAGAACAAAUUCGAAACCAUAAAACGAAGAAAUAUUCCAAAAAGAUGGCCUCCGGAUGAUCGAGAGGGAAAGUAACUCCCGAAAUGCAUCGAAUGAUUGAAAAGAAUUUUCACGAUUGAAACAAUUUGAUGGGAUGACAUCGAGCUGGCACCGCGAAUCUCUGGGAGAUCAGACAAGAUUUAGAAGGAACUCUUCUUCGAUCUUCAAAUGACGACGAGAAACAGCACCAAAAUUACUGAGAUACUCCGGGAGAAUGAAAAAGAGGAAGGGUUGAACCAAAGAUGAAAAGAAUUUGAAAGCGAUCUUGGAGAUGGCAUCUGACUGAUGGGAUCCAUUCUUAUGUCACACUUGAAAAGAAUUGAGAAUAACUCCGGAAUAAUUAUAAGAGUCAGGUAAGAUCCUGGGAAAAACCUGUGGGUUAGGACCCGCUAAAGAAAACACCGUUGGAAAGGAUUGUUGAAGAGAUAGAUGAUGCACCGAAAUGAUUAAAAUAUUUGAAUGAGGUGACAACCUCGAAUUAAUUGGAACACAGACGAAUCUCCUGAGAUGUCUUGCACACUCCAGAAGGAUAAACUGGCGAGAGGCGAACGAACAAGGAGAACACUUGAUCCAAGGAAAAGAAUGUGAUCAACCCGAAAAAAAACUUGAGUUGAGUGCACCAGAAAAAGAAAGGGAUGAAGAAUGACAAACGAGACAAGAAUUCACCGGUUGAAAUAAUUUACGAAAGACUGAAGAGGUUCUGCACGAUUGAGAUAGAUGGUCGAGAGAGAGUCAGACUCCGGGAAGAAAAAAAGGUGGGAGGGUGGGAAAACAAAGGAAACUUGGAAGGGGAACCGACGAAUAACUUGAAGAGAAAAACAUCGGUUGAAAUCAUUGAGGAAAGAAAGCAAAGACUUGACACGAGUAGGAUGGAUACUCGAUUACGGACUCCGACUUCGAGAUGAAAAAGGGGUGGGUGGGUGGGAAAAAUAAAACAACCGAGGAUUGAACUUGCAAAAAUGGAGAGGGUCGAAUCAACUUGACGAGAAAUGCACUGGAUGAAAAGAGCUGAGAACAAACGAUCGGAAAACCAACUGCGUGAUCCUAAAGAAAAUUUGAAAGGGAAGAGAAGUAAUUCAAAACACCUACGUCAAGAUUCCUCACCAGAGCGAUGAAGGUUCUGAGGAGUAAAAAGAAUUCCUACUCUCCGAUAUAACUAGACUCCAAAAAUAGUUUUCUUCUAGACUCAACAAAGGGCAAACUACACGAUCAAUCAAGGGGGAUCCUAGGGUGGGUCGAGGCUCUGAUACCAACUUGUCACACCCAAUAUGCGAGGCUAUCCUAAAGAGACUCGAAGGUCCCACCAAGGAUAGAACCGCAUAUUGAAAUGCUUUUGCAAGGUGGAUAUCAUUACAUCAACAUUACAUAAUAGAUGGGGAUACAUACAAGAGGAAAACAAUGCGACAUGAAUACUACAUCACAAUACAUAAGAGCAACAUCCGGCUACGGAUGGAACACGAACAGAAACUCAAACGACAUCCACCCUGCUAGCCCAGGCUGCCGACCUGGGACCUAUCCCCUGAUCGAAGAAGAAGCAGAAGAAGAACUCCAAAACAUGUAAACAUCGCUGUCGCGUCAUGAUCAUCGCAUAACCUGUACCUGCAACUGUUGUUGUAGUAAUCUGUGAGCCACGAGGACUUAGCAAUCCCAUUACCAUGGGUAUCAAGACUAGCAAAGCUUAAAGGGAAAGGAAGGGGUAAAGUGGUGAGGUUGCAGCAGCGACUAAGCAUAUAUGGUGGCUAACAUACGCAAAUAAGAGCGAGAAGAGAAGCAAAGGAACGGUCGUGAAACUAGCAAUGAUCAAGAGGUGAUCCUGAACACCUACUUACGUCAACCAUAACCCAAAACCGUGUUCACUUCCCGGACUCCGCCGAAAAGAGACCAUCACGGCUACACACACGGUUGAUGCGUUUUAGUUCGGAUCUGGCAAGUCAUCUACAACCGGACAUUAACAAAUUCCCAUCUGCCACAUAACCGCGGGCACGGCUUUCGAAAGUUUAUACCCUGCAAGGGUGUCCCAACUUAGCCCAUGAUAAGCUCUUACGAUCAACGAAGGAUAUACCUUCUCCUAGGAAGACCCGAUCAGACUCGGAAUCCCGGUUUAUAAGACAUUUCGACAAUGGUAAAACAAGACCAUCAAAGCCACCCAGAUGUGCCAAAAAAUCUGGAUAGGAGCUGCACAUAUCUCGUUCUCAGGGCACACCGGAUGAGCAAGACGACGGGUUGGCAUAGAGCCUGGUUGCCCAGGGGGCGCCGGACAUCGCUCGGUUUGGACCAACACUUAGAAAAGCAUUGGCCAAGGGGGGCUAAAAUAAAGAUGACCCUCGGGCUCCGGAAACCCAAGGGAAAAAGGGCUAGGUGAUGCAAAUGGUAAAACCAAGGUUGGGCCUUGCUGGAGGAGUUUUAUUCAAAGCGAACUGUCAAGGGGGUCCCAUAAAUCACCCAACCGCGUAAGGAACGCAAAAUCCGGGAACAUAACACUGGUAUGAUAGAAACUAGGGUGGCUAGAGUGGAACAAAACACUAGGCAUAAGGCCGAGUCUUCCACCCUUUACCAAGUAUAUAGAUGCAUUAAUUAAAUAAGAGAUAUUGUGAUAUCCCAACAUAAUCCUGUCCACCAUGGAGCAAUCUUCAACUUCACCUGCAACUAACAAUGCUAUAAGAGGGGCUGAGAAAAAGCGGUAACAUAGCCAAACAACGGUUUGCUAGGAAGGGUGAAAAGGUUAAAGGCUGACAUGGCAAUUUGGGAGGCUUGAAGAACAAGUGAUAGGUAGCGCAGCAUAGCGAUAGAAUGAAGCAACUAGCAUAGCAAUGAUAGUAAUGAGAUCCAAGGUGACGGUCAUCUUGCUUGAAAUCCCGCAAGGAAGAAGAACGAGUCCAUGAAGAAGAUGAACGGAUGAAGCCGAACCAAGCGUAGACGAACGAAUCCUCACGAUCGCAACGAAACGUGAACUAUCGAGAAGCACACAACAUGGUAAAUACACCACACAUAAACAUGACAUGAUGCACAACAAGCAUGAUGCAUGACAAAGCUACAUGAAGCUACUCAUGGCAAGAGAUGAUGCAUACAAAAGCAACACAUCAAAGCAAGUUUAAAUGAGGUCGGGAACAACAUAUAACAAUUCUGGUAAGUCCUCAUAUGCAAAUUUCGAAAUAGGUCCAGAUCUGAAUAAACCUUAUGUUCAAAUUGUUAAACAGCAAGUUAAAGAGCACCAAGAAGAUCUGCACGAGAUUCUAGUCAAGUUACAUAUAAAGUUCAUUUAGUUCGGAGCUACGGCCUAGAAGAUAUGAGCAAAACAAGUUAAACAUGGCAUUGAUGCAAAAUGCACACAAACAUCAAGCAAACACUCUCAAAACAUGGAUGCAACAUGACAAUAUGAAACUACAUGCAAUUCUAAGCAAGUUUCAUAUAUAGCACACUCAAAACGGAGCAACGGUUCAACACAUACACGCUAUACAAGUUUAAAGGACAAGCCGUCCAAAAUAGCAACUAGGCAUAAUGCAAGCACCAAAACAACAUGCUACAGUACCACAAUAUGAAAACAAAAGGCAUGGACAUGCUGUACAGGUAAAGCAUAACAAAACAUGAACACUGAGGUAUCUCCAGAAAUCACUAGAACAUGCUCAAAAAGACAUGGCAAGAUUGGAAAUAACAACAGUUUACAGGCUUAGCAGAAAUAACAUCAGGUUGCAAUGUUUAGAGCUAUCAAACAACAUGCUACAGGAACUUAUCAUGGCAAAAAAAGGCAUGGCAUGCUACUACUAAAUGCAUAGAACAAAAGUCCCUUACUGACCAUGAGCUAAAAGGGCACAGAAAAUAUGAUGGCACCCAUGUAAACAUGGACAAAUAUAUGACAGAUUCAUACAUGGCAGGAACAACAAUAAGUAGGCAUGUUGGUGAGCUUGUACCACUCACCACAUAGCAUUACAUGGCAUGAAAAGGUGAGCAACCGUAAGCAUACAUGUUUAUCAAGCUAAGCAUGGCAAGAGCAAGUUCAUAGGCUUCAUGUAUCACUAGCAAAGCUCAUGGCACAAACUGAACUUCAUGUUAACAGGCUGACAGAAACAUUAUUUAGCAACUUUAGAGCAUGAUAACAACAAGCUACAGCAGGCUAUAAAUUCAACCAGGGGAAUGGAUGGAUAUAUCAUGACAUGUAUAACAAAACAUCCUUAGUGAAUAUCUCCAGAUUAUGCAUAGUAUAACUUGUAGCAGCAGGUUUACAUGGCAACAAAAUAUAAGAGAAACAGCCUAGCAAAACAGUAACAGCAAGUACCCUACUUAACAAGCUUUAUGCACUCACUACAAGACUCACAAAAAAUACAUGUAUUGCACCUAUGUAAAGAUGGCAUGAUGUAGCACAAAACACAUGUAGAGCUCAUGCUCAUAGGAUGCACACAUCAAAUGCAACAAAAAUGACAAAUCACCAAGUUAUAACAGUUUCAGCAGAUUAACAUCAUAUAGCACUCUUGCAACGAUGAUUCUGGCAUCAAGAUGAACUCACACAAGCAUGGCACGAUGGAAUGAAAUGAAGAGCAUCUCAUGACGAACGUUUUGAUAUAUUAUACGCUCAAAACGGAGCAAUAUGCAUGGAGUUAUGAUGCGUUGAACAGGGCAUGAAAAUGUCAAAAAAAUCAGGGACUUAGGGAAAUUUGGACCUCGGGGAAAGUUGGACGGGGCGGACCCGAGACGAGCGGAUCCGGGGACGGGGCGGCCGUUUGGUUCGGGACCGGGUGGAUCUCAUCCCAGCCGGCCGGCUCUGGGACGGGGCGGCUGCCGGCGGCGGCGAGGUCGCCGGAGGCGUGGGAGACGGCGGCGGAGGGGAGGAGAGAGAGGAGGCGCGGGGACACGUGGCAGGCGAUGAUAGGCGCAGGGCAGCGACGCGAUUUUUGUUCGGUGGCGGCGGACGUGUCCGAUGGCGGCGGAGGGUGAUUUUUUAUGGUUUGGGGGGAUUCAUCCGCGAAUUUGGACGAGGAGCACAUAUUUAUAGGUAGAGGGAGCUAGGAGACUCCAAAUGAGGUGCGGUUUUCACCCACACGAUGGUGAUCGAACAACUGGGAGCAUGGAUGGGGUUUGGAUGGGGUUUCGGCCACUUUAGAGGGGUGUUGGGCUGCAACACAAAGAGGGCUUUUGCGGUUACCCGGUUAACCAUAGGAGUAUCAAACGACCUCCAAAUGGAACGAAACUUGACAGGCGGUCUACUGGCGCUAUACCAAGGCCGCUUGGGAAACCUCGGUCCACUCCGAGAAAGUUUAACACCCGCUCACAACGGGAGACAAAAGGGGGAGCCGAAGGACAUAGGAGUGCCGGAUUGCAAAACGGACAACGGGGAAAAUGCUCGGAUGCAUGAGACGAACACGUAUGCAAUGCAAUGCAAUGCACAUGAUGACACAAUGCAAAUGAUGACAUGGAAAAAAUGCAACAUGCAAGCAAAUGACAUGGCAACGACGGCGAAUAAAUGGCAGACACCUGGCACAUCGUAUCCGGGGCAUUACAGAUUUCCAUGCAACGGAUGCACUAGAGCUGUAAGUGUAUGAAAGCUCAAAAAGAAACUAAGUGGUUGUGCAUCCAACUCUCUUGCUCACGAAGACCUAGGGCAUUUAAGGAAGCCCAUCAUUGGAACAUACAAGCCAAGUUCUAUAAUGAAAAAUUCCCACUAGUAUACGAAAGUGUCAACAUAGGAGACUCUCUAUCAUGAAGAUCGUGGUGCUACCCUUAAUCACAAGUGUGGUAAAAUGAUAGUAGCAUUGCCCCUUCUCUCUUUUUCUCUCAUUUUUUUAUUUUUUGGGCCUUCUCUUCUUUUUGGCCUAUUUUUUUUAUCAUUUUUCAUCCGUAGUCUCAUCCCGACUUGUGGGGGAAUCAUAGUCUUCAUCAUCCUUUCCUCACAUGGGACAAUGCUCUAACAAUGAAGAUCAUCACACUUUUAUUUACUUUACAACUCAAGAAUUUGAUGCUCAGAACAAAAUAUGACUCUAUAUGAAUGCCUCCGGCAGUGUACGGAGAUGCGCAAUAACUCAUGAGUGACAGGUAUGAAAUAAUUAUGAAAGGUGGCUUUGCCACAAAUAUGAUGUCAACUACAUGAUCAUGCAAAGCAAUAUGACAAUGAUGAUGCGUGUGAUAAUAAACAGAAAGGUGGAAAGUUGCAUGGCAAUAUAUCUCGGAAUGGCUAUGGAAUUGCCAUAAUAAGUAGGUAUGGUGGUUGUUUUGAGGAAGGUAUAUGGUGGGUGUAUGGUACCGGCGAAAAUUGCGCGGCAUAAGAGAGGCUAGCAAUGGUGGAAGGGUGAGAGUGCGUAUAAUCCAUGGACUCAACAUUAGUCAUAAAGAACUCACAUACUUAUUGGAGAAAUCUAUUAGUUAUCAAAAUGAAGUACUACGCGCAUGCUCCUAGGGGGAUAGAUUGGUAGGAAAAGACCAUCACUCAUCCCCGACCGCCACUCAUAAGGAAGACAAUAAAUAAAUAAAUCAUGCUCCAACUUAAUACAUAACGUUUCACCAUACGUGCAUGCUACGGGAAUCACAAACUUUAACACAAGUAUCUCUCAAAUUCACAACUACUCUAAUAGCAUGACUCUAAUAUCACCAUGUUCAUAUCUCAAAACAAUCAUAAAGAAUCAAACUUCUCAUAGUAUUCAAUGCACUUUUAUGAAAGUUUUUAUUAUAUCUCUCUUGGAUGCCCAUCAUAUUAGGACUAAAUUCAUAACCAAAGCAAAUUACCAUGAUGUUCUAAAACACUCUCGAAAUAAUAUAAGUGAAACAUGGGAGUUCAUCAAUUUCUUCAAAAAUAAAACCCCCACCAUGCUCUAAAAGAUGUAAGUGAAGCACUAGAGCAAACGACAAACUACUUCAAAAGAUAUAAGUGAAGAUCAAUGAGUAGUCGAAUAAUUAUGCAACUAUGUGAAGACUCUCUAACAUUUAACAAUUUCAUAUCUUGAGAUAUUAUUCAAGCAGCAAGCAAAACAAAAUAAAAUGCUAUGAUGCUCCAAGAAAAACACAUAUCAUGUGGUGAAUAAAAAUAUAGCUCCAAGUAAGGUUACCGAUGAACGAAGACGAAAGAGGGGAUGCCAUCCGGGGCAUCCCCAAGCUUAGGCUCUUGGUUGUCCUUGAAUAUUACCUUGUGGUGCCUUGGUCAUCCCCAAGCUUAGGCUCUUGCCACUCCUUAUUCCAUAGUCCAACGAAUCUUUCCCCAAAACUUGAAAAGUUCACAACACAAAACUCAACAGAAAACUCGUAAGCUCCAUUAGUAUAAGAAAAUAAAUCAACACUUUUGGUACUAUUAAACUCCUUGUAAAUUCAUAUUGUUGUAAUAUCUACUGUAUUCCAACUUAUCUAUGGUUCAUACCCUUCGAUACUACUCAUAGAUUCAUCAAAAAUAAGCAAACGACACAUAAAAAACAGAAUCUGUCAAAAACAGACCAGUCUGUAGUAAUCUGUAACUCUCUAAUACUUCUGUAACACCAAAAAUCCAGAAAAAUAGGAAAACCUGAGAAAUGUGUGUACCAAUCCAGAGCAAAAAGAAUCAGACCAAAAUCAUGUUUCUAUGAAUCAUCAAAACUAAUUUACUGGGUGCAAAAGUUUCUGAUUUUUAGCAGGAUCAACACAACUAUCACCGUAAGCUAUCCUAAAGGUCUUACUUGGCACUUCAUUGAAACAAAAGCUAUAAAACAUGAUUACUACAGUAGCAUAAUCAUGUGAACACACAAAAAAAUUAGGGUUAAAUAUUGGUUUGUCUCCCAACAAGCGCUUUUCUUUAAUGCCUUUUUAGCUAGGCAUGAUAAUUUCAAUGAUGCUCACAUAAAAGAUAAGAAUUCAAACACAAAGAGAGCAUCAUGAAGAAUAUGACUAGCACAUCUAAGUCUAACCACUUCCUAUGCCUAGGGAUUUUGUGAGAAAACAACUUAUGGGAACAAGAAUCAACUAGCAUAGGAAAGCAAAACAAGCAUAACUUCAAGAUUUUCAACACAUAGAGAGGAAACUUGAUAUUAUUGCAAUUCAUACAAGCAUAUAUUCCUCCCUCAUAAUAAUUUUCAGUAGCAUCAUGAAUGAAUUCAACAAAAUAACCAUCACAUAAAGCAUUCUUUUCAUGAUCCCCAAGCAUAUAAAUUUUAUUACUCUCCACAUAAUCAAAAUUCUUCUCAUUCGGAAUAGUGGGAGUAAACUCAACAAAAUAACUAUCAUGGGAUUGAAAACUAAGAUCAAGAUGACAAGUUUCAUGGUAAUAAUUAUUUUUUAUAGCAUACAUGUCAUCACAAUAAUCAUCAUAGAUAGUAACUUUGUUCUCAUAAUCAAUUGGAACCUCUUCCGAAAUAGUGGAUUCAUCACUAAAUAAAGUCAUGACCUCUCCAAAUCCACUUUUAUCAAUAUUGUGAAAAGAUUCAACACCCUACAAAAUAGUGGGAUCAAUACUACCUAAAGUUGACACUAUUCCAAACCCACUUUCAUCAAUAUAAUCAUCAUAGAUAGGAGGCAUGCAUUCAUCAUAAUAAAUUUCCUCAUCAAAACUUGGGGGACUAAAAAUAUCAUAUUCAUCAAACAUAGCAUCCCCAAGCUUGUGGCUUUGCAUAUCAUUAGCAUCAUGGACUUUCAAGAAAUUCAUACUAACAACAUUGCAAUCAUGCUCAUCAUACAAAUAUUAAGUGCCAAACAUUUUAAUGCAUUCUUCUUCUAACACUUGAGUACAAUUUUCCUUUCCAUCAUUUUCACGAAAGACAUUAAAAAGAUGAAGCAUAUGUGGCACCCUCAAUUCCAUUUUUUGUAGUUUUCUUUUAUAAACUAAACUAGUGAUAAAACAAGAAACUAAAAGAUUCAGUUGCAAGAUCUAAAGAUAUACCUUCAAGCACUAACCUCCCCGGCAACGGCGCCAGAAAAGAGCUUAAUGUCUACUACACAACCUUCUUCUUGUAGACCUUGUUGGGCAUCCAAGUGCAGAGGUUUGUAGGACAGUAGAAAAUUUCCCUCAAGUGGAUGACCUAAGGUUUAUCAAUCCGUGGGAGGCAUAGGAUAAAUAUGGUCUCUCUCAAACAACCCUGCAACCAAAUAACAAAGAGUCUCUUGUGUCCCCAACACACCCAAUCACUACAAAAAAAUACACUUCCGUGAUGAUACGUGUUUGUCACAGUAGGUCGCGUUUUUUGUCAUGCAUGUACAUCCAUGACAAAUUUAUGACAGCAUGAAGAUAGUCAUACCUGUGCUAUCGUAGAAGUGUUCCAUGACAUUACCAAAAUUAUCAUCACGGAAGUGUCCACUUCCAUGAUGAUAAAUCGCGCAUCACAGAAGUGCUUUCGUCAAGGGUAACCAACACGUGGAAUCCACCGUAACGAAACACCGCUAAGCUAUCGGGUCGGAUUUUGGAUCCGGUAACCCGUUAAGAGCCACGACCAAUGCCGAUUUUCCACGUGAAAAAUUCUCAUUGGCUUACGGAUCCACAUGUCAGCUCCGUGUUGACACAGGUGUCACUAAUCCAACGGUCGAGAUGGGCCUAUGAUAUGUUGACACAUGGACCGGCCCAAAAGUGGCCCACAGAGUUUAAAUGGGCCGGCCCAACCAAAGGCCCAUAAGAUUUAGCAGACCAUAAUGGGCUGGCCCAGCUAAAGGCCCACAAGAUUUUGCGGACCACAAUGGGCCGACCCAGCUAAAGGCCCACAAGAUUAUGCAGACCAUAAUGGGUCGGCCCAGCUAAAGGCCCAACAUUCUCUGCAAAUUGGCCCGUCAAUGGCCUGGUCUAAACUUGUCAUCAAUGCGGCCCAUGGUCACUUCUGGCCCGUUAACAGUCCGCUAAGUAAUUGGGCCGAAUUACAGCCCGGUGUAUUUCCGUUCUGUUAAAGGUCCGGCUUCAUUUGGGCCCAUUUACAGGCCAUCAAAACUUUCGGCCCAUAAAUGAUCAUGAAGGAUUUGGGUCAUAUUCGGCCAUGUCUGUCAUUCGGCCUGUUAGAGGCCCACUAUAGAUUUGGGCCACUUUCGGCCUGUUGUCAUUUUCGGCCUAUUAACACCGGAUGUAAACCAUGGGCCAUAUGUGGCCCAACGUCAUAUCGGGCCCAUUAACGGCCAAUAUAAAAAUGACGAUAAUAUAGCCCGACCGAAGCUCUGGCCUGUUAAAGGCCCGUGUAUUAGGUCGGCGCAUUUACGGCCCGUCUGAAUUUCGGCCUGUCAAAUAUCUGCUUCAUAAAUGGGCCACCAUUUCGGCCUGCUAAGUCCAGUGGGUUAUUUGGCACAAUCAGGGCCCAAAAAAAUAUCUCACUUUCAGUGUAUUAAAGGCCCAUGUUUUUUAUGGGCUCGAGAUAUUUACACCUGUAAAUGGCCUAUUUUUACUGAGGGCCCAAAUUAUGUUUAGUCCUGUUAAAGGCCCACUAUGGCCACAGGCCUACCAGAAAAAAUUGAAAGCUUUUGCUAAUUUAUAAGCCCAGAUAUUUUUAGUGGGCUACAUGCCAAUUUCGGCCCAUAAUCAUUUUUAGCCCAAUUGGAAUGGGCCUGACGAAUGGUGGCAUGUUGGGCUCCUACGAAGCUUUCGGCCGAAUACAUUACUAAGAUAAACCUACGCUAUACAAAAAUAUCGUCGUAAUUACUGCAGCCUAUGGCAGCAUCAUAAAUGUUGUAUCACAACAAAAUAAAUUCCAAUCAUACAACAAAAGGCCUGUUGGCAUAAAGUUUACAGUCCUUCCAGAUAAAGGCACCAUCAGAUGUAUAGAAGAACAGAUCAUUUGACCUGAGUGCUAAUGUUUCAGGCUGUAGAAUCUGAUGGAGUAGCACGAUCUCCACCUUUUUUCUCCCAUUGCUCUUCAACAGCGAAGUGAAUGUCUGAUAGUCUAGUUUCAAAACCAUUCAUAUCUUGAUGACAUUUCUCAACCACUAUUCUUGUUUCCUAAACAACGUCCAUUAGGGAUUGGACUUGUGUCUGGAGCACAGAUAUAUCACUCUGUCUAGCAGGAAGAUUUUGUUCAGUAGGCGAUUUGGACGAGGUUACCUUGACAACCAACCCAGAAUUACGCAGGAAGGUGCUUUUUGCACUGUUAGUGGAGAGAUACUGACGCACUGCAGCAAUAGGUGACAUUGUGCCUGUAGUAGCCUCGUCACCUUCAGGUGGUUGUGGUUGCUCAAUCAUUUGUUCCAUAGCUUCCUGAAAGUUUGAACUUGUAGAUUAGUGUACCAGAUAAGUUACUAAUGAGACAAAAAACAAACAAAGUAGGUUAAAUGUUUAUACAUAACUUAUUUUGGUGAACUAUUGUAAUACAUUAGCAUGUAUUGUAGUGCCAACUACAUAAUAAAAUCACUUUCGGAACAUAUGUCCAUGUAGCAUGCCUACUGCAUUGUCUAUUUCCUCACAUUCGUUGAGAUCUAAGAAUAAAGAGACAUGGUUUAAAGUAGGAUGAACAUAGUAUGACAUCAUUCAUAUCAUGGGCAAACAGAUAUGAAACAAACAGGCUAUUUUAUCAUUAUGUGCGCACCUGAACAUAACAACUAGAUUACAGAUCAAGACCAAAAGAAUAUCCUUCAUCUCUUUUAAACCAUGUACGGUGAAAUGAUACAUUAAGACAACUGUGUAUAAAAGUGAACAGAGUAACUGACAUUGGCUGCAAACCAAGUAGUUAAAUGAACACAUCACAGUACCAAUCAGUUCAAGGCGGGAGGAGUAAGGACUUACAACAGCGGCUUGAGCUGGUGUGCUCAUGCCCUUCAUCUUGCUGGUGUGGCAAUCCUUGAAGAUUUGCACUGCAUUCGGUUCAGGUUCUUUUUGGUCCGCACGGGCUUUCCUUUGUAUUUGGAACAAGUCAAUAUAGAUACAAUAAUAUGGCACAAAAAAAGAAGGAAGUAGCAGCUAUUUACAAGAGCCUCGUAGUGUGCAAUAUAGCUACGAGAUCCUGUUGUCUGUUGGAAUUUCACUUUAGAACGGUUGGUUUUGUUCUUCAAACAGUUAGCCUAGAAGAAGAUACACUUGUAAGGCACAUACAUAAAUACAAGUUCAAUAUGUGGUCUGAUCAAAUACAUAUAGCCUGCCUGAUACUUUGGAUCAGACCAGUGUUUAACAAGGGCUGUCCAGUCUUCAUCUGUAUUAUAUUCCACUAGAGAUGUUUGGGCGAUUUCAUUGUUAGCCUUGCCUUCAAAGUGAGAUUUUCUAAGGUGGUACCGAUACUGUCGCAGAGUAGACUGAAAAACAUGAGUGCAUGCUUGUUUAGUUGCAUCAUCUUUCGGAUCCAACUUGAACCUCAUAUGGUGAAAAAAGAAUGUGAGUCUUAUUAGGAGGAAGCUAGAAAGUAUGGGACAGAGCAAGACAAUAUUACUAAUUGUGAUGAAUAACAUUACUUACGGAUAAAUGGUCAAGGAAGGUGUUAAACUGGGUAUUGUCUUUCUCAUUCCUGUAUUGGAUCCACGUUGGGAGGAUACGCGCAUGACACCUAACGGCAACGGCUGCCUCUGAUACUAACUUGGCUGACUUUGUAGCAUCACGUGGCCUUUUUAAACCUGCCUCAAAAUGGAUCUCCAUUCUUCCUCCUUUAGAUUUUGUUAAUCUGUCAAGCAUUAUCCCUGAUGUCUGUUUCUGCUUGCACCGUGGUGCUAGUUCAAUAACGAAUAUGGAAAGUGUUAGUGUGCAUCAAACUGUGAGAGUACAUAUAAAGGAGCAUGCAACUGCAACUUGACUCGGUCAGGUACCAUCUUGGUGUUGAUGCUCAUGAGGUUCAUCUGACCUUGCCAAGUCCUGUUGUGUUAGCAGUCCUUCGGAAGUAGUGUUAGGUGUGAAGGCAGCUUAGGAACUGGCCAGUUCCGGAGCAAACAAACGAGUAACUGGUUGAGAUGCUGGUAUAGUUGAAGCGGAUGCUGCAGCUGGUGGAGCAGGUGAUACUAUGUUUGUAGAUUUAGCCGGUGGACUUGGACCUUCUACUGCACUAUAAGUACCAACAGAAUCUCGAUGGCAGAACCUUUUCCAUUUCACCCGAUGAGUAACAACACUCCCUACUAUAUUAUUUUCCUUGCUCUUUUUUGACUUUGCCAUGUCAAGCUGCACCCACAACACAAAAGAAUAAAAUCACUCUUCAGAACUCAUUGAUGCAUGAUACAGACAAGCAAUACUUUGAUGUAAGACAACCGUAUGAGGAUGGAAUAUGUAAGAAAAACAGUACGGCAUGACAUAUUCACAGCUACGAUGUGCAAACUAAGCAGAAGGAUUUUCAAGAAAAUAGAAGUAAUGCAACCUAGACACCAUAUGAAAGAUGCAACCAAUAUUACUCUGCCAAGUUAAAAGUGUCUUGUCAUAAGUGGCAAUUCGAAAAAUUAGAAGUAGUACAACGUAGAAAUCAAUGCAAGAUGCAACCAUUAUCAAACUGCCAUGUUAAAAGCGUCCAAUCAUGAGUUACUGAUGCGGGAUACACAACAGCAGUACUUUGAUGUAAAAACAUUGUAUGAUAGAUAGAUACAGUGUAUUCUAGACACAGAAAGCCAUGUCAUAUGCACAUGUAUAACAUAUAAACUCAGUAGGUGCAAUUUAAUCAAAUAGAAGAAAUACAGGCUAGACAACAUAUGCAACAGGAAACCAAUUAUCACACUGUCAACUUAGAGCAAGCACCUGCGAUGGUGGAGUGCGGGAGAUGAACUCAUCAUGUAGACUUGGGACUUCAACUUCAUUAGCAGUAGCAGUGGCAAAUCUAGAGAGUCUCGGUUUGCGUCGGUGCGGAGUACCACCAACAUCCCCUAACGUACUCUUUUCCUUCCUAAUUUCUGAUAUUGCCUUAUGAAGUCAAAAACACAAGAAGAUGAAUAAAAUUAGCUCUGCAUAACUAGUUGAUGCAUGAUACAGACGAACACUACUUUGAUGUAAGGCAAGCGCAGGAUAGGAGGAUGGAAUAUAUACAAAAAAAUAUAGCAUUUCAUAUUCACACGUACGAUAGGAGGAUGGAAUAUGUAUAUAAAAACAGUAAGCGGAAGGCAUUUCAAUGAAAUUAGAAGAAAUGAAAGCUAGGCACCAUAUGAACAUGCAACCAAUAUCACUCUAUCAGGGAAAAAGUGUCUCGUCGUAAGUGCCAUUUCAAGAAAUUAGAAGCAGUACAAGCUAGAAGACAAUGCAAGAUGCAACCUACAUCACAGUCCCAAGUUAAAUGUGUCUUAUGGGUAAGUGAACGUUGCAGGUAUAAGUUGUAAGCUACACUGAUGCAAUUCUACAUAAUGAGAAGCAAUACAAAGUAGACAUCAUAUGGAAAACGCAACCACGUAUAACAGUUCCAAGUAAGAGCAAGCACCUGUGAUGGUGGAGUAGGGGAGAUGUGCUCAUCAUGUACACGUAUGUUCAAGAAACAGGAACACGUGUCAUAUUCAUAGGCAUUAUGUGUGAAGUAAGCAGAUGCAAUUCAAGUUAGAAGCAAUACAAGCUAGACAUCAUACGCAACAUGCAACCACAUAUAAUAGUGUCAAGUUAGAGCAAGCACCUGUGAUGGUGGAGUAGGGGAGAUGUGCUCAUCAUCUACACAGCUACGUUGACUGUCCAACCUUGUGUUGUCUUGCGAAUCUUGUUGGGAGGAUGGCGGAGUAGAAUCUUUAGAGACCCCCUGUUUGAGUUGCUCUGAAGGACCACCAUCAUGCACUCCCGGACUAAUUUCCUUCAGCUGUAAUGAUUUUGCAUUGUGAAGUCAAACCGAUGAGAAAAAGGAAUAACAUUCGCUCUUCAGAACUCAUUCAUGCAUGAUACUAACGAACACUACUCAGAUGAAAGACAAACACGUGAUGCAAGGAUGGAAUAUGUAUGAAAAACAGGAUGGUGUGACAUAUUCACACCUAUGAUGUGGUAACUAAGCAGAAGGCAUUUCAACAAAUUAGAAGCACUGCAAGCUAGACACCAUAUGAAAGAUGCAACCAAUAUCACUCUGCCAAGUUCAAACUGUAUGGCGUUUCAACAAAUUAGAAGUAGUAUAUGCUAGAAAUCAUAUGCAAGACACAACCAAUAUCAAAGUGGCGACUUAAAGGUGCCUUAUCAUAAGUGACUGAUGUGGGAUAUGCAAGAAUAGUAGUUUGAUGUAGAAUCAGGAACACAUGUCAUAUUCACAGGCAUUAUGUGUAAAGUAAGCAGAUGCAAUUCAAAAAGUUAGAAGCAAUACAAGCUAGACAUCAUACGCAACAUGCAACCGCAUAUAAUAGUGCCAAGUUAGAGCAAGCACCUGUGAUGGUGGAGUAGGGAAGAUGUGCUCAUCAUCUACACAGCUACAUUGACUGUCUAGCCUUGCGUUGUCUUGCGAAUCUUGUUGGGAGGAUGGCGGAGUAGAAUUUGUAGAGAACCUCCAUGUCAGUUGCUCAGAAGGACCACUUUCCUUGCCAAUUUCCUUCAACUUUAUUGAUUUUGCAUUGUGAGGUCAUACCGACAAGAAAAAGGAAUAUCAUUCGCUCUUCAGAACUCAUUCAUGCAUGAUACUGACGAACACUACUCUGAUGAAAGGCAAAGUCAUGAUAUGAGGAUCGAAUAUGUAUGAAAAAAUGGACGGCUUGACAUAUGCACACCUAUGAUGUGGUAACUAAGCAGAAGGAACUUCAACAAAUUAGAAACACUGCAAGACACCAUAUGGAAGUUGCAAUCAAUAUCACUCUACCAAGUUAAAAUUGUCUCAUCAUAGGUGGCGUUCAUCAAACUAGAAGCAAUACAUGCUAGAAAUCAUAUUAAAGACGCAAACCAAUAUCACACUGCCAACUUAAAGGUGUCCCAUCAUAAGUGACUGAUGCAGGAUACACAAGAAGAGUAGUUUCAUGUCAGAACAUGGUGUGAUAGACAGAAAUAGUAUGUACCAAAAACAGGAAAGCGUGUCAUAUUCACAUGUAUCAUGUGUAAGCUAAGCAGAUGCAGUUUACACUAAUUAGGAGCAAUACGAGCUAGACACCAUAUGCAACAUGCAACCAGAUAUCACACUGCCAAGUUAGAGCAAGCACCUUGGAUGGUGGAGUAGGGGAGUGGAGACUUGGACCAUGUAAUGCACUAUCAGUACAAGGAGAAUCGGUACAGAUGCUCCAUUUACGUUGCUGCAGAGGACCACCAUCAUCACCUUCCUUACUCUUUUCCUUCCUUUUUCUUGAUUUUGCCUUGUCAAGUCAAACCCACAAGAAAAAGGAAUAAAAUUUGCUCUUCAGAACUUAUUGAUGCAUGAUACUGACGAAUACUUUCAUGUAAGGCAGCCGCAUGAUAGGAGGAUGGAAUAUGUAUGUAAAAUAGGACGGCGUGACAUAUUGACAUGUAUGAUGUAUAAAGUGUAAACUUAGCACAAGGUGCUUGAACUUGUUAGAAUGGAUGCAAGCUAGAAACCAUAUGAAAGAUGAAACCAAUAUCACUCUGCCAAAUUAAAAGGGUGCCGUAACAAAUGUGUUUGACCAAAUUAGAAGCAAUACAUGGCAACAGGCUAGAAAUAAUAUGCAAUAUGCAACGAAUAAAGGUGACUCAUCGUAAGUGAUUGAUGCAGGAUACAGAAGAGAGGUAGUUUCGUGUACCAAAAAUAGGAAGGCAUGUCAUAUUCACAGGUAUAGUGUGUAAACUAAGCAGAUGCAAUUUACCCUAAUUAGAAGCAUUACAAGCUAGACACCAUAUGCAACAUGCAACCACAUAUCACACUGCGAAGUUGGAGCAAGCACCUGUGAUGGUGGUGUAGGGGAAGUGCUGUCUUCAGGUACAAAGCAACGUUCAAUAUCUUCAUUUAGGCUUGCUGUUUCUUGAGAAUCAUGUGGAGAGGAUGAAAUUGCAUUCUUUAUAAGAGUAUUGCGUCUCAUAUUAACCCACACGCGUGACUGUCUCAUCAUAAGCGAUAGACGCAGGAUACACAAGAACAGUAGUUUGAUGUAAUAACAUGGUGUGAUAGGCAGAUGUAGUAUGUACCAAAAACAGGAAGGCGUGUCAUAUUCACAUAUAUAAUGUGUAAGCUAAGGAGAUGCAAUUUAACAAAUUAGGAGCAUUGAUGAGGGAUACACAAGAAAAGUAGUUUGAUGUAAGAACAUGGUUAAUAGAAAGACGUAGUAUGUACCAAAAACAGGAAGGCAUGUCAUAUUCACAGGUAUAAUGUGUUAACUAAGAAGAUGCAAUUUACCCUAAUUAGAAGCAUUACAAGGUAGACACCAUAUGCAACAUGCAACCACAUAUCACACUGCCAAGUAAGAGAAAGCACCUGCGAUGGUGGUGUGGGGGAAUUGCGGUGAUGAACUAGAGAGCUACGUUGACUAUCUUCAUUUAGCCUUGCUGUUUCUUGAGAAUCAUGUGGGGAGGCUGACACUGCACUCUUUAAACGAGUAGGGCAUCUCACAGUAACCCACCCGGGUGACUGUCUCAUCAUAAGUGAUUGAUGAGGGAUACAAAAGAGCAUUAGUUUGAUGUACGAACAUGGUUAAUAGACAUAUGUAGUAUGUAUCAAAAACAGGAAGGCAUGUCAUUAUCAAAGGUAUAAUGUGUAAAGUAAGCAGAUGCAAUUUAACCAAAUUGGAAGCAAUACAAGCUACACACCAUAUGCAACAUGCAACCACAUUUGACAGUGCGAAGUUAAAGCAAGCACCUGGGAUGGUUGUGUGUGGCAAUUGAGAUCAUCAACUGCAGAGCUACGUUUACUGUCUCCAACUGCUAACACUGCACCCAUUAGAGCACUGAAACGCUUAGUGCUUAUCUUCGUAUUACACUGGAGCGACUUCUGUCUUUUCUUUUCUGCAUUCAUCAACACUGCGUCAGAGUCUGAAAUACCCAUGCAUAAAAAAACAAUAGUGUGAGUAUGGGUGAAGUGUGUGCACAAUUAGUACAGUGUAAAGGUAGCAGAUAAUAGGUCGGUGAGAAAUAAAUGACGGGAGACAUAUGAUAGCUCUACAACAUGCAUGGCACACUAAAUUACUAUAGGAUUCUAUGAAAAUAACAGUCGACUGAAAGCAAAUAGGUCAGUCCAUUUUUUCUGCACCGUCUGAUGUACAAAGAACGGGCAGAUCGCCUUCAUCUACCUCCAGCCAGUCAGUGUUGACGAUCUUCCUCGAAACACCAACGACCAUCGACCCAGUAUUCCUCCCCUGCUUGCGCCCUCCCCUUGACCUCACUGCACCACCGUGCUUGGCACACCCCCCCGGCCAUCCAUUCAAGCCCCGCCAACCUCCAGAUUGGGCGCAAGCAGCUCCUGCACCCCACACCCCUAUGAUAGACACCAAUGCGCCGCUUCCUCUGGGAACAGGCGGACUAGGUGCUCCGUGCACCUAAGCGGGUGCUGCUUCUUUUAAUUGCGGUUCGACUGAGCCUGAAUUGAAAUCCAGGCGGGCUACUGACCUCUAGCAAAGGUGAAAUAGUAAAAGGGAGGAAACCUUGUGCAUUUAGUAUCACGAAGAAGAUGUAGUAAGAAGCGCUCAACUAGUUUCUUUCGGGGGAUGAAUACGGUGUGAGCGGAGACGUAAGAUUUGCAUGAAUAAGGGAAGAGGAGUACCUCUUUCUGCUGGCAGUGUUGUGUCCUCCUUCUGUUUUUCUGACGAUCUUGUUGUUCGCCGGAAACCAGAAGUUGUGGAGGACGGUGCACCUUGGACGAACCCAUGGCCAAGUUCUUGAGUGUGGUGCGGUGGCCGUCUAUCAGCGGCGGGGAAGCAGAUCCGAGGCGGCGAACGACGGCAUAGCGGGAAUAGCUCCGGUGCGGUGGACGGUUGCGAUAGUGGAGCCGCAGCAGUGAGGCGCAGGACGACGUGGUCGGAGUGGUUCUGGUACGGCGCACGUCGGCGUCGGCGUCGUGGAGGCAGCUCUGCCUCGGCUUCAGCUGCUAAAUCCCUGAGGGCGUUGUGGUUGCGGUUGCGUUGGACGACGACGUUGGGGUACCGGCUCCGGCGUGAUGGAGGAGGGCAGCGGUGGAUUGGCCGCUAUGGGGUGGAGGACGGAGGAGGCUGGGGUUUCGCGCUGGUGGAGAGGGCAUUUUCACGCCCAUGGAGUAUGAAUGGGGAGACGGAGGGAGGCGGGGAACUAAGGGGGAACAAUGUUUCGGUUUGAGACGCGCUUGUUUGAAAUUUGGGGAAAGUUACAAACUUUGCCCCCAUCUAAAAUUUCGGACAUAUUGCGGGUUGGCGGUAGGAUAGUCAUGUCAGGUGUCCCAAAUGUGGGCGGGAUAGAUUUCGGCCGAGCACAUGGGUGUUUAGGCGCCCACGGCGCAUGAAUGCUUCUCGGAGGCGGUUGAGACUGGCGUCUUGGUGAAGUUACAAACCUACCCCGGUUUAGACCUUUGGACAUUGGGCCGAUAGGCUACACAGGCCAGAGUCAGGACAGUAAUUUCCUACCACCAAAACAUUAGUCUCGCGCGGUUUCGGGUGACCAGAGGCCUAUUUGGCGCUUCGUUCAAUAUUUGGGAGCAGAAGCAUUAACGUUUUCGGUUCUCUUGAAUUGAACUUUUAGGAUUUGGCAAACUUCACAAAUCUUUACUCUUGAAAAUCCUAAAGCUACGACUAUUUUGGAAUGGAGGGGGUACAUUUUAAUAUACAUUGUACACGAGUAUAUAUUAAAAAAUAUGCAACUUACCUCAGUUCAUGCAUGGUUCCAGGUAUAAUCUCCUUGGUUGCAAAAAAAAGUUAGAUAUGCAUAUGAAUAUAUAUAGCAUGUUCAAACUCACAACAAAGAUUGAUGCCCCCUUUUACAUCUGAUUUACAAAUGACAUUAUCUCGGGUUCAAAUAGAUGAAUGCACUUCCUAUGAAUUCGAAUCUUCGAAACCCCCUUUAUGUUGAAUUCGACAUGUAUUUUUUUUCGUAGCUAGCAAUUGGGAAUGUAUCCAUGCAAGUGACAAAUGUAUAAAGUGCUUCACACUAACAACAUGGAGUGCACUAAUUAAUGUUUAUAUAUGAAUUGCAAAAGCAUCCAUUGCAUGUAUUUCAAACCGCUCUCACUCUAUGGAUCGAUAAUAUGAAAUAAACACAUGCACAUGCUAUAAUUCAAUAGAGUAUGGGUGUCUGAUAGACCGAUUUUCGUCCAUACACAAAUUUGCAAAAUUCAUGAUCUCAUCCAAAUAUAAUAAUGCCAUUUAUAUUUUAAUUUAAUGCGUAGAACCGCCUUUUACACGUAGAUGCACUAUGCCUCGGCCCGUUCUCACAAACGCGUUAUAUAUCUCUCUAUCUAACGCAUAAGUGCACACACUUUAUAUGCAUCGGCAUUUCUCUUUCACACAUGCUCAUAAUCUCUCUCAGGGUGUCGGGGUGUCUCACGCACAUGCUCUCUCUAUUUCUCUGUCUCUCUUUCUGACUACUAUGUACCACUCUUUUCACUAAUCUCAGUUGGAAAACACUAUUUCUCUCACAUGCAUAUAUACACAUGCACGGUCUCUACUAGCCCUCUAUACGCACAUAUAUGUGCCUACGUGUCUCCCGCACGCACAUUAUCUUUAGGCCUCUCUCGCACACAUUGCCCCCCCCCCCGACACACCUCUCUAAUAGUAGUUGGCAGAUAUGAUUUCAUCAUAUCAUUCAGUAGGAUAUCCCUGGCCAUUAGGCUGGAUGGUAAUACGAGGAAAAGUUUUACCCAAGUUCGGAUCGGACCCUUGCAGUUGAAGAAAGAGCCUACUCCUGGUACUGUAUAUUAGUGAUAGGGUUGUGUACAAAGUACACGUGAAUACCAGGCAUUGUGCGUGUGUGUAUACUAUCGACGAACUAGCCCCCAAGCUUGUAUAACAUACUAAGGGCCUAGGGUUACAAAUCAUAUAUAGUCGGCUUCUCACCAGUGGGGAUAUAGUCCUCCGCGACUCUGGUAGCUUCAUGUUGUAUGCCGAGUCCUCCACAUGGGUCUCCGUAUAACACGUCUUGGUCCAACCUAUAUUUGGUGCAGGAUGGAACCGACCCAUGAGUCUUCAUGUUGACCCACCACAACUAGAAAUGAUGUGCCCACCACACCACACACGCAAUCGGCCACUAAGAAAAUAAGCAUAUACAAUAGUACAACGGUAUCUAGCUCAUGAUACGUCUCCAUAUUUUGUUGAUGACACUGACGGACUUUGCAUUUGAUGCGUGCUCCGUACUUUGUUGACGACACUUACGGUCAUUGUAUUUGAAGCGAAAGCACGAUAUGGUCACUGUACUUCAGAAUAAGCUCAUCACGGUCACCAACAUACAUUUUGUCGUGCUAACCAACAUGUGGUUGGAUGGUUAGAGGACAAUGGUUUCUCGAGCCCACUAAGGUUAAAGCCCCGGUGCUCGCAUUUAUCUUGUGUUAAUUUCAGUAUUUUCCGGCGAUGUACGUUCAGUGGGAGGAGACGUUCUAGUCGACUACGAGGCACCUAUGGUGACUUCGUAAAAUCUCAAGAUCAUAUAUGCUGGCCCACUCUCUCGAAGGUGCUCAUAGGGGUAGGGUUCGUGUGUGUGCGCUUAUAGCGGUGAGUGCUUGCGCGUAUAUAUGAGCCCUUGCGCCUGUACCGUGUUAAACAAAUACAUGUCAUGAUUAUACUAUCACUGGCUGACCCAUACAACUCCAUAUUUUGUUGAUGACACAAUCAAUUGACCAGUCAUAUGGCACAACUAGUGUUGCACCAUCGGCGCGCGUAACCGUGGGGCCCACCUAUCAGCCCGUAUAUGAAAGAAAGAAAUGGUAGUUUGAGUCUGUACUGUGUUAAUAAAAUAGGAGUACAUUUAGGGUGAUCAUACGGUCACUGGCUCACCAUAUAGCUCCGUAAUUUGUUGAUAACACGAUCAAUUGACCAGUCAAACAGUCCACAUUCAACAGCGCACAUUACCAUAGGGCCCACCCGUCAGCGCGUAUAUGAAGGACAGAAAGGUAAUAAACUAGUGGUCGGUGGGUAUUCGAAGUCGUGAGACCUCUGGUUGGCAGUCACAGGCGGUUGNNNNNNNNNNNNNNNNNNNNNNNNNNNNNNNNNNNNNNNNNNNNNNNNNNNNNNNNNNNNNNNNNNNNNNNNNNNNNNNNNNNNNNNNNNNNNNNNNNNNNNNNNNNNNNNNNNNNNNNNNNNNNNNNNNNNNNNNNNNNNNNNNNNNNNNNNNNNNNNNNNNNNNNNNNNNNNNNNNNNNNNNNNNNNNNNNNNNNNNNNNNNNNNNNNNNNNNNNNNNNNNNNNNNNNNNNNNNNNNNNNNNNNNNNNNNNNNNNNNNNNNNNNNNNNNNNNNNNNNNNNNNNNNNNNNNNNNNNNNNNNNNNNNNNNNNNNNNNNNNNNNNNNNNNNNNNNNNNNNNNNNNNNNNNNNNNNNNNNNNNNNGUGGGGUGGGGAUCCCCGGAGAAAAAGCUCGGUGCGGGGGGGGGAGGGGGGCUAUAGGGAUGGCCGGUGCGGCGGCGGACCGGCGGUGGGGAGUGGUUUCGGGGAGGGCGGGCCGGCCACGGGCGGCGGGGGCGGGCGGUUCGACCGGUGGUGGCUGGCGGCUCAGGGGGUGUGGAGUUUGAUGAUAAACUGGAGGCCCUUGAUUUCGUAUCCAAAGGCUGGAAAAUGUAAUGACCAGAGAUGAAAAAGUCAGUCGACUAAUGUGUAGCCUCACCCCGCACGUACACAUGCACACACGCAAGACACGCACGCAUGUAGGCGUGUAACACUGACACAUACACAUAACGUACACACACACGCAUGCUGGCCUGCAACACUGACACGUACACAUGCACGUAUGCACCCAUGCAUGCAACACUGAAACGCACCCUUGCACGCACGCAACACUCGCACGCCUGCAUGCACACAGCACACGAUGCAAGACACACGCUCAACCUAUACGUGCAUGCCCCCUUUGUUAAGGACAUGGAUUGUUACGGGUAUUAAUCAAUCUUAUCUGUGAUAAGCAGAACAUGGAUGUUUGCAUCGGUCUUUGUGAAUCACAAUAUAUCGAAUGGGCUAUCAACAUAGUAGGCUUAACUACAUGAAAAAGAUGACGUCACACUCAAUGAACAAUCAUCGAUUUAUGAAAUGCCCGCUUCUGACCGCCCUGUCCCACCAAAGGUUCCUCUGCUGUGCGCUGCCUACAUUGGGUCAUUGACAUGCAGGCCAUGCACCCAAAGAGCCCACACGUCAGUGGAAGAACGGCGCGGUGUCCUAGGUCAGAGUCGAGGGCGCCACACGUGGCACGCCCAGCAGAACACGCCUCCGUGCCGCAUUCAAAUGCCUCCAUGAAAACCGCCCGUGUGGAAGCCGAGAAACCCACUCUGGACACACGUCCGUUCAUGAUCAGGUCGGCGUUAAACGCAAUGCCGGCCGAGCUCCUCCCGUCCGCCGUCUAUUUAAUCUCCUAUUUAAACGAGGCCAAACGCCGGCCAAGAAUCGCACACCUUCGCCGUUCCCCUAUCUCCUCCACCAUUUUGUCCACUCUUACAAUGGCUUAUGAAGAGUAGUUAUUCCGCAUCCAAGCCGGUUGGGUAGCCCGCCGGAUACGAGCUAUGCAGCUCGCUGAUCCACCUCCCUCCCCUCGCCCUACGGAGCCAGUUGCCGCCCCAAGCCGACGCGCGGUUCAGCAACUCGCCGCUCCAGGCCAGCUCGACGAGGAGCAGCGCAAAGGCGUCGUGGCUGCCGUCCACGCCGCCGCCUCGUACCGCAUCUCCCGUUUUUGUGGACGAGACUCCCAUGCCGGCGGCCGCGCCACGCAAGCAGCGAGAGAAGACGGGUGCGCGGAGAGCGACGAGUCGGUGGCCAGUGCCUCCGUGUCCGUCGCCAUCAUCGAGGAGAAGUAGAACACUGGAGGCCGCCGUCGCUUGGGUCCCAUGAAGGCCACCGCGGAGGCGACGCCGGUGUACGCAGCAGGUGUCUUGCCGGAUCCUUUUGUUGCGAGGACCUUCGUGGACCCCGCAUGGGCUCCACGGAAGAGGGGAAUGUUAGGAUGAACUCGAGCCGGCACCGGCCAUGGCGAAGUAGUGACCGGUGAUGAACUCGAACCGGUGCCGGCCACCAUCAUCUUCGGCACCAGCCAAUGAUAUCAGUUGGGCAGUGGGGAAGCGAGCCGUCAUUUCCGCUGAAGCAUAUACCUCCGGGGCUCCCGACAGUCCGGUGAUCGUGCUGCCGGACAUGAGGAACACAAAUCGAUCGGCGGACGACCAUUUAGGCCAGGUAUUAUAUACCUGUGCUGUCCAGAACUAGCACCGUGUAGUUCAUUUGAAUGUAAUGAAAUCCGUCAUGUUUGUGUGAAAAUCCGGUAUUUUAUAUGAUUUCCAUCGUUGUUUAUAUGAAAUAUCAGUUUGUCUACGUGUUUGCGUGAAUUUCGUCCGGUUGGUUGAGUUGUUGUCAUAAUGUGUGCGGCUACGGUUGGAUGGCGUAAUUUGCGGGUCGCCGGUCGGUCUGCGGGCGGCUCGGGCGGUGUUGUGGGACAAAAAACAUGGCUCGUGCGAGCUCGUCUCCAACGUGCGCGCUGGAGGAUGCAUGACAGCAUGAGCACCCAAGCCAUUCCUCGUUCAUCGGUGGCAAAGGCACCGGUGGACAAAAGGGUCGCCAAUAUUUUGGCUACCCCGGGCAAGAUCCAAACAUCCCCUCCCAAAACAGAUUCAAAUCCCUCGUUCGCCAUGGAAUUUUGCCAUGUGUUGUUUUCAUGGACUAGCAAGAUGCCCGCACAUUGCACGGAACAUCAAGAUGCAUUUUUUUACAAACUCCCGCAUGCAUGCAAGGGAUAAUUAAUGUCCUCCUUUGCUAGUACCACGAGGCAAACACCAUUAAUAUUGCAUCGAUUAGUGUUAGUGGCCUUGUAUAUCUGCAAAUUGUAAUUUUGAUAGCGGCCCCUUGUAUAUAAAAAUGGAGGGAGAAAUAUGAGAGAUAAGGUGAGGAGGAGUGGGGCGUGGUGGUGACUGGUGGUCGGACUGGGCGGAGGCAUGGGGAUGGACGACACAUUAUGUCUAGGUUUGUAUCUCUCUCACACACACCCACGUAGGUGGGGGACGUGCACGAAGAGAAGAGGUGCACGCACGGUGUCACGCCCAAUAUGCGACCCUAUCCAAAAGGAAGUCGAUGGUCCCACCAGGGAUAGACCCGCAUAUUGAAACGCUUUUGCAAGGUGGAUAUCAUUACAUCAACAUUACAUAAUAGAUGAGGAUACAUACAAAAGGCAUACAAUGCCACACGAAUACAACAUCACAAUACAUAAGAGCAUCAUCCGACUACGGAUGAAACACAAACAGAAACUCAAACGACAUCCACCCUGCUAGCCCAGGCUGCCAACCUGGAACCUAUCCCCUGAUCGAAGAAGAAGCAGAAGAAGAACUCCAAAAACAAGUAACAUCGCUCUCGCAUCAUGAUCAUCGCAUUACCUGUACCUGCAACUGUUGUUGUAGUAAUCUGUGAGCCACGAGGACUCAGCAAUCCCAUUACCAUGGGUAUCAAGACUAGCAAAGCUUAAAGGGAAAGGAAGGGGUAAAGGCGGUGAGGUUGCAGCAGCGACUAAGCAUAUAUGGUGGCUAACAUACGCAAAUAAGAGCGAGAAGAGAGCAAGCGGAACAGUCGUGAAGCUAGCAAUGAUCAAGAAGUGAUCCUGAACUCCUACUUACGUCAGUCAUAACCCAAAACCGUGUUCACUUCCCGGACUCCGUCGAAAAGAGACCAUCACGGCUACACACACGGUUGAUGCAUUUUAAUUCGGAACUGGUGUCAAGUUAUCUACAACCAGACAUUAACAAAUUCCCAUCUGCCCAUAACCGCGGGCACGGCUUUCCAAAGUUUAAACCCUGCAGGGGUGUCCCAACUUAGCCCAUGAUAAGCUCUCGCGAUCAACGAAGGAUAUACUUUCUCCCAGGAAGACCCGAUCAGACUCGGAAUCCCAGUUUACAAGACAUUUCGACAAUGGUAAAACAAGACCAGCAAAGCCACCCGAUGCACCGACAAUCCUGAUAGGAGCUACACAUAUCUCGUUCUCAGGGCAACACCGGAUAAGUUAGCCUACGAGUAAAACCAGCGCUCGAGUUGCCCCGAGGUGGCCCCGCAGUCUGCCCGGUUCGGACCAACACUUAGACAAGCACUGGCCUGGGGAGGCUAGAAUAAAGAUGACCCUCGAGAGAGCGACUCCCAAGGGAAAAGUAGGUGGUGGUGAGGCAAAUGGUAAAACCAAGGUUGGGCCUUGCUGGAGGAGUUUUAUUCAAAGCGAACUGUCAAGGGGGUCCCAUAAAUCACCCAACCGCGUAAGGAACGCAAAAUCCGGGAACAUAACACCGGUAUGACGGAAACUAGGGCGGCAAGAGUGGACCAAAACACCAGGCAUAAGGCCGAGUCUUCCACACUUUACCAAGUAUAUAGAUGCAUUAAUAAUAUAAGAGAUAUUGUGAUAUCCCAACCAAAAUCCUGUUCACCAUGGAGCAAUCUUCAACUUCACCUGCAACUAGCAAUGCUAUAAGAGGGCUUAACAAAGCGGUAACAUAGCCAAGCAACGGUUUGCUAGGAAGGGUGUCAAAGGUUAGAGGUUCAUGGCAAUUUGGGGAGGCUUGAAGAACAGGUGAUAGGUAGCGCAGCAUAGCGAUAUAACGAAACAACUAGCAUAGCAAUGAUAGUAGUGAGAUCCAGGGUAGCGGUCAUCUUGCCUGAAAUCCCGCUAGGAAGAAGAACGAGUCCAUGAAGAAGACGAACGGAUGAAGCCGAAGAAGAGUAGACGAACGAAUCCUCACGAUCGCAACGAAACAGGAACUAUCGAAAAGAAGCACCCAACAAGGUAAACACACCACACAUGAACAAGGCAUGAUGCACAACAAGCAUGAUGCAUGACAAGGCUACAUGAAUCUACUCAUGGCAUGAGAUGAUGCAAACCAGAGCAACACAUCAAGGCAAGUUUAAAUGAGGCUGGAAACAACAUAUAACAAUUCCGGUAAGUCCUCAUAUGCAUACUUCGAAAUUGGUCCAGAUCUGAAUAAAGCUUAUGUUCAAGUUGUUAAACAGCAAGUUAAGAUGCACCAAGAUGAUCUACACGAGAUUCUAAUAAGGUUACAUAUAAAGUUCAUUUAAUUCGGAGCUACGGCCUAGAAGAUAUGAGCAAAACAAGUUAAACAUGGCAUUGAUGCAAAAUGCAAACAAACAUCAAGCAAACACCUCAAAACAAGGAUGCAACAUGAUAAUAUGAAGCUACACACAAAAACAAGCAAGUUUCAUAUAGAGCACACUCAAAAUGGAGCAACGGUGCAACACACACUCUAUACAAGUCGUAACAACAAUCUGUCCAAAACAACUAGGCAUAUUGCAAGCGCCAAAACAACACGCUACAACAUCUUAACAUGAGAAAAAAGGCAUGGACAUGAUGUACAGGUAAAGCAUAACAAAACAUGAACACUGAGCUAUCUCCAGAAAUCACUAGAAUAUGCUCAAACACACAUGGCAAGAUUGCAAAUAAUAACAGUUCAGACUUUGCAGAAAAUAACAUCAGGUUGCAAUGUUUAGAGCUAUCAAACAACAUGCUACAGGAACUUAUCAUGGCAAACAAAGGCAUGGAAUGAAUCUACUAAUUGCAUAGAACAAAAGUCCCUUACUGACCAUGAGCCAAAUAGGAACAGAAAAUAUGAUGGCACACAUGUAAGCAUGGCAAGUUAUAUGACAGAUUCAUACAUGGCAGGAACAACGAUAAGUAGGCAUGUUGGUGAGCUUGUACCACUCACCACAGAGUAAUAAAUGGCAUGACAAGGCAACCAACAGUAAGAAUACAUAUUUAUGAAGCUAAGAAUGGCAAGACCAAGUUCAUAGGGUACAUGGAUCACUAACAACAAUCAUGGCAACAACUGAACUUAAUGUUAAGAGGCUGACAGCAACAUUAUAUAGCAACUUUGGAGAACGAUUACAACAAGCUACAUCAGGCUAUAAAUGCAACCAGGGGCAUGAGUGGAUAGAGCAUAACAUGUAGAACAAAACACCCUUAGUGAACAUCUCCAGAUUAUGCAUAGAAUGACUUGUAGCAGCAGGUUUACAUAGCAUCACGAAAUAACAGAUUCAGCCUAGCAAAACAGUAACAACAAGUACCCUACUUAACAAGCUCGAUUCACUCACCACAAGUCAUUGCAUGACAAGAUAAGCAUAGCAUCAUCAACAAGGCAUGUUUAUGAAGCUAAACAAGGCAAUAACAAGUUCAUAGCAUGCAAGGAUCAACUACAACAACCUUGGCAAAAUUGAAUAACAUGUAAACAAUCUGCCAGGAAACAUUUUGUAGCAAAAGUAGAGCACGAAAAUGACAUGCUAGAGUACUCCAUUAUUGCAACCAGGGGAAGGGAUGGAUAGAGCAUAACCAUAUGUUCAAAACAUCCUUACUGAAGUAUCUCAAAAUAAGCAUGGAUCUCUCUGUAGCAUCAUGUUUACAUGGCAUCAAAAUAACAACAGAACAGGGACUAAAAUCAGCAACAUCACGAAGCCUAGUUUGCAUGCUUUUUCUAGUCACCACAUUGAUCAAAAAAAUACAUGGUAAGAAGCUAUGUAAAGAAGACAUGGCAUAGUUCAAAACACAUGUAGACAUCAACCUCAUAAGAUGCACACAUCAAACAUGGCAAAAAUGACAAAUGAGCAUGUUCUGUUAACAGACAGCAGACAAUAUCAUAUAGCACUCUUGCAACGAUGAUUCAGGCAUCAAGAUGAGCCCAAAUGAACAUGAUGCAAUGGAAUGAAAUGAAGUACUCGUUGAGGCGAACAAUAUGACAUAUUACACGCAUGAAACGGAGCUACGGAUGCAUAGUUAUGAUGCGAUGAACAGGGCUCCAGAAUGCAAAGUAUUUCAGGACUUGGCAGAUUUAGAAAAAAAAACGGAGUGAGCAGAGGAUAGCUAUACUGCGCCUGGGGUGAGGGAUAAGGUUACCGGGGCGCUCACCAGAGAGGGCCGAGGCCCGGUAGGCGUAGCAGGCCGACGGGGCAAGCAAGUGGGCCGGCAGGCGAGGCCGGGGCCCAUGUGGCCGGGUCAAAGCGGGAGGAAGCAAGCGAGGCGACCGGUUCGGGCUCCUCCUGAUCCGCUGUGGCGACGGGCGUGGUGGAGGAGGGAAGGUCACCGGCGGGGACGGACGGUGGGGAAGGCGGCGCGGGGCACGGAUCUGUCCUCCGUCCACCGGAUCUGGCCAGGGCGAGGCCGGACGGAGGCGAACUCACCGGAGGAGCUUGCGGCGGUGAUGGAGACGGCACGCCGGCGGCGGGGACGGGAAGGUGAGGCGGUUUCGGGAGGCAGGGUCUAGCGCCCAGCGGCGAAGCGCCCGGCGGCGGUGGCGCAUGAUCCGGCGCGGGAGGCGCGGGUCCGCGCGGGAGGCGGCGGCUCGGGCCCGGAGGGCCCCGCACGGGCAGCGUGGGAUUCACGGGGAACGGCGGCAGGAUUUCGUCCGGCGGGCGCGGACAUGUCCGACGCGCGGAGGAGCGGGGCUAGGGUUUUGGACUGCGGGAUUCAUCCGCGAAAAAUCCGGGGGGGGGGGCACAUAUCUAUAGUUUCUGGGAGCUAGGAGAGCCCAAAUGAGGAGCGGUUUUCUCCCACACGAUCGUGAUCGAACGACCGAGAGCAUGGAGGAGGUUAGGAUGGGUUUUGGGCCACUUUGGAGGGGUUGCUGGGCCGCAAGAGAAAAGGGGGUUUCGGGCUGUGCGGUUAACCGUUGGAGUAUCAAACGGACUCCAAAUGGCACGAAACUUGACAGGUGGUCUACCGGUGCUAUACCAAGGCCGCUUGGCAAGACUCGGUCCAUUACAAGAACAUUUAACACCUGUUCACAACGAGAGACAAAAGGGGACGCCGGAGGGCAUAGGAGUGCUGGAUUGCAAAACGGACAACGGGGAAAAUGCUCGGAUGCAUGAGACGAACACGUUUGCAAUGCAAUGCACAUGAUGACAUGACAAUAUGCAACACGCAAGAAAAUGACAUGGCAAAGAAGGCGAAUAACUGGCACACACCUAGCGCAUUGAAUCCGGGGUGUUACAACACUCCUCCACUAACAAGAGAUCUCGUCCCGAGAUCUUAGGACCGAGACGGAAGGGAAAACGGAUGAGGUGAAACAAGAACUCAAGAGAAGAGGCAAGGAAUCGAGAGCAUUCGAGAAGAAGAGAGGAACGACGAGAAUGACGAGAAUCGAAAGCUCACUGAAUCAGAUAGACUAUGAAACCACUCCGGUUAGAACGAGAUAAGAAACGAAUAAGACUGAAAGGGUUUAGGCAGCACUCCGGCUCAAAAUGGAAGGAAUAGAACAAGAACUUCACAAGAUGGAAUGACACUUGUCAACAUAAACAACGCAAUGCCUCCGGAAGAAUUGAAAGAAUUUGAAUGAAAGAACUUGGAAGGAAUGAAUGGAGUUGUUGAGGAAAUCAACAACGAAAAGAAUAAGCUUGUUGUGGACUUGUAGGUAACAUCUCAAGAGAUAACCGGCCACAAACGGAAAUGGUUGGAUAACUGAGAAGAACGAAGAAAUGAAAAACUCCACUUCAAAAGAAUACGUAGAAAUAAUUGCACUUCGAGACGUGAGAAGAAAAGAUACUUGAACUCCACCAACAAAAAUCUUGAUGAACUCAUGAAGAAUGAAUUAAAUCAUGAAGAACCACCAUGAAGAACUCCGGUGACAAGGAUGAUGAGAUAGAAUGAAGGAUGAACGACUAAGAUGAGCCUUGCGAUGAUUUUGAUGGAGGUUCCGACAAAAUAUUCGAGGAAAAUUUGAACUCCGGAAAAGAAAAGAUGACAACACUUGGAACUAGAAUUUAUUCAUCAAGAACAAACUCCGAAGGAAGGGAUUAAUCACUUGGGUGAAAUAAGAAUAAGAUUUAUUAUAUGCUUAUCCUUCAUCAAAAUAAAUUGAUGACGAGCAAUGGAUUUUGCAUACUACUUGUUCUUCUUGAAAAGGAUUGAGAAGUGACAUGCCGCAAACUUGAGAAGGUCUUCAUGAACCACCGGUAGGAUUGAAAAGAACGAAUGAAUUAAAAUGAUGAUCAAGGAAAAAGAAUCUUGAACGAACCACCGUUAGAAAUGAAAAUGACUGAUGAAAGGGACUGAAUCACCGGGAAGAAUUAGAAGAACAAAUAUGCUCGAGGGGAUUUAGAUACAAGAGAACUGGAAGAACUCGAGCUGAUUAAAGAACACUUGAACGAAGUCCCGGGAUAAUUUGGAUAAUGGUAGCUGAAAUGUGAGGACGAAGAAUUCUUCUGGAAUGAUGGCCUCCGAUGGAAAGAAACAGAAAUCAACUCCUGAAAAACUCUGGAUGGAUGAAAAGAACUUCUGACAAGCGGGGUAAUUCGCAAGGAUAACAUGAAGCUAGAACCACGAAACUUCUAGAGAACGGGCAAGAUUUAGAGGAAAAACUCUUCUUCGGUCUUCAAAUGACGACAGGAAACACCCCCAAAAUUACUGAGAUACUCCGGGAGAAUGAAAAAGAGGAAGGGUUGAACCUAAAAUGAAAAGAAUUUGCAAGCGAUAUUGGAGAUGGCAUCUGACUGAUGAAAUUCAUUCUUAUGUCAGACUCCAAAAAGAACUAGGAAUGGCUCUGGAAGAAUUAGAAAGAGUCAGGUAAGAUCCUAGGAAAUGACCUGUGGGUUAGGGCCCACUAAAGAGAAAAACACCGUUGGAAAAGGAUGUUGAAGAGGUAGAUGAUGCACCGGAAUGAAUGAAAUAUUUGAAUGAGGUGACAACCUCGAAUUAAUUGGAACAUAGACGAAUCUCCUGAGAUAUCUUGAGCACUCCGGAAGGAUAAACUGACGAGAGGCAAACGAGCAAGGGGAAGCAUUUGAGCCGAGGAAAAGAAUAUGAUCAAACCGAAAAACUUGAAUUGAUGCCACCGGAAAGAGAUGGAGAAUGCCGCACAAAACGAGAAUACACCGGUUGAAAUGAUUGAGGGAAGACUAAAGAGGCUCCACGCGAAUGAAAUUGAUGCUCGAAAGAGACUCAGGCUCCGGGAAGAAGCGGGUGGGAGGGCAGGAAAACAAAGGCAACUUUCAAGAGAGAAACGACGAAUAACUUGAAGAGAAAACACCGGUUGAAAUCAUUGAGGAGAGAGAGCAAAAACUUCGCACGAGUAAGAUGGAUACUCGAUUACGGACUCCGGCUUAGAGAAGAAAAAGUGUGGGAGGGUGGGAAAAGAAAACAAUUGAGGAUUGAACUUGGCAAUGAUGAAGAGGCUCGAGUCGACUUGACGAGAAAAGCACCGGAUGAAAAGAGAAGAGAACCAACGAUCGAAAAACCAACUGCAUGAUCCUAAAGAAAAAUUUGAAGGGGAAGAGAAGUAAUUCAAAACACCUAUGUCAAGAUUCCUUACCAGAGCGACGAAGGGGCUGGGGUGUAAAAGAAUUCCUACUCUCCGAUAUAACUAGACUCCAAAAACAGUUUUCUUCUAGACUCGACAACGGCCAAACUACACGAUAAAUCAAGGGGGCUACUAGGGUCGAUCGAGGCUCUGAUACCAACUUGUCACGCCCAAUAUGCGACCUUAUCCAAAAGGAACUCGACGGUCCCACCAAGGAGAGACCCGCAUAUUGAAACGCUUUUGCAAGGUGGAUAUCAUUACAUCAACAUUGCAAAUAGAUGGGGAUACAUACAAAAGGCAUACAACGCCACACGAAUACAACAUCACGAUACAUAAGAGCAUCAUCCGACUACGGAUGAACACAAACAUAAACUCAAACGACAUCCACCCUGCUAGCCCAGGCUGCCGACCUGGAACCUAUCCCCUGAUCGAAGAAGAAGCAGAAGAAGAACUCCAAAAACAAGUAACAUCGCUCUCGUGUCAUGAUCAUCGCAUAAACUGUACCUGCAACUGUUGUUGUAGUAAUCUGUGAGCCACGGGGACUCAGCAAUCCCAUUACCAUGGGUAUCAAGACUAGCAAAGCUUAAAGGGAAAGGAAGGGGUAAAGGCGGUGAUGUUGCAGCAACGACUAAGUAUAUAUGGUGGCUAACAUACGCAAAUAAGAGCGAGAAGAGAGCAAGCGGAACGGUCGUGAAGCUAGCAAUGAUCAAGAAGUGAUCCUGAACUCCUACUUACGUCAGUCAUAACCCAAAACCGUGUUCACUUCCCGGACUCCGUCGAAAAGAGACCAUCACGGCUACACACGCAGUUGAUGCAUUUUAAUUCGGAUCUGGUGUCAAGUUAUCUACAACCGGACAUUAGCAAAUUCCCAUCUGCCCAUAACCGCGGGCACGGCUUUCGAAAGUUUAAACCCUACAGGGGUGUCCCAACUUAGCCCAUGAUAAGCUCUCGCGAUCAAUGAAGGAUAUACCUUCUCCCAGGAAGACCCGAUCAGACUCGGAAUCCCGGUUUACAAGACAUUUCGACAAUGGAAAAAAAAGACCCGCAAAGCCGCCCGAUGCGCCGACAAUCCCGAUAGGAGCUGCACAUAUCUCGUUCUCAGGGAAACACCAGAUAAGUCAGCCUACAAGUAAAACCAGCCCUCAAGUUGCCCCGAGGUGGCCCCGCAGUCUGCCGGGUUCCGACCAACACUUAGACAAGCAAUGCCCGGGGGGCUAGAAUAAAGAUGACCCUCGAGAGAGCGACUCCCAAGGGAAAAGUAGGUGGUGGUGAGGCAAAUGGUAAAACCAAGGUUGGGCCUUGCCGGAGGAGUUUUAUUCAAAGCGAACUGUCAAGGGGGUCCCAUAAAUCACCCAACCACGUAAGGAACGCAAAAUCCGGGAACAUAACACCGGUAUGACGGAAACUAGGGCGGCAAGAGUGGAACAAAACACCAGGCAUAAGGCCGAGUCUUCCACCCUUUACCAAGUAUAUAGAUGCAUUAAUAAUAUAAGAGAUAUUGUGAUAUCCCAGCCAAAAUCCUGUCCACCAUGGAGCAAUCUUCAACUUCACCUGCAACUAGAAAUGUUAUAAGAGGGCUGAACAAAGCGGUAACAUAGCCAAGCAACGGUUUGGUAGGAAGGGUGUCAAAGGUUAAAGGUUCAUGGCAAUUUGGGGAGGCUUGAAAAACAGGUGAUAGGUAGCGCAACAUAGCGAUAGAACGAAACAACUAGCAUAGCAAUGAUAGUAGUGAGAUCCAGGGUAGCGGUCAUCUUGCCUGAAAUCCCGCUAGGAAGAAGAACGAGUCCAUGAAGAAGACAAACGGAUGAAGCCAAACCAAGCGUAGACGAACGAAUCCUCACAAUCGCAACGAAAUGGGAACUAUCGAAAAGAAGCACACAACAAGGUAAACACACCACACAUGAACAAGGCAUGAUGCACAACAAGGAUGAUGCAUGACAAGGCUACAUGAAUCUACUCAUGGCAAGAGAUGAUGCAAACAAGAGCAACACAUCAAGGCAAGUUAAAAUGAGGCCGGAAACAACAUAUAACAAUUCCGGUAAGUCCUCAUAUGCAUACUUCGAAAUUGGUCCAGAUCUGAAUAAACCUUAUGUUCAAGUUGUUAAACAGCAAGUUAAGAUGCACCAAGAUGAUCUACACGAGAUUCUAAUCAAGUUACAUAUAAAGUUCAUUUAAUUCGGAGCUACGACCUAGAAGAUAUGAGCAAAACAAGUUAAACAUGGCAUUGAUGCAAAAUGCAUACAAACAUCAAGCAAUCACCUCAAAACAAGGGUGCAACAUGAUAAUAUAAAGCUACACACAAAAACAAGCAAGUUUCAUAUAGAGCACACUCAAAACGGAGCAACGGUGCAACACAUACACUCUAUACAAGUCAUAACAACAAUCUGUCCAAAACAGCAACUAGGCAUAUUGCAAGCACCAAAACAACACGCUACAGCAUCUUAACAUGAGAAAAAAAGGCAUGGACAUUAUGUACAGGUAAAGCAUAACAAAACAUGAACACUGAGCUAUCUCCAGAAAUCACUAGAACAUGCUCAAACACACAUGGCAAGAUUGCAAAUAAUAACAGUUCAGACUUUGCAGAAAAUAACAUCAGGUUGCAAUGUUUAGAGAUAUCAAACAACAUGCUACAGGAACUGAUCAUGGCAAACAAAGGCAUGGAAUGAAUCUACUAAUUGCAUAGAACAAAAGUCCCUUACUGACCAUGAGCCAAAAAGGAACAGAAAAUAUGAUGGCACCCAUGUAAACAUGUCAAGUUAUAUGACAGAUUCAUACAUGGCAGGAACAAUGAUAAGUAGGCAUGUUGGUGAGCUUGUACCACUCACCACAGAGCAAUAAAUGGUAUGACAAGGCAACCAACAGUAAGAAUACAUAUUUAUGAAGCUAAGAAUGGCAAGAGCAAGUUCAUAGGGUACAUGGAUCACUAACAACAAUCAUGGCAACAACUGAACUUAAUGUUAACAGGCUGACAGCAACAUUAUAUAGCAACUUUGGAGCAAGAUUACAACAAUCUAUAGCAGGCUAUAAAUGCAACCAGGGGCAUGGAUGGAUAGAUCAUAACAUGUAGAACAAAACACCCUUAGUGAACAUCUCCAGAUUAUGCAUAGAAUGACUUGUAGCAGCAGGUUUACAUAGCAUCACGAAAUAACAAAUUCAGCCUAGCAAAACAGUAACAACAAGUACCCUACUUAACAAGCUCGAUUCACUCACCACAAGUCAUUGCAUGACAAGAUAAGCAUAGCAUCAUCAACAAGGCAUGUUUAUGAAGCUAAACAAGGCAAUAACAAGUUCAUAGCAUGCAAGGAUCAACUACAACAACCUUGGCAUAAUUUAAUAACAUGUAAAUAAUCUGCCAGGAAACAUUUUGUAGCAAAAGUAGAGCACGAAAAUGACAUGCUAGACUACUCCAUAAUUGCAACCAGGGGAAGGGAUGGAUAGAGCAUAACCAUAUGUUCAAAACAUCCUUACUGAAGUAUCUCAAAAUAAGCAUGGAUCCCUCUGUAGCAUCAUGUUUACAUGGAAUCAAAAUAACAGCAGAACAGGGACUAAAAUCAGCAAGAUCACGAAGCCUAGUUUGCAUGCUUUUGCUAGUCACCACAUUGAUCAAAAAAAUAAAUGGUAAGUAGCUAUAUAAAUAAGACAUGGCAUAAUUCAAAACACAUGUAGACAUCAACCUCAUAAGAUGCACACAUCAAACAUGGCAAAAAUGACAAAUGAGCAUGUUCUGUUAACAGACAGCAGACAACAUCAUAUAGCACUCUUGCAACGAUGAUUCAGGCAUCAAGAUGAGCUCAAAUGAACAUGUUGCCAUGGAAUGAAAUGAAGUACUCAUUGAGGCGAACAAUUUGACAUAUUACACGCAUGAAAUGGAGCUACGGAUGCAUAGUUUUGAUGAGAUGAACAGGGCUCCAGAAUGCAAAAUAUUUCAGGACUUAGCAGAUUUCGAAAAAAACGGAGUGAGCAGAGGAUAGCUAUACUGCGCCUGGGGUGAGGGAUAAGGUUACCGGGGCGUUCACGAGAGCGGGCCAAGGCCCGGUAGGCAUAGCAGGCCGGCGGGGCAGGCAAGUGGGCCGGUAGGCGAGGCCGGGGCCCACGUGGCCGGGUCAACGCGGGAGGAAGCAGGCGAGGCGACCGGGUCGGGCUCCUCCCGAUCCGCUGCGGCGACGGGCGCGGUGGAGGAGGGAAGGUCACCGGCGGCGACGGAUGGCGGGGAAGGCGGCGCGGGGCACGGAUCUAGCCUCCCUCCACCGGAUCUAGCCGGGGCGAGGCCGGACGGUGGCGAACUCGCCGGAGGAGCUUGCGGCGGCGAUGGAGACGGCACGCUGGCGGCGGGGACGGGAAGGUGAGGCAUUUUCGGGAGGCAGGGUCUAGCGCCCGGCGGCGGCGNNNNNNNNNNNNNNNNNNNNNNNNNNNNNNNNNNNNNNNNNNNNNNNNNNNNNNNNNNNNNNNNNNNNNNNNNNNNNNNNNNNNNNNNNNNNNNNNNNNNNNNNNNNNNNNNNNNNNNNNNNNNNNNNNNNNNNNNNNNNNNNNNNNNNNNNNNNNNNNNNNNNNNNNNNNNNNNNNNNNNNNNNNNNNNNNNNNNNNNNNNNNNNNNNNNNNNNNNNNNNNNNNNNNNNNNNNNNNNNNNNNNNNNNNNNNNNNNNNNNNNNNNNNNNNNNNNNNNNNCUCGCGUGCCGGCGGCGGCGGGAGACGGUGGCGCCCACGUGGCAGUGCGGGAUUCACGGGGAAUGGCGGCAGGAUUUCGUCUGGCGGGCACGGACAUGUCCGACGCGCGGAGGAGCGGGGCUAGGGUUUUGGAUUGUGGGAUUCAUCCGCGAAAAAUCCGGGGGGGGGGCACAUAUUUAUAGUUUUUGGGAGCUAGGAGAGCCCAAAUGAGGAGCGGUUUUCGCCCACAUGAUCGUGAUCGAACGACCGAGAGCAUGGAGGGGGUUAGGAUGGGUUUUGGGUAACUUUGGAGGGGUUGCUGGGCCGCAAGAGAAAAGGGGGUUUCGGGCUGCGCGGUUAACCGUUGGAGUAUCAAUCGGACUCCAAAUGGCACGAAACUUGACAGGCGGUCUACCGGUGCUAUACCAAGGCCGCUUGGCAAGACUCGGUCCAUUCCGAGAACGUUUAACACCUGCUCACAACGAGAGACAAAAGGGGGACGCCGGAGGGCAUAGGAGUGCCGGAUUGCAAAACGGACAACGGGGAAAAUGCUCGGAUGCAUGAGACGAACACGUAUGCAAUGCAAUGCACAUGAUGACAUGACAAUAUGCAACACGCAAGCAAAUGACAUGGAAAAGAAGGCGAAUAACUGGCAGACACCUAGCGCAUCGAAUCCAGGGCGUUACACACGGCGCACGUACUCCCGUCUCUUUCCCAACCACACCCGCACGGUUACACGGAGGAGCUCAUUUCUGUACGAAAAAGGCAGCCCACGUGGUAAUUUGGUAUGUGUACUGGUUGUCCACUUGGUGGAGGGAGGAUCGUCUACCACGGGUCAACAAAUAAAUUGCGACUUGAUGCGUUAUGUUAAAUUAAAAAAAGAGGCAAACCAUGUGGGGCCUACCUUAGAGGCAAGGCUCUAUACACUGGAGUACUUUUGAUGUGUCCCGUCAACUCGCAAAACAAGGAGAAACUUGAUUAGUACGCCGUCUCCCCCGCCCAUGGGCGCGGUGGCUCACAGGAUGAGGUGAAGCUUACUACUACUGUACGCCUUUACGCCCGCUCCCUCGCCCACGCGCGCGGUGGCUCGCAGCAGAGGAGAAACUUUUACUACUCCCUCCGUUUACUCCUUGUCCCUACUACGUACGUACUUUUGUUAGUACUCCCUCCAUUUACUUAUACAAGGCCACUAUAAAAAAUACAUUUUGCAUCUACACAAGGCCACAAAUAGUAAUCGAGCCUUUCCAGUUUAUGGCUCAAUUUCAAAAUCUCUUCAACCAAGGUAGACGGUGAGUGGUCGAAUUAAUUUCGUAGUUUGCACAGUACACUCGUUUUUCUCAAGAAGUUAUGUUUGCCGAGGCAUUAAUUAGAACGAAUGCAUGAAUGACCACUAAAUUUCCAUGAACUUGUACAUGCAUUGGUUACUUUCCUCUUGACACUACUUGUGUCGGGUGAUCUAACGCAACUCAAAAUCCAACAUGUAAUGGUACUACUACUAGUAUAGUAGAAUUGAGACUUAUCAAAUGGAAAAAAGAAUGUUUUUAAAUGAGCCCUAUAAACCCUAGUGGGUACGUACUCCAUAAAAACAGAUUUUUUUCCAAAACUAAGUCGCCCCCUUUCAUGAAUUCUGUAGUAUACUCCUCCGUCGACGCUCCCUUUCAUGAAUUCUGUACUUCCUGUCGCCGACAUGUGGGGCAUAUAGCAACCAGGUCGACGUGUCAAGCACCAAAUAACAGUGUAGAACAGCAGGGGGGACGCACCCCACUCGUAUCGGCCUAGUAGUAGUAAUGAGCAAUGAGACGUCAAAUCACAAUGCCGCACUUUCCCAGACGGACGAAGCAACCAUUAUUUCACACUUCGGUUCGACAUCAUCUCAAACCACGUACUAGUAUUGCUUCUGCCUCAAGAGGGACAUGCGCAUCGCCUUGGUACAUCAUGACACGUGGGACCGCAUGACAGGCCAUGCUCCCCCGCCAAUUGCUCGGUAAAAUCACCUCAUUUUUACUAUACUUCCUCUGGAUCGGUUUACUACAUGGCAUGCACAUCGUUCUAUGUUGAGGAUUUAACUGGCUAUAUAUAUAUAUAUAUAUAUAUAUAUGUGUGUGUGUGUGUGUGUGUGUGUGUGUGUGUGUGUGUGUGUGUGCGUGUGAUGAACAAUAUGCUAGCCUUUUAAAAAAGUAUACUUGUACAGUAGUACUCCACUAUCGAUGGAUUGCGCCAUGGAGCAAAAAUUGAAAUUAAAAAAAAGGUGGUACAUUUAGAGAGCGCUCGUCGCCAAAUUAUGCAUAUAGUACUAUUAAAAAAGCUAGUACGUGCUUAAUUGGGGUGCUAAAUUCUAUUAAAGAAAUACUAGUACUAGUAUGUACAUACUAAAGAGUUAAAGUAACGAGAAGAAACAUAACAUAGUUCUACUGGCGGCUCAGCACAACACACCCCUCAAAUUAAACUAAGCACGCCUGAAAUUAAACUAUGCAACUAAUCCGGUAGACAUUGCAUUAGAAGUUUAGAACCACGAUGAGCAACGACACUGCCACCUUACUCAGAGUCCUCGUCCACGUCCUCGACUUCGUCCUUGUCCCUCUUCCUCUUGGCCGACACUUCUUUGCUUGAACCGCCAACUUGGCCGUUGCUCUUCAUCCAACCCUUGUAGAUAUUGAAACAAAGGUAGCCAUCCAUUGCAGCAUACUGGAUGUGGUCUAUAUCUAGUACAUUCCGCUGCCAUGCAUGACGACAAAACGUGUAUGGAGGUUUCUCCAGUUUACCGUACGAAGGAUGAACCAUGGCUCUUGCCAGGGUCAGCAUUGAAGGUUGACAAGAGGGCACCAGCCGAUUCUUCUGGAGGUCGAAGGGGUUGCCUACAACGAGGCCUAUCUGACGCAGGACUUCUUUGUCGUUCUUAAAGUCUAUAGUAACGAAUUUGACUGUUUUGUCCUUGAGGAAGUUAUUAAAAUCCUGGCACUCAACGUCGGCAUGGCAUAUGUGGUAGAUCAAGCAAACAUUAUGUACGCAAACCUGGAUUACGGCGGGCAUCUUCCUCUCUUUGUCCUUUAGAUCCUUCUCUCAUCCCACGACUGUGGUGUACUCAACAUCUAGCCCAGCGACCCACUCAUCGUGUGAGUUUUCGAACAUGCGUUUGAAGCGAGAAAGGCAUCCUUUCACCGUCGCGGAAGUACGGGUGUAGAUGACGUCGAACUCAUCACCGGUGAUGGUUCUAACCUUGUACUCACUGCUGAUCGGGGAGAUUUGGGACGCCAUGGAUUUGGGAGGAGGGUUAGGAUUAGUGGAACUAUCGUAAUGUGAAUGGACGAAACAACUAGGAGCGAACCGCCGUAGUAUUAAAGGACGUGGGGGAACGAGUAGGAGCGAACUGCCAGCGUGCGAACAGCAAGGUAGUGGCUUUCCAUUCUCCCAUGAUAUGGGCUUCCGAGAGCCCUUGGAUCUGAGAUCAAACGGUUGCAUAGCGUGAUUGUAGACCUAUGGGUGAAUAUCCUAUCCUGGAGGGUUAUUCUUAAAAAAUUUACCAACUUAGCAUGCGACCGUUUGAUCUCAGAUCCAAGGGCUGCCAGCAGCGCGUAUCAUGGUCGCACCUACCAUGACCGUCGCGUCACUCGCGCGGUUGCGUGCUUGAAGAUUUAAUACGGUGCCUUAGGCUAUCUGAUGUUGGCAUGUCAUAUAUAGUCAUCACUUAGUCACUCAUAAUACAACAAGGUUGGCUAUAAGUGUAUUUUUUACUCCUCUCUUUCUCUUUCUUCGUACUCCCUCCGUCCCAUAAUAUAAGAAUGUUUUUGACACUAGUGUAGUGUCAAAAACGUUCUUAUAUAAUGGGACACAGGGAGUACUAGUAUUUAUUGCAUUUGCCAAGGAGUGACGUCUUCCAAUGAAAUGGUGUUGCUAAGUUUGCUUCAUUUCAUUAGCUAUAGACUCAAAAUUGUAUUUUCACCUAGGUACACGCGCUUAGCACCGUUUCUUCCUUGGGUCACCAAACUAGACUCUCUCUUCUUGAUUAACUUGCCACAUCAGACUUUAUGCCUAUGUGGCAAGCUUAAGCACCUGUAGGAGCAAGUAAGUACAAUAGUGCACUUGACAUGGCAUUUUUGCAUAUGUGGAGGAAAGAGAGGCAAGGAAAAAGUGGAGAAGUGGGCUCUCAUGCAAGAGCCAGCCUCUACUACUACAUGGUGGAGCAUUGGGAGAGGCACCUGUAUGGAGGUGGUCAGGAAUCGGGAGACUCACGCCGGUCGUAGCACCGCAGUUAAAAUGAUAAUGGCAAGUCAAAUCACGGGGCCCCACCUGUCCAGCAGUAACUCGCUGUCAAAUCACACAUCCCUACGUUUGUAGAAGCCUAUGCCCUCGUCUUCUCGCGUCUCUGUCGAACCGACUAGGCGGAACUGCCCCACCUACCGCGCAAGAAAGGCUCCGCCCUCGACUUUUAAAUACAACUACUCCCUCCGUCUAGGUGAGUAAGUCAUCUUACGAAAACCAAAUAAUCCCAAAAUACUAAGGCGCGGUGCAUUAACUUCUACCUCGUUUCUUGUUUCUUCACAUAUCAACCAAUAAGAAUCCAAUGAUAUACUUUUUGUGAAAUAGUAACUCAUAUUUAGUUAGUCAAAUGGAUGACCUAGAACUACGUGCAGGCCCUAUAAACCGAGACGCCUACAAAUAAAAAACCGAGACGGAGAGGGUAGUUCAACACGUAUCUUUUUAGAUCAAUAUAGUUGGGAUUCACCAAGGAGCAAAACCAAGUGGUAGGCUGCUCCUAUCGUGUUGGCGUAGCAACUCAAGCAGGGUCAGUCCGCACACGAAAUGGUGACAAAGUUAACAGGAACCCUUUGGCAGACAUGUGGCUCAUCCACCGUCUUGUUCCACAUGCGAUGCACCAAAUUACAGUUCGGAGCAGAGGUUGGAAUUGGAGGCACCUCGGUCGUAGCACGGCAGUAGUAGAAAAUGAGCGAUGAGGGGUCAAAUCACAAAGCCCCACCUUUCCCGCAUUAAGCUGGACGGUCGAAGCAACCAUCAUUUCACUCUAGCGCGCAAGAGCAUAAAGAAAAGAGAAAACAAUGAUGCGUGCGGCAGCUACCUAGGGCACCCUAGGGUAGGGGUCUCCACUGCAGAUCCUUUUUUUGAAAGCGCCUCCACUACAAAUCGGCUUCUCCCUCGUCCUCUUGAAGAAAACCGAUGAUGAGUGCGGCGGUAGGGUUUGUAGGAGUACUACGGUGUGCGGGGCCAUGUUGUAGUAAACAGGUUCGAGUCGACGCCUUAAAUAUGUGUGGGCCACUUGGUUUUACGGGAAUGAGGCAGCAUUUUGGGUUCGGGGACCAGUGGAGAUAUAACACGUACAAAAAAUUGUGGACGUAGGUUCAACCGAAAGGCAAUGAUGCAUGGGCCCUGCUUUUUGGUAUACCCGGGGCCGCGUGAAAUUUGCUACUCUACUCAAAACUAGUAAGGUACACAUGUAUUGAACGCAUGAGAUUUCAAAACCAAAUUAUGAAUAAAUACACACUAUAGCAUGUAAAUCUUUGAGUCAUAUAUGCAUGAUGUAGAUGUUCGUUUAGUUCUUAUAGUUCAUCUCAUUCAAAAUCAAUUAGUUUUAUAAAAAUGUUAAUAUUCAUGGGGUUGUGCAUUGUAAAUCAUAAAGUAAAAAACAAAUAAUGGCAAUUCAUUUAGAAAAAAAUAAUCAAUUAUGAUACAGAAGAUUCUAGAACAAAGGAGAAGUGCUUGUGUUUUGAGGUUUGUGCAUUAUGCUUAAGUUCAACCAUGGAGUCUUCUAAAUUGUACAUGUGGCAGAUCUGGUGGAAUGUUGAUGAUAUCCAACGGCCAGUAGUUCUCGGAUUUGCCCAUCUCUGUACUGUCGGGUUAGCUUCAUCCAACGACCAUCUUUCAAAGUUAUUGGCACACUAUAUAGUUCUUGUGCCAUAGUUGCAUGUUUUGGAAAAAAGCAACUAGUGGGUUGUACUAUCUAUUUAGGAAUAGAAGAUGUAUACAUGGAAGUUGUAGGGAAAGAGAUGACAUGGAGGAUCUCAAUUCCUAUGAGUAGGGAUUGGAAAAGAGAUGUCAUUUGGUUCACAUCAUAGGAACUUUUCUAUUGAAUCUAGAGAUGACAUGUAUCUCAAUUGCUAUGAGGAGGGAUUAGUAAAGAGAUGUAAUUUGGUUCAUAUCAUAGGAACUUUUCUAUUGAAUAUACGCUAAUGUUUAUUUUCCUUUGAAAUUAAGGGAGUAUAGGAAUCCAUUCAUAUGAACCAAGUGGCUCUAAAGCUAUAGAAAUGAUAUCAUGUUUAUUUCCUUUGAAAUGUAGAGUAUAUGAAUCUAUUCCUAUGAACCAAUUGGCUCUAAAGGAAAAAAAUCCUAUAAAAAUCAUAUCUUAUAGAGUUCCAAUGAUAUUCCUCGACACUAAAGGAUGGUUGAAAUUGCUGCGGGUGAUACGAUGGUCUUUCUUUGUAGACUCCUCACCCAUCUUUAUAGUUACCUCUCAAAGAUGAAUGAAAUGAUAUAUACAGGGUAUUCUACAUGUGCAAUUUGGUACACGAAAACUCAGUAAAAGUUUGCGAGGUUCUAAUUUUCAAUAAAGCUAUAUGCACUGCAUUUUGGAACGGAGGGAGCAAACAACAGUUGCUAACACUCACGUGGAAGAUUUGUGUGUAGGAGGAGUGGUUGUUCUGUUAAAUGACAUGGCAAAACUGACAUUGUCGGAUGCCGAUCUAACGGUUCUUACGGCGUUCAUCAGGAAAAGGCUUGUGGCGAAUGUUUGUCGGAUAAUGAUUUACGGACACAUGCAUUGCAUUGAUACGUGCCCCCUCUCUCUCACGCACACGCACCCUCACGAGUCACAACUCUCCCGAGUCCUCUCGCAGGCUCGCACGUGGCACCCAUCGUCUAUCUACAGGUAGAGGUCACGCACAUAUGUGCUCUUCACACGCUACCCUCAGAACUUAUAAAAAACAAAAGAUGGCGCGCAAUUUUAUUGUAGCUCACACGUCACACACUUAUAUUAUUACUCUUGCAGCGAACAUUCUUUGGGCAUAAUAUAUAUUGUACUCUCACGAAGAGAAGCGGUGCACGCACGCACUAGUUCUCUCACACCCACUCAAAGGUACACGUAGGAGCGCAUUUUUUUAAAGCCGGUACAACAAAAUCACUCCACUAUAUAUAAAAGCAGGAGCCUUAGCGCUUGCUUUACUAGGGUUCCUCUCGUUCACUCUCUCAUGCUCUCCAGAUCUAAGCAAGACAUAGGUGGCCACACUCUCUCUCUCAGCUCACGGCUGGUCACAAAUCCGGCCAGACAACCUCGACAGGGGCAGGGGGUGUAGGUGCAUCGUUCACGCUGUCGUCGGCGGCGAGGGAGGAGACCAACGGCUGCCGAGCGUCCUGAUCGGCGGCCGUGUCGUUCUCUCCGAGAGAGCGCCGGCUCGGGAGGGCCUCCGACCCCUUCUUCCUCCCUGCGGUAUUGUGGCCAAGAUGCAGCCUCCCGACGCCGUCUUUGCCACAUGCCGAUGACCCUCAGGUAUAUAUUCCUUUGAAACAUGCCUUGCUCUACUGCCCCAGCUCUUCCCCCUUCAUGUGGAUCCUUUUCUACUUCCGUCCGCUGUUCCAAAGCCACCAAGACUUCUACUAUUAUUAGAAGUAAAGCUAGUUCAUACAGUCGACUCUAAGCGUUAGUUCAAAUAGGGAAGAAUGUGGGAAAGUUGUAGCAUGAACCUAGGACUUGGUUCUAAGAGGAAACGGGGGAAAGUAGUAAUAUCCGUCACUGUUUAAAUAACUAUAUUUUGUAUUUGCGCAAACAGGGAUGUCUGUCUCCAUAUCGUUUCGGGAUGUCUGUCUCCGUAUCGUUUCUAUCCGUGCAAUCAAAAGCACACAACUCAGUUUUAGUACAACUGCGCAAAAUGAGAUGGCUAUCCCUCGUUGCUGUCGUCUAACCUCCAGUCUUCAAGGUAUUCCUACGUUGGUAGUAACUAAGGUAGAAUGACCAACACAAUCUAAAAGAAGCUGAUUCGUACGUUUUACUUGCUGGUUGCAGUGCAGGGACGAGCAAAAACAACUGCAUCCUAGUCCAGAAUGCACUUUCUGCCAGUUCUUCCACGGACCGAGGACUAGCUGGCACGGCUGCACGGUGGUUUUUUGGAUAGGUGCGCGGAGAAGAGGCAUUGUGGUCUGCUUAUUUCUGCAAAUAACGGUGCUUAAAUUUAGUGGAAUGCACAAGCAUUUCAAGUGGUCAGUACACUGCAUGGUUCAGUUCAGCAUUCCAGCUGAGACCACAAUUAUAAUUGGUUAUUCUGGAAUGAGAGAACCUAAACCUGGAUGGUGGCAACAAGAAAAAACCAGAGUGAACUCCAGGAAAUUUAAGCCUACCGGGAGGCCCUUUGCUCAGAGAAGCCUUGCUUGUUUUUUCCUGAUUUGUAAACCUUCUCACAACUUUGUCUUUUGCUAUGAACUAGUAUAUGUUUGUUAUGUUCUAUGAAUCAUUGAGAUGUAUAAAACUGCUUAACUUAUGCUUUUCAAGAUUUUUAUGAAGACGCGUUUAAUGUGAGUGUUCCACAUGAGCGCUGGACUAGCGUUGAACGUUUCGAAUUUAUUACAUUGUGGCCUCAAUUAACUGCAUGAACCACUGUAACAAGAUACAUAGUUGCUUAUAUGCCAGACAGCAGAUUGUUGAUUGUUAGCUGGUCGAUAGCCUAGUGUUGAAGAAAGCUGAGCCAAUGUGCCGUGUUUUGCACAACUGCUUACAAGUGGGGUAGCACCAACAGUGUUUACAAGUACUUAUGUAUACGUCAGCGCACGGUUCUCGAACGAGUGCUCUAUUACAUCAAAACACACACUGCUCGUAUGAUAAAUCGUGACAACUUAUGUCUUACCAUGCCAUAUUCAUGAAAAAACUAGUGAGGACGCAUUUGUUUCGCAACAAUUACGAUGGUUCUCACAUGAUUCAUGGGCACACAAAAGUACCAGUAGUUCCCAUAGAUGGAUUCAAACAGAGUACUAGCCAAAGAGGGAUCAAUAACAGGUAAGGUUCGGAUAAUUAGACACAAUCCAAAAUACUAUUAAACACUAGCUGGGGCAACUAUUUCAUGCCUCGAUCUAAUUUGGGCUGGACACAAGACGGACCUUGCCAUGAACAUCAUCGAGGACGUCCCGCAGCAGCUCAUUCCUGUGAACCUUCAUGAAGACAACCUUGUGGCCUUGCCACUGAUAAACUUGUUUGUGAAGCAUGCCACAUCAUCUUCCUGCGUAAGCUUGACAAGAAUAGUAUGCCUCACAAACGAAGGAGUAGCUUUGAACUUCUUGUGCUUCAGUACACCCUGGACAACACGCCUGACAAUAGUAAGGCUGGAAUACACCUCUUCAUUGGUAUAACCGCAAAUGGCUUCCAGGAUGCAACAACAUAAGAACUCUGUUUUCCCAGUGCGUAUAUUCAGGUCGUUCGCCUCAUAGCGAGUAACAUGCACAACCACACAAUCCUUGUCUGCAUCAGGGCUCUAAUUGAAACAGAAACAAAUUCUGAAUUACUUUUCAGUAUAAGAAACACAAGUUAUUUAAACCACUAUGUAUAGCAUGGCAUCGAAGCUAAUGAAAUUUUGCAUUAUUAAUCACCACAUACUUCCUUUUCUAAAAAAAAUCAGCACAUACUUAGAUGAAAAACCACAAUCUAGAUCGGCAAAGAGGGNNNNNNNNNNNNNNNNNNNNNNNNNNNNNNNNNNNNNNNNNNNNNNNNNNNNNNNNNNNNNNNNNNNNNNNNNNNNNNNNNNNNNNNNNNNNNNNNNNNNNNNNNNNNNNNNNNNNNNNNNNNNNNNNNNNNNNNNNNNNNNNNNNNNNNNNNNNNNNNNNNNNNNNNNNNNNNNNNNNNNNNNNNNNNNNNNNNNNNNNNNNNNNNNNNNNNNNNNNNNNNNNNNNNNNNNNNNNNNNNNNNNNNNNNNNNNNNNNNNNNNNNNNNNNNNNNNNNNNNNNNNNNNNNNNNNNNNNNNNNNNNNNNNNNNNNNNNNAAAACUGCUCCUGCAGUCCCACGAGGGUUGUAACCUCAAACGGGGCGUUGGCCAUCUCAGUAGUGGCCGUGAGCGUAUCUUGGGUCGGCUCGGUGGUUGCCUCCAUCUUCUUGGAUCUCUCUGUCUCCUGGGGAUCAGCCUCCCGCGUCUGCUCCAAUAUCGGCAGAUCUUUGCCUGGUUCUCCUUGGUCCAUCAUGAAACUGACGAAUACUAGGAGACCACUGAAAGGAAAACACAAUCGCAAUGACAAUGAAACAAAAAAGAGAGUUACAGCUUUGCAAAAGUUCUUUUUCUCUGAACGAAAAUAUACCAACAUCACGGAUCCGCUUACCUUCCCUUCGUUGGGAGAGAAGAACAGUGGCAGAUGCGAGUGUUGCCUUUCCUGAAGAUGGUGAGGGAGAAGGGGGUUCAGUGAAGAGUGAAAUGAUGGUUGCUUCAUCCGUCAAACUUAGACUGCAGGGAGGUGGGGUUUUGUGAUACGACGGCUCGUUAUUGCCGUGCUACAACCGGGUUGACUCUCCGCCUGCAUACUGCCUUCUAAUUUGGUGGAUGGCAUUUGGGCCCGUGCGCUGCAUGGCCCGCAUGUCGGUGAACAAAAGUAUAAUGUCAUUCAGUAGAGGGAGACGUUUCAAUGACCUAGGAGGAGCCAGAAGCGGUAGAGUGUCUCCACUGAACUAGUAGUAAUUGUUUUUCUGGGUAGCUGUAGAGUGUCUCCACUGUACUAGUAGUAAUUGUUUCUCUGGGCCCAAGACAAAACAGCCAAUACACACUAGUAAAUACUAAAAUCAAUUCAAAAGGCGCUACCCACACCCAGCACACCCCCCCAAAAAAAACCUGGGUGCUCUUCUUCCUCCUUGCUCCCACCCACCUCACGUCAGCUCGCUCCACUCGUACCCCCAAAUUCCUCACCUCACUCCUACAGAAACCCCCAGCUCCCCUUCUUCCUCACUCCUACAGAAAACCCCCAGCUCCCCUUCUUCUUCGCUCGCACUACAACUAGGCUCGUCAUUCGUUACUCUGCUCAAAUCCAUGAGCGCGAGCGACGCCCUCGAGGAAAAUGGAGUCGGCUGACCCCAGCGCGAAGAAGAUGAGGCUCCCGCCAGCGGUGACGCCGGUUGUAGAUCCCGCACCCGGCAAGGCGGGGAGAAGCGGCAACCCCGCCCCCACCAGAUCCCAGGAACCCGUAGAAUCUCGAGUGGACCGCAUCAGCGAUCUCCCGGACACCGUCCUUAGGGAGAUCAUAUCGCUUCUCCCCACCAGGGAUUGCUGCCGCACCCAAGUCCUCUCAAUUCGGUGGCGCCCUCUAUGGCGCACCAUGCCCCUUAAUCUCGACUGUCGUCAGCUAUCUCUCUUCAAUGAUUUUGAAAUCCCAGAGCCAUCAUCUCCUCACAACAGGGCUCCGUUCAAAGCCUCUGCAUCCCUUCAUGCUACCUGAGCAAGCAUACCAUGCCCUGCACGGUGGACGCCCGGCUGAAAUCCCCUAAAUUCACAAAACUACAGCUGCUUGAGUUCUACUAUUCCCCUGGAAAUCACACACCACAUACCGAACGCCAUUAACUUGUGCCCUCAGCACCGAUGUCCAUCUCGCGGUUUUCCUUCUCUCUCCACACCGCCACCUUUGCACUGUGCUACCUACCAGACAAUCUAGUACUAAGCCUUUGAAUCCCAUUUCUCAAGAAACUUUCACUUGUGCGGGUUCGUAUAUUGGAGGCCUCAUUGCACAACAUCAUCCACUCCAGUUGCCCUGCGCUGGAGUGCUUGGUGCUUGUUUUCACAGUUAGAAUCGGUUGUCUCCAAAUAAAGUCGCCUAACCUUGUAAGAAUUGGAAUUUCUUUUGACGGAAGGCAACUCAUCAUCCAAGAUGCCCCUUCACUUCAAAGGUUGAUCCUUGAUUCUAGUUAUUCACCGUUGCAAAUAACCGUCCUCUCUGCGCCUAAACUGGAGACCUUGGGUGUAAUACAUGAUCUCUGUGCUCAUUUCAAUAUGGUGUUUGGCUCCACAGUUCUUCACGUACUUUAUAUUAUCAUCUACACUUGUAACCAUAAGGUGCAUUUUAAAUUUCUGCGCAUAAUUUAUAUAUCAUCUUGGAGUACACAUUUUGUACUAAUAUUAUGUUCUAUGUUCAAUGAAGAGUUUCUCCAUGGAUGGCCUAUCAAUGGUGCCGGAUUCUGUCAAGAUCUUAUAUAUCCAAAUGAAUAGUUUGGAUCUGAACAAGAUUAUUGGCUUGCUGCAAUGCUUUCCAUGUCCGGAGAAGUUGUAUAUAAAGGUGAUAACUUCACGCACAUUGGAAGCCCGCAUAUAGUGUACUAGAAUUAACCGUUCAACUAUUGCUCUUUUGACACUCUUCUUUUAGACCUUAACUGUUUUCAAUCUUCAUGUCUAUUUAGGCAACAAGACGAGGUAAGAAAGUUAUAACCAAUCAGUGGAUUCGUAAGCAUCGGGAUUUUCUUGCUUCUCAUGAGAUUCGAUUGAAGACAAUAACGCUAGAACGAUAUGUAGCCAACCGUGCAAACACAAGAUUUUUCACAUUCUUCCCGCUGAAUGCGAGGUUACUAUUGUCCAUCAGGCUUAAGUUUAUCAGCAGCAUGGUUUUGACGAAUGGGUAUGUUGAAGAGCAAAAAAAGGAGUUUCAGGUGGGCAAAAGAGCUUCUGAACGUGUCGGGCUUCUAUUUACAACAUAUUGUGGUCAUAAUCUAGUAAAUUUUACGACCCAAGAUGUUCAUUCUAUGGACCUGACCAAUCCAUUUGACUGUGACUGCCGAAAAUAGUGCUGGAGUUAGAUGUUGUUGCCCUUUUCAAUCUGGGUUUUUUUGUAAACCUGAUGAACAAUCAACCCUUGUGCUUUUGUACAGUUUGUAAGCUAGACUUAGAUGUUCCUGCCCUUUUCAACUCGGCUGUGACUAUCAUAUUUUCUUUGAAACAAGGCAAAUGGCUUGCCAUUGGUUUAAUUUAGAGUGAAAUAUUGUAACAAAUCACAACCAAGGGAAAUAACAUCACUCACGCCGGCUGCUUGAGCUCACUGUGCAUUACAGAAGCCAAGUGAUUAGCCCCCACCAGCACCCACAAACUUAUUUCGAACUAGCACAUCAAAUGGGCUGUAAAUUUUCAUAGGAAAGGCUGCAUGACCAUGAUAGAUUUGGAUUCUGACAUUUGGGACCCGCGAGGAAAUAGCCUAUCCAAGGUGGUGUCGACUUACUAGCCAGUCAACAAAUGAUUCUUCCUACCAGCCAUUGGAUUAACAUCCAACAUCUGUCGUGUAUCUUCUAUCUCUUGUCUUCUUCUUCCUCCAGCCGCCCAAACCAAACCACCCCGUCGGCUCCGCCUGCUCCCGCCUCCCAUAGCUGGCUGCGCCUCCGCCGCCCUACCGUACGUACCCUCCAACAUUGGCCAGUCCCUCCCUCUAUUCCCCCACAUGUCCUGUUAUUCUCCGACGAUGUCAGCCCCAACACGCACCCGUGCCCGAACCAGUCAACCCUUGUACUCCCCUCCGCCUGCGACUGGACCGGCGCAUCUUCAACGGCUCCUGUUCGUUCCGUCCAAGGCCUCGCCGUCGUCCUCCGCCUUGCGGCCUUGGUUCGCUCGUUGUGCGCAGUGCGCCGCCCUCUUGCGUUGUCAACGCCGCCAACAACCGAGAGGAACAAGGAGAUGAUUGUACGUGGAGAGGAUGACAGUAGGGACCCACCAGCGUCAUGGCAGUACGCAAGCAAGUGCCUCUAUAGUACAAGCCCAAAAAUAUGGUUCCUCCUAGUCCUAAUGGUUGGACAUCUGGGGCUCACGCCAUUGUCAACAUAGUCAAUAAACGAGAGAAUUACACUACGAGCGGGUGACACCAGGGACCCAGCAAGUCGCACAGUUUUUUUUUGAGGAACAAGCAGUUGUUAUUUAUACUAGUUUUAGCGACGGAUCGGGGUAACAACGGGGCUGUGCGGGGGCUGUGGCCUGUCUAGCCAGGGUUUUAUUUAUGUUUACCACAUCAUGAGCCCAGUUGUGUUUUUUUCUUGCUGAAAAUGGCUAGCCCGGUUCUAUUUUUUUUAAAGAAAUACCCAAACAAGGCCUAGUUGCUUUAUCGGCCCUGCUGGGCUGCAAAUCUUUCAAGACGAUGAGAGUUUCAUUCGGUUUGCCCAGAAAUGGCCUGUACAUUUUUAAAACACAUCAAACCGGGAAUUAGUUUCAAUUUUUUUUCAUUACAAGAUCUUAAAUUCCAUUGAUUUUUUUGCAUGGACAAUUAUUUGGAUUUUAUAUUUAUAUCAAUUAUUUUUCAAAAUAGUUUGAAUGUGAAUCGAUAUUUCUGGAUUAAAAAUAGUUGACCGCACCGAAAUAUGCAAAAUUUCGUAUACUUUUUAACCGUGGCCACAAUAUGGGGUGUAAUGGUAACAAAAAGAAGAUGGGCUCCAAAAAAAAUCUUAAGAAUUAGAAAAUGGGCUAUACAUUAUUAGAAAUAAUGGCAGAUGGGCUGUAUGCUGUUUUCCACAGAUUUGAGGCUAACUUGUGCGCCUACUACAGGUUGACGUGUAUGCUUUCAUAAAAAAAAGGUUGACGUACACGCAACGCCCUGUCAACUUAGUCAACACAUGAGAGCAGUGACUGUUGGACGUCCAUCCAACGGCUGUCGUGCUUCUUCAAUCUCUGCUCUUCAUGCUCCAACCACUCAAACAAGUGCCGGCGGGACUGCCUGCUCCCUCCUCCCGUGGCCGACUAUGCUGCCGCGCAGGCCUCGCGUCCCCACCGUACUCCCAUCGCUGGCCUAGCCAUCCCUCUACUCACCCACACAUGCUGUUAUUCUCCGGUGACGGCAGACGAACCAGUAAAUCCUCGUACUCCUCCGUGUGGGAAACAACUGCCGAGUAUUCCCUGGCUUCGUGUCGUUCCCUUCCUAGGCCUCGCCGUCGUCCACCGCCCUGGUGCUCUCGGCGCGGCCUGGUCAACGUGGUUAAUGAACGACAUCCAUCGGAAGUGGACUGUACAUGGAGAGGUUGACAGCUGGGUCCAUGGCCGCAUGCAAGGAAAUGCCUCCUUAUUACACGCAAAAUAAUGAUUCCUCCACCUGACAGCUAGGACCCACAGGAAGGGCCUCUGUAUUUCACGAAAAAAACGUUCCCCCCGCUGACAGGUCGGACUCACCAGCUAUAUCUUCGCAUGCAAGAAAGUGCCUCCUUAUUACGCCCAAAAAAAUGAAUACCCCCCUGCUGCUGGGACCCACCAUAUUGUUGGGCUGACUUGUGGGCCUACUAAGUUACGGCGACGGAGGGCUUUGUCAACUUAGUCAAUACUCCAGUGACCGUAUGAUGUCCAUCCAACGGCCAUAGUGCUUCUUCAACCUCUGGUCUUAUUGCUCCAGCCGCCCAAAGCAUCGUCGGUCGUGCCGCCUGCUCCUGCCUCCCUUGGCCGGCUAUAAUACCGCCUGCUCCUGCCUCCCGUGGCCCGGCUCCGCGUCGUCCCCUUCCUAGGCCUCGCCGUCGUCCACCGUCGUGGUGCUCUCGGCGUGGUGUGGUCAAUGUGGUCAACGACUGGCUUCCAUCGGAAGAGUACUGUACGUGGAGAGGCUGACAGCUGGGUCCACGGAAGCCACAAGGAAGUGCCUCCUUAUUACACGGAAAAUAAUUAUUCCUCCACCUGACAGCUGGGACCCACCAGACGGGCCACCAGUAUUUUGUGAAAAAAAUUGUUUCCCCCUGACUGCUGGGACCCACUGGACGGGCCAUCAUAUUUCNNNNNNNNNNNNNNNNNNNNNNNNNNNNNNNNNNNNNNNNNNNNNNNNNNNNNNNNNNNNNNNNNNNNNNNNNNNNNNNNNNNNNNNNNNNNNNNNNNNNNNNNNNNNNNNNNNNNNNNNNNNNNNNNNNNNNNNNNNNNNNNNNNNNNNNNNNNNNNNNNNNNNNNNNNNNNNNNNNNNNNNNNNNNNNNNNNNNNNNNNNNNNNNNNNNNNNNNNNNNNNNNNNNNNNNNNNNNNNNNNNNNNNNNNNNNNNNNNNNNNNNNNNNNNNNNNNNNNNNNNNNNNNNNNNNNNNNNNNNNNNNNNNNNNNNNNNNNNNNNNNNNNNNNNNNNNNNNNNNNNNNNNNNNNNNNNNNNNNNNNNNNNNNNNNNNNNNNNNNNNNNNNNNNNNNNNNNNAAACUCCCUCGGCUAGCUGGGACCCACCUUGGUGGGAGGCUGUCUUGUGGGCCUACUAAGUUGACGGGGACGAAGGGCUUUCUCAACUUAGUCAAUAUGAACGAUUCUAGCUCCAGUGACCAUACGAUGUCCAUCCAACAGCUGUAGUGCUUCUUCAACCUCUGGUCUUCUUGCUCCAGCCGCCCAAAGCAGCGCCGGUCGUGCUGCAUGCUCCUGCCUCCCAUGGUCGGCUGUGCUGCCGCGUAGCCCUCACCGCCCCCUACUAUUCCCACCGCUGGCCAGGCCCUGCGGCGACGGGAGCCUCACACCGCAGCCGAACCAGUGAACCCUCGUACUCCUCUCCGCGCGGGCUUCCACUUCCGCGUCUUCCCCGGCUCCGCGUCGUCCCCUUCCUAGGCCUCGUCGUCGUCCACCGCCGUGGUGCUCUCCGUGCGGCGUGGUCAAUGUGGUCAAGGAACGACUUCCAUCGGAAGAGUAUUGUACGUGGAGAGGCUGAGAGCUGGGUCCACGGCCACAACCCAUUUUUUUGUGAUUUGCCAAGUAAGUCGCUUUGUCAGACCUGUUGGGCUGUAAAUCUUUCAAGACGAGGAGAGCUUUCAUUUGACUGGCCGAGAAAAUGGCCCAUCAGUAAUGAGGAAUGGGCUGUACAUUUUUAAAACACAUCAAACCGGCAAUUAGUUUCAAAUAUAUUUUUUUCAUUUCAAGAUUUUAAAUUACAUUAAUUUUUAUGCAUGGAGAAUUUGUUGGAUUUUAUAUUGAUAUACAUUUAUUUUUAAAAUCAGUUUGAAUGUGAGUCGAAAUUUUGGGAUUAAAAACAGUUCGGACCGCACCGAAAUAUGCAAAAUUUCGUAUAAUUUUUUAACCGUGUCCACAAUAUGGGAUAUAAUGCUAAAAAAAGAAUAUGGGCUCCAAAAAAAACUUAAGAAUUAGCAAAUGGGCUGUAAAUUAUUAGAAAUAAUGGCAGAUGGGUCGUAUGCUGUUUUCCACAGAUUUGAGGCUUUCCUAAAAAAUAGGUUGACGCACAAGCAGUGACGGUUGGAUGUCCAUCCAACGGCCGUCGUGCUUCUUCAAUCUCUGCUCUUCCUGCUCCAGCCGCUCAAACAAGCGCCGGCGGACUGCCUGCUCCCUACUCCCCGCGGCCGGCUGUGCUGCCGUGCAGGCCUCACCGCCCCACGAUACUCCCAUCGCUGGCCUAGCCAUCCCUCUACUCACCCACACCUGCUGUUAUUCUCCGGCGACGGUAGACGAACCAGUAAACCCUCGUACAGUCGUACUCACCUCCGCAUGGGAAACAACUAUCGAGUCUUCCCUGCCUCCGUGUCGUCCCCUUCCUAGGCCUCACCGUCGUCCACUGCCGUGGGGCUCUCGGCGCGGCGUGGUCAAUGUGGUCAAUGACCGACUUCCAUCGGAAGAGUACUGUGCGUGGAGAGGCUGACAGUUGGGUCCACGGCCGCAGCAAGGAAGUGCCUCCUUAUUACACGCAAAAUAAUUAUUCCUCCACCUGACGGCAGGGACCCACCGGACGGGCCACCGUAUUUCACGAAAAAUACAUUUCCCCCUGACUGUUGGGACCCACCAGCUACACCUUCGCACGCAAGGAAGUGAGUCCGGGCAAAAAAAAUGAUUCGCCCCCCUGACUGCUGGGACCCACCAGAUACAUCUUCGCACGCAAGGAAGUGCGUCCGGGCAAAAAAACGAUUUGCCCCCGUGACUGCUCGGACCCACCAGCUACAUAUUCGCAGGCAAGGAAGUGCCUGACAGUCGGGACCCACCUGGUCGAAGCUUACGUAGCGUUGUCAUUCUAGUCGCGAACGUGUACAUACAUAUAUACUGGUGGAUGUAGAGGCGUGCAUGUGUCGUAGUAAAGGCGCGCAUUAGCAUGUACACGUACGUAUAACGGCCAGGGUGCAAGAAAGAAAAUACGGCCACGUAUGUUCUACAUAUGGGCGGGGUCUCGAACGCCUACUCGCGCAUACGUACAGCGAGGGCUCGUGUACAUGGCUGGGUCAGAACGGAGAAACAGCGUCGUCGUCGUGUUCAUGGGGAGGCAACGGAAUGCGUCAUGUUCAUGGGGAGACAACGGAAUGCAUCGUGUUCAUCGGGAGGGAACGAAACGCAUGGGAGCCAACCGGCUGGGUCGGAACGGAAUGCGUGGUCGUGUUCAUCGGGAGGGCUUGGACGGAACAGGCGAUGGAAAUGAGGCCUGGCGUACUACAGGACGGAGGAAACAGACCUCCUACGUUCGGAACGGGGUCCUGUUUAUCGGGAGGGGUGUGGCAUACUGUAAAAUGGAGGAAAUGGACCUCCUACGGUCGAAGCGAGGGUCCUGUUGAUUGGGAGGGGUGUGGCGUACCGCAAAACGGAGGAAACGGACCUCCUACGGUCGAAACGGGGGUCCUGUUGAUUGGGAGGGGUGUGGCGUACCACAAAACGGACAAAACGGACCUCCUACGGUCGAAACAGGGGUCUUAUUCAUCGGGAGGGGUGUGGCAUACCGCAAAACGGGACUCCACGGGAUACUGUUCAUCUCCACCGUCGACCUCCUCCAGCCUCCACGGGCUACCGUCGACCUCCUCCAGCCUCCACCGCGUGCUACUCCACCGGCUACUGUUCAACCACCCCUCCACCGUCUAUUGUUCAUCCAGCCCUCCACUAUCUACUGUUCAUCCAGCCCUCCACACCACGGGGUCCUGUUCAACCACCCCUCAACGGCCACCCACCAUCGUCUACUGUUCAUCCAGCCCUCCACACCACGGGGUCCUGUUCAUCCAGAGGCAACGCCACCGCUCACUAUUCAUCCAACCCCCCCCUCCCCCCGCAACGCUCACUGUUCAUCCAAUCGAUCGGCUUCAGUUAGCAGCAGUAGCAAAGGAAUCGCUCCAUCGGGUUCAGUUAACAGCCAUCGAUCGAUCGCUCGGGUUCAGUAACGCGUAGCCUGCAAUGCAAUCGCUCGGGUUUAGUUAGAUCCUAAUGCCUCGCUCGGGUUCAGUUAGAGCCAACGCCUCACACACACGCGCGUACGUGUAUGAGAGAAACACGCAUCGCUCUACCCCCGACCUCCCACCAUAACCGGCAACUCCCCGAAGUUUUCCUCCCCCUCACUUCUACCAUGGUUUUUUCCGUCAUGGACGGCCCAAAGAAUGUCAUGCAGCUGCGUCUCCGGCCCGCCCAGGACGAAAAGCCCAUUUUCUGUCAUGAUUUUUUGUCAUAGAAGUAGGAGCCCACCACAUCUAUGAUGAUACUGGGUUUUGUCACAAUUAUCAAUUAUCGUCAUAGAAGUGUCAUAUGUAUGACAGAAAAAAAAUUCGUUCGGCCCAAAAUGUCAAGGAUGUGUCUUUUUUUGUUGUGAAUACAAUGGUAAAUUGUAUAGGUGCACUAGUACGGCGAAGAGAUGGUGAUACAAGUGCAAUAUGGAUGGUAGAUAUAGGUUUUUGUAAUCUGAAAUUCUAAAAACAUGAAGGUAACAAAUGGUAAAAGUGGGCGAAAAUGGUAUUGCAAUGCUUAGAAACAAGGCCUAGGGUUCAUACUUUCACUAGUGCAAGUUCUCUCAACAAUAAUAACAUAAUAAGAUCAUAUAACAAUCCCUCAACAUGCAAGAAAGAGUCACUCCAAAGUCACUAAUAGUGGAGAACAAACAAAGAGAUUAUUGUAGGGUACGAAACCACAUCAAAGUUAUUCUUUCCGAUCAAUCCUUUGGGCUAUUCCUAUAAGUGUCACAAACAGCCCUAGAGUUCAUAGUAAAAUAACACCUUAAGACACACAUCAACCAAAACCCUAAUGUCACCUAGAUACUCCAAUGUCACCUCAAGUAUCCGCGGGUAUGAUUAUACGAUAUGCAUCACACAAUCUCAGAUUCAUCUAUUCAACCAACACAAAGAACUUCAAAUAGUUCCCCAAAGUUUCUACCGGAGAGUCAAGACGAAAACAUGUGCCAACCCCUAUGCUUAUAUUCCCAAGGUCACGGAACCCGCAAGUUGAUCACCAAAACAUACAUCAAGUGAAUCAAUAGAAUACCCCAUUAUCACCACGGGUAUCCCACACAAGACAUACAUCAAGUGUUCUCAAAUCCUUAAAUACUCAAUCCGAUAAUAUAAUUUCAAAGGGAAAACUCAAUCCAUUACAAGAGGGUAGAGGGGGAGAAACAUCAUAAGAUCCAAAUAUAAUAGCAAAGCUCGCGAUACAUCAAGAUCGCGCCAAAUCAAGAACACAAGAGAGAGAGAGAGAGAGAUCAAACACAUAGCUACUGGUACAUACCCUCAGCCCCAAGGGUGAACUACUCCCUCCUCGUCAUGGAGAGUGUCGGGAUGUUGAAGAUGGCCAUUGGUGAUGGUUUCCCCCUCCGGCAAGGUGCCGAAACAGGGCCCCGAUUGGGUUUUGGUGGCUACAAAGGCUUGCGGUGGUGGAACUCUCGAUCUAGGUUAUGUUCCGGAGGUUUGGGGAUUUAUAGGAGAGGCUGGCGUCGAGAACAAGUCAGGGGGCCCCAUGGAGAGUCCAUGAGGCAGGGGGCGCGCCUUAGGGGGGCGCGUCCUCCACCCUCAUGGGGCCCAUGGGAUUCCCCUCUGGUAACUCUUUGUUCCAUUAUUUUUUAUAUUUUCCAGAAAAAAUCUCCGUUGAUUUUCAGUGCAUUCCGGGAACUUUUAUUUCUGCACAAAAGCAACUCCAAUGUAGUUCUGCUGAAAACAGCAUCAGUCCGGGUUAGUUCUAACCAAAUCAUACCAAAAUGAUGUAAAAAUAUUAUAAGCAUGGCAUGAAUACAUCAAAAAUUAUAGAUAUAUUGGAGACGUAUCAUGGGCCCCCUUCGGUUGAUUCUUUCGCCAGUAUUUUUUAUUAAUUCCAAAAAGUGUCUCCAUGAAGUUUCAGGUCAUUCUAAGAACUUUUAUUGCUGCACAAAAAUAACACCAUGACAAUUGUGCUGAAAACAGUGUCAGUCCGGGUUAAUUCCAUCCAAAUCAUGCAAAUUAGAGUACAAAACAAGGGCAAAAGAGUUUGGAAAAGUAGAUACGUUGGAGAUGUAUCAAUAUGUCCCCAUUGCUAGACUAUCCAUUUGCAUCUUACUUGCUUAUGCCAAUCACCAUGAUAUCACAUUAUAUCAAAUGGACAUUAAAAGUGCUUUUCUGAAUGCUAAAAUUGAGGAGGAAGUUUAUGUUAAAACAACCUCCCGGCUUUGUUAAUCCCAAGAAAUCUGAUCAUGUUUACAAACUUCACAAAGCUCUUUAUGGUCUUAAACAAGCUCCUAGAGCAUGGUAUAAAUGCUUGACUAAGUUUGUUAUUGAAAAAGGCUUUGAGAUGGGAAAAAUUGAUUCUACACUAUUUACUAAAAUGGUUAAUGGUGAAUUAUUUGUGUGCCAAAUUUAUGUGGAUGAUAUCAUAUUUGGUUCGACUAACCCUCAUUUUAGUGAGAAGUUUGGAAGGCUAAUGUCAGAGAAGUUUGAGAUGUCUAUGAUGAGUGAACUCAAGUUCUUUCUUGGUUUGCAAAUCAAGCAAAUUAAGGAUGACACCUUUUCUUCCCCAAACAAAGUAUACCAAGGACUUAUUCAAGAAGUUCAAUAUUCAAGAAAAAAAGGUAUGAAAACACCCAUGCCUACUAGUGGACAUCUUGACUUGACUAAGGAUGGCGAACUGGUUGACCAAAAGGUUUACCGCUCUAUGAUUAGUGCAUUGUUAUAUCUAUGUGCCUCCCGUCCUGAUAUUAUGCUAAGUGUGUGCAUGUGUGCAUGAUAUCAAGCGGCCCCCAAAGAAUGUCGUCUUAAGGCUGUGAAAAGGAUGGUGAGAUACUUAAUUCAUACACCAAACUUUGGCAUUUGGUACCCUAAGAGGUCUUCUUUUGAUCUUGUUGGCUACUCCGAUUCGGACUAUGCGGGUGUCAAGGUUGAUAGAAAGUCCACUUAAGGAACUUGUCGAUUUCUUGGUAUCUUGUGUCUUGGUCCUCCAAGAAACAAAACUCAGUAUCCCUAUCUACCGCCAAAGCGGAAUACAUUGCCGCCAGUUCAUGUUGUGCUCAAUUACUUUGGAUGACCUAAACUCUUAAAGAUUAUGGGAUACAUGUGAAACAUGUUCCAUUUCUUUGUGACAAUGAGAGUGCUAUUAAGAUUGCUCAUAAUCUAGUGCAACAUUCUCGAACUAAGCAUAUUAAAGUUCGGCAUCAUUUCAUUCGAGAUCAUGUUGCUAAAGGAGACCUCAAUCUUAAGCAUGUUCAUACCGAUAAGCAAUUGGCGGAUAUAUUCACCAAACCUCUUGAUGAGAAAGUAUUUUUCCGUUUGAGAGGUGAAUUGAACAUCAUUGAUGCCUCAAACUUGGAGUAGAAACUCCAUUUGGAUGCAUGCAAGGAAUGAGCCUUUCUAUGACUAAUCCUCGAUAUUUCUCUUAUGAUGAUGAUCAUAUGUCUUGGAUAUACUUGUACCAUUGCAUGUUAUCUAACCCUUGUAGGUACUUGGAUAAGCACAAAUCUGUGAGAUUGCAACUCACUCACAUCCUAAGCAAUCUCUACGUCACCAAGUCUCUACAAUAUGGUGGUUGAAGACAAGGAAGCAUGAAUCCUUUCAAGAUAUCUUUUGACAAUUUCUAUAUAUCAAAUCUCAUUUGAUAUCAAAUUUCAUGAUUGUCAUUUUUGAUACAGAAGUGCUCUUCCUUGCAAAACUAAUCCAUGUAGGUAGAUGAACUCAAACUACAAGUGGUGCUCCUAACUCUUGAUGAACUACAUCAACCUUGAGCAUCCUACACAAGUUCAACUACAUGGUCAAGAUCAACACCACCACCAAGGUAUGUCAUUCCAUCUUAGAGAAGCUUUACCCCAAGUCAUGGGUCAAAGCAACUCAACAAGAUGUGAAUACAUCAAAGUGCUUAAACGAAAAAUGGCAACCCCAUUUUGAGCUUAAACGAUGAGUAUGACCUAUGAUCAAGUGACUUCACUUGACUCCUAAGUCAAUAUACUCUAACAUAGGUGACUUUGUUGCCAACCAAUUCUAAAUGAAGUUCUCUAGUGUUUCUUUGUGUUCUUGCAUUUGUCUCUCGCUUGUUCCCCUUAAAAAACUUCAUCUAGAUUUAUUUUCUUUUCUCUGUUAUUUUCUGCAUUCCCUACAUCUAAUUCAUUGCAAAUCCUUUAGUAAAUUCCUUGAAAAUCUUUGUGAGAUCUUAUUUGCCCAGUGAGCUGAGAUGACAAAAUGUUUACUCAUCAUUGAACUCGGUCUCUCCGAUUCGAACCUAUUGGUCUAACCAAGGUACAAGGAACUCUUGUGCAUAGAUCAUCGGUCAAACCGACACGGUCUAACUCGAUUGCACCGAUCAGGGUUCUCUGUGACCUCGUCAACUCGGUGUCACCGAAGAAAACAAAUCGGCGUUACUGAUUUUAGUGCUGGAGAAAACAUUUUGCCAUUGCAAUUGUCAUUUCUUCUCCAGCUCCACUCGAUGAUUCUUAUCAUCUACCUGCAUCACAAUCUACAUGCUGCUUUGUCAUGUGUAUCAAGGAUCAAACCUAAUUGACUCCUAUUCUAGAAGAACCCUUCUUGGAAAUUGAUGUCAAAGGGGGAGAGAGAGAUCACAUCAAAGCUUAUUUUAUGGUAAAAGAGACCCUAUGGGAUAGAAAGACAUCUUAGCUUUCCCAGAUGCUUGGUGUCCAUAGAGGAGAGAAGUCACAUGUCUUUAAGAGAGGAAAGACAUGUUAGUAGAUGUUUAUUUGUGUCUAUGCUCUGAUUUUCUAUUACCCUAUCUUCUCCAUUAUCCAAUAUCAGAUUCAAGGGGAGAAAGAGUUCAUAUCUAAGGGAAGAAAAUCUCUGGAAUCCUUGGGGACAUGUCUAUAUCCAAAUAGAGUACUAACUGCUCACUCACUACAUGUCAUCCCAAUCUUGGUACUCUUGUGGUUUCUUAUUCUUGCUCUGAUUAGUAGAUGUUCUUGUGUUAUCUAACCCUGUUUUCUCAGGUUCAUCUCUUCCAAAGUCAGCUCAAGACUACAAGGUAAGUAUAUGCAUCACACUCAUGUGCAUGAUGAUCUCUUGCUGAUGUACAUAUUGUUUGCAAGGACUCAUGAACAUGAAGGUACAUCUUCUUUAUUUACAUCAUUUGCUCUGAUGCAUAUAGCCAAGAUACAUGUAGCUCAUUGCUUGCUCUGACAUGCUUAUGCAUUCAGUUGCUUUCAUAGUCUAUGUUCACAUGAUUGCAUACAUGUAAGGGGAGCUAAUGCAUGUUACAUGUCUUUCCAAAGCUUUACUUGUUGCUCUUCAUACUUUAUCUAAAGCUUUGAUGUAUGUUGUCAUCAAUUACCAAAAAGGGGGGAGAUUGAAAGCACAAGUGCUCCCUAGGUGAUUUUGGUAAAUAAUGUCAACAUAUCUCUUGUUGGACUAACAUUUUCAUCUAGUAUAUUUUAGAUGAGUUCAACAAUGGAGUGGCAGGACAAGAGGAUGUGGAACCCCUUCAAGAUAUUAAGGACAAAUAUUGGCAAAAGCUCAAGACUCUUCAUUUUUAUUUUAGUGAUCCAAGAUCACAUUGAGUCCAUAGGAAAAGCCAAUACUAUUAAAAAGGGGAUGAGGUGUUGCUUAAUUGUCUACUUGCUCAAAGUGCUUAGUGAUAUGCUCCAAAGCCCUCAACCACUUUAUCAUAUCCAAAUAUGUCCAAAACCUAAAGUCAAACUCGGCCCCACCGAUUUGAUUCAUCCGGCGCCACCGAGUUCAUUGUCAUAGCCACUGCUAGAAACCCUAAUCAGUUCGAUCUCACCGAUAUGGCCUUGCAAACUCUCUGUUGCCUGUUGCAAUUAUUUCGGUCUCACUGAGAUGUGCAAUCGGUCACACCGAGUUUUCUUGACCAAAUCUCUGUUUGCUUAUUGCUGAAAUCGUUCUCACCGAGUUCAUGCGAUCAGUCUCACCGGGAUGAGGUUUUGCCCUAACCCUAGCACAUCGGUCCCACCGAGUUGAUCAUAUCGGUCCCACCAAAAAUUCUAACGUUCACAUUUUGAACCAGAUCAGUCCCACCGAGUUUCACUAUUCGGUCUCACCGAGUUUGGUAAAUUGUGUGUAACGGCUAGAUUUUGUGUGGAGGCUAUAUAUACCCCUCCACCCCCUUCUCCAUUUGAGAGAGAGCCAUUAGAACGUGCCUACCCUUCCACUACUCAUUUUUUGAGAGACAACAACCUACUCAUGUGUUCAGACCAAGACAUUCCAAUCCUACCACAAGAAUCUUUAUCUCUAGCCUUCCCCAAGAUGCUUUCCACUCAAAUCAUUUUUCCACCUUAUCCAAAUCUGUGAGAGAGAGAGUUGAGUGUUGGGGAGACUACCAUUUGAAGCACAUGAGCAAGGAGUUCAUCAUCAACACACCAUCUAUUACCUUUUGGAGAGUGGUCUCUCCUAGAUUUGUUAGGUGUCACUUAGGAGCCUUCGUCAAGAUUGUGGAGUUGAACCAAGAAGUUUGUAAGGGCAAGGAGAUCACCUACUUCAUGAAGAUCUACCCAAUUGAGGCAUGUCCUUCAUAGGCGAUGGACAUGGUGGGAUAGACAAGGUUGCUUCUUCGUGGACCCUUCGUGGGUUGGAACCCUCCGUGGACUCGCGCAACCAUUACCCUUCGUGGGUUGAAGUCUCCACCAACGUGGAUGUACGAUAGCACCACCUAUCGAAAUCACGCCAAAAAUCUCCGUGUCUCUGAUUGCGUUUGCACACUCCAAUCCCAUCCCUUUACUUUCUUGAAAAUUGCAUGCUUUACUUUUCGCUGCUCAUAUACUCUUGCCAUGCUUGCUUGAAAUGUAUUGUGAAUGUUUAAAAUUGUGCUAUUCUCCAACCUCAACUUGAAGAACUUAAAAACUGCUACAUUUACUUGCUGAGGGUCUAAUCACCCCCUCAAGACACCUCUUCUCGAUCCUUUCAGAUGUCGGUGUUAGUGUUGCAAGUAUGCUUGACAAUUUUCAUGCAAAACGAAUCAACAAUAUUUCAUCGGUAAAGAAACAAAUUUGAGGAGACAUUUAGAGGUAACAUUUGGUGUUCGGUUUAUUUUUUGUUUCUGCACAGGCUAAAAUGCUUGAAGUUUUUGCCUCAAAAUUUACAAGUAGCAUUUGGAUGUGACUAAUUUGACAUUUAAAAAAUUAUUUUUGGUCCUCAGAGCACAUGCUCCCAGGAGCCGUAUUGAAUUUCUGAGGUGUGAUAUUACAAUCUAAAUUAUCACAUAGAUAUGUAUAUCUUGGAUGUAGUUUAUGGACUAUGAUUAAAAUCACAUAGUGUGAUUCUAUCUCAUCAUGUGUACCUUUUAUUUUUCUCAUGCCAUACAAUGGAACUCUAUUUCUUCAAAAUCAAUACGAAGACGUUUAGAAUGAAGGUCUUCAAUAUAGAGUAACAAAGGCCUUAAAAUUGCAAAAAUACUUAGUCAUACAACACACUAUUGGGAAACAUAGCAUGCAAUUUCAAAAAAUUUCCUACGCUCACGCAAUAUCUAUCUAGGAGAUGCAUAGCAACAACAGGGGAGAGUGUGUCCAUGUACCCUCGUAGACCAAAAGCGGAAGCAUUAACUUAACGUGGUUGAUGUAGUCGAACGUCUUCUUGAAUCAACCGAUCAAGUACCGAACGUAUGGCGCCUCCGAGUUCUGCACACGUUCAUCUCGACAAUGUCCCUCGAACUCUUGAUCCAGCAGAGUGUCAAUGGAGUCGAUGAGUUCCGCCAGCACGAUGGCAUGAUGAUGGUGUUGGUGAUGUGAUCUGUGCAGGGCUUUGCCUAAGCACUACACCGAUACUAUUGGAGGAGUAAAUGGUGGAGGGGGCACCGCACACGGCUAAGACAAUAAUUGUUGUGCUUUGGGGUGCCCCCUUCCCCCGUAUAUAAAGGAGGAGGGGAGGAAGCGGCCGACCUAGAGGGGGGCGCCAUGGGGGGAGUCCUACUAGGACUCCCAGUCCGAGUAGGAUUCCCCUUUCCUUUUCCGGAGUGGCAAAGAGGGAAAGGGUGAGGGAGUAGGAGAGGGAAAGGGGGAAUCUGCCCCCUCCCCUAGUCCAAUUCGGACUCCCGUGGGGGGGAGCACCCCUUGUGGGCUAUCCCCUCUCUCUCCCGUGGCCCAUGUAGGCCCAUUACUUCCCCGGGGGGUUCCGGUAACCUCCCGGUGCUCUAGAAACAUUCAAAACUUCCCAAAACCAUUCCAGUGUCCGAAUGUAACCUUCCAAUGUAUCAAUAUUUACCUCUUGACCAUUUCGAGACUCCUCAUCAUGUCCAUGAUCUCAUCCGGGACUCCGAACAACCUUCCGUCACCAAAACACAUAACUCAUAUAAUACUAAUUGUCAUUGACCGUUAAGCGUGCGGACCCUACGGGUUCGAGAACUAUGUAGACAUGAUCGAUACACCUCUCCGGUCAAUAAUCAAUAGCGGAACCUGGAUGCUCAUAUUGUUUCCCACAUAUUCUACGAAGAUCUUUAUCGGUCGAACCGCAAUGUCAACAUAGCUAUUCCCUUUGUCAUCGAUAUGUUACUUGCCCGAGAUUCGAUCGUCGGCAUCUCUAUACCUAGUUCAAUCUUGUUACCGACAAGUCUCUUUACUCGUUCCGUAGUGCAUCAUCCCAUAACUAACUCAUUAGUCAGAUUGCUUGCAAGGCUUUAUAUGAUGUGCAUUACCGAGAGGGCCCAGAGAUACCUCUCCGAUACUCGAAGUGACAAAUCCUAAUCUCGAUCUAUGCCAACCCAAAAAACACCUUCAGAGAUACCUGUAGAGCAUCUUUAUAAUCACCCAGUUACGUUGUGACAUUUCAUAGCACACAAGGCAUUCCUCCGGUGUCCGAGAGUUGCAUAAUCUCAUAGUCGGAGGAAUAUAUAUUUGACACAAAGAAAGUAGUAGCAAUAAAACUGAACGAUCAUUAUGCUAAGCUAACGAAUGGGUCUUGUCCAUCACAUCAUUCCACUAAUGAUGUGAUCUCGUUAUCAAAUGACAACUCAUGUUCAUGGCUAGGAAACUUAACCAUCUUUAAUCAACGAGCUAGUAUAGUAGAGGCAUACUAGGUAAAUGUAGUUUUGUCUAUGUAUUCACACAUGUACCAAGUUUCCGGUUAAUACAAUUCUAGCAUGAAUAAUAAACAUUUAUCAUGAAUAAGGAAAUAUAAAAUAACAACUUUAUUGUUGCCUCUAGGGCAUAUUUACUUCAGUCUCCCACUUGCACUAGAGUCAAUAAUCUAGAUUACAUUUCAAGGAAUCUAACACCCAUGGAGUCUUGGUGCUGAUCAUGUUUUGCUCGUGCAAGAGGCUUAGUCAACAAGUCUGCAACAUUCAGAUUCGUAUGUAUUUUGCAAAUCUCUAUGUCUCCCUCCUUGACCAAAUCUCAGAUGGAGCUGAAGCGUCUCUUGAUGUGUUUGGUCUUUUUGUGAAAUCUGGAUUCCUUCGCUAACGCAAUUGCUCCAGUUUUGUCACAAUUGAUUUUCACUGGACCCGAUGUACUAGGUAUUACACCUAAAUCGGAUAUGAACUCCUUCAUCCAGACUCCUUCAUUUGCUGCUUCCGAAGUAGCUAUGUACUCCGCUUCACAUAUAGAUCCCGCCACGACACUCUUCUUGGAACUACACCAACUAACAACUCCACCAUUAAAUAAAAAUACGUACCCGGAUUGUGACUUAGAGUCAUCUAGAUCAGUGUCAAAGCUAGCAUCGACAUAACCACUAACGACAAGCUCUUUGUCACCUCCAUAAAUGAGAAACAUAUUCCUAGUCCUUUUCAGGUACUUUAGGAUGUUAUUGACCGUUGUCCAGUGAUCAAUUUCUAGAUUACUUUGGUACCUCCCUGCUAAACAUAUAGCAAGGCACACAUCAGGUCUGGUACAUAGCAUAGCAUACAUGAUAGAACCUAUGGCUGAAGCAUAGGGAAUGACUUUCAUUUUCUCUCUAUCUUCUGCAGUGGUCGAGCAUUGAGUCUGACUCAACUUCACACCUUGUAACAUAGACAAGAACCCUUUCUUUGACUGAUCCAUUUUGAACUUCUUCAAAACUUUAUCAAGGUAUGUGCUUUGUGAAAGUCCUAUCAAGCGUCUUGAUCUAUCUCUAUAAAUCUUGAUGCCCAAUAUGUAAGCAGCUUCACCGAGGUCUUUCAUUGAAAAACUCUUGUUCAAGUAUCCUUUUAUGCUAUCCGGAAAUUCUAUAUCAUUUCCAAUCAGCAAUAUGUCAUCCACAUAUAAUAUUAGAAAUGCUAUAGAGCUCCCACUAACUUUCUUGUAAACACAUGCUUCUCCAAAAGUCUAUAUAAAACCAUAUGCUUUGAUCACCUCAUCAAAGCGUAUAUUCCAACUCUGAGAUGCUUGCACCAGUCCAGAAAUGGAUAGCUAGAGCUUGCACACUUUGUUAGCACCUUUAGGAUCGGCAAAACCUUCUAAUUGCAUCAUAUACAACUCUUAUUUAAGAAAUCCAUCAAGGAAUGCAGUUUUGACAUCCAUUUGCUAGAUUUCAUAAUCAUAAAAUGCAACAAUUGCUAACAUGAUUCGGACAGACUUAAGCAUCGCUACAGGUGAGAACGUCUCAUCGUAGUCAACUCCUUGAACUUGUCAAAAACCCUUUGCAGCAAGUCGAGGGAGUCCUGGAUUAGGGUGUCUUCUUCUUGAAGAUCCAUUUAUUCUCUAUGGGUCACUGAGGGAGUCCUGGAUUAGGGGGUCCUCGGACAGCCGAACUAUAUAUGUUGGUCAGACUGUUGGGCUAUGAAGAUACAAGAUAGAAGACUCCGUCCCGUGUUCGGGUGGGACUCUCCUUUGCGUGGAAGGCAAGCUUGGCGAUUUGGAUAUGUAGAUUCCCUUCUCUGUAACUGACCUGAUGUAACCCUAACCCCCUCUGGUGUCUAUAUAAACCGGAGGUUUUAGUCCGUAGGACAACAACAAUCAUAAUCAUAGGCUAGCUUCUAGGGUUAGCCUCUACGAUCUCGUGGUAGAUCAACUCUUGUAAUACUCAUAUCAUCAAGAUCAAUCAAGCAGGAAGUAGGGUAUUACCUCCAUACAGAGGGCCCGAACCUGGGUAAACAUCGUGUCCCCCGUUGUCGGUGUCAAAACCGGUGGAUCUCGGGUAGGGGGUCCCGAACUGUGUGUCUAAGGCUAAUGGUAACAGGAGGCUGGGGACACGAUGUUUACCCAGGUUCAAGCUCUCUCGAUGGAGGUAAUACCCUACUUCCUACUUGAUUGAUCUUGAUGAUAUGAGUAUUAUAAGAGUUGAUCUACCACGAGAUCGUGGAGGAUAAACCCUAGGAGCUAGCCUAUGAUUCUGAUUGUUCUUGUCCUACGGACUAAGCCCUCAGGUUUAUAUAGACACUGUAGGGGGUUAGGAUUACACAAGGUCGGUUACAGAGAAGGAGAUCUACACAUCCGAAUCGCCAAGCUUGCCUUCCACGCAAAGGAGAGUCCCAUCCAGACACGGGAUGAAGUCUUCAAUCUUGUAUCUUCAUAGUCCAAUAGUCCGGCCAAAGUAUAUAGUUCGGCUGUCCGAAGACCCCCUAAUCCAGGACUCCCUCAGUAGCCCUUGAACUAGGCUACAAUGACGAUGUGUCUGGCGCGCAAAUUGUCUUCGACAUUGCAAGGAGGAUUCUCCUCCAAAUCCAGAGUACCUGUUGUAGCGAGUAGUGUCUGACUUCCCAUUAAUGUUGAACUCCUCGGCUUCUGUGCUUCAAUAAUGAUUAUCUCCACGUGUCGAGCGAGUGCGAGAAGUCGGGGCAUUUUUGCAUUUGCCACCCUAACCAUGUAAGUAAAUUGUCUAUUUAAAGAGACGGGGAUCCUCAGAUACAAAUCACACCAUCCUCCCCUCAGCAAGCAUCUCAUCAGAGCGCGCCUGGAAGAAACCAUCCCAUCAUGGUCGGCCGUCGCAGCUCCUCCUCUUGCUCUCGUAGCACUAAGCCAGGUGAUUGGGAGAAGUGUUCUGUUCCCCAUAGCCGAUUAGUAGAGUUGCAGACCAAGGGGUUCCUCCUGCCUGCAUACAUGGUCCCCGUCCGAGCCGGACUAGCCACCUAUAAUGGCGGGGAGCAAGCAGAGAGCUUUUCCAACCCAUCCAAGGGGGAGCGGGUAUGCCUUGUCCCUUAUUUGAUGAGGGGACUCGAGUUUCCAAUCCACCCAUUCCUUCGCGGGCUCCUGGAGUUCUAUGGCCUCCAGGUGCAUAAUUUCACCCCUGCCUCCGUACUGCAUAUUGCAGGCUACGUAGCCCUUUGCGAGCUAUUUCUAGGCUGCGAGGCUCAUUUUGAGCUAUGGAAGAGGCUAGUCUGCCUUGUCCCCCGUAAUCAGGAGGGAUCAAUAUAUAAAGUGGGCGGAGCCGAAAUAUGGCGCGUCGCCGAGACCGGAUACUUGUCCGGCACUCCACAGAAGGCAUCCGAAGACUGGCCCUCGGAGUGGUUUUAUGUAGAGGACGUUCCCCUUACGGACCCAAUUCGGACGGGCCUUCCUGAGUUCAGUAAUGCUCCGCUAAAGAAAUGCCAAAGCUGGCGCCCUGGAGCCCCUAGGAGGAAGAUAAUAGAGAAGUCCUUUACCUGAUGGGCAGGAUAAAAACACUGGCCAAAUCAAGAUUGACAAUAACCGAAGUUAUGUUAAUAUGCAUAAUGCGGGGGGUGCAGCCACUUCAAUAUCGGGGAAAACCCAUGUGGCACUUCAACGGAGAAGACGAUGCUACCCGCUGUGGUCGAAAAGGUCCGGACUCCGCCACCGCUUUGGCGAGAAUACUGUCCAACUUGUACAAAGGAGAAGAAGAGGAGUUCCUCUGUAUUAAGCCACAGGAUGGAUUAUCUAUGUACAACCCCCCAAGCUGGGUGAGCUGCCAUCCUUUACUCAACUCUAUUCAUUCCUACAUCCCUCGUCACAAUUAUUUACCUUGCUAUUUCGUAGCAGGAACUGAAAAAGGCCGUGAGAGAGGUUAACAGCCCACCUCCACAGCCAGAGGACCCUGACCGGGCUCUCGACCCCGGACUUGAAGAAGAUCUGGACACAUCUGUGGAGCUUGUCGAUGGGAUAUUUUACCAGGCAAGCUGUGAUGGCACCUUAGUGGCCAUCAUCGCCGAUUAUCCCGGACUGCUCCCUGUAUCAAACGUAAGUAAAACCGAAGUCCUAACUUCCGAGAAGGAUUCCUUCUUUAUGCCUUACCUAAUGCACAUAUAUUGUACUUUUAUAGAAACGGCUACCGGGACGCCACACCAAGCCCACAAGGGCUCAUCAGCAAAGGGCACCCAGGCCAGGCAGGCUUAAGAGUAAGGCGGUUAGGAUUGAGACGCCGUCAUAGAGGUAUAAUUUAAAAGCUGCCCCAUGAAUAUCGUCUUUGAAAUGUAACAGCAUCCAUUGUGUCCUGUCAGGAAGAGUAGUCACCGAAAUAUAUUCGGAGACCCUGCCGGCCAUUCCUCCGCCAGCCGGAUUCCGGAACCGGCCUCAAUGGUGGAGGCUAAUGUGGGGACAACACCGAACUAUCCUCCUACAGAGGAUGCGGACAGAAUCUCCGCUACGGAUUCCGAAGUGGAGAGCGCCAUGAAUCACCGGCACCGACGGGCCGUACUCCGUGACGCUAGUUUCUCCGAAGAGGCAUUUAAUGCCUUCAACUCAGGAGACUCGUACAUCCGAGCUGCUCAAGACGGACUCGCUAGAGCCACGGACCAAUACAUAAAGGAUGUACGGGUAAGAAAAUUCGAUAAGUAUGUAUAUCAGUACCCCCUGAGACUUGAAACAGUUGGCACAACUGAUUUAAGGAUCAUUGUAUGCAUAGGUUCUUGUAGAGAAGAAUACCCAUUUAUCUCAAGAGCUAGAGGAAUGCAAGGCUCAGCUGAGGGACGCAGUUGCCAAAAUAUAGGAAUCCAAGAAGGCCUCAUCUGGUAAUACUUGUCUCAAUCAAAGAGAAUGUAAGUACGUACACCAGUUAAUAUUCGGCAUAGUUUAUAAAUCUAACAAUAGAUUCCACAGACAAUCUUGGAGAGAAUCCGAAGAUCGUACAAGAGGAUGAGCCGCAAGCUCAAACGCUGCUAAAGGCCGGCGAGUGUGUGCUUACACAGGUUAGGCGGGAGAAAAACAAUCUCCAAGAUGCCAAUAUCCGGCUGGGCGUCAAAUUAGCAUAUGUUCGGGCCCAACUUGUUGACUCCCUGAAGGAGAAUAGGGGGCUUCAACAUGGCAUUUAUGGUAAGUGCUUAAACGAACCGUUGUAUAGUUCGGCGAAGAAACAAGUUGACAGAGUUAUGUUUGUAGGUAUGCUGACAGCCCGUCCUGAAGAGGAAAUGCCUGGAUCCGCAGGUGAUGUUCUAUAAGAGCUUGUGCAACUGCACGAACGAGUUCGGCAGGUGAUGUUCUAUAAGAGCUUGUGCAACUGCACGAACGAGUUCGGCAGGUGAUGCAGGGUAUUGCCUAGGCCUUGUGGCCGUCCGCUUCCCUACCAGGAGGCAUGGGGGAGCUUGUGGAGAUGCUCAAGGGAGCACAGCGGCGCUUCCGAUUAUGGAAGAUAUCAGCUUGCCGACAAGGUGCAAGGGAAGCCUGGGCCAUGGUGAAGACGCGAUACGCCAAGGCUGACCCGAACCAUAUGGCCGAGGUCAGACCUGUAGGGCCAGAUGGGAAAGAGAUCCCCGUAAGUAUGGUAUAUGACCAAGUAGGAUUAGCCACAAAGUAUUCCCAACAGGAUCGUAGGCUAGACAGCAUGUUGGAUGGUAUAGAAGAAUAAUUUAGCCAGUCCAAGUGACUAUGUACUUCGAUGGACGUAUGUAGUCCCUAGCCGGAUUGUAAAUCAUUUGUCUUGGCAGACCUUUUCGCUUUAGCCUCCGGACCCGACAGUCCAAAGUGUAUCUGAAUACCCGCUCAGUUAUGUAAAACCGGGGUACGCAUGGAAACCAGGCGUAGGGGUCAUAAGUGCUUGAACAGACAAGUACCCAACUAGUUAUGUUAUAUUACAUGGAUAGUAAGAAACGUCUUCCAGAGAGAAUAGUUCCGUUAAGGGUUCCUUUACCUGGGUAUGCAUGCAUUAAUGUGCAUGUCCGGACUGCGAACAAAGACACAGGAUACAAAACAUCUGGGGAUUUAUGUUGUAAUAGAUAAAAACAUCUUUUGUUCACCCACCGAAUAUUCCCGUAAGAAUGCUAGCUUUCGGCUUCACCCAGUCUGAGGUACACAUCCGGCUGACCCGGUAGUAACAAUCGCAGAGGUGCUCCCCUUAUGCCCUAGCCGAAUUAACGGGAACGUAGGGCAUAAACACAAGAGCCAGGCAACCCAGCUUGGCCAAAAUUUAAGUCAUAUCGAUGCAUAUAAUGGUGAAAAAAAGGCACAUAUGGAGAAGUUACACAUAUGCACUGGGCAUGAAGCCCAGAAAAUAGUUAUAUUAAGCUUCUGUAUAAGAAGCCCCCAGGUAUAAGUAGCGCGCAUAGGGCGGCAAAAUUGUGUAAACAUGUCACACUUUAAGCCUGCUAGAGCUAUAUAUAAAAAAUAAAGAAUAAAAAAGAGAGAGGAUAUAAUAUAAAAGGGGCAGAGGUAAGGAGACAACCACAGAGUCCGGCGCUUAGGCGUAGAAUCUUUGGAGUCUGACCGCAUUCCAUGGGUUCGGCUCUAAUCGAUUAUCCAAUGCAUCGUGCAUGCGGUACGCUCCUCCGAUGAGAACGUUAUUGAUGAUGAAGGGACCCUCCCACUUGGGCUUGAUCUAGUCCUUUUUCUUCUCCGGUAAGCGUAGAACGAGUUCGCCAAUAUUGUAAGUUUUGGCCCGCACUUCUCUGCUUUGAUACCUUCGAGCCUGCUGCUUAUAGAAUGCGGAACGGGCUUUUGCUACAUCGCGCUCCUCCUCCAGGGCAUCUAGAUUGUCCUUCCGAUCGAGCUCAGCUUCUCUCUCUUCAUACAUGCGCACCCGAGGUGAGUCAUGAAUAAUAUCGCAGGGCAAUACCGCCUCUGCGCCAUACACCAUAAAGAAUGGUGCGUAUCCUGUAGUGCGAUUUGGCGUGGUCUGCAGCCCCCAUAGUACGGAGUCGAGCUCCUCUACCCAGUGCGUAUCUGAUUCCUUCAAGGAUCGCACUAGUUUGGGUUUGAUGCCGCUCAUGAUAAGACCAUUUGCACGUUUGACUUGACCGUUUGUUUGGGGGUAAUAGAAAGAGCCGUAAUCGAGCUUAAUGCCCAUAUUGUCGCACCAAGUUUUCACCUCAUCGGCUGUGAAAUUUGAGCCAUUGUCAGUGAUGAUGCUGUGGGGGACACCGUAACGGUGCACAACCCCUGAUAUGAAGUCUAUCACUGGUCCGGAUUUGGCCGUUUUAACUGGUUUGGCUUCUAUGCAUUUGGUGAACUUGUCCACCAUGACCAGUACAUAUUUUUUUUCUUAUGGCUUCCCCCUUUAAGGGGCCCAACCAUAUCAAGCCCCCAGACCACAAAGGUCCAAGUUAUGGGGAUUGUUUGGAGAGUGGUAGGGGGCAUAUGGCUCUAAUUGGAGAAAAGUUGGCAACCGACACAAUGUUGGACGAGGUCCUGUGCAUUUCCUCGGGCUGUUGGCCAGUAAAAACCUGUACGGAAGGCCUUGCUUACAAGUGCCCGAGCUGCGGCGUGGUGGCCGCCGAGUCCGGCAUGGAUUUCGGCAAAGAGCUGCUGCCCUUCCUCUUCGGAGAUGCAUCUUUGGAGCACUCCGGUGGCGCUUUUCUUAUAAAGCUCUCCCUCGUGGACUUUGUAGGCUUUAGAGCGCCGCACAAUGCAACGUGCUUCAUUUUGGUCCUCAGGGAGUUCUUGCCUAUUUAGGUAGGCUAAGAAGGGUUCUGUCCACGGGGCAAUGACAGCCAUAAUCACGUGGGCAGAAGGUGUUAUUUUGGUGGCAGAGCCUUUGAUUACAUCAGAUGGUUCGGUAUCUAGGGUUAUACUCGGUUCCGGACUGGUAUUGCCGGUCUCCCGUUCCCGUACCAUGGAUGGCUUGAACAACCUUUCCAAGAAGAUAUUACGUGGGACAGGGUCGCGCUUGGCGCCGAUGCGGGCGAGGAUAUCUGCCGCUUGAUUGUUUUCUCAAACCACAUGAUGGAAUUCGAGCCCCUCGAACCAAGCUGACAUUUUGAGGACAGCAUUACGGUAAGCCACCAUUUUCGGAUCCUUGGCAUCAAAGUCUCCAUUUAUCUGAGAUAUUGCGAGAUUCGAAUCCAUGCGCACUUCUAGGCGCUGGAUGCCCAUGGAGACUACCAUCCGAAGACCAUGCAACAGAGCCUCGUAUUCGGCUGCAUUGUUGGAGUCUGUGAAUAGUAUUUGGAGUACAUACUGGAGCGUGUCUUCGGUGGGGGAUGUCAGGACAACACCCGCUCCCAACCCAGCCAGCAUUUUGGAGCCGUUGAAGUGCAUGAUCCAGUUGGAGUAUGCGCCAUACUCUUUAGGGAGUUCAGCCUCUUUCCAUUCGGCGACGAAGUCACCCAGCACUUGCGACUUAAUGGCUCGCCGUGGUUUGUAUGUUAUGUCGAACGGAAGGAGCUCGAUAGCCCAUUUAGCAAUCCGGCCCGUGGCGUCGCGGUUAUUGAUUAUGUCACUGAGUGGUACUUCAGAGGCCACUGUGAUCGAACACUCUUAAAAGUAGUGUCAUAGUUUCCAGGAUGCCAUGAAGACCGUGUAUGCUAUCUUUUGAUAGUGUGGGUACCGGCACUUGCAUGGAGUGAGGACAAUGGACACAUAGUAUACCGGCUUUUGAAGCGGGAACUUAUGUCCGUCCGUUUCUCGUUCGACGACGAGCACUGCGCUUACAACCUGGUGUGUUGCGGCUAUAUAUAAUAGCAUGGGUUCGCCAGUAUUUGGCGCCGUCAGGAUUGGAUUGCUAGCCAAGAGGGCCUUUAUUUCUUCCAGUCCGGUCGUGGCCGCAUCCGUCCACUCGAAGUGUUCCGGGCGUCGAAGAAGGCGAUAAAUAGGUAGUGCCUUUUCUCCCAAUCGGGAGAUAAACCGGCUUAAGGCAGCCACACAUCCAGUUAAUUUCUGGAUUUGCUUGAGGUCUAUUGGGGUAGCCAACAGUGACAGAGCUCGGAUUUUUGCCGGAUUUGCUUCAAUUCCUCUAUUGGAAACAAUGAAGCCUAGCAACUUUCCGGCGGGUACGCCGAAAACACAUUUUUCCGGGUUGAUCUUGAUGUCAUACGUUCGGAGGUUGUCGAACGUGAGCCUCAAGUCAUCUAUUAAAGAUUCGACAUGUCUUGUCGUGAUGACCACGUCGUCCACGUAUGCCUCCACUAUUUUGCCGAUUUGUUUUUCCAGGCAUGUCUGAAUCAUGCGUUGAUAGGUGGCACCGGCGUUUUUGAGCCCAAAAGGCAUGGUGUUGAAACAGAAGGGGCCAUAUGGUGUGAUGAAUGCUGUUGCGGCUUGGUCGGACUCCUCCAUCUUUAUUUGAUGGUAUACGGAGUAUGCAUCGAGGAAACACAAUGAGUCAUGUCUUGCGGUAGCAUCGAUGAUUUGAUCAGUGUGGGGGAGGGGGAAGGGAUCCUUGGGGCAGGCCUUAUUAAGGUCCUUGAAAUCAACACAUAGGCGCCAGGGUUUGUCCUUCUUUGGUACCAUCACCAGGUUUUCUAGCCAAUCCGGAUGUUUUAUAUCCCUGAUGAAUCCAGCCUCGAGUAACUUGGCUAGCUAUUCUCGCAUGGCUUGUCGUUUAGGUUCUGAGAAGCGCCGAAGAGUCUGCUUGACCGGCUUGUAUCCCUUCAGUAUGUUUAGGUUAUGUUCGGCCAGCCUGCGUGGGAUGCCAGGCAAAGAUAUCCCAAUUCUCAUGCAAGAACUCUCGCAGUGCAGCGUCUAUUGUGGGGUUCAGCUGUGUCCCAAUGGAAGCUGUUUUUGUAGGAUCCGUUGGGUGGACCUGGAAUUUGACUAUCUCGUCCGCUGGUUUGAAAGAGGUGGACUUGGGUCGUUUCUCGAGUAUCACGUCAUGCCUGUCCAUUGUGGAGGGCAGCGUGGUUAGUUCUUCAGCCGCCAGGGCUUCGGAUAGUGCCUCAAGGGCCAGUGCGGCGGUUUUAUUUUCAGCACGGAGUGCGACGUCCGGAUCACUACCUAGAGUGAUGAUUCCAUUGGGCCCGGGCAUUUUGAGCUUCAUGUACCCAUAAUGGGGUAUAGCUUGAAAGCUCGUGAAUGCAUCCCGCCCUAAAAGGGUGUGGUAUCCACUGCUGAACGGGGCCACUUGGAAUGUGAUUUCUUCAGACCUGUAAUUCUCCAGUGUGCCGAAUACCACAUCUAGUGUGAUUUUUCCCGCACAUCGUGCCUCCCGACUAGGGAUGAUUCCCCUGAAGGUCGUGUUGCUCCGCUCAAUGCGGCUCUUGUCUAUUUCCAUUUUCUUGAGGGUCUCCUCGUAGAUGAGGUUUAAUCCGCUGCCGCCGUCCAUGAGCACUUUAGUAAGCCGGAAACCGUCCACGAUUGGACUAAGGACCAAAGCGGCUGGUGCCCGAACUGUUCAGAAUUGAGGUUCGUCACUGGCAUUGAAAGUUAUAGCCGUGUCGUUCCAUGGGUUUAUUGCUGCAACAUGGUAGACUUCGGCGAGGCUGCGGAGUGCUUGCUUACGUCUAUUAUUUGAGGCGAAAAUCUCGAAGACUGUCAGUACCGUAUUGUUAUUUUCGGCGGGAUGUUGCUCCAUGGUAUGGUUGAUGAGGAGAUCCUCGCUGCUCUUGGCUACCUUCCGGAGUAUCCUACAUGCUCUAAGGCUGUGUGUUGGUAUGGUAUCCGGUGUGCUGUGAAUUUUGCAUGGCCCAUUGAGCCAUUCCUCCAAUACGGUUCCAUGCCCUGCGGUGGGUCUUGGUUUCUUGGUAAUUGAAUUAGGUGACUUGCGAGAGGUUACCCUUUUAGUUCGGAUGAAGGGUUUAUUGAGAGCCGGAGGAUCCUAGAAUUUUUUUUGGGUUUUCCAGGCGCUUUCCAUCGUGCAGUACUUCUGUACUAUGGCCGCCAAGUCAGCAAAGCAUACUAUGUCGCAACGACUUAUGGCAUUGAGGAUUCCCUUGUCCGUGCAAUUUUUGCGAAAGAAUGAUAUUGUGUCUUCCUCGCGACAGUCCUUAACCUUGUUUAUUACAAGGAGGAAUCUGGCCCAGAAGUGAUGUACUAUCUCUUGGGGCUCUUGUCUGAUGUGGGAAAGAUUGCUUGAAUCUGCGUGGGUGGGUAGAUUUAAGUCCAAACCCUGACCCGAUCUGAUACCCAGGGGCAGAGAAGCUUCCGAGCUUGGCAGCUCAGGCUCCGGGAUGUUGCCCAAUUUUUCUGGCCCGCCGCCCGAUUCUAAGUUCGGGGUUUGGGUCAUGUCCUCCCGCGAAUGGGUAUCUGGCUCGGAGAGCUUGGAAAUCCAGACAUAGUUCGUCCUCAAAAUAGAGGGAGAAUCAAUGUGUUGCUCUUCCACUACCGCUAUCUCAUGGGUGGCCGGCGGAGAGUUAAUCUCCCUUUGGUCGGGUUUAAGCCCAAUCCGAUCAUAGUCCGUAGCGACACCCAAAGCGGCGAUGCGAUCAAAGAGCUCAUUCAUGGAAGAGAGCUCCAUCGGAUCCAUCUGUUCGGCAAGUUCCGAGUUUAUGUGGAGGCUAUUUUUGAUGACGUGAGAAGUCAUCAUCGGCGCGACAGCCGAUCGAGCGGUCAUGACGAAGCCGCCUAGUCGGAGAGUUUGGCCUAGGGCCAGGGCUCCCCCAGAGGUGAUGUUGUCCUUGCCAACGAGGCGAGCCAUCAAACCUUACCGCGACGACUCAGUGGAACUCUCAAUGAAAGAACCAAUGUCGGUGUCAAAACCGGCGGAUCUCGGGUAGGGGGUCCCGAACUGUGCGUCUAAGGCUAAUGGUAACAGGAGGCUGGGGACACGAUGUUUACCCAGGUUCGGGCCCUCUUGAUGGAGGUAAUACCCUACUUCCUGCUUGAUUGAGCUUGAUGAUAUGAGUAUUACAAGAGUUGAUCUACCACGAGAUCAUGGAGGCUAAACCCUAGGGUCUAGCCUAUGAUUCUGAUUGUUCUUGUCCUAUGGACUAAGCCCUCCGGUUUAUAUAGACAUCGGAGGGGGUUAGAGUUCCACAAGGUCGGUUACAGAGAAGGAGAUCUACACAUCUGAAUCACCAAGCUUGCCUUCCAAGCAAAGGAGAGUCCCAUCCGGACAUGGGACGAAGUCUUCAAUCUUGUACCUUCAUAGUCCAACAGUCCGGCCAAAGUACAUAGUCCGGUUGUCCGAAGACCCCCUAAUCCAGGACUCCCUCACCCGCCUCAUGUUACCAUUAGACAUAGACGCACUGUUCGGGACCCCCUACCCGAGAUCCGCCGGUUUUGACACGGAUAUUGGUGCUUUCAUUGAGAGUUCCACUGUGACGUAGAAGAUAGGCUUGAUGGCUCGCCUUGUUAUCAAGGAAACCUUCACCUCCGGGGGAGCCCUAGUCUUAGGCCAAACCCUCCGGCUGGGCGGUUUUGUUAUGACCGCCCAUCUGAUCGUCGGGCCAACGACGACCUCUCGGGUCAUCAAGAAUCGUCUCCAUGUCAGCUCGGAAUACGUCGAGCAGAUGGAUCCGAUGGAGUUAUUGUCUUUGAAUGAACUCUUGGAUCGCAUCGCCGCCUUGGGAGUCGCUAUGGACUAUGAUCGGAUUGGGCUUAAACCUGAUCAGAGAGAGAUUCACUCUCCGCCGGUCACCCAUCAGAUAGCGGUGGUGGAGGAGCAACGCAACAACUCCCCUCCCAUAUUGAGGAUGGACUAUGUGCGGAUUACCGAUCUCACUGAGCCGGAUACCUGUUCGUGGGAAGACAUGCCCUGAAUUCCGGACUUAGAAUCAGACUGUGGGCCAGAAAAAUUGGUUAACAUCCCGGAACCCGAACUAUUAAGUUUGGUAACUCCGCAAGCUCUGGGUCAGGAUUAGGACAUAAAUCCACCCACCCACCCAGAUACAAGCGAUCUUUCCCACAUCAUACAACAGCCCCAAGAGACAGUACAUCACUUUUGGGCCAGAUUCCUACUUGCAAUGAACAAGGUUAAGGACUGUUGCGAUGAAGACACAAGCUCAUCAUUUUGCAAAAAUUGCAUGGACAAGGGGAUCCUUAACGCCAUAAAUCACUGUCACAUAUCACACUUCACUGACUUGGCGGCCAUAGUACAGAAGUACUGCAUGAUGGAAGGCACCUGGAAAACCCAGGCACCCUUUUGGGACCCACUGGCUCUCACUAAACCCCUCGUCCGAACAAAAAGGGUGUACCCCCCAGGUCACCCGAUCCAAUCACGAAGAAACCGAAGCCCACUACAGGGUCGGAACCGUGCUGGAGGGAUGGCUCGAUAGGCCAUGCAAAGUACACACCACACCGGAUACAGUACCAACACAUAGCCUUAGAGCAUGUUGGAUACUUCGGCAGGUGGCCAAGAGUGGCGAGGAUCUCCUCAUCAACAACACCACAGAGCAUCGUCCCGCCGAACAGAACAAUACAGUCUUGACAGUCUUCGAGACUUUCGCCUCGAAUAACAGGCGCAAGAGAGCACUCCACAGCCUUGCCAAAGUUUGCCAAGUUGCAGCAGUAAACCCUUGGAAUGACAUGACUAUAACUUUCAAUGCCAGUGACGAACCGAAAUUCAGAACAAUCUGGGCACCAGCCGCUUUCGUCCUUAGUCCUAUCAUGGACGGCUUCCGGCUUACCAAAGUGCUCAUGGACGGUGGCAGCAGACUAAACCUCGUUUACGAGGAGACUCUUAAUAAAAUGGAAAUAGAUAGGAGCCGCAUUGAGCCAAGCAGCACGACCUUCCGGGGAAUUAUUCCUAGCCAGGAGGCACGAUGUGCAGGAAAAAUCACACUAGAUGUGGUAUUCGGCACGCAGGAGAAUUACAGGUCCGAAGAGAUAACAUUUAAAGUGGCCCCUUUCAAUAGUGGAUACCAUGCCCUGUUAGGGUUGGAUGCAUUCGCAAGCUUCCCAGCUAUACCCCAUUACGGGUACAUGAAGCUCAAGAUGCCCGGGCCCAAUGGAAUCAUCACUCUUGCCAGUGAUCCGGACAUAACACUUCGCGCUGAAAAUAAAACCGCCGCCCUGGCCCUCGAGGCACUAUCUGAAGCCCUUGCGGCCGAAGAAUUAACUUUAUUAUGCUCCACAGCAGACAGGGACGAUGUGAUACUCGAUAAAUGAUCCAAGUCCACCUCCUUUAAACCAGUGGACGAAAUAGUCAAAUUCCAAGUCCACCCAACGGACUCCACAAAGACAACAUCCAUUGGGGCACAGCUAAACCCCACAAUCGACGUUGCACUGCGGGCGUUCUUAUGUGAGAAUUGGGAUAUCUUCGCCUGGCACCCUUCAGACAUGCCAGGAAUCCCAUGCUGGCUGGCCGAGCAUAGCCUCAACAUAUUAAAGGGAUAUAAGCCAGUCAAGCAGACACUACAACGCUUUUCCGAACCCAAACGACAAGCUAUGGGAGAGAAGCUAGCCAAGUUACUCGAAGCCAGAUUCAUCAGAGAAAUAAAACACCCGGAUUGGCAAGCAAACCUGGUGAUUGUAGCAAAGAAGGACAAGCUAUGGGAGACCUUAACAAGGCUUGCCCUAAGGACCCCUUCCCUCUGCCCUGCAUUGAUCAUAUCAUCGAUGCUACCGCAGGACACGAUGCACUGUGUUUCCUCGACGCAUACUCCGGAUACCAUCAAAUCAAGAUGACAGAGUCGGAUCAAGCCGCAACGGCAUUUAUCACCCCAUACGGCCCCUUUUGCUUCAAUACUAUGCCUUUCGGGCAUAGAAACGUCGGGGCUACCUACCAAUGCAUGAUUCAAACAUGCUUGGAGAAACAGAUCGACAAAACAGUUGAAGCAUAUGUGGAGGACGUGGUUAUCAAGACCAGACACGUCGAGUCUUUAAUAGACGAUCUGAGGCUCACAUUCGACAACCUCCGAACAUAUGACAUCAAGCUCAGUCCGAAAAAAUGUGUUUUCGUCGUUCCUGCCGGAAAGCUGCUGGGUUUCAUCAUCUCCAAUAGAGUAAUUGAAGCAAACCCAGCCAAAAUCCGAGCUUUGUCACAGAUGGCUACCCCAACAGAUCUCAAACAAAUCCAGAAACUAAUUGGAUGCAUGGCAGCCUUAAGCUUCUUUAUCUCCAGAUUGGGAGAAAAGGCAUUGCCACUCUAUCGCCUUCUUCGAUGAACCAAACACUUCGAGUGGACGGACGCAGCGACGGUUGGACUGGAAGAAAUAAAGGCUCUUCUAGCAAGCAACCCAAUCCUAGCCGCACCAAACAUUGGCGAACACAUGUUGUUAUACAUAGCCGCGACACACCAAGUUGUGAGCGCAGUGCUCAUCGUCGAACAAGUGGAGGACGGACACAAGUUCCUGCUUCAAAAGCCAGCAUACUACAUAUCCACUGUCCUCACACCAUGCAAAUCUCGGUACCCCCAUUAUCAAAAGAGAGCAUACGCUGUCUUCAUGGCAUCCCGGAAACUACGAAACUACUUUCAAGAGUGAUCAAUCAUGGUGGCCUGUGAAGUGCCACUCAAUGACAUAAUAAACAACCGCGAUGCAACGGGCCAGAUUGCUAAGUGGGCCAUCGAGCUCCUCCCAUUCCACAUCACAUACAAACCACGAUGGGCCAUUAAAUCGCAAGUACUGGCCGACUUCAUCGCCGAAUGGACAUAGGCCAAACUCCCUAAAGAGUACGGCGCAUACUCCAAUUGGAUCAUGCACUUCGACGGCUCUAAAAUGCUGGCAGGUCUGGGAGCAGGCGUUGUCCUAACAUCCCCCACUGGAGAUACUGUCCAAUACGUACUCCAAAUAUUAUAUAUAGACUCCAACAAUGCAACCGAAUACGAGGCUCUGUUGCAUGGUCUUCGGAUGGCAGUCUCCAUGGGCAUUCAGCGCCUGGAAGUGCAUGGGGAUUCAAACCUCACAAUAUCUCAAAUAAAUGGAGAUUUUGAUGCCAAAGAUCCAAAAAUGGCGGUUUAUUGAAAUGUCGUCCUUAAAAUGUCAGCUCGAUUCGAGGGGCUCUUAUUCCAUCAUGUGGUUCGAGAAAACUAUCAAGCGGCGGAUGUUCUUGCCCGCAUCGGCGCCAAGCGCGACCCAGUCCCACCUAAAAUCUUUCUGGAAAGGCUUCAAGCCAUCCGUGGUGUGGCAAGGGGAGACCGGCAAUACCGGUCCGGAUUCGACCACAACCCCAGAUUCCAAAGACAAUGACAUAAUCGGGGGCUCUGCCACCGAAAUAACACCUUCAGCCCAUCUCAUCAUGGCUGUCAUCGCCCCAUGGACCGAACCCUUCUUAUACUACCUUAAUAGGCAAGAACUCGCCGAGGAUAAAAAUGAGGCACGCUGCAUAGUCCGGCGCUCUAAAGCCUACAAAGUCCAUGAGGGAGAGCUUUAUAAGAAAAGUGCUACCGGAGCACUUCAAAGAUGCAUCUCUGAGGAGGAGGGCGGUAUCUCUUGGCUGAAAUUCACGUCGGACUCGACGGUCAUCACUCUGCAGCCCGGGCCCUUUUAAGCAAGGCCUUCCGUACAAGUCUAUUGGCCGACGGCCCGGGCAGACGCACAGGACCUUGUCCAACAUUGCGUCGGAUGCUAGCUUUUCGCCAACCAAAGCCAUAUGCCGCCCACCACUCUCCAAACAAUCCCCAUAACCUAACCUUUUGCGGUCUGGGGGCUCAAUAUGGUUGGACCCCUUAAAGGGGGAAGCCAUAAGAAAAAAUAUCUGUUGAUCAUGGUGGAUAAAUUCACCAAAUGGAUAGAAGCCAAACCGGUUAAAACGGCCGAAUCCGGACCAGUGAUAGACUUCUAUCAAGUGUCGUGCACCGUUAUGGUGUCCCUCACAGCAUCAUCACCGAUAAUGGAACUAAUUUUACAGUCGAUGAGGUGAAAACUUGGUGCGGCAACAUGGGCAUUAAGUUUGAUUACGCCUCCAUCUAUCACCCUCAAACAAACGGUCAAGUCGAACGAGCCAACGAUAUUAUUAUGAGCGGCAUUAAACCUAGACUAGUGAGAUCCUUAAAAGAAUCAGACACGCACUGGGUCGAGGAGAUUAACUCCGUACUCUGGGGGCUGCGAAACAUGCCAAAUCGCACUACCGGAUAUACACCCUUCUUCAUGGUGUAUGGCACAAAGGUUGUAUUGUCCUGCGAUAUUAUUCAUGACUCACCUCGAGUGCGCAUGUAUGAAGAAAGAGAAGCCGAGCUAGAUCGGCAGGACAACUUAGAUGCCCUGGAGGAGGAGCACGAUGUCGCAAAAGCCCGUUCCGCAUUUUAUCGACAACAGGCUCGCAGGUAUCAAAGAAGAGAAGUACGGGCCAAAACAUACAAUAUUGGUGAACUCAUUCAUCGCCUACCGGAGAAGAAAAAGGACAAGCUCAAGCCCAAGUGGGAGGGUCCCUUCAUUAUUGACAAAGUUCUCACUGGAGGAGUGUACUGUUUGCAUGAUGCAUCAGAUAAUCGACUCGAGCCGAACCCAUGGAACGCGGCGAGACUCUGAAGAUUCUACGCCUAGUGCCGAACUCUUUAUGCGUCUCCUUCCCUUCACUCUUUUCUAUUUAUUUUUAGCUCUCUUUUUGCUCUUUCUUCAGUUGGUUUAAAGCUUUAGUGUGGCUGGACCACACACUCGCACCGCAGUAAUCUUCAAGUGCGGGCGAUUAUUAUACCUGGGAGCUUCUUAUACAGAAGCUUAUUGCAAACGCGUUUCGAGCAUAAAACUCGUCGCAUAUGAGUCCCUUUUUUCCCAUAUGUGCCUUUCCUCUGCCAUUAUAUGCAUCGAUAUGACUUAAGUUUUGGCCAAGCUGGGUUGCCUGGCUCCUGUGCUUAUGCCCUACGUUCCCGUUAGUUCGGCUAGGGCAUAAAGGGAGCACCUCUGCGAUUGUUACUGCCAGGUAUUCUGGAUGUGUACCUCAAACUAGGUGAAGCCGAAAGCUAGCGUUCUUAAGGGAAAAUUCGGUCCGUGGUGUCGGUGUUCUGGGAACGGGGGUACCCAGACUUACCUGCCUGCGGCCUGCGGCGUGGCUCAAGGGGUGGCUUAGUGCGGCCCAUCUUCAUCAACACGAGCUCAAGACCCUCAUGAGGGGCCAAGCCUCGCGGGGCGGACAACAUGAAGCUUCCUCAGGCACGGCCUCAUCGGGCUGGCUCAUGAGGAGGCGGAGAGAUCAAGGCGGGGUACCCCACGAGGUGCCCGUGACGCAAGCCAUGACGACCCAAGCCAGGCGGGCGCCGGCCUGCGCAAUGUCCUUGUUUCCUCUUUGGUGCAAAGGGAGCAAGCGCAGGCAAGAGUAUCAAGCAAAUGCAACCAUUUCGGUGCAACAAGACCAAGACCAGCAGAAUGGCAGGAUGGAGGUCAUCGUGGAGCCCAUGUCGGCGUCACCACCAGAGCCUUUGGCAGGCGAGGACCGACUUUAGUCAGGAUAAGUGUACUAGAUGUUCCCCUUCAAAAUGGCCAAUUGUUAGCACCCUUCCCGCUCAAUAUUUGGGAAGAGGCCCAGGGCCUCCGCCUAUAAAUAGGACUAGCCACCCCCAGGGUAGAAGAUGGGACCGGACCACGGGGGCAUCUGGAGAUCGAUCAGAGAGAUCGAGAAGUAGAACCCUAGCGAGAACCACCAACACAAGAACACCCCUCGCGAGGCAGUUCUUCCUUGUAUUGUUCAUCAUCCGCCCCUGAGGCAAUCCACCACACCACAAACUAGAGUAGGGUAUUACACCACAAUGGUGGCCCGAACUAGUAUAAACCUCGUGUCCCUUGUGUUAUUCUUCGUGUAGCUUUAGAUCCUUGUGAGGCGACAAGACGCAGGUAGGUAGGAGGUGCGAUCUCCGUGUGCACCCCAGAGUUCGAACCUAGGGGGUCUGCCGGAACCCGGAAUCGGACAUUUGGCGCGCCAGGUAGGGGUGCACCGGAAUCCGCCUUCCGCCACCCUAUUGUUCGCCGCCCCUCGCGUCCAUGUCAGACGCUCAUCGAGCCCGCGCCGAGCGCCGGACCGCCCUCGCCACUCGCGUCGCCCAGACGGCCCUUGUCGGCGGGUGCCUCCGUCGUUCCCUGUCGCCUGCCGUCAACGCCGCCACCGGCCCGGCGAGGAAUGAGCAGUAGGCGUCGUCCCUGCAUCCUUCGGUGCGGCGACAAGGCCGCACCGCCACCCCGUCGCUGACUCUAGCCGGUUCCUCGUCCCAUGCUCGUUGCGCACCCGCGGACACGCACGCCACGCUACUCCUGGCGCGGGAACUCCUGCAUUACCAUCCCGUCGACGACCUCUACGACGAGUGGCUCGCCCGCAUCACCGAGCUCGUCAGCGCCGCUGGGGGCUCCCCUGCUCCAUCCCUCUCGCUGCACCGCGCCCCGCCCUGCGCGGGCGAGGAAGCUCCAGGGGCGCCCCAGCCGCCUCCCCCUCAAGAAGGCGCCUUGGCCCCAAGGCGCGUGGCCCCUGGACGGAACCCACUCCGUCCGGCACCAGCGCAGCAAGAGAAGAGCUGCCAAGAGAUCCCUCGUCCCCAAGAAGCUGCCCGGGCGCUCCCUGUGCCGGUCCGUCAUGACCGCGCUCCCGCGCCAGCGCGCCAAGACCCCGCGCUGCUCCUAGCGGCAGUGCACAGAGACUUCCAAGAUCAAGCCCUCCGUCACCUGAGGCCUCCCGUGGCCACUGCAGGCUGCCGCGCCUUCACCGCCGAGCUGCACGGCAUGGCCUGGUCGGGCAAGUUAGAGCCAGAUUUGCCCCCACGCUACGACGACACGGCCGACUCUGCGGAGUUCCUCCAGCUCUAUGAGCUGGGCAUCGAAGCCGCCAAUGGGAACGAGAAGGUCAUGGCGAACUGGUUCCCCAUGGCGCUCAAGGACGAUGCCCGCACCUGGCUCCUGAACCUGGCUCCUGGCACGAUUUCCUCCUGGGAUGAGAUGCGCACCCGCUUCAUCGCCAAUUUCCAAGGCACACGCGACCGGCCCCUGGCCAUGAGCGACUUGUGCUGCAUCAAGCAGCAGCCAGGAGAGACCCUGCAGAAGUUCAUCCAGCGUUUCAACAACGCUCGCCUCAAGAUCCCCAGGGUGUCUGAGGAGGCCAUCAUCUCAGCCUUCUCCGACGGUUUGCGUGAUGUCAAGAUGAAAGAAGAGCUUGCGGUCCAUGAAGACCUGUGCACCUCCCUUGAGCUGUUCAACUUGGCAACCAAGUGCGCUAGGGCUGAGGAAGGACGCUUUUCCCUCCUCGAGCUGCCAGCUGCCGACCCAGAAGAGAAGAAGCCCAAGGUCAAGGACGUGAAGCGCAAGGGGGCGGCUGUGCUCGCAGCAGAAUCGGACACCAAGCGGGGAAGGGAUUAGCCUGAGUCGUCCAAGGGCAGCCGAUACUACGUGUACCAUGACCUCCACACCCACAACACCAACAAAUGCCAAGAGCUCCGGGCCGUGCGGGACGUGCGCGUUGGCCGACGCCCCGAGCGCAACGACCGGGGCUAUGGCCGACGAGGAGGAAGAGGUGGAGGACGAUGGGAAGACCAUGGCCCUCGCUAAGGGUGGCGCGACCGACCUUGCGAGGACCGCUGGCAGGACCAGCCUCGCGAGGAAGGCUGGAGGGAUCAGCCUCGCAAGGAUCGUCCGCAAGGCAACACGGGCCUCCCUCCUCUGCCACCACAGCCAAGGAGCAACGAAGACCAUCAUCAGGACGAGGGGGCUGGGGGCUUCUAGGAGCCUCAUGCAAUUGCUUGCAUCUUGGGCGGAGCUCAAGCCCCAGCCUCUCAGCGCAUCUUCAAGCAGUUUGCUCAUGAAGUGAAUGCAGUCCUCCCCAAGCUCGAAGCCACGCGCCCCCUUAGGUGGUCAGCAUGCGCCAUCACUUUCAGCUCAGUGGAUCAGCUCAAGUGCGCAGCCACAGCCGGAGUCCUCCCUAUGCUUUGCUCCCCGAUCAUCAGCAAUGUGCAAGUCACCAGGACCCUCAUCGAUGGCGGGGCAGGUGAGGGAGUUCCGGACUAGGAGGUGUCCGGAUAGCCGAACUAUCAUCAUCAUCCGGACUCCAAGACUAUGAAGAUACAAGAUUGAAGACUUCAUCCCGUGUCCGGAUGGGACUUUCCUUGGCGUGGAAGGGAAGCUUGGCGAUACGGAUAUGUAGAUUUCCUACCAUUGUAACCGACUCUGUGUAACCCUAGCCCUCUCCGGUGUCUAUAUUAAACGGAUGGCUUUAGUCCAUAGGACGAACAACAAUCAUACCAUAGGCUAGCUUCUAGGGUUUAGCCUCCUUGAUCUCGUGGUAGAUCCACUCUUGUAACACACAUCAUCAAUAUUAAUCAAGCAGGACGUAGGGUUUUACCUUCAUCAAGUGGGCCCGAACCUGGGUAAAGCAUCGUGUCCCUUGUCUCCUGUUACCAUCCGCCUAGACGCACAGUUCGGGACCCCCUACCCAAGAUCCGCCGGUUUUGACACCGACAUUGGUGCUUUCAUUGAGAGUUCCACUGUGUCGUCACCGAUAGGCUCGAUGGCUACUUCUACCAUCAUCAAUGAUGCGGUCCAGGGUGAGACCUUUCUCCCCGGACAGAUCUUCGUAUUCGGCAGCUUUGCACUGCGGGCCAAUUCACUUGGCCAUCUGGAGCAGAUCGAAAGCUACGCCCCUGGCCGUCAGGUCAGAUUUGGAAGUUUAAACUUCAUGGCAGACAUCCGCGGGGACUUGAUCCUCGACGGAUUCGAGCCACAGCCGAGCAUGCCGCACUGUCACGGCGAGCAUGAUUUAGCUCUGCAGCCGGACAGUACCCUGGAGGCCGCACUCGAACCCGCUCCGAUCUUCAAACCGGAGCUGGCUGCGCAGAUCGAGGACGGAUGGCUAGACACCACCUCGGGGGCUGCAACCUCUACGGCGAUAGAGCCGAACACUGACCUCGUCCCUCAUAAAGCUCGUGACUCCGAGGUGCCGGACUCCUCGCUGGACUCCGAACCCCCCGCGCCCCCUCCGAUCGAAUCCGAUUGGGCGCCGAUCAUGGAGUUCACCGCAGCGGACAUCUUUCAACACUCACCUUUCGGCGACAUCUUGAGUUCGCUAAAGUAUCUCUCGUUAUCAGGAGAGCCCUGGCCGGACUGCGGUCAGGACGGUUGGGAUGCGGACGACGAAGAAAUUCAAAGCCCACCCACCACCCACUUGGUAGCCGCUGUCGACGAUCUAACCGACAUGCUAGACUACAAUUCCGAAGACAUCGAAGGUAUGGACGAUGAUGCCGGAGAUGACCAAGAACCAGCGCCGACCGGGCACUGGAAAGCCACCUCAUCAUAUGACAUAUACAUGGUGGAUAUCCCAAAGGAUGGGAAUGGCGAAGGAACAGAGGAGGAUGACCCCUCCAAUAAACAGCCCAGGCGCCGGCGUCAGCGGCGCCGCUCUAAAUCCCGCCACAGCAAGAACGAAGAUCCCGGCACCAGAGAUAAUAAUACACCGGACAGUGCCCAAGACAACCCACUCCAGCAAGAUCCAGCACAGGAGGACGGAGACGCCAGCCCUCAUGAGAGAGCGGCAGAAGAAGAAGUAGAGGAUUAUAUGCCUCCCUCCGGAGACGAGGCAAGCCUCGACGACAAUGAAUUUGUCGUGCCUGAGGAUCCCGUCAAACAAGAGCGUUUUAAACGCAGGCUUAUGGCCACGACGAAUAGCCUCAAGAAAAAGCAGCAAAAACUUAGAGCUGAUCAAGAUCUGCUAGCCGAUAGAUGGACUGAAGUCCUCGCGGCGGAAGAGCAUGAGCUCGAACGCCCCUCCAAAAGCUACCCUAAACGCAAGUUGCUCCCCCGAUUAGAGGAGGAAGCAUAUGAACCCGCAUCACCAGGAGACAAUACGGCUGACCGACCACCCCGUGGUCGCGAUAGAGAGGCCUCUAGGCCCUUCACUAGACCCGUACCCCGGCAUCGCUCGAAAAGCACAAGGCCACAGGGGAACACUCCGGACUUGCGAGAUAUAUUGGAGGAUAAGGCAAGACAAUCAAAAUCGAUCUACGGAUCGCGUGGGUGCCCCACGGUACGUGACGACAACCGUCGCGCCGGACACAGUAAGUCCGGCCGGGCCGAACAAAACGGACAAAGCUCUUUUGAGCUCCGUCGUGACAUCGCCCAGUACAGAGGCGUCGCACACCCACUAUGCUUCACAGAUGAAGUAAUGGAUCAUCAAAUCCCCGAAGGGUUUAAACCCGUGAAUAUCGAAUCUUACGAUGGCACAACAGACCCCGCGGUUUGGACCGAAGACUAUCUUCUUCAUAUCCACAUGGCCCGCGGUGACGAUCUUCACGCCAUAAAAUAUCUCCCCCUCAAGCUUAAAGGACCAGCCCGGCAUUGGCUUAACAGCUUGCCAGCAAAGUCAAUUGGGAGUUGGGAAGACCUGGAAGCCGCAUUCCUCGAUAACUUCCAAGGCACGUAUGUGCGACCACCAGAAGCGGAUGACAUAAACCACAUAAUUUAGCAGCCAGAUGAAUCGGCCAGACAAUUCUAGACACGGUUCUUAACCAAGAAAAACCAAAUCGUCAACUGUCCGGAUGCGGAGGCCCUCGCGGCCUUCAAGCACAACAUCCGCGACGAGUGGCUUGCCCGGCACCUGGGAUAGGAAAAGCCGAAAUCCAUGUUAGCCCUCACAUCACUCAUGACCCGCUUCUGCGCGCGUGAGGAUAGCUGGCUAGCACGCAGCAACAACCUCAGCAAAAAUUCUGGCAGUUCGGAUUUCAAGGACCGAAAUGGCAGGUUGCGUCGUAACAAAAACAAGCGCCGCAUCAAUGGCGACAAUAGUGAGGAUACGACAAUCAAUGCCGGAUUCAGAGGCUCUAAACCCGGUCAGCGGAAAAAGCCAUUCAAAAGAACUGCUCCGGGUCCGUCCAAUUUGGACCGAAUACUCGACCGCUUGUGCCAGAUACACGGCACCCCCGAAAGGCCAGCUAACCACACCAAUAGGGACUAUUGGGUAUUCAAGCAGGCAGGCAAGUUAAUUGCUGAAAACAAUGACAAGGGGCUGGAUAGCGAUGACGAGGAAGAGACCCGACCGCUGAACAAUAGAGGACAGAAGGGUUUCCCCCCAUAGGUGCGGAUGGUGAACAUGAUAUACGCAACGCACAUACCCAAAAGGGAGCGGAAGCGUGCACUCAGGGAUGUAUACGCGACGGAGCCAGUCGCCCCGAAGUUCAAUCCAUGGUCCUCCUGCCCGAUCACUUUUGACCGAAGGGACCACCCCACCAGCAUCUGCCACGGCGGAUUCGCCGCAUUGGUCUUAGACCCAAUCGUCGAUGGAUUUCACCUCACCAGAGUCCUGAUGGACGGCGGCAGCAGCCUGAACCUGCUCUAUCAGGAUACAGUGUGCAAAAUGGGCAUAGACCCCUCAAGGAUUAAACCUACCAAGACGACCUUUAAAAGCGUCAUACCAGGUGUAGAAGCCAAUUGUACAGGCUCAGUUACACUGGAAGUGGUCUUCGGAUCCCGGGAUAACUUCCGAAGCGAGGAGUUAUAGUCCCGUUCCGAAGCGGCUAUCAUGCCUUGCUCGGACGUACCGCGUUUGCAAAGUUCAACGCGGUGCCGCACUACGCAUACCUCAAGCUCAAGAUGCCAUGCCCUCGAGGAGUCAUCACGGUCAACGAAAACACUGAACGUUCUCUCCGAACGGAGGAACAUACAGCGGCUCUCGCGGCAGAAGUACAAAGCAGCCUCUUAAGGCAAUUCUCGAGUCCGGCCGUUAAAUGGCCGGACACAGCUAAGCGCGCCCAGAGUAACCUACAACAAGACCACCUGGCACGUUCCGAGCACGCGUAGCAGUGUGGCCCCAACCCCAGCCCCUGCAAAACGUCAAAACAGGUCCUUUGCGUACACCAUUAUGCUCUGAAGAUACCAUGGGCAUGGGGAGAGGGGCACGGCCACGAUAAGCCCAGACGGCGGCUCAACCACACCAGGGGCUCUCAAGUGUGUCAUUCUUUUUUCUUUUUACCUUUUAUUUUUUACCCACAGGACUCCGUUCGUCAGAGGCCUUGUCCGGUAGAAGACCUGCCGAACUCACGAUGCAACAGCUAGGGAAGGAUAAAGGCUACAACGAAUAUAUAGGUGGUCUCCAUUACGAGCAUUUUUAUACACCAAUCCGCAGCCUACCCCUGGAGGGGGACAUGUUUAACAGUCCCAUCCCUUGCUUAUCGCACUAUUUGUAUCGUUCUGCAUUCAUAGCAGCACUUAUUGAAUAAAACAAUGCAGCACCUCUUUGCUUAUCAUUGCAUUUCAUUUUCAUACAUAUGUUCAUUUACGACAUGUUGAAUCCGUACACUUUGGUACGGUUAAAACACACCAGGGGCUUAUGUUUCCCGCAUCAUGGUGUGAUAAGUCCGAACACUUUCACAAGUGCGGCACCCCGAACUUAUAGCAUUAUAUGCAUCGGCUCUGAAUCAUGUCUUGGGUCAAUAGUUGGGUUUGCCCGGCUCCCAUGUUUUGGUACCUUUCAUUCCGUUAUAUCGGCUAAGGUGGCACUAGGAGAACCACUGCGAUUGCGCCCCAGUUGAGCUGGGUUAACGCCUGAGUGGAGAAAGCUAAAACUGACCGUCAUGAUAAGGCGAGAGCCGGUCGCUGUUCGAGAGGUUUUUGUGAGUCCUUAAAGACUUAUGCCGCUUAGAGCGAGGAGCCGGAUCUUGUCCGGCCCAGGCGUGGAUAGCGCCCCAAAUUCGGCCUUCCGAAGACUAGGGGCUUCGCUGAAAUUUAAAAUUAUAUAAUUCUAUGGCUAAGUGAGAGUGUUCAAGCAUUAUAAGUCUGGUUUCCUUGUUCGCUGUGUUGAGAGCCUCCCUAGAUGGACCCAAAAAUGGGAACAAGAGUGCUCAAGUUUAUCCCGAACACCCCAGCAGUUGUGGCAUGGGGGCUGAAGCCGACGACUUGCCAUCUCUCAGGUUUGAUAAACAGCCGCACAGAAGGUAAUAUUUUAAAUUAACAAGCGUUUCUUAGCGCAUAUGAACUAAGUUUUCAGCGCACAGGAUAACAAAAUGCGAGUCUACUCAAAAAUUACAUCUUUGGAGCACUCCCCCGCAAUAGUGCGGGCGCCCUUCAGCACACUCUUAUAAUACAUCUCGGGCGUGCGAUGCUCCUUGCUCUCUGGUGGUGGGUCCGUCACAAGCUUCUGGGCAUCCAUCUUGCCACAGUGCACCUUUGCGCGGGCAAGGGCCCGACGGGCACCCUCAAUAUAGGCGGAGUGCUUGAUGACUUCAACCCACAGGCACGCAUCCACCAGCCGCCGCACCAGGCCGAAGUAGCUCCCAGGCAUGGCCUCCUUAGGCCAUAGCCGAACUAUGAGGCCCUUCAUGGCCUGUUCGGCCGCCUUGUGGAGCUCGACCAGCUGCUUCAGCUGGUCGCUAAGGGGCACCGGAUGUUCGGCCUCAGCAUACUGAGACCAGAAGACUUUCUCCGUCGAGCUCCCCUCCUCGGCUCGGUAGAAUGCGGCAGCAUCGGACACGCUGCGAGGAAGAUCUGUGAAUGCUCCUGGAGAGCUCCGAAUUCGGGUAAGCAACAGGUAAUUAACACUCACAUGCUUACUUUGCAUGAAAAAUGCCUUACCCGCUGCUAUUUUCUUCACCGCUUCAAUCUCCUGGAGGGCCUUGUAGGCUUCGGCCUUAGAGGCUUUGGCACUCUCAAGAGCCGUUGCAAGCUCAGACUCUCGAGUCUUUGAGUCACGCUCCAGGCUCUCAUGUUUUUUCAUGAGAUCCUGGAGCUCUUGCUGUACUUCUGCCACCCGAGCCUCCUGCUUCUCUCGCUCGGUGCGCUCCGCGGCCGCAUUGCGUUCAGCCGCGGCCACCGCCUCUUUGAGGGUCGCCACCUCGUUAGUGGCCCCUGCAAUACCCACGUUAUCCUUGUCAUUCUUUUGCAACCAAAAUCCUUUUCUGUAAGGUACAAUUUUAAUAAGGUAUUACUCACCUUCCUUGUCCUCGAGCUGCUUCUUGGCACGGCCGAGCUCGUUCUCGGACCACUCGAGGCUCUCCUUCAAAGCAUUGACCUCUGCAGUCAGUGCGGCAGAGGUCAGCAGCGCAUCCUGCAAUCCCAUAUUGACAUAUUUAUUAUGACUCCUGCAUAUAUCUUUUUAGAUCCGCAGUCCGGCUUUUCUUUCCGAACACCAAACCGAGCAUCAGGGGCUACUGUCUAUGCGGUACCAUUUUAUACAUAUUAAAAUUCUUACCUCAAAGCCUGUUAGAAGGCUGUUGCAGGCUACGGUCAGCCAGCUCUUGGCGAGCUGCACCUUCUGGAUCACCGCACUCAUAACAGUGUGGUGUUCCUCUUCGAUGGAGGCGCCAUUGAGCGCCUCCAGCAAGCUAUCCGGCGCCUCCGGUUGGACGGAGGCUGCCGGCGUCACGGUCUUGCCCUUCUUGCGAAGGGGUCGCCCGCCGGACUCCGGAGCCACUGUGGGUUCCGGGGCUGAGUCCGGUGCAAUGUCCGGGAGGUUGUCCUGCGACACCUCUGGGGCCCUCUCCUCCUGGUGGAUCCCUUCCUGGGAUCCCACCUCGGCAUCGUCUGCGUCAUGGGGGUGGAGGCAGUCGUAAGAGAAUCCAUAUCCGAUGCACCUAAGGUCCCGCUCGAUGAAGCGGGAAGAUCAUCCUUAGGCGGACUGCAGGGUUGUAUGAGGCAUUAGAAAGACAUUAGGUGGCAAAAAAUAUAAACCUUGAAGUUAUUCGGGAGUCCGGAUACUUACAAUCUCGCCAGGGGCUUGGCCCUUGGAGGCCAGUCCUCGUCGUCAUCACUGGCGUUGGCGGAGCAGUCUGGGGGAAGAGUUUUUCCCUUCUUGGACCCUUCGGCCUCCCUUGUUGGAGAGGCCUUCCUUUUCUUCCCUCACCCCACUUGGGGAGAGGCUUUCUUCUCCUCCUCGCCUUGGUUGGAGGAGUCACCCUCGGAUUCAUCAUCCGAUAGCACCUAAAAACGGGAACUCUUCAGAGUCCCCGUGGCCUUCCUCUUGGCCUUCUUCUCCAGCACCACGUGGGGUGCCGGAGCCAGCAGCCCCGUUAGGCGGCCGUCCGCUGGGUCCUCUGGCAAUGGGGCCAGACAGAUAGUCCGUUCGGCCUUCGCCAGCCAGUCCUGUCAAAGGUAAAGGGAGUUUAGAUCCCGCAUAGAGUCAAACUAUGGAAAACAAGUGGCAAAAUCACUUACCUCGUCAGUUGGACGCUGCGAGCGAAAUCCACGAUCUUCGGUAGCAGAUGCGGGAGCCUCGGCGCCUUUGAACAGCACCUUCCAGACAUCUUCGUACGUAGUGUCGAAGAGCCCGCUCAGAGUCUGGUGCUGCACCGGAUAGAACUCCCACAUGUUGAAACCCCGUCAUUGGCACGGGAGAAUCCGGCGGAUGAGCAUGACCUGGACUACGUUGACAAGCUUGAGUUUCUUGUCCACCAGCUCCUGGAUACAGACUUGGAGUCCGGUCAGCUCCUCCGAAUCCCCCCAGAUCUGGCCACUCUCUUUCCAGGAGGUGAGCCGUGUAGGGAUACCGGAUCUGAAUUCGGGGGCCGCUUAAUGGUUUCCACGAAAGUGCCCUCCAGCCACGUAACGUGGGACAUCCUGCCCACCAUGGUGCCUCCGCACUCCGCUUGGCUGCCCUUCACGACCUUCGGCUUGACACUGAAGGUCUUGAGCCACAAGCCGAAGUGGGGCUGGAUGCAGAGGAAGACCUUGCACACGACGAUAAACGCCGAGAUGUUGAGGAUGAAAUUCGGGGCCAGAUCAUGGAAAUCUAGGCUGUAGUUGAACAUGAUCCCCCGGACAAAGGGAUGAAGUGGGAAGCCCAGUCCACGGAGGAAAUGGGGAAGAAACACUACCCUCUCAUGGGGCCUGGGGUGGGGAUGAGCUCUCCCUCGUCGGGGAGCCGGUGCGCGAUGUCGCUGGACAAGUAUCCAGCGUCGCGCAGCUUCUGGAUCUGCCCCUCCAUGAUGUAGGAGGCCAUCCACUUGCCUCCCGCUCCAGACAUAGUCGGAGAAGGUUGAGGUGAGAAGUGCGGACUUGGGCGCUGGAGCUCGAGUUCGCAGGAGAUGGAUAAGCCAAGGAGGAAGAAGGCGCAGGUAAAAGGGUUGGAUCUUUAUUCCCUUAUAUGGGCGGACAAAAACAUGUGUCCCACCGGCCUGGUAAAACUCGCUUAUCUCCCAAGCGUCACAAUCAAUGGCGCGGUUGGGCUACCCACGUCCGCAUUGAUGGGAAUCCCGGAAUAGGGGGAACACGAUCUCUGCUUCGACAAGACGUGCCAAGGAAACCAUUUCGCUAAAUGCGCGGAGGUGAAACAAUAAAAACAAUUUGAGUAAAGGCUUGGUAACGGCGUGACGCCACGCCACAGGAUAUGUCAGCAGAUUGAACUUGUGUAAUAUUAUUCUCUCUAUGGUGGUACGUGGAAUUUAUUUUGCAGAGCCGGACACUAUCCUGGUGUUCACAAUCUUCUAUAAAUUAUUCGGAGGAAGAACCUGCCUUGCAAUGCCGAAGACAACAUGCACGCCGGACUCGUCGUCACUGAAGCCUGGUUCAGGGGCUACUGAGGAAGUUCCGAACUAGGAGGUGUCCGGAUAGCCGAACUAUCAUCAUCGGCCGGACUCCAAGACUAUGAAGAUACAAGAUUGAAGACUUCGUCCUGUGUCCGGAUGGGACUUUCCUUGGCAUGGAAGGCAAGCUUGGCGAUACGGAUAUGUAGAUUUCCUACCAUUGUAACCGACACUAUGUAACCCUAGCCCUCUCCGGUGUCUAUAUAAACCGGAUGGCUUUAGUUCAUAGGACGAACAACAAUCAUACCAUAGGCUAGCUUCUAGGGUUUAGCCUCCUUGAUCUCGUGGUAGAUCCACUCUUGUAACACACAUCAUCAAUAUUAAUCAAGCAGGACAUAGGGUUUUACCUCCAUCAAGAGGGCCUGAACCUGGGUAAAACAUCGUGUCCCUUGUCUCCUGUUACCAUCCGCCUAGACGCAUAGUUCGGGACCCCCUACCCGAGAUCCGCCGGUUUUGACACCGACAGCAGGGCUCUAUGUCCUGCCCGCCGAGACAUUCAAAAAUCUCCAAGUGCCAUACAACCAGCUUCAGCCAACCAAGCCUUUCUCAGGAGUCACAGAUGGUUCCACCGUCCCGAUGGGGCAGGUCCUCCUUCCUGUCACCUUCGGGAAGCGCGACAACUACCGCACUGAGCUCAUUGACUUCGACAUCGCGCACAUCCGCCUGUCGUACAAUGCCAUCCUCGGGUACCCAGCUCUGGCCAAGUUCAUGGCCGUGACUCAUCAUGGUUACAAUGUCCUCAAGAUGCCAGGAAGCGGUGGAGUCAUCACAGUGCCUUGUGAAGAGAGAGACACAGUGUGUUCUCUGGAGCGUGCCUUUCAAGCCACAUCAAUUGAAGACCCAGAUCACAGGAGCGGAGGGCUUCCCGAGGCAGUCCCUAAGAGGAAGAAGGCGUCGCCUGGUCAGAAUCCUCGGGAGGCAAGCCCCUUAGAGUCUGCGCCCGUUCCAAGGGCGCCUCCUUCUGUCGCAUAGGAAGGCACGCCCGACGCCCUCCUCAAGCAAGGCUCGGGGGCUCUCUCCUGGAGGGCCAUCAACUUUGCUAAGAUCACGAGGGAGGCACUCGGGCACCACUUGGAGGCGUGUUUCAAAGCACGUUUCCCUCAGGCAGGAGCAAGGCAAGGAGGGCCAAACCCUCAAGAGUUCGUCAGCGAAAUCAUUCAAGAGCUGCUGGAAUCAAGAGUCAUCAGUGGCAGCCGCCGCUUACCCGUCGUAGCUCCCCAUCCGGGCGAGGAUGGUGGGCUGUGCGUUUGCAUCGACAUACCAUGGCUCAAGCGAGCUGCCUCUCAGGAGCGCCGCUGGCCCUCGCACGUGGGACGCUGCGAGGGUCCACCCCACAGCUAUGUCCGCAUGCCUUACGGCUCGACGAAUGCAGCUACUGUGCGCCAGUGCCUCAUGAGGAGCAUCCUGGAGGCCCGGGCGGCCAGGCGUUCUGUAGUCCUCGCGGAGAUGGAGAUGGUCCGCGAGGAGCCACCAGCGCCUCCGGAGCAUCCCGAGGCUCCUGGGCCUGGGGGCUCGUGAAGAUUGGCUUCCGCAGCACACGACGUCGCUACUUCAGCAUCCCUUCGUCUUCAACACCAUUAGGUGACAUCUUUCGAGUCUCAUUUCUUCAGCUGGGAGCGCCCUCAGGGCUGCAUCAUUCCCAGGCCGCGUGGGUCCGUCCCUGCUGCAUGUAUCCCUUUUCGUUCAUGUUUUUAGCUUGCUUUGUUGGGGGCGCCCCUCGGGCUGCAUUAUCCCCAAGUCGCUCGGGCCCGACCCAGCAAUAUUCGCCUUUCUCUGCGCCUAUCUAAAUGGAUUUGCUCCCUCGUGCUUAGUAUGCUUGACCUGAUUGCCCGCUCGAUUGACACCAACUUAUGGAGUUGCUCCUUAACGGCACGACGCCUGCGCAUGGGUCCGUCCCUGCAACGUCGAUAAACCUGAGCGGAUGAGCUCUGGCCGCGGCAGCCCCGCAAGGCGCCACCUCACCAGGCCCUCAGUGCCCUCAUCACCCUUCCAGAGCAACCAAUAGCUGGCUGGAAAUUGUAACAGCGGCGCUCGUUUUCCUUGUGGUGGGCCCGCAGGAUAUCUCUAAGGGGCAACGUUGGGGGAGGCCUUCGCGGUGUCUCCUUCCCUCUUGACCGCGCGAACCACUUGCACGUUAAAGGGGGGUACCUGAGCAUCACGACUCAUGGACUCUUACUGGCUCUCCAGCCCUCACCUCCUGGCCUUGUCCACGGCAUCGCGACCUGGCAUACCAGCGAUGGUUGAGCUUGCUCGAGGGCCGGGACCCGAGGACGUAGAGCAAGAAGGGGAGUAAAGGCAAGAGGGAGGAGGCUCGCGAGGACCUCGCCAGGCAACUCCUCAGCUGCCGACGCACGAACAUGGCGCCGCGCCAAGAAGAUGCUUCAGGCUCUCGACAUAAGUCAUCCUCCGGAGCUACUAACCAUCGCAACACCGACCUUGCACCUAAUGCAGCUCCGUGUUGGCAACGUUGCGCUCCUUUCUCGCCGAACGAUGGAUGCUUGAGCGCUAAAGGGGACCUCCUGAGCAUCGCGACUCAGGGGCUCUUACUGGACCUCGGGCCACUCACCUCCUGGCCUUGACCAUGGCAUCGCGACCUGGCAUACCAGCGACGGCUGAAGCUUACCUUGGGAUCGGGAUCUGUCGGCGCAGAGCAUCGAGCCCUCGCGAGGUUCAAAAUGAGGAACUAAGCUAAGGCGGGACAAGCAUCUCACUCUGCUUCACGAUAAGGAUCAUAUUAACAAGAGGAACUAUAGGCACCUUACAAGCCCCCACGGGGUGUGUUCUUGGCUCCUCGCAGUGACAAAAGAUGUGUAUCCUAAGGAGUCCUAACUACAGGGACCAUGACGGUGGACGCCAUCAUCAACAGUGGGCCGCGCAAGGCCAGCGCCAACCUCAUCUGGAUCAACCGGGUCGACCGCCGGGCGCGCCGGCCCUGCUUCGGGCAUGGCGCGAGCUCUGGGGCUCGUAGCUGUCGUCGCUUGUCGCCGGGGUCAGGAAGAAUCCGGAAGAGUCGCUGGACCCUCUAGUGCGCCCGCUACCAUCUGAGGAGCUGCUGGAAGGGCGGGCGGUAGGCUUGGUCCUCGCCGCUCCAGAGCUUCGGCCGCUGCCUCUGGGGCAGCAUUCCAACCGACGGCCAUCUCCGUCGAAGACCUUGAAGAGCACCAAGGAGGCGCCAUCGUAAUCCAGGUGGAUCACGAGGGCCCCCUCCGAUUGGCAGACCCGGGCGAUCUCGCCCCAGCCCCGGGUCAUGAAGACCUUGCCUGGAGCGACGACCUCGACGUCCGCUUCGGUCGCAGGAGUCCGGUAGUCGGCGUGCUGCAGCCAGAGCCUGAAAGGCCCCCUGGGCGGAAUCUCGAAGGCGAAGGAAGGAGGAAGACGAAUCCAAGAUCGAGGAUGCAUGGCGGUGUGAAGCACGAGCUCACGGGAGGAGGCCUCGACGUGAACCCCGGGAGGAACGACGCGCACCACCGUGAUCCGCCGACGGUGACGGCGCCUCUGGCGGUGCAGCUCGGCGCCUGUGCCUUCGGGAUCCUCGAUCCGGGUGUACAAGGGCAAUGGGAAUCCAUGAGGUGGCCGCUCGAACCAUGGCCUCGACACCUCCUGCCGGUCAUCCCCCUCUCUGCGACGAGGGACGAGCCAUUUCUUCGGCGGAAGCGUGGAAGGACCCUCUUGGGGGGUUUUCCCCCUCUCCUUGGCAGAAAACCGUCGGAUCGGUGCCAUUGGCGUAUGGAGGAGAAAGGGCGGAGAAGAAGGCGGAGAACAGCAGAAGAGGGUGGACUGGAGAGGCUGUCGCUGUUCCGUACAUAUAGUCGGAGGAGGCCAACCGUCGGCCUCCAUGAUCACAGGUAAUCACGACCCGUUUUUGCAUGCAGGGACUUGUCAAUUCGUGCAGUUGCCGAGGCAUCGUGGGGAAGCGGGGACGCCCACGUCCAAUCAACCGCCACACGGCGCCCAAGGCUGCAGGCUGUUGGGGGCCGUGGCGCUUCGCACUUGCCCCCUCGCUUCUCAGCUAAGCCAAGUCCAGGCGCACCUUGGGCCCGGGGGCUACUGUCGGCGUUCUGGGAAUGGGGGUACCCAGACUUGCCUGCCUGCGGCCUACGGCGUGGCUCAAGGGGUGGCCCAGUGCGGCCCAUCUUCGUCAACACGAGCUCAAGACCCUCGCGAGGGGCCAAGCCUCGCGGGGCGGACGACAGGAAGCUUCCUCAGGCACGGCCUCGUCGGGCUGGCUCGCGAGGAGGCAGAGAGAUCAAGGCGGGGUACCUCACGAGGUGCCCGUGACGCAAUCCAUGACGACCCAAGCCAGGCGGGCGCCAGACGGGCGCCGGCCUGCGCAGAGUCCUUGUUUCCUCUUUGGUGCAAAGGCAAGAGUAUCAAGCAAAGGCAACCAUUUUGAUGCAACAAGACCAAGACCAGUAGAACGGCAGGAUGGAGGUCAUCGUGGAGCCCAAGCCGGCGUCACCACCAGAGCCUUUGGCAGGCGAGGACCGACUUUAGUCAGGAUAAGUGUACUAGAUGUUCCCCUUCAAAAUGGUCAAUGUUUGGCGCCCUUCCCGCUCAAUAUUUGGGCAGAGGCCCAGGGCCUCCGCCUAUAAAUAGGACUAGCCACCCCCAGGGUAGAAGACGAGACCGGACAGCGGGGGCAUCUGGAGAUCGAUCAGAGAGAUCGAGCAGUAGAACCCUAGCCAGAACCACCAACACAAAAACACCCCUCGCGAGGCAGUUCUUCCUUGUAUUGUUCAUCAUCCGCCCCUAAGGCAAUCCACCACACCACAAACUAGAGUAGGGUAUUACACCACAAUGGUGGCCCGAACUAGUAUAAACCUCGUGUCCGUUGUGUUGUUCUUCGUGUAGCUUUAGAUCCUUGCAAGGCGACGAGACGCAGGUAGGUAGGAGGUGCAAUCUCCGCGUGCACCCCAGAGUUCGAACCUAGGGGGUCUUCCGGAACCCGAAAUCCGACAGGUGGACUAAAGACGUGUCUUAUUUAUAACACUAUGAACCCCCAUAUGUCAAUACGCUGCGAUUUUUCAAUCACAGAUCGAACAUGCACGUUAAUGCAUGCGCACCCAGCAAAAUGAACCAUUAACGAAACUAUUCUCUUUGGAAGAUGUUUCUUACUAUCGAUGUAAUAUAACAUAGCUAGUCGGGUACUUGUCUGUUCAAGCAACUAUGACCCCUACGCCUGAAAUCCAUGCAUACUCCAGUUUUACAUUACCGAGCGGGUCUUCAGAAACACUCCGGACUGUCGGGUCCGGAGGCUGAAGCGAAAAGGUCUGCCAUGACAAAUGAUUUACAAUCUGGCUAGGGACAAUACUUGUCCUUUGAAGUACAUAGUCAUUUUGACUUAAACACUUCCUCUUCUAUGCCAUCCAAUAGGUUGUCUAGCUUACAAUUCUGUUGGGAAUACUUGCCCACUAACUCUACCUGGUCAUAUACUAGACUAACUGGAAUUUAUUUUCCAUCAGACCCUACAUGUCUGACCCGGGCCAUAUGGUUCGGAUCGAGCUUGGUGUACCGUGUCUUCACCAUGGCCCAAGCCUCCCUUGCACCUUCUCGACAGACUGAUAUUUUCCAUAGUCGGAACCACCGCCGCGCUCCCUUGCAUAGCUAUACAAGCUCCUCCAUAUUUGCUAGUAGGGAGGCGGAUGGCCACAAGGCCUUGGCCACACUCCGCAUCACCUGUCGAACUUGCUCGUGCAGUUGCGAAAGCUCUUGUAGAAAAUCGCUUGAGGAUCCGGGCAUCUCCUCUCCAGGACGGCCAGUCAGCAUACCUACACACAUAACUCUGUUAGUCCAUUUCUUCGCCGAACUUUAUAAAAGUUUGUUCGAGCACAUACUAAAAAUGCCGCGUCGAAGCCUUUUAUUUUCCUUCACGGAGUUAGCUAGCUGGGCCCGAACAUCUUUCAAUUCUACGCCCAGCUGGGUAUUGGCAGCUAGGAGAUCGUUUUUCUACUGCCUGACCCAUGUAAGUAUACGCUCACCAGCGUCUUGAUGCUUUUGAGCUCUCUGUUCAUCCUCUUGUAGGAUCUCCAGAUUCACUCCGGGAUUAUCUGCGGAAUCUGUUAUCAGAUCUGCAACAUGUAAACACUGCUGGUAUAUGUGAUUACGUUUUUUCUCGAUAGAGAGAAACAUUACCAGUUGAGGCCUUUUUGGAUUCCUCUAGUUUGGCAGUUGUGGCCCUUAGCUGGGUUUGACACUUCCCUAGCUCUUGAGACAGCAGGUUCUUCUUCUCUGUGAGAACCUAUUCGGACAAUGAUCAUUAAAUCAGUUGUACCAACUGUUUCAAGUCUCAGGGGCUACUGAUAUACAUAAUUAUCAAAUUUUACUUACCCGUAUAUCUUUCAAAUACUGGUCGGUGGCUCUAGCAAGCCCAUCUCGAGAAGCUCAGAUGUACGCAUCACCCGAGUUGAAGGCAUUGAAAGCCUCUUCAGAAAAACCAGGGUCGUGGAGCGCGGCCUGCCGACGCUGAUGAUUCAUGGCGCUCUCCAUUUCAGAAUUUGUAGCGGAUAUUCUAUACAAAUCCUCUAUAUGAGGACUAUCCGGUGUCGCCCCCGUGUUAACCUCCGCCCUCAAGACCGGUUCUGGAAUCUAGCUAGUGGAGGCAUGACGGGCAGGAUCCCCGGACAUAGUCCGGCGGAUGUUCUUUCUGUCAAGACACAAUGGAUAGUGUCAUACUUUAAGAUGACAGCCACGGAGCACGUUUAAAACCAUACCUCUUUGAUGACGGCUCAGCCGCGUUUCUAUUCGCCUUCCUUUUUGGAAGCCUACCUGGCUUAGGCACUCCUUGUUGGUGAGUUGCCUCGGGUUCGGUGUGGCACACCAACCGUCUUCCCACUAAAAGCAUAAGAAUUUGCGGUGGGUAAGGCGGAAAGAGUGAAUCCUUUUCGGAAGAUAGGUCUCCUGUUUACUUACAUGUGAUACAGGGAGGACGCCAGGAUAGUCGGUGAUGAUGGCCACUUCGGUGCCAUCAUAGCUCGCCUGGUAAAACACCCCUUCGACAAGCUCCACGAAUAUAUCCGGAUCCUCUUCGAAUCCGGGGUCAAGGGCCAUGUUGUGGUCCUCCGGGUGUGGAGUCGGGCUGUGGAUCUCCCUGGUAAAUUUCCGCCAUUCCUAUUAUAGAUGGACGGAGUAAAUAUUUAUGAUAAAGGACUGGGGAAUGAAUAGAGUGGAGUAAGGGAUAGCAGCUCACCCAGCUGGGAGGGUUGUACAUGGAAAAUCCGUCCCGUGGCUUAAUGCGGAUGAACUCCUCUUCUCCUCCUUUGUAUAAAUCGGACAGUAUUUUCACUAGCGCGGUGGUGGAGUCCGGACCUUUCUGACUGCAGCGGGUGGCAUCGUCUUCUCCCUUGAAGUGCCACAUGGUACGCCCUCGGUAUNNNNNNNNNNNNNNNNNNNNNNNNNNNNNNNNNNNNNNNNNNNNNNNNNNNNNNNNNNNNNNNNNNNNNNNNNNNNNNNNNNNNNNNNNNNNNNNNNNNNNNNNNNNNNNNNNNNNNNNNNNNNNNNNNNNNNNNNNNNNNNNNNNNNNNNNNNNNNNNNNNNNNNNNNNNNNNNNNNNNNNNNNNNNNNNNNNNNNNNNNNNNNNNNNNNNNNNNUUCAAUUUGGAUUGAGCAAGCGUCUGUAUCUUGCUCAUCAAUCGAAGGACCUCUCUGCUAUCUUCCUCCUUGGGGCUCCGGGGACGCCAGCUGCGGAGCUUCUUCAACGGAGCAUUUGUAAACUCAGGAAGACCCAUUCAAACUGGGUCGGGAAGGGAGACGCCCUCUAUAUAAAACCACUCGGAAGGCCAUUCUUCGGAUGCCUUCUUCGGUGUACCGGAUAGGUAUCCGGUCCCAGCGAUGCGCCAUAUCUCGGCUCCGUCCACUUGGAAUAUUGAUCCCUCUUGAUUACGAGGGACAAGGCAGAACAACUUCUUCCAUAGCUCAAAAUGGGCUUCACAACCCAAAAAUAGCUCGCAAAGAGCGACGUAACCUGCGAUAUGCAGGAUGGAGGCUGGGGUGAAAUUGUGCAGCUGGUGGCCAUAGUACUCCAGGAGCCCGCAGAGGAACGGAUGAAUUGGAAAUCUAACACCCCUCAGCAAGUCAGGGACAAGGCACACAUGCUCCCCCCUGGAUGGAUUGGGAACAUUCUCCGCUUGCUCCCCGCCAUCAUAAGAAGCCAAUCCGGCUCGGACGGGGACUAGGUAUGCAGGAGGGAGAAACCCCUGGGUCUCCAACUUCACCAAUUGACCAUGGGAUACGGUACACUUCUCCCAAUUGCCUGGCUUGACGCUAUGGGGGCAGGAGGAGGAGCUGCGAGCACUGGCCAUGAUGGAGUGGUUUUUUGCGGGUGCGCUCUGAUGAUUCCUCGCUGAGGGAAUAUGGUGUGGAUUCGAUCUGAAGAUCCCCAUCUCUUUAAAUAGACGAUUUACUUACAUGGUUAGGGUGGCAAGUGUAAAAACGCCUCGACUUCUCACAUUCGCUCGACAUGUGGAAGAUGGAAUUAUUGGAGUACAGAAGCCGAUGAUGUGUAACAUUAAAUGAGGAGCCGAACACUGCUCUUUACAACAGGUUCUUGGAGAAUUCGGAGAAGGAAACCGCCUUGCAAUGCCGAAGACAAUCUGCGCGUCGGACUCAUCGUCAUUGAAGCCUGGUUUGGGAGCUACUAAGGAAGUCCUCGAUUAGGGGGUUCUCGGACAGCCGGACUAUAUAUGUUGUCCGUACUAUUGGGCUAUGAACGUACAAGAUAGAAGACUUCGUCCCGUGUCCGGGUGGGACUCUCCUUUGCGUGGAAGGCAAGCUUGGCGAUUCGUAUGUGUAGAUUCCCUUCUCUGUAACCAACCUGAUAUAACCCUAACCCCCUCCAGUGUCUAUAUAAACCGGAGGGUUUAGUCCGUAGGAAAACAACAAUCAUAAUCAUAGGCUAGCUUCUAGGGUUAGCCUCUACGAUCUCGUGGUAGAUCAACUCUUGUAAUAGUCAUAUCAUCAAGAUGAAUCAAGCAGGAAGUAGGGUAUUACCUCCAUAGAGAGGGCCCGAACCUGGUAAACAUUGUGUCCCCCCCUCCUGUUACCAUUAGCCUUAGACGCACAGUUCGGGACCCCCUACCCGAGAUCCGCCGGUUUUGACACCGACAGUCGUCGAUCAUCGGGAAGAUCCACCAAAGUCCACACUUUGUUCUCAUACAUGGAUCCUAUCUCAGAUUUCAUGGCCUCAAGCCAUUUAUCUGAAUCUAGGCUCAUCAUAGCUUCUUCAUAGUUCGUCGGUUCAUCAUGGUCAAGUAACAUGACCUCCAGAACAGGAUGAUCGUGCUCUGCCAGACCUACAAGGUUCUGUAGCAACUUGAUAUGUAGUUUCAUGAUCUUUAUCAUUAGCUUCUUCUCCAGUUGGUGUAGGCAUCACGGGAACUGAUUUCUUGGAUGAGCUACUUUCAAAAUUGAGUACAGGUACAAUUACCUCAUCAAGUUCUACUUUCCUCCCACUCACUUCUUUCGAGAGAAACUCCUUCUCUAGAAAGGUUCCGUUCGUAGCCACAAAAAUCUUGCCUUCGGACUUGUGGUAGAAGGUGUACCCAAUUGUUUCUUUAGGGUAACCUAUGAAGACACAUUUCUCUGAUUUGGGUUCGAGCUUAUCAGGCUGAAGCUUUUUCACAUAAGCAUCGCAUCCCCAAACUUUCAGAAAGACAUCUUAGGUUUGUUGCCAAACCACAGUUCAUACGGUGUCGUCUCAAUGGAUUUUGACAGGGCCCUGUUUAAAGUGAACGCAGUUGUCUCUAAUGCAUAACCCCAAAACCAUAGUGGUAAAUCGGUAAGAGACAUCAUAGAUCGCACCAUAUCCAAUAAAGCGCAGUUACGAUGUUCAGACACACCAUUACGCUAUGGUGUUCCAGGUGGCGUGAGUUGUGAAACUAUUCCACAUUGUUUUAAAUGAAGGCCAAACUCGUAACUUAAAUAUUCUCCUCCACGAUCAGAUCGUAGAAACUUUAUUAUCUUGUUACGAUGAUUUUCCACUUCACUCUGAAAUUCUUUGAACUUUUCAAAUGUUUCAGACUUGUGUUACAUUAAGUGGAUAUACCCAUAUCUGCUCAAAUCAUCUGUGAAGGUCAGAAAAUAACGAUACCCGCCAUGAACAUCAACACUCAUUGGACCGCAUACAUCGGUACGUAUUAUUUUCAGUAAGUCACUAGCUCGUUCCAUUAUUCCGGAGAAUGGAGUUUUAGUCAUCUUGCCCAUAAGGCACGGUUCGCAAGUAUCAAAUGAUUCAUAAUCAAGUGAUUCCAAAAGUCUAACUUUAUGGAGUUUCUUCAUGCGCUUUACACCAAUAUGACCCAAAUGGCAAUGCCACAAAUAAAUUGCACUAUCAUUAUCAACUUUGCAUCUUUUGGCAUCAAUAUUAUGAAUAUGUGUAUCAUCACGAUCAAGAUUUAACAGAAAUAGACCACUCUUUAAGGGUGCAUGACCAUAAAAGAUAUUACUCAUAUAAAUAGAACAACAAUUAUUUUCCGAUUUAAAUGAAUAACCGUCUCCCACUAAACAAGAUCCAGAUAUAAUGUUCAUGCUCAACGCUAGCACCAAAUAACAUUUAUUCAGGUCUAAAACUAAUCCUGAAGGUAGAUGUAGAGGUAGCGUGCCGACGGCAAUCACAUCAACCUUGGAACCAUUUCCGAUGCGCAUCGUCACCUCGUCCUUAGCCAAUCUUCGUUUAAUCCGUAGUCCCUGCUUCGAGUUACAAAUAUGAGCAACCGAACCGGUAACAAAUACCCAUGCACUACUACGAGAAUUAGUAAGGUGCACAUCAAUAACAUGUAUAUCAAAUAUACCUUUGUUCACCUUGCCAUCCUUCUUAUCCGCCAAAUACUUGGGGCAGUUCCGCUUCCAGUGACCAGUUCCUUUGUAGUAGAAGCACUCAGUUUCAGGCUUGGGUCCAAAUUUGGGUUUCUUCCUGGGAGUGAAAACUUUCUUGUCAGUCUUUAUGAAGUUCCCCUUCUUUUUACCCUUGCCUUUCUUCUUGAAACUAGUGGUCUUGUUAACCAUCAACACUUGAUGCUCCUUCUUGAUUUCUACCUCUGCGGCUUUUAGCAUCGCGAGAGCUCGGGAAUAGUCUUUUCCAUCCCUUGCAUAUUGUAGUUCAUCACCAAGCCUUUGUAGCUUGGUGGCAGUGAUUGAAGAACUCUGUCAAUGACACAAUCAUCUGGAAGAUUAACUCCCAGCUGAGUCAAGUGAUUAUGGUACCCAGACAUUCUGAGUAUGUACUCACUGACAAAACUGUUCUCCUCCAUCUUGGAACUAUAGAACUUGUUGGAGACUUCAUAUCUCUCAACUCGGGCAUUUGCUUGAAAUAUUAACUUCAAUUCCUGGAACAUCUCAUAUGGUCCAUGACGUUCAAAACGUCUUUGAAGUCCCGAUUUUAAGCCGUAAAUCAUGGCACACUAAACUAUCGAGUAGUCAUCAGCUUUGCUCUGCCAGACAUUCUUAACGUCAUCAGUAGCAUCUGCUGUAGGCCUGGCACCCAGCGGUGCUUCCAGGACGUAAUUCUUCUAUGCAGCAAUGAGGAUAAUCCUCAAGUUAUGGACCCAGUCCAUGUAGUUGCUGCCAUCAUCUUUAAACUUAGCUUUCUCAAGAACACAUUAAAAUUCAAAGGAACGGUAGCACGGGCCAUUGAUCUACAACAUAGAUAUGCAAAAACAAUCAGGACUAAGUUCAUGAUAAGUUAAGUUCAAUUAAUCAAAUUACUUAAGAAAUCCCACUUAGAUAGACAUCCCUCUAGUCUUCUAAAUGAUACGUGAUCCAAAUCAACUAAACCAUGUCCGAUCAUCAUGUGAGAUGGAGUAGUAUUCAAUGGUGAACAUCACUAUGUUGAUCAUAUCUACUGUAUGAUUCGCGUUCGACCUUCCGGUCUCCAGUGUUCUGAGGCCAUAUCUGUAUAUGCUAGGCUCGUCAUGUUUAACCUAAGUAUUCCGCGUGUGCAAAUCUGGCUUGCACCCGUUGUAUUUGAACGUAGAGCCUAUCACACCCGAUCAUCACGUGGUGUCUCAGCACGAAGAACUUUCGCAACGGUGCAUACUCGGGGAGAACACUUAUACCUUGAAAUUUAGUAAGGGAUCAUCUUAUAAUGCUACCGCCAUACUUAACGCGGUUGAUGUAGUCGAACAUCUUCUCGAAUCAACCGAUCAAGUACCGAACGUACGACACCUCCGAGUUCUGCACACGUUCAGCUCGAUGACGUCCCUCGAACUCUUUAUCCAGCAGAGUGUCGAUGGAGUCGUUGAGUUCCGUCAGCACAAUGGCGUGAUGACGGUGUUGGUGAUGUGAUCCGCGCAGGGCUUCGCCUAAGAACUAUGAUGAUACUAUCGGAGUAGUAAAUGACGGAGGGGGGGCACCGCACAUGGCUAAGAUAAUAAUUGUUGUGCUUUGGGGUGCCCUACCCCCGUAUAUAAAGGAGGAGGGGAGGAGGAGGCCGUCCUAGAGGGACGUGCCAUGGGGGGGGGGCUACUACUCCCAGUCCUAGUAGGAUUCCCCUUACCUUUUCCGAAGUGGCAAAGAGGGAAAGGGAGGGGGAGUAGGAGAGGGAAAUGGGGGCGCCGCCUCCUCCCCUAGUCCAAUUCGAACUCCCAUGGGGGGGCACCCCUUAUGGGCUGUACCCUCUCUCUCCCGUGGCCCAUGUAGGCCCAUUACUUCCCCGGGGGGUUCCGGUAACCUCCCGGUACUCCAGAAAACAUCCGAAAUUUCCUGAAACUAUUUUGGUGUCCGAAUGUAACCUUUCAAUAUAUCAAUCUUUACCUCUCGACCAUUUUGAGACUCCUCGUCAUGCCCAUGAUCUCAUCCAGGACCCUGAACAACCAUCGGUCACCAAAACACAUAACUCAUAUAAUACCAAUCGUCAUCGAACGUUAAGCAUGCGGACCCUACGGGUUCGAGAACUAUAUAGACAUGACCGAGACACCUCUCCUGUCAAUAACCAAUAGCGGAACCUAGAUGCUCAUAUUGGUUCCCACAUAUUCUAUGAAGAUCUUUAUUGGUCGAACCGCAAUGUCAACAUAGCUAUUCCCUUUUUCAUCGUUAUGUUACUUGCUUGAGAUUCGAUCGUCGGUAUCUCUAUACCUAGUUCAAUAUCGUUACCGGCAAGUCUAUUUACUCGUUGCGUAGUGCAUCAUCUCGUAACUAACUCAUUAAUCACAUUGCUUACAAGGCUUUAUAUGAUGUGCAUUACCGAGAGGGCCCAGAGAUACCUCUCCGAUACUCGGAGUGACAAAUCCUAAUCUCGAUCUAUGCCAACCCAUCAAACACCUUUAGAGAUACAUGUAGGGUAUCUUUAUAAUCACCCAGCUACGUUGUGACGUUUCAUAGCACACAAGGCAUUCCUCCGGUGUCCGGGAGUUGCAUAAUCUCAUAGUCGGAUGAAUAUAUAUUUGACACGAAGAAAGCAGUAGCAAUAAAACUGAACGAUUAUUAUGCUAAGCUAAUGGAUUGGUCUUGUCCAUCACAUCAUUCCACUAAUGAUAGAUCCCUUUAUCAAAUGACAACUCAUGUUCAUGGCUAGGAAAUUUAACCAUCUUUGAGCAACGAGCUAGUCUAGUAGAGGCACACUAGGGACAUGUAUUUUUGUCUAUGUAUUCAUACAUGUAUCAAGGUUCCGAUUAAUAUAAUUCUAGCAUGAAUAAUAAAUAUUUAUCAUGAAUAAGGGAAUAUAAAAUAAUAACUUUAUUAUUGCCUCUAGGGCAUAUUUCCUUCACACACAUGGAAUUCUCUACAAAACCGUGCCAAGUUUCUAUGGUUACAAUUGAGAGCGACUACUUCUGGCUCGAAAAGAUUUCUCUUUAGUCGGUUUUCCCUCCACCAUUUGAUGUGCAUCCAACGGGCCCAUAACCUUCUUCUUCCUCCAGGCCCAAUGCGAUCACACACUGCAACCUUGCCGCCACCACCAUCACCGGUCAUUCCUCUAACACACCUCCACUUGAACCCUAUAACCCGCCGCAUCCUACGUGUACUCCGUCGACGAUGCCAUGACAAUUUCCGUCGUCCCUGCCUCCGUCUAGGUCCUAGCUCUACAUCUUGGAGACAGUCGCGACAGGCAGUACCACCUCCAUCUCGGCCUUACCGUCGUCUCACCUACUUCUUAGUCACAUGUUGAGUAACAUGGCUGAAAAUUCCAGUCAGCUAAUAAAUAGCAAACACAGUUAUAGUUAUAAGAAAUUAUUUCACUUAUAAGGUGAAGGGUCUCAAAAGAAUUUAAUUACACCCUCGCUGUAAAAUUUGUCGAUCAGGUUGUUGACUCUUCCAAGGGUUGAUUAUGAACCAAAAGUUUCAUAUAGAAAUAGGAGAUUCAACCAAGAACCAAGAAAAAAGAGCAUAUAAGGAAGCUAUCACACCGUACCUCUCCAGCUGAAUUUUGGUUUUUGCACAAAUUGUACAACUUCGGCCCUUUUGGGGAGAUGUCAAAUUACCAAGUCCCUCAUUAUAUCCUUCGGCUUAGGACGCAUACAAAACUAUAGAGUUAUAUAUGUUAUGCAAAAAGGGAAUAAAUCAAAUAAAGCCACUCGGGAAAAGGGCCAUGAAAAGAUUUCACGUCCACUAAGAAAAGGUAAAUGAAUUGAAACAAUUUUCUGAAGGUACAACUUGCUAUUAAUAAGACCAUUCUUGUUUCUAUUAGCAGAGAAAAAAAGGUGACGUAGUUUGAGACUAAGCUCCAAUUACAAAAGGCUUUGCUUUUUGUGGGAAGAGAUGAAAAACCCAUCAGUGGCCAUCAUAUUGGACUACCCUAGCAAAAGCUAGGUCAGACAUGCAUAAGCUCCUUAAUUCUGUAAAUAUCAUUUUCAGUCCGGAGAAAUACGUUUUGGCUCUCUGGUGUAGUGUAGGUGCAACUUAUACGGGAAAAUAGUAAUUCCAAGAAAGAUGAAGAAGUUCUGAAACAUUUUCAGAAACAAACUUGACCUUCAAUUGUAUUCGUGUAAAAAGUUUUGUUAAGAAAAAACUCCCAUAGCCUUUAGUGCAAAAAAAAUCAAGGACUAAAAGCAUGAAUAUUACCUUGUAUAUAGUGCUAAUUUUUGUUCCACCUAGAAUAGCAUGAAAGUCAUUCAUUGAAAAAAACAUAAUUUUAUAACUUUUUUCAGAAUUGCUAUUUUUCUUCCCAUAUAGGGUGCUCCUACACCCGAGAGCCAAAGGUGCUUGUCCCUGCUCUGGGGUGCAAGUGCACCUGAUAUGAUGUUUUUAGUAAUUCCAAAAAGAGUCAAAAAAACGAUGAAACAUUUUGGUAAACAAAGUUGACCUUCUAUUGUAUGAAAAUAUCAAAUGAAGGCCCAGCUCCAUGGGCCUUAAUUGAAAACUAUGAAAUUCAGACUUUCUAGUUUUAAAAAAUUAUGAAAAAAAUACACAUAUACCUAGAGACAAAGUGUACAUGUGUGUAAUUUUUCAUGUCAAAAUACGAGGGCUUCAGAAAGACAAUUUUGUGCAUUUUUAGCAUAUGUACUGUUGAUCCUCAAAGUCUACAAUUUUGUGCAGCUCGAAUUUUAAGGCAUUUCAUCCUAUAAUUUUACACAGAUACACAUUAUAUCCUUGUAAACAUGUAUAUUGAGUUUUAUAUUUUUUUUACUUUAAAAAUUGAUUUUUUUUAAAAUUAAGCCCUCUAUGGAAUUCAGUCUGCAAAAUGCCAUACUCUGUUGUAUUUGUGUAAAAACUUUGGCCAAGAAAUGACUUUCAUGAGAAAUGACAUUCACGGUAUUUUUUUAGAAAAAAAUCAACAAUAUAUACAAGUCAUCAUUCACGUUUUUCAUCGUCGGAUUUAUAUUUUCCGAAGUUGAUGGGACAUUUUUUUCUUGGCAUCACAGAAGGUCAAAUUUGUUUUCAAAAAUGUUUCAGAACUUUUUAUGUUUUUUUGGAAUUACUUCCAACAUAUGUGCUCACACCCGAGUACCAUGGCAUUUCCCAAGUUCUGUCGAGAUAAAAGAGGUUUGUGCAUAAAACACAUCACUCUUUUAACCCCCACGCAAUCAUGGCUGCUUUAUUUUUCGUUGUGUCAAAAUAAAUGUAUUAGAAAAUCAGUUCAUAAUACACUGAAUCGGUUAUCUCAAAUAUCCUCAUACCUCGAUCAAUCGAAUUUGGAGAUUCUCACAUGUUUCAUUCAGGCAAAGCAGAAUAACAUUUCUGAAUUCUCAAUUCUAACUGGAAUUUCCUUUUUCUAUCCUCCCAAAAGGCAGAUAUUUGUUAAGAUGAAAAUGCCUAGACAUCCAGGAUUUUUCUCCCCGGUGAGAGAAGCACUUCAGAACUAGUUCGUUUUCCACCUAAUCUGCUAUUCCACAUGUUCUGCUCUUAUCCAGUUUUCCGUUAAGUUACAAACACAGCUUUCUGAAUUUUCAGAACACUGAGAAGAAACGAACAUCUUGGAUUUUUCAAUAGAAAAUGUGGCCAAGAGAAUCGCAUGUUUUAUUCAGGCGAAGCCGGAGAUCAUCCCCAUUUCCAUUAACGAAACAUCAAACCAUCACCAGUGCGCACGAAUCGAUACGACACACACUCUCUCUAGCAGACGAGAUCAAAAGACAGAGAAACCAUCACUCAUCAUCACAGGAAACUCAGUACCCACUCAGCCACUCAAACUCUGCUUCGAUUCGACGCGCACACAAUGCAUACCAGCUCAGGCAACCUGGACCUGGAUGGUCUUGGGCUUCUUGGGCUCGGGCGGCGGCAGCUUCUCGACGGUGACGGUCAGCACGCCGUCGCGGCACGCGGCGGAGAUCUUCUCCAUGUCGGCGUUCUCGGGGAGCACGAACUUGCGCAUCAGCUUGCCCAUGCGGCGCUCCAUCCGCAGGUACUUGGCGUCCUCCUCCUCCUCCCUGCUCCGCUCGCCGCUGAUCACCAGCACCCGCUCGUCCUCCACCUGCACCUUGAUGUCGCCGGAACCCAGCCCCGGCAUGUCCACCACGAACGCGUACG